UUUUCAGCAUGUAAUUGUUGUAUGGUUGUGUUUAGAUCAUUAUUGGUCCAAAGCAAUCGAUCCUCUGUCUCUCCAUACCAGACAUUUACUCUUGGAGGCGUGAUUGAUUCUCCUGUAGUAAAAAUCUUCAUCUUGGGACAACCAAUCACAUGCAAAUCUUGUAAAGAUGGGUAUUUGAAGGUGUAAUUGGCAGAGCAAAAACUUGUGAGGCUAUCUAAAUCAAACAGUUCCAACGUCUUCAAUUUGCGGAAAACAAUCUCUUCUUUUUCAACUCCAUCUUUGUCAUUUGUUACCACCUCUGUCAUUGCUCUGCAUCCAUAUAUUUCUAUUGCUACGAGUCGCACCAGAGUUUUUGCUGUGGAGGAUGUUACCAAGUGUAUCAAUUCCUUGCAACCGAAAGCUACAAGUUUUGUUAGGUUCCGAAAAGAUACCGAUGAUGAUGGCAAUAGAAUUAACAGACUUUGACAAUGAAUUACUUUUAGAAUUUCAAGAUACUGAAAAAUGGGGCCAAGUUUGGAGUCUUGUUUGCACAGCUGCUCCAGAUGAUAGUGCCAGUACAGCUGUAAUUCUUUUAUCAUUGCCAACUUCCCCGCAUGUUUCUCUAAGCAUCCUUCCAUCGAAAAUAGCUCUUCGUGGGAUGGAAAAAAAAGCAGUGAGAGCAUUUCGAGAUUGUGAAAUCUCUCAAGUACGUUCCAGAUUGGAAAACAAGCUGAGUCAUCUGCAGCAAUCUCUAGCUGUCUAAGACUGCCAAAAAGGUGUUGUGGGAAAUCGGCCUGCAAAAUCAUCUUCACAUCUUUUCCACUUAGUGAUAGUUCCUUCAAGUUGGGUACGAUCUGAUCAUCAUUAAUCAUAAUAACUAAUGAGGUCAAUUGAUGAUCUAUGGUAACACGCAGUGACUUUAUAGUAUUUGUUUUAUAUUAUAUGUUAAAAAAAAUUGAAUUAUUGAUAAAAUUUAUUUUGUAUGUUAAUUUUAGAGGUAAAGCAAGAAAUUAGGGAAAAAUAGUUGAUUUAUAUUGGCUCAAAAUUAUUUUAUUGCACAAUAAUAAAUUACUAAUUUAUUUUGUAAGUUCUUCUAAAUGGAAAGACUGAGGAUUCUUUUAUAAAUGCUAUACCUAAAAAAGUUCAUAUAAUUAUGAAUCUACCAUAUUGAUCCCUUAGUCUAGACUAGCAAAGAUUAUUGUAUAAUAAAAGUUUUUUAAUUUAUUGAGUAUUAAAUGAUUUUUUAUAUGUUAAUUUUAGAGGUAAAAAAGAAAUUAGGGAAAAAAGGUUGAUUUAUACUGACUCGAAAUUAUUUUAUUGCACAAUAAUAAAUUACUAAUUUAUUUUGUAAGUUCUUCUAUAUGGAAAGACUCAAGAUUCUUUUACAAAUGCUAAACCUAAAAAAGUUUAUAUAAUUAUUAAUCUACCACAUUGAUCCGUUAGUCUAGACUAGCAAAGAUUAUUGUAUAAUAAAAGUUUUCAAUUUAUUGAGCAUUAAUUUAUCGAUAUUUUGUCAUAUUUUUCAAAGUUAAAAAUAAGCAAUAGAUAAAAAAUCUAGAAAAUGGCUUCAUACCUUUUCCAAUGGCAAUAGGGGCUGUUGUGCAGGAAUACCAAGUUGAUCAUUCCCAUUAUUCUGCGAUAAAUCUGCAGCGAAUAUCUUUAAUUUGUCACAACCAUACACUACAAGAGUUUCUAGUGCGGGCCAUUCCCAAGUAUGCAUUCCAGGGUACAAAAAUCUAAGUUUUGGUAGAUCAUGGAGCAUCAAAGUGGUGAGCUGUGGAAAGACAAAAUGAGGGAUCACUUGAUCUGCUCUGUUUUCAGAAAUGAUCUCCUGUAAAUCCUCACAGGAGCGUAUUUCUAGGCGUUGGAGCUGCUUAAGGCUUCCGAUCAUAGACGCUGAAAAUAUGUAUUUCAGUUUGUGACACCACCACACAACUAAUCGUGUUAAACUUUGAAAGUGAGGAAACAUGGCCGCCGGAAUUUGAUUGUAGUGCCAAAUCUUGUCGACAUUAAUAUCAGAUAUCUCCAAAGCCUCCAAGUUAGGCAACGCAACCUAAAAAAAUAAGAAUUUCUCGUUAGAUCCAAUAUCCAUAUGGGAAGCACUUGUUGAAAUUUUCUUCUUUGAUUACAAAUUAAUGCAAGUCCGAAUCAAUUUCCAACUGACAGCUGAGAAUGCAUUCUAAUUCAUACUACUUGUUAAGAGCUCAAUUAGUGAGCGCGUGAGAUUCUUUUUAUCCUUUUUUCCAUUUUCUUUCAAAUCUUUAAAUGAUUUAAUUAUUUUCCACGUAUGACAUCAAAACAGAACGCAUGAUAGAAUAAAGUCUGUUAUAUAUAUAUAUAUAUAGAAAAUGUUAGCCUACGCACCUUCUCGUUGAAAAGCAGAGUUGAAAUGUCCAAAGUGAUUUCGCUGGAGCAAUACAUAGUCGUCGAUUCCUCUUGUGACACUUGUCUGUUCGGUGAUGCAGAAGGAGUCUCCACCUCACGGCGGCAAAAACUUGUAACCUCUGGAAGAUUUCCCACACUCAAAGAUCUUAAUUGAGCAAACUCUAUCUUCUCAAUUGCAUUAUCAACUUCUUCCCCAAUUGCAAAAAUCUCUUUCAUCUUGCUGCAAUUAAUAACUGCAAUUCUCUCAAGUCUUGGAAGGCAUUUUGCAGUAGAGAGCCAAAAGAUAUUACUCAACUUAUCACAAUUAUAUGCUUCUACGGUUUUGAGUUCGUUGAAAGACUCUACUUUGAGCCGAUCAACACAUAUCCUCUCCAUGUUGAUCAAAUUGUGAAGGAUAAGUGACUCCAAAAGAGGAAAGGCAUCACAAGCGACCAUCUCCCUUGAAUCGACGAUGCAAAAGAAGUCUGGAUUAUUUUGAACCCAGAGAAUCUUCAAUUGUGAAAAGCCCUCCGUGUCCAAAUUGAAAAGAACAUUCUCGAUGCCUUGCAGCUUGUCCAACCAUAAGCAUUCAACGUUAUUGAUGCCCUGCAAUUUCAUGGAGCAAAUGUCCAUAAAAUCAAGCUUGAGCUUCAAUGCUCUUGAAAUCUUACGAUCUCUGUCGAUCAAAAAGUGCUGCCGACUUUUAAACCAAUUUUGUCCAGCAAUCAUGGGAUGUGUGAAUAACCCAUUUCCAAUAUGUAUUUUGAACCUUUCGAGCUUUCUGGCCAAAAAGCCUUCUGGUAACAUACUCUCAUUUUUUACAUCAAUUUCUAGAGUGGUUAGCCGAGGUAAAUGCAUCAAUUCAUCAAGGCUAGCAUUACUUCUUUUGCUGUUGGCUCUUUCAACCUCCCAUUCAAUGGAGCAAUUACCCAUAUACAAUUCUUCUAAUCGGAUUAAGCUUGAUAUGACAUUUGGGGCAAUAACUUUCAGACGGAAACAGUCUGUUAAAUCUAACAGCCUUAGCUUAGUCAGUUGACCCAGUGCUUUAGGCAACUCUACAAUAUCAGAUUCCAAAAAGCUGAGGAUUUCUAGAUUUUCCAACUUUCCAAUAAUGGCUAUGUCUAUGCCUCCCAAAAUGCUUUGAUUAAGACAGAGUGCCUGAAGAUUUACUAUAAGACCAAUUGAAGAUGGCAAUGACAAUAACCGCAUUCCAGUAAAAUCCAAAACCCGAAGCUUUUUCGUGCUUUUGAAGAACUUCUCAGGAAUAUUAGGCACAGCAAAAGAGUUCUUGGGAGACAUGACUAGAAGUUCAAGUUGUAGAGAUUCGGACCCUUCAGGAAUGUCAUUAAUAAUACUAUCUUUUAAAGAAAUUGCAAGAUAUUUUUUUAAUUCAUCUGCAUUUGGCCAUUUCCAAUCAUCCUCAUUUCUCACCACAAAUCCAAUUUUGUCACGACAUGCAAUUGAAAUGGCAACAUCGCGAACAACGUCGUGCAUAGAAAAGUAUUUACUGCCACCAUCCUCAAGCAACAAACAAGAGUCCCUUAGUUGAUGGACCCAUGCAUCUAAUUUGUUAUGUGCAUCUUCUAGCUUAUGGACACUUUUAAAUACACCCAAGCCCAUGCUAUAUUUGAACAAGUCCAUAAUACACCCAAGCCCAUGCUAUAUUUGAACAAGUCCAUAAUUGGUGCUGGCUCACCUGUUAAGUACUUGUAACUCAGCUCAAUUGUUGAGUAUGCCUCUGCUGGUACUCCUUCGUCGAAGCUUGCCUCUGAAGGCGUUUGGAGUUCUUGCAAGGCAUUCUUCCACACAGGCAGCUCUUUUUUUCUCAGUGCCUUUGCUACUGUGGUUAGGGCAAUAGGCAAACCUCCGCAUGCCUUGGCUACACUUGUUGCUGUAGAUUCUAAUUCACGAUUUUCCACAUAAUCACCUGCCAUUAUCUUGAACAAUCUCCAGGCUUCUUGUUCAUUUAAAAUGCCAAUCGAGAAGUUUUUUUCAGAUUCCAUCCUUAACAGCACAUCGAGAUCUCAUGUUGUGAAUAAUAAUUUGCAUCCUCUGUGCUCAACUCCAAAAGGAAUUCCAAUAGUCCCCAAAUCAAGAGGUUUCCAGAUGUUAUCCAGAAUCACAAGGAUCUUCUUCUCAUUCUUCAAUCUUUCAUAUAGUCUACUAGCUCUUCUAGACUCAGCUUCCUCGGACAACUGUAGGCCUAACGUUUCCGCAAUGUCCUCUUGGACCUUUUUUAUGUCUGGACUUUGGGUAACCUCCGAAAAAGCCACCAUAUCGUAAAGCUUGUCUUCAAUGGCUCGCCUUGCAAACUCCUUCACCAGUGUCGUCUUUCCAAUGCCGCCCAUGCCGUAGACCCCAAUGAUGCCGACAUCAACAUCGAUCAAUGCAUUUUGUAUGGCCUUCAAAGUAGAAAGUCUUGAUUCGAAGGCCUCGCAGCCUUUGUGAGACUUGAGCCAUAUAUCCUCCGGAAUGGUACGGUAGGAAAUUCUAUCAUCAAAUUUCCUAGCUUCUUCUUUGAGUUCAACAAUGGCCUUCACCUUUGUUUCUGCUUCCUUGCUAAGCUGAUAGCCGGACUUCAAAUUAGGACACAAGCCCAUGAGACAUCGUUUAUUUGUUGUCUCCUCAUCGUCAAUGAAUUUGGCUGACUGCUCAAUGGUGUUGUUCGCACGAACCAGCCACUUCUCAACCUUCUCUUCAAUCUUUUCCCCUUUUCUUUCAGCCUCAGAAACCCUGUGCUGAAUGCUUCUCCUUUCAUCCUUGAGCUUGUCUAUUUCUGCCUUGAGAUUCUCAACGUUGGCUUUAUAGUUACGCAAAUAACCAAAUCGGCGUUCUGUUGGAGGAGCCAAGCACUUCAAAAAUUCUAAAACAACAGUAACAAUGCUUUCCACCAUCCUGGAUCCCUUUUUUUUUUUUUUUUCAAAGUUCUGACAAGAAAAUAGACAACGAGCGAAACACAGAGAGAGUGAAAAAAAGAAAAAACGAAACAACGAAGAUGGACAGUUUAUCCGGUUGUGGAAGCGGAGAAAUGAAAGAAAGAGUAAAAGCUGUUAUGGAUCUGGUGAGAAGAUGGAAACAAGGAAAAGGUUUCUAGUUCGAGAACUGAUUGAAUUAAUAUAAGGAAUGAUUUAGAUAAUAGAGGCGAAGGGAACCAAUCAGAAUAACUGAAGUAUUGACCAGCAGAAAGACGGAAAAAAUAUUGACUGGUAAUAGAGAUGGAAAAAAUGAAGAUAUCUUGACACGGUAGAAGUACAAAGGGUAGAUAUGGAACCAAACAGAGACAACAGCAGACCACAACAAGAUUGGGAAUGGAGAGAAACUAAUUAACAAAGACUGGAGAUUACAACAAAACAGAUGCCAAGAGAAAACUUGAUCCAGUGAAAUUCAAGAGAGCUGACAACAAAAACUGAUACUACUUGAUUGGGAAUUGAAGGCAAAGAGUAGGAGCUGACGAAUACGGGGAUCAAGAGGGAAAAACUGCUUGCUCGUAAAACUACUUUCAAGCGAAUCUGAUAAAAUUAUUUCAAUACUGGUGGGCGACUCCCUUUUAAACUGCAGAAGGAGAAAAAAGAAAUGUUCUGAAUUUCAAUGUAUUAAUUUUUAUCCUAAUUUAUGUUGAGACUCGUAAUCUCGUCUCAAUGAUUAAUUAGUAGAUAAUCUUUCUAACAAGUAUGUGAUGAAUAGAUAUAUUUCUUGACUAUUAGUAGGUUAGAUAUAUUUUAGCAUAGGAAUGAUAGUACAAGUUGUGUCAUAUUAGAAUACAAAUUUGACCUAAAAAUAUUGUUCUAUGACCUUUUAAUUAUUUGUCAGUUAAUAAUUAAGUCAUAUAAAAAAAAAAAAUCUGAAUUAGUCUUUAAGUAUUAUAAAUAUUUCUUGAUUUUUAAUUAUAAUAUCAUUAUUUAAAAAUAAUUGCUUGACUUACAUAGUAAGUCAAUAAAAUAUCUAACAAUAGUUGUCAUAAAACAUGUGAUCCUCAAUCAAUGAAAUAUCUAACAAUAUCAUCACCUAAAGUUUGAGAUAUGUGAUCCUUAUUCCACUGCGUCAAUUACACUCCAGUACAAUGCUGCCAUCAUUAUCAAACAGUCGACAUCCACCAGUUCUAAUUGCCAAAACUUAGAACUAAACAGUAGCUCGGUCAGAAAAUCAAACGCCAGUACCGGUCAAAUGACCGAUAAAAAUAUAAAGAAAUAAAAAUUUUAAAGUUUUACUUUAUUGCUUUUUUAAUCUUAUUACUAUUUCUCGUUGCACUUAUAAAGAAACCAAAGCUUUAAGAGAAAUCGGCCAAAUCACGAAGAUUGAAGAGUAAAUCUAUGGUUUUAUAUUUAUAUUUUUAUUUUUAGAUAAUAGAUAUUAUUUUGAUGAAUUUUUAAUAUUAGAAUAAUGUUAGGAAUUUCGAUAGUAGAAUUCUAACUUGAGACCCAAUUGUUAUGUGUCAUUUUUUUAUUAGAUAAUAAAUUUCAUAACUAAUAAAAUUAAUAUUUCGAUUAUCUAAUAAAUGACUAUCAUAUCAGCUGAGACUCAAUUAUUGGGAUCCUUAACAUUGCUCUUAGUAUUAAAUUGGACAUCUUAGCUAAAUUAGAUUAAUUUUUAUAUCAUAACUUUGUAAGUGUAUAAUUACUCAUUAAAUUAACAAAAUUAUUUUAAAAUAUUUAGUUAGAAAAAUAAAUUAUAUUCUUUUUAUUUCAAAUAAUCUAUAAGUUAACUCAAAACAUAAUCAAGCUGAGAAUUAAAAUAAUGCCACUGUAUGAGAGGAUUUUUAUUUUUUUUCCCGAAGUUUCACUAGGAAAUUAUUGAUAUAUAGCUUUAUUCGGAUCAUCUCAGUUCAAACGACAAAUAAUUGAAAGACUAAACUAAAUAGACCAGCCAACAACUUUGUACAGCAGAGUUCAAAAAUUAAGGUCAUGAUAUUGAGGUGUUCUGUCCUGAAACAUACGGCAUAGUGACAAAAUAAAAACUAUUAGUCUUUAGUAAGAUAUGACUUUUAAAUAAUAAUUUUCACAAAAAUACAAAGAAUAUUUAUGAAGUACUUCUAUAAUGAAGUACUUCUAUAGUGAGGAGACCCUCGCUUUGUUAAAGUGAAAAUAUCAAUAAUAUACAAGAAACAUACAUUUUAACACAUUAAGAAUUGUAUCUUUUUAAUCUAUUGGUGUAUUGAAAUAUGUGUUAUUUAAUUUGUUAGUGAUAUCAUCACUUUGUUAAAAUAAGGAUGUCAGAACCAUUAUAUAUAAGAAAGUAAAUAUAUUUUUGUACGGUAUAAUAGUGUAAUAACAUCACCCGAGUAUAUCAUAUAGAGUAAUAGUUUUUGGAACUUUAAUAAAGUUCAAGAUUAUAGAAUGAAUGAUUUAUAUAUAUUUUAAAUUUUUUAUCAUAAAGUGGAGGACAAAAGUAACAUAUUUUUCAAAUUAUAAUAAAUAGAUAUUUUAAUUUAACAUCGUGAUUUCUCCUAACUAGAGUAGUAAAUACGACCUAGGAGGUACAUUCAAAGCAUUUCAUAAGUUAAUUGUUAAUAAUAAAUGAUACAUGCAGCUCCAAUCAUCAUUUUACGGCGAGUAAUUUCCAGUUAUAAAUAGAUAUUACUCCCUUCCCAGCAAUUUUUGAUGGCAAUUUAUUGGGAUCAAAAUCAACAUUGAAUAGUCAAAAUAUUAAUGGCCAUGAUGCUUAUUCCAAUGUGAGUAGUUCACAGUGGGUACUGCACAUGAUGCUUGUUUCUCCUUUUGCAUCUAUUUUUGUUGUUAACAUUAAUUUCAAUAGCAGCUCGUUAUUAUGUAUACAACAUUUCAAAGUUAAUCCAAAAAAAAAAAGACAAAAAUUAGUUCAGCUGACUAAAUUUGAAAGCAUGGAUUUGCCGUCGAUUAAAAAUCGUUUUGUAGGGAAAAAUUUUGGAUUGCAAUUUUCAUACAAUACAUAGAAUUAUCAUAAUCUAUAAAUUAGGGCUCGUUUGGUAUUGUUUUUGAAUUUAUAUUUUUUGAGAAUAAAAAUGAAAAUGAAAAUGGUGUUUUGCAGUUGCUGUAUUUUGAAUUUAAAUAUGCGUCUGGUAUCAUUUUCUGUAUCCUAUAUUUUAAAACUGAAAACAAUAAUAUGCGUUUGGUAGACACAGUUGAAAAUGAUAAAACAAAAAAUAUGUGUUUGGUAAUACUUUUUUCAAAAACAGUUUUUACUAAGCAUUUACAUUAUAUUUGUAGUCAUAAAAUAAUUAUUUAGCUAAUACAUACAUAAAUACAACAAAAUAAUUUAAACAAAUUUAUUAUUAAAAAAUUACAUGAUGAUAAAGUUUUAAAAUUAACAUUAAUUAAAGAAAAGUUUGAUAAUAAACUGAAAGCAUGCAUGGUAUGAACUAGAGUUAGUGCAAUUUAACAUGAAGCUUGCUCGUGCAAAAUUAUUUUAUAUAGCAUUUGCAGUUUCAAUUUCCAAUUCCAAGGUUCUGAUUCCAUGCUCCCAAACACAACAAUAAAUGUAAAUCCAAUUACACAUCUUCUUGGAACAACUUUUUGUGAAGUAAGUGCCAUUUUUUUUUUUAAGAAUAUUCAUUCUGAAAACACAUUAGACACGGAAUUAGAAAGCUGUUUAACUGCUUUCUAGAAACAAUAUUUGCUCUGCCAAAAGAAAAAAAAAAACUACUUCACAUUGACUCACCAAUCCACUCCUCCACUUUCAAUCAUAAAUUCCACAAUAAUCAAUAAUCAUCAGCACUAGCAGGAAAAUUACAUUACACGUUCAGCAACUCACAUAACAAAGAUUCCCAAGCAAAUUAAAACCCAAUGAAUGCCAAAUUCGAUUGUACGCAAUCCAAAGAUUUGUUGUAUAUACAACAAAACACUUAACUGCAACUGCAUCGAAGAAGGAGAGUGUCCUUCUGAUUGUUAUCCUCUGUUUGUAUAUCCAAAAUUCAUGGCCCCGACGCUUACUUCCUCUGUUAAGUAUAUAAGUUGAAGCUGCUGAGCUGACUGAAGAUGUUGUGAGCUGCUGAGCUGGAUUAGGUGGUUAUAUGGUUGAUUAAGUUGUAACGAUUUGUCCAGCUGGCAUGUUAUGAUUGGAAGAUGAAAUGGUUUGUUAAUUCGGCAGCUUUGAGCUCUGUUUCUGUUAUCAGUUUUCAGUGUAACUAUAAAUAAUAGUCAACACGAUUACAAUGUAUGAUUUUCAGAUUUUAAUCAAUAAGAAUUUCUCUCAGUUAAAGUUCUCUUUCUCUUUCUCUUAUGCCAAACACUCUUAUUAAUUCUAAUAUGGUAUCAGAGCCAUCAACUAUGUCUGGAUCUAAUCAUAUAGCUUCCUCUUCACUCUCAUUUCAUUUUGUUCAACCUGUAAAGCUCGACAGAUCAAACUAUCUAGUUUGGAAGGCUCAAGUGAGAACAUCAAUCAUUGCUAAUGGACUCGAAAGCUUCAUCAAUGGUGAGAAUGUGUGUCCAGAACGCUAUCUCGUGGAAUCAACUCAAGAAUCUCGAAGAUCUGGAGCUGAAGCUUCACAAAAACAAGAAAAUCCAGAUUAUGCUUUAUGGAUGAAAACCGAUAAACUUCUGCAGAGCUGGAUGCUAUCAUCAAUGGUGGAUAACGUUUUAAUCAUGGUGAUCAACUGCGAAACAUCACUUGAGCUCUGGGAGAUGCUUGCCGAAAUCUUCAUGUCACAAUCUAAAGCAAGGUAUCUACCUUUGAAGAUGCAAAUUCAAUCAACAAAGAAAGGAUCACUUUCAGUAAGUGAUUAUUUUAAUAAGAUGAAAAAAAUUGCUGAUAGUUUGGCCAUUGGAGGUAAUCCAGUCACUUCAAAUGAAUUGAUUAUGCAUUUGCUUACUGGAUUGGAUGAUAACUAUGAAUCUUUAGUUACAAAUAUACUUACUAGACUGGAAAAAGAGAAACUCACUAUUGAGGAGGUGUAUUCUAUGAUGCUUAGUCAUGAAACUAGGUUGGAAAUGAACAAAGGAAAAUAUCACAAUGAACCUCAGCAUGAAAUGACAGCAAAUUUUGCUCAGAAAAGUCAAGGAUACAAUAGAUCUGGAUAUAAUCAGAAGAAUACAGGUGCUGGUAAUUCAGGUGGUUAUGAUAACAGUCAGAAUAGCAAUACAGGUCCUGGAAGAGAUGUUGUAUGUCAAAUUUGUUUCAUCCCAGGUCAUGUAGCUUAUAAGUGUAAACACAGGUUCAAUCAGGGCUUUAUUCCUAGAAACAGAGGUUUUGAUGCUUUUAGGCCAAGAGGUGGAGGUCAGAAUUAUAGAGGACCUCCUGGAAAUAAUCAAAAUUAUUUUGGCAGAGGUUAUGGGUACAAUGCUUCUGGUUUUGGGUCUGGAUUCAGGUCUAACUUUCCUAGACAAGCUGGACCUUACUUUGGUUAUGUUGCCUAUCAGAAUCCAGGUGUCAUGAAUUCUCAAGGUGUUUUUGAUUUUCAAGGUGUAAAUGGUGCAUAUAAUGGGGUUCAAACAGCAAGCAUGUAUGCUGGAAAUGUUGGUAUUCCUCACAAUGUACAUCCCUCUGCACAAUUGGCAAAUUACAGCAGUGUAGCUGAUCCAGCUUGGUAUCUUGACUCUGGAGCAACUAAUCACAUUGCUCAAGAUGCAGGUAUGCUAUUUAAAUACUCAACUUACCGUGGCUGUGAGAAACUGCAUGUAGGAAAUGGUAUGGGAUUGCCUAUUCACAAUGUUGGAUCUGUUGCUAUUAAAACCCUGUCUACAAAACCUAUUUACCUGAAUCAUGUUUUACAUGUACCCUCAAUUACUAAAAACCUUAUCAGUGUUUCCAAAUUGCUUGCUGAUAACAAUGUUUUCAUUGAGUUUUACAAUCAUGUCUGUUUUGUUAAGGACAAGAACUCAAGGAUCACAUUGCUCAAGGGGAUUGCUAGAGGAGGUCUUUAUCAAGUUCCAAGUUUGAAUGCAGUCUGUGAUAACUCAAGUUCUGUUGUUCCAGUGUUCAACUCUUCAGAGUCUGUUUUUAAUCCAAUAAAUCAAUUGUCAGUAGUUCCAGUGUCUAUGUUUACACAAUUGAAUUCCCUUGAUACUGAGACUUAUCCUCUUAUGCUUGUAAAUAAUCCUCAAAUCAAUAAAAAUGCCUCUGUAGCUCCUUUUGCUUCGUGUAAUAAGACUGUUGAUUAUAACUUGUUGCACAAAAGAAUGGGUCAUCCAACAACUCAUGCCUUAAAACAAAUCAUGAAGUGCCUGGAUUCAACCUUUGUUCUUUCCAAAAACUCAAAACCACAGUUUUGUGAUGCCUGUCAACUAGGCAAGUGUCAUAUGCAGCAUUUUCCUUCAAUAGAAACAUCAACCACUCAGCCCCUUGAAUUGUUACAUGCUGAUCUCUGGGGACCAGCUCCCAUUACCUCCUCCCAAGGAUACUCCUACUAUCUAUCUAUCCUUGAUGACUAUACCCGAUACACUUGGAUAUUUCCCCUUACAGCAAAAUCCAAAACUCUAUCAGCCUUUAUUGACUUCAAAAACAUGAUAGAAAAUUGUCUAAACUUGAGAAUCAAGUGCUUACAAACUGAUUGGGGUGGGGAGUUCAGGCCUUUUGUGUCAUAUCUCUCUGAACAAGGCAUACAAUUUAGACAUCCAUGCCCUUAUAUACAUCACCAAAAUGGGAAAAUAGAGAGAAAACAUAGACAUAUUGUUGAAACAGGUCUCACACUUCUUGCCCAAGCUCACUUGCCACUCAAAUUCUGGUGGAAUGCAUUUCAUACAGCCACCUAUCUCAUUAACAGACUUCCUACACCUAUUCUCAACAAUAAAUCACCAUUUGAAAAAUUAUUUCACAAGCUCCCAGAUUAUACAAUGAUGAAAAUUUUUGGCUGCUCUUGUUACCCUUAUCUUAGACCUUAUAAUCAUCAUAAGCUUCAGUUUAGAAGUGAAAGAUGUGUCUUUCUUGGCUAUAGCUCACUUCACAAAGGAUAUCAAUGUCUUCAUCCUUCUGGAAGAGUCUAUAUAAGUAAUCAUGUCACCUUUGAUGAAUCAUCUUUUCCCUUCCAAUCAGCUGACAAGUUCUCUACAAAGUCAUGUUCUGAUUCUUUACAUGAGUCUACUUCUUCAAAUCCUCUUGUCUCAUUCACAUUAUCACAGACUGCUGAACAACUUGAUAGAUCUCUCUCUCAAUCUACACCUCCAGCAACUGAUUUACCAUCAACUUCAAACCUGUCCAGUUCAGAAAAUCAUUUGUUGUCUCAUACUCCUAGUCCUAUAAAUCAGCAAUCAUCUUCUCAACCUCUUCAUCACCUAUCUCCACCUUCACAACCCAUAAUUGGUCAUCCUAUGACUACCCGAUCCAAAAUGGGAAUAUUCAAACCAAAAAAGGCCUAUCUAGUUGAAUGUAAUCCUAAGCCAACAGAACCACUUACAGUUUCAGCUGCUCUAAAUGAUCCAAAGUGGCUUCAAGCAAUGCAAGAAGAAUAUCAAGCCUUAGUUAAAAAUCAGACCUGGACACUUGUUCAGCCGACAUCUCCUGUCAAAGUUGUAGGAAACAAAUGGUAUUUAGAAUUAAACACAAUGCAGAUGGUAGUGUCUCAAGGUACAAAGCCAGACUUGUAGCAAAGGGUUUCCAUCAAACUCAAGGCAUUGAUUAUAAUGAGACUUUUAGUCCAGUGGUGAAGGCUUCUACAGUUAAACUUAUUUUGAGCUUGGCUGUUCUUAAUCACUGGUCAUUGAGACAAGUUGACAUAAAUAAUGCCUUCCUCCAUGGUUAUCUUACUGAAGAAGUGUAUAUGCAGCAGCCUGAAGGCUUUGUGGAUCCAGCUAAACCUACUCACAUCUGUAAACUGCAGAAGGCAUUAUAUGGUCUCAAACAAGCUCCUAGAGCUUGGUUUGAUAGAUUAAAAACAGUGUUAACUACUCAAUGGGGUUUCAAGAAUUCCAAGUCUGAUAAUUCUCUGUUUUUUCAGAGGACUCAAGGUCAUCUCUUGCUGGUAUUAGUUUAUGUGGAUGAUAUCAUUGUAACAGGUUCAGAUUCUAUUCAGAUUCAGCAAGUUAUCAAUAAUCUGCAGUCAACUUUUGCUCUUAAAGAUCUUGGAGAACUGCAUUAUUUUCUUGGUAUUCAGGUCACCAAAUCUGAAACAGGCUUACAUCUCUCUCAGACAAAGUAUAUAGCUGAUCUCCUCAACAAAGUUAAGAUGCACGACUGUACCCCUUGCUCUACUCCAAUGGCUGCCAAUGUUCCACUUACCAAAACUGACAGUGAAUCAUUUACUGAUGCAACUUUGUAUAGAAGCACAAUUGGAGCUCUUCAGUAUGCUACCUUGACCAGACCUGAGAUAGCAUUUCCUGUCAACAAGCUCAGCCAGUUUCUAGCUGCACCAACAAAUAAUCACUGGCAAGCAUGCAAAAGGAUCCUUAGAUAUCUAAAAGGUACAAUGCACAUGGGAUUACAAUAUUCAAAUCAAGGUCCCUUACACAUAGAUUGCUUCAGUGAUGCAGACUGGGCAGCUGAUAGGGAUGACAGAAAAUCGAUUGCUGGAUAUUGUGUUUAUUUUGGUCCUAAUCUGGUUUCUUGGUGUUCAAAGAAACAAGGAGUGGUGUCCAGGUCCAGCACUGAAUCAGAGUAUCGAGCUUUAGCAAUGGCUGCAUCUGAGGUUUUAUGGCUUAAGUCCUUGUUGACUGAAAUUGGUAUUUCUCUUGUCUCUACUCCUGUCAUUUGGUGUGAUAACCAAAGUGCUGCUGCUUUAGCAAGCAAUCCAAAAUUUCACUCUCGAACUAAACACAUAGAACUUGAUGUGCAUUUCUUGCGUGAAAAGAUUGCUAAUAAGAGCUUUGAAGUUAGUUAUGUUCCUAGUUCCCAUAACUCAGCUGAUAUCCUCACCAAAGCUUUAGCCUAUCAUCCUUUUCAUUAUUUGAGAGACAAGCUCACCCUGACUUCACCAGGUUGAGCUUGAGGGGGGAUGUUAAGUAUAUAAGUUGAAGCUGCUGAGCUGACUGAAGAUGUUGUGAGCUGCUGAGCUGGAUUAGGUGGUUAUAUGGUUGAUUAAGUUGUAACGAUUUGUCCAGCUGGCAUGUUAUGAUUGGAAGAUGAAAUGGUUUGUUAAUUCGGCAGCUUUGAGCUCUGUUUCUGUUAUCAGUUUUCAGUGUAACUAUAAAUAAUAGUCAACACGAUUACAAUGUAUGAUUUUCAGAUUUUAAUCAAUAAGAAUUUCUCUCAGUUAAAGUUCUCUUUCUCUUUCUCUUAUGCCAAACACUCUUAUUAAUUCUAAUAUCCUCCAAUUCAUUUCUGCUCAAUACAACACCCCGUUCAAGGCUCAUCGUCAAGAACCCAAGAUUCAGUGUGUUUGCCAAGAAAGUUGGACCGUUCCCUCCAUUUCAGCUUGGCAAGUCGAAGGAUGAGAAUUCAUCUGAUGAAAGCUCAAAUGGUGAUUCCGGCAAUUCCAAUCCUUUUCGCUUCAACUUUGGUGAGGUGAGGGAUGUGACAUCUUUGAUCCUAGUUGUGAGCAGCCCUAGAACUGGGCUGUCAUUUGGAACUGGGCAGGCCGGCGUUCGUAUUUUACGGCACACCAAAGGACAGCCGCGGUAGAGACGAAGUUGCAGCGGCGGCAGAGAAAAUGUUGUUUGAGGGAGAAAAGGAGAAAGCACUGCUGCCGUGACUAGAUCGAGGAUAGCCGUGGGGGGGGGGGGGUUGACCAGAUCGAGAACGAUGAGAGGGGGGAGAAGGUUGCUGCCGAAGAGAAUGGGUUUUGUUUCUUAAUCUAUUUUUGAGUUUAGUUUGUAAUAUUUAGGAAACAUGUUAAACACGUUUUCAUGUUUGUAGUUAUAACACUAGAUCUGAAUUUGUUAUUUCGUGAUUUGUUUUUUGAAUCCAUCCCACCAAACAUAUAUUAUGUUUGUAUUAUGAAAACAAAAAUGAAAACAAUGGGUAAAAAACGCUACCAAACGGGCCCUUAUUUUUUUGCUUUUCUGUGGUAGUAAGUCCGACUCCUUAGUGACAAUUUAAAUUGAAAAAAUAAAAUCAUAAAUUAGAAUUAUUUGAUAAGAAUUAAAAUAAUUGAUAAAAAUUUGAGAGGAGCAAUUUUGGAAGAUUCGAUUUCUAAUAGAAAGGGUGAAUUUUACAGCCUUCGGUGAGGAAUCCAAAAUGCACAAUUUGAUGAAAAUUAAAUUUCAAUAGAAAUUGAAUUCCCAUUUAUUAGUGAAAACCAAACAACAGAAAAGUGAAAGGAAUUUGAAUUCAUUUCCUUCCUCUCCUCCCUCCAACUAAACACCAUCGAAAUCCAAAGGUAUGGAUUGGGAUUCCAUAUUGAUCAGAAUGGGAUUUGUCCAUAUUAGUAGGACCAAUUUUAAAAGCAGUCGGAGUUUCGAAGUUUAAGAUUGAAAUUGUCCAAUUAAUCACAAUUGUUGAUUUGGGACUAGAUAAGAAUUUAUCUUGGAACUCCAAUUCUCCAAAAAAAAUACGCUAGCUUCGCCACUGCACUAGGGACAUAUUAAUCAGGUGGGUUAUAUUACAACCAGAGGAUUUAAAUUUGAUUUAAGAUAUGUGGGGUCUGCUUUUGGAUUUAGAAAAUUUGCUCAUUAAGAGUUGAACCCAAGUGACCUACCGUUAGAUUAGAUUAAUAGUGAUUUCUUGUAGUAAAUAUUUGUGAAUUUGAAAUAUGUGAAUUCUAUCCUGGUGAUACAAAACAAGCUUCUUGUACACGAGAACUAUUUAUUUUUAUGAUUUGGAAACCAAUCUAUAAAGAUGAAUUAAGUUGGCAUAAUGGUACAAAGCAGCUUUAAUUUUUCAAUAAAUUCAAAAGUUGGCAAGUUGGUUGUGAUUAUUAUCUUUUCUUUUUUACUAUUUAAACUACAAUUAAUUGAAUCCAAAGACUAAAGGGUUGGAUCGAGAAGAAACUAAUUUUAAGUAGACAUUCCGGCGAAAAUCACUCCCAUGAUCGAGACACUCAUGCAAUCAAUACAAAAAUGGACACAAAAAUUGUCUACUUAAGUUUGGUUGAAUGAUUUUAAAAAUAGUUUUAUUUGUUUCACACUCGAAUUUGGAUUUUGAAAAAGAGUGGGAGUUAAAAAUUGAUUUACACUUUAUCAAUUACUCUAUUUUAAAAAGAAAUAAAUAUUAAAAAAAAUAAAAACAUUAAUUUCUUGUUUGUUUGUACUUACCAUUGUAGGAUAAAUAAAGUGGUUGACAAAAAUUAUAUAUCUUAAAAAUAAAUUCUAGAUUUAUAACUAAUGUAUAAUGAUUUCAAUUCACAUGUUUCAAUCCCAAAUAAAUUCUCCUUUGGUUAUUUGAAUCUUAGCGCGGUAAGAUUUCAUUCUCUUAUAUGCAUUUGUGUAAACUUCUCCCUUUACCUUUAUCAUUUUAUCAACUUUAUUGAUUGCCAAUCAACUUUAGGGUUUAGGCAUGAAUCACACAAGGGAAUGAUAUUGUGGCAAUUUUUUCCCCCUUCUUUUUUCUUUUUGAAAAAAAAAAUUAUUUAUAGCUUUGCUUUGAUGGGUAGAAGACUAGAAGACCAAUUAAUUUCUUUUUGUUGCGUGGUGAUAAUAAUGAUGGAAAUUGCUAUGUACGCGUUGGUGAUUGCAUUGCUAGUCACAUAUUGCUUCCCAUCAUGGAGACAAAGGGGACCCCUCUAUCAAAGCUAGCUGUUGAAAUAUCAUACCCAAAAUCACAUGAAUUCAAAGGUUGAAUGGGAAAACGAUCUUGCUCCUUUGUAUGUUUUAUUUUAUUUAAAGACUUAUUGUUUCCCAUAAGAGAUAAGCUUGGAUCUAUCUUUCCUUUUAAUCAUUUUAGCCUCCAACUCCCAUCUUUUUCAAAAGUUUCGUUUAGCCCAUUUUGAAUGGCAAGGUAAGCUUCAAUUAACGCAACAAGUUCAAGUGAUUCCCGUCAAUAUUCGAUUGCAUGUAUGUAGCUUUGAGUGCUCGAAUUUAUUUUAUUUAUUAGUUGUUAUCACUUAUCAUUUUCUUUUUAAUAAUGAGAUUUGGGCAUUUUCUUUUUAAUAAUGAGAUUCGGGUCCCUGGAUGGUGAUUAGCCAACAGUCUAGUUAUGAGAAAUUAAUGUCUUAAUUACAAUGACAAAAAAGGCAAGUGGGGAUCUCAUUUGCCAUUAGGUAACACAACAUCUUCAGCAUUGGAGCUUUUCUUCCUUUCUCUCCUUCUUUCUUUCUUUCUCAAAAUAAUUGAAAAUCUAAUGCAAUACAAUUAAAUUGAUCAACGAUCUAAUUUAAUCAAUACAUUAUAUUAAGAUAUUUAAAAUAAAAUCGGUUCAAAUGGAAUGAGAAGUUCUACUAAAAAAAUAACAACAUUUAUUCCUUAUUAUUAUUAUUCGAAUUCAAAUAACCUUGGAUUCCAAACGCAUUCAAGACUAGCCAGGCUGCAUAUCCAAGAAGAAAACCAAAUCAAAACUUUAGCCACAAACAUAUACGUGUGUGUGUAUGUGUGUGUGUAUAUUUGUGUGUGUGUGUGUGUGUGUGUGUGUAUAGAGAGAGAGAGAGAGAGUUCUUUCACUAGGUUCAUUUGCGUGAAACUUUUUGAUCAUUUAGGUUUAAGACUAUAUCAUAUAUCCUAUUGCACGAACAUUGAUUAAUAUGAAUGAGUCAAACCCACUAAGCUUGCAACAAAAUCUUUUCAUAGUUACUAGAGAAUAUUUAUAUUUUUUUCAAACAUUAAUAAAAUUAUUGAAUUGCUUUAUUUAUAGUACGUAUACAAUUAAUAGUGUAUGGAUUUUUUUAAUCUAUUGGUGUAUUGAAAUAUGUGUUAUUUAGUUUGUUAGUGAUAUAAUCACUUUGUUAAAAUGAGAAUGUCGUUACUAGAGAAUCAUUAUAUAUACAUAUAUAAAGUGCUUCUAUCCAAGACCUAGACUUUAUUAAAAUUUAAGAAAGCAAAUAUAUUUUAUAUGGUAUAAUAGUGUAAUAACAUCACACUAUUAUAUCAUAUAGAGUAAUAGUUUUUUGGAACUUUAAUAAAAUUCAAGAUUAUAGAAUGAAUGAUUUAUAUAAAUUAGAAUUUUUUUAUCAUAAAUGGAGGAGAAAAUUAACAUAUUUUCAAAUUAUAAUAAGUAUUUAUCAAAUAAUUUAACAUUGCAAUUUCUCCUAACUAGUAUAGUAAAUAAUACGACCUAGGAGGUACAUUCAAAGCAUUUCAUAAGUUAGUUGUUAAUAAUAAAUGAUAUAUGCAGCUCCAAUUAAUCAUCAUUGUACGGUGAAUAAUUUCCAGUUAUAAAUAGAUAUUACUCCCUUCCCAGCAAUUUUUGAUGGCUUAAUUUUGUGGGAUCAAAAUCAACAUUGAAUGUCAAAAUGUUAAUGGCCAAACAGACCAGCUGCCAACAACUUAUUCCAAUGUGAGUAGUUCACGGUGGGUACUGCACAUGAUGCUUGUUUCUCCUUUUGCAUCUAUUUUUGUUGUUAACAUUAAUUUCAAUAGCAGCUCGUUAAUCCCAAUUGUUGAUUUGGGACUAGAUAAGAAUUUAUCUUGGAACUCCAAUUCUCCCAAUUAUUUUAGUUGACAAUAUGUUUAACAUUAUUUUUUCAGUAAUGCUACACAUCCCAAAUUUCUUAUCCCAAAAAGUUAUCCCAAAUGAUGUGUCAUUAAUUGAGUGGUUGAUAAUUAUUUACAAUAUCCAAGUGAAUUAAUUGUAUUAUCUCACCAACCAAUUGAUAAAUGCCACAUCAUUUGGGAUAACUUUUUGGGAUAAAAAAUUUGGGAUGUGUAGCAUUAUUGUUAUUUUUUUUAACAUUAUUAAUUGCAUAUUAUUUAAUUAUCAAUAUAUAAUAUUCUUUAAUUUUCUAAUUUUAUAGGAUUAGACACAAAAUUGAUUAUACCUUUUGAAAUUUAAGGGUUAUGUCAAUUGAAUAGAAAACUUGGAGUUAAACUUGUGGAUGUUUUUGUUGAUUAUCAAUUUAUGCAUGGAUUUUUGUACGUUUAUUUGGUUUAUUAUUAUUACUUUUAAACAUUUUUAUUGGUUUGAUUUAGGGUCAGUUUGGUAAUCCUAUAGCUUUUAAAAUAAUUACAGUUAGCUAUGAUGUAGAAAUUGAUCAAUCGUCAAGAGAAUCAGCUGAACAUUUAGUAAAAUUUAUUUUUAAAAGUACUUUUAGUUUUAAAAGUGUCGCAUGUGUUUCGUAAAUCUUAUUGUUAAACUGGUGCAAAAAUGUAAAUGACUGAAUUGGACAUAAUGCUAAAUAAAAUUUAUUUAUACAUUUAUAAACACGUAUAUAAAAUAUUUUUAUUACGUACAUAUAAUUAUUGAUAACUAAAAUAAAUAUUUUAUAUUAUUAAAUUUUAUUCUCUAUUUUGUUAUCUCAAUAUAAUUGGUAAUAGUAAUAAUCUCUUUAAAGUUAAUCAUUUUAUUUCUUAAUUAAUAAAGAUAAUUUUGAAUUUUUAUUAUAUAAUGAGGAUAUGUAAAUAAAUAUAUAGAAUUUGAUUAAAUAUAAAAGUGAUUCUCAAAAUCAGAUUUUGAAAAUUUAUUCAUUCCAUACUUUUUCAAAAUCUACUAUACAAUGAGAUGAUUUUGCCAAAAGUAAUUACUAAAAAUUAGUUUUUAAUUUUUAAAAUUACUUUUGAACUUCCCAAAAAUAAUCCUAACGGACCUUUUUAUUUGGGUGGUGUUAGAACUUGUGACUUUUGGAUCUUUUAGUUUUUAUUGGUUUGAUACAAUUGUUACCUAAAAAUUAAUUGUAUCUUAAACCCAAACUUCUUCUUCUUCUUUUUGACUAACAAAAUAAAAAAACAAUAGUGAACACAUUCUUUAAUAAACAAUAAGUAAUAACUAAAAUCGUGUUAAAUUUCUUAAAAAUUUUCUUUCACGGUCUGCUAAAUAUUUUUAUUAGUAUUUUGAUUAAAUAAAAAUAAUUGAUUUAAUUUUUUUAAAGAAACUUAUUAGGUUCAUGUAAAGAUGUUUUUGUUAUUUUAAAAAGUGUAGAAAGUACUCCUAAAAAAAAGUGUGGAAAGUAAAACUUAAUUUUUUAAAUUUAUUAGCUUACUGCAUAAAUAAUUGAGUGUUCAUAAUGAUUUUUAAAGUAUAGAUAGUCGGACCCUAAUAUUUUUAAUAUGGAAAUUUUGCUAAUAUGUUAAUGAGAAUUAAAAAGAUAAUUAAGGGAGGCAAUUGAGACAUUCAGGAUAGUUAGGAUGGGACAUGAUUGUGAGCGGUUAGAUAUUGGUCCUAAUUUUGAUCACAAAUAUAUAAACAGGACGAGUUUAUCUCUACUUACAUUCCAUUUGAUAAUUAAGAUGAGAGUGGAAUCGUCAAAUCCCAAAUCAUCCCGGACCCUUGCCAUCAAAGGUACCCUCACUAAUAAUAUCUAAAGAAAAAUCUACAUCUAUUUCAUACUUUUUUUUAAUGGAAAGAGCCCUCAUGGGGCUUGAAAUGGUAUCCUAAAUAAUAUUGAGAAUAUCAGGUCAUGAUUGGGUUUGUGACAAACAAAUACUACAUAGUUGGGAUACGUAGUUAUAAUGUCCCAAUUUAUGUAGUAUCUAUCAUUUAAUGCACAUAUAAAGUAUUAAUCAGCUUAAUUAAUUUAUAAAAUCUAAAUCUAAUUAAUAAGUGACACAUAAAAGCCAAGUGCAAUAUAUGCAAGUCAUGUUUGUCGAUCAUUACAAAGCUGGCUCUUGAAAACAAGCAAGAAAGCUUAAUUAAGAACUUAAAACAAAAAGAAAUUUAGAUUGAGAACAGUCAAGCCUUAUUUUUUUCAAGGAUGGAGCUUAUAAAUCUUCAAGUACCAACAUAUGCUUGGCCCAAUUAUUGUUAUUAAAAAUUCAAUAUAUAUAUAUAAGUAUGACAUAGCAAAAAUUUGAUGGUACAUAUGUCGGAAUAUACUAGUUCAUGGAUGCAUUUGAUUAUUGUUUCCAUAAAUUUGAACCAGGAAGGAUAACACGAUAAAAUUUGAUUUUAUGGUAUGGUUGAUUUCAUAUCUCAUGCACUCAUUUCUUAAGAUAAUCAAAUUUUCUCUGGCAUCUUUUGCAACUGUGGAAAUAUCAAUUAUGAUCAAUCAAAACGAUUUCAAAACCUCUCAACGAGACAUAUUUAUAAUACAAUGUUGUGAAAAUUACACCAAAUUUUAAUUUAUUAUAUAUUAUUAUCCAACGAGCACACAAAAAUGAAUUCGUACAAAUAGAGUUUACCAUGUACUACAAGAAACUAGGGUAUAAGUGACCCCUAAUGUGAAUGCAAAAGAAGCCAUUAUGUAUAUCACUAACUCCUAGGCUCUAGCUUUGUACCCCGACUUGCUUUUGUUACCCUUUAUGUGACGGCCACACCGCUAUCACAUAUGUUAGUUACUACCCGCGUGACGGUAAAGAGCCGUUCGGUAUAUUACUAUUUUAUAAUUUUAAAUUUAAAACUAUUCGCUGGACUCCGUGUUACUAGCCACCAUCGUAAGCCUAACUGGUUGCCGGCGAACUGCGUAAAACACUGGCCAUCUUCUUUUUCAUCGUCUUCUCCCUUCAUCUUUUGAGGUAAGCUUGUGAUUAUGUGUUUCUUCUCUUACUUAGCUUGUAAUUAUAGACUUUGAUUUUUUUUUAAUUGGCAUUGUAGCCGUUAUUGUCAAUUUUUGUCCCGCCAGCAAUAUAUUUUUAUUGCUUCAAGUUGAAGCCCCUGUUUUCUUGUUCCAUUGGUGAGUUUGCUCACUCAAAUUAAUUUUGUUCUGCGGAAUUUGCAACGUUCAAAUGGAUUCGUUUGAAUUACUAUUGAAUUUAGCUUUAAUUUCAACAUCCAUUCUAAUGUUUUGCUAUUAGAUUUACUUUAAUUUUAUGUUUAAAGCUUCUACAGUGAAUAGCGGAGCUUGGGUUUUAGUUUCAUUUUCUAGAUAACUUGUUUAUCCUGUAUGCUCACCAAGUGCUUGUUAUAUUGUCUGAUAAGUUAUAAACAUUGCUGAUUUUAUAUUAAUAAUGUUACGUUGUAUUUUCAGAAAUUAUAAUACAAAAGUUUUUGCAAUGGCGUGCAUCUACAAACUGAAUUGACUUGUAGAAUAAGAGCUCGGAGUAGUGUUAUGUUCUUGAAUAAUUGAAAGUUCAUAUUGUGUAAGAGCAUGUAGAUGUAAAGCAUCAUUACCAUUUCUACAAAGUGCUUUCAUUCUGUUCAUAUGCUCUUCUUGAACUUUGAAAGGUGCCUCGUUCAAGUCCUAGCUAUAACUACUAGCUUUGAUUAAUUAAGUUCCUAUACUAGCUGAAACAGAUUUAUUUAAUUAAUUAAUUGUGUAUGUACUAAUUAUAUUGAAAGUAUAUGAAUUUUUUUUUAACAUGAAUGACUUCUAAAUGACUUAAAAACCUAAAGGAUGUGUGAAAUAAUGCUCAUUUCACUUGAAUGAGCCCAUUAAUACUUUUAUGUCUAUGAUUUUCAAUAUUGGCUAAAGCAUUUCAGUUAAGUGGUUUACCUAACAGAGAAAAAAAUUUAAUAGAAAACUUCAGAGUUCUAACAGAAAUAUAGUUCACUAUGCAGAUAUAGUUAUUUUACGGUAUACAAAUCAAGUUGUCCUAAUCUCAAUGCCCCAUGACCGAUUUUAUUUUAUAUAGUCAUUAAUUUUUGCCAUGGUUUUUUGUGUUUAUGAGUUUGAAAUAGUGGGAUUUGGUGUACCUUAGCAUCUUUUGAAAAUUCUCUUUAAGUGUGGCCAACAGAAAUAUACAUAUAAUCAAGUUUCUUAAUCGUGUAUAUUAGUUUUGGGUAUGAAUGUUCCUAUUGUAGUUCUAGGCAAAGCUUCUUCGUUUUGGUCUUCAGAUUUCCAGUAGGUUAAGUUAAUCAACUAUCAUAACUGGCUAGCUAGUUAUUGUCUGCCUUGGCGCCAUUACCCAGGCCAUUAUAUUGCAUAGCAUAAGGAAUAGUGAUUAGGUGAUUAUUAGUGAUUUGUUGAGCUUAUUAUUGACCAAACAAACAUAUUCGCCUUUGCCCACAACUUAGUUUGAUUAGUUAUUAGACCACAAAGAGCCUUGAUCUAUUCAUUGGCUUUAUUAUUUUUAUUUGGUUUUUCUUUCAACAAUAUUGUUGAUUUCUUAUAAAAAUAUUCAUUGGUUUUUAAACACCUAAUCAUUGGCUAUAUGAAGCUAAUUAAAAAUGAGGCUUUGGAUCAAUUUCUUCUAACAAGAUACAAAUGAGCAUAACCUUUCUCCUCUAAGUAAAUUUUUUUAAUAUCCUUGAUUUGUAAGGAUCUGGAGACCUGAAAUCCUCUAGAUGUUUUUUAACAUUGUCAAUAUUCUUUUUAUUCUGAAAAGGAAAUAAAAGGUUUUAUCUUUCAUACCCUAAUAGUAAGCUGGCCUUGUCUUAACAUGGCUUCCCGAGGAUUUGCAAGAUUCAUAGUUCCCCCAACCACCACCCCCCCCCCCCUCCCACCAAAAAAAAAAGAAAGAAGGAAGAUUUUCCAAGAUUCACUACCAGGUUUUUUUUUAAUUUAUUAAUUGUGUGUACGUACUAGUUAUAUGUUGAAAGAAUAGGAAGAAGUAUUUCAACAUGAAUGACUUAAAACUUAUUGCUCAGUAAACAUAAUCUGCAUCAGUGCGAAAAUGUAUUUAUCGUUUGUAUUUUUUAUGGUUUUGCUUAAGAAAUGAUAUGUGAAAUAAUGCUACAUUGUAUCAGGAAUAAAUUGAAGAGAUUUAUGAUAUUUAUGUGUUAUUCAAAUUUCAGAUUCAAUUUUAAACUUUUGAUACGUGCAUUGAAAGCUUAGACUUGUUUAAGAAAUUAUUAAUAGACACAUGUUUUAUUAGUGUCAUCUUUGGAUGAUAGUGAGGAUCAUAUGUCUAUUAAUAAUUCUUGAAUUGUCCAAGCUUGGACAGUUUGGGAAUGCAUAGUUCUCUCUGGUAGCUAGUAGCUGAAGUUUUUUUCCCACGUAAAAAUGGGUUUUUCGGUAGCUGCUCCUCGUGUUCUCUGGGUACGUACUAGGUGAAUGGGUGUCAUGUGUUGUUUUGGCAUAACGCAUAAACACUUAUAUAGCUACGUCGUGAGCUUGGAGAAUUAUAGGGAGAUGGUGCUGAAAUUUUUAUAAACGUAGAAGAAAACUUUAGGUACUUGAGAUUGAAGAAACUUAUGCAUUCUUGAGUGGGAUAUGUAGGAUUUAUCACUUACCUUUGGUAAAUAGGAAGGGAAUGUUGACUCCUUGAAAUAUGCCCAAACCCAUGGAGUAUCUAAAUAAGUCUGAAAACCAAACACUGUUACCUACUAGACGACAAAGCAGAAAAAUUUUCUUGACUUGCUCACCUUUUAAAUAAUUGAAACUCAGCUCAAUACUUGAAUAAGUCUCUGCAGGCACCCCUUCGAAGUUUACCAUUGAAGGCUCUCGCAAGGCAUUCUUCCAUUCAUGGAGACUCUUGUUUCUCAGUGCCCUCGCUACAGUAGUCAACGCAUGGGCAAACCUCCACAUGCCUUAGCCACAUUAAUUGCUGUAGACUUGAACUUACAACUUUCAACAUCAUCACCAUUCAUUAUCUUAAACAAUCGCCAGGCUUCUUGUUCAGUUAGAUUGCCAAUCAAAAAGUUAUCUUUGGAGCCCAUACUUAAAAGCACAUUAUUAUCUCUUGCUGUCAGCAAUAGUCUGAUAGGUCCCGAUCAAAUACAGAAAAGCAGUGCCUGAUAUUCGUUCAAUUUAUGGUAUGAACAACCAGUAUUUGUUUUGACUAAUUUCCUUCCUUUUAAUCGUCAUGGUUGCUGCUUAUUUAUCCAGAUAAACAUAAAGUAUACUACUGAUUUGUAGCCUAAAACCUUGGCUCAAAUCCAGCCAAAUCAAAUCAAUAUUAACAACUAGAUAAAAACAAAACAGAAAAUAAAUUAACUUGAUUCUUGGCAACAACUUUGAUGUAGUCUUUUUGUUAGAGUACAAUUUAUGCACUAGUUUUGCAUUAUUUACUUCCUUUAAUAUCGAUGUUUUGCACUUAAUAAUAAUGAUUAACUUGUGUUUUAUUUUUGUAGGUGCAAUUCUAUUGAUUGGUGCUAAAAUUGAGCUACAAGAUGAUAUUUGAGGAUCAUUGAUUUCUUGGAGAAAUUAUGAGCUUCAGAAAAACUGUGUUGAUAAGGUGUGGGCACGUGCCGUCAACUGCGGACCUACAGUUUUUAGUUUAACGUAUUUUAUAUUUUUGGUUAUUUUUGUAAUUAUGAAUUUAAUAUUUAGAUAAUACUUUAGAUAUCAGUAUUUUAUUGUAAAAAGAACUUUAGAGGAGAAGAGGGAGAAGAGAAUUUAAGGGAGGAAUGUAUUGUGAAAAGGAGAGAUUUUUGAAAAGAGAAAAACCCUAGAUCUAAAUUUUUCUCUUUUCUCUAUGAGGAACUAAACCUAUUAUUCUGGUUGAAGGUUAAUGAAGGUUUGAUUCAUCACUACUGUGAGAUCUUUCUUAUGCUUUAAUUAUUUUAUUAUUUUUUGGGUAUUUGUUUAUUCUCUGAAUUAUUGUCAUGAUUAUGUUUGUUAAUUAGAUAAUUGACCACUAUUUAAUUAUCAACUUAAUAUGUUGUCAAUUAAAUGAUUUAUCGUAUGAAGAUUUUAAUGUUUGUGACAAAUAGCAUAGCAGUGCAUUGUGUUAUGAGAAUAAACAAUCUAAUUUAAAUGAACCAUUGUAUGCGUUUAUUUAUUAGAAUUUGGGUCUCUCUGGAUUUUCAGGCUGUCAAUUGAUUAAAUCCUAUGAUCGUAUCUAGGUUGUCUAUUGAUUAGGGAAAUAACCAACGGUCGUACUUUGGUUAUCGAUUAGUUAAGAAGAGAUUGACUAUUAGAGGGUCUCAGUAGCUAUAACCGAUCUAUUCAUAAGUAGUAGUGAUUUAUAAUUGAAUCAAUGAUCAGUAAUCAAAUCAAGCUGAGUUAAUUCCUUCAACCAGAGCUUUUUCCAAUUUGAAUUAAAAUUUUAAUUUGCAUUCUUGUUAUUUUUAUUUGAUUUUUAUUAUUGUCAACAAUCCCCCCAUUUUGCAAUUUACUUUUUAAAAGAAUUUAAAUAAUUACCGAUCUCUGUGGACACGACCUUACUCAAUCACUAUACAUAAUUUAUUUAGAGUAGGUAUUUAUUUUUACUGGCUUCGACAACCAUCACUUUUACUUCAAUAUCAAUUCCUCACGUGCUCUUAUUCCAACUAACUCGCAUGAAAGUGUUAUGUGGGAGAUCAAUUGCAUGGCUUGCAUGGGCAUGGUUUGCAUGGUCAAACAAAGUCCACAAGCUUGCUGCUUGGCUUUGAAACUCUAGCUGAUCUCCUUGGUUGUCUAUCAAAGUCUACAUCCUUUAUGAUUAUUUCCAAAAAGAAUUCCAACGGUCUCCAAAUCAAGAUGUUUCCAGAUAUUAUCUAGAAUCACAAGAAUCUUAUUCUCACUCUUCAAUCGUUCAUUCAGCUUGCUAGCUCUUCUAUAUUCAGCUUCAUGGGACAACUCCAGACCUAACUUCUCUGUAAUUUCCCCUUGAAUCUUUUUUUAUCUCUGGAGUUUAUGAAACCUCUGAUAAAACCACCCGAUAAAACAACUUCUUUUCCCUGGCUUGCCUAGCAAACUCCUUCACCAGUGUGGUCUUUCCAAUGCCGCCGAUGCCGUACACCCCAAUAAUGCUGACAUUCGCCUCAGUCAAUGCAUUUUUUAUAGAUUGCAAAGUAGAAAGUCUUGAUUCGAAGGCCUCGUAACCAUUGCUAGAGUUAAGCCAUAUCUGCUCCGGAAUGGUACCGUGGGAAACAGUAUCAAACUUCUUAACUUCUUCUCCAAGUUCAAUAAUGGCCUUCACCUCCGUCUCUGCUUUCUUGCUAAGCUGAUAGCGACUCUUCCAAAUAGGACUCAAGCCCUUGACACAGCGCUUAUUCGUUGACUCCUCAUCUUCAAUGAAUUUGGCUGCCCGGUCAAUGAUGCCGUUCGUACUUCGCACUAACCAGCCACUUUUCAACCUUCUCUUCAAUCUCUUCCCCUUUUUCUUUCGCCUCUGAAACCCUGCGCUGAAUGCUCGUACGUUCAACCUUCAACUUCUCCAUUUCCGCCUUGAUAUUCUCAAAGUUGGCAUUGUAGUUCCGCUUUCGCAAAUAAACAAGUUGGCGUGCAGUUGGAGGAGCCAAGCAUUUUACAAGUUCCAAGACGAUAGUCACAAUGAUUUCCAGCAUCUCGAAGCCUGACAAAAACGUAGAAGCGAAGAAGGCCAAAGGAAAGUAAAAACAAAGAGACAGCGAUAGGACAAGCAAUUGUGUUUUUCAGAUGAGAUGAAGGAAACAAGAAAAGGGUUUCUAUCACGACGUAAAGAGCUAAAAGAGCUGAUGGGUACAGAAUUAGAAAUGAGACUGAGGAGUGAACAAAGCUAAAUAAUAACAGAACAAGAACAAUGACGAAUAGAAGAAACAGUACCAAAGAGCCGUUUAGAUGAUUAGAAUGAAACUAAGCGACUGGAAAGAGUGGAUAGUAGACUAAAGAGAAAGUGAUUGAUUAUUUUAGGAGGCCAAUUAACGUAAUGACAGAUCCGGUUUCGAUGUUUGUAAUUUGAAUAUGAGGUAAAUCGAUUCUUUGUCGAGCCAGUCAAAUACAAACCCAAAUUAGUAAAACACGAGCCGGCAACUUUUACUCACACAAAAGCCAAUAAUAUAUUGGGAUCACGCAACAUUGCAAUAAAGUUAUCAUCAAGUUGUAGCCUUCUUAUUCAAUCAAUUAUAGCAUUAUCUCUAGCUCUGUAUUUUUUUUAAAAAAUAUUAUUCAAAAGAUGUCUGUCAUUAAUUUUUCAAUGAUUAAAAUUAUAAUUUUUGUUUAAUAUAUAUAACGUAAAAUUUUAAAAGAAUCAGACAUGCAUUAGGGUAAAAAAUAAAAAAUAUGGAGGUAGCUUUUAACUAGGUAAUUGGCUCAACUAUGGAUCAGUGUGAGAUCACUAUUUUUCUUAUAAAAAAAAAAAAUUCCAGCCAAACAAUUGUCGCAAAAUUUUAAUAUAAAUUACAAAAAAAAGACAAUAUUUUCUAAAAUCAUAGCAAUAAUUUAUAUUUUGAAUACCUGUAAAUAAACCACUUAGACAAUAUUCAGUAUGUGUAUAUGUAUGUAUGUAUGUAUGUAUGUAUGUAUGUAUGUACGACCAAUAUAACAGUUCAAAUUCCUCGAGAAGUAAUAAUAGGAUGCAUCUGACAAACCUCUUAAUACCAUGAUGAAAUUGAAUGGUCUUCAUACAUGCUUGGCAGAGCUCUAACAUCUGUUUUGUGGGGAAUGGUGGCUGACCGCUGUGGUCGAAAGCCUGUAAUAAUAAUAGGAUGCAUCACAGUGUUAGUGACCUCUAUUUUCAAAUGAUCAAGCUUGAAAUUGAUGAUAUUUUGGCAAUUUCUGGGUUUCUUAUUUGUCUUAAAAUGCUCACAGGGUUAUUUUUAACACUCUCUUUGGGCUUAGUGUUAGUUUCUGGAUGGCCAUAGCUACAAGGUUUCUCCUUGGGGCUUUGAAUGGUUUACUUGGACCAAUUAAGGUAUUGAUUGGGGGUAUUUGUUGAUAAUUCCAAUUUAACUCCUGUAAAUAUUUGUACUCAAACUUCUCUUGCACCACCAGGCAUAUGCAUGUGAAAUAUUGCGCGAUCAACACAAAACUUUAGGACUGUCAACGGUGAGCUUAUCAGUUCGUGAAUGAUUGCAAAGUUCUUGAGAAAAUUUUAUAGCAUCAUUUACCUUGAGAACUACGAUAUAAUUUCAGCUCAGUACAGCAUGGGGCACAGGAUUGAUUAUUGGCCCUGCAGUGGGUGGCUUUUUGGCCCAGGUUCGGCAAUUUUUACUUGAUUAUUAUGCGCUUUUUUUUUUUUUUGAAUUUUUAGUAGUUUGGCUUGAUAAAUAUUAUUCUUAUAUAUAUUCGUGGAUAAUUUUGCAAUCCAGCCAGCAGAGAAAUAUCCAAAGGCAUUUUCCAAAGAAUCUAUGUUUGGAAAGUAAGUGAAUUUUUACUGCCAUUAGCCUUAUCUUUUUCUGUAAUACUUUCAAUAUGAUGGUAUUUUGAAAAACAAAUUUAUGCAGGUUUCCUUACUUCCUUCCCUGUCUCUGUAUGUCACUCUUUGCUUUUGCGGUAACUAUUGCUUCUUGCUGGAUUCCGGUACGUAGCCUUUAGCUCUCUUUUCAAGCUGAAUUGUACAUGUAAUAGCAACUCUCCCAUAACUUCAAAUUUUCUUAUGGGUGAGACUAUAAAAUAUAACUUUCGCUUCUCUUAUAAUGACUACAUUGACACCAUCACAUGCUUUUUGAUGCAGGAGACAUUGCACAAACACAAUGAAGAUGGUGUAUCACUUGAUGUAUCAUGUGAUGCUUUGGAAUCCGCCUGUGGGUCCAAUGCAGAAUUUAAACAAGAUGAAGGAAGUGAGGAGGCCACUGCUAAGAAAAGCCUCAUGAAGAAUUGGCCCUUUAUUUCUUCUACUAUUGUUUAUUGUGUUUUCUCGCUUCAUGAUAUCGCUUACACCGAGGUAUAAACAUCUCUACCUGAGUUUGAUUGUUUAUAUAUAUAUAUAUAUAUAUAUAUAUAUAUAUAUAUAUUCUACUUUAUUAUGACAUAAAAAUGUUCCAAUCCAAAAUCUAAACUAUUUUAAUGUUCGGAAAAGUUAUUGUUGAUGCCGAAAUCUGGAUGAGUUGGUCAAAUCUCAGAUCCCUGCAUCAGCAUUAAAUUUGUUUGGUGGGAAGCUGAUGAUUAGUUAGCACCAUGAGCAGAUUUUCUAUGAGCAGAUGUUCUGUGAGCAAACAACCCAUGAGCAGACGAUCCAUGAGCAGAGAACCCAUGAGCAGACAAUCCAUGAGCAGACGAUCCAUGAACAGAGAACCCAUGAGCAGACAAUCCAUGAGCAGACAACCCAUGAGCAGACAAUCCAUGAGCAGACGAUCCAUGAGCAGAGAACUCAUGAGCAGACAAUCCAUGAGCAGAUAACCCGUGAGCAGACGAUCCAUGAGCAGAGAACCCAUGAGCAGACAAUCCAUGAGCAGAUAACCUGUGAGCCUGUGAACACAACCAACAGUCAGGAGGUGCCGGAAGUUUUUCCGGCGAGAACUCUCCGACGCUCAAGUCAGCGAUUCGGGUCUUACUUGGAAAAACCCAUACCACAAUUCAUGUGGCUUAAUUAUGAUUGCUUUAAACAAAAAGCUUUUAAGUAAAUUUAAAGGAAAAAAAUUCACAAUAAUCAAUCUUAAAGAAAUCACAGGCGAAAGAGAAAUUUCUCAGUAGUAGAGGAAGAAAAAGGUCCAAUGGGUUCAGUUGCUUAGAGAGAGAGAGAGAGAGAGAGAGAGAGCUAGAAGAAUCCCCCCUUAGGGUUUUUAUAUGAAAAUAUAGCGGUUUUUAUCCUCUCCCAUAGGAUUCUCAAGAAAACUACUAAUUUUCAGCCCACUAAGAAUAUGGUCCCUAAUAUUUCGGAGAAAAUGUUUUGACUGAAUCGUGUUUUCUGGUAACUUCCUAGUCGAGGUGACCAAUAACAUCCUGGUCGAGGUGAUGUGCUUGAGGUCACCACAUAUUAUUCUGGUCGAGGUCAUCACAUAUUAUCCUGGUCGAGGUGAUCAAUAAUAUCCUGGUCGAGGUGAUCUGCUCGAGGUCACUACAUAUUAUUCUGGUCGAGGUGAUCUGCUUGAGGUGACCAAUAACAUCCUGGUCGAGGUGACCAAUAAUAUCCUGGUCGAGGUGAUCUGCUCGAGGUCACCACAUAUUAUUCUGGUCGAUGUGAACUAUAAUAUCCUGGUCGAGAUGAUCUGCUCAACCAGUUAUUAAGCCACAUGGUUUAAUAGUCCAAUGACCAAUGGCUUUCCCGAACUUGAAUAAAGUCCAGGAUCCUGGAUCAGAUCGCUUUCUGUUAGAUAUUUGCAAAGUUAUCUCUUAACUUCUACCUGAAACAGAGGGUGCUAUUGCUGUUGAUGGGAUUGUUUUGAGUUUUAUACAUAAAGAAGACAUAUGGCUAUUACUGAUCCUAAGAAUUUCUUAUCUAUGUAAUUUUUUUAAAUCAUAAUAUUGCAACUAUUCUGUUAGAUAUUUUCACUGUGGGCUAUCAGCCCGUGGAAGUACGGGGGUCUGAGUUACUCAACCGAAAAUGCUGGCCAAGUUCUUGCCAUCUCAGGUGCAAAACCAAUACUCUUGUUGCCCAUUUAUACUUAUUACGAAACUGAAAAUGUUACUCGUUCCUCUUAACUUCUUUUCUCAUGCAUCAACCCCACAAAACUGCUUAUUGAUUGUCCUCAACUCCUCAUUUUGAACUUACUGCAGGAUUCAGCCUCCUUGUUUUUCAACUUACUCUAUACCCUUACGUUGAGAGGAUGAUCGGGCCAAUAAUAAUAACACGCAUUGCAGGGGUAAAAUUUUGAACAAACCAUGUGGCAUUUAGAUCAUUUGAUAGUUUGUUUCAAACAUAUUUGUUUAUAAAAUACUUUUCUUCAUGGAUUUGGUGACGUAAUUUUCUAUGUAUAUACAGGUUUUAUCGAUACCGCUUUUGACAAGUUACACUUACAUAGCAAUGUUAUCUGGGUUCAGCCUUGCCUUAUUGAUAAACUGUGCUUCUGUGAUGAAGAAUGUUUUAUCUGUAAGUGGAUAUCCUAAUCAUUGAUCCAUAUACUUAGGUUAUAUUACCCAUUAGCAAGAAUGUAUAAAAAUUAUUUUAUAUCUUCUUUAUCAGAAAUGUUGUAAUUCUCUUUCACUUUUCCUGAAUUAUAACAUCAGGUGUCUAUAAUGACUGGAUUGUUCCUUCUGCAAAACAGAGCAGUGGUAAAUAUAUUUUCUUUUGUUUGUUUAGUACAUUUCCAUGCUUUCAGCUUUUUCAUGCUUUGUAUGUGUCAAAAGUUUAAAUUAUUUUUUUGGUUUAUGGUAUAAUAACAGGAACAGCAUUAUACCAUAAUGGACUUGCUAUGACUGUGGUGUCGCUUACCAAAACUGCCGGUCCAGCUGUAGGAGGUGCUCUGUAAGUGUCCUAUUGAUUUUGUAAAAUUAUAUGUAAAUGAUGUUAUAAUUUUUUUUCAUUAAUUGGGGUUCUGGCAGAUUUUCUUAGUCACAAAAGCGUCAAGGUGCUGGUUUCCUCCCAGGUAUGAAUUUACUAAUGAAAUUUCUCACUAGUAUGUGAAUUACUUGGUGCUAAUUAACUUAAUCAGCUGCUUAAACUAAAGUGCAGGUAACCAGAUGAUUUUCUUCAUUCUGAAUUUGGUUGAGGCACUUGGAGUAAUAUUGACAUUCAAACCGUUUCUGAUUCAACGUGCCACAUGAGUAGAGAAAAGAUGCACCUGUUGAAAUAUUAAAAUACAUAUCUAGCAAAUUAAAGUUUUCAAAAUCUAUCAGGAAUUUGAUUAUUUGUGUGGUUGCCACUCGCCAUAUUUUGUGUUACUGUUCUAACGGCUUAAAUAUGAAAAUGGUUGUUGGUGCUCACAAAUUGAUUGCUGGUAACAUUAAUUGCUCAAUAUUUAUCUCUGUUGAUGUUUCAACUUAUUCAUUGUCAGUAAUACCACAAUUUAUCUUCACAAUGAUUCUAUCUAGAAAGAAAUUUUCAUAUCAAGUAAAAUAUUGAAGCCAUAAAGAGUCUUAUUCAAGAGCCUUAAUUAAGUACUAAAGUUUUCUGCCAUGAUUUCAAUGGUAACACAUUCGGAGCUUUUACUCCAGGGGCUUCACAGAAGAGAGACCUGAUGGAACCAGGCAUUAGAAUUUAUGAUGACGGAAAAUUGGACGUUGAGAUUGAAAAUAUAGAGAAACACAAGUUUUUGAAAAGUCUGAAAUUUUAUUAAUAGAUAGGUCUGAAUAACAAAAUUUGGAUUUUGGACCCUCUUUAUACUAAUUCUAAAUAUUACGAAUUUACCAAAAUAAGCAAACCUAAAAUAUUAUUAUAUAAUAACAUUCUUCUAAUAAAAAUAAAAUAAAUCGUACUUAAAUCUUAUAUUUGUAGAAAAAAAAUAAAAAUCUUGAAAAUAAUAAGAAAAAUAAGAAAAUAUCUUAAACUUGUAAAAUAACUAUGAAACAAAUAGAAUUUCUAGCUGGACCACGAGACCAAUACAAUGUUAUAGUAAUAGAUUAAUGAUAUAUUAUACGCCCUAGAUAGAUAUCUAUAACUCAAGUUAUGAUCUCAGAGCGAUAUCCUACUCAUCAUAUGCAACCAUUGGUUGCAUCAACUUUGUUCCAAAAUUAACAAGAAACCAACCGACGCAUUGCAAAUAAUUUAGAUGAAACGAUGAAAUAAACUUAGAGAUCAAACAAAAUGAAAUGAAAACGAUUGUUACCUCGGACCUUGUUCUUCAAAUUUGACAACACCAUGUAAUAAAUUAAAAAGCCUAUGGGAUCAGAACAUAUCGUACUGCUGAAAAUAAAUUAUGUCAUUCAUUAAUUUGAAGUAAAAUUUGUAAAUUUAGGUACUUGCACAUAGAGAUUUGCAAGGGGAGCGAGAGAUUCAAUAGCGGCAAUUUAAUUUGACAGGACUUUCAUUGAAUAAUGAAAUUAAAAACUAACGAUUAAUGAAUUUUUUAUAUUCUCUUAAAUCUAGUGGAAAUGUCAGCUCUAAAUAGGACAGUUUCAAGAAUCUUUAUCUGAAAGCGUAAUUUGCAAAGCAGAAACUUGUGAGACUAUCUAAAUCACACAGACUCGACGUCUUCAAUUUGCUGAAAACAAUCUCUUGUUUUGAAAUUAAAUUUGGUGCUCCAUCUUCUUCUCCGUCACCUAUUAACACCUCUGUCAAACACCUCUGUCAUUGGCCUGCAUCCAGUUACCUUCAUUGAUACGAGCCGCACUCGACUUUCUGCUGUAGUGGAUGGAUGUUACAAUUCUUUGCAAUGGAAAACCACCAGUUCUGUUAGAUUCCCAAAAGUUACAGAUGAUCAUGGGAAUAGACUUAAAAGAUUUUUACAAGCAUUAAUAUAGCCUUAGAAUUUCAAGAUAUUGAAAAUGGAGUCCAGUUUGGAGUUGCUUCAGAUGAUUAAGUCUGGACAGGAUUAACCAUUUUAUCAGCGCCAACUUCCUCCCUUGUUUCUACCAGUAUCCGGCUUCAUUUGAGAAUAUCUCUUUGUAUGAGCUAUAAACCCAGUAGGAGAUAUUCCCAAAAAAAAAAAAAAAAAAAAAAAAAAAAGACCUUAUUUCAAAUGAUGCACAGAAGAAGAGUUACCUGAAUCUUCAUGAGUAUCCAGACAUUCUACAAUCACAGAGUAAAGAAUUUUAAUAGGAACAACAGAGAAAAUACUGUUCUUCUGCACUUCUCAUAAAACUAGACCAGAUUAGUCCCUUUCUUGGUAUCCAACGUUUUCAAACAAUAUUUCCACAAUAUAGUUUUUCAUAGCGAAGAGUUUUGCUUUGAUGGCUUAAGGAUUUGUUCCAGGCAUAAUGCUCUGAUUAGAUUUUGUUUAUUUUUAAUUUUUUUUAAUUUUUUUAUCCGAUGAAUGAUUUUCAGCUGUUCUUAAUUAUGUGUUCAUAGGGAAGAGCAUUUUCUAAGUACUUCCUUUGCCUUCUAAGUUUCCAAAGAAAGAUAGGUGUGAAGCAAACCAAACCAAAUGAACAAACAGAGCACAAGCUAAAAUAACAGAACAGCAAUGAUGAAAACAAAUAAUUGGCGAAGAAAGAUAGGAAAAAAGUACGCACGAUUUCAUGGAAUUAUAAAAUAUGAAGGCUUUUAAUGAAAUUUUAUCAUAAAAAGUAUGCAAGGAAUUAUACAAUUUUAGAAAACAAGGGAAACUCUCCAAAAAAAAAAUAAAAUUAAACUAGACUGAAAGACAUUCAAUGAUGCAAAAUCUGUCCAUAAAAGUCUGAACGAAUCAUUAAAAUGGCAUUCCAAAUUUAACAGUAAAUCGAGUGACCCAUUCUAAAUAAUUCAGAUGAAAUUGCGAAAGAAGCCAUGAGAUCAAAUAAAUGAAAUAAAAAUUAAUUACCAGUUGAGACUUUCUUCUAAAAAUUCACAACUCCCAAGUCAUAAGAAGCCUAUGAAAUUAGUACCGGGUGGAGAACGACGACGGCACCGCCAACAGCUGAAAAUAAAAUUCUUAUUCAUCAAUUUAAACUUUUACUUUAAACAAAUAUCUUAUCUAUAUUGUAUUUUAAAAAGCAAAUUUUAUAAAAAUUUAUCAUGGGAGAUAGAGAGUAAUAUGUAUAUCCGUACCUUCUCAGCAUGUAAUUGUUGUAUGGUUGCGUUUAGAUCAUUAUUAGCCCAGCACCGUUGAUCCGCUGUCUCUCCAUACCAGACGUAUACUCCCGGAGGCGUGAUUGAUUCUCCUGUAGUGAAAAUCUUCAUCUUGGGACAACAAAUCACCCCCAACUCUUGCAAAGAUGGGAAUUCAAAGGUGUAAUUGGCAGAGCAGAAACUUGUGAGGCUGUCUAAAUCACACAGUUCCAACGUCUUCAAUUUGCGGAAAACAAUCUCUUCUUUUUCAACCCCGUCUUUGUCAUUUAUUACCACCUCUGUCAUUGCUCUGCAUCCGUAUACACCAAGUGAUACGAGUCGCACUAGAGUUUUUGCUGUGGAGGAUGUUACCAAGUGCAUCAAUUCCUUGCAACCGCUAGCUACAAGUUUUGUUAGGUUCCCAAAAGAUACCGAUGAUGAUGGCAAUAGAAUUAACAGACUUUGACAAUGAUAUACUUUUAGAAUUUCAAGAUACUGAAAAAUGGGGCCAAGUUUGGAGUCUUGUUUGCACAGCUGCUUCAGAUGAUAGUGCCGGUACAGCUCUAAUUCUUUUAUCGUUGCCAACUUCCCCACAUGUUUCUCUAAGCAUCCUUCCAUCGAAAAUACCUCUUCGUGGAAUGAAAAAUUAAACAGUGUGAGUAUUUCGAGAUUGUGAAAUCUCUCAAGUACGUUCCAGAUUGGAAAACCAGCUGAGUCAUCUUCAGCAAUCACUAGUCGUUUAAGACUGCCAAAAAGGUGUUGUGGGAAAUCGGCCUGCAAAAUCAUCUUCGCGUCUUUUCCGCUUAGUGAUAGUUCCGUCAAGUUGGGUAAGAUCUGAUCAUCAUCAAUCAUAAUAACUGACAAGGUCAAUUGGUGUUCUCUCAAAUGAUUUUGAGUAAUCCAAUCACAUGCAGUGACUUUAUAGUAUUUGUUUUAUAUUAUAUUUUACAAAAACAAAUUGAAUUAUUGAUAAAUUUUAUUAAAUGAUUUUUUAUAUAUUAAUUUUAGAGGUAAAAAAGAAAUUAGGGAAAAAAAGAAAUUAUUUUAUUGCACGAUAAUAAAUUACUAAUUUAUUUUGUAAGUUCUUCUAUAGGAAAGACUAAGGAUUCUUUUAUAAAUGCUAUACCUAAAAAAGUUCAUAUAAUUAUUAAUCUACCACAUUGAUCCCUUAGUCUAGACUAGCAAAGAUUAUUGUAUAAUAAAAGUUUUCAAUUUAUUGAGUAUUAAUUUAUCAUUGCUUUGUCAUAUUUUUCAAAGUUAAAAAUAAGUUAUUGAUAAAAAAAAUCUAGAAAAUGGCUUCAUACCUUUUCCAACGGCAAUGGGGGCUGUUGUACAGGAAUACCAAGUUGAUCAUUCUCAUUUUUCUGCAAUAAAUCUGCAGCGAAUAUCUUUAAUUUGUCACAGCGAUACACAAAAAGCAUUUCAAGCGCAAGCCAUUCCGGAGUAUGCAUUCCAGGGUACAAACAUCUAAGUUUUGGUAGAUCUUGGAGUCUCAGAGUGGUGAGCUGUGGAAAGACAAAAUAAGGGAUCACUUGAUCUGCUCUGUUUUCAGAAAUGAUCUCCUGUAAAUCCUUACAGUCUCGUAUAUCUAGGUGUUGGAGCUGCUUGAGGCUUCCGAUCAUAGACGCUGAAAAUAUGUAUUUUAAUUUGUGACAACGCCACACAAUCAAUCUUGUUAAACUUUGAAAGUGAGGAAACACGGCCGCCGGAAUUUGAUUGUAGUGCCAAAUCUUGUCGACAUUAAUUUCAGAUAUCUCCAAAGCCUCCAAGUUAGGCAACGCAACCUAAAAAAAUAAGAAUUUCUCGUUAGAUCCAAUAUCUAUAGGGGAAGCACUUGUUGAAAUUUUCUUCUUUGAUUACAAAUUAAUCAAGUCUGAAUCAAUUUCCAACUGACAGCUGAGUAUGCAUUCUAAUUCAUACUACUUGUUAAGAGCUCAAUUAGUGAGCGCGUGAGAUUCUUUUUAUCCUUUUUCCAUUUUCUUUCAAUUCUUUAAAUGAUUUAAUUAUAUAUAUAUAAAGAAAAUGUUAGCCUACGCACCUUCUCGUUGAAAAGCAGAGUUGAAGUAUCCAAAGUGAUUUCGCUGGAGCAAUACGUAGUCGUCGAUUCCUCUUGCGACACUUGUCUGUUCGGUGAUGCUGAAGGAGUCUCCACCUCACGGCGGCAAAAACUUGUAACCUCUGGAAGAUUCCCCAGACUCAAAGAUCUUAAUUGAACAAACUCUAUCUUCUCAAUUGCAUUAUCAACUUCUUCCCCAAUUGCAAAAAUCUCUUUCAUCUUGCUGCAAUUAAUAACUGCAAUUCUCUCAAGUCUUGGAAGGCAUUUUGAAGUAGAGAGCCAAAAGAUAUUACUCAACUUAUCACAAUUAUAUACUUCUACAUUUUUGAGUUCGUUGAAAGACUCUACUUUGAGCCGAUCAACACAUAUCCUCUCCAUGUUGAUCAAAUUGUGAAGGGCAAGUGACUCCAAAAGAGGAAAGGCAUCACAAGCGACCAUCUCCCUUGAAUCGACGAUACAAAAGAAGUCAGGAUUAUUUUGGACGCAGAGGACCUUCAAUUGUGAAAAGCCCUCCGUGUCCAAAUUGAAAAGAACAUUCUCGAUGCCUUGCAGCUUGUCCAACCGUAAGUAUUCAACGUUAUUGAUGCCCUGCAAUUUCAUGGAGCAAAUGUCCAUAAAAUCAAGCUUGAGCUCCAAUUCUCUUGAAAUCUUGCGAUUACUGUCGAUCAAAAAGUGCAGCUGACUUUUAAACCAAUGUUGUCCAAAAAGCAUGGGAUGCAUGAAUAACCCAUUUCCAAUAGAUAUUUUGAACCUUUCGAGCUUUCUGGCCAAAAAGCCUGCUGGUAACAUACUCUCAUUUUUAACAUCAAUUUCUAGAGUGGUUAGCCAACGUAAAUGCAUCAAUUCGUCAAGGCUAGCAUUACUUCUUUUGCUGUUGGCUCUUUCAACCUCCCAUUCAAUGGAGCAAUUACACAUAUACAAUUCUUCUAAUCGGAUUAAGCUUGAUAUGACAUUUGGAGCAAUAACUUUUAGAUGGAAACAGUCUGUUAAAUCUAACAGCCUUAGCUUAGUCAGUUGACCUAGUGCUUUGGGCAAUUGCACCGUAUCAGACCGCACGAAGCUGAGGAUUUCUAGAUUUUCCAACUUUCCAAUAAUGGCUAUGUCGAUGUCUCUCAAAAUGCUUUCAUCAAGACAAAGUGUUUUAAGUUUUACUAAGAGAUCAAUUGAAGAAGGCAAUGAAAAUAACUGCAUUCCAGUAAAAUCUACAACUUUAAGCUUUCUCAUCCCUACAAAAAAAUUUUCAGGAAUACUCACUUCAAGAGAAGAAUCUUCGGGAGACAUGCACAAGAACUCAAGUUGUGGACAUUCCAAUGCAUUGGGAAGCUCAUGAAUGCAACAAUAUCUUAUAGAGAUUGCAUAGCAUUUUUUUAGUGAUUCCUUAUCUGGCAACUCCCACACAUCCUCGUUUUCCACCACAAAUACAUGUUGGUCUCGGCAUGCAAUUGAUCUGGCGACAUCGCGAACAACAUCAUGCAUUGAAAUUAGUUUAUUGCUAUCACCCUCAAGCAACAAACAAGAGUCUCUAAGUUCAUGUACCAACGCAUAUAACUUGUUUCGUGCAUCUUCCAUCUUAUUGACUCCUUGAAAUAUACCCAAACCUAUGGAGUAUUUAAGCAAUUUCAAAGUAGGGAUACUGUUACCCAUUAGACUGCAGAGCUGAAAAAGUUCCUUGAGUUGCCCACCUUUUAAAUACUUGAAACUCAGUUCAAUACUUGAAUAAGUCUCUGCAGACACUCCUUCGAAGUUUACCAUUGAAGGCGUUCGGAGUUCUCGCAAGGAAUUCUUCCAUUCAUGCAGACUCUUGCCUCUCAAUGCCUUUGCUACUGUAGUCAAGGCAAUGGGCAAACCUCCACAUGCCCUGGCGACGUCUAUUGCUGUAGAUUUCAACUCACGAUUUUCAACAUCAUCACCGGCCAUCAUCUUAAACAAUCUCCCGGCUUCUUCUUCAUUUAAAUUGUUUAUCAAAAAGUUGUCUUCAGAUCCCAUUUUCAAGAGGACACUACGAUCUCUUGUCGUCAGCAGUAGUUUGCAUCCUUUAUGAUCUUCUCCAAAAGGAAUUCCAACGGUCUCCAAAUCAAGGUGUUUCCAGAUGUUAUCCAGAAUCACAAGGAUCUUCUUCUCAUUUCUCAAUCGCUCACAUAGCCUACUAGCUCUUCUAGAUUCAACUUCCUCGUGCAACUCCAGGCCCAACUUCUCGGCAAUUUCCUGUUGAAUCUUUUUUAUGUCUGGAGUUUGCGAAACCUCUGAAAAGACCACCAUAUCAAAGAGCUUGUCUUCCAUAGCUUGCCUGGCGACCUUCUUCACCAGUGUCGUCUUUCCAACGCCGCCCAUGCCGUACACCCCAAUGAUGCUGACAUCAACAUCGAUCAAUGCAUUUUGUAUGGCCUUCAAAGUAGAAAGUCUUGAUUCGAAGGCCUCGUAGCCUUUGUGAGACUUGAGCCAUAUAUCCUCCGGAACGGUACGGUAGGAAAUUCUAUCAUCAAAUCUCCCAGCUUCUUCUCGGAGUUUAAAAAGGGCCUCCUUCUCUGUUUCUGCUUUCUUUCCAUGCUGAUAGCGAGUAAUCCAAUUUGGAAACAGCCCCAUGAGACAUCGUUCAUUUGCUUUCUCUUCGUCUUGAAUGAAUUUGGCUGCCUCCUCAAUGCUCUUGUUCGCAUUAACCAGCCAUUUCUCAACCUUCUCUUCAAUCUUUUCACCUUUUCUUUCAGCCUCAGAAACUCUGCGCUGAAUGCUUUCUCUUUCAUCCUUGAGCCUAUCGAGUUCUGCCUUGAGAUUCUCAAAGUUGGCAGCGGAGUUAUACCAAUAACUAAAUUCGCGUUGUGCGUGAGGAGACAAGCAGUUCACAACUCCUGGAACAAUGCUUUUCAAAAUGUCCAUUUUUUAUUUUUUGGGGAAGUGAACGAAAUAGAAAUAGAACAGGGUCAACGGCCGCGCAAUUGAUAAUCAAGCAGAAGCAAAACAAGGCAAAGUUGAAAAAAGAAAUGAUAUUUGUACAAAACAAGGGAAAAUCAGUGUAACAGAAGAGAAUCAAAGUGUUUUUGAGAUCAGACAAUUGAAUCAAGAAAAGGGUUGCUUGAUCCAAUGAAAAUGCGAAGAGCUGAUGGCAAAAGGGAACAAAGCUAAAUAAGAAAACGGCUAGCACGAGCAGCGACCACGAUGAACAGAAGCAAAGUGUGUAUGAGAUCAAAAGACGAAAAUCAGGAGAGGUUUUCUUGACUGAGAAUUGAAGGCAAAGAGUAGGAGCUGACGAUUACGGGGAUCAAGAGGGAAAAACUGCUUGCUUGUAAAACUACUUUCAAGCGAAUCUGAUAAAAUUAUUUCAGUACUAGUGGGCGACUCCAUUUUAAACUGCUGAAGGAAAAAAAAAAUUAUGAAUUUCAAUAUAUUAAUUUUUAUCCUAAUUUAUGUUGAGGCUCGUAAUCUCGUCUCAAUGAUUAAUUAGUAGAUAAUCUUUCUAACAAAUAUGUGUUGAAUAGAUAUAUUUCUUGACUAUUAGUAGGUUAGAUAUAUUUUAGCAUAGGAAUGAAAGUACAAGUUGUGUCGUAUCAGAAUAAAAAUUUGACCUAAAAAUAUUGUUUUAUGAGUCCAGCUAUCUUGCAACAGUUGUAAUGUGCCACUUAUUUUUGUUUUAUGUGACGUUACAUUUCAUUUAAUACCUUACUUUCUUUCUUAUUUACAUUUUAUUUAUAAGUUUAUAUGUUUUAGCUAGUGACAUUUUAAAAUGUAAUUUUAUUUUAUUUAAUAUUAUUUAUUUUUUUACAUUUAUUUAUAAUUUUGUAUGCUUUCGCUGGUAACUUUUAUAAAAUGUAAUUUUAUUUUAUUUAACAUUAUUUAUCUUUAUAAAAAAGAAUAAAUAUAAUAAUAAGCCUAUGACUAAAUAAUAUUAAAUAAAAUAAAUAAUAUUAAAAAAUUUAAAUUAAAUAAAUAAUAUUAAAAUUUUAACUUAAAUAAAAUAAAUAAUAUUAAAAUUUAACUUAAAUAAAAUAAAUAAUAUUAAAAAUGAUAUUAUUUUUAAGACACUAUUGAUUUUUUAAUAUUAUUCAGUUUUUAAAGAAUAAAUAUAAUUAUAAGCCUAUGACUAAGUAAAAAUAAUAUUAAUUUUAACAGUCAUUAUUGAUUAUUUUAUUUUACUUAAUAUUAUUUAUUUUUUAAAAUAAUAAAUAUAAUAAUAAGCCAAUGAUUAAAUAAAACAAAAAUAAAAAUAAUAUUUAUUUUUAAAGCGCCCUAAUGAUUAUUUUAUUUUAUUUAAUGUUAUUUAGUUUUUUGAAAGAAUAAAUAUAAUAAUAAGUAUAUGACUAAAUAAUAUUAAAUAAAAUGGAAUAAAUAAUAUUAAAUAAUAUUUAUUUAUUCUUUUAAAUAAAAUAUAUAAUAUUAAAAAUAAUAUUUAUUUUUUAAUACUCACUACUAAUUAAACAAUAUAAAUUGUAAACAAUCCGGACUUAUGUGUUAAAAUUUUAAACUCUUUAACUUGUUUGUGUCUUUAAUAAAUAUCAAGGAGUGUAAUGUUAAUAUUUAAAUGAACAAAUCUCUACCAUUGAAACCACCUUUUCAUUAAAUCUAAUGAUAAAAAACUGAAAUUAAGAAAAGUCAAAAUUUGGUGGUACCUUGCAACUGUUGUAAGGUAGCUGAGUCCUGUUCUAUAACCUUUUAAUUAUUUGUCAGCUAAUAAUUAAGUAAUAUAAAAAAAUUAAUAAUCGGAAUUACUCUUUUAAAUAUUAUAAAUAUUUAUUUAUUUUUUAAUUAUAAUAUCAUUAUUUAAAAAUAAUUGCUUGACUUACAUUAGUAACAUUACGAUUGUGGUAAAGCAUGUGAUUCUCAUCCAAUAUCCAUUAUUUGUGAUCCUUAAUCAAUAAAAUAUCUGACAAUAUCUUCGCCAAAAGUUUGAGACAUGUGAUCUUUAUUCCACUGCGUCAAUUACACUCCAGUCCCAUGCUGCCAUCAUUAUCGAACAGUCGAUAUCCAACACUUGCACGAAGAUUCCAAGAAGUUGCGUGGCUGCCGACAUUUAGAUGCUAAGCCUUGUUGUGUCGAAGAUACACAAAACAGAGCAGUCCGGGCAAUUGCCAAAACUUAGAACUAAACAGUAGCUUAGUCAAAAAAAUCAAAUGCCAGCACCGCUAAAAUGAUCGAUAAAAAUAUAAAGAAACCAAAGCUUUAAAAGAAAUCAGCCAAAUCAGGAAGAUUGAAAAGUAAAUCUAUGGCUUUAGAUUUUUAUUUUAUUUUUUUAGAUAAUAGAUAUUAUUUUGAUGAAUUUUUAAUAUUAGAAUAAUGCUAGGAAUUUCGAUAGUAGAAUUCUAAUUUGAGACCCAAUUGUUAUGUGUUAUUUUUUUUAUUAGAUAAUGAAUUUCAUAAUUAGUAAAAUUAAUAUCAAAGUCCAAAGUUAUUGGGAUGAUAACUUUUUUUUGAUAGACUGAUAUAUUACAAUGAGAGCUCUACUGAUAUUUACAAUAAAAAAUGAAACUCUCCUCAAUAAUUCUAUUACAGCACAGCCUGAAUAUUAAGCCUUACUUAAAGUUGGAGGGAGAUCCAUUUUAUCCCAAUACAAAAAGACAAAUAAACUCUUAUUGUACAGAAAAGUUGAAUCUCAGUGCUGUGACUCAGUAUGCAUGCGCCCAACAACCUUGUGAUGAUAACUUAUAAUCGUCAAACUAGCAUAAGGACCUUAUUUUUCAUUCACAAAUAAAUAAAUGAUGUGACUUAACGGUUGGCGGGGUCCCUUGUGCCAUUUGUGCAUUUCACUAAAGGUCCGCCUAAGUUAUACAUUUAACGUAACUUACCGUCAGCCUGUGAAAUUUUAUAUAACCCCCCAUAUUCUAUGUUAUUUAUAUUUUAUUCAUGAAUAUUAUAAACUUUUUGAAAUAUAAAAUUUCGUUUAACCCCUUAUACUCAAUUUUAUUUUAUUAAAACCCUAGAGUAUGAAUUUGCCCCUAUAAUUUUAAAUUUUCCAAAUAACCUCCAUUAUUUAAAAAAUAUAAUUAUUGUUAAAUGAAUUAUAAUUAUAAUUGUUAUUUUAUUAUAAUCAUAAAUAUUUUUUAAAUAGAUUAUUUUUAUUAUUAAUACAAGAAUAAAAAACAUUAUAAUUAAUUAAUCUAUUAACAAUAAUUAAUAAUAUUUUUAUUAAAUUGUUAAUAAUAAUAAUAAUUAAUGAUUAUCUAACUAUUUCACAGUCUGACCGUAAGUUACAAAAUCAUAAAAACUAAAAGUUUUUAAAUAUUUACUUAAGGUAAAAUAAUAAUAAUGACAAUAAUAUUACUUAAAACAAAAAAAUCUGUAAACUUUAAUAAUGUUGAUGAUGAUGAUGUUGACAACAUUAAUAAUAAUAUAAUAAUUAGAAUAAUAAAUUUUAAUAAUAUUACUAUUAAUAAAAUAAUAAUAAUAAUUAAAAUGAUAAAGUUAAUAUAUUUUAAUAAUAGUAAUAAAAUUAAUAAAUAAAAAUAACUUAAUUAAAGUAAUUGUAACAAUUAAAAUAAUAAAAUUAAUUAAUUUUAUAAUAAUAAUAAUAUUAAUUAAUGACAGCAAUAAUAAUGCAUAAUAAUUAAAAUAAUAAAUAAUAAAUUUUAAUGAUAAUAAUAAUAAUAAUAAUAAAGUUAAUAUAUUUUAAUAAUAGUAAUAAAAUUAAUAAAUAAUAAUAACUUAAUUAAAGUAAUUGUAACAAUUAAAAUAAUAAAAUUAAUUAAUUUUAUAAUAAUAAUAAUAUUAAUUAAUGACAGCAAUAAUAAUGCAUAAUAAUUAAAAUAAUAAAUAAUAAAUUUUAAUGAUAAUAAUAAUAAUAAUAAUAAUAAAGUUAAUAUAUUUUAAUAAUAGUAAUAAAAUUAAUAAAUAAUAAUAACUUAAUUAAAGUAAUUGUAACAAUUAAAAUAAUAAAAUUAAUUAAUUUCAUAAUAAUAAUAAUUAAUGACAGCAAUAAUAAUGCAUAAUAAUUAAAAUAAUAAAUAAUAAAUUUUAAUGAUAAUAAUAAUUAAUAAUGAGUAAAAUAAGUAAUUUCAUAAUAAUAUUAAUAAUGAUGACAUUUAUGGUAGUAAUAAUAAUACAUGACAAUAAUUAAAAUAUUAAAAUUAAAUAAUUUUAAUAAUAUUACUAUUAAUAAAAUAAUAAUAACAAUAAUUAAUAAUGAUUAAAAUAAUAAAGCCAAUAUAUUUUUAAUAAUAGUAAUAAAAUUAAUAAUUAAUAAUGACUUAAUUAAAGUAAUUGUAACAAUAAAAUAAUAAAAUUAAUUAAUUUCAUAAUAAUAAUAAUAAUUAAUGACAGUAAUAAUUAGGGGUGGGCAAAAAAACCGUGGUCUUAAAAACACCGAACCGAACCGGCGGUUUUUUCGAAUUUGGAUCGGUUUUUAUUUUAAAAAAAACCGAAAUAUAUCAUUUGUAAAAAAAAACCGAAAUGUCGGUUCGGUAUUCGGUUCACUCAGCUGAACCGAAAAACCGAAUUAAUUUUAUAUUUUAUUCAAAUCGACAUGUGUUAAAUUUUUUUUUAUAAAUCCAAAUAUUGAGUCGAAAAUGCCUAAAGUUGAUGUUGAUAUUCAUGAAGAUGGGAGAAUGUUGUUGGCAUUUGUUUGCAAUUUUUUUUUUUGGGUGAAGAUGGGAGAAUGUUGUUGGCGUUUGUUUCUAAAUUUUCUUUUUAUUUUGUGUUGUAAGUUGUAAUUGUUGUUAUUUUUAUUUGUCUUUACAACAUUAUGAUUAUGUUUAUGUAGAUGGAGUAUUGGAGUUUGGUUAUGUAUUUUGAAAUUUUAAUAUUUCAUAUUUUGUGAGUACCUUAUUAGUAGUUAAUAAGAUAUUAGUGAUAAAAUGUGUUUUGAAUACUUUGUAUUUAUUGUUAAUAUUUGUAAUGAAAUUAGGAUGAACUAAUUGUUGAAAACAAUUAUUACAUUUAUGAGGUCCAAUGGGCUAAAAAUUUGAAAUUUUAAAAUAGGCCCAAUAGACCUAGAACCAAAAAACCGAACCGAACCGAACCGAUCCGAAAAGAUCCGUUUGAGUUCGGUUCUUAUUCGGUUCUUUUUAUAAAAUAACCGAUUUAAAUCGGUUCUACUUAAUUUCGAUCCGAACCGAACCAAACCGAACCGAACCGUGCCCACCCCUAGUAAUAAUACAUAAUAAUUAAAAUAAUAAAAUAAUAAAUUUUAAUGAUAAUAAUAAUAUUAUUAUUAAUAUUAAUAAUGAUGACAUUUAUGGUAGUAAUAAUAAUACAUGACAAUAAUUAAAAUAUUAAAAUUAAUAAUUUUAAUAAUAUUACUAUUAAUAAAAUAAUAAUAACAAUAAUUAAUCAUGAUUAAAAUAAUAAAGUUAAUAUAUUUAAUAAUAGUAAUAAAAUUAAUAAAAUAAUAAUAAUGACUUAAUUAAAGUAAUUGUAACAAUAAAAUAAUAAAAUAAAUUAAUUUCAUAAUAAUAAUAACUAAUGACAGUAAUAAUAAUACAUAAUAAUUAAAAUAAUAAAAUAAUAAAUUUUAAUGAUAAUAAUAAUAUUAAUAAUGAUGACAUUUAUGGUAGUAAUAAUAAUACAUGACAAUAAUUAAAAUAAUAAAUUUUAAUAAUAAUAACAAUAAUAUUAAUAUAAUAAUAAUGAAAUUUAUAAAUAUUAAUAAUAGUAACAGUUAAAUUUUUUUAAAAUCCAUUUUUAUCCCAAAAGAGGACUCAUAUAUAAAAAAUUGUAACUUCUAGUGUCUAUUCAACUUUUUUAUAAAAUAUAGGUAUUGAGAUGUAAUUAAUUGAAAAAGACAAAAUUGAGUAGUACGGUGCAACCGUUGCACCAUAGUUUCAUCCAAUUUGAAAUCUUGGAAAACCCUUUAAUCAAUCUCUUAGUAGUAGGCUUUGGUAGCUUGGUUUGAUUAUGAUUUAUAAUCAUUUGAUAAUAAAGUCAGAGGAUGUAUUAAUAUAAAAUUUAUUUAUUGGUGUUGAAGAUAAUUAUCUCAUUAAUAAUAGUAUAAAAAGUUAAAUACUAAGAAACACAUAGCAGUAGUUAAUUGGUGUCAUAUGAUUGGGAUUCAGGGAUAUAAUUUUAUAUCAUAACUUUGUAAGUGUAUAAUUACUCAUUAAAUUAACAAAAUUAUUUAAAAAUAUUUAGUUAGAAAAAAUAAAUUAUAUUCUUUUUAUUUCAAAUAAUCUAUAAGUUAACUCAAAACAUAAUCAAGCUGAAAAUAAAAAUAAUGCUACUGUAUGACAUGAUUUUUAUUUUUUCUCGAAGUUUCACUAGGAAAUUAUUGAUAUACAGCUUUAUUCAAAUCAUCUCAGUUCAAACGACAAAUAAUUGAAAGACUAAGCUAAAUAGACCAGCCAACAACUUUGUACAGCAGAGUUCAAUAAUUAACGUCAUGGUAUUGAGGUGUUAUGUCUUGAAAAGUACAGCAUAGUAAUAAAAUAAAAGUUAUUAGUUUUUAGGAAAAUAUGACUUUUAAAUAAUAAUUUUCACAAAAAUAUAAAGAAUAUUUAUAAAGUACUUCUAUAGUGAGGAGACCCCACUUUGUUAAAGUGAAAAUAUUAAUAAUACAAAAUAUAUAGAUUUUAACAUAUUAAAAACUGUAUUUUUUUUAAUCUAUUGGUGUAUUGAAAUAUGCGUUUUUUAGUUAGAUAUAUCAUCACUUUGUUAAAAUGAGAAUGUUGUCACUAGACAAUAAUCAUAUAUACAUAUAUAUAUAAAGUGCUUCUCUCCAAGACCUAGACUUUAUUAAAAUUUAAGAAAGUAAAUAUAUUUUAUAUGGUAUAAUAGUGUAAUAACAUCACACUAUUAUAUCAUGUAGAGUAAUAGUUUUUCUAACUUUAAUAAAAUUCAAGAUUAUAGAAUGAAUGAUUUAUAUAUAUUAUAAAUUUUUUAUCAUAAAGUGGAGGACAAAAUUAACAUAUUUUUCAAAUUAUAAUAAAUAUUUAUCAAAUAAUUUAACUUCGUAAUUUCUCCUAACUAGUAUAGUAAAUACAACCUCGGAGGUACAUUCAAAGCAUUUCAUAAGUUUGUUGUUAACAAUAAAUGAUACAUGCAGCUCCAACCAUCAUUGUACGGUGAGUAAUUUCAAUAGAUUUUUUAUGGCUUAAUUUACUAGGAUCAUAAUGAACAUUGAAUGUCAAAAUAUUAAUGGCCAAACAGACCAGCUGCCAACGACUUAUUCCAAUGUGAAUAUUUCACAGUGGGUACUGCACAUGAUGCUUGUUUCUCCUUUUGCAUCUAUUUUUUUUUUAACACUAAUUUCAAUAGCAGCUCGUCAUGUAUGCAAUAUUUCAAAGUUAAUCAAAAAAAAAAAACAAAAAUUAGUUCAGCUGACUAAAUUAUUUUUUUUCUUUUCUGUGGUAGUAAGUCCGACUCCUUAGUGACAAUUUAAAUUGAAAAAAUAAAAUCAUAAAUAAGAAUUAUUUGAUAAUAAUUAAAAUAAUUGAUAAAAAUUUGAUUGGAGCAAUUUUGGAAGAUUCGAUUUCUAAUAGAAAGGGAAUUUGAAUUUUACAGCCUUCGGUGAGGAAUCCAAAAUGCACAAUUUGAUGAAAAUUAAAUUUCAAUAGAAAUUGAAUUCCCAUUUAUUAGUGAAAACCAAACAACAGGAAAGUGAAAGGAAUUUGAAUUCAUUUCCUUCCUCUCCUCCCUCCAACUAAACACCAUCGAAAUCCAAAGGUAUGGAUUGGGAUUCCAUAUUGAUCAGAAUGGGAUUUGUCCAUAUUAUUAGGACCAAUUUUAAAAGCAGUCCGAGUUUCAAAGUUUAAGAUUGAAAUUAAUCACAAUUGUUGAUUUGGGACUAGAUAAGAAUUUAUCUUGGAACUCCAAUUCUCCCAAUUAUUUUAGUUGACAAUAUGUUUAACAUUAUUUUUUUAAACAUUAUUAAUUGCAUAUUAUUUAAUUAUCAAUAUAUAAUAUUCUUUAAUUUUCUAAUUUUAUAGGAUUAGACACAAAAUUGAUUAUACCUUUUGAAAUUUAAGGGUUAUGUCAAUUGAAUAGAAAACUUGGAGUUAAACUUUUGGAUGUUUUUGUUGAUUAUCAAUUUAUGCAUGAAUUUUUGUACGUUUACUCUGGUUUAUUAUUAUUACUUUAAAACAUUUUUAUUGGUUUGAUUUAGGGUCAUUUUGGUAAUCUUGUAGCUUAAAAAUACUUUUAGUUAUAAAAACAGUCGUAUGUGUUUCGUAAAUCUUAUUGUUAAACUGGUGCAAUAAUAUAAAUGAUUGUGAGGGGUUUGAGAUUGGUCCUAAUUUUGAUCACAAAUAUAUAAACAGGACGAGUUUAUCCAUACUUACAUUCCAUUUGAUAAUUAAGAUGAGAGUAGAAUGGUCAAAUCCCAAAUCAUCUCGGACCAUUGCCACCAAAGGUACUCUCACUAAUAAUAUCUAAAGUAAAAUCUACACCUAUUUCAUACCUUUUUUUUUUAUUUAACGGAAGGAGCCCUCAUGGGGCUUGAAAUGGUAUCCUAAAUAAUAUUAAGAAUAUCAUGUCGUGGUUGGUUUCGUGACAAAUAAAUAUUACAUGGUUGGGAUGCAUAGUUACUAGUGUCCCAAUUUAUAGGGGUGGGCAAAUUACCCGAUCCGACUCGACCCGACCCGAAAAAUUUCAGGUUCGGAUCGGAUGGGGUUGUGCAGAAAACCCGAUCGGAUCAAAACAAUGAAACCCGAUCGGGUUAUGAUCGGAUUGGGUUCGAUCCGAUCCGAAACCCGAUCGGGUUGCUAUAAAAAAAAAAAACUAAACCUAAAGCAAACAGCCACACACACGCAGCACACACAAAUCACAAUUCCCAUUUUCACAACACACGGUUACUUACACAAACACUCACAACUCUCCUCAAUCCCCAAUCUCAUUACACAAUCCCCAAUCUCAAUACACAAAACACAUACACAGUCACCCCCAACGGCGUUGGGCCAACGCCAAGCCGCCAACGGAGGUCGCUGCACAAGUCACAGCCUCACCCGCAUCUCCAUGGCCGAUUUGCCGCGCGUCUCCAUGCCCGAUUUGCUGCAAGUGCCGCCAAUAUGCUACUACGCGUCCGUCGGUCUGCUGCUACAAGUGCCGCGGCCACCGAUCUACUGCAAGUGCCGCGAAUCUGCUGCAAGGUGCUUCUGCUGCUCCAAUCCUUCAACCCGAGCUUCUCACCUUUGACUUUGAAUCUUGAGUUUUCACGCUUUUUUUAAGCUUUUUUUUUUAAAGAUUUGAAUUGAUGGUGCAUAUGGUUAAAUUAAACAAUUAAUAUUUAGUAUUUAAUUGUUGUAAUUAUGUGUUUUUAAAUGGUAGUAACAAAAUCAAGGAAAUUGGUCAACCCGAUCCUACCCGAUUUCAACCUGAAUUCACAACCCGACCUGACCCAAUCCGAAUAUAAAUCGGAUCGGAUCGGGUCGGAUGGGAAGUUCGGGUUGUAUUCGGAUUAAUUUUUGUUAAACCCGAACAACCCGAAAUCUGAUCGGGUUGAUCCGAACCCGACCCGACCCGAACCCGGUUUUGCCCACUCCUACCAAUUUAUGUAGUAUUUAUCAUUUAGUGCACAUGCACAGUAUUAAUCAGCUUAACUAAUUUAUAAAAUUUAAAUCUAAUUAAUAAGUGACGCAUAAAUGCCAAGUGCAUUACAUGCAAAUCAUGUUUUUCGAUCACUACAAAACUGGCUCUUGAAAACAAGCAAGAAAGCUUAAUUAAGAACUUAAAACAAAAAGAAUUAGAUUGAGAACAAUCAAGCCUUAUUUUUUCAAGGAUGGAGCUUAUAAAUCUUCAAGUACCAACAUACGCUUGGCCCAAUUGUUGUUAUUAAAAUUUCAAUAUACAUAUAUAAGUAUGAUAUAGCAAAAAUUUGAUGGUACAUAUGUCGGAAUAUACUAGUUCAUGGGUGCAUUUGAUUAUUGUUUCCAUAAAUUUGAACCAGGAAGAAUGAAACGAUAAAAUUUGAUUUUAUGGUAUGGUUGAUUUCAUAUCUCAUGCACUCAUUUCUUAAGAUAAUCAAAUUUUCUCUGGCAUCUUUUGCAACUGUCGAAAUAACAAUUAUGAUCAAUCAAACGAUUUCAAAACCUUUCAACGAGACAUAUUUCUAAUACAAUAUUGUGAAAAUUACACUAAAAUUUUAAUUUAUUAUAUAUUAUUAUCCAACGAGCACACAAAAAUGAUUUCGUACAAAUCUAAAAUACUGAGCAAUUUUCAAAUAGAAUUUACCAUGUACUACAAGAAAAUAGGGUAUAUGUGACCCCUAAUGUGAAUGCAAAAGCAGCCAUUACGCAUAUCACUAACUUCUAACUCUGUAACCCCGAGUUGCUUUUGUUACCCUUUAUGUGACGGCCACACUGCUGUCACAUAUGUUACGAACUGCGUGACGGUGAAGAGCCGUUCGGUAUACUAAUAUUUUAGAAUUUUAAAUUUAUUUCCAGUUAGAAAAGUAUUCGCUGGAGUCCGUGUUACUGGCCACCAUCGUAAACAUAACUGGUUGCCAGCGAACGGCGUAAAACGCCGGGCAUCUUCUUCUUCAUCGUAUUCUCCCUUCAUCUUUUGAGGUAAGCUUGUGAUUAUGAGUUUCUUCUCUUACUUAACUUGUAAUUAUAGACUUUGAUUUUUUUUAAUUCGUAUUGUAGCCGUUAUUGUCAAUUUUUGUCCCGCCAGCAAUAUUUUUUUAUUCGUACAAGUUGAAGCCCCUGCGUUCUUGUUCCAUUGGUGAGUUUGCUCACUCAAAUUAAUUUUGUUCUGCGGAAUUUACAAAGUUCAAAUGGAUUCAUUUGAAUUACUAUUGAAUUUAGCUUUAAUUCCAACAUCCAUUCUAAUGUUUUGCUAUUAGAUUUAGUUUAAUUUUAUGUUUAAAGCAUCUACAAUGAAUAGCGGAGCUUGGGUUUUAGUUUCAUUUUCUAGAUAACUUGUUUUGGUUUAUCUUGUAUGCUCACCAAGUGCUUGUUAUAUUGUCUGAUAAGUUAUAUACAUUGCUGAUUCUAUAUUAAUAAUGUUAUGUUCUAUUUUCAGAAAUUAUAAUACAAAAGCUUUUACAAUGGCGUGCAUCUACAAACUGGAUUGACUCGUAGAAUAAGAGCUUGGAGUAGUGUUAUGUUCUUGAAUAAAUGAAAGUUCAUAUUGUGUAAAGCAUCAUUAUCAUUUCUACAAAGUGCUUUCAUUCUGUUCAGAUGCUCUUCUUGAACUUUGAAAGGUGCCUCGUUCAAGUCCUAGCUAUAACUACUAGCUUUGAUUAAUUAAGUUCCUAUACUAGCUGAAACAGAUUUAUUUAAUUAAUUAAUUGUGUAUGUACUAAUUAUAUUGAAAGUAUAUGAAUUUUUUUUUUUUUUAACAUGAAUGACUUCUAAAUGACUUAAAAUCCUAAAGGAUGUGUAAAAUAAUGCUCAUUUCACUUGAAUGAGCCUAUUAAUACUUUUAUGUCUAUGAUUGUCAAUAUUGGCUUAAGCAUUUCAGUUAAGUGGUUUACCUAACAGAGAAAAAAAUUUAAUAGAAAACUUCAGAGUUCUAACAGAAAUAUAGUUCACUAUGCAGAUAUAGUUAUUUUACGGUAUACAAAUCAAGUUGUCCUAAUCUCAAUGUCCUAUGACCGAUUUUAUUUUAUAUAGUCAUUAAUUUUUUCCUUGGUUUUUUGUGUUUAUGAGUAUGAAAUAGUGGGAUUUGGUGUACCUUAGCAUCUUUUGAAAAUUCUCUUUCAGUGUGGCCAACAGAAAUAUACAUAUAAUCAAGUUUCUUAAUCGUGUAUAUUAGUUUUGGGUAUGAAUGUUCCUAUUCUAGUUCUAGGCAAAGCUUCUUCGUUUUGGUCUUCGGAUUUCCAGUAGGUUAAGUUAAUCAACUAUCAUAACUGGCUAGCUAGUUAUUUUCUGCCUUGGCGCCAUUACCCAGGCCAUUAUAUUGCAUAGCAUAAAGAAUAGUGAUUAGGUGAUUAUUAGUGAUUUGUUGAGCUUAUUUUCGACCAAACAAACAUAUUCGCCUUUGCCCACAACUUAGUUUGAUUAGUUAUUAGACCAUAAAGAGCCUUGAUCUAUUCAUUGGCUUUAUUAUUUUUAUUUGGUUUUUCUUUCAACAAUAUUGUUGAUUUCUUAUAAAAAUAUUCAUUGGUUUUUAAACACCUAGUCAUUGGCUGUAUGAAGCAAAUUAAAACUGAGGCUUUGGAUCAAUUUCUUCUAACAAGAUACAAAUGAGCAUAACCUUUCUCCUCUAAGUAAUUUUUUUUAAUAUCCUUGAUUUGUAAGGAUCUGGAGGCCUGAAAUCCUCUAGAUUUUUUUUAACACUGUCAAUGUCCUUUUUAUUCUGAAAAGGAAAUAAAAGGUUUUAUCUUUCAUACCCUAAUAGUAAGCUGGCCUUGUCUUAACAUGGCUUCCCGAGGAUUUGCAAGAUUCAUAGCGCCCCCAACCCCCCCCCCCCCCCCCCCCCCCCCACAAAAAAAAGGAAGAUUUUGCAAGAUUCACCACCAGGUUAUUUAUUUAUUUAUUAAUUGUGUGUACGUACUAGUUAUAUGUUGAAAGAAUAGGAAGAAGUAUUUCAACAUGAAUGACUUAAAACUUAUUGCUCAGUAAACAUAAUCUGCAUCAGUACGAAAAUGUAUUUAUCAUUUGUAUUUUUUUAUGGUUUUGCUUAAGAAAUGAUAUGUGAAAUAAUGCUACAUGCCUACAUUGUAUCAGGAAUAACUUGAAAAGAUUUAUGAUAUUUAUGUGUUAUUCAAAUUUCAGAUUCAAUUUUAAACUUUUGAUACGUGCAUUAAAAGCUUAGACUUGUUUAAGAAAUUAUUAAUAGACACAUGUUUUAUUAGUGUCAUAUUUGGAUGAUAGUGAGGAUCAUAUGUCUAUUAAUAAUUCUUGAAUUGUCCGGGCUUGGACAGUUUGGGAAUGCAUACUUCUCUCUGGUAGCUAGUAGCUGAAGUUUCUUCCCACGUAAAAAUGGGUUUUUCAGUAGCUGCUCCUCGUGUUCUCUGGGAACGUACUAGGUGAAUGGGUGUUGUGUUGUUUUGGCAUAACGCAUAAACACUUAUAUAGCUAUGUCGCGUGCUUGGAGAAUUAUAGGGAGAUGGUGCUGAAAUUUUUAUAAAUGUAGAAUAAAACUUUAGGUACUUGAGAUUGAAAAAACUUACGCAUUCUUGAGUGGGAUAUGUAGGAUUACUUACGGUUGGUAAAUAUGAAGGGAAUGUUGGAUAUAUUGAGGGUAGUGUAGGAGCUGAGUUGGAUGAAUGUAAUUGGUGAUGAUUUUGCUGAGUUGACCUUGGUUUUGAGCUUGUAAUUUUGUUUGUAAAUGGAGUGCUAUCUCCAAUGUUGGUUUAUAAAAAUGUUUCAGGACUUGCUGACCUAAUUUUUUGUUUCUAGGUUACAGGCUUUAUAUAUCUGUAAUUGAUAGCCAAGUGAAGUUCUCAGCACUUGGCAAGGAUAUUUCUUUACAGAAGGUAUUGGAAACUGUUUUUUACAUUAAUUAUCGUUGAUUAUAUACUUUGAUUGUCACAUCUUUUUCUCUGAUUCUUGUGGCUUUGUUUGCUUUCAUAUAUGUAAAUUCUAAUGAAAUUAACCAUAAAAUUGUAAAAUGAUCUUUUUAUUAUAUUGCAAAACUGUGCACACACGAAAAUAUCUUGUUUAGUAGUAGAAAUGAAGAACUAAUUUUUUUAGCGCAUUAAAAGGAGAUAGUCAUGGACAAGUGUUGGGUUGGUUUGCCAAAUAGAUAUCCAAGUCAUAUACUGAUGGCGUUGAAAAAUUUAUAGAUUUUGUAUUUGAGAAUGUUGUUGGUGGUACAAGAAUUUAUUGUCCUUCUUGAUAAGUGUUGUAAUCUAUAUUUCGUUAUAAGGGAAGUGGCUGAUGAUGAUAUGGUUGGAAUGAUACAGUACAUCACGUAAUCAAAUGUUCAAGUUACACGCAGCAUUGUUAUGAACUAUCAGUGGCAACUUGUCUGGGUGGAGUAUUAAAGGUAAAUAAGCAUGUCUUGUUUGCCAACAAAGCACUGGAUCUAAUUGGUUGAUACAUAGUAGAAAAUUUUGUCACGUGGGUCACCGUCGAUUUUUCCCAACAAAUCAUAGGUUUCGAAAAUAUAGUGUCUUUGAAUAAAACUAGAGAGUAGGGACAAACACCUUCUCAGUUGUCUGGAACUGAAGUGAAAAAGCAGUUUAAUAUAUUUACUGAGUAUAAGAUUGAAGACUUGAAAAGAGAAGAACGAAUAAAAUGAGAGAAAUGAUAAGAUUACUUGGAAGAAGAACAGAAAUAUUUCUUAAGAUUACUUGGAAGAGAAAUGAUGUGGAAGAUGGCUAUAAAAGAUAAAAGGAAAGGCUUAAAAAGAAAAGCCAUGCCUGUCAAAAACAAAAAAACAAUGGCAGCGUCAAAUUUAUAACACAAAUCAAAACGGUGCGUUUGAGAGUGUAUAAAAUACAUUUAGAGUGGGAGUUGUGUUGUUGCUUGAAGGCAGAAUGUUUGUGAGAUAUUUGUCGGCGAAGCCGAAACCAAAGAUGAAGCCCAUCAAAAGCAUUUAUAGUGUAAAAAGUAUAUUGUGGAAAUGUCUGGUCGGUAAUACAACUAUUUCUUAUAGUGUAAAUGAUACACUAAUUUGAAUUUAUAUGCUUUUAUGAUUAUUUGAUUAUCAAGUGGUGAUCAUAUGUGAUGAUAAACUUAGGUAGUACCUUUAUAUUUAUUGCCUUAGUUUUCUAAGCGUUCACAUUUUGAUGAGUAAAUUAAGGAUUUCUAGAUGAAGUACAUAAUUAGAUUAAUGCUAAGGAACUGAAGUUUGAUCAACUGAAAACGAAAAUAAUAAUGAAGGUAAUUAAGAAAAUGAACAAUACAGAAGCGGUCCUUAUUAGGACUUCUAGAUUUUCUCUUGGGCUUCCUUAUUAUUGUUAAAAAAUGACACGAAGAAGAGUUUAAAAAUCUGGCCCUGAUGCCUGGUAGCCCUCCAACAUAUGAAGCACUAGAUGUUUUAAUGAGAAAAUGACAAGACCAUUUAUCAAAUUUCUUGUGGAUAUAAAUACAUACACAUAGACGAGACCAACCUCCUCAAAUGAGAAUCAGAGUGAUUACAAGACCUUGCAAUGGGACGAUAACACACCAUCAAAUCUCAAAAUACAAUAGAAAUUCAUGACACAUGUAUAAUAAAAGACCUCUCAUUGAGUUCUAUAUAUUGAGAAUAAAAAUGUUAUAAUACAUACAAAGAGCUUAGCUAGAAUAAAAUGUCUUUGAACUUGCGAUGAUCAAAUAAAGGAAACAGACAGGUUGUAACUCAUACUAUCACAAGAAGAUCACGAAGAUGGAAAUGGGAACCCCUCAGAAUGGAAAUUUUGAAUAGAGGAAAAAAGAAAAACGACCUUAUUCACAGAAGAAGAGUGACUUAAAUCUUCAUCAGUAUCCAGACAUUCUGCAAUCACAGAGUAGAGAAAUUUUAACCAGAACAGCAGAAAAAAUAUUAUGAAUAUGCUAUAGACCAAUAUACUUGUUCAUAGCUAACGUUUGAUGGUUUAAGGAUUUGUUCUGGGAAUAAUGGGCUGAUUACUUUUUUUUUUUAUUUUAAUUUUUUUGAAUCCAAUGAAUGAUAUUCAGCUGUGAAUUAUGUGUUCAUAGGGAAGAACAUUUUCUAAGUACUUUCCUUGCCUUCUAACUUUCCGAAAAGCAAACCCAAUAAACAAACAGAGCACAAACUAAAAUAAAAGAACAGCAAUGAUGACAAUAAAUAAUUGGCAAAGAAAAAAAGGAAAAAGUAUGCACGUUUUCAAUGAAUUAUAAAAUAUGAAGGCUUUUAAUGAAAUUUUAUCAUAAAAAGUAUGCAAGGAAUUAUAAAAUUUUAGAAAACAAGGGGAGCUCUAAAAAAAAAAUGAAAAACUCAAAUUAAAGUAGACUAAAAAGACAUUCAACUAUGCAAAAUCUGUCCAUAAAAGUCUGAAAGGAUCAUUAAAAUUGCAUUGCAAAUUUAACAGUAAACCGAGGGACCCAUUCUAAAUAAUUCAGAUGAAAUUGCGAAACAAGCCAUGGGAUUAAAUAAAUGAAAUAAAAAUUAAUUACCAGUUGAGACUUUCUUCUAAAAAUUUGCAACUCCAAGUCAUAAGAAGCCUAUGAAAUUAGUCGUACUGCGUAGAGUAUGACGACGACACCGCCAACAGCUGAAAGUAAAAUUCUUAUUCAUCAAAUAUCUUAUCUAUAUUGUAUUUAAGAAAGCAAAUUUUGUAAAAAAUUAUCAUGGGAGAUAGAGAGUAAUAUGUAUAUACGUACCUUCUCAGCAUGUAAUUGUUGUAUGGUUGUGUUUAGAUCAUUAUUAGCCCAACGCCGUUGAUUCGAUGUCUCUCCAUAGCAGACGUUUACUCUUAGAGGCGUGAUUGAUUCUCCUGUAGUGAAAGUCUUCAUCUUGGGACAACCAAUCACCCACAACUCUUGCAAAGAUGGGAAUUUGAAGGUGUAAUUGGCAGAGCAGAAACUUGUGAGGCUAUCUAAAUCAAACAGUUGCAACGUCUUCAAUUUGCAGAAAACAAUCUCUUCUUUUUCAACUCCAUCUUUGUCAUUUAUUACCACCUCUGUCAUUGCUCUGCAUCCAUAUACUUGCACUUUGACCAGUCGCACUAGAGUUUUUGCUGUGGAGGAUGUUACUAAGUGUAUCAAUUCCUUGCAACCGAAAGCUACAAGUUUUGCUAGGUUCCGAAAAGAUACCGAUGAUGAUGGCAAUAGAAUUAACAGACUUUGACUAUGAUAUACUCCUAGAAUUUCAAGAUACUGAAAAAUGGGGCCAAGUUUGGAAUCUUGUUUGCACAGCUGCUUCAGAUGAUAGGGCCGGUACAGCUUUAAUUCUUUUAUCAUUGCCAACUUCCCCAAAUGUUUCUCCAAGCAUCCUUCCUUCGAAAAUACCUCUUCGUCGAAUGAAAAAAAAGACAGUGUGAGUAUUUCGAGAUUGUGAAAUCUCUCCAGUACGUUCCAGAUUGGAAAACAAGCUGUGUCAUCUGCAGCAAUCUCUAGUUCUCUAAGACUGCCAAAAAGGUGUUGUGGGAAAUCGGCCUGCAAAAUCAUCUUCACAUCUUUUCCACUUAGUGAUAGUUCCUUCAAGUUGGGUACGAUCUGAUCAUCAUCAAUCAUAAUAACUAAUGAGGUCAAUUGAUGAUCUACGGUCACACGCAGUGACUUUAUAAUAUUUGUUUUAUAUUAUAUUUAAAAAAAAUUGAAUUAUUGAUAAAAUUUAUUUUAUAUGUUAAUUUUAGAGGUAAAAAAGAAAUUAGGGAAAAAGGUUGAUUUAUACUGGCUCGAAAUUAUUUUAUUGCACAAUAAUAAAUUACUAAUUUAUUUUGUAAGUUCUUCUAUAUGGAAAGACUAAGGAUUCUUUUAUAAAUGCUCUACCAAAAAAAGUUCAUAUAAUUAUUAAUCUACCACAUUGAUCUCUUAAUCUAGACUAACAAAGAUUAUUGUAUAAUAAAAGUUUUCAAUUUAUUGAGUAUUAAUUUAUCGAUGCUUUGCCAUAUUUUUCAAAGUUAAAAAUAAGCUGUAGACAAAAAAUCUAGAAAAUGGCUUCAUACCUUUUCCAACGGCAAUGGGGGCUGUUGUGCAGGAAUGCCAAGUUGAUCGUUCUCAUUAUUCUGCGAUAAAUCUUCAGUGAAUAUCUUUAAUUUGUCACAACGAUGCACUGAAAGAAUUUCUAGCGCGGGCCAUUCCGAAGUAUGCAUUCCAGGGUACAAACAUCUAAGUUUUGGUAGACCUUGGAGUCUCAAAGUGGUGAGCUGUGGAAAGACAAAAUAAGGGAUCACUUCAUCUGCUCUGUUCUCAGAAAUCCUCACAGAAGCGUACUUCUAGGUGUUGGAGCUGCUUGAGGUUUCCGAUCAUAGACGCUGAAAAUAUGUAUUUCAGUUUGUCACAGUACCACACAACUAAUCGUGUUAAACUUUGAAAGUGAGGAAACACGGCCGCCGGAAUUUGAUUGUAGUGCCAAAUCUUGUCGACAUUAAUUGCAGAUAUCUCCAAAGCCUCCAAGUUAGGCAACGCAACCUAAAAAAAUAAGAAUUUCUCGUUAGAUCCAUCCAUAUGGGAAGCACUUGUUGAAAUUUUCUUCUUUGAUUACAAAAUAAUGCAAGUCAGAAUCAAUUUCCAACUGACAGCUGAGAAUGCAUUCUAAUUCAUACUACUUGUUAAGAGCUUAAUUAGUGAGCGCGUGAGAUUCUUUUUAUCCUUUUUUUCCAUUUUCUUUCAAUUCUUUAAAUGAUGUAUUUAUUUUCCACGUAUGACAUCAAAAGAGAACGUAUGAUAGAAUAAAGUCUGUUAUAUAUAUAUAUAUAUAUAUAUAUAAAGAAAAUGUUAGCCUACGCACCUUCUCGUUGAAAAGCAGAGUUGAAAUAUCCAAAGUGAUUUCGCUGGAGCAAAACAUAGUCGUCGAUUCGUGUUGUGACACUUGUCUGUUCGGUGAUGCUGAAGGAGUCUCCACCUCACAGCAAAAACUUGUAACCUCUGGAAGAUUCCCCAGACUCAAAGAUCUUAAUUGAGCAAACUCUAUCUUCUCAAUUGCAUUAUCAACUUCUUCCCCAAUUGCAAAAAUCUCUUUCAUCUUGCUGCAAUUAAUAACUGCAAUUCUCUCAAGUCUUGGAAGGCAUUUUGUAGUACAGAGCCAAAAGAUAUUACUCAAUUUAUCACAAUUAUAUGCUUCUAUGUUUUUGAGUUUGUUGAAAGACUCUACUUUGAGCCGAUCAAUACAUAUCCUCUCCAUGUUGAUCAAAUUGUGAAUGGUAAGUGACUCCAAAAGAGGAAAGGCAUCACAAGCGACCAUCUCCCUUGAAUCGACGAUACAAAAGACGUCAGGAUUAUUUUGAACCCAGAGAAGCUUCAAUUGUGAAAAGCCCUCCGUGUCCAAAUUGAAAAGAACAUUCUCGAUGCCUUGCAGCUUGUCCAACCAUAAGUAUUCAACGUUAUUGAUGCCCUGCAAUUUCAUGGAGCAAAUGUCCAUAAAAUCAAGCUUGAGCUUCAAUGAUCUUAAACUCUUGCGAUCACUGUUGAUCGAAAAGCGCGGCCGACUUUUAAACCAAUGUUGUCCAACACUCAUGGGAUGCAUGAAUAACCCAUUUCCAAUAGAUAUUUUGAACCUUUCGAGCUUUCUGGCCAAAAAACCUUCUGGUAAAAUAUUGUCACUUUUAACGUCAAUUUCUAGAGUGGUUAGCCGAGGUAAAUGCAUCAAUUCGUCAAGGCUAGCAUUACUUCUUUUGCUGUUGGCUCUUUCAACCUCCCAUUCAAUGAAGCAAUUACCCAUAUACAGCUCUUCUAGUCGAGUUAAGCUUGAUAUGAGAUUGGGCGCAAUAACUUUCAGUUGGAAACAAUUUGUUAAAUCUAACAAUCUCAACUUAUUCAAUUGACCUAGUUCUUCGGGCAACUGCAUAAUAUCAGACUUCAAAAAGCUAAGGACUUCUAGAUUCUUCAACUUCCCAAUGAUUGCUAUGUCCCCCAACGCACUUUGAUCCAGACAUAGUGUGUGAAGAUUUGGUAGAAGAUCAAUUGAAGAUGGAAAAGAAGAAAACUGCAUUCGAGUAAAAUCUAGAACUCUAAGCUUUUUCAUCCCUACAAAAAAGUUCUCAGGAAUAUUGAUUUCAAGAGAAGAAUAUUUGAUAGAGAUAAAUAAAAAUUCAAGGUUUGGGCAUUCUAAUCCUUCAGGAAAUUCACGAUUACUAUUAUUUCUUAAAGAGAUCGCAUUGCAUUUUCGAAGUGCAUCCUCAUCUGGCCAGUCCCACACAUCCUUAUUUCUCACCAAAAACACAUGUUGGUGGCGGCAUGCAAUUGAUAUUGCGACAUCACGAACAACAUCAUGCAUUGAAAAUUCUUCAUUGCUCUCACCCUCAAGCAACAAACAAGAGUGUCUAAGUUCAUGGACCAAUGCAUAUAAUUUGUCUCGCGCAUCUUCCAUCUUAUUGACUCCUUUAAAUAUACCCAAACCCAUGGAGUACUUAAACAAGUCCGAAGUAAGAAUACGGUUAUCCAUUAGACUACAGAGCAGAAAAAUUUUCUUGAGUUGCUCACCUUUUAAAUGGUUGAAACUCAGCUCAAUACUUGAAUAAGUCUCUGCAGAUACUCCUUCGAAGUUUACCAUUGAAGGCGUUUGGAGUUCUCUCAAGGAAUUCUUCCAUUCAUGCAGACUCUUGCCUCUCAGUGCCUUUGCUACUGUAGUCAAGGCAAUGGGCAAACCUCCACAUGCCCUGGCGACGUCUAUUGCUGUAGAUUUCAACUCACGAUUUUCAACAUCAUCACCGGCCAUCAUCUUAAACAAUCUCCAGGUUCUUCUUCAUUUAAAUUGUUAAUCAAGAAGUUGUCUUUAGAUCCCAUUUUUAAGAGGACGCCACGAUCUCUUGCUGUCAGCAGUAGUUUGCAGCCUUUAUGAUCUUCUCCAAAAGGAAUUCCAACUGUCUCCAAGUCAAGGUGCUUCCAGAUGUUAUCUAAAACCACAAGGAUCUUCUUCUCAUUUCUCAAUCGCUCAAAUAGUCUACAUGCUCUUCUAGAUUCAACUUCCUCGUGCAACUCCAGGCCCAACUUCUCGGCAAUUUCCUGUUGAAUCCUUUUUAUGUCUGGAAUUUGGGAAACCUCUGAAAAGACCACCAUAUCAAAGAGCUCGUCUUCCAUAGCUUGCCUGGCGACCUUCUUCACCAGUGUCGUCUUUCCAGUGCCGCCCAUGCCGUACACCCCAAUGAUGCUGACACUAACAUCGAUCAAUGCUUUUUUUAUAGCCUCCAAAGUAGAACGUCUUGAUUCGAAGGCCUCGUAGCCUUUGUGAGACUUGAGCCAAAUCUCCUUCGGAAUGGUACGGUAGGAAAUUCUAUCAUCAAAUCUCCCAGCUUCUUCUCGGAGUUCGACAAGCGCCUUUACCUCUGCCUCUGCUUUCCUGCUAAGCUGAUAGCGGGUCUUCAGAUUAGGACACAGACCCUUGAGACAUCGCUUAUUUGUUGCCUCCUCGUCGUCAAUGAAUUUGUCUGCAUGGUCAAUGAUCUUGUUCGCAUUAACCAGCCAUUUCUCAACCUCCUCUUCAAUCUUUUCUCCUUUUCUUUCAGCCUCUGAAACUCUGCGCUGAAUGCUCCUACUUUUAUCCUUGAGAUUCUCGAUUUCAGCCUUGAGAUUCUCAAAGUUGGCAUUGGAGCUACGCAAAUAACGAAGUUGUUGUUGUGUUGGAGGAGCCAAGCAUUCUGCAACUUCUAAAACGACAGUAACAAUGCAUUCCAACACCUUCAAUCUUUUUUUUUUUUUGGGAGGGGGGGGUUGUGGGAGGAUGGAUUGAUCUGAAGUGAAAGAAACAGAAAAAGAACAGGGGAAACGACUGGACAAUUGUUAAUCAAUGAAGAAUAAACUUCAUAAUAAAGUAGCAUUAGAGUACUAGACAAGCUCACCACGUUUAAGCUAAGCGGAGAAUAGACUUCAUCAACAACGCUUUCGUGAAUAUGCGUUGCAUUACAACGCUCCAAUGUGAUCCUCAUCCAAUACCCAUUAUUUGUGAUCCUUAUUCCACUGCGUCAAUUACACUCCAGUCCAAUGCUACCAUCAUUAUCGAACAGUCGAUAUCCAACACUUGCACGAAGAUUCCAAGAAGUUGCGUGGCUGCUGACUUUUAAAUGCUAAGCCUUAUUGUGUCCAUGAUACACCAAAUAGAGCAGUCCCGGGUAAUUGCCAAAACUUAGAACUAAACAGUAGCUCAGGUCAGAAAAUCAAAUGGAGUGAUGAUAAGAAGCUGAGGCACACCAAUCGAUUGCCUAAGCCUAGCAGCAGAUUGGAGGAAUAUGCAUGGACACAUGCGGCUCGACGUCCACGCCAUGCAACACGUGCAUGAGUAGUGUAAGGCACGUGAGAAUUGAUUUGCUAUUAAUUGGGAGCUGGAUAAUUGAUGAUUUGGAGCUGACCUUUUCAAAAGUUGUUGCUGAUUUGGAAAGGAUCUCACGCAUGAGUUGUUCUUUUCUUUGAUUUGAUAUUUAUUCCAAAAUAAUAAAAACUUGUUUAAAUCAAUAUUAACAACUUGAUCUUGUAAGCUUUGAUUAAGCCUAACUACACGCUACAAAGCAUAAUAAUUAGUUUUGCAUUACAACUAUAAAUAAGCUCCAUCAGUGAAUAAAAUCAUCAUCAGACUUUUAUCCAAACACUACUAGCAAUUGUGGUAGUUCUCACUUUAAGAAGAACAAAUUAUUCACUUAUUAUUUCUACUAAUUCUGACUGGGACCUAUUAGGAUGAAACCAUAAAAUUUGAUUUUAUUGUAUGGUUGAUUUCAUAUCUCUUGCAGCCAUUUCUUAAGAUAAUCAAAUUUUCUCUGGCAUCUUUUGCAACUGUGGAAAUAUCAAUUAUGAUCAAUCAAAACGAUUUCAAAACUUUUCAAUGAGACAUAUUUAUAACACAAUAUUGUGAAAAUUACAACAAAAAUUUUAUUUAUUAUAUAUUAUUAUCCAACGAGUACACACAAAUGAAUUCGUACAAAUCUAAAAUACUUAGCAAUUUUCAAAUAGAAUUUACCAUGUACUACAAGAAAAUAUGGUAUAUGUGACCCCUAGAAGGCAAAAGCAGCCAUUACGUAUAUCACUAACUUUGUAACCCCGAUACCUUUUAUGUGACGGCCACACUGCGGUCACAUAUGUUACUAACCACGUGACGGUAAAGAGCCGUUCGGUAUGCUACUAUUCGCUGGACUCCGUGUUACUAGCCACCAUCGUAAACCUAACUGGUUGCCGGCGAACGGCGUAAAACACUGGCCAUCUUCUUCUUCAUCGUAUUCUCCCUUCAUCUUUUGAGUUAAGCUUGUGAUUAUAAGUUUCUUCUCUUACUUAGCUUGUAAUUAUAGAUUUUGAUUUUUUUUUUUAAUUCGUAUUGUAGCCGUUAUUGUCAAUUUUUGUCCCGCCAGCAAUAUUUUUUUAUUCCUACAAGUUGAAGCCCCUGUGUUCUUGUUCCAUUGGUGAGUUUGCUCACUCAAAUUAAUUUUGUUCUGCAGAAUUUACAAAGUUCAAAUGGAUUCAUUUGAAUUACUAUUGAAUUUAGAUUUAAUUCCAACAUCCAUUCUAAUGUUUUGCUAUUAUAUUUAGUUUAAUUUUAUGUUUAAAGCUUCUACAAUGAAUAGCGGAGCUUGGGUUUUAGUUUCAUUUUCUAGAUAACUUGUUUUAGUUUAUCUUGUAUGCUCACCAAGUGCUUGUUAUAUUGUCUGAUAAGUAAUAUACAUUGCUGAUUCUAUAUUAGUAAUGGUACGUUCUAUUUUCAGAAAUUAUAAUACAAAAGUUUUUAUAAUGGCGUAAAUGAAAGUUCAUAUUGUGUAAGAGCAUGUAGAUGUAAAGCAUCAUUACCAUUUCUACAAAGUGCUUUCAUUCUGUUCAGAUGCUCUUCUUGAACUUUGAAAGGUGCCUCGUUCAAGUCCUAGCUAUAACUACUAGCUUUGAUAAAUUAAGUUCCUAUAUUAGCUGAAACAGAUUUAUUUAAUUAAUUAAUUGUGCAUGUACUAAUUAUAUUGAAAGUAUAUGAAUUUUUUUUUUUUUAACAUGAAUGACUUCUAAAUGACUUAAAAACCUAAAGGAUGUGUGAAAUAAUGCUCAUUUCACUUGAAUGAGCCUAUUAAUACUUUUAUGUCUAUGAUUGUCAAUAUUGACUUAAGCAUUUCAGUUAAAGUGGUUUUCCUAGCAGAGGAAAAAAUUUUAAUAGAAAAACUUCAGAGUUCUAACAGAAAUAUAGUUCACUAUGCAGAUUUACGGUAUACAAAUCAAGUUGUCCUAAUCUCAAUGUCCUAUGACUGAUUUUAUUUGAUAUAGUCAUUAAUUUUUGCCAUGGUCUUUUGUGUUUAUGAGUAUGAAAUAGUGGGAUUUGGUGUACCUUAGCAUCUUUUGAAAAUUCUCUUUAAGUGUGGCCAACAGACAUAUCCGUAUAAUCAAGUUUCUUAAUCGUGUAUAUCAGUUUUGGGUAUGAAUGUUCCUAUUCUAGUUCUAGGCAAAGCUUAUUCGUUUUGGUCUUCAGAUUUCCAGUAGGUUAAGUUAAUCAACUAUCAUAACUGGCUAGCUAGUUAUUGUCUGCCUUGGCGCCAUUACCCAGGCCAUUAUAUUGCAUAGCAUAAGGAAUAGUGAUUAGGUGAUUAUUAGUGAUUUGUUGAGCUUAUUAAUGACCAAACAAACAUAUUCGCCUUUGUCCACCACUUAGUUUGAUUAGUUAUUAGACCAUAAAGAGCCUUGAGCUAUUCAUUGGCUUUAUUAUUUUUAUUUGGUUUUUCUUUCAGCAAUAUUGUUGAUUUCUUAUAAAAAUAUUCAUUGGUUUUUAAAAACCUAAUCAUUGGCUAUAUGAAGCUAAUUAAAACUGAGGCUUUGGAUCAAUUUCUUCUAACAAGAUACAAAUGAGCAUAACCUAUCUCCUCUAAGUAAAUUUUUUUAAUAUCCUUGAUUUGUAAGGAUCUGGAGGCCUGAAAUCCUCAAGAUUUUUUUUUUUAACACUGUUGAUGUUCUUUUUAUUCUGAAAAGGAAAUAAAAGGUUUUAUCUUUCAUACCCUAAUAGUAAGCUGGCCUUGUCUUAACAUGGCCUCCCGAGGAUUUGCAAGAUUCAUAGUGCCCCCCAACCCCCAAAAAAAAAAAAAAACACAAAUAGGAAGAUUUUGCAAGAUUCACCACCAGGUUUUUUUUAAUUUAUUAAUUGUGCGUACGUACUAGUUAUAUGUUGAAAAAAUAGGAAGAAGUAUUUCAACAUGAAUGACUUAAAACUUAUUGCUCAGUAAACAGAAUCUGCAUCAGUGCGAAAAUGUAUUUAUCGUUUGAUUUUUUAUGGUUUUGCUUAAGAAAUGAUAUGUGAAAUAAUGUUACAUUGUAUCAGGAAUAAAUUGAAGAGAUUUAUGAUAUUUAUGUGUUAUUCAAAUUUCAGAUUCAAUUUUAAACUUUUGAUACGUGCAUUGAAAGCUUAGACUUGUUUUAAGAAAUUAUUAAUAGACACAUGUUUUAUUAGUGUCAUCCUUGGAUGAUAGUGAGGAUCGUAUGUCUAUUAAUAAUUCUUGAAUUGUCCAGGCUUGGACAGUUUGGGAAUGCAUAGUUCUCUCUGGUAGCUAGUGGCUGAAGUUUUUUUCCCACGUAAAAAUGGGUUUUUCGGUAGCUGCUCCUCGUGUUCUCUGGGUACGUACUAGGUGGAUGGGUGUCAUGUGUUGUUUUGGCAAAACGCAUAAACACGUAUAUAGCUAUGUCUAGUGCUUGGAGAAUUAUUAGGGAGAUGGUGCCGAAAUUUUUAUAAACGUAGAAGAAAACUUUCGGUACUUGAGAUUGAAGAAACUUAUGUAUUCUUGAGUGGGAUAUGUAGGAUUACUUACCUUUUGUAAAUAUGAAGGGAAUGUUGGAUAUAUUGAGGAUAGUGUAGGAGCUGAGUUGGAUGAAUGUAAUUGGUGAUGAUUUUGCUGAGCUGACCUUGGUUUUGAGCUUGUAAAUGGAGUGCUAUCUCCAGUGUUGGUUUAUAAAUAUGUUUCAGGACUUGCUGACCUAAUUUUUUGUUUCUAGGUUACAGGCUUUAUAUAUCUGUAAUUGAUGGCCAAGUGAAGUUCUCAGCACUUGGCGAGGAUAUUUCUUUACAGAAGGUAUUGGAAACUGUUUUUCACAUUAAUUAUUGUUGUACUUGUAUAUAUACUUUGAUUUUCACAUUUGUUGUACUUGUAUAUAUACUUUGAUUUUCACAUCUUUUUCUCUGAUUCUUGUGGCUUUGCUUGCUUUCAUGUAUGUAAAUUCUAAUGAAAUUAACCAUAAAAUUGUAAAAUGAUCUUUUUAUUAUAUUGCAAGACUGUGCUCACACGAAAAUAUCUUGUUUAGUAGUAGAAAUUAGGGGUGGGUCAAAGCGGGUUCGGGUCGGGUUCAGGUCAACCCGAUCAAGUUUUUUGGGUCGGGUGAAAAUUAACCCGAAUUCAACCCGAAUUACUGACCCGACGGGAACCGACCCGAAUUAAUUCGGGUCGGGUCGGGUCAGUAAUUCGGGUUGAAUUCGGGUUAAAUUGGGUUCGGGUUUAAAUCGGGUCGGGUCAUUCGGGUCAUUUCGGGUUGGUUCGGGUCAAAUCCGGUUAAUGCACUUUUUAGCUCUUUUUUUUUCCUAUUUUUGUAGUUUUAGGGUGUUUUAAAACAUUUUCUUAAUUGUAAUCCUUUUUACUAAUUUUCAACCAAAAAAAGAAAAGAAAAUAUUAUGAAAUCAAAUGAAUAAAGUUAAAAUGCAAGAAUAUGAUUAUUUGCCUAUUGUCUUGGAAGGGAUUAGGAUUAUUAUUUGCUCAACCAACAAAGUCCAAACCUAAUAAAAGUUAAAAUUAAUAGUUUAAUACAAACUUACAAAAUCUAAAGUUAAUAGGCUAUUACAAACUUACAAAAUCUAAAGUUAAUAGGCUAUUAGUCUCCAUUCAAAGCACAAUUUCUAAAUACUAGUCUUUGAAAGUUUGAAAUAUAAAAUCAAAAAAUUUAAACAUAAUUAAAUUUUUCGGAAACAUAAUUAAAGUGUCCAAGCAUCUGAAUAUACAAAAUAAUAAUUAAUAAUCAUUAAUUCAAAAAUAAUCUAAUUGGUAAUUUCAAUUCAAAUUGUUCAUAUCCAUAAAUCAAAAGCAAGAAAUUCAUGAUUAAAUAAUUAAUUUAUAAUAUCCAAUUACCCAUUUCCCAUAAUAAUAUGAUAUUAUUUGUCUAUCUAUGUCCUAAUUCUUAUUAUAAACCCUUUAAUUUCAAGUCCAAAUUGAUUAACAUACAGUAAAAUAUUAAUUGAAUUAAUUAAUUUUUUAAGGUUGAAGGUUUAAAGCGAUUGCACAAGUGCACAUAAUCACAUAACACAAUAACACAUUAUAAUUAGAAAAUAUAUGUAACAUCAUAUUUAAUUUUAAUAUUUAAUCUAUCUACCUAAUCUCCUAAUUUAUUCAUUAAAAAAAAUUAUUAAUUGUUAUUAACAAUUAUUAACAAUUAUCAAUUAACAUUGAUAUAAAUCUUAAUAAUUAACAAAAUUUUUGUUAUUUAUUAACAAUUAAUAAAAAUUUAUUCAUAACAAAAUCAUAAAAACAUCAAUUUUUUUGAUUUUAUUACUAACAUUUAAAAAUACAUAAUUACAAAUUUACAACAAUUAAACAAUAAUCAAUUACAUAAUAAAUAACCAAUUAAGCAAUAACUAAGAAGCAUAUAUAACUAUAUAAUAUACCAUGAAAGAUUGAAAUUGAAACUUGAAAGUGAAACUUGAAAGUCAAAGCUUCAAAUCGGUUCGGGUGAGAGUGGGAGAAACUCGAGUCGGGUUGGUCCGGUUGGAACUUGGAAGCUUCGGCCUUGGGCUUGGAGGCUUGGAGCAGCAGAUCGGCCGACGGUGGAACACGGCAGGCGGCAGCAGAUCGAGGCAACAGAUCACGGCUGUAGGAAGUGGGCAGAUCGAGGCAGCAGAUCACUGCAGCAAGAAGUGGGCAGAUCGCAGCAGCAGGAUGUGGGCAGCAGAUCGCGGCAGUGGGCACUAGGCAGCAGAUCGCGACGUGGCUGAUUGGCUAUGGCCUGUGUGCGUGAGUGGCUGCUAUGUGUGCUCUAUGUUCCGUGGAGACUGGAGAGUGGAGUGGUUGUGGUGUGGCGGUUGGCCUGUGUGUGUGACUGUGUGUGAGGCCGUGAGUCCGUGACUUGUGAGUGUGUGAGUUGUGAAUCUUGUGACUUUGUGUGUGAGAGUUGAGACUUAGACUAUGAAUUCACAGUUGUGAUUCUGUGCGUGUGACUGUGAGUGAGUGGUUGUGGUGUGUGUAAUCUGUUUUUUUUUUUAGGUGACCCGAUUGGGUAUUCUGGUUCGGGUGACCCGAUCGGGUUAACUUUUUCACCCGAUCGGGUUUUAGUAACAACCCGAUCCGACCCGAACCUGAAAUUUUUCGGAUCGGGUCGGGUAAAAUGCCCACCCCUGGUAGAAAUCAAGAACUAAAAUGAUUUAUUUAACUAAUAUUUGUAGCGCAUUAAAAGGAGACAGUCAUGGACAAGUGUUGGGUUGGUUUGCCAAAUAGAAAUCCAAGUCAUAUACUGAUGGGUAGGGGUGGGCAUAAACCCACAACCCAUGGGUUUACCCAAACCCAAACCAAAUUAAAUGGUUUGGGUUGGGUAAAUUAUGAAAAUGGGUUAGAUGUGGGUUUUAUAUAGAAAACCAUUUCAUUAUGGGUUGGGUAUGGUUUACCCAUGUGUUAUGAAUAAAACCCCAACACUCAAAUUUUUCAAAUGAAAUAAAUGAAAACAAAAUAAAUGAACACAAAUAGGUAAAAUAUUUUAUUAUUUAUCUUAUAAUAAAUUUUUAUUUGUCAUUCAAGUUUUCUUAUAAUAAUUUUUUUAUCAUUUUACUAAUAUUUUUCUUAUAUAUUUAUUAUAAGAAAAUUUUCACAAAAUAAAUAAGUAUAAAAAAAAUUUAUUAUUAAUUUUUUUGUUCAUAUCAAAAUAUAUAUUUCUUAUUUUUAAUGCUUUAUUUUUUAUUUAGUUUCUAUUCAUGUGAUUAAGUAUAAAAAAAUUUUAUUAUUAAUUUUUUUGUUCAUAUCAAAACAUAUAUUUCUUAUUUUUAAUGCUUUAUUUUUUAUUUAGUUUCUAUUCAUGUGAUUUAUUUAAUUUAUAAUAAAUAUAAAUAAAAGAGUAGUUGAAAAUAAGGGUAAUAUUGUAAACUUAUGCUAUUAGAGGGGUUUUUGGCCAUUAUAAAAACAUAAGGGGGAAAAAUGAUAUAUCUCCCUAAAUUUAUGCAUAUAAGUAGACAACAUAACGCAAAACUACCAAAACGAUAAAUAAAAUCAAAUAUUGCAUAAUUAAAUAAAUAAUAAGUGGCAAAAUUUAUUAUUAGAUUGUUAAUGUCAUGUUUGUGAAAGUUUAUUAUUAAAGUGUAUGUUCUUAUUUAUUGAGAAAUAAUAAUUUUUGUGUGUUAAACUUUAUUUUAAUUUUCUAGUAUUCUUUAAUUUAAGGAUUAAGUUAUUGUAAAAUUUAUAAUUUUUAUCCACUAUAUUUUUUUAUAUUUUAAUAUCAAUUUAAUAAUUAAUAACAAUUAAUAAUUAUUAUAAUUUUGAUAUAAUUAAAUUUUAUUAAAAUAAAAAUUAUUUUGAUAAUAAAAUUCAAACCAAACCCAAACCAAACCCAAAUGAUUUGGUUUGGGUUGGUUUGGAUUGGAUCUUAAUUUUUAUGGUUUGGUUUGGGUUGACUUAAAAUCCAACCCAAACCAACCCAUGCCCACCCCUACUGAUGGGGUUGAAAAAUUUAUAGAUUUUACAUUUGAGAAUGUUGUUGGUGGCACAAGAAUUUAUUGUCCUUUUAAGAAGUGUUGUAAUCUAUAUUUCGUUAUAAGGGAAGUGGCUGAUGAUGAUAUGGUUGGAAUGAUACACUGCAUCACGUAAUCAAAUGUUCAAGUUACACGCAACAUUGUUAUGGACUAUCAGUCAACUUUCUAGCAUUGCCAACUUGUCUGGGUGGAGUAUUAAAGGUAAAUAAGCAAUUAAGCAUGUCUUGUUUGCCAGCAAAACACUAGAUCUAAUACAUAGUAGAAAAUUUUGUCACAUGGAUCACCGUCGAUUUUUACCAACAAAUCAUAGGUUUCGAAAAUAUAGUGUCUUUUGAUAAAACUAGAGAGUAGGGCAAAGCACCCUCUCGAUUGUCUGGAACUGAAGUGAAAAAGCAGUUUAAUAUACUUACUGAGUAUAAGAUUGAAGACUUCAAAAGAGGAAAACGAAUAAAAUGAGAGAAAUGAUAAGAUUACUUGGAAGAAGAACAACAUUUUUUAUGAACUACCGUAUUCACCAUGAUCUUGAUAUCAUGCACUGUUUUAAUUUUUGUUAUGAAUUCAGAUCAAAAGUUUAAUGUGAUCAAAAUUUCUUAAAAAAAGUGAAAACGACUCCUCCUAAUAAUAUGGAAGAUGGCUAUAAAAGAUAAAAGGAAAGGCUUAAAAGGAAAAGCCAUGCCCGUCAAAAAAAAAAAAUGGCAGCGUCAAAUUUAUAACAAAAAUAAAAACGGUGCGUUUGAGAGUGUAAAAAAUACAUUUAGUGGGAGUUGUGUUGUUGCUUGAAGGCAGAUUGUUUGUGAGAUUUUUGUCAACGAAGCCAAAACCAAAGAUGAAUUACGAGGGUUAUGUUUGCCAUAGUCAAGGAACACUGUCCUCUCACCGUUGCCGAAACUUGGGAACGCGUCAAGGCGUGUGUAUCUGUUAAAUUGAAUUUCAACCGUUUGAUCUGUAAUUAUAAUUAAUCCAAUCAAUCUGACAGUGAUCACUGAUCAUAAUUCUAGUAGUUGUUUUACAAAUUCAGCAAGCUGGAGCAAGCGGAUUGACGGGCAAAAGCUGUCAAAUAAGGUGUCCAUCUAGAUGGUAUAAAGCAGCCAUCUAGAUGGUCAGCACAAUUUUGUUCAAAGAAGACGAAGAAGAAUUUGGCAGCAGUAAAUUUGGAAUGAAGAAAAUGGAAAAAGAAGAAGUUUGAAGAAGAAAAAGGGGAACGAUUUUGACAAGAAAAAAAAUUAAUUAUUAUUUUAAUAGCCAAUUUUGGCUAUAUAAAGGGAGCUCUUCAUUUAGUUUUCAGCAUCUAAUUUUGUAGAGAGAGUUGAGAGUUGUGAGAAGUGAUUCUUGCAAGAGCAAAGAAUUUUGUGUACUUAGUGAUUUGAGAGUUUGGGUGUAUUGGGAUUUUGGGUAGUGAGCUAAAAUACUACAAUACUUGUAACUCCUUUUCACUAGUAAAAUAUUUCUUUUUGUUUUUGCCUAUGGACGUAGGCUAAAAGCUGAACCACGUAAUUUCUGGUGUCCUCUAUUGUGCUUGUUCUUUAUUUUCUUACAAUUUCAUUUUAGCUGCGAUCCUGCUUCACCCACCAAUUUCCUAACAGUGGUAUCAGAGCUAUUGGUUGUAUUUUUGGAGUCGGGUACUAUUCACGUAAGGGUACUAUUCACAUAUACGGUACUAUUCACGUGUACGAUGCUGUUCACGUAUACGGUACUAUUCACGUAUCCGGUACUAUUCAUGUAAAACGGUGGGAGCGAUCCAAGAAUUUUACGGUGUUAAGCAGGGAAUAGUGGUGUGAGUAAAACAACUGUGUGGUUUUGUACAUGUCUAGGAAAGUUCCGUCACAAAGGUGAUAACAGCUUAAGGAGUUUGGGUUUUAAGUGGGAUCUUUGUGACCCCUCCAGUUUUUCCUAGGAACUUUCUUAGUGUGCAUAUUCACACAUACUCACAACUAUUCAAGGUGAUACACUAGUUUGUGUACAAUAUUUAUCAACAAAAUGGCGACAAAGUAUGAAAUUGAGAAAUUUAACGGAAAUAACUUUUCGUUGUGGAAAAUUAAGAUGAAAGCUGUAUUGAGGAAAAAUAAUUGCUUGGCAGGAAUUGGAGAAAGGCCCAUGGAGAUAACUGAUGACAAGUGGAACGAGAUAGAUGGCACCGCCAUUUCAGAUCUACACUUGGCACUUGUAGAUGGAGUAUUAUCCAGUGUGGCAGAGAAAAAUACAGCGAAGGAAAUAUGGAAUACUCUUACAAAAUUGUACGAGGCCAAGUCACUACACAACAAAAUCUUCUUGAAGAGGAAACUCUAUACUCUUCGAAUGACGGAAUCUACAAUGGUAACCAACCACAUCAACACCUUGAAGACUCUAUUUUUACAACUCACAACGUUGGGUCAUAAUAUAGAGAAGAAUGAACGUGCAGAGCUUCUACUUCAAAGUCUACCAGAUUCGUAUGAUCAGCUCAUCAUCAACCUGACGAAGAACAAUCUAGUGGACAGUCUAGUUUUCGACGAUAUUGCAGCCUCCAUAUUAAAUGAGGAGAGCAGGCGAAAAAAUAAGGAAAACAGACAAGCAAGUUCGCAGCAAGCGGAGGCGCUAUCGGUGACGAGAAGGAGAUCAACGGAACGUGGCCCCAGUGGGAGUCAAAAUCAUGGUAGAUCAAAAUCCAUAAGUAAGAAGAAUGUUAAAUGCUACAACUGUGGUAAGAAAGGGUACGUCAAAAAGGAGUGUUGGAGUAACCAGAAGAGAAGAGAGGGUAAAGAACCUGAGUCAUCAAAUGCUCAGGGGUGUGUAGCAAGUACCUCAGAUGAUGUCGAAAUUCUCUACAGCGAAGCAACAACUGUUUCAGAAGGCAGAAAAUGACUUUCUGAUGUCUGGCUUAUAGACUCAGGAGCUACCUGGCACAUGACCUCUCGGAGAGAGUGGUUCCACACAUAUGAACCUAUCUCAGGAGGAUCUGUAUAUAUAGGUAAUGAUCAUGCCUUGGAGAUCGCUGGUAUUGGUACUAUCAAAAUAAAAAUGUUUGAUGGUACAAUUCGCACAAUUGGGGAGGUACGACAUGUCAACGGCCUGAAGAAAAAUCUUUUGUCUUUGGGACAAAUGGAUAGUCAUGGGUAUAAAACUCAUGUGGAGAAUGGAAUUAUGAAGAUCGUUAAAGGAGCGCUUGUAUUGAUGAAGGCAGAAAAGAUCGGUGCUAAUCUAUUCAUGUUUAAAGGAGAAACACUACAGGAGGCUGAUGCGUGUGUCGCAUCAAAUGGAGAAGAGUCAACGAUGAUGUGGCAUCUCAAACUUGGUCACGUGUCAGAAUAAGGCUUGAAGAUUCUCUCUGAGCGAAAAUUGCUUCCGGGGCUCAAAUCGGUAAGUUUACCAUUUUGCGAGCAUUAUGUUACAAGUAAGCAGCAUAGAUUAAAAUUCAGUAGAUCUAUUGCUAGAAGUAAAUGCAUUCUAGACUUGAUUCAUUCUAAUGUUUGGGAAUCACCGGAUAUAUCCAUGGGAGAUGCAAAGUACAUGGUGACUUUCAUUGAUGAUUAUUCCAGAAGAUGUUGGGUGUAUCCAAUUAAGAAAAAGUCAGAUGUAUUUCCAGUGUUUAAAGAAUACAAAGCGCGGGUGGAACUUGAAUUUGGUAAAAAAUCAAGUGCUUGAGGACGGAUAAUGGUGGAGAGUAUACAGACGGCGAGUUUCUUGCUUUCUGUAAGUAAGAAGGUAUCCAGAGGCAGUUCACGGUGGCAUACACUCCUCAACAAAAUGGAGUGGCAGAGCGGAUGAACAGAACUCUUACAGAAAGAAUAAGAGCUAUGUUGAGGAUUGCUGGUCUACCCAAUUCAUUCUGGGCAGAAGCAGCCAAAAUUGCUUGUUAUAUAGUAAAUCGAUCGCCAUCUACAGCUAUUGGGCUGAAGACAGUGAUGGAGAUGUGGACUGGAAAGCCAGCUGAUUAUUCCUACCUACAUGCAUUUGGAUGUCUUGUGUACGUAAUGUACAAUGUCCAAGAAAGAACAAAACUAGAUGCAAAAUCUAGAAGAUGUAUCUUCUUGGGAUAUGCUGAUGGAGUAAAGGGGUAUCGUUUGUGGGACCCCACUGCCCACAAAAUCGUCAUCAGCAGAGAUGUUAUUUUUGUAGAAGAUCAACUGCAAAUGAAAGAUGGAGGUGAUGGCACUGUAAAAGAAAAGUCAGAGACUGUGCCAGUAUAUGUGAAAAAUAAUCUAGAAGAUUCAGAUUCUUCUGAAGCAGCACCAGAGCACGAGGAAUAAGAACCAGUCGAGUCUGAGGCUCCAGAAGUUCGUCGGUCAACUCGUGAGAGACGACCACCAACGUGGCACUCGGAGUAUGUCACAGAGAUCAAUGUUGCAUACUAUGUCACAGAGAUCAACGUUGCAUACUGUCUUCUAACAGAGGAUGGAGAGCCUUCAACUUUCCAUGAAACUUUAAACAACUCAGAUGUUGCUUUGUGGAUGACGGCAAUGCAGGAAAAAAUUGAAGCUCUACACAAGAACAAGACAUGGAAACUUGUACCACUACCACGUGGAAGAAAAGCCGUUGGUAACAAAUGGGUCUACAAGAUCAAACGUGAUGGCAAUGACCAAGUGGAGCGGUAUCGUGCAAGAUUGGUGGUGAAAGGAUAUGCUCAGAAAGAAGGUAUUGACUUCAACGAGAUAUUUUCUCCGCUGGUUCGACUCACAACAGUCAGAGUAGUUUUGGCGAUGUGUGCUACAUUUGACUUACAUAUAGAGCAGUUAGAUGUGAAAACUGCAUUUCUUCAUGGAGAACUUAAAGAAAAAAUAUAUAUGCUCCAACCAGAAGGUUUUGCAGAAACAGGAAAGGAGAACUUGGUUUGCAGGUUGAACAAAUCUCUAUGCGGUCUCAAACAGGUGCCGAGGUGUUGGUAUAAGAGAUUUGAUUCCUUCAUCAUGAGCCUUGGAUACAACAGACUCAGUUUAGACCAUUGUGCAUAUUACAAGAGGUUUGAAGAUAAUGAUUUCAUUAUUUUGCUGUUGUAUGUGGAUGACAUGUUGGUAGCAGGUCCCAACAAAGAUCGAGUCCAAGAAUUAAAGGCACAGUUGGCUAGAGAGUUUGAAAUGAAGGACUUGGGACCAGCAAACAAGCUUCUAGGGAUGCAAAUUUACCGAGACAGAAAUAGCAGGAAGAUUUGGCUUUCGCAGAAGAAUUACUUGAAGAAAAUCUUGCGGCGCUUCAACAUGCAAGAUUAUAAGUCAAUUUCUACCUCACUUCCUGUUAAUUUCAAAUUAUCCUCAAGUAUGUGUCCUACCAAUGAAGCAGAGAGGAGGGAGAUGUCUCGAGUACCAUAUGCAUCAGCAGUGGGAAGUUUGAUGUUCGCUAUGAUAUGUACUAGACCGGACAUUGCACAAGCAGUGGGAGUAAUCAGUCGAUACAUGGCAAAUCCUGGUGGAGAGCAUUGGAUAGCUGUAAAGAGGAUUCUGAGAUACAUCAGAGGAACCUCAGAUGUUGUAUUAUGUUAUGGAGGAUCAGAGUUUACUGUCAGCAGCUAUGUGGAUUCAGAUUUUGCAGGAGACCUUGAUAAAAGAAAAUCUACUACUGGUUAUGUGUUUACACUUGCGGGAGCAGCUGUAAGCUGGGUUUCGAAACUGCAGACUGUUGUGGCUUUAUCUACAACAGAAGCAGAAUACAUGGCAGCUACACAAGCUUGCAAGGAAGCUAUUUGGAUACAAAGGUUAUUGAAGGAGCUCGGGCACAAACAACAGAAAAUUCCUGUGUUUUGUGACAGUCAGAGUGCCUUGCACAUUGCAAGGAAUCCAACCUUUCAUUCCAGGACAAAGCACAUAGGAGUUCAGUAUCACUUCGUUCGAGAAGUAGUGGAAGAUGGAAGUGUAGAUUUACAGAAAAUCCAUACGAAGGAGAACCUAGCAGAUAUUUUGACCAAGCCGAUAAAUACUGAUAAAUUUGUCUAGAGUAGAUCCUCUUGUGGCCUAGCAGAAACGUAGACAACAUGAUUAUGGCGAAGCAGAAAGGAUGGUGUGGAAAUUAAUUAAUUCUCAUUUAAAUCUCCAAGUGGGAGAAAUGUCAAAUAAGGUGGCCAUCUAGAUGGUAUAAAGCAGCCAUCUAGAUUGUCAGCACAAUUUUGUUCAAAGAAGAAGCAGAAGAAUUUGGCAGCAGUAAAUUUGGAAUGAAGAAAAUGGAAAAAGAAGAAGUUUGAAGAAGAAAAGGGGGAACGAUUUUGACAAGAAAAAAAAUUAAUUAUUAUUUUAAUAGCCAAUUUUGGCUAUAAAAAGAGAGCUCUUCAUUUGGUUUUUAGCAUCCAAUUUUGUAGAGAGAGUUGAGAGUUAUGAGAAAUGAUUCUUGCAAGAGCAAAGAAUUUCGUGUGCUUAGUGAUUUGAGAGUUUGGGUGUAUUGGGGUUUUGGGUAGUGAGGUAAAAUACUACAAUACUUGUAACUCCUUUUCACUAGUAAAAUAUUUCCUUCUGUUUUCGCCCGUGGACGUAGGCUAAAAGCUGAACCACGUAAUUUCUGAUAUCUCUAUUGUGCUUGUUCUUUAUUUUCUUACAAUUUCAUUUUAGCUGCGGUCCUACUUCACCCACUAAUUUCCUAACAAAAGCCACAUGAAGAUUGUGUGUGUUGAGAUGGAAGAGGGAGAGACAAAAGCUUAGGCUCGUCUGCAAUCACGUAGGCCCUCAUAAGUGAAUCCUGUACACAACUUGGUUCACCAAACCCAACAACUUGAAGCUGCCUUAACCUUGUAGUGAAACGGUGAUGAUGGAAGCCCCUCAGCAAGUCAGCAUGUAAACUUUUCAACAGCGACACAGCUCUUAUUCCAGAGGCCGCACAAAAGAGCGACCUGAAUCCUUUUCAAAACUUUCAAAUUUUUAUCAAGUAAAGCUUUCAAAAUUUCUCAACAAAUUGAUUAUUUGGUGUGGUUGCCACAUUUUGUGCAACUGCUAUUCGUUUUCGAGUACAAAUUCCUUGCCUUCUAAGUUAGGGAAGAUAGAUGUGAAGCAAACAGGGAAACAGAACAAACAGGGCAAAAAUUAAAAUAACAGAACAGCAAUGAUGGCAAUCAACAAACUAAUAGCAAUAUUGCAUUUGAUUCUUUAGACCAAUUGUUCAUUCUCUCAGCAUUCUUCAAUAGUUUUUGAAAAUUAGAUGUGAAGCAAACAAAAUAAAACAAAUUUAGACAACAGAAGCCCUGUAUUCAGCAUCAUAUAUAUACCUUGAAUACCUAAUAUAAUAAAUUUCACAUCUAAAAUACUAGAAAUUUCAAACAGUACCAGCAAUAGAAUAAUGACAACGACAACAAUAACAGAAAAUUAUAAGAUUGCUGAUAAAAUUUCAUUUGCAUGGAUGUCUGACAAAAUUUCUAUGAUUUAAUGUGCUUUCAUGCAUGCAAAUCCUAACGUUUCUGUGAUCACAAAAUGAAACUGAAGAUAAAUCAGAACAACUACCAAACCUUUGGCUGAAAAUUCAGAAGAAUUUAUAUUCAAAAUGUCAAAAUAAACUGGAAAUUUAUUUCACAUAUUACAAGAAGCAGUGCAGACCAAUGGUAAAUUGAUACAUCGUUUUUGAACUUAAUAGCGGCGGGUUAAUGUAACACUUUCAAAGCUGCAUGUAGUGAUACAGUAGAGUGAAUACCCUCAGAAUGUAAGCUUAACUUCAAAGGACGGAGCACGAGUUUCACAGAAAAGUAGCUCUUAUUUCUGAUGCUGCAAACACAGAGAAGUGACCUCAAUCUUCUUCAUAUUUAUUUUGAAAAAUUUUCAUAUAACCUGACUAACCGAGAUUAAUUUUGUGGUAAUGUAUUGGGUCAUUAUUUUUUAUGUUCUUACUGUGAUCACUUUAGGAAAAAACUAAUUUCUCAAUGUGAAAUGGCCCAUAAAAAUUAUUCUCAUUUAAAAACUAAAUUUGACAGACCCCUCGAUUAAAACAGGGGAAAAAAAAAAAAGAUCUGAAGGCUUUCCACAUGAAAAUGUUGUCACUUUGAAUGAUAUUUUCAAGGAGAAUAAAAUUCCUUUUCUAAAAAUAAAAUACCUUAUUCUUCAAAUUGACAGCUCGCCAAGUACUGAAGGCGUAUGAGAUCAGUACUGCGACGAGUAAGGAGACGAACCCUCCAACAGCUGAAAAUAAAAUUCGCAUUCAUGAAUUUAAAUUAAAAUUCAUAUUAUGAAAUUAAAACUAAUGAUUAAUGAAUUUUCGAGGAAUUUAAUAAGAUUCUCAUAUAUAAACGUGAUUAAAAAUUCACUCAUUAAUAACAAAUAUUCUAACAGUUACCCGUACCUUUUCUUGAUGUAAUUGUUGUAUGAUUGUGUUAAGGUCAUUAUUAGACCAACGCACUUUGUCCUCACUCCUUCCGUACCGGACGUUUACUCUCAGAGGCGUGGUUGAUUCUCCUUUGGUGAAAAUCUUCAUCUUGGGACAACCAAUCACCGACAAAUCUUGCAAACAUGGGAAUUUGAAGGUGUAAUUGGCAGAGGAGAAGCUUGUGAGACUAUCUAAAUCAAACAGGGACAAUGUAAUCAAUUUGCUGAAAACAAUCUCUUCUUUUAUAUUUGCUGUUUCAUCUUCGUCACAUACUACGACUUCUGUCAUUGCUGUGCAUCCAAAUACCUUCAAUGAUAAGAGUCGCUCCAGACUUUUUGCUGUGGAGCAUGUUCCUAAGUUCAUCAAUUUCUUGCAAGCAAAAGCUUGCAGAUGUGCGAGAUUCCGAAAAGAUACCGAUGAUGAUGGCAAUAGACUUAACAGAUUUUGACAGUGAUAUGCUCUUAGAAUUUCAAGAUGUUGAAAAAUGAAGUCCAGCUGUUUGGAGUCACGUUUCCACAGUUGCUGCAGACGAUUAAGUCUGGUCAGGUUUAACUUUUUUAUCAGUGCCAACUUCCUCCCAUGUUUCUCCAAAUAUCCUUCAUUUGAAAAUACCACUUCAUACGAACAAUCCGACAGGAAGAGAAGUUUCAGAUUGUUAAACCUCUCAAGUAAACCAAGUUGAAAGCAAGCUAAGUCAUCAUCCCCAACAUGUAGUAGUUUAAGACUGCCAAAGAGGUGUUGUGGGAAAUCGCCUUGCAAAAUCAUCGUGAUGUCUUUUCCACUUAAUGCCAGUUCCUCCAAGUUGGGUAAGAUCUGAUCAUCAUCGAGCUCAAAUUAUUAACUUAGCACAUUGAUCCAUAAUUCAAGACUGGCAAAAUUCAUUGUGUAAUCAAAGUUUUCAAUGAUCUAACUAAUAUAUAUAUAUAUAUAUAUAUAUUCCUUCUCUAAUGCGGACAUCCUCAUUUUUUUUUCUUGUGGACCAAUUUUUAGACCCCAUGGUUUAAAAAAGUUAAUUUUUAACUCUCUAAAACCGCAUGGCUUCAUAAUUCAUUAAAAAACUAACUCUCUUAAACCGUACGGUUUAAAAGCGUGUCCACAUUAAAAAAAAUACGAACCCCCCACACCUGAGAAUGAUUAUAUAUAUAUAUAUACACACGCUCUUAAACUGUGGGAUUUGAAAGCUUCUCCGCAUGAAAAAAGUAAAAAAUAAGGGCAUUCCCACUUGAAAAAAACUCCAUAUAGGUAUUUAUUAAACCUGUGAGUGAGGAACAACAAAGAUAAUUGAUAAAAAAAAUCUAAAAUUUGGUUUCAUACCUUCUUGAACGAGAGCAGGGGUUGUUGUGCCGGAAUACCAAAUUGAUCAUUCUCGUUAUUCUGGGACAACGUUAUUUUAUCACAAUUACAGGCCUCCAAAUGUUUUAGUGCUGGCCAUUCUGAAGUAUGCAUUCCAGGGUAUAAACAUCUGAGUUCUGGUAGACCUUCGAGAUUCAGAGUGGUCACUUGUGGAAAGACAAAAUAUGGGGUCACUUGAUCUGCUCUGUCUUUGGAGAUGAUCUCUUGUAAACCCAUACAUAUCCGUAUCUCCAGGUGUUGGAGGUGCUUAAGGCUUUGGAUCAUAGAAGCUGAAAAUAUGUAUUUUAAUUUGUCACAGCCCCACACUAUCAAUCGUGUCAAACUUUGAAAGUAAGUAAUCAUGGCCGCAAGUUGAUUGUCAUUCCAAAUCUCGUCGACAUUAAUAGCAUUCAGCUCCAAAGCCUCCAAAUUUGGCAACACUACCUAAAGAUAAUUUUCUCUUUAGAUCCAAUAUCCGUAUGGAAAGCACUUGUUUUGACACAAUAUCCAUAUAAGAAGCACCUAAUUAAGAGCUUAAUUAGCGAGUGUAUGAGACUUUUUUUUUUUUUUUCAAAUUAGAGUGCAUGAUAGAACUAAAGAAAAAAAAAGAAGCAUUAGCCUACGUACCUUCUCGUUGAAAAGCAGAGUUGACGUUUCCGAACUGAUCUCGUUGGAACUGGCUGUCAAUUCCUCUUGCGACUCUUGUCUGUUUGGUGAUGUGGAAGGAGUCUUCACUUCACCGCAAAACCUUGUAACCUUUGGAAGCUUUCCCAGACUCAAAGAUCUUAAUUGAACAAACUCUAUCUUCUCAUCAACAUCAACAUCAGCUUCUCCUCCAGUUGCAAAAAUCUCUUCCAUGCUGCUGCAAUUGAUAACUGCAAUCCUCUCCAGUCUUGGAAGGCAUUUUGUACUACUAGAGAGCCAGAAGAUAUUACUCAACUCAUCACAAUUUUCUACUUUUAUGGUUUUGAGUUCAUUGAAGGACUCUAUUUUGAGUCGAUCAAUACAUAUCCUCUCCGUAUUGAUCAAAUUGUGAAGAGUAAGGGACUCCAAAAGAGGAAAGGCGACACAUGGUUCUCUCUCCAUUGAAUCGACGAUACACAGGAAGUCUGGAUUAUUUUGAACAUGGAGAUGCUUCAAUUGUGAAAAGCCCUCAGUGUCCAAUUCUAAAACCACAUUCUUGAUUCCUUGCAACUUAUCCAAACAUAAGUAUUCAACGUUAUUGAUGAGCUGCAACUUCUCGGAGCAAAUGGCCAUAGAAUCAAGCUUGAGCUUCAAUGUUCUUAAACUCUCAUGAUUACUGAUCAUAAAGUGCUGCCGACUUUCAAACCAAUCAUUCUCAAUAACCAGGGUAGAGUCGAAUGAUGCAUCUCCUAUUGAUAUAUCAAACCUUUCCAGCUUUUUGGAAAAAAACCCAUCCGGUAAAAUGCUAUCAUUUUUAACAUCUAUUUCUAAAGUGGUCAAUCGCCUCAAAUGCAUCAAUUCGUCGAGGGUGGCAUUACUUCUUUCACUAUUGGCCUUUUCAACUUCCCAUUCAACAGGGGAAUUACCCAUAUACAGUUCUUCCAAUCGAGUGAAGCUUGAUAAGACGUUGGGCACAAUAAAUUUUAGUUGCAAACAAUCUGUUAAAUCUAACAGCCUUAACUUAGUCAGUUGACCUAGUUCGCCAGGCAACCGUACAAUAUCAGAAUUUAAAAAGCUAAGGAUUUCUAGAUUCUUCAACUUUCCAAUUAUGGCUAUGUCUCCCAACAUGCUUUGAUCUAGACAGAGUGUUUGAAGAUUUGCUAGAAGACCGAUUGAAGAUGGCAAUGAAAAUAAUCGCAUUCGUGUCAAAUCUAUAACUCGAAGCGUUUUCAUCCCUUUGAAAAUGUUGUCAGGAAUAUUGACCUCAACAAAAGUGUUUUGGGAAAUAUGUAAAAAUUCAAGUUGCAGACAUUCAAAUUCCUCAGAAACUUCAUGAAUGCUACUAUUUAAUAAAGAGAUUGCAGAGCAUUUUUUAAGUGCAUCCUCAUCAGGCCACUCCCACACAACCUCAUUUCUCACCAAGAAAACAUGUUGGUCUCGACAUGCAAUUGAUACGACAACAUCGUAGACAACAUCAUGCAUGGAAAAUUGUUCACUGCUAUCACCCUCAAGCAAUAAACAAGAGUCUCUAAGUUCAUGGACCAAUGCAUAUAAUUUGUUUCGUGCAUCUACCAUCCUGUUGACUCCUUGAAAUAUGCCCAAACCCAUGGAGUAUUUAAACAAGUCUGUAAACCAAAAACUGUUACCUAUUAGACUGCAGAGCAGAAAAAUUUUCUUGAGUUGCUCACCUUUUAAAUACUUGAAACUCAGUUCAAUACUUGAAUAAGUCUCUGCAGGCACACCUUCGAAGUUUACCACUGAAGGCGUUUGGAGUUCUCGCAAGGCAUUCUUCCACUCAUGCAGACUCUUGUUUCUCAGUGCCCUCGCUACUGUAGUCAAGGCAAUGGGCAAACCUCCACAUGCCUGGGCUACAUUAAUUGCUGUAGACUUGAACUUACAAUUUUCAAGAUCAUCACUAUUCAUUAUCUUAAACAAUCUCCAAGCUUCUUCUUCAUUUAGAUUGCCAAUCAAGAAGUUAUCUUUGGAGCCCAUACUUAAUAGCACAUUAUUGUCUCUUGCUGUCAGCAGUAGUCUACAUCCUUUAUGAUCAUUUCCAAAGGGAAUUCCAACCGUCUCCAAAUCAACAUGUUUCCAGAUAUUAUCUAGAAUCACAAGAAUCUUAUUCUCAUUCUUCAGUCGUUCAUACAGCCUGCUAGCUCUUCUAUAUUCAGCUUCAUCGGACAACUACAGACCUAACUUCUCUGCAAUUUCCCCUUGAAUCUUUUUUAUGUCUGGAGUUUGUGAAACCUCUGAAAAAACCACCCGAUCAAACAGCUUGUCUUCCCUGGCUUGCCUAGCAAACUCCUUCACCAGUGUCGUCUUUCCAAUGCCGCCCAUGCCGUACACCCCAAUAAUGCUGACAUUCACAUCAGUCAACGCAUUUUGUAUGGACUUCAAAGUAGAAACUCUUGAUUCGAAGGCCUCGUAACCUUUGUUCGACUUAAGCCAUAUCUCCUCCGGAGUGGUACGGUGGGAAACGAUAUCAAACUUCUUAACUUCUUCUCCAAGUUCAACAAGGGCCUUCACCUCUGUCUCUGCUUUCUUGCUAAGCUGAUAGCGGGUCUUCAAAUUAGGACACAAGCCCUUGAGACAGCGCUUAUUUGUUGACUCUUCAUCUUCAACGAAUUUGGUUGCCCGGUCAAUGAUGCCGUUAGCAUUAACCAGCCACUUCUCAACCUUCUCUUCAAUCUCUUCCCCUUUUUCUUUCGCCUCUGAAACUCUGCGCUGAAUGCUCGUACGUUCAACCUUCAACUUCUCCAUUUCCGCCUUGAGAUUCUCAAGGUUGGCAUUGUAGUUCCGCUUGCGCAAAUAAACAAGUUUGCGUUCUGUUGGAGGAGCCAAGCAUUUUACAAGUUCCAAAACGAGAGUAACAAUGAUUUCCAGCAUCUUGAAUCCUGACAACAAUGUAGAAAUGAAGAAGGCCAAAGGACAGUAAGAACAGAGAGACAACGAUACGACAAGCAGUUAUGGAGCUAAAAAUAACUAACAAACAAACAGAAGCAAAGUGUUUUUCGAAUGAGAAGAAGGAAGCAAGAAAAGGGUUUCUAUUUAGAUUAAGAAUGAAUGUAAAGAAGUGACAAAGAUGUCACAUAAUGUAAUUAAGUACAGAAUAAGAAAUGAUUAAGAGAGUGGGGGAGCUAAUAAGACUGUGGAGUGAGCAAACGUAAAUAAAUUUUUCUUAACCUAUUGUCACACGCGUAUGACAAAUAAUAUAAUUAAUUUUAUAUUUUUAUUCAAUAACUAUUAAUUAUAGUUUUUUAAAAUUAUUAAAAAAAUAAUUAGGUACUGAAUUUAAAUCCUAUCCUAAAUGGUUAGAUAAAAAUAAGGGAAUGAAAAGAGUAAUGGUAAAUUAAUAAGAAGGUGUGAUUGAUUAAUUUAUGAGGCCAAUUAACGAAACGACAGAUCUAGUUUCCAUGUUUGUAAUUUAAGUGUAUGAGUACGAGGUGAACCAACUCUUUGUCGAGUCAAGCAAAUAGAAAGAGAAAUUACUAAAAUAAGAACCAGCAACUUUCACUCACACAUGAGCUAAUAAUGUAUUGAGAUUGGGCAGAGUAAUAUAAAACCUUAAAACUAGUAUAAUAAAUUUGUCAUCAAGUUUUAGCCUUCUUCUUCAACCAAUUACAGCACUAUCUUGAGCUCUGAGUUUCUUUUUUUAAAUUAUUCAAAAGAUCUCUGUCAUUAGUUUUUCAAUGAUAAAAAUUAUAUUUUUAUGUCAUAAAAUAUAAAAUUUAAAAAAAAAUGAAACAUAUAUUAUAGGUCUGUUUGAGAUUAUUUUUAAAGGCUCAAAAGUCAUUUUUUAAAGUUAAAUGUUAAUUUUGGUAUUUGGUAAAAUUUUUAAAAAUCGCCUUUGGUAAAAUCACUUAUCCCACAACAAAUUUCGGAAAGUAAAAAAGGAAUAGUUUGUCAAAAUCUAAUUUUGAUAACCAGUUUUAUACUUAAUAUAAUUCUAUAUACAACCUUAUAUAUAUUAUAAAAAUAAAAAAUUAUCCUUAUUAUUUAGGAAAUAAAAUUAUUAAUUUUAAAGAUAUUUUAACAAUUACAUUGAGAUAACAAAAUAAAAAUAAAAUUAAUAAUAUAAAAUAUUUAUUUCUGUUAUCAAUUAUUAUAUGUACAAGAUAAAAUUUUUUUUAUAUACAUGUUUAUAAAUGUAUAAAUAAAUUUUGUUUAGCAUUAUGUUCAAUUCGGUCAUUUACAUUAAUAGCACUUUUAGAAGUAAAUUUUCCUAAAUGUUUAACUGAUUAUCUUUACAGUGAUUAUUUCCACAACAUAACUACCAGAAAUUAUUGUAAAAGAUACAACAUUACCAAAAAAAUAUUGAGGUACAUUUUAAUUAAGUAAUUGACUUAAUUAUGAAUCAAUUUAUUAUUUUCAUCUGUGUUAUCUAAACCAGUUCAUUAAUGAGAUCACUCUUUUCCUUAAAUAAAAAUAUUCCUGCCAAACAAUUGUUAACAAAAUUUCAAAUAUAAAUUACAAACAACAAAAUUUUCUAAAGUCAUAACAAUUAUUUAUGUUCUAAAUACAUGUAACUAAACCACAUUGAAAGUUGUCAAAACACGAGGACCUAUUGUUAGUAAAAUUAUUUCUCAAGCAAAUGCAGUGACGGAUUUGGUUUCAUGUUUCACCCUCAAUAACUUAAUUUUCAUAUCUAACAAAUCAUUCAUAUUAUUAACAAUAUCAUCACCAACCAUAAUCUACCUAAACAUACAUAUAACUAUAUACAUACCGAAUCAGGAAAACAAUGAAGGCUACACGUAUCCGGCUCUACAAUUCCUUGUUGGUACCCUUGUGCUUCUAAAAUAAUCGACCAAUUAUAAAAAUUAGCUUUGGCGCAACUUUACCCCUUUUUUUUGGAAAACUUAACUAUAAAUAAAGUAUACAAAUCUCUAAAUUAACUUCGUUCCCAUGAAAUUCAGCAUAAAUAGAAAUAGAAUUAUAGAAACCUUACUACCUUUUAUGAGAAAUCCAACUCAUAUAUUUGAGGCCUCUCUCUCUAAACACGCGCUUCCUCUCUCUGUAGACUUUCCACCUUUGAAUUUUCCUUCACUAAGUCUACCUAAAUGAAUUUAGCAUUCUCCCAGUUUCUUUAGCAUUUUUUCUCCGUGAAAAUAGGUGAAAAAGAGAAAGUGGUUUGAUUAUUUUAAUGUAUGACAGAUCUGGUUUCCAUCUCUGUAAUUUAAGUUUGUCAAAACGAGGUGAUCAACUCUUUGUCGAGUCAGUCAAAUAUAAAAGACAAAUUACUAAACCAAGCAGAGCCCAAAAAAAAAAAUAUUUCCAAUUAAAUAAUCAUCAAGUCUUUUUCAAUUAAAUUAGGGAGUGCAGAACAACUGUCGAGAGAUAAUCAUUGUUUAUGGAGCCAUAUUAUAUUUUCGAUUAAAAUAGGUGCGCGUGAACAAUUGGCAGAAUUCGUAUAAAUUGUUGUCAGGUCUAUUAUAAUUAACAAGCGGAAUGGCCAAUGGAUGAAGAACCACUGUAAUUUCGUUUAUGAAUUCAAAAUGCUAAAGAAACUGGACAUCAACGCUACACGUGAGUCUGCGGCCCUUGCCCCAGUGUCUUUCAGGCGUUACUCGGGGUAGUUGAUAUACUGACGGCCCCUUUAUCAAUUAAUAAUCGAAAUAGAUUAAAAUAUGAAUGGAUUGGAAUGGAAUGACUUGGAAUUAAAAUAUGGAAUGACGAUUAGAUUAAUUAAUUUAUUUAAAUUGAGAAAUUAGAAUCAUAAUAAAUUAUAUUGUUAUUGAUGUAUUUGUUUUAUCUUAAAAUUGCGAUGAGUUGUUACAAAUUACUAAUAUGCCUUUGAUUUUGUAUUAUGAUAAUUAUUAUUUAUUAUAACAUUUGUCAUAUAAUAAUAAUAAUAAUAACAACAACAACAAUUAAUAUUGAAAAAUUUUUAUUGUUAAUAAUAAAUAGGCAAUUAUCCACCGACCAUGUGAUCUUUUGGACGUUUUAAAAAAUAUACAAACACUUUUUUCUUUGCAGAAAUCCACCUGAAAUUUACAAAGUGUUUCAAUUGUUCACUGUCAUCUAAAUUUUGUUAGAAUUUUCUUGACGUUGUAAGGAUAAAAUUGUUAUUUUUACCUUGACUUCCAAAGAGGAUGUCUUUCAAACAUGAUGAAAAUAAAAAAAAAGGAUAAAAAAUUAUCUGUCAACUAUCUGAUCUUUUAGCCAUUAUACAAAAUAUUAAAAAAAUAUGCGAACAUUUUUUAUUUUUUUCAACAAUCCAUCUGAUAGUUAUGAAGUGCAUUAGUGCUCCACUACUAUCAUAACCCUUUAAAAAUAUCGCUUAAACACGAGAACCUAUUGCCUAAAAUUAUUUUUCAAGAAAAUGUAACUACAGAUUUGGUUUUGAUCUUCAUGACUUUUAAGUGUACAAGAACAAGAUGAACGAACCUUUGUCGAGUUGAUGAAUUAAGAUAAAUCAAUUACAAAUCGAGAACAAACUUACGGGUGACAUUUUAGUAUUAAGCAAACUAUAAUUGAUCAUUCAAUGAUAGGCUUAUUUUCAAUUAAAUUAGAGUAAAGAUAGACAUUCCAAAUUUUUUCUCUCAAAUUUAAUCCUAGAUAAUGUGUUAUUAAUUGAGUGCUUGGUAAUUCUUUCAAGAUCUAAGUGAAUUAAUUAUAUUAUCUCUCCAACCAAUUGAUGAAUAUUAUAUUAUUUGAGAUAAUUUUUUUUUAUCUCAAAUCCCAGCAAAGAAAACAGAACAAACGGAGCAAAAAUAUUUUUAGAAACCUAAAAUAACAAAAAAAAACUUUUUCUUGUUUUUCUUAUUUUCCACUGUUAAACUUCAAAAUGAACAACUUUAUUCUACCAUCUCUCAAAUAAUAAUAAUAACAACAAUGUCAUCAUCAUCAAUAAUAAUAAUAAUAUAUUAACUUUGUAGGAUGGAGCUCUCGCAAAUCUUCAAGACACAAAAUGUGCUUGACCCCAUUGUUGUUAUUAUAAUUUCAAAAUCAUCUGUAUUAUAUAAUAUUAGGGAAUAUGACAUAGCAAAAUUGAUGGUACAUAUGUUGCAAUAUACUUGUUCAUGUGGCGACACAUUGAAGUAAAGCACAAGCAAAACAACGAAAAAUGUAACGGGAGAGCUCUCAUUAUGUAGAUUUUCAAUAGAAGUAAUGCAAAUUUCACAAGGGCAAUGUCCUUAUUUCGAAUGCUGCACCUGAGGAAUGACUUGAAUCUUCUUUAGAACUCAAGCAUUCUGUAAUCAUAGAGUAUAACAUUUCAACAAAAAUAUUAUAUAGGUCGUUCCUUUAUAUAUUUUCUGGGUACACAUACAGAAAUAUUAUUUUAGGUACAUUUCUCACAAUAAAGCCUGCCCAAUCUAGCAUUUUCGUAAGUUGGGUUUCUUAUUUACAUGUUUUUUCCAUUGGUUAAUUAUCACAAACCUCCACUGAGAUUUAGCAUGUUUUUAGUUUGAUAGAUUGUAUUCGCGUAUUCUCAAAUACCUUUUAGUUUACCACUUCGUAUAAAUUAAGUUGGUGAGGAUAAAAUCAUAAAAGUACACAUUAAUGAUAAAAAAAUUCAAGUAAACUUGAAAUUUUCAAGGGGUAAUUUUUCGGGACCUCCCCUGAGAUUCGGUGUAUUAAAAAUCUCAUAGAAAGUAUUCAUGUAAUUAUAAGAACCUCCCCUGACGUUAGUACACAGUUAACUUGACUGUUAGUGGACUGAUAAAAAGUCAAAAAUGCCAUUGGCUACAAAAAUGAGUGCAACAAUUUGGAGUUAAAUAGUAAACACGGAGCACUAAAAAGUCUAUAAUAAUCAUGGAAAAAAAUCAUUGACAUUUACAUAAUAUAAAAAAAAAGUAAAAUAUAAAUUAAGAAAAUCAACAAAAUUGUCAACGUAUAGAAUAUUUACAGCAGCAGUGGCUAUAAAUACAACCGUCGUCAAAUUAAAAUAUCACCAUUAGUAAACUACUUCAAUAAGACAAUAAACCAUGAUUCACUCUUCAAAGCAUUCAAAAUACACAACCCGCACAAUAGAAUCACAUACGCACACCUGCUAAUGAAAUAUAAGAACAAACAGGAAAUUGAACUGACAUGGCUAAGAUACUCCUUCCCCAUAGCUAUUAGAAAGAUAAUGAGCGAUUUAUGAAUCAUGAUGCUUGCUUUACUUUCUGGCAGUGUUAGCUUCAAAUUCAAUGAUAGUAAAUGAACAAUGGUUCAUUCAUUAUGAAAGUAAGUGUAAAGCUAGGAAUUUAUAAUAUUCAGAUGUUGGAAUUGAAAAAAUAUUCCUUAAUCGUUUCAAUUGAAGCCAAGGAAGAAAAGAAAUGAGUCUUCUUUUUUCAGGAGACAAGCCAUAUGAAGAAGGCAGACCAGAGCAUAAGAACGAAUGCUACUGCCACAGUAAAAGCCUGGAUCAAUGGGUAAUGGUACCUGCCAUGUCAAUUUCAAGACAAACAAAAAUCAAUUAUCAUCCCCAGACCACAACACCACCAAACCAACCUUUUGAAUCUAAAAUAACAAGUUAAUAAAUCAAAGAUUUCAAUUCAUUUAAGUUUGAAAUCAACUAAAAUAGAAAAAAAAAACCCAAUUUCUUUUUUGUUCAAUAUAACUCAUUCAGCAUCUUCUUCAACACAUUUUUAUCAUUCUUCAUCAUCACAACAAUAAAAAGAAAAAAAAAACAUUGAGUCCAACAUGCAAGUUUUUUUUUGGGAAACUAACCGUUUUUAGGUUCCAAUUCUAGUAGUCUUAAACAGUAGCCGCCGACGAAAUUCGCUUGGCGACACCCUUUUGCCACCAUUGCAGCUUGUCAUGUUCAUACUCAGCUUAAAAUUACUUGAAGGCAGCAGGGAUUUUAUAGUUACAAAAGUUUCUUCAGAGCUUUUCAAGCUUGAAAAUGGCUGAGAGUUUCAUUUAAUGAGAGAGAAAAUGGAGUUUUCAUUCAUCUUAGAUAAAUUGAAGAUAAUUUGUAUUGUGGGUAAUAAAUUGAUUGUCAAUGCCUAAAUUUGGGUCAUCGACACAACUUUGGAAUUUUUUUUAUUUUUCUUUGAUUUUUAUUAUGAAACUACUAAUUUACCCUCAUAUACUAACAUAUAUGAAAUGGCAUACUAACGUCAGUUAUGUCAAGCAGCUCCCUGUAAUUACGUGAAUAUUUUCCAUGAGACUGUCAAUACACAAAAUUUCAGGGGAAAUCCCUAAACAUUACCUAAUUUUUAAGUUGUGUUCUGAAAUUGGUCUCAACUUUGUAAUGUGUAAUGCCCACAAAAAAAGAAAAGGAAAAAUGGUCAUCUCUUUCCUCCAUUCGAACUGAAGCCAUGAAACGCAAUAUCCCUUUCAUCUUCUCUCUAAUGCUUUGAUUAAAAAACUUGCUUACGAACGGGAGACCAUGACACUGAAUCCGAAGACAGAAAUACCUGAGAUGACUGAUUCACGCCGGCGAUGUGGAAGAAUACCGACCAGUGACUUUCGCCGUCGACCCACAAACAAUCCCAGUGUUUUCGAGCCGCCAAUGAGGUAUGAAUAAGAUUAUUUCCGUGCGUGUCAGUUUUGUAAGGAGAUUUGAUUAAAAAAAAGAAUAAUGGGUCUCGAAAUUUUUUUGAGUAUUUCUGUUGCUUAAAUUUUUUUCCAUCGAUUAAUGUUAGUUGUAGGUGAAUGAUUGUUGCAAACGCAUGUUCGCUUGUGAUUGAUUGAAAAUGACUUGUUAUUUGUUAUGCUGCCAUGUGACUCAUUGAAAAUGCCUCUGAAAUUUUUUUAUUUGUUUAAGGUACUGAUUCUGAUUAUUGAACAGGGAUUCAUGCUAGUUUUUAUUAAAUUAAAGAUGAGAUUAUUUUUUAAGAGAUCUACCAAACCUUCUCUACUAUAGAUUUGGCAUCUGACAUACCUGGUUCGCUGGAGAUAAUUGUUUAUAUAGUCAUUGCUGCUCGUAUUAAUCAGGAACAUUGAUUAGCAAUGUACUGGAAUAGAGAUUGGUAUAAUUUUGGAAAAUUAGUCGUAGAUGCAACCUGAUUAUGGUCUCAAAUAGUGUGAUCUGUCAAUUCCGUUUGCUCUAGCCUAACAACCUUGAAUCUGAGCUAUGCCACUAUACAAAGUCCUGACCUAAUCAAGCUUGUUAGCCAAUGUCCAAAAUUGCAGUGUCUUUAGAUAAGCCCUGUCUUACUUGUUUGAGUUAUAAAUGAAAAUUGAAGUGUCUUUGGAUAAUCACGCUGAAUGUUCAAGUUAUUGAAGAGAAGGGACCCCCAGAUUCAAGGCCGGAGCUCCCUGUUGAGAAGCUUUACAUAUAUGGGAUUGUCGCUGGGCGGAGGAUCGAUAUGCCCGGUUUUGUUUGGAAUAGGGAUGAAGAUUUUGCAUUGAGGCUUUCUUGAUAGAUCAUUCUGCAAAUCAAGCUCCAUGUACCUAUCUUCAGACUCUUGGAUAUGUAUAAAGCAGGUGCAUGCUCUAUAUGUUACUCAUUGUAUCACGAUUAUUUUUCUAUUGCUUAAAAUAAUUGCAGUCCUUGAUGUAGUUGGAGACAACUUAUGGAGGGUAUACAGAGGCUCGAGAGUUUGAUUGCCAUUCAUUUGACACUUGGCUGAGCUACAGCAUACCAACUAGUGAUUAAUAAAGAGAAGGUAUGAAGGUCCUGUUGCUGGUGGUAUUAUCAAUCAGAAUUGUUAUUUUACUUAGUCAUAGUUACCAUGUAUAAGAUUCGUAGACUUUUUGCAUGUUUAUGCAUUCGCAUCAUCUUUUUGUUAAGCUAGAGAUGGUUGAUUUGUGUACUCAUUUGUAUCACUUGUAGCCCUUGAGGAAUAAAAUUUAAAAUUUUGUUGCAUCUCCUGUACUAAAUACUAAUUUUGUUUGCUUUAUGUAUGGGAAAUGGUUCAUUAUCUUAUUUCUUUGAUGUGUAUAGUGUUACACUGUCUAAAGUUGAAAAGUAUUUCUAUCACUUGUGUAAAAAACAAACAAUUUUUUUUUCACUCUUCUUAUAUUGAAUAAAAGAGGGACACCAAGAUCUUCACCAAGAUUGAACGAAAUUUGAUGCAGAAAGCAUAGCAAUUAGGCCAGUGCAAAAUAGCUUCCUUCUGAUUCUCUGAUAUUUGACUUAAAUCUUUUGUUUGUUUCAUUCAUCAAAGUCAUUUUGGAAAGUAGCAGGCGUGAUUUGAUAUUUUCAUUGUAUUCACAUCCGUUGGCACCAAAACAAACAUGCUGGUACUAACCAACAAUUUUUUAUUUUUAGUGUACAAAUUAGUUUUUUUAAGACAAAUAAGCUGGUACUAACCAACAAUAUUUUAUUUUCAGUAUACAAAUUAUUAUUUUUUUUUCUAAAUUAGGGGUAUUAAGAAAAGGUAUGCAAGCACCAGGGGAGGUAUUUGAAAAUAUACAAAUACAAUCUAUCAAACUGAGAAUACACCAAACCGGCAGGUUUCUGAUAAAUCCUUUUUUUCUUUUUCCUCCAUUCACUAUAGGUUCAAUUUAGACGCUGUUGACCAAACAGAAGGUUUGGGUUGGUAAACGCACUGGUGUUAAUGCCAACAACCCAAGGCGCUUCAUGGUCCUCUGGGCCGAAAUAGCGUAAUUAUUAAUUCUCCUCCAGUGAAAAUCUUCAUCUUGGGACAAAUACUUACGAAUUGACAUUAUAGCUGUGGAAAUUUGGAGGUGUAAUAACCGGAAAAGUAAAAAUCUUAAGAGACUUUUUAAAUAAAAAAGAUACAACACCUUCAAUUUGCUAAAAGUAAUGGUAUCAUUUCUUGUACGGAUAAUGGAUGAUUAGAUUUUGUUUUUUGUUAUCCGACGAAGGAUAUUCAGUUGUUCUUUAUGUGUUCACAGGCAAGAGCAUGAGCAUAUUCAUGGUUUCAUAUAUGCUUCUUGCAUUUUCUAAUUAAGUACUCUCUUUCCUUGCCUUCUUAGUUUUGAAAGAAAGAUGUGAAGCAAAGCAAACCCAGUGAAAUAUACAGAGAAACAGAACCAUCAGAGGAAAAACUAAAUAACAGAACCACAAUUGAACCAAACAAAAUCAAAUAAACCGAGGCAACGGAUACCCUGAAUCAGGCAUCCCUUUUUCUCGAAAGAAAAUAUGUUUGCAUGGGUGGGAACCUAAUAAUUACUCAAGAGUUGGAGUUGGAAAGAUUUGGUAUUCAUAUCUUCACAAUUCAUAAGCUUUAAUGCAGAAUCGACAGCUUUAUAUUAAUUUAUUCAACCAAAAACGAUAAAGUAGGAAAACCACAAUAAUCCACCAACUUUUGCUACUUUUAGGAAUAAUUUUUGGUCAACUUUCAAAAAGUGAGAUGACGAUCUUUGAGUUGAUAAAUCUUGGCCUGCUGCUUAGUACCCUUCCAACAUAUAAAGUACUAGAUGUUUAGCUGAGAAAAUGACGAGAUCAUUUAUCAAAUUUCUUGCGCAUAUAUACAUAUAUAUACAAGAAAUAAGAAUCAGAGUGAUUAUAAGACCUUUGCAAUGAGGCAAUAAAUACAUCAUCAAAUCUAAAAAUACACAAGAAAUUCGUGACGUAUAUAUAACAAUAGACCUCUCAUUGAGUCAUAGAUAUUGAGAAUAAAAUGUCAAAAUGCAUACAAAGAGCUUAUACAGAAAAUGAAUUUACACACAUUUAGAAUAAACUGUCUUUGAACUUCCGAUGGUCAAACAAAGGAAACAGACAGGAAAUGACACACACUAUCAUAUAUGUAGGGACACGAUGAAGUAAAUCACAUGAAGAUGGAAACGGAACCCCUCACAACAUAAAAUUUGAAUAAAGGGGGAAAAAAAGGCUUCAUUUCAAAUGUUGCACAGAAGAAGAGUGACUUGAAUCUCCAUCAGUAUCCAGACAUUCUACAAACACAGUGCUGAGAAUUUUAACAAGAAUAACAGACAAAAUAUUGUGCUUCUAUAUUUUUCACAGAACUAGACCAAAUCAGUUCCCUUUUUGGUUUGUGAAAACUUGAUAUUUUUGAAAAUUCUAUCCAAUGCUUUCAAACAAUAUUUCCACAAUAUAGUUGUUCAUAGCUAACCUUUGAUGGUGUAAGGAUUUGUUGUAGGCAUAAUGGGCUAAUUAUAUAUAUAUAUAUAUAUUUUACCCGCUGAAUGAUAUUCAGCUUCCAAGUUUCCAAAGAACAAACAGAGCAGAAACAAAUAUAACGGAACAGCAAUGAUGACGAUAAAUGAUUGGCAAAGAAAGAAAGAAAAAAGUUCGCAUGAUUUCAAGGAAUUAUAAUAUCUGAAGACAUUCAACAUGCAAGUGUUGCCCCUUUUAAUGAAAUUUCAUCAUAAAAUGCUUGCAAGGAAUUAUAAAAUUUUAGAGAACAAGCGAAUUCUCAAACAAAAUACUCAAAUUAAAUUAAAUUAGACCAAAAGACAAUCAAUGACGCAAAAUCUGCCCAUAAAAGCCUGAACGAAUCAUGAAAAGUGCAUUCCAUAUUGACAGUAAACCAAGUGACCCAUUCUAAACAAUUGAGAUGAAAUUGUGAAACAACCCACGAGAUCAAAUAAAUAAAAUAAGAAUUAAUUACCAGCUGGGACUUUCUUCUUCAAAUUCGUAACUCCAAGUCAUAAGAAGGCUAUGAAAUUAGUCGUAAUCCACAGAGUAUGACGACGACCCCGCCAACAGCUGAAAAUAAAAUUCUUAUUCAUCAAUUUAAACUAACUUUAUAACAAAUAUCUUAUCGAUAUUUUAUUUAAAAAGAAAAAGCAAAUUUUGUAAAAUUUUUCUAUGGGAGAUAGAGAGUAACAUGUAUAUCCGUACCUUCUCAGCAUGUAAUUGUUGUAUGGUCGUGUUAAGAUCAUUAUUAGCCCAACGCCGUUGAUCCGCUGUCUCUCCAUAGCAGACGUUUACUCUUAGAGUCGUGAUUGAUUCUCCUGUAGUGAAAAUCUUCAUCUUGGGACAACCAAUCACCCACAAAUCUUGCAAAGAUGGGAAUUUGAAGGUGUAAUUGGCAGAGCAGAAACUUGUGAGGCUGUCUAAAUCACGCAGGUCCAACGCCUUCAAUUUGGGGAAAACAAUCUCUUCUUUUUCAACCCCGUCUUUGUCAUUUAUUACCACGUCUGACAUUGCUCUGCAUCCGUAUACACAAAGUGAUACGAGUCGCACUAGAGUUUUUGCUGUGGAGGAUGUUACUAAGUGUAUCAAUUUCUUGCAAUCGAAAGCUACAAGUUUUGUUAGGUUCCCAAAAGAUACCGACGAUGAUGGCAAUAGAAUUAACAGACUUUGACAAUGAUAUACUUUUAGAAUUUCAAGAUGCUGAAAAAUGGGGCCAAGUUUGGAAUCUUGUUUGCACAGCUGCUUCAGAUGAUAGUGCCGAUGCAGCUUUAAUUCUUUUAUCAUUGCCAACUUCCCCACAUGUUUCUCUAAGCUUCGAGAUUGUGAAAUCUCUCCAGUACGUUCCAGAUUGGAAAACCAGCUGAGUCAUCUGCAGCAAUCUCUAGUUCUCUAAGACUGCCAAAAAGGUGUUGUGGGAAAUCGGCCUGCAAAAUCAUCUUCACAUCUUUUCCACUUAGUGAUAGUUCCUUCAAGUUGGGUACGAUCUGAUCAUCAUCAAUCAUAAUAACUAAUGAGGUCAAUUGAUGAUCUACGGUCACACACAGUGACUUUAUAGUAUUUGUUUUAUAUUAUAUUUUUAAAAAAAUUGAAUUAUUGAUAAAAUUUAUUUUAUAUGUUAAUUUUAGAGGUAAAAAAGAAAUUAGAGAAAAAGGUUGAUUUAUACUGGCUCGAAAUUAUUUUAUUGCACAAUAAUAAAUUACUAAUUUAUUUUGUAAGUUCUUCUAUAUGGAAAGACUAAGGAUUUUUUUAUAAAUGCUAUACCAAAAAAAGUUCAUAUAAUUAUUAAUCUACCACAUUGAUCUCUUAAUCUAGACUAGCAAAGAUUAUUGUAUAAUAAAAGUUUUCAAUUUAUUGAGUAUUAAUUUAUCGAUGCUUUGUCAUAUUUUUCAAAGUUAAAAAUAAGCUAUAGACAAAAAAUCUAGAAAAUGGUUUCAUACCUUUUCCAACGGCAAUGGGGGCUGUUGUGCAGGAAUGCCAAGUUGAUCAUUCUGCGAUAAAUCUGCAGUGAAUAUCUUUAAUUUGUCACAAAAAUACACAAAAAGAAUUUCUAGCGCGGGCCAUUCCGAAGUAUGCAUUCCAGGGUACAAACAUCUAAGUUUUGGUAGACCUUCGAGUCUCAGAGUGGUGAGCUGUGGAAAGACAAAAUAAGGGAUAACUUCAUCUGCUCUGUUCUCAGAAAUGAUCUCCUGGAAAUCCUCACAGAAGCGUACUUCUAGGUGUUGGAGCUGCUUAAGGCUUCCGAUCAUAGACGCUGAAAAUAUGUAUUUUAAUUUGUUACAACGCCACACAAUCAAUCGUGUUAAAUUUUGAAAGCGAGGAAACAUGACCGGAAGAUGAUUGUAGUGCCAAAUCUUGUCGACAUUAAUUGCAGAUAUCUCCAAAGCCUCCAAGUUGGGCAACGCAACCUAAAAAAAUAAGAAUUUCUCGUUAGAUCCAAUAUCCAAAUGGGAAGCACUUGUUGAAAUUUUCUUCUUUGAUUACAAAUUAAUGCAAGUCUGAAUCAAUUUCCAACUGACAGCUGAGUAUGCAUUCUAAUUCAUACUACUUGUUAAGAGCUCAAUUAGUGAGCGCGUGAGAUUCUUUUUAUCCUUUUUUCCAUUUUCUUUCAAUUCUUUAAAUGAUUUAAUUAUUUCCACGUAUGACGUCAAAAGAGAACGUUAUAUAUGAAUAAAAUCUGUUAUAUAUGAAGAAAAUGUUAGCCUACGCACCUUCUCGUUGAAAAGCAGAGUUGAAGUAUCCAAAGUGAUUUCGCUGGAGCAAUACGUAGUCGUCGAUUCCUCUUGCGACGCUGGUCUGUUCGGUGAUGCUGAAGGAGUCUUUACUUCACGGCAGAAAUUUGUAACCUCUGGAAGAUUCCCCAGACUCAAAGAUCUUAAUUGAGCAAACUCUAUCUUCUCAAUUGCAUUAUCAACUUCAUCCCCAAUUGAAAAAAUUUCUUUCAUCUUGCUGCAAUUAAUAACUGCAAUUCUCUCAAGUCUUGGAAGGCAUUUUGUAGUGGAGAGCCAAAAGAUAUUGCUUAACUUAUCACAAUUAUAUGCUUCUACGGUUUUGAGUUUGUUGAAAGACUCUACUUUGAGCCGAUCAAUACAUAUCCUCUCCAUGUUGAUCAAAUUGUGAAGGAUAAGUGACUCCAAAAGAGGAAAGGCAUCACAAGCGACCAUCGCCCUUGAAUCGACGAUGCAAAAGAAGUCAGGAUUAUUUUGAACCCAGAGAAGCUUCAAUUGUGAAAAGCCCUCCGUGUCCAAAUUGAAAAGAACAUCCUCGAUGCCUUGCAGCUUGUCCAACCAUAAGUAUUCAACGUUAUUGAUGCCCUGCAAUUUCAUGGAGCAAAUGUUCAUAAAAUCAAGCUUGAGCUUCAAUGCUCUUAAUCUCUUCCGAUCACUGUUGAUCGAAAAGUGCAGCUGACUUUUGAACCAAUUUUGUCUAACACUCUUGGGAGGCAUGAACGACUCAUUUGCAAUAGAUAUUUUGAACCUUUCGAGCUUUCUGGCCAAAAAACCUUCUGGUAAAAUACUGUCAUUUUUAACGUCAAUUUCUAGAGUGGUUAGCCGAGGUAAAUGCAUCAAUUCGUCAAGGCUAGCAUUACUUCUUUUGCUGUUGGCUCUUUCAACCUCCCAUUCAAUGAAGCAAUUACCCAUAUACAGCUCUUCUAGUCGAGUUAAGCUUGCAUGAGAUUGGGCGCAAUAACUUUUAGAUGGAAACAAUUGGGUUAAAUCUAACAAUCUCAACUUAUUCAAUUGACCUAGUUCUUCUGGCAACUGCAUAAUAUCAGACAUCAAAAAGCUAAGGACUUCUAGAUUCUUCAACUUCCCAAUGAUUGCUAUGUCGCCCAACGCACUUUGAUCCAGACAUAGUGGUGUGGAAGAUUUACUAGAAGAUCAAUUGAAGGAUGGAAAAGAAGGACAAUAACCGCAUUCCAGUAAAANNNNNNNNNNNNNNNNNNNNNNNNNNNNNNNNNNNNNNNNNNNNNNNNNNNNNNNNNNNNNNNNNNNNNNNNNNNNNNNNNNNNNNNNNNNNNNNNNNNNNNNNNNNNNNNNNNNNNNNNNNNNNNNNNNNNNNNNNNNNNNNNNNNNNNNNNNNNNNNNNNNNNNNNNNNNNNNNNNNNNNNNNNNNNNNNNNNNNNNNNNNNNNNNNNNNNNNNNNNNNNNNNNNNNNNNNNNNNNNNNNNNNNNNNNNNNNNNNNNNNNNNNNNNNNNNNNNNNNNNNNNNNNNNNNNNNNNNNNNNNNNNNNNNNNNNNNNNNNNNNNNNNNNNNNNNNNNNNNNNNNNNNNNNNNNNNNNNNNNNNNNNNNNNNNNNNNNNNNNNNNNNNNNNNNNNNNNNNNNNNNNNNNNNNNNNNNNNNNNNNNNNNNNNNNNNNNNNNNNNNNNNNNNNNNNNNNNNNNNNNNNNNNNNNNNNNNNNNNNNNNNNNNNNNNNNNNNNNNNNNNNNNNNNNNNNNNNNNNNNNNNNNNNNNNNNNNNNNNNNNNNNNNNNNNNNNNNNNNNNNNNNNNNNNNNNNNNNNNNNNNNNNNNNNNNNNNNNNNNNNNNNNNNNNNNNNNNNNNNNNNNNNNNNNNNNNNNNNNNNNNNNNNNNNNNNNNNNNNNNNNNNNNNNNNNNNNNNNNNNNNNNNNNNNNNNNNNNNNNNNNNNNNNNNNNNNNNNNNNNNNNNNNNNNNNNNNNNNNNNNNNNNNNNNNNNNNNNNNNNNNNNNNNNNNNNNNNNNNNNNNNNNNNNNNNNNNNNNNNNNNNNNNNNNNNNNNNNNNNNNNNNNNNNNNNNNNNNNNNNNNNNNNNNNNNNNNNNNNNNNNNNNNNNNNNNNNNNNNNNNNNNNNNNNNNNNNNNNNNNNNNNNNNNNNNNNNNNNNNNNNNNNNNNNNNNNNNNNNNNNNNNNNNNNNNNNNNNNNNNNNNNNNNNNNNNNNNNNNNNNNNNNNNNNNNNNNNNNNNNNNNNNNNNNNNNNNNNNNNNNNNNNNNNNNNNNNNNNNNNNNNNNNNNNNNNNNNNNNNNNNNNNNNNNNNNNNNNNNNNNNNNNNNNNNNNNNNNNNNNNNNNNNNNNNNNNNNNNNNNNNNNNNNNNNNNNNNNNNNNNNNNNNNNNNNNNNNNNNNNNNNNNNNNNNNNNNNNNNNNNNNNNNNNNNNNNNNNNNNNNNNNNNNNNNNNNNNNNNNNNNNNNNNNNNNNNNNNNNNNNNNNNNNNNNNNNNNNNNNNNNNNNNNNNNNNNNNNNNNNNNNNNNNNNNNNNNNNNNNNNNNNNNNNNNNNNNNNNNNNNNNNNNNNNNNNNNNNNNNNNNNNNNNNNNNNNNNNNNNNNNNNNNNNNNNNNNNNNNNNNNNNNNNNNNNNNNNNNNNNNNNNNNNNNNNNNNNNNNNNNNNNNNNNNNNNNNNNNNNNNNNNNNNNNNNNNNNNNNNNNNNNNNNNNNNNNNNNNNNNNNNNNAUGCUUCUCCUUUCAUCCUUGAGCUUGUCUAUUUCUGCCUUGAGAUUCUCAACGUUGGCUUUAUAGUUACGCAAAUAACCAAAUCGGCGUUCUAUUGGAGGAGCCAAGCAUUUCAAAAAUUGUAAAACAACAGUAACAAUGCUUUCCACCAUCCUGGAUCCUUUUUUUUUUUUUUCAAAGUUCUGACAAGAAAAUAAACAAGGAGCGAAACACAGAGAGAGUGAAAAAAAAAAAAGCGAAACAACGAAGAUGGACAGUUUAUCCGGUUCUGGAAGCGGAGAAAUGAAAGAAAGAGUAAAAGCUGUUAUGGAUCUGGUGAGAAGAUGGAAACAAGGAAAAGGUUUCUAGUUCGAGAACUGAUUGAGUUAAUAUAAGGAAUGAUUUAGAUAAUAGAGGCAAAGGGAACCAAUCAAAAUAACUGAAGUAUUGUGCAGAAGAAAGACGGAAAAAAUAGACUGGUAAUAGAGAUGGAAAAAAUGAAGAUAUCUUGACACGGUAGAAGUACAAAGGGUAGAUAUGGAACCAAACAGAGACAACAGCAGGCCACAACAAGAUUGGGAAUGGAGAGAAACUAAUUAACGAAGACUGGAGAUUACAACAAAACAGAUGCCAAGAGAAAACUUGAUCCUGUGAAAUUCAAGUUAGCUGACGAAUACGGGGAUCAAGAGGGAAAAACUGCUUGCUCGUAAAACUACUUUCAAGCGAAUCUGAUAAAAUUAAUUUUUAAACUGCAGAACAGGUAGAAUAUCAGAUUGAUUAAUUUAAGAAACCCUUGCUUCAGUUUUAAGUAAGAUCUUUUUUUUUUUUUUUAUAAUUUCUCCGAAUGCUCUUUCAAUGGAAGGCAUAUGAUCAUUUUGUAUUCAGUAUACAAAGAUUAAAGAUGAUCCUUUUUCUAAUUUAUUAAUUAAAUAAGGUUCUCUGACAUCUUCUUGCAUGAGUUGUCCCCCUGGUUUGUUAUCAUCUUAUGAAAUUCUCGCAUGCCCGAUUUUCUUUUAUUAAAUUAUAUAUUAAAGUUUUCAAUGAUGAAAUUAAUCGUCAUCAUGUGCCGGCAUGCAUGUAUUGGUUGAUGUCACGUUUUGCAAGUAUGCUGGAUAAAAUUAAUUUUCAAAAUUAAUUAAUAAAAUGUAACGUAAGUUGUUGAAAGAAACUUCAUAUUUAUCCUGAAGCAUUCAACUCAGUUCUUUUACUCUAUGAUAAAUGUAUUUUAAAAAUUACCAAUAAUUGAGAAUAAAAUAAGGACAAAACAUUAAAAAUCGAACACAACUCAUGUUUUACUUGAGUUUUAUAUUUAUGCUGAUACAUACUUUGGACACAUUCUUUGGAAAAGACAUUGACAUUGGCGUGCAUCAUCAAAUUUGUUAGUGAAAAACCAUAAUUAUAUAUUACUACAUUUACAAAUUUUGUAUAAAAGGUUUUAAAGGUUUGCUACAUAGACCUCUAAAAAUUCCAGAAAUGAUUAUAUAUACCUUUUUACAAUUAUAUCAUUUGGUUAUAAUCAAAUUUUUUACAAUAAAUACAAAUAACAUAUUAAGAUAACUAUGAGUAGCAAAAUAGUAUUUCAAAUAUGAAAACAUAUUAAAUGCAUAUAAUUAAUAAAGUAAGAAAUAUAAAGAGUAAACUAUUAUCUAUAUGUCCAGCCAGAUUUAUUAAUACUAAUCCAUUAACCCAAAGAUUGACUUUAAAAUUCAUACUAUACAUAAUAUUCACAUAAUACAACAUAAUUUUUUUAAAUUAAUUAUUUUGAAUGUUAAAUAUAACUAUUUUUUUAAUUUAUCUUCUAUGAAUUCAAAUAUCCCCUUUAAACUGCAGAAGGAGAAAAAAGAAAUGUUCUGAAUUUCAAUGUAUUAAUUUUAACCUAAUUUAGUUGAGACUCGUAAUCUCGUCUCAAUGAUUAAUUAGUAGAUAAUCUUUCUAAUAAAUAUAUGUUGAAUAGAUAUAUUUCUUGACUAUUAAUAGGUUAGAUAUAUUUUAGCAUAGGAAUGAAAGUACAAGUUGUGUCAUAUUACCAGGAAAGUGUAUCAAUUUCUUGCAAUCGAAAGCUACAAGUUCUGUUAGGUUCCCAAAAGAUACCGAUGAUGAUGGCAAUAGAAUUAACAGACUUUGACAAUAAUAUACUCUUAGAAUUUCAAGAUACUGAAAAAUGGGGCCAAGUUUGGAGUCUUGUUUGCACGGCUGCUUCAGAUGAUAGUGCCGGUACAGCUUUAAUUCUUUCCCACAUGUUUCUCUAAGCAUCCUUCCUUCGAAAAUUCCUCUUCGUUGAAUGAAAAAUAAACCAGUGCGAGUAUUUCGAGAUUGUGAAAUCUCUCCAGUACGUUCCAGAUUGGAAAACAAGCUGAGUCAUCUCCAAAAAUCUCUAGUUGUUUAAGACUGCCAAAAACGUGUUGUGGGAAAUCGGCCUGCAAAAUCAUCUUCACAUCUUUUCCACUUAGUGAUAGUUCCUUCAAGUUGGGUACGAUCUGAUCAUCAUCAAUCAUAAUAACUAAUGAGGUCAAUUGAUGUUCUUUCAAAUGAUUUUGAGUAAUCCAAUCACAAGCAGUGACUUUAUAGUAUUUAUUUUAUAUUAAUUUUACCCCUAAAAAAAUUGAAUUAGUGAUAAAAUUCAUUAUAUGAUUUUUUUUAUAUGUUAGUUUUAGAGGUAAUAAAGAAAUUAGGGAAAAAAUGAAAUUAUUUAUGCAUGANNNNNNNNNNNNNNNNNNNNNNNNNNNNNNNNNNNNNNNNNNNNNNNNNNNNNNNNNNNNNNNNNNNNNNNNNNNNNNNNNNNNNNNNNNNNNNNNNNNNNNNNNNNNNNNNNNNNNNNNNNNNNNNNNNNNNNNNNNNNNNNNNNNNNNNNNNNNNNNNNNNNNNNNNNNNNNNNNNNAAGUAUUAAUUUAUCGAUGCUUUGUCAUAUUUUUCAAACUUAAAAGUAAGCUAUGAAAAAAAAAUCUAGAAAAUGGUUUCAUACCUUUAUAUAUAUAUAUAAAGAAAAUGUAAGCUUACGCACCUUCUCGUUGAAAAGCAGGGUUGAAGUAUCCAAAGUGAUUUCGCUGGAGCCAUACAUAGUCGUCGAUUCCUCUUGCGACACUGGUCUGUUUGGUGAUGCUGAAGGAGUCUUCACUUCACGGCAGAAACUUGUAACCUCUGGAAGAUUCCCCAGGCUCAAAGAUCUUAAUUGAGCAAACUCUAUCUUCUCAAUUGCAUUAUCAACUUCUUCCCCAAUUGCAAAAAUCUCUUUCAUCUUGCUGCAAUUAACAACUGCAAUUCUCUCAAGUCUUGGAAGGCAUUUUGUUGUAGAGAGCCAAAAGAUAUUGCUUAACUUAUCACAAUUAUAUGCUUCUACGGUUUUGAGUUUGUUGAAAGACUCUACUUUGAGCCGAUCAAUACAUAUCCUCUCCAUGUUGAUCAAAUUGUGAAGGAUAAGUGACUCCAAAAGAGGAAAGGCAUCACAAGCGACCAUCGCCCUUGAAUCGACGAUGCAAAAGAAGUCAGGAUUAUUUUGAACCCAGAGAAGCUUCAAUUGUGAAAAGCCCUCCGUGUCCAAAUUGAAAAGAACAUCCUCGAUGCCUUGCAGCUUGUCCAACCAUAAGUAUUCAACGUUAUUGAUGCCCUGCAAUUUCAUGGAGCAAAUGUUCAUAAAAUCAAGCUUGAGCUUCAAUGCUCUUAAUCUCUUCCGAUCACUGUUGAUCGAAAAGUGCAGCUGACUUUUGAACCAAUUUUGUCUAACACUCUUGGGAGGCAUGAACGACUCAUUUGCAAUAGAUAUUUUGAACCUUUCGAGCUUUCUGGCCAAAAAACCUUCUGGUAAAAUACUGUCAUUUUUAACGUCAAUUUCUAGAGUGGUUAGCCGAGGUAAAUGCAUCAAUUCGUCAAGGCUAGCAUUACUUCUUUUGCUGUUGGCUCUUUCAACCUCCCAUUCAAUGAAGCAAUUACCCAUAUACAGCUCUUCUAGUCGAGUUAAGCUUGAUAUGAGAUUGGGCGCAAUAACUUUUAGAUGGAAACAAUUGGUUAAAUCUAACAAUCUCAACUUAUUCAAUUGACCUAGUUCUUCUGGCAACUGCAUAAUAUCAGACAUCAAAAAGCUAAGGACUUCUAGAUUCUUCAACUUCCCAAUGAUUGCUAUGUCGCCCAACGCACUUUGAUCCAGACAUAGUGUGUGAAGAUUUACUAGAAGAUCAAUUGAAGAUGGAAAAGAAGAAACCUGCAUUCGGGUAAAAUCCAGAACUCUAAGCUUUUUCAUCCCUACAAAAAAGUUCUCAGGAAUAUUGAUUUCAAGAGAAGAAUCUUUGAGAGAGAUAAAUAAAAGUUCAAGGUUUGGGCAUUCUAAUCCUUCAGGAAAUUCACGAUUACUAUUAUUUAUUAAAGAGAUAGCAUUGCAUUUUCGUAGUGCAUCCUCAUCUGGCCAGUCCCACACAUCCUCAUCAUUUCUCACCGAAAACACGUGUUGGUGGCGGCAUGCAAUUGAUAUUGCGACAUCGCAAACAACAUCAUGCAUUGAAAAUCGUUCAUUGCUAUCACCCUCAAGCAACAAACAAGAGUCUCUAAGUUCAUGGACCAAUGCAUAUAAUUUGUCUCGUGCAUCUUCCAUCUUAUUGACUCCUUUAAAUAUACCCAAACCCAUGGAGUACUUGAACAAGUCCGAAGUAUUAUGGCUCUCCAUUAGACUACAGAGCAGAAAAAUUUUCUUGAGUUGCUCACCUUUUAAAUGGUUGAAACUGAGCUCAAUACUUGAAUAAGUCUCUGCAGAUACCCCUUCGAAGUUUACCAUUGAAGGCGUUUGGAGUUCUCGCAAGGAAUUCUUCCAUUCAUGCAGACUCUUGCCUCUCAGUGCCUUUGCUACUGUAGUCAAGGCAAUGGGCAAACCUCCACAUGCCCUGGCGACGUCUAUUGCUGUAGAUUUCAACUCACGAUUUUCAACAUCAUCACCGGCCAUCAUCUUAAACAAUCUCCAGGCUUCUUCUUCAUUUAAAUUGUUUAUCAAAAAGUUGUCUUUAGAACCCAUUUUUAAGAGGACACUACGAUCUCUUGCCGUUAGCAGUAGUUUGCAGCCUUUAUGAUCUUCUCCAAAAGGAAUUCCAACUGUCUCCAAAUCAAGGUGUUUCCAAAUGUUAUCUAAAACCACAAGGAUCUUCUUGUGAUUUCUCAAUCGCUCAAAUAGUCUACUUGCUCUUCUAGAUUCAACUUCCUCGUGCAGCUCCAGGCCCAACUUCUCGGCAAUUUCCUGUUGAAUCUUUUUUAUGUCUGGAGUUUGGGAAACCUCUGAAAAGACCACCAUAUCAAAGAGCUUGUCUUCCAUAGCUUGCCUGGCGACCUUCUUCACCAGUGUCGUCUUUCCAAUGCCGCCCAUGCCGUACACCCCAAUGAUGCUGACAUUAACAUCGAUCAAUGCUUUUUUUAUAGCCUCAAAAGUAGAACGUCUUGAUUCGAAGGCCUCGUAGCCUUUGUGAGACUUGAGCCAAAUCUCCUCCGGAAUGGUACGGUAGGAAAUUCUAUCAUCAAAUCUCCCAGCUUCUUCUCGGAGUUUAAAAAGGGCCUCCUUCUCUGUUUCUGCUUUCUUUCCAUGCUGAUAGCGAGUAAUCCAAUUAGGAAACAGCCCCAUGAGACAUCGUUCAUUUGCUUUCUCUUCGUCGAAAAUGAAUUUGGCUGCCUCCUUAAUGCUCUUGUUCGCAUUAACCAGCCAUUUCUCAACCUUCUCUUCAAUCUUUUCACUUUUUCUUUCAGCCUCAGAAACUCUGCGCUGAAUGCUUUCUCUUUCAUCCUUGAGCCUAUCGAGUUCUUCCUUGAGAUUCUCAAAGUUGGCAGCGGAGUUAUACCAAUAACUAAAUUCGCGUUGUGCGUGAGGAGACAAGCAGUUUACAACUCCUGGAACAAUGCUUUUCAAAAUGUCCAUUCUUUUUUUUUUUUUGGGGGAAGGGAACGAAAUAGAAAUAGAACAGGGUCAACGGCUGUGCAAUUGAUAAUCAAGUAGAAGCAAAACAAGGCAAAAUUGAAAAAAGAAAUUAUAUUUGUACAAAACAAGGAGAAAAUCAGUGUAACAGAUUGAGCGUGGGCGACUCCUUUUUAAACCGCAGAAGGAAAAAAAAAUUAUUCUGAAUUUCAAUAUAUUAAUUUUUAUGCUAAUUUAUGUUGAGAUUCGUAAUCUCGUCUCAAUGAUUAAUUAGUAGAUAAUCUUUCUAACAAAUAUGUGUUGAAUAGAUAUAUUUCUUGACUAUUAGAAGGUUAGAUAUAUUUUAGCAUAGGAAUGAAAGUACCAAGUUGUGUCAUAUUAGAAUAAAAAUUUGAGCUGAAAAUAUUGUUAUAUGACCUUUUAAUUAUUUGUCAGCAAAUAAUUAAUUCAUAUAAAAAAAUUAAUAAUCUGAAUUAGUCUUUAAGUAUUAUAAAUAUUUUUUUAUUUUUAAUUAUAAUAUCAUUAUUUAAAAAUAAUUGCUUGACUUAUAUUAGUAACAUUACGAUUGUCAUAAAACAUGUGAUCCUCAUCCAAUAUCCAUUAUUUGUGAUCCUUAAUCAAUAAAAUAUCUAACACUCCAGUCCAAUGCUGCCGUCAUUAUCGAACGGUCGAUAUCCAACACUCGCACGAAGAUUCCAAGAAGUUGCGUGGCUGCCGACUUUUAGAUGCAAAGCCUCAUUGUGUCGAUGUUACACAAAAGAGAGCAGUCCGGGUAAUUGCCAAAACUUAGAACUAAACAGUAGCUUAGUCAGAAAAUCAAAUGCCAGUACCGUUAAAAUGACCGAUAAAAAUAUAAAGAAACCAAAGCUUUAAAAGAAAUCAGCCAAAUCACGAAGAUUGAAGAGUAAAUCUAUGGUUUUAGAUUUUUAUUUUAUUUUUUUAGAUAAUAGAUAUUAUUUUGAUGAAUUUUUAAUAUUAGAAUAAUGUUAGGAAUUUCGAUAGUAGAAUUCUAACUUGAGAUCCAAUUGUUAUGUAUCAUUUUUUUAUUGGAUAAUGAAUUUCAUAACUAGUAAAAUUAAUAUUUUGAUCAUCUAAUAAAGGACUAUCAUAUCAGUUGAGACUCAAUUAUUGGGAUCCUUAACAUUGCUCUUAGUAUUAAAUUGGACAUCUUAGCUAAAUCAAAUUAAAAAUCAAAUUAGAUUUUAGGCUUUUAUCCAACAUCUCUUUUUUUUUUUUUUGGGUCUAUUUGAAGUGAACGAAAUAAAAAUACAACAGGUUCAACAACUGGGCAAUUGAUGGUCAAGUAGAAGCAAAUCAAGGCUAAAUGGGAAAGAGAAAUGAUAUUUGUGCAAAACAAGGAGAAAAUCAGUGUAACUGAAGAGAAUCAAAGUGCUUUUGAGAUCAAAAAUUGAGGCAAGNNNNNNNNNNNNNNNNNNNNNNNNNNNNNNNNNNNNNNNNNNNNNNNNNNNNNNNNNNNNNNNNNNNNNNNNNNNNNNNNNNNNNNNNNNNNNNNNNNNNAGAAGCUUAAUUAAGAACUUAAAACAAAAGAAUUAGAUUGAGAACAGUCAAGCCUUAUUUUUUCAAGGAUGGAGCUUAUAAAUCUUCAAGUACCAACAUACGCUUGGCCCAAUUGUUGUUAUUAAAAUUUCAAUAUACAUAUAUAAGUAUGAUAUAGGAAAAAUUUGAUGGUACAUAUGUCGGAAUAUACUAGUUCAUGGGUGCAUUUGAUUAUUGUUUCCAUAAAUUUGAACCAGGAAGGACGACACGAUAAAAUUUGAUUUUAUGGUAUGGUUGAUUUCAUAGCUCAUGCACUCAUUUCUUAAGAUAAUCAAAUUUUCUCUGGCAUCUUUUUCAACUGUCGAAAUAUCAAUUAUGAUCAAUCAAAACGAUUUCAAAACCUUUCAUCGAGACAUAUUUUUAAUACAAUAUUGUGAAAAUUACACUAAAAAUUUAAUUUAUUAUAUAUUAUUAUCCAACGAGCACACAAAAAUGAUUUCGUACAAAUCUAAAAUACUAAGCAAUUUUCAAAUAGAAUUUACCAUGUACUAAUAGAAUUUACCAUGUACUACAAGAAAAUAGGGUAUAUGUGACCCCUACUGUGAAUGCAAAAGCAGCCAUUACGCAUAACCCCGAGUUGCUUUUGUUACCCUUUAUGUGACGGCCACACUGCUGUCACAUAUGUUACGAACCGCGUGACGGUGAAGAGCCGUUCGGUAUACUAAUAUUUUAGAAUUUUAAAUUUAUUUCCAGUUAGAAAACUAUUCGCUGGACUCCGUGUUGCUGGCCACCAUCGUAAACAUAACUGGUUGCCAGCGAACGGCGUAAAACGCCGGCCAUCUUCUUCUUCAUUGUAUUCUCCCUUCAUCUUUUUAGGUAAGCUUGUGAUUAUGAGUUUCUUCUCUUACUUAGCUUGUAAUUAUAGAUUUUGAUUUUUUUUAAUUCGUAUUGUAGCCGUUAUUGUCAAUUUUUGUCCCGCCAGCAAUAUUUUUUUAUUCCUACAAGUUGAAGCCCCUGUGUUCUUGUUCCAUUGGUGAGUUUGCUCACUCAAAUUAAUUUUGUUCUGCGGAAUUUACAAAGUUCAAAUGGAUUCAUUUGAAUUACUAUUGAAUUUAGCUUUAAUUUCAACAUCCAUUCUAAUGUUUUGCAAUUAGAUUUAAUUUAAUUUUAUGUUUAAAGCUUCUACAAUGAAUAGCGGAGCUUGGGUUUUAGUUUCAUUUUCUGGAUAACUUGUUUUAGUUUAUCUUGUAUGCUCACCAAAUGCUUGUUAUAUUGUCUGAUAAGUUAUAUACAUUGCUGAUUCUACAUUAAUAAUGUUACGUUGUAUUUUCAGAAAUUAUAAUACAAAAGUUUUUGCAAUGGCGUGCAUCUACAAACUGAAUUGACUUGUAGAAUAAGAGCUCGGAGUAGUGUUAUGUUCUUGAAUAAUUGAAAGUUCAUAUUGUGUAAGAGCAUGCAGAUGUAAAGCAUCAUUACCAUUUCUACAAAGUGCUUUCAUUCUGUUCAUAUGCUCUUCUUGAACUUUGAAAGGUGCCUCGUUCAAGUCCUAGCUAUAACUACUAGCUUUGAUUAAUUAAGUUCCUAUACUAGCUGAAACAGAUUUAUUUAAUUAAUUAAUUGUGUAUGUACUAAUUAUAUUGAAAGUAUAUGAAUUUUUUUUUUAACAUGAAUGACUUCUAAAUGACUUAAAAACCUAAAGGAUGUGUGAAACAAUGCUCAUUUCAUUUGAAUGAGCCCAUUAAUACUUUUAUGUCUAUGAUUUUCAAUAUUGGCUAAAGCAUUUCAGUUAAGUGGUUUACCUAACAGAGAAAAAAAUUUAAUAGAAAACUUCAGAGUUCUAACAGAAAUAUAGUUCACUAUGCAGAUAUAGUUAUUUUACGGUAUACAAAUCAAGUUGUCCUAAUCUCAAUGUCCUAUGACCGAUUUUAUUUUAUAUAGUCAUUAAUUUUUUCCUUGGUUUUUUGUGUUUAUGAGUAUGAAAUAGUGGGAUUUGGUGUACCUUAGCAUCUUUUGAAAAUUCUCUUUCAGUGUGGCCAACAGAAAUAUACAUAUAAUCAAGUUUCUUAAUCGUGUAUAUUAGUUUUGGGUAUGAAUGUUCCUAUUCUAGUUCUAGGCAAAGCUUCUUCGUUUUGGUCUUCAGAUUUCCAGUAGGUUAAGUUAAUCAACUAUCAUAACUGGCUAGCUAGUUAUUGUCUGCCUUGGCGCCAUUACCCAGGCCAUUAUAUUGCAUAGCAUAAGGAAUAGUGAUUAGGUGAUUAUUAGUGAUUUGUUGAGCUUAUUAUCGACCAAACAAACAUAUUCGCCUUUGCCCACAACUUAGUUUGAUUAGUUAUUAGACCAUAAAGAGCCUUGAUCUAUUCAUUGGCUUUAUUAUUUUUAUUUGGUUUUUCUUUCAACAAUAUUGUUGAUUUCUUAUAAAAAUAUUCAUUGGUUUUUAAACACCUAAUCAUUGGCUAUAUGAAGCUAAUUAAAACUGAGGCUUUGGAUCAAUUUCUUCUAACAAGAUACAAAUGAGCAUUAACCUAUCUCCUAUGAGUAAAUUUUUUUAAUAUCCUUGAUUUGUAAGGAUCUGGAGGCCUGAAAUCCUCUAGAUUUUUUUUAACACUGUCAAUGUUCUUUUUAUUCUGAGAAGGAAAUAAAAGGUUUUAUCUUUCAUACCCAAAUAGUAAGCUGGCCUUGUCUUAACAUGGCCUCCCGAGGACUUGCAAGAUUCAUAGUGCCCCCCACCCCAAAAAAUAAAAAUAAAAAACACAAAUAGGAAGAUUUUGCAAGAUUCACCACCAGGUUUUUUUUAAUUUGUUAAUUGUGUGUACGUGCUAGUUAUAUGUUGAAAGAAUAGGAAGAAGUAUUUCAACAUGAAUGACUUAAAACUUAUUGCUCAGUAAACAUAAUCUGCAUGUAUUUAUCGUUUGUAUUUUUUAUGGUUUUGCUAAAGAAAUGAUAUGUGAAAUAAUGCUACAUUGCAUCAGGAAUAAAUUGAAGAGAUUUAUGAUAUUUAUGUGUUAUUCAAAUUUCAGAUUCAAUUUUAAACUUUUGAUACGUGCAUUGAAAGCUUAGACUUGUUUAAGAAAUUAUUAAUAGACACAUGUUUUUAUUAGUGUCAUCUUUGGAUGAUAGUGAGGAUCAUAUGUCUAUUAAUAAUUCUUGAAUUGUCCAGGCUUGGACAGUUUGGGAAUGCAUAGUUCACUCUGGUAGCUAGUAGCUGAAGUUUUUUCCCACGUAAAAAUGGGUUUUUCAGUAGCUGCUCCUCGUGUUCUCUGGGUACGUACUAGGUGAAUGGGUGUCAUGUGUUGUUUUGGCAUAACGCAUAAACACUUAUAUAGCUAUGUCGUGUGCUUGGAGAAUUAUAGGGAGAUGGUGCCGAAAUUUUUAUAAACGUGGAAGAAAACUUUAGGUACUUGAGAUUGAAGAAACUUAUGCAUUCUUGAGUGGGAUAUGUAGGAUUACUUACCUUUUGUAAAUAUGAAGGGAAUGUUGGAUAUAUUGGGGAUAGUGUAGGAGCUGAGUUGGAUGAAUGUAAUUGGUGAUGAUUUUGCUGAGCUGACCUUGGUUUUGAGCUUGUAAUUUUGUUUGUAAAUGGAGUGCUAUCUCCAAUGUUGGUUUAUAAAUAUGUUUCAGGACUUGCUGACCUAAUUUUUUGUUUCUAGGUUACAGGCUUUAUAUAUCUGUAAUUGAUGGCGAAGUGAAGUUCCCAGCACUUGGCGAGGAUGUUUCUUUACAGAAGGUAUUGGAAACUGUUUUUUACAUUAAUUAUUGUUGUAUAUAUACUUUGAUUUUCACAUCUUUUUCUCUGAUUCUUGUGGCUUUGCUUGCUUUCAUAUAUGUAAAUUCUAAUGAAAUUAACCAUAAAAUUGUAAAAUGAUCUUUUUAUUAUAUUGCAAAACUGUGCACACACGAAAAUAUAUUGUUUAGUAGUAGAAAUGAAGAACUAAAAUGAUUUACUUAACUAAUUUUUGUAGCGCAUUAAAAGGAGAUAGUCAUGGACAAGUGUUGGGUUGGUUUGCCAAAUAGAUAUCCAAGUCAUAUACUGAUGGGGAUGAAAAAUUUAUAGAUUUUGCAUUUGAGAAUGUUGUUGGUGGUACAAGAAUUUAAUAUCCUUUUAAGAAGUGUUGUAAUCUAUAUUUCGUUAUAAGGAAAGUGGCUGAUGAUGAUAUGGUUGGAAUGAUACAAUGCAUCACGUAAUCAAAUGUUCAAGUUACACGCAGCAUUGUUAUGGACUAUCAGUGACUUUCUAGCAUUGCCAACUUGUCUGGGUGGAGUAUUAAAGGUAAAUAAGCAUGUCUUGUUUGCCAACAAAACACUAGAUCUAAUUGGUUGAUACAUAGUAGAAAAUUUUGUCACGUGGGUCACCGUCGAUUUUUACCAACAAAUCAUAGGUUUCCAAAAUAUAGUGUCUUUUGAUAAAACUAGAGAGUAGGGACCAGCACAUUCUCGGUUGUCUGGAUCUGAAGUGAAAAAGCAGUUUAAUAUACUUACUGAGUAUAAGAUUGAAGACUUGAAAAGAGGAGAAUGAAUAAAAUGAGAGAAAUGAUAAGAUUACUUGGAAGAAGAAAAGCAUAUUUUAUGAACUACCGUGUUGGGAGUUCAAUUUGAUUCAUCAUAAUCUUGAUCUCAUGGGCUGUUUUGAUUUUUGUUAUGAACUCAGAUCAAAAGUUUAAUGUGAUCAAAAUUUCUUAAAAAUAGUGAAAACGACUCCUCCUAAUAAUAUGGAAGAUGGCUAUAAAAGAUAAAAGGAAAGGCUUAAAAAGAAAAGCCAUGCCUGUCAAAAAAAAAAAAAAUCAACAAAAAUCAAAACGGUGCGUUUGAGAGUGUAUAAAAUACAUUUAGAGUGGGAGUUGUGUUGUUGCUUGAAGGCAGAAAGAUAUUUGUCGACGAAGCCAAAACCAAAGAUGAAGCCCAUAAAGCUCAAAACUCCACCGGAGCAAAUUCAGACAAUUACGAGGGUUAUGUUUGACAUAGUCAAGGAAGACGGUCCUCUCACCGUUGCAGAAACUUGGGAACGCGUCAAGGUGUGUGUAUCUGUUAAAUUGAAUUUCAACCGUUUGAUCUGUAAUUAUAAUUAAUCCAAUCGAUCUGACCGCGAUCACUGACCAUAAUACUAGUAGUUGUUUUACAUUUUCAGCAGGCUAGAGCGGGUGGAUUGACGGGCAAAAGCUCAGGCUCGUCUGCAAUCACAUGGGCCCUCAUAAGCAAAUCCUGUACACAACUUGGUUCACUAAACCCAACAACUUGAAGCAGCCAAAAUCAGGGAAUGAUCCUUCUCCGUCACAACCCUAGCUGCCUUAACCUUGUAGUGACACGGUGAAGAUGGAAGCCCCUCAGCAUGUAAACUUUUCAACAGCGACAGAGCUCUUAUUCCAGAGGCUGCACAGAAGAGCGACCUGAAUCCUCUUCAAAAUGUUUGUGAGAUAUUUGUCGACGAAGCCGAAACCAAAGAUGAAACCCAUAGAUCUCAAAAACUCCACCGGAGCAAACUCAGAGUUACGAGGGUUAUGUUAAAUUGAUUAUUAAUAUAAUAAAAAUAACAAUUCUCCAUAUGUUAUUUCUUAUUAAUUCUUAUAUAUAAAUUAAAUUGAUAAUUUCUUAAAAAUAACAAUUCUCCAUAUAUAAAUUAAAUUUAUUUUAAUUUAAUAUAUGUUAUUUUUAUAUUAAAUAUAUGUUAUUUUUAUUAUAUUAGUAAUCAAUUUAAUUUAUUUUUAUUCUUGAGUAAUGGAUUAAAUUUAUUUAGUUUGAAGAGAAAAUUUGACAAAAAUUAAAUGGAAAAAUUGGAUAAUGAAGUUAUAUUCAUAAUUUUAUUAAUAAUAUAGGAAUAAAUUGAACAAUGAACAAUUAUUUUUUAAUAUGCUAUAAGGGUAUAAUGGUAAAAUUAUAAUUUACUGUUAACAAAUGGGGGUCUCAGUGUCUUUUUUGAAACAUUAGGGGGUUUUGUGUCCCUUAUUCAAACGUUGGGGGUCUCUAUGUCCUUUUCCCAAAAAUUUAUAAACUGGAAAUUUAUAAUAAUCUAACUUAUUCUCGUUACUAUUAAAAAAUAAGUAAACAUAUCAAUAACAAUAUAGUUUAUUAUGAUUAUAAUUCAUUCAAUUAAAAUAAAUAAUUUAUUCUUAUUUCUAUUCUCUAUUCUAAUUUCAGUAAAUUUUGAUUUUAGUUUAUUUUAAUUAUUGAUUAGUUGUAAACUUAACUGGAAAUUUAUUGCAUAUAUUACGAGAAGCAGUACACACCAAUGGUAAAUUGAUACAUCGUUUUUGAGCUUAAGAUAGUCAAAUGAAAGAAACACAACGUAGGGUUCAUGAAACACUUUCAAAGCUGCUGAUGACUUAAAGUGAAUAACCUCAGCAUGUAAACUUAACUUCAAAGGACGGAGCACAAGUUUCACAGAAAAACAGCUCUUAUUUCUGAUGCUGCGAACACAGAGGAGUGACCUCAAUCUUCUUCAUCACUUGGGAAUUCUGCAAUUAUAGAGCACGACAUUGAGCAUGAACUAGAAAAAAUAUUUAUUUUCUACAAUUUUCAUAUAAUAAUUCAUAUGUUUUUACUGUCAUCACUUUAGAAAAAACUAAUUUCUCAAUGUGAAAUGGCCCAUAAAAAGUAUUCUCAUUUAAAAACUAAAUUUGACAAACCCCUCGAUUAAAGCAGGGGAGAGAAAAAAAAAAAAAAAGAUCUGAAGGCUUUCCAUGAAAAUGUUGUCACUUUGGAUGAUAUUUUCAAGGGAUUUCAUUCUAAAAAUAAAAUACCUGGGACCUUAUUCUUCAAAUUGACAGCUCGCCCAGUACUAAACGCGUAUGAGAUCAGUACUGGGACAAGUAACGAGACGACCCCUCCAACAGCUGAAAAUAAAAUUCGCAUUCAUCAAUUUAAAUUGAAAUUCAUAUUAUGAAAUUAAAACUAAUGAUUAAUGAAUUUUCAAGGAAUUUAAUAAGAUUCUCAUAUAUAAACGUGAUAAAAAAUUCACUCAUCAAUAACAAAUAUUCUAACAUUUUGUUGAUGUAAUUGUUGUAUGGUUGUGUUAAGGUCAUUAUUAGACCAACGCAGUUUGUCAUCACUCAUUCCGUACCAGACGUUUACUCUCGGAGGCGUGAUUGAUUCUCCUUUGGUGAAAAUCUUCAUCUUCGGACAACCAAUCACAGUAAGAUAUUCCAAAGAUGGGAAUUUGAAGGCGUAAUUGCCAGAGGAGAAGCUUGUGAGACUAUCUAAAUCAAACAGGGACAACGUAGUCAGUUUGCUGAAAACAAUCUCUUCUUUUAAAUAUGCUGUUUCAUUUCAAGACUGGCAAAAUUCAUUGUGUAAUCAAAGUUUUCAAUGAUCCAACUAAUAUAUAUAUAUAUAUGUAUGUAUAUUCCUUCUCUAGUGCAGACAUUCUCAUUUUUUUUUUUCAUGUGGACCAGUUUUUAGAUCCCCUGGUUUAAAAGAGUUAGUUUUUAACUCUUUAAAACCGCAUGGCUUCAUAAUUUAUUUAAAAACUAACUCUCUUAAACCGCACGGUUUAAAAGCGUGUCCACAUUAAAAAAAAAUACGGACCCCCACACCUGAGAAUGAUUAUAUAUAUAUAUAUAUAUAUAUAUAUACACACACGCUCUUAAACCGUGGGAUUUGAAAGCUUCUCCGCAUGAAGAAAGUAAAAAAUAAGGGCAUUCCCACUAGAAACAAACUCCAUAUAGGUAUUUAUUAAACCUCCUGAUCUGUGAGUGAGGAACAACAAAUAUAAUUGAUAAAAAAAAUCUAAAAUUUGGUUUCAUACCUUCUUGAACGAGAACAGGGGUUGUUGUGCCGGAAUACCAAAUUGAUCAUUCUCGUUAUUCUGGGACAACGUUAUUUUAUCACAAUUACAGGCCUCCAAUGUUUUUUAGUGCUGGCCAUUCUGAAGUAUGCAUUCCAGGGUAUAAACAUCUGAGUUCUGGUAGACCUUCGAGAUUCAGAGUGGUCACUUGUGGAAAGACAAAAUAUGGGGUCACUUGAUCUGCUCUGUCUUUGGAGAUGAUCUCUUGUAAACCCAUACAUAUCCGUAUCUCCAGGUGUUGGAGGUGCUCAAGGCUUUGGAUCAUAGAAGCUGAAAAUAUGUAUUUUAAUUUGUCACAGCCCCACACUAUCAAUCGUGUCAAACUUUGAAAGCCGCAAGUUGAUUGUCAUGCAAAAUCUCGUCGACAUUAAUAGCAUUCAGCUCCAAAGCCUCCAAAUUUGGCAACACUACCUGAAGAUAAUUUUCUCUUUAGAUCCAAUAUCCGUAUGGAAAGCACUUGUUUUGACACAAUAUCCAUAUAAGAAGCACUUAAUUAAGAGCUUAAUUAGCGAGUGUAUGAGACUUUUUUUUUUCAAAUGCCAGUGCAUGAUAGAACUAAAAAAAAAAAAGAAGCAUUAGCCUACGUACCUUCUCGUUGAAAAGCAGAGUUGACGUUUCCGAACUGAUCUCGUUGGAACUGGCUGUCAAUUCCUCUUGCGACUCUUGUCUGUUUGGUGAUGUGGAAGAAGUCUUCACUUCACCGCAAAACCUUGUAACCUUUGGAAGCUUUCCCAGACUCAAAGAUCUUAAUUGACCAAACUCUAUCUUCCCAUCAACAUCAACAUCAGCUUCUCCUCCAGUUGCAAAAAUCUCUUCCAUGCUGCUGCAAUUGAUAACUGCAAUCCUCUCCAGUCUUGGAAGGCAUUUUGUACUACUAGAGAGCCAGAAGAUAUUACUCAACUCAUCACAAUUUUCUACUUUUAUGGUUUUGAGUUCAUUGAAGGACUCUAUUUUGAGUCGAUCAAUACAUAUCCUCUCCAUAUUGAUCAAAUUUUGAAGAGUAUGGGACUCCAAAAGAGGAAAGGCGACACAUGGUUCUCUCUCCAUUGAAUCGACGAUACACAGGAAGUCUGGAUUAUUUUGAACAUGGAGAUGCUUCAAUUGUGAAAAGCCCUCAGUGUCCAAUUCUAAAACAACAUUCUUGAUUCCUUGCAACUUAUCCAAACAUAAGUAUUCAACGUUAUUGAUGCGCUGCAACUUCUCGGAGCAAAUGGCCAUAGAAUCAAGCUUGAGCUUCAAUGUUCUUAAACUCUCAUGAUUACUGAUCAUAAAGUGCUGCCGACUUUCAAACCAAUCAUUAUGCUGAAAUCUGCUCGCCCUUGGACCGACCAGAUUCUGUCACCAACGUUUGUGUUAUCAACUGUCACUCGAACCACUGGGGUUGGAAUCGCCCUUCCCUCUCUCACUAGACCUGCGUUCAGCAAAAACGGAUCAGAGACGCCGGUGGUUUUGCCGGCGUAAACCCUCCGAUGCCUAAGUUAGCACAAGGUGUUUACGGGAAAACAGUGUAAUAUGGAUUUAAGAAAUUUGUAAGGAAAUGGCCUGGUUGCAAUUUGGCAGCGUUUCCCCUCUCUCAGUUUUUCUGUCCUGUCUUCUUCGAUGUCUUUCUCUUUUAUAGCCGCCCUUUGUCCCACGUUUUUCGUUUGCCCCUUAUCCCUCCUUUUUCGGGUGGUGGUAGCCCCUCAUGGGACUCUAACUGCCAGAUUGUGGGCAAACGUGGAUCUCGCGUGUCCUUCAACCGCUCUGGGAGAAGCGCAACUACCGCGAUUUUGUGAGAUCGUGUUCCCGCUUUCCUGGGGAUGAGUAUCGGCUCGGCGUAUAUUUAUGGUCGGUAUGUUUUCCUGGUCGCAUUCAUCUCGGGUCGGCUCUUGUUUAACCCCGUGUUCUGCUCGUACCAUAUAGCUGGAACGAUCCGUGCCGGGGUGGAACCAGUAACAUGGCCGACCUGGUGCCUUUAUGUACUCAACACCAGUCCCCCAGUUUCUGGUCUGGCGAGUGAAAUGAGUUAAGAGUAGAAACUGAUGGUCAAAUCUCACCAGCCCGGGGAGCUUCUCGUCUGAUCCUCUUUUUAUUGAGACGGGCCUGACCUGAUGUACCAUUUCUCUACUGAGGAGACUCCGACCUGAGCGUGGGCCUAAGUGAACCUGCCCAUAGCAUAUCUGGGCUUACUUCUAACCUGGCCUCUUGUAACGGUUGGUGAUGUGGCAUCUCCAGACUCUUCGUAUUUGAAAUUUGAAACGACGGGCUAUCCGUCCUCGAUAUAUGGGGGGUGAGCUGGCAUAUCCCAUCACUGAAAUGCUUCCAUUUCCCCCUUUUCGUUUCAAAUCCCUAGACUGGAGUCAUCAUUAUCUUGCUAUUCGUUUCUCCGUCGUCAACCAAAUUUUCUCUGAACUUUGCUCACACUUCCAGCGUCCGGAGUAUCCAUUCGCCGGGUGUUUUCUCUGUCACGGCGGCGCUAUCAGUGUCAGUCUAUUCCAGGUAUAGUCUUUAACCUUUUCCUCUGGUUGUUGUUGAUUGGGUUCUGUGUUGCCUUCUUUGUGUCCAUAUACUCGAGUUUUCUCUGUUUUCUUUUGGGGAUUUCGGUAUGUCGAAUCGGAAGAGGAAGUUAAUUGUUGAUGAGGGUGAUGAAGAGUCAGGGGACUCAGGCCUCAAUGUGCCAAUACCCACUGAUUACUUGGGCCCCUCCAGUAGUGUAGGUCCUUCCCAUGGCAGGGAUACCCUUGAAUACCCACGCCCUUUGGUUAUCUCUCCUUCCCCCGAACUAGAGCUUGUAGGGAAUAGAGGUGGACCUGCGUCGGGCUCUGGUGAGAAUCACAGUUCUGGUGGGGUUGGGGUCCCUGAAGGAGUUAGUGAUGGUGAGGGAAGCGGUUCCGGACCAAGCAGACCUGCUCAGAAAAGGAAACUAGGCCAUAGGGUGGAGGCUGAUUCCUACCCUAUUGAUUUCAUGGCUUGUGCCACCACCCCCACCGAUCUAUUUAAACUUAGGAAUCUCUACAACAUCCCCAACGAUGUUCUUCUUGUAGUCCCUGGGAAGGGUGACGUUCCUAGUCGGCCUCCGCAGGGGUAUGUGACGAUGCACCUAGAGAGUUUUAAACUAGGAGCUCGGCUGCCCCUUCAGCGUUAUUUUGCCAAGAUAUUGGGAGGUAUGCACCUGGCCCCAGGUCAGCUACACCCGAACGGGUGGAGGGUUCUAUCGGCUAUGUUUGUGUUGUGGGAGAGGUGCGGGUUGGAGGAGCCUUCCCUUGUUGAAGUGAAGCAUUUGUAUCAGCUGCGGAGCAGCCCAAGGGAGGCGGGCUGGUACUACUUCAUGUCCAGUUCUGCAAAGAGAAAGCCAAUCACCGGUUUCCCCUCCUCGUGCAAGAAUUGGAAGAACAAAUUCUUCUUUGCUGGGGGAAAAUGGUGUUCAGCACUUCGUUCGUUGGGUGGUGAUCUUUACCUACCAACGCAGUUUGUCACCCCAGGUCGUUCAUUUUUUGCCUGUAUUCUUUUUCGAACUGCCACUUAUUGGGUUCUUUAACCUUGUUUGUUAUUUCAGAGUCAUGGGGUUUGAUCGGGGGGCUUGAAGAUCGACCCUUGCUUCAGGUGGAAACUGCUCUGGUGAACGCUUCUACUUGCCAAGACCUCCUGUCUCCAACAAACUUGGUCGGUUCGGGCCUAGUGGAUAUAGCCGCUGGAAUGGAUAACAAGAUCCUCAGCGCGAUGAGCAGGAAGCGUGGUCGGGCCCCGAGCAGCUCCAGCAACCCUCCUCCUCCUCCGAAGAAACCUACCGUCGGUCCUUCCAAGGCGCCUGUUCCUGCUCUGCCUCCUCCUCCACCUCGUAAGAGUGGUGGGGAGAAAACCUCGGACAAGAGUCCUGAGGUCAGCUUGCAAUCUGGGGACCGAUCUUCUCCUCUCCCAUCUCGGGAUCAAGGUGAUUACCUGAGUCCAUAUCAGAAGGAUUAUAAAAAAUCGGUUGGGCCUAAGAUGGUGAAGGACAUCGAGAGCAUGAGCCUCUCCGAGUUGGCUGCUUCUGUUCAGAGAGUCUCCUUUAGGCUGGCCACAAUGGUCUCGUGCUACAAGACCGGGUCCGCGCGUCAUGAGAAGAAGCUUCAAGCUAACAAUCAGGAGUUGAAAAGGAAAGCUGAAUCUGCUGACCGCUCCAGGGAGAAACUAGCCGAGCUGAACAAGCAUAUUAUGGAGCUGGAGGAGAAAGUUGCGGUUGCUGAGUCCACUUCCUACAAGCUUGAGGGCGAGUUGAAUGAUCUGAAGUCCGAUCUUCAGGCUACUCAAAGUGAGAGAGAUACUCUGAGGACCGCCCUUGAGGGAGAGAUCAAAUCCCUGAGUGACCAGCUGGCUGAAGAGAAAGGCAAAUCUGCUGAUGUAGAUGAUCGGCUGGAUGCUGAGUAUGACUCCGGGGUUGCUUUCAGCUAUAAGUGCAUCAUGUCUGUGCUCACGGAAGAAUACCCCGAGCUCGAUAUGAGCAAGCUGGAGACUGGGGUGGAGAGAUAUAUGGCUGGGGCCGGCCAGGGAGAUAAGGAGCAGGGUGAGCAGGAUCGGGUGGAGGUUCCUUCGGGUGGGGUGGAAGAGGGGGAUGCUGGGGGACGCACUUUCGAAAUGGGUCAAGGGUCCAUGCCUCCUCCUCCCGGUAUUGCUGAUCUCCCACCUCCUGAUGUUGCUGAUCCCUCACUUCCCGGGCUCGCUGAUCCUUCAGCCGCUGGAGCCGUUGACUCUGCUAAGCUUUGAGCCUAUUUUUGUAUAGACUCUAGAUUUGCAUUUGUUUUGUAAACAAUUGAACAUUUAUAAAAAGAUUUUUAAAUGCUCUUUAUUUGCUUUCUUGUCCGGUUUUUGCUCAUAGAUUGUAUCUUAGUUUUGCCUUUCGUAGGAUUAACUGCUGGUCCUUCGUUGACCGAGCCGAAGUAGGCAUUUGCUUUAGUAGAUUUCUUGUAGAGUUAGCUGCUGGUCUUGCGUUGACCGAGCAGAAGUAGGCACUUACUUGCCUUGGUAGAAUCUUCGUAACUUUAGCUGCUGGUCAUUCGUUGACCGAGCCGAAGUAGGCACUUGCCUUAGUAGAGUUUUCGUAGCUUUAGCUGCUGGUCUUUCGUUGACCGAGCAGAAGUAGGCACUUGCCUUAGUAGAGUUUUCGUAGCUUUAGCUGCUGGUCUUUUGUUGACCGAGCAGAAGCAGGCACUUUGUUGCCUUAGUAGAUAUUUUGAAGCUUUAGCUGCUGGUCUUCGUUGACCGAGCAGAAGUAGGCACUUGCCCUAGGAGAGUGUUCGUAGCUUUAGCUGCUGGUCAUUCGUUGACCGAGCAGAAACAGGCACUUUGUUGCCUUAGUAGAAAUUUUGAAGCUUUAGCUGCUGGUCUUCGUUGACCGAGCAGAAGUAGCACUUGUCUUAGUGAAAUUUUUAUUGAUCUUGCUAGCAGGGGGAUUUCAUGCUGAAUUCAUCUUUAUUGAAAUUUGAAUGUAUUACAAAAACAUAGAAUAUAUGCAUGUGCGACAGGCCAUCAGGCAUUGUAACAGAAAUAACUUGCCAGAGUGAGGAUUUAAUAGAGCAUUUUGCUUACUGGAAGUACUUCUUCAGGUGUUCGGCGUUCCAUGAUCUCUUCACGUCUCGUCCGUCUUGGCACGCUAAUUUAUAUGCUCCUGGUCCAGUGGCUCGUAUCACUCGGUAUGGGCCUUCCCACUUUGGGCCAAGAGCGCCAUGGUUAGGAUUCCUGGUGUUCUGGUUCACCUUCCUAAGUACCCAAUCUCCUGCUCGGAACUGCCUCACGCGUACAUUCUUGUUGUAAUAACGCAUGACCCUUUGCUGACAUUGGGCCACUUUCUGCGAGGCCCCUUCCCUUUUCUCCUCCAGCAGGUCUAGGCUUAAGCAGAUCUGCUCGUCAUUUUGCUCCUCAACGAAAUGUUCCGUUCUAUGUGUCCCCACUCCAAUCUCUGUUGGGAUUACCGCCUCAUGACCAAAAGCUAAAGCGAACGGUGUUUCUCCUGUGGCGGUUUUGUGAGUUGUCCUGUAGGCCCACAGUACCCCUGGUAGCUCGUCAACCCAAGCUCCCUUCUUCUCCCCCAAUCUAGUCUUUAGGAGCUUCUUUAUCACCUUGUUGGCUACUUCCACUUGCCCAUUUGCCUGGGGGUGUGCGGGGGUGCAGAACUUCAGGUCCACCCCCAGGUUUUGGCAAAAUUCCCUGAAGUUGCCGUUGUCAAAUUGCCUCCCAUUGUCUGUGAUGAUGGCGUAGGGGAUCCCAUAUCUGCAGAUGAUGUUUUUCCAAAUAAAAUCUGUUGUCUUCCUCUCUGUGAUCUGGCUGAGGACUCCUACUUCCACCCACUUGGUGAAGUAGUCUAUUGCCACGAUUGCAUGUGUCGCCGCUCCUCGUCCCUUUGGUAAUGGACCAAUCAAGUCGAUUCCCCAUUGAGCGAAAGGCCAUGGGGAUGUCAUAGCCGUCAGUUUCUCCGGUGGUUGUGCAGGAACCUCGGAGAAGCUUUGGCAUGUUUUACAAUUCUUGGCCAUUCUUUUGGCAUCCUGGUGCAUGGUUGGCCAGAAGUAUCCUUGCCGAAGUGCCUUGAAAGCUAAAGUUCUUGCUCCCGAGUGAUUGCCGCAUAUUCCCUCAUGAAUCUCUCUCAGCACAUAAUCCGCCUCCUCAUCAUCCAAACAUCUCAAAAGGGGUAAGGUGAACCCUCGGCGGUAUUGCACUCCAUCUAGUAGCGUGUACCUCGCUGCUCGGCAUUUUAACUUUCUUGCUUGCCUUUUGUCUUCCGGUAAAACUCCAUCGCGGACAUAUGCGCGAAUCGGGUCCAUCCAGGAUUCUCCAAUAUUUACACUCAUCACCUCUGCUUCUUCCUCAAUACUUGGUGAGGUCCUUACCUCUAGUGGAACUGACUUCGGUAAUUUUGGAUCUGCGAUGGCUGCCAUCCUAGCCAGCAUAUCGGCUCGGAAAUUCUCAUUCCGGGAUAUCUGCUUUACCUCCACUACUUGGAAAAGCCCAACCAUCUGCUUCGCCUUCUUCAAAUAAAGACCCAUCUUCUCUCCCCUCGCUUGAAACUGACCAUUGAGCUGAUUACACACCAAUUGGGAAUCUGCUCGAAUUUCUACUCUCUCUGCUCUGAGAGCGUGUGCAAGUCCGAGCCCGGUGAUAAAGGCUUCGUACUCAGCUUGGUUGUUUGUGAGCUGAAAUUCGAACUUCACCGCGUAUGUUACCUCAGUUCCCUCUGGGCUCCUUAUUACAACUCCUGCUCCGGAUCCUUGCUCACUACAUGAUCCGUCAACCAUUACCAGCCAUAUCUCCUUUGAAUCCUCGUGCUCUACCGGUUGUUCCUCUUGGACCUCUUCCCCCGGUUCAACACGGUCCACCAUAAAAUCUACCAGGGCUUGGGCCUUGAUUGCUCCUCGGGGCCUGUAGGAUAGGUCAAAUUCGCUCAGCUCCACGGACCAUUUUACUAACCGACCAGACGCAUCUGGUUUUUGAAGUACUUGCCGAAGUGGCUGGUCAGUCAUCACAAUGAUCUGGUGGGCUUGGAAGUAUGGUCGGAGUUUGCGUGCUGCCAUUAUCAAAGCCAGCGCCCACUUCUCCAUUAGUGGAUAUCUGGUUUCUGCGUCCACCAGGGCCUUGCUUGUGUAGUAUACCGGGUGUUGCUUCCCUUCUACUUCCCUGACUAAGACCGAGCUGGUAGCCUGCUUAGAGAUUGCCAAGUAUAAGAGCAGCUGGUCACCCUCUCUCGGAGUUGAUAGUAACGGGGCGUGGGCUAGAUAUUCCUUCAGCUGUCCAAAUGCCUCCUCGCAUUCCGGUGUCCAUUCCAUCUUCUUCCCUUUCUUUAUGACUUGGAAGAAAGGGUGACAUUUAUCAGUGGCUCGCGAAAUGAAUCGGUUCAAUGCUGCCAACUUCCCCGUAAGGCUCUGCACCUCCUUAGCUGUUCGUGGGGACUUCAUUUCUAUCACCGCCCGUAUAUUUUCUGGGUUGGCUUCAAUACCUCGAUGGCUCACCAGGUAUCCCAAAAAUUUGCCCGAGCUGACCCCAAAUGCACAUUUCUCCGGGUUCAGCUUCAUUUUGUACCUCCUCAGCAAUUCGAAAGUCUCUUUUAAGUGCUUCACAUGGUCUUUCGGUUCUCUUGACUUGGUGAUCAUAUCGUCCACAUAUACUUCCAUAGUGCGACCGAUCAAUGGUUUGAAGACCUUGUUCACUAACCUUUGAUAGGUAGCUCCUACAUUUUUCAGGCCAAAGGGCAUCACCCUGUAACAAAACAAACCCAUGUUAGUUAUAAAUGUGGUGCUCUCCUCAUCCUGCUCGUUCAUGGGUAUCUGGUUGUAUCCGGAGAAGGCAUCCAUGAAACUGAGUAGACUAUGACCCGCGGUUGAGUCCACCAGCUGAUCUAUUUUUGGUAGGGGAAAGCUGUCCUUCGGGCAUGCCUUAUUGAGGUCCGUGAAGUCUACACACAUUCUCCACUUCCCAUUGGCCUUCUUUACCAAUACCACAUUGGAAAUCCACUCCGGGUACUUAGCUUCCCUUAUAAAUCCUGCUUUCAGCAGCUUUUCCACCUCGGCAUUUAUGGCUUCGUACCUUUCAUGGUUGAAGCACCUCAUUUUCUGCCUCACCGGCUUUGCCCCUCUCUUGACCGCCAGCUUGUGACAAGCUAUCCCGCGGUCAAUACCUGGCAUAUCCUCAUGAGACCAAGCAAAUAUGUCUGCAUGGGACUGUAGACACUUCACCAGCUCUGUCUUUAUUUCUCUACCCAAUUCUGAUCCGACCUUUACAACUCUGCUAGGGUCGCUCCUGCUUACAACAACUUCCUCCAGCUUCUCAACCAGUUCCUGACUACCAUUUUUUGAAUCCCUUCGGUUAUCUAGCGAGGUAACUUGCAGCGUUUCCUUGGCCGCUGUAGCAUAGCAGCUCCUGGCCAUUCUCUGGUCGCCCUUUACUACACCCACAACUCCAUUUAUUCUGUACUUCAGCGCCAGAUAAUGCGUUGACAUUACACAUUGGCUUAUCCUCAUGAACGGUCUCCCCAAUAUCAUCUGGUAAGGACUUCUUUCCUCUACCACUACAAAGUCCAGCAUCAUCGUUCUUUCAAGUGGCUUUGUCCCUACAGUAAUCGGGAGUUCAAUGACCCCCAUGGGAGUUAACCGUCCCCCUCCAAAUCCCUUCAAGGAUGUAUUCGUUCGCUCCAGCUUUAAAUCUAAAAUCCCCAUAUCAUCUAAGGCCGACUUAAACAGAAUGUCUACUGAGCUGCCCGUAUCUACCAGUAUUCACCGUAAUUCUGUACUGGCCACAAAUGCUUUAAUCACCAGCGCAUCCUCGUGAGGGUAUAAAAUGCCUUCUUCGUCGUCCUCUGUCCACAUAAUAGGAACUUGCCGCACUUUUUCCCUCUUGGCUGCUGGCAAAUUGAAAAGCACUUCUUUGCUAGUCAGGGCGUAUCUCCCAUAGUUCUUCCGUGCCCUGUUUGAAUCCCCGGCCAAUGUUGGCCCUCCUGCUAUAACUUGGAUAGUCGGCUGUUCUUGUUCCAAACCCCUUUCAACUCCUUCAUCCUGUGCAUAUUGCGACUCACUGACGGGGAACACUCCAUCUACGUACUCAUCCAAGUAUUGGUUCCUCACCAAAUCCUCCACCUGAAUCCUUAGGUCACGGCAUUGGCUGAUAGUAUGACCGUGAGUGUUGUGGAAUUUGCAGAACCUGCUCUUAUCACGCCGGUGAGCGGGUUUCGUUAUAGGGGUCGGAGUAUACAGCAGUCCUCGUCCCUCGAUCCUUUCGUAUAGUUCCUCCAUGGAGAUUUUUAAAGGAGUAUAUCGUCGAUAUGCCGCGCUCUGGUCAACCAACUGAACUGCUCGGCUAUCAUGGACAUCACUUCGGGCUGGUAUAGCCGGUAACUGCUCUGGUCGGCCAGACCUGUGAUUGGUCGCGUUUACCUCUCUGGGAGUGCGGUGGUAAGGGUGGGCAGUCACCUGCCUGAAUUCUCGCUGCCGCUCUGGGAUCGGGGGGCGCAGAGGUUGAGCCCGGCUGUGUUGGAACUGUUGUGCUCUCUGAGCUAUGGGGUAAGGGCGAGACCGAGCUGAUAUUCCGCCCAUCCCCGAAGAUUCUCCAGUUCGCUUUCCCGACCCGCUCCCUUUCGGGGCUCUCCGUUCUCUUCGCCUCAGCUCUUCCAGCUGUUCACUUUUAAUUCUUGCUGAUUUUUCCUCUUCGAUUUCUAUGUCUCGUUUCGCUUGCUCAUACCCCGACGAGUAAUUCUGUACGAGGGGGCUUCUUAAGUUAUACCACAAUCGGCCGAUUCUUACACCUUCUUUUAAUCCCCUCAACGCCUGCGGGUGAUUAAAAGCUCCCAAAUCCAGCACGGCUCGGUGAUAUCGUUUUACGAAAUCGUGAAGGGAUUCAUGCUCCUCCUGCUUCAUCCCCAUCAGCUCCAUCAUGUCAUCCUCUGGGGCCACCGCCCCUCGGAACUGCUCGGCCAACUCCUGGCACAUCUGCUCAUACCCCUUUAUUCCUCCUCGGGGCAGCUUGCGGUACCAUUCUCGGGCUCGUCCCUCUAGUGUCAACGGGAACACCCUGCAUCUCUGAGCUGGUGUCAGCCCCUGCACACCCGUCAUGUCGUUGAAACGCUCAAUGUGCACCAACGGGUCACUUCGCCCGGAGUAUUUAAGGUCAGGGAAGCGGAAAUCUCUUGGGAUUAUGGUGCUCAUGAUCUCAAUUGAUAACGGAGAUUCUUCAUCUAGCAUUAUCCUCCAGCUCGGGGGCUUUCUCUUGCCCUGCAUCUCCUCUAUCACCUGCGCCAAUCUGCGCACCUCCCCCUCCAAUUCUAUAGCGCGAUCAGGGUCACGUGCAGCUAUCUGGUCUCUCUCCUGCUCGACGUUCUGCAACCGUUGUCUGAGCUCUCCUUCAUCAACACUGGCCCCUCGGCCAUUUAUUUCCAGUACCCGUCCGGGGCGAGGUUCGUCUCUCCCUUCAUCCACGUGUUCCCCUGGGACCCGGCCAGUACUUCGGUGGGGAUGCACUCCAUUAGGUUGGUCUGCGGGUGGAGGGAUUUCCCCGACCCUACGCCCCCGGAGACUGGGUUCUGCUCCAACUCCAUCUCUUCCCACGGGGGUUUCAUAAUCCCUUCUCCGCUCGUCCCUCAGCUCAAACAAUACGGCCGCGAGAGUCUCCAUUUGUUUCUCCAUCCGCUCCAGUCUAUCUUGCAUCAUCCUCUCUCGGGCUUCAUUUGCUAUCUCCCGUAGAGUGAUUGUCUCCACCGUUUCAUUAUCCUCCCUUACAGUAUCCUUUCUUGACGCAUCCAUAUCUAAUCGUUCGCUACUUCUCAGGUAAUUACUAACUUGGUGGUAGCUUUUUAUUCAGCUCCCCACAGACGGCGCCAAAAUGUUGAUGCUGAAAUCUGCUCGCCCUUGGACCGACCAGAUUCUGUCACCAACGUUUGUGUUAUCAACUGUCACUCGAACCACUGGGGUUGGAAUCGCCCUUCCCUCUCUCACUAGACCUGCGUUCAGCAAAAACGGAUCAGAGACGCCGGUGGUUUUGCCGGCGUAAACCCUCCGAUGCCUAAGUUAGCACAAGGUGUUUACGGGAAAACAGUGUAAUAUGGAUUUAAGAAAUUUGUAAGGAAAUGGCCUGGUUGCAAUUUGGCAGCGUUUCCCCUCUCUCAGUUUUUCUGUCCUGUCUUCUUCGAUGUCUUUCUCUUUUAUAGCCGCCCUUUGUCCCACGUUUUUCGUUUGCCCCUUAUCCCUCCUUUUUCGGGUGGUGGUAGCCCCUCAUGGGACUCUAACUGCCAGAUUGUGGGCAAACGUGGAUCUCGCGUGUCCUUCAACCGCUCUGGGAGAAGCGCAACUACCGCGAUUUUGUGAGAUCGUGUUCCUGCUUUCCUGGGGAUGAGUAACAUUCUUGAUUCCUUGCAACUUAUCCAAACAUAAGUAUUCAACGUUAUUGAUGCGCUGCAACUUCUCGGAGCAAAUGGCCAUAGAAUCAAGCUUGAGCUUCAAUGUUCUUAAACUCUCAUGAUUACUGAUCAUAAAGUGCUGCCGACUUUCAAACCAAUCAUUCUCAAUAACCAGGGUAGAGUCGAAUGAUGCAUCUCCUAUUGAUAUAUCAAACCUUUCCAGCUUUUUGGAAAAAAAGCCAUCCGGUAAAAUGCUAUCAUUUUUAACAUCUAUCUAAGGUGGUCAAUCGCCUCAUAUGCAUCAAUUCGUCGAGGGUGGCAUUACUUCUUUCACUAUUGGCCUUUUCAACUUCCCAUUCAAUAGGGGAAUUACCCAUAUACAGUUCUUCCAAUCGAGUGAAGCUUGAUAAGACGUUGGGCACAAUAAAUUUUAGUUGCAAACAAUCUGUUAAAUCUAACAGCCUUAACUUAGUCAGUUGACCUAGUUCGCCAGGCAACCGUACAAUAUCAGAAUUUAAAAAGCUAAGGAUUUCUAGAUUCUUCAACUUUCCAAUUAUGGCUAUGUCUCCCAACAUGCUUUGAUCUAGACAGAGUGUUUGAAGAUUUGCUAGAAGACCGAUUGAAGAUGGCAAUGAAAAUAAUCGCAUUCGUGUCAAAUCUACAACUCGAAGCUUUUUCAGCCCUUUGAAAAUGUUGUCAGGAAUAUUGACCUCAACAAAAGUGUUUUGGGAAAUAUGUAAAAAUUCAAGUUGCAGACAUUCAAAUUCCUCAGAAACUUCAUGAAUGCUACUAUUUAGUAAAGAGAUUGCAUAGCAUUUUUUAAGUGCAUCCUCAUCUGGCCACUCCCACACAGCCUCAUUUCUCACCAAUAAAGCAUGUUGGUCUCGAUUUAAACUUUAACUCAAUUUGAAAAACUGAGCAAGUAUGCGUUACAGGAAAUCAAAAAAGCUCCACAUACCCAGAUCAUGAUCUCACGUUGAAUCCAGGUGGGAGAUAUAUUUAUGAUCAAGCCCAACAUCGAAGGGGGCAAAAAAAAAAAAAAAAAAAUCUACCAGACAUAUGAUCAUAUUGACCACGAGCUUCAUACGCCGUGGAUUUAUUAACAAAAGUGGGAAUUAAUUAAUCAUGAGCAUGUGUUCUAGUUAAGUCAAAAGAGAGACUUAAUUAAGAACGCAUAUAUAAUUCAUAAUCAGCACAUAAAAAGAUCACUAGUGCUUGCCCCUCCUGCCCUUGCCGUGCUUGCCGUGCUUGCCCCUGCCCUUGCCCUUUCCAUGCUGGUAGUAGCCGCCGUGCUUGCCGUGUGUGUAUGCACCGUGAGCUCCAGGAUAUGCGUUAUUAUCUGCAACAAAAUAAGAAAUUAAAUCAUAAGCUUAUAAUUAGCUCGCUCGCUAAGAGUGAUUAAAAUAAUACCGUGCGGAACGGAUGGGCCAGGAUAUCCCGUUGGUGUGUAACCACUGGCGAGUGCUGCUCCUGUAGGCGGGUAGCCGGCACCGGCUGGGGCAGCAUGAUCAGCACCUUCCAUGAUUUUGAUGAUCACCUAAUAAAUAAUAACUUGGUCCAAAAUAAACAACAAUAAAUAAUUGUGAUUAAUAAAAAGUAAUAUAUUCUCUAAUUAAAACAUUAAUGAUCAUUGGAGAGCAAGCGAGAAAUACUUACUGAAUGCGAUGGGACAGACAACAUCAUGCAUAGAGAAUUGUUCAUCUUCAACGAAUUUGGCUGCCCGGUCAAUGAUGCCGUUAGCACUAACCAGCCACUUCUCAACCUUCUCUUCAAUCUCUUCCCCUUUUUCUUUUGCCUCUGAAACUCUGCGCCGAAUGCUCGUACGUUCAACCUUCAACUUCUCCAUUUCCGUCUUGAGAUUCUCAAGGUUGGCAUUGUAGUUCCGCUUGCGCAAAUAAACAAGUUGGCGUUCUGUUGGAGGAGCCAAGCAUUUUACAAGUUCCAAAACGAGAGUAACAAUGAUUUCCAGCAUCUUGAAUCCUGACAACAAUGUAGAAGUGAAGAAGGCCAAAGGACAGUCAAAACAGAGAGACAGCGUUACGACAAGCAGUUAUGGAGCUAAAAAUAAAUAACAAACAAACAGAAGCAAAGUGUUUUUCGAAUGAGAAGAAGGAAGCAAGAAAAACUUAAAACUAGUAUAAUAAAUUUAUACUAAAACUAGUAUAGUAAAACAAGAAGUCAAGAACCAGCAACUUUUACACACAAAAUAAAACCUUAAAACUAGUAUAAUAAAUUUAUCAUCAAGUUGCAGCCUUCUUAUUCAACAAUUACAGCAUUAUCUUGAGCUCUGUGUUUCUUUUUUUAAAAUUAUUCAAAAAAAUCUGCAUUUGUUUUUCAAGGAUAAAAAUUAUAUUUUUGUCUCAUAUAAUAUAAAAUUAAAAAAAAACAAACAUAUAUUAAAGGUCUGUUUGGGAUUAUUUUUAGAGGCUCAAAAGUAAUUUUAAAAAGUUAAAUGCUAAUUUUGGUAUUUAAUAAAAUUUUUAGAAGUCACCUUUGGUAAAAUCAUCAAUCCUACAACAAAUUUUGAAAGCAAAUAGUUUUUCAAAUUUUUAUUUUGAUAAUUAAUUUUAUACUUAAUAUAAUUCCAUAUACAUCCCUACAUAUAUUAAUUAUCCUUAUUAAUUAGAAAAUAAAAUUAUUAACUUUAAAGAUAUUAUCAACAAUUACAUUGAGAUAACAAACUAAAAAUAAAAUUAAUAAUAUAAAAUAUUUAUUUUAGUAAUCAAUUAUUAUACUUACAAGAUAAAAAAUAUUUUAUUUAAAUGUUUAUAAAUGUACAAAUAAAUUUUAUUUAAUAUUAUAUUCAAUUUAGUCAUUUACAUUGUCAAUAGGACUUCUAAAAAUAAAUUUUCCUAAAUGUUUAACUAAUUCUCUUCAUAGUGAUUAUUUCCAAACAUAACUACCAAAAAUUACUAUAAUAGAUACAACAUUACCAAAAAAAUAUUGAGAUAGAUUUUAAUUAGGUAAUUGACUUAAUUAUGAAUCAAUUUAUUAUUUCCAUAUGUGUUAUCCAUAUGUGUUAUCAAAACCAGCUCAAUAAUGAGAUCACUCUUUUUCUUAAAUAAAAAUAUUUGUGCCAAACAAUUGUUGCAAAAUUUCAAAUAUAAAUUACAAACAACAAAAUUUUCUAAAAUCAUAACAAUAAUUUAUGUUGUGAAUACAUGUAACGAAACCACAUUGAAAUUUUAUUGUUAGUAAAAUUGUUUUUCACGCAAAUGCAGUGACGGAUUCGGUUUCAUGUCUCACCCUCAAUAACUUAAUUUUCAUAUCUAACAAAUCAUCCAUAUUAUUAACAAUAUCAUCACCAACCAUAAUCUACCUAAACAUAAACUAAACAUAACACAUACAUAUAACUAUAUACAUACCGAAUCAGGAAAACAAUGAAAGCUACACGUAUCCGGCUCUACAAUUCCUUCUUGAUACCCUUGUGCUUCUAAAAUAAUCAACCAAUUAUAAAAAUUAGCUUAGGUGCAACUUUACCCCUUUUUUUGGGAAACUUAACUAUAAAUAAAGUAUACAAAUCUCUAAAUUAACUUCGUCCCCAUGAAAUUCGGCAUAAAUAGAAAUAGAAUUAUAGAAACCUUACUACCUUUUAUGAGAAAUCCAACUUAUAUAUUUGAGACCUCUCUCUCUAAGCACGCGCUUCCUCUCUCUGCACACUUUCCACCUUUAAAUUCUCCUUCACUAAGUUUACCUAAAAGAAUUUAGCGUUCUCCCAGUUUCUUUCGCAUUUUUCUCCGUGAAAAUUGGUGAAAAAGAGAAAGUGAUUUGAUUAUUUUAAUGUGCGACAGAUCUGGUUUCCAUCUCUGUAAUAUAAGUGUAUCAAAACGAGGUGAACAACUCUUUGUCGAGUCAGUCAAAUAUAAAAGACAAAUUACGAAACCAAGCAGAGCCAAAAAAAAAAAAAAAAUUUCCAAUUAAAUAAUCAUCAAGUCUUUUUCAAUUAAAAUCGGAGGUGCAGAACAACUGUCAGGAGAUAAUCAUUGUUUAUGGAGCCAUAUUAUAUUUUCGAUUAAAAUAGUUGCGCGUGAACAAUUGGCAGAAUUCGUAUAAAUUGUUUUAAGGUCUAUUAUAAUUAACAUUUAACAAGUGGAAUGGCCAAUGGAUGAAGAACCACUAUAAUUAGGGGGGUUUUGUGUCCCUUAUUCAAACGUUGGGGGUCUCUGUGUCUUUUUCCCAUGAAUUUAAAAUGCUAAAGAAACUGGGAAAAUUUACAAAAAUAACCAUAAAAUUUUUGUUAUUUUUACAAUUAACCCUCUCAACUUUUUUCUAUCAACAUUAGCCAAACACGUGCUUUUCUCCCCAAAUUACCCUUCUUUACAAACCAAAAGCAACAUUCUUUCUCCCCUUUCGUCAAACAAAGGCAGCUUCCACUCUUGAAUCAUCAACCAACGACAACGGCAAAAGGCAACGAUAAAAAGUGAAAUCCGAUCAUAAUUUAUUCGGAUCCAACACUAAUCGGCAUCACAUAGUGGUAUGAGUUAUUUUCUUGCUCGUGAGUUUGCCUGUCGCACCAAAAGCCAGAUUCAUUAUAAUUAACUAUUAAUUUGAUAGGGCUGAAAUAAUUUAUUUUUUUAUAAUUUCAGGCUUAAUGGAUUCAGUUGUACUUGAAUUGUGUUACGAUGGUUGUUGGGAGACAUUAGAGGAUGGGCGUAUGGAGUAUGUCAAUGGUAAAAAUAGAGCUUUUUUGGUUGGAAAAAAUUGUCUUUUUGAUCAGUUAUUGGCAAGAGUAUACGAUGUGUUACAAAUUAAUCCUAAUGAAUAUAGUAUCACAAUGAAGACAACUUUGAGGUCUAGUAACACAUUAUAUCAUGUAUGUGCACUGCCCAUGGAUAUAUUUGAUGAUGAAAUGGUGAGGGUUGUGUUACAUAUGGCAUCCGACGUAGCUAAUUUUGGAUGCAUUCCUAUAUUUGUUACCACAUCACCUCGAGUUCCGAGUGGAGGUAUUGAGCCACAUGUCGAUACAGAAACUUCGUUUAGAGCAAAUAUGUCUAGCCUCGAUAAUGAAGAAGAGGUGUUGCCAAGGACAAUAUCACUGCAUCAAUAUUACUCUCCAAUCCACGACAAUUAUGACAACAUUGAUGAUGACGGCGUUACGUUACAGGAUGUUAGAGCAACGGUAUUUCCAAUAACGACGUCGUUGGAGCAACGGUAUUCUCCGUAUCACAAUAAUGAUUUUCGGGACAAUGAUGAUUUUCAUGAUGAGACAGAGGGGGAUAAUGUUUGUGCAGAACCUUCUAAUAAUAUGAGGGGCACUCAUUUCAAUAAUGAUGGUGAUGAUGGAGGAGCCGGUCCUUCGAAUGUUCCGUCGUUUCAGCAUGAGGAUGAGUGUGAAGACAAUACUCCUGCGAAUAAUAGAGGCAAUAGACCUAUUCUAGCAAUGGUUCGAUCGAGAAGGAGAAUUGACCCUCUCACAAGUCUUGCUCCAACUUUGCCUUCGAACAUGGUUGCUCCAAGUUUUGUUAGCAGUUGUGACUCAGAUGAUAUCAGUGUCGGUAAGCUAUUUGCUGAGAAGAAUGAGUUUAUAUUACAACUACGCAAGGUUGCCUUUCAGGAUAAGUUUGAUUUCAAGAUUGCACGGUCUACUACGACACGUUUCGAGGCUCACUGUAGUUCAGAAUCAUGUAAAUGGCGUAUUCGAGCAACUAGAUGUUCGAACGAGGAAAAUGUUCCUUGGGUGGUGCGGAGAAUUGAUAAUGUACACACUUGUCAUAAUGAGGUGUUGGUUGCUGGAUGUCAUCAAGUCAGGAGCCGGGUUGUCGGUCAUAUUAUCGCAGAUAAAUAUAUUCAAGUCAAGAGAAUUUAUACUCCGAAUGACAUAAGAGCAUAUAUGCAACAAGAAUACGGUGUUCAGUUAACAUACCAGCAGGCAUAUCGGGCGAGAGAAGUUGGUCUUGAAAUAGUUCGAGGCAACCCUGCAGAGUCAUACAACUUGCUCCUUAAAUAUUCUCGCGUACUAACUGCAGCGAAUGAGGGUACAGUCACUCACAUCGAGCUGGUGCGACAGCCACGCCUGUCGCACCAAAAAAUUGGUGCGACAGGCGCGCGCUGUCGCACUUGAUCUGGUGCGACAGCGCCUCUCGCACCAGAUUUGGUGCGAGAGGCUUGCUGUCGCACCAGAUUUGGUGCGACAGUGGGGCACGCAUGGGCGCGCGCGCGCGCCCUGCCCCCCUCCCUCUCCACCCCCAAAAUUAAGCCACAACACUUUAAAAUCGAAAAACAAUACUCCCAAACACCACCACUACCACCAUUAUUCUCAAGCUAUAAUUAUUAUUAUUCUAAAAUCUCAUUUUAAAUUAAUGAAAAUAAGAAAAAUGACUAACCUAGGUUUUGUUGAAGGUUGUAGAUCGUAGAUCGGAUGCCGGUGAGAGAUGGAGCCACCGCCGACGAGGGUUGAUGUUGCCGCCGAUGAUGGGAGUUGGAUCGGUUUGGGAGAGAUGAGUGAAAGGGAGUGUUGGGGAAGAGAUGAGGGAGGGGUAUUUUGGUCUCAAAAGUUGUUUAAUGGCUAAUGUUGAUAGAAAUAUUUUUGGGGGGUUAAGAUGAAAAAAAUCAAAACUUUUAUGGUUAUAUUUGUAAAUUUCCCAAGAAACUGACAUCAACGCUAAACGUGAAUCUGCAGCCCUUGCCUCAGUGUCUUUCAGGCGUUACUCGGGGUAGUUGAUAUACUGACGACCCCUUUAUCAAUUAAUAAUCGAAAUAGAUUAAAAUAUGAAUGGAUUAGAAUAGAAUGAGUUGGAAUUAAAAUACGAAAUGACAAUCAGAUUAAUUUAUUUUUUUUAAUUGAGGAAUUAGAAUUGGAAUAAAUUAUAUAGUUAUUGAUGUGUUUAUUUUAUUUUAAAAUUACAAGAGUUGUUGUAAAUUACUAAUAUGCCCUUAAUUUUUUAUUAUAAUUAUAAUUAUUUAUUACUACAUUUGUCAUAUUAUUAAUAUUAUAAUAAUAAUGAUUGUAACAAUUAAUAUUGAAAAAAAUUUAUUGUUAAUAAUAGUAAAUAAAAUAAGAAUAAAUAGGCAAUUAUUCACUGACCACGUGAUCUUUCGGACUCUUUCAAAAAUACACAAAUACUUUUUUCUUUGCAGAAAUCCUCUUGAAGUUUACAAAGUGUUUCAAUUGUUCACUGUCAUCUUAACUCUAUUAGAAUCUUGUUGAUGUCGUCAGGAUAAAAUUGUCAUUUUACCUAAACAUCCAAAAGGAAGUAUAAGAUGAAGCUCAACUUGGAGAAGUGUGCUUUCGGGGUUGGAUUCGGCAAAUUCCUUGGGUUCAUGGUGAGUGAUAACUCUAUGAAAUGAGAGUUAUCAUGAAAUUUUUAAGUUUAAAUCAAGACUACUCAGAGAGUAAUUGAUAUGUUUUAGUGCACUUUAAUGAUAGUUUGCAUUACAUUCAUUUUAAUUUAAGUUUAAUAAAGUUUAUGUGAUUUCUGAAUAAUUGUAUGCUUAGAACAUAUGUUUAAUUGUAGGUCAAUGGAAACUUGAAUUUCAUGGAAAAGAUGCUUUUGCAAUGGACUUAUAAAGAGGACAAACGAGCAUGGCUAUAGUAGAAUUGGAGCAAGUUUGGAACAGUGGAGUUGCUGUAGCCAUUACUGUAGCAACCAUUGAUGUAGCAAUCCUCGAGCAUUGCGAUCUGCAGUUUCCUAAUCUGAAGAAAAAGUGGCAUAAGAGAGAGAGCCAUCAAUUAAGAUCAAAAACAGAAAAGAACCAAGGAAGUAACAGAAUUCCUGAGCAGAAUUCAAGGCUGAGCCAGUUGAAGAAAUUUGCAGAGUCAAUUGGAAUUCACUCUUUCUCAUUCUUUUCUUAUUUACUUGUUAUUUAUUGAUUAUGAAGAUGUACUCGAUGGCUAGAAUUUGGUUGUUUAAUCUCCUUUCACAAAUUAUGAACUAAAUUCAUUUGUGGUUGAGUAUUAAACUAUCUUGAUGGUUAAUUGACUAAAUAUAGGUGUUGCUAUAUGUUUGCUACAACAUUUUGCUUUAAUAACAUUUAUUUACAUUCAUUAUUUCGGUUGACCACCCAUUUAAUGAUACAAGUUAAGAAAGAGCUAUAAAAGGGUCUAUCUUAUUGAAACAUAUUAGAGUAAUACUUGGUCUUAAAUUGGGUUUCCUAGAUUGAGUUUAACUUGAGACCAAAAAGGAUUGUACUUAAUUUAAGAUUAGUAAUGAACUAGAUAUAGGGAUUUGCCUUGUAGGGUAAAAAGAACAUAAAUGUGUAAUACUAUAUCUUACGUUGACAUAGUAACUGGUCACUGUUAGGUUGUAUAAAGAUAUAAAACAUUCGAACAUGCUACCGUUGAGGAUAAAGAUGGUUUCUGCCCAGUGCUGUAGCAGAUGCUGCAGCAACUGAGCUUGACAUGAAUAACACAGUCAACACCAUCAAGAGAGUUUAAUCACUCAACUACUCUAUUCUAAUUAAAUUUAAUUUCAUGUUUAAUGUACAAAUUUUAUUUAUUACAUUUUUAAUUAUUGUGAUUUUAUUUUACCUAGUCAUUUAGUUGUAUUAGUUGCAUUGAUUUAAUUGAUAACAUAGGUUGCUCUGUGAAAUUACUGUAGCAAGUCUAAUAGCAUCAAUCCCUAUGGAGACGAUCUUGGAUACUUAUCCUUAUAUUACUUAUUGUGUACACUUGUGCAUUGACACUAAUAGCAAUGGAGUUAAAAUUAGCAACAAAUUUUUUGUGCUAUUGCUGGGGAUUGAUUGUUUACUUUUCAGUUGUGAAAUCAAUUUUGACGGUGCUAAUCUUUGAUUUUAUUUUGAAUUGUUUACUUUGUUAACAGAUCACUCUUGCAUGUGAAAAUACAAACUUGUUGAAUUUCAAUUUGAUCCAGAGAUUGAAAGAACUACAAGGAGAUUGAGAAGAGAGCAAAGAAAUUCAAAAGCUGCUGUAGCAAUAGAUGACUUGCAAAACUUAGGAAACUUAGACCCUCACGGACCAAUAUAACCUGUUAAUGCUCAAGAAAGUCAGAAUGGGAAAAUUAAUCAGAGACCAUCAGGGAAUAACAAUAUUAGCUACAUGGAAAAUGAUAGAGACAGGGCCAUUAGAGAUUAUGCUUUGUUAGCCCCUUAAGUUAUACAUCCUGACAUUGUCAGACCUGAGGUAAAAGGUGCCAAUUUUGAACUCAAACCAGUGAUAUUUCAAUUAUUACAAACAGUGAGGUAAUUUAAUGGAUUACCAUCAAGAGGUGAGUGAUGCUUUUAAAAUUAUUGGAGCAUCACAAGAUGCAUUGAGACUCAGAUUCUUUCCUUACUCCCUAAGAGACCGAGCAAGAGUAUGGUUGAACUCUUUACCACCAGACUCAUUACAACAUGGAAUGACUUAGCUGAUAAGUUUAUGAUGAAGUACUUCACACCAACCAAAAAUACAAAAUUAUGGAAUGAGAUUACUUCUUUUCGUCAACUAGAAGAUGAAAACUUAUAUGAGGCUUGGGAAAGAUUCAAUGAGUUAUUCAGGAGAUGUCUUCAUCAUGGCAUUCCUUACUGCAUACAAUUUGAAACCUUCUAUAAUGGGUUGAACCCAAGCACUAGAUUGAUGGUCGAUACUUCAACAAAUGGGGCUUUGUUAUCUAAAUCUUACAAUGAAGCCUAUGAAAUUUUAGAGAGAAUUGCUAAUAACAAUUAUCAGUGGCCAUCACCUAGACAAAUUGUAUCAAGAGGAGCAGCAGGUAUACAUAAUGUGGAUGCAUUUACAGUAUUAUCAGCCCAAGUAACAUCAUUGACCAAUAUGGUGAAAGCUAUGACUACUGCUCUAUCGAAUGACAAUCAAGUUGCCGAUGUUUCUUGUCUGUAUUGUAGAGAGGGGCAUUUAUUUGAUAAUUGCCUAAGGAAGUCAACGUCAGUCAAUUAUGUGGGCAACUCCAAUAGAUAGAACCAGAACAAUCCAUAUUCCAGUACCUACAAUCCUAGAUAGAGGCAGCACCCAGUGGACAGAACAGACCUACUCAGCCAGUUGAUUUUCAUCAGCAAAAUCAAGGGUAAAAAAACACCAGCAAUGAUCAAUUCAGUUCUUUGGAGACCCUAAUUAAGGAGUACAUUGUGAAUAAUGAAGUAAUUGUCCAAAGUCAAGCUGUACCAUUGAGAAAUUUAGAAAAUUAAAUUGGACAGCUUGCCACAUUAUUAAGUAACAGACCUUAGGGGAGUUUACCCAGCAACACAGAAGAUCCAAGGAGAGAAGGUAAGGAAUAUUGCAAGGUGAUCAAAUAUUGCACAAACUAGAAGCCUCAGGUCGGCUGGUGAAAUGGGCAAUAGAGUUGAGUAAAUUCUAUAUAAGCUACAAACCCCGAGCAACAAUCAAAGCCCAUGCAAUGGUGAACUUCGUGGAAGAAUUUACAGAAUCACAUGUGGAACCUAGCCACAUUCAUAUUGCUAUAGGCAACAACAAAGGUCAAAUCUGGCAGAUGAUAGUGGAUGGAUCUUCAGGUGAGCAAAGUACUAGAGCGGGGUGGUCCUGGAGAGUCCAGAUGGAGAGGAAAUCUCCUACGCUGUUAGACUGGAGUUCAAGGCCACAAACAAUCAGGCUGAAUAUGAGGCUCUAAUUGCAGGGCUAGAGUUAGCUAAGGCGGUGCAGGCAAAUAAGGUGAAAAUUCGGACAGAUUCACAGCUAGUCGCCAACCAUAUUAGUGAAAUGUUCUAACCUAAAGACGAAAAGAUGGGGCAAUACCUGAGGAGGGUCAGACAAAUGAUCAAAAAGUUCGAGUCGAUGGAUAUUGUGCAAAUUCCAAGGAGUGAAAACUAUCGAGCUAAUAUCCUAGUUGGAAUGGCUGCUACAGCGGACUAAAAAAUGCCAAAAUCAGUCCCUAUGGAAGUCAAGUCCUCCCCCCAGCAUUGUGUAAAGUCUGGAGAUGAUGCAGAUAGAGCAAAAAGGCUCAUGGAUAGACCCAAUAAUCUCAUAUAUACUGGAUAGAGUGUUACCAGCAGAUAAAACGCAAGCAUGAAAAAUCAAGGGCCAGCGUCUAGGUGUACACUAAUUGAUGGGGUGUUAUACCGACGAGGGUACACCUUGUCGCUCUGCGAUGUCUGGACAAAGACGACGCGAACUACGUUCUAAUGGAAGUACAUGAAGGGGUUUGUGAAAAUAAAUCUAGAGUUAGAUCUCUUGCCUACAAAGCCUUAAGACAAGGUACUUAUGGCCGACGAUGUACUAAGAUGCUCAAGAGAAAACCAGGAGUUACAGAAGUUGCCAGAACUUUGCUAGUUUCCCUACACAGCAAUAAAAAAUACUUACUACUAUGACUUCACCAUGGUCGUUUACUCAAUAGGGAAUCAACCUAAUCGAGUCUUUGCCAAAAUGAUGAAGAGCAGUUACACAUGCUGUCGUGGCAAUAGAUUAUUUCACAAAAUAGGUCAAGGUAAAAGCACUCAGAAGAAUCACAGAGAAUGAUAUAACUGAUUUCAUGUGGAGAAACCUUGUCAGCCGGUAUGGAAUCCCAUACGCCUUGAUAGCGGACAACAACUAACAAUUUGACAAUCACAACUUUAGGGAGUUUUGUCAGAACUUUGACAUAGAGCUAAGUUCUGCUCCCCUGCCCACCCUUAGUCCAAUGGGCAGGUGAAAGUGGCCAACAAGGUUAACAAAAAAACUCCUGAAGACCAAACUAUGAGAGAAGAAGUGUGCAUGGGUUGAUGAGCUUCUAGGAGUGUUGUAGGUAUAUAGGACUUCUCAUAAAACCGCCACCGAUGAGACACCCUUUGCUGUAGCCUUUGGGCAUAAAGCAGUCUUGCAUGCAGAGAUAGGGGUAACCACGCACCAAACUGAGCACUUUGAUGAGAGUGAGAAAGGUGAAUCAGAGUACCAAAGAUUCGACCCAUGGUGUGUAUCCGGAUCAGGAGCCUACAAGCUUGCUCUCGCGAAUGGACAUGAGCUGAAACAACCAUGGAACGUAACACAUCUAAAAAAAUACUUCCAAUAAGGCCCAUUGGUAGCGAGUUAGAGUUAUUUCUGUUCAUUUCUGUUGUUGUUUAAACUUUAUGAUCAGUCAAUUUCAUGUAUGUCGUAUGCCAUGAUUAAUAAAGUUUGGAGGAAGUUCAUUCAAUUAAUUUAAAGAAAAAAAAGUUCGUAAGGUAAAUAAAUGCCUCAAAGUCUCAAAGCCUGCUCGAUGGUGAGACCAGAAGCCAGAUUUUCCAGACUCUGCUCUACCAAACGAUGACGAGCAGACAAUCAAAUAUUUCAAAAAGUUUCUAAGGCAGACAAAAGCUUCAAAGUCUCAAAUUCUACUCGAUGGCGAGACUAGAGGCCAAGUUUGCCAAACUCUGCUCGACCGAAUGAUGGCGAGCAGACGAUCAAAUAUUCCAAAAAAUUUCCUAAGGGAAAUAAAGGCUUCAAAGUCUCAAAUCCUGCUCGAUAGCAAGAUUAGAAACCAAGUCUGCGAGACUUUGCUCGAGCAGGCUACAAGAAAAACCAAGUUAUUCGUUAAUAAUCUAGUGACAAUGGCAACUAGCCUCAAAACUUGGCAUACAACGUUUACAAAAGAAAAUUAUGGUACAUUCACGAGGAUGAAGGAUCUAUAAGUAGAGCAGCUUUUGUUGGAUUUUCAAGCAGUAGAGAAUGAGGGGUCUGGCCAAUUCUGCCCGAGGGAGUGCUUGCUUCGAUCGGGGUUUUGCCUUUCAAGACCGGCCAUGAUGCAUCGACAGAAGUGCCUGAGCCCUUCGUUAAAUUGUCAUCAACUUCCUUUUCCAAGUUCUCAAUCUGAGUCUGGUGUGAAGCACAAAGUGAUUCCAAUUAAGACUCGUAGGAAGCUUUUUAUGUCUCCAAAUUCUUAUUGACCUUGCUCAGCUACUCCUCAAGGGUGAUCACAUUGGCCUGUGCAAGAGAUGUCUGCUCCACUAAUUUCAAGUUCUCGAGGGUGAGGUCUCUUGCUUUCUUCUCAAUAGCAUCAGCUUCGUUUUUAGUUGAUUGAAUAUUAUACUUCAUCUUGUGGUCAUAACGGCCAACUUUCACCUUGUAGUAGGUAGUCAUGCAACAUAGGUGGAAAACACUGAAUUGCAUAGCCCUAACUAGCUCACGAGGGUAAUGCCGUCAAAGUCCUCUAAAUCGUUUUUGUUCACGAGCUUAGAAAACUCACUUAUGUAAGGGCCAUAUGCUCUGGUCGAUCCUCAGGCAAUUGCGGUUCGGAUCUUGCUGGAGGAGGAGUGGUAACAAGACCAGUGCCGCUCGCAGCUCCACCAACUUCACCUGCCUUAGGACGGGGAGGAGGAUGUGGCAGCAUCUUCAGAGGGGAAGCUUUCCCUACAGUAUUGACCCACUUCUCAAGGGAGCAUAGUUGCUGCAACCCCCCUUUACACCACGAAAGCGAGGGCGUUUUCUGUUCAAAGCCCUAAUCACAGCAUCCUCUAUAGCAAUUCACCUUCGAUGCGGUAUUAGACACUCCAGGAACUUGCAACAUAGGCAGAGACUCUGUUAGAAAUUACUCAAUCACUUGAUCAGCUGGUGGUGUAAAACAACUUAAAUAAGCAGGCAACCUGGAACUAAGAAACGGAUGGGGACAUGGACAUUCUCAUCAUCAGUCGGCCACUUGACCCUAAGGACCCCCAGCAAAAAAGAAACUGCUUUUCUAAUUCUCACCACCUGUUAGGAGGCCAGUUAUAGGUUUCCUAGUCUUGGUACUUGACAUAAAAUAGUACCAACUAGCAUCUUUAAGGCUACUCUUUAAUUGGUAUAAGUGUUUAACCUCAUCAAUUAUAGGCUCACUCUGACCACAUCUGUCCCAAAGUACGAGUACACCAGAAAGUACCCUCUAUCCAUUAGGGUUAAGCUGACCAUGAGCUAAGUGUAAUCUACCAAGCAUCUGGACGAAGUAAAGCAGCAAAGGAAGCCUCAUCCCUUGUUUAAAACUCUCUAAAAAUAUAGCAACAUACCCCCUGGAAGGUCGAUUAGGGGUAUCCUUUUUCUUAAAAACCCUAAGGUUUAUGUCAUCAGAAAUCUUGUAAGUAUUUUGGAGGGGUUUAAAGUCAUCUACUGUGGUCGUACAAGUCAUGAGGUCAAUAGGGUAGUUUUCAGCCGGAGUCCUACCACCUAAUUUCCUCCUCUUUGUUGGUCUUACUACCUUUAGUGAGGAUGCUUUACCAAACUCUUCAUCUGGGUACCCGCUUAAGGUCUCCUCUGAGCUAGAAGAUUCGUCAUUGUUACUUUUGCUAGAUGAGGUAGAAACCUCAGGAGACAUCCUCCUAGCACUACUUCUAACACUAGAAUGGCCUACAAGCUCUAAGGGGAUCCUAGGGUCGAAAAUGGGCUCUGUGAGCAAACCAGGUAGGAAAUCCAGUUCGUCAUCAUCAAUCUUAAUUUCUUUUUCCUUGCCUUUUGACAUUUUCUAAGCGAUAUCCAAGAAGAUACAACUAAAUCCCUCUUAACCCUAGAAAAAAAUGAAAAAUAUCUAAGACAAGAGAGAAGAAGACCGUACCUAAAGCAGCGGCACCUCAAAAUCAAAAUGGAGGAAGUGACUUGAUAUUCGAUGGAGGAAAUAGUUGAGUCACCAAAGGGCGAAAGAAAAGCCGGAAAAAAACUUUCUUGUGAAGAUUAGGGUUCCCCAAGAGACACGGAGACCCCUAAUUUAUUACCAUUUAACGACACGCACUGCGAGGGUUCUUAACAGGCAGUUAAAAAUUUAAAUGAACGAGUGGAUUCCUGCCACAUCACCUGCUUUUAAUUAUGACGUGACUCUUUGGAUAAACAGCUAAUAGUAGCUUAAAGGAUCAAGUGGAUAAGGUGACCAGUCCUCAUUUCAAUGCCAAGAAGCCAAAGUGUGUUUUGAGCAAGAUAAGACUACCAAGUUUCUAGUGUUGAUCCAUUGCAUUAUCAGCACCAGAAACUGAGGGACUAGUAUUUGAGGCGUAUAACGACGCGACCAGCUACACUCGAGCGAGGAUUUCCUUUUUGUGGGCGAUGGGCUAUAUAGUGUCCGUGAGCAGAAGUGCUCUAUUCGACACCGAGGAGUUUUCUGCUAAACACCGAGGAUAUCUCCUGAUGGGGCCAAGGUCGGAAGACCCAGUCUAUGGCAGUUGUUAGAACAUGUGUCGCUCUCCGAGAAUCCAGGCACGAGGCCUAUUCAGCCACGAUCACAACGCCCGAGCAUCCAUGACCGGGAACUAAGGUAGAGUGGCAAACGUGGGUCAUGGUGACUAAAUUCUCAGGAGGGCUAUAAAAGGGGCUUGCAAAGAAGGUAAAGGGUUUAGACAUUUUUAAACUAAAAAUUAACCUAAGAGAAUUGGGGGGUGCAUCUUUAUUGGCGAGAAUUGGGAAAAUUUUUGAGAUUUUUCCAGUGUUUGAGAAAUUAUUACAGAGCCACGAGAUUGGUGGCAGGGUUUUUUCACAAUAAGCCCAGAUUGCUGACUUGAACGUCGGAGGGUUUACGUCGGGAAAACCCUCAGCGUUCUUUGACCAAUUUCUGUGUGUACAGGAAUUCACAGAGGAGGAACAGUGAGCCUCAUAGUUCUGCUUAUCAAACAGGAGCAGAGUAAAGUUAUCCCCUACCACUACAAAUUUAAGUGUUGAAGAGAGAUCUUGGUCUCGAACGAGCAGAUGCAAAAUCCCGUAUCAAUAAUAACAACAACAACAACAACAACAUCAUCAAUAAUAAUAAUAAUAAUAAUAAUAAUAAUAAUAAUAUAUUAACUUUGUAGGAUGGAGCUCUCGCAAAUCUUCAAGACACAAAAUGUGUUUGACCCCAUUGUUGUUAUUAUAAUUUCAAAAUCAUUUGUAUAUAUAAUAUUAGGGAAUAUGACAUAGAAAAAUUGAUGGUACAUAUGUUGCAAUAUUCUUGUUCAUGUGGCGGCACACUGAAGUAAAGCAUAAGCAGAGCAACAACAAAUGUAAUGAGAGAGCUCUCAUUAUGUAGAUUUUCAAUAGAAGUAAUGCAUAUUUCACAAAGGCAAUGGCCUUAUUUUGAAUGCUGCACCUGAGGGUUGACUUGAAUCUUCUAUAGAACUCAGGCAUUCUGUAAUCAUAGAGUAUAGCAUUUCAACAAAAAUAUUAUACAGGUCGUUCCUUUAUAUAUUUUCUGGGUACACAUACAGAAAUAUUAUUUUGGGUACAUUUCUUGCAGUAAAACCUGCCCAGUCUAGCGUUCUCGUAAGUUGGGUUUCUCAUUUGCAUGUUUUUUUCCAUUGGUUAAUUAUCACAAACCUCCACUAACAUUUAGCAUAUUCUUAGUUUAAUAGAUUAUAUUGGCGUAUUCUCAAAUAUAAAUUAAGCUGGUGAGGAUAAAAUCGUAAAAGCACCAUUAAUGAUAAAAAGAAACCAAGUAAACUUGAAAUUUUCAAGUUGUGUUUUGAAAUUGGUCUCGACUUUGUAAAUGUCCAUUGGGUAAAGAAGCAAAGAACAGAAGCAAGCUGUUCCCAGCACACAUAAGCAAGCUUUACGCAGCACAAAUUAACACCCACAAAAAAUGAAAAGAAAAAAUGGUCAUCUCUUUCCUCCAUUCGAAUUGAAGCCAUGAAACACAACAUCCCUUUCAUCUUCUCUCUAAUGCUUUGAUUAGAAAACUUGCUUACAAACGGGAGACCAUGACACUGAAUCCUGAGACGGCAAUACCAGAGACGACUGAUUUACGCCAACGGCGUGGAAGAAUACCAACCAGUGACUUUCGCUGUCGACCCACAAACAAUCCCAGUGUUUUCUAGCUGCGAAUGAGGUAUGAAUCAGAUUAUUUCCGUGCAUUUCAAUUUUGUCAGCUGACAUUAGGAGAUUUGGUUAAAAAAAAAAGAAUAAUGGGUCUCGAAAAUUUUUUGAGAGUGUUUUUGUUGCUUACAUUAUUUUCCAUCGAUUAAUGUUAGUUGUAGGUGAAUGAUUGUUGCAAAUGCAUGUUCGCUUGUGAUUGAUUGAAAAUGGCUUGUGAUUUGUUAUGCUGCCGUGUGACUGAUUAAAAAUGGCUCUGAAAAUUUUUCAUUUGUUUAAGGUACUGCUGUUGAUUAUUGAACCAGGAUUCAUGCUAGUUUUUGUUAAAUUGAAGAUGAGAUUACUUUUUAAGAGAUCUGCAAAACCUUCUCUACUAUAGAUUUGGCUUCUGGCAUACCUGGUUGGCUGGAGAUAAUUGUUUAUAUAGUCAUUGCUGCCCAUAUUAAUCAGGAAUAUUGAUUAGCAAUGUACUGGAUUAGUGAUUGGUAUAAUUUUGAAAAAUCAGUCGUAGAUGCAACCUGGUUAUGGUCUCAAAUAGUGUGAUCUGUCAAUUCCGUUUGCUCUGGCCUAACAACCUUGAAUCUGAGCUAUGCCACUAUACAAUGUCCUGACCCAAUCAAGCUUGUUAGCCAACAUCCAAAAUUGCAAUGUCUUUAGAUAAGUCCCGUCUUAUUUGUUUGAGUUAUAAUGAAAAUUGCAGUGUCUUUGGAUAAUCACGCUGAUGUUCACGUUAUUGACGAGAGGAACCUCCAGAUUCAAGGCCGGAGCUCCUUGUUGAGAAACUUUGCAUAUAUAGGAUUGUUGCCGAGUGGAGGAUCGAUAUGACUGGUCUUGUUUAGAAUAGGGAUGGAGAUUUUGCAUUAAGGCUUUCUUAACAGAUCAUUCUGCAAAUCAAGGUCCAUGUACAUCUCUUUAAACUCUUUGAUAUGUAUAAAGCAGGUGCAUGCUCUAUAUGUUACUUAUUGUAUCACAAUUAUUUUUCUAUUGCUUAAUAUAAUUGCAGUCCUUGAUGAAGUUGAAGACAACUUAUGGAGGGUAUACAAAGGCUCAAGAGCUUGAUCGCCAUUCAUUUUACACUUGGCUGAGCUACAGCAUACCAACUAGUGAUUAAUAAAGAGAAGGUAUGAAGGUCCUGUUGCUGGUGGUAUUAUCAAUCAGAAUUGUUAUUUUACUUAGUCAUAGUUACCAUGUAUAAGAUUCGUAGACUUUUUGCAUGUUUAUGCAUUCGCAUCAUCUUUUUGUUAAGCUAGAAAUGGUUGAUUUGUGUACUCAUUUGUAUCACUUGUAGCCCUUCAGGAAUAAAAUUUAAAAUUCUGUUGCAUCUCAUGUACUAAAUACUAAUUUUGUUGGCUUUAUGUAUGGGAAAUGGUUCAUUAUCUUAUUUCUUUGAUGCGUAUAGUGUGACAAUGUCUAAAGGUGAAAAGUAUUUAUAUCACUUGUGUAACACUGUCUAAAGUCAAAAAGUGUUUCUAUCACUUGUGUGAAAAACAACCUACUUUUUUUUCACUCUUCUUAUAUUGAAUAAAAGACAGACGCCAAGAUUGAACGAAAUUUGAUGCAGAAAGCAUAGCAAUUAGGCCAGUGCAAAACAACUUCCUUCUGAUUCUCUGAUAUUUGACUUAAAUCUUUUGUCUGUUUCAUUCAUCAAAGUCAUUUUGGAAAGUAGCAGGGGUGAUGUGAUAUUUUCAUUGUAUUCACAUCCCUUGGCACCAAAAACAAACAUGCUGGUACUAACCAACAAUUUUUUAUUUUCAGUAUACAAAUUUUUUUUUUCUAAAUUAGGGGUAUUAAGAAAAGGUAUACUAGCACCAGAGGAGGUAUUUGAGAAUACACAAAUACAAUCUAUCAAAUUGAGAAUACGCCAAAUCUCAGGAGUGGUUUUUGAUAAAUCCUUUUUUUCUUUUUCCUCCAUUCACUAUAGGUUCAAUUUAGGGUGGUUGUUAAGUUAUAUCAUUGUGUAAUAUAGAUCAAUUCAACAGUUGUUAUCAGUAACACAAAAGUAUAACGAACAAAAACUAAUUGUGUGUUACUGAUAGUAACUAUUAAAUUGAUGUAUGUUACAUAAUUAUGUAACUUAACAAGUUCUUCAAUUUAGACACGGUUGACCAAACUGAAGGUUUAGGUUGGUAAACGCACUAGUUUUAAUGUCAACAACCCAAGGGGCUUCAUGGUCCUCUGGGUCGAAAUCGCGUAAUUAUUAAUUCUCCUCCACUGAAAGUCUUUAUCAUCUUGGGACAAAUAAUUACAAAUUGACAUUAUAGCCGUGGAAAUUUGGAGGUGUAAUAACCGGAAAAAUAAAAAUCUCAAGAGACUUUUUAAAUAAAAAAGAUAACACCUUCAAUUUGCUAAAAGUAAUGGUAUCAUUUCUUGUAUGGAUAAUGGAUGAUUAGAUUUUGUUUUUGGUUAUCUGACGAAGGAUAUUCAGUUGUUCUUUAUGUGUUCAUAGGCAAGAGCAUGAGCAUAUGCAUGAUUUGAUAUAUGGUUCUUGCAUUUUCUAAUUAAGUGCUCUUUUUCCUUGCCUUCUUAGUUUUGAAAGAAAGAUGUGAAGCAAAGCAAACCCAGUGAAAUGUACAGAGAAACAGAACCAUCAGAGGAAAAACUAAAUAACAGAACUACAAUUGAACCAAACAAAAUCAAAUAAACGGACGCAACAGAUGCCCUGAACCUAGUAAUUACUCAAGAGUUGAGGAGUUGGAAUGAUUUGGUAUUCAUAUCUUCACAAAUCAUAUGCUUUAAUGCAGAAUCGACAGCUUUAUAUUAUUUUAUUCAAAAAACGAUAAAGCAGGAAAACCACAAUAAUCCACCAACUUUUGAUACUUGUAGGAAUUUUUUUUAGUCAAAUUAAGUUUCAUGAUGAAACAAGUGGCUCGUCCACACACUUGCACUUGCUUGAAUAUUUGUGCCGACAUUUUCAUAUGUGAUGGUACUUCUUAGCCAGUAGAUAUGUUGAAGUACUACAAAACAGAGUAUUUGAUGAAGUUUUGCUACAUUCGUAUCCCCUUUUUUUGUUGCAUAACUAAAUUCUUUAUAAACACAAAUUAGAAAGAUACAAAUAAUACAGUAGCUUGAAUUUAUAUGCUUUUAUGGUUAUUUGAUAAUCUAGUGCUGAUCAUAUGUGAUGAUAAACUUAGCUAGUAGUUUUAUAUUUGUUUUCGCAGUUUCCUUAGCGUUCACAUUUUGAUGAGUAAAUUAAGGAUUUCCAGAUGAAGUACAUAAUUAGAUGAAUGCUAAGGAACUGAAGUUUGAUUAAUUGAAAACAAAAAUAAUAAUGAACGUAAUUACGAAAAUGAACAAUGCAGAAGUAGUCCCUAUAGUAUUUCUAAAUUUUCUCUUGGGAUUUCUUAGUAUUCCUCAAUAUUUUAAAAAAAUGACAUGACGAUCUUUGAGUUGACAAAUCUUGGCCUGCUGCUUAGUACCCUUCCAACAUAUAAAGUACUAGAUGUUUUACUGAGAAAAUGACAAGAUCAUUUAUCAAAUUUCUUGCGCAUAUAUACGUAUGUAUAAGAGAAAUGAGAAUCAGUGAUUAUAAGACCUUGCAAUGAGACAAUAAUACAUCAUCAAAUCUAAAAAUACACAAGAAAUUCGGGACAUAUAUAUAACAAAAGACCUCUCAUUGAGUCAUACAUAUUGAGAAUGAAAUGUCAAAAUGCAGACAAAGAGCUUAUACAGAAAAUGAAUAAACUGUCUUUGAACUUCUGAUGGUCAAACAAAGGAAACAGGCAGGAUAUAACACACACUAUCAUAGAUGUAGCGACACGAUGAAGUAAAUCACAUGAAGAUGGAAAGGGGAACCCCUCACAGCAUAAAAUUUGAAUAGAGAGGGGAAAAAGGCUUCAUUUCAAAUGUUGCACAGAAGCAGAGUGACUUGAAUCUCCAUCAGUAUCCAGACAUUCUGCAAACACAGUGCUGAGAAUUUUAACAAGAAUAACAGACAAAAUAUUGUGCUUCUAUACUUGUCACAAAACUAGACCAAAUUAGUCCCCUUUUUGGUUUGUGAAAACUUGAUAUUUUUGAAAAUUCUAUCCAAUGCUUUCAAACAAUAUUUCCAUAAUAUAGUUGUUCAUAGCUAACCUUUGAUGGUGUAAGGAUUUGUUGUAGGCAUAAUGGGCUAAUUAUAUAUAUAUAUAUAUAUUUUACCCCCUGAAUGAUAUUCAGCUUCUUAAUUAUGUGUUCAUAGGCAAGAGCAUUUUCUUAAGUACUUUCGUUGCCUUCCAAGUUUCCAAUGAACAAACAGAGCACAAACAAAUUUAACGGAACAGUAACGAUGACAAUAAAUAAUUGGCAAGGAAAGAAAGAAAAAAGUUUGCAUGAUUUCAAGGAAUUAUAAAAUCUGAACUCUUUCAACAUGCAAGUGUUGCCCCUUUUGAUGAAAUUUCAUCAUAAAAUGCUUGCAAAGAAUUAUAAAAUUUUAGAGAACAAGCGAACUCUCAAACAAAAUACUCAAAUUAAAUUAAAUUAGACCAAAAGACACUCAAUGACGCAAAAUCUGCCAUUCUAAAUAAUUGAGAUGAAAUUGUGAAACAACCCACGAGAUCAAAUAAAUAAAAUAAGAAUUAAUUACCAGCUUUGACUUUCUUCUCCAAAUUCGCAACUCGAAGACAUAAGAAGCCAAUGAAAUUAGUCGUAACCCAUAAAGUACGACGACGACCCCGCCAAUAGCUGAAAAUAAAAUACUUAUUCAUCAAUUUAAACUAACUUUAUAACAAAUAUCUUAUCGAUAUUUUAUUUAAAAAAAGCAAAUUUGUAGAAUUUUUCCAUGGGAGAUAGAGAGUAAUAUGUAUAUCCGGACCUUUUUAGUAUGUAAUUGUUGUAUGGUUGUGUUAAGAUCAUUAUUUGCCCAACGCCGUUGAUCCUCUGACUCUCCAUACGAGACGUUUACUCUCGGAGGCGUGUUUGAUUCUCCUGAAGUGAAAGUCUUCAUCUUGGGACAACCAAUCACUUCCAGAUAUUCCAGAGAUGGGAAUUUGAAGGUGUAAUUGGCAGAGCAGAAACUUGUGAGACUGUCUAAAUCACACAGAAUCAACGCCUUCAAUUUGCUGAAAACAAUCUCUUCUAUGUCAACUCCUUCUUUGUCAUUUAUUACCACCUCUGUCAUUGCUCUGCAUCCAUAUACUUGCACUGUUACGAGUCGCACCAGAGUUUUUGCUGUGGAGGAUGUUACUAAGUGUAUCAAUUCCUUGCAACCGACAGCUACCAGUUUUGCUAGGUUCCGAAAAGAUACCGAUGAUGAUGGCAAUAGACUUAACAGAUUUUGACAAUGAUAUACUUUUAGAAUUUCAAGAUAUUGAAAAAUGGAGUCAAGUUUGGAGUCUUGUUUACAUAGCUGCUUCAGAUGAUUAAGGUGGCCCAGCUCUAUACAUUUUAUCAUUGCCAACUUCCUCAAACGGUUCUCUAAGCAUCCUUCCGUUGAAAAUACCUCUUCGUAUGAACAAUGAUACAGUAAGAGUAAUUCGAGAUUGUGAAAUCUCUCAAGUACAUUCCUGAUUGGAAAACAAGCCGAGUCAUCAUAAGUUAUGUCUAGUUUUUUAAGACUGCCAAAAAGGUGUUGUGGGAAAUCGGCGUCCAAAAUCAUCUUCACAUCUUUUCCGCUUAACGCCAGUGACUCCAAGUUGGGUAAGAUCUGAUCAUCGUCAAUCACGUAGUAACUAAUCAGGUCAGUUGAUGUUCUCUCCAAUAAUUUUACCUUAGAGUACUUGUUGUAGAUUAUAUAUAUUUUACCAAAAAAAAAAAAGAAAAGAAAGGAAAAAUUGAAUUAGUGAUAAAAUUCAUUCUAGGAUUUUUGUAUGUUAAUUUGAGAGAUAAGAGAGAAAUUAGAAAAAAAAAGGAUGAUUUAUACUGGCAUAAAAAUAUUUUAUUGCACAAUAAUAAAUUAUUAAUUUAUAUUGUAAGUGAUUAUAUAUGAGAAAACUGAGGAUUCUUUUUUAAUGCUAUACCUAAAAUAAUUCAUCUAACUAUUAAUUUAGUACAUUGAUCCCUUAGGCCAGACUAGCAAAAAUAUUAAUUUUGUAAUAAAAGUUUUCAAUUUAUUGAGUAUUAAUUUAUUGAUGUUUAGUUAUAUUUUACAAAGUCAAAAGUCGCUAAUGAUCUAAUUGAUAAGAAAUCUAGAAAGCGGCUUCAUACCUUUUUGAACAAGAAUAGGGGCCGUUGUGCAGGAAUACCAAGUUGAUCAUCCUCAUUAUUUUGUGAUGAAUCUGCAGCGAAUGUCUUCAAUUUGUCACAACCAGACACCACUAAAAUUUUUAGUGCAGGCCAUUCCGAAGUAUGCAUUCCAUGGUAUAAACAUUUAAGUUCCGGUAGCUCUUGGAGUAUAAGAGUGGUCACCCGUUGAAAGACAAAAUGAGGGGUCACAUGAUCUACUCUGUCUUCCGAAAUGAUCUCUUGCAAACCCCUACAAUUCACUAUCUCUACUUGUUGGAGAUGCUCAAAGCUUUGAAUCAUAGAAACUAAAAAUAUGUAUUUUAAUUUGUUACAGUGGCACACAAUCAAUCGUGUUAAACUUUGAAAGCGAGGAAGCAUGACCGGACGAUGAUUGUAAUGCCAAAUCUUGUCGACAUUAAUUUCAGAUAUCUCCAAAGCCUCCAAAUUAGGCAACCCUACCUAAAAAAAUAUUAAUUUCUUGUUAGAUCCAACACCCAUAUGAGAAGGACUUAUUGAAAUUUUCUUCUUUGAUUACAGAUUAAUAAUUCAAGUCAAAAUCAAUUUCCAACUGACAGCUGAGUAUGCAUUCUAAUUCGUAUUACUUGUUAAGAGCUCAAUUAGUGAGUGCGUGAGAUUCUUUUUAUCCUUUUUUUUUCACUUUCUUUCAAUUCUUUAAAUGAUUUAAUUAUUUUCCACGUAUGACAUCAAAAGAGAAUGCACAAUAGCAUAAAGAAAGUGUUAGCCUACGCACCUUGCCGUUGAAAAGCAGUGUUUCCAAAUUGAUUUCGUUGGAGCAAGAACUUGUCAAUUCCUCUUGCAGCCCUUGUCUGUUUGGUGAUGCUGAAGGAGUCUUCAAAUUACGGAAAAAAGUUGUAACCUCUGGAAGAUUUCCCAAACUCAAAGAUCUUAAUUGAGCCAACUCUAUCUUCUCAGCAGCAUUAUUGUUGUCAACAUCAGCAUCUCCCCCAGUAGCAAAAAUCUCUUUCAUCUUGCUGCAAUUAAUAACUGCAAUUCUCUCAAGUCUUGGAAGGCAUUUUGCAGUGGAGAGCCAGAAGAUAUUACUCAACUCAUUACAAUUUUCUACUUUUAUUGUUUUGAGUUUAUUGAAAGACUCUACUUUGAGUCGAUCAAUGCAUAUCCUCUCCAUGUUGAUCAAAUUGUGAAGAGUCAGUGACUCCAAAAGAGGAAAGGCAUCACAAGCUACCAUCUCCAUUGAGUCGACAAUACAAAAGAAGUCAGGAUUAUUUUGAACCCAGAGAAGCUUCAAUUGUGGAAAGCCCUUUGUGUCCAAAUCGAAAAGAACAUUUUUGACACCUUGUAGCUUGUCCAACCAUACGUAUUCAACGUUAUUGAUGGCCUGCAAUUUCAUGGAGCAAAUGUCCGUAAAAUCAGGCUUGAGCUUCAAUUCUCUUAAACGCUCAUGAUUAUGGUUGAUCAAAAAGUGCGACCGACUGCGAAACCAAUCUUUUGUAACAGGCAAGGAAGCCAUGAAUGACUCAUUUCCAAUAGAUAUUUUGAACCUUUCGAGCUUUCUGGCCAAAAAGCCUUCCUGUAAAAUACUGUCAUUUUUAACAUCAAUUUCUAGAGUGGUUAGCCAAGGUAAAAGCAUCAAUUCAUCAAGGCUUGCAUUACUUCUUUCAGUGUUGGCUCUUUCAACCUCCCAUUCAACGGAGCAAUUACCCAUACACAAUUCUUCUAAUCGGAUUAAGCUCGAUAUGACAUUUGGGGCAAUAACUUUUAGAUGGAAACAGUCUCUUAAAUCUAACAGCCUUAGCUUAGUCACUUGCCCUAGUGCUUUUGGUAACUCUACAAUAUCAGACCACACAAAGCUAAGGAUUUCUAGAUUUUCCAACUUUCCAAUAAUGGCUAUGUCCAUGUCUCCCAAAAUGCUUUGAUCAAGACAAAGCGUCGGAAGAUUUACUAGAAGAUCAAUUGAAGAUGGCAAUGACAAUAACCGCAUUCUAGUCAAAUCCAAAACCCGAAGCUUUUUUGUCCUUUCGAAGAAGUUCUCAGGAACAUUAGGCGCAACAAAAGAGUUCUUGGGAGACAUGAAUAAAAAUUCCAAGUUGUGGAGAUUCCAACACUUCGGGAAUGUCAUUAAUAAUACUAUCUUUAAAAAAAUUGCAGGAUAUUUUUUUAAUGCAUCUGCAUCUGGCCAUUUCCACACAUCCUCAUUUCUCACCGCAAAUGCAAUUUUGUCACGACGUGCAAUUGAAAUGGCAACAUCGCGAACAACAUCAUGCAUGGAAAAGAAUUUACUGCCACCAUCCUCAAGCAACAAACAAGAGUCUCUUAGUUGAUGGACCCAUGCAUGUAAUUUGUUAUGUGCAUCUUCUAGCUUAUAGACACUUUCAAAUGCACCCAAGCCCACGCUAUAUUUGAACAAGUCCAUAAUUGAAGUUGGUGUAAUUAGACUACACAGUAAAAAAGUUUUCUUGAGUUGCUCACCUCUUAAAUACUUGUAACUUAGCUCAAUUGUUGAGUAUGCCUCUACUGGUACUCCUUCAUCGAAGCUUGCCUCUGAAGGCGUUUGGAGUUCUUGUAAGACGUUCUUCCACACAGGCAGCUCUUUGUUUCUCAGUGCCUUUGCUACUGUGGUUAGGGCAAUAGGCAAACCUCCACAUGCCUUGGCUACAUUUGUUGCUGUAGAUUUUAACUCACGAUUUUCAACAUAAUUACCAGCCAUUAUCUUGAACAACCUCCAAGCUUCUUGCUCAUUUAGAAUGCCAAUCAAGAAGUUUUUUUCAGAUCCCAUACUUAACAAAACAUUACGAUCCCUUGAUGUUAAUAAUAACUUGCAUCCUCUAUGAUCAACGCCAAAAGGAAUUCCGACAGUCUCUAAAUCAAGAUAUUUCCAGAUGUUAUCCAGAAUCACAAGGAUCAUCUUCUCUUUCUUCAAUCGUUCAUAAAGUCUACUAGCUCUUCUAGAUUCAGCCUCCUCGGACAACUCCAGACCUAGUUUCUCUGCAAUUUCCCCUUGAAUCUUUUUUAUGUCUGGAGUUUGGGAAACCUCUGAAAAAACCACCUGAUCAAAGAGUUUCUCUUCACUGGCUUGCCUUGCAAACUCCUUCACCAGUGUUGUCUUUCCAAUGCCGCCCUUUCCGUAUACCCCAACGAUGCUGACAUUGACAUCAGUCAAUGCAUCUUGUAUAGACUUCAGAGUAGAAAGUCUUAAUUUAAAGGCCUCGUAACCUUUGUUAGACUUUAGCCAUACCUCCUCCGCAAUGGUACGGUAGAAAAUUCUAUCAUCAAAUCUCCUAGCUUCUUCUUUGAGUUCAACAAGGGCCUUCACCUCUGUUUCUGCUUUCUUGCUAAGCUGAUAGCGGGUCUUCAAAUUAGGACACAAGCCCUUGAAACAUCGCUUACUUGUUGUCUCCCCAUCUUCAAUGAAUUUGGCUGCCUGCUCAAUGGUGUUGUUCGCACUAACCAGCCAGUUCUCAACCUUCUCUUCAAUCUUUUCUCCUUUUCUUUCAGCCUCAGAAACUCUGUGCUGAAUGCUCUUACUUUCAUCCUUGAGCUUGUCUAUUUCUGCCUUGAGAUUCUCAAAGUUGGCUUUAUAGUUUCGCAAAUAACCAAGUUGGCGUUCUGUUGGAGGAGCGAAGCAUUUCACAACUUCUAACAGAACAGUAACAAUGCUUUCCACCAUCUUCGAUCCUCUUUUUUUCAAAGUUCCGAAAUGAAAAUAAACGACGAGCGAAAAACAGAGAGAAAGAGGGGCAAAAAAAAAAAAAAAAAAAAAAAAAAAAAAAAAGAAAAUGAAACAACAAAGAUGACAAGUGUAUCUGUUUGUGGAAGCGGAGAAAUCAAAGAAAGCUUAAAAACUGUUGUGAAUCUGGUGAGAAGAUGGAAACAAGGAAAAGGUUUCUAGUUCAAAACUGAUUGAAUUGAUAUAAGGAAUGAUUUAGAUAAUAGAGGAAAAUUGAAUCAGUCAAAAUAACUUAAGUAUUGACCAGAAGAAAGAUGCAAACAAUAUUAGAGACAACAACCGCGCUAUUGACUGGUAAUAGAGAUGGAGAAAAAGAAAAUAUCUUCACACGGUGGAAGUACAAAGGGUAGAUAUGGAACCAAACAGAGACAACAACAGGCCACAACUAGAUUGGGAAUGGAGAGAAACAAAUUAACAAAGACUGGAGAUUACAACAGAACAGAUGCCAAGAGAAAAGGGUUUCUUCAUCCAGUGAAAUUCAAGAGAGUUGACAGCAAAAGGGAGCACAUGUGUUUCUUGAUUGAGAACGAGUGCAAAGGAUGACUUUUUAAUGAGGUUCUGAAGCUGACGAAUAACGAUUUGCUAAAAUUUUGAGAAAGUUAUAUAUUCCGUAACUUCAACAAGUGAAGAAUAAAAGAAUAAUAGUUCGUCAUCUUCACAAUGAAGAUCAUGGACGAGAUUAAAAGCUAAAACUAGUCCAUUUGAAAAGCCAAAGUUCAAGUUCCUUGGCUAAGUUCAGAAGUGAAGCAAAGAAUAAAUAAAUAAAGAUCAAGGGAUGGGAAUAAAGUCACCCCCAGACAGUUGCAGAAAGAUUAUUAUUUGGUAAGCGUAGUUGAUUAUUAGUACAAAACAGAGUAGGUGAAACACAUCCUUUCUAUUUAGACUGAUCAGCAUCUAAAAUUUUAUGAAUUAUGAGUUGCAUUUUAUUUUGUACAUUCUGUUAACACAUUUUAAUUUAGCCAAUUUUGCAAUAAAUGUUAUUGAUGUAUUAAAUUGCAACAACAAAACACAAUUAUUGGUUUUAAAGAAUGAAAAAAAAAAUACAAAAAUAGAAAAUGAAUUGAAUUCCACUCAUCGUCAUCUUGGCAAAUCAAGUCAAAAAAUAAAAAUCCAUAUGCUUUUGUUAAAGUUAAAAGCUACAUAAAUAAUAUCACAGAAGCUUCUGCUAAGGUUCAUGUGAAGUCACAGCUUUGAUACUUGUAAUACAAGGAGCACGGAGAAACCAUAAACUUCAGUUUAGGUAUAUACAUUGCUUGUCUUUCAAACUUGAAUUGAUAAGGGGGAAAAAAAUAAUACUAAAGCAAACAGAAGGAUCAUUUAGUUGACAAAAUUAUUAUUAUUUUGAAAUUCGGGUCAUUCAGUUACUUUCAUUUCAGUUUCACUUCUGAUUCAAUUUAACCAGUUAACGUUGACAAAAAUAAAAUGCAAAUAUAAGGCUAAGGCUGCUAAUUUGAUGAACUAAUUGUCUCAGGAACCAAAGCAUCUAUAAGCAUGCAUGGGUGGCAACACCAUAAUUACUCAAGACUGGAGGAGUAAAAAGAUUGGUGAUGAUAAACAUUAAAUUUUAGGAAAAUCAUUCACAAAUAUGCUUUUAUAAAAGUUUUGUUGGUAAAGUUCGAGAAAUGCAUACAUGUCAAAUUUCCAUUUCUUGUGAGCAUUUCACCAAAUAGCUGAUAUGCAUUAAUAACUCCUAUCCUAUACUAUUGGCCAGUAGGUUGUUGCUGCUUCCCCAUUUUUAAUGAUGCGAACGUCUCAUACUUAGAAAUAAGGGCGGAGCCUGGAGAUUGAUUUAUAAGAUAAUCUUUUGAAUAAAAAUAAAAACAAUUACAGAUUUCAAAUGUGAGAAAAAUAAAAUUGCGUUAUAAAAUUAAUCCCACUAAGAAAGUCGUCUACGAAAUUGCCACAUUAAAAGAAAAUUUUUCCAUAAAUUAAAAUAAAAUUAAAUGAAAACUAUUUUUCAGUAAAGUCAAUUGCCCACGCUAGGCUAAGGCGUUUGUUUAUUUGUUUGUUUGUUUUUAUAAUCUGAAUAGGUAUAAAUUUUUUGUAAGCAUGAAUGAGCUGAGUACAAAUAUAUGAAUGAUAUAUUUAUUUUUCUUUUUCUUAAUACCCAAAUAUAAGUGACAUCUUAUUUAUCUUAAAUAUGGUUAUUUGAUAUUUAUAUUUUUACAAAUAAAAACAAAAAAAAGUAGUUAGAUUUUAUAGUUUAAGAAAUAAAUAUAUUUUAUAAAAAUAUUUUUAGAAUAUAUAUUUAAUUCUUAUUUAGACUUUUUCCUAUUCAAUAAAAGUCACAAAAGUUACUUUUUCUAUUCAAAUGUAAAUGCUUAAAAAUCAGAUAUAAGUCACAAAAAAAAUAAAUUUUAGAAAAAGUCAUAAAUUAAUAAAAUUUCAUAUAUUUAACUCCCAAUGCAGAUCCGCCCCUAUCAGUGUUAGGAAAUUGACUGGUGAAGUAGGUUCACAGCUAAAAUGAAAUUGGAAGAAAAUGAAGAACAAGCACAUAGAGGACACCAAAAAUUACAUGGUUCGACUUUUAGCCUACGUCUACGGGUAAAGACAAAAGGAUGAAACUUUACUGGUGAAAUGAGGAUUACUAGUAUUAUAAUAUUUUGUUUCACUUCCCAGAACCCCAAUCCACUCAAUCUCUUAAAACACUAAUCACUCAAGAGCAUUAAAACUCUUAGUCUCUCACUCUAGAAUUGAAGAAGAAAAGAAUGAAAUGCAGGGGUGAACCCCUCAUUUAUAGUUAAAAAUUUGGGCACUAUUUAUAUUUUUAUACAUUUUUUUUAAAUUAAAAGUUUGAACUUGACAUUCAAACUUUGAAUAUCAAAAGGUAUUGGUCACUCUUCUAGAAAAGUGACAUUGACUUUGACAUUCUCCCACUUAGAAAUUUGAUUGAGAAUCAAUCAAUCUCCACACCAUCCUUUCUGCUUCGUCGCUAUCAUGUUGCUUAUGUCUCUACUAGGCCAUAAAAUGAUAUACUCCAAACAAAUUUAUCAGCAUUGAUAGGCUUGGGCAAAACAUUUGUUAAGUUCUCCUUGGUAUCCACUCUUGUAUCUUUCACUACUUCACGAAGAAGUGAUAUUGUACUCCUAUAUUCUUUGUCCUGAAAUAAAAGGUUGGAUUCCUUGCAUUCUAACUAUCACAAACCAUAAAAAAAUUUAUGCCCAAGCUCCUUCAGUAACCUUUGUAUCCAAAUAGCCCUUCCAAGCUUGUGUAGCUGCUAUGUAAUCUGCUUCUGUUGUUGAUAAAGCCACAAUGGUUUGCAAUUUUGAAAUCCAACUAACAAUUUCGCCUUCUGGUGUAAAUACUUAGCCAGUAGUGGGUUUCCUUUUAUUAAGAUUUUCUGCAAAAUCUGAAUGCACAAAGCCCUUGACAGUAAAUUCUAAUCCUUCGCAGCAUAAUGCAACAUCUGAUGUUCCUCUGAUAUUUCUCAGAAUCCUCUUAAUAGUCUUCCAAUGUUCUUUGCAAGGAUUCGCUAUGUAUCGACUAACUGCUCCCACUACUUGUACAAAUCAUAGCAAACCUUAAAUUUUCCACUGCUGAUGCAUACAGUACUCAAGACAUCUCUUCUUCUCUACUUCAUUACUAGAUGAAUACUUAAGAAUAACUUGAAAUUAAUAGGAAGCGGGGUAGAAAGCCAAAUCUUCUUGCUAUUACUAUCUCGGUGAAUUUGCAUCCCUAAAAUCUUGUUUGCUGGUUCUAAGUCUUUUAUUUCAAACUCCCUAGUUAACUGUGCCUUCAGUUCUUGGACUCGAUCUUUGUUGGGGCUUGCUACCAAUAUGUCAUCCACAUACCACAGUAGAAUGAUGAAAUCAUUAUUAUCAAACUUGUUGUAAUAUGUACAACAGUAUGAAAUGAUUCUAUUGUAUCCAAGGUUUAUGAUGAAAGGAUCAAUUCUUUUAUAUCAACAUCUCGGUGCAUGUUUGAGAUCGUAUAGAGAUUUGUUCAACUUGCAAACCAAGUGUCCCUUUUUAGUAAAACCUUCUAGUUAGAGCAUAUAAAUCUUUCCUUCAAGUUCUCCAUGAAGAAAUGAAAAUUUCACAUCUAACUGCUCCAAAUAUAGGUCAAAUGUAGCACACAUCGACAAGACCACUCUGACUGUCCUGGGUCAAAUCAUUGGAGAAAAUAUCUCAUUGACGUUAAUACAUUCUUUCACCACCAAUCUUUCACGAUAUCGCUCCACUAGGUUAUUACCAUCACGUUUGAUCUUGUGAACCCAUUUGCAACCAAUGGUUUUUUUUUAUAUGGUAGUAGUACGAGUUCCUAUGUCAUAAUCUUGUGUAGAGCCUUAAUUUCUUCCUGCAUUGCUAUCAUUCACAAAGUAACAUCUGAGCUGUUUAAAAUUUCAUAGAAAGUUGAUGGCUUUCCAUUCUCUAUUAAAAGACAGUAUGCAAAAUUGAUAUAUGUGACAUAAUCCAAAUGCCACACAUACAUUUAUCUAUCACGAGUUGACCAACAAACUUUUGGGGCCUCAGACUUGAUUGGUUCUUGUUCUCAUACUUUGGAUGAUGCUUCAAAAAAAUCUGAAUCUUCAUUUUCCAGAUUAUUUUCAACAUAUAUUAGCACAAUCUCUAAAUUUUAAUAGUGCUAUCAUCCAUAUCUCUCUUUUGCAUUUGAUCUUCUACAAAGACAAUAUCUCUGCUAAUAACGAUCUUGUGGGCAUUGAGGUCCCACAGAUAAUACCCUUUCACUCCAUCAAUAGAUUCUAAGAAGAUACAUCUCUUGGAUUUUGGAUCCAUCUUUAAUCUCACUUGGGUAUCGUAUAUCACGUAAAAGGACAUCAAAAUGCCUGAGAUGAGAGUAAUCAGUUGGCUUUCCUGUCCAUUUUUCCAUUGGAAUCUUCAACCCGAUUGCCUUGAAUGAUGACCCACUUACCACAUAAUAAGUAGUUUUUGCUACUUCCGCCUAGAAUGAGUUGGUAGACCAGCAGUUCUCAACAUAACUCUUAUUUUUUCUAUAAGAGUCAUGUUCUUUCACUCUACUACUCUAUUUUAUUGAGGAGUGUAUGCCACUGUGAACUAUCUCUAGAUACUUUCUUACUUACAUAUGCAAGAAACAUGCUAUAUGUAUACUCUCCACCAUUGUCUGUCCUCAGGCACUUGAUCCCUUGCCCUGAUUUAAGUUCAAUCUAUUCUUUGAAUUCUUUGAACAAUGGAAAUACAUUUGACCUUUUCUUGAUUGGAUACACUAAAUAUCUCCUAGAAUAAUCAUCAAUAAAAGUCACCAAAUACUUUGCACCUCCCAUAGAUAUAUCAAUUGAUUCCCAAACAUUAGAAUGAAUCAAGUCUAAAAUACAUUUACUUUUGAAAGUGGAUUUGCUAAACUUUCAUCUAUGUUGCUUCCUUGUUUCGACAUGUGGCCAAGUUUAAGAUGCCACAUCAUCGCUGAAUUUUCUCUAUUUGAUGUGACACACACAAAAGCUUUCUGUAGUGUUUCCAUUUAAGCAUGAAUAGAUUAGCACCGAUCUUUUCCACCUUCAUUAAUGCAAGUGUGCCUUUGACUAUCUUUAUGAUCCCAUUUUCUACAUGAGUUUUGUGCACAAGGCUAUCUAUUUGUCCUAAAGACAAGAGAUAUUUUUCAAGUCUUUGACAUGUCUUACCUUCUCAAUUGUGCGAACCAUACCAUUAAACAUAUUUAUUUUGACAGUACCAAUAUCAAUGAUCUCAAAGGCAUGAUUAUCACCUAUGUAUACAGAUUCUCUUGAAAUAGGUUCAUAUUUGUGAAAUCAUUCUCUUGGAGAGAUCAUGUGCCAAACAACUAUUAAGUCUAUAAGCCAGACGUCGUAUAGUGGUUUUCUGCCUUCUGAAGCAGUUGUUGCCUUACUGUAGAGAAUUUUGCUAUCAUACGAGGUACUUACUACAUACCCUUGAGCAUUUGAUGACUCGGGAUCUUUACCCUCUCUUCUCUUCUAGUUGUUCCAAUACUCUUCCUUGACAUGCUCUUUCUUGCCACAGUUGUUGCAUUUAACAUUCUUCUUACUUCUUGAUUUCGAUCUACUGUGAUUGUGGCUCUCACUAGGGCCACGUUCCAUGGAUCUUCCUUUCAUCAUCAAUAGCGCUUCUACUUGCUGCGAACUUGUCUGUCUAUCUUUUUUAUUUUUUGCUACUCUCCUCAUUUAAUACGGAGGCUGCCAUAUUGUCAAAGACUAACUUGUUUGCUCGAUUGUUAUUAGUUAGAUUAAUGACGAAUUAAUCAUACGAAUCUGGUAAACCUUGAAGUAAAAGCUCUACAUGAUCAUUUUCCUCUAUUUUAUGACCCAACGUUGUAAGUUAUGAAAAUAAAGUCUUUAAAGUGUUGAUAUGGUCGAUCACUGAUGUAGAUUCCGUCAUUCGAAGAGUAUAAAGCCUCCUCUUUAAAAAGAUUUUAUUUUGUAGUGAUUUGACCUCGUAUAGUCUUGUGAGAGUAAACCAUAUUUCCUUUGCUCUCUUUUACUCUACCACAUUGAAUAAUACCUUAUUUGAAAGUGGUAUGUGUAGAUUUGCAAUGGCAUUAUUGUCUAUCUCAUUCCACUUGUCAUCAUCAGUUAUCUUUGUGAGCCUCUCUUCAAUUGUUGCCAAGCAAUUACUCUUCCUCAAUACAACCUUCAUCUUCAUUUUUCAUGACGAAAAAUUAUUUUUGUUGAACUUCUCAAUUUUGUAUUUUUCCGCCAUCACUGUUCACCACGAGCUACCUUUGCUAAGAUCGAUUCCUACCAUUUCACAUGAGCAGUAACUGUAUAUAUGAAUAAAGUGUUGUAUACAGAAACAAUAUCAUAUACAUGAACAGUACAAUAUAUGUAAACAGUAUCUUGACCCCAAAAAAUACAACCCGAAAAUUAAUUUGUGAAGUAGGGCCGCGACUAAAAUGAAAUUGGAAGAAAAUGAAGAGCAAGCACACUGAGGACACCAGCAAGCACACUGAGGACACCAUAAAUUAUUUGGUUCGACUUUUAACUUAUGCCCAUAGGUAAGGACAAAAGGAUAAAACUUUACUAGUGAAAUGAGGAUUAUAAGUAUUUUAGUAUUUUGUUUCACUUCUCAAAACCUUAAUACACCCAAUCUCUCCAAACACUAGUCACUCAAGAGUAUAAAACUCUUACUCUCUCAUUAUAGAACUAAAGAAGAAAAGAAUGGAAUGAGUGAAAUGAGGGGGUGAACCCCUCUAUUUAUAGCUAAAAAUUUGGGCACUUUUUAUAUUUAUUAUUAUUAUUAUUUCAAAAUUUAAAGUUUGAACUUGAUAUUCAAACUUUGAAUAUCAAAAGAUACGAGUUGUUCUUCUAGAAGAACGGCACCAACCUUGACUCUUAGGCAGACCUUUAGAGCUUUAAAUAAAGAAAAAGCUUUUAAAAAUGCCAUGUGUACUUGAUUAUACAAUAAUCUCCACCACAUAGAAUGAUUUGAUAAAAGAAAUUUUUUAUUUUUAAUUUUACUUUUAUCAGGCACGGUGCAUUUCCCCUUGGGCUCAUAUGUAAGGAUGUCAAUAAGAUGGGAAGGAGAGAGGAUUGAUUUCCCCAUACUCAUCUUUAAUACUCUGUCUAUCUCUUUGUACUCUAGACAUUUCCUUCAAAAUUACUUGAAACGAGGGGAUGGAUGUUUCUAAAUAAUACAAAGGGAUCUCUUAUGGCAUCCGAUCUCUGAUUAUUUAAUUUCUUUUUUUUCUUAAUUUAAUCAUCUUAAAGUAAAAAUAUAAAAUCAUAUUAACACAAAAAAUAUCAAAUUAACUAAAGUGAUUAAAAUCAUUUCCAUCAAAUUAAGUCAAUGCCAUCAAAUUAGAAGAUAAUCUUUGAACUAAUUAAGCAAAAGUAAAUCUUCAAAGUUAAACUCAUCCAUAAAUGUCAUAUAGUAUAAACCAUCAAUUAAAUUAUCUUUGUCAAUUUUAAAGUGUUUAUAUUUACUUUAUAUUGGCUGUUAUUUAUAUUAUUUUUAUAAAUGUAUUAUGAUAUUUUUUAUUUACAUCACACUAUUGCAAUUGAAAUUUUAAAUGUAUUUACUAUAAAUUUGAAAAAAAAAUGAAUUAAAAAUAAAAACUAAAGAUAAAAAUAGAAAAAUGUGGAGCCAAAUAAAAUAUUAGGGCAAACACUAAGUUAUAUUUCAUGUAACUUACACCCACACAUAUUAAUUUAUCACAGUCUUGUCUCCACAUAGAAAAAUUAGAUCUAAGAUUAUCAAACUCCCGAAUGAGGAAGAUCCCUCGGGGCCAUCGUCCCUGUGGAAAUUUCUGCAUCCCUGCAGUCUACAACGCCUAAUAAUGAAUUGAACGGUUGAAAUCCCUCUAAAUUUUUGAUAAUUUCUAAUCGCCCCUCCAUAUUUGAUUGAACAUCAAAACUAUUGAGUCCAAAUUUAUAACUUUGAUUUAUCUUCCAUUCCAUAGUUUUCAAGUUCUCUCUCUCUCUCUCUUUUAAUCCUUUUUACUGCAACCACCAUCAAAGCCUAGUAGUUAAUAUGUAUGCUGCUUUGCUUUCAAAAUCGGACACUACUGGUAUUUAUGGUUUUUAUUCUUUAUUUGACACAAAAUUUGGCGAUAUCUCCGCGGAAAAACACUACUGGUGUAUUCAAUUUUAUCCGGUAAUGAUUAAAUUGAUUAUUACAUGAACCGUAACUUCGCCAAGCCCAAAAUACAUAUUAAGUUAUAAAGCGUGGCACUCAUUAUUUUUCGCAAAAAGUUUCGCCCAAAAUACAUAUAUUUUUUUAAUUUUUUCUGUGAAAAAAACUACUGUUAUAUUCAAUUUUAUCAUUAAAGUUGUUAGUUACAUGAACCUUAAAUUAACACAAACCGUAACUUAGCCAAGCCCAUAAUACAUAUUUCAUAUUUGUAUGAAAUUUAAAGUUUUUCCACUUAUUAUUUUUCGCUAAAAGUUUCUAAAUUGUAUUGUAGUUUGAACUUGCCCAUCAUUCAAUUUUUUAACUCCACAAUUAUUUGACCUUACCAAGCUUGAAAAUAUCCUUCCAUACAUUUUUAAUUUUCUCCAAGUAUGAUGAAGAUUUAAUCAAGAGCCUCCGGGAUCUUAAAGUGCAAGAAAGGUCCGGAAAAUUUUUAAAACCCCACUGUUUAAAGUUUUUUUGGACUUUCUUGCACUUUAAAAUCUUGAAUUGAUAUAUAUAUAUAUAAUCAUUAUUAGGUGCUAGUGUUCUCUUUUUUUUUUUAAUGCAAACACCCUUUUAAGCCGUAGGGUUUAAUAACAUUAAAAACUAACUUUCAACUAGCUCUCUUAAAUUGUACGGCUUAAAAGCAUGUUAGUAUGAAAAAAUGAACACGUCUGUACCAAAAAAGGACUAUAUAUACUAUUUAUUUUAUAUAUACAUACGUGCGCGCGCUCGCAUAUAUAUAUAUAUAUAUAUAUCAUUUUAAUAUAUUCCAUUACUUUAAUAAUCAAUUUAAAAUAGUUUGUGAUAUUUUCAGCUAUUUAUUUAUCUACUUUUAGUUAGUUAUUUACACCGAAUGAAGUGAUAGGGUCCAAAUUUUAGUAUCCUUCUCAAUUGUUUGGGGUUAGUAAAUACUAAUUAGCUUAUUCGUCCCGCACAGCCGCGUAAAUGCUGUUAGAUUUCGGAGAGAUGCUGAGGAUGGUACAAGAUUUAUCAAAUUGUGGCGACAUUUUUAUACCUUUAGAAUUUCAAGAUUUUGAAGAAAUAAAUGGAAUCUGUUUUCCAUAAGUGCUCCACUAUCCACCAGGAGGAAUUCUAAAAUACAUUACAGAUUAGUAAUUUUUCAGAAUAAAUAAACACAUGUUAUAACAUUAUCUACUUAUCGUAUGAUUGAUAUGAUACUUCUGAUAUAUUUUAAAAUUUUUAAUGCACCAAAGUUCAUUUUUAGCUUUUAAGGUUUUUAUGUGUGAGCCUCUCAGCACGUUACCCAACCUCCGCACGUGAAAAUAUUUCUAUGUACGGUUACAAGCUUUUCCAGAUUGUGAGUAUUCCGAAGCAAUCCAACUUGAAAAACAGCUGGUUCGUAGAAAAUGACAGUUUACGAAGCUGGCCCUGCUGCCAUACAUAUGAUGAAGAAGACCAUUUUGCUUUAUGUCAAUUCCUCCAAGUUGAAAUCUUUCUCGGUCUGGGACACUUCCAACACAUAAAGUACUACUAGGCUAGAUGAUUUUAAAAAAUGUCAAGGUCCUUUAUCAAAUUUCAUUUGCAUUCAAGACCAAUCCCCUUUGAUGAAAAUCAAUAAUUAAAGGCUUUCCAAUGAGAAAUUAUUACGUCUUCAAAUCUCAAAAAACGCCAGAAUAUUAAUUCGCUACAUAUAAUCAAGAUAUCUCAUUGAGACGCAUUAAUAAAAAAUGUCAAAAUGCAUAGAAAGAGCAGACACACGGAUGAUGAAUUUACUCAUCUUUAGUAGUAUUUGAACUUGAGAGACAGAAUGAAGUACAUGUCAAGAAUAUCAUAAAGAUGGAAACCGGAAGUCCUCCGCACAUAAACUUUGAAGAAACUGGAAAACGACUUUAUUCCAGAUAAUGCACACCAGAGUGACCAAAAUUCUCUUCAGUAACUAUAGAGAAAAUAUUAUUUUGCAUGCAUUUCACGUAACUGGAUCAAACUACUCCCCUGUUGGUUUAUCAGACCACAUUUUUAUGGUGCAAUAUAAACCAUCUUUUCAAAACACUUCUACAAUGUGAGAAACAAAUGAUUUUUAUAUAGUUGUUCAUAGCUAACUUUUGAUGGUUUAAUGAUCUGUAGAUUUUGUUUUAUGUUAUUCAAGGAAAGAUAUUGGAUUGUUCCUAAGAGUUCAUAGGCAGGGGCAUAUAUGCAUGAUUUGAUAUAAUUCUUGCAAUUUCUAAGUACUUGCUCUUUCCAUCCCUUCUAAGUUUUGAAAGAAAGGUCGAAAUAAACAGAGAAACAGGACAAACAGAAGAAGACUGAAUUAACAGAUUAGCAAAGAUGGCAACUAACAAAUGGAAAAGUUCUCUUGUCAUCAAACUAUAGCAAACAGAUGACACCAUUACCAUAUAUCUUAAUGAGUAGAUUGAUUCUAAACAUAAAUGUUAGGAUACAUUUGGUUGUUUAAUAGUUUGAAAUAAGGAGGAUGAGAUGGUUUCCACAUAAAAGUGCUGGCCCUUUCAAUGACAUUUUCAAGGAAUUAUAAAAUUCAAAAUUAAAAAAAAAAUAGCACAUUAUAAAGCCACACCGUCAAAAAAAUAAAUAAAUAAAUAAGUGAAGAUCAAACUAAGUCACUAAGACCUUUAAUGAUAUAAAAUAAGCAUAUAAAUCUCAGAACAAAACAUUAAAACUCAUUCUAAAAGUAAAAAUAAACUAGUGGUGUAUUCCAAACAAUUUAGAUGAAGCGAUAAAACAAGCCAAGAAAUCAAAUAAAAUGAAAUGAAAUUGAAUUACCUGGGACUUUGUUUUUCAAAUUCACAACUCGCUUGUAAUUAAAGUAAAAUGCCAAUGCCAUUAGGACAUAUACAUCAUUGAAUAAGAUGAGGACCCCUCCAACAGCUGAAAGUAAAAUUUUCAUUCAUUAGUUUCAAUUAAAAGUAAAGCACACAGAUUUGCAGGGAAGCAAGAGAUUUAAUAAAUUUAACACCAGCAAUUUAAUUUGACAGGACUUCCAUACAGUAAUGAAGUCAAAAACUAAUGAUUAAUGAAUUUUUGUAAUUGAAUGAAUAAGAUUCUCUGAUUUUGGAUAAUUGAAUGAAUAGGAUUCUCUAACUCUUGUGAAAAUAUCAAUUUUAAAUAGGGUAGAGUUUCAAGAAUUAAGCACAUAUGUAUCCCAAGGCUGUUGAUCAUCUCUCUCUCCAUAGUAGAAGUUUACUCUCAGAGGCGCGUUUAAUUCUCCUUUAGUGAAAAUCUUCGUCUUGGGACAACCAAUUAUAGAUAAAUCUUCCAAAGAUGGGAAUUUGAAGGUGUAAUUGGCAGAGCAGAAACUUCUGAGACUAUCAGCAGAAACUUGUGAGACUAUCCAAAUCAUACAGAUACAAAAUCUUCAAUUUGGUGAAAGCAAUCUCUUCUUCAAAAUUUUCUGCUCCAUCUUCGUCAUUUAUCACCACCUCUCUCAUUGCUCUACAUCCAUAUACCAACAUUGAUAAGAGUCUCUGUAGAGUUUGGAGUGACAGAUUCGAUAAUGAUCAACUCCAAAUACUCGCCAAGAUCGCAAAUCAAACAACCAAGAUGCAAAAAGAAUCAAUCCAGAAAAAAUCACAGAGAAACUUAAGAACCUAAAAGAAUUAAAGAAUUAGCGGCAAAGACAAAAGAAUUAACGUGGUUCAGCUAGCUUUCACUAGCUUACAUCCACAGGAAAAACCCGGAUCAAGUUUAUUGAUUUUCAGAAGAUGAUUACAGAGAGUUUUAAGAGCUAAUAACAGAGUAUUUCUUGAAGCCUUCUCACGAAUCUUCUAAUCACUCAAUAGCUCUCACGCACACGCCUCCUGUUGCACCAGAAUCAGCUGUUUAUAACAGCUUCUUCAACAAACCAAAAUGAACCCAGAAACUCACGUGAUUGGCAUGCGUUAUAACAGAUUCAUAACGACCCUGAGCGGCUUCUUCGAGCACGUGUUUCUCUCGUGCUUUACUUAAACACAAAACGACGCUCAACUAAGUCGUUCCAGAGACAAAACAAAUUGCUCUUCAAAACGCAAUCAGCAAUUGUCGUAUUGUAGUUUACUUAAGCUGCAAAACGCAAGUCCAACUUGUCGUUUCAAAUAUCUUGAUUUGCUUCACAACACAACAGUCGCUCUAGACUUUUUGCUGUGGAGGAGGUUGCUAAGUUCCUUGCAACGAAGAACUAGAAGUUCUUUUAGGUUCCCAAAAGAUACCGAUUGAACAAAGGACUCCAAUUUGGAGUCUUGUUUCCACAAUUGCUUCAGACGAUUAAGUUUGUGCAGAUCUAAAUGUUUUAUCAUUGUAAACUUCCUCACAUGUUUCUUCAAGUAUCCUCCAUUCGAAAAUACCUCUUCGCAUGAACAACGACGCCGUAUGAGAGUUUCCAGAUUAUGAAAUCUCUCAAGUAAAUCAAGUGGAAAACAAGUUGAGUCAUCAUCCACUGUUUGUAGUAGUUUAAGACUGCCAAAAAGGUGUUGUGGGAAAUCGCUCUGCAAAGUCAUCCUCGAGUCUUUUCCACUUAAUGCCCGUUCCUCCUAAGUUGGGUAAGCUCUGAUCAUCAUCAAUCACGUAAUAACUUAUUAAGUCAAUUCAUAUUCUCUCAAAUAACUUUUAAUAAUCCAAUCAUACACAGUGACUUUAAUAUAAAUGCAUAAUAUUUUACAAAAAAGAAGAAAAAAUCGAAUUAGAGGUAAAAGUUAUUCUACGAUUUUAUUUUUUAUAUAUAUCUUGCAUGCUAUUCCCAAGAGCAAUCCCAAACGGCCCUUAAAGCAAUUUUACAAAAGCGGCCGUUACAUAUAUUGCCAACUUUGUUGGGAAUGGCAAUGGGGAGAGGAGGGGAAGAGACCGAACUCCCCGUACCCAUUCAUGAUAUUCUGCAUAUAUCCUCGUCCUCUCCUCAUUUCUCACAAAAUUGCUUUAGGAAAUCCCCCUCCCCUCCCCAAAUAAUAAUAGGGGAUCCUUGAAGGCCCUCGAUCCUCGAAUAACUGAUACGUUUUUUGUUUUAAAUUUUAAUUUAAUCAUAUUAAAAUAAAAAAUAAAAAUAAAAAUAAAGUUUGACGAUAUAUCUUAUAUUAACAUUAAUCUAUUACAAAAGUCACAUUACAAAGUAUAAAUCACCAUAAUAAUUAUCUUCGGCAAUCUUCAAAAUCAUAUAAUAAAAAAAAGAAAUUACUUUUAUAUCAACAAUGAGAUAAAUGAAAUGAAUAUAGAUACUUAAUCAAUAUUUCUAAUAAAAGUAUUUACCUCUGCGUCUCCUACUCUUCUUGUUCUUCCUCGAGGAAUGUGACAAAUUGAGAGAUAGCCUCAGAUUUCAAAUUUAAAACAAUAAAAAUGAUAUAAGUAAUGUAAAUUCUAAUUAAAAUAAACUCAUACUGCCAUUGUAAGCUUGUGGUCAACUUUGACAACAUAUUAAAGCCUCCAAUGUGCUUGAAUAAAGCGUGUUACGGUACUCUACCACUGGUGCUAAAAGCUAAUUCAGAAGCAACAUUUGUAAUUAGAAUUGCCAAAAUAUCUCUAGGUGCCAAUAUAGGAUAUCUAUAGACAUUUAUUUUACACCAACUCAAAUUAUUAAAAUCUUUCAUCCGUGGCAUAACUUUCUCAUCCAAAUAUUAAUGUAGUCAAUUAAGCCUAAAGUUUAAUAAUAUAAUUAUUUUAAUUUUAAUUUAUUUAUUUAUUUAUUUAUAUUAAUAUUUUAUUAUUUAUUUACAAAUAAUUUUAAAAAAAUUAAAAUUAAAUUAAAAAAUUAGAAGAGAAUAGGGAUUCCGCCGUAUCCCCGUCCUUUCUCUUAAUAAGAAAUUGGGUAAAAAAAACUAUUUCCGUCCCUUUUUCAAAUAAAAAAUUAAGUAAAAAAUUAUGUACCCUCCUGAAUUGGGAAAAUCUCGAGGGUCAUGUCCCCGCGGGAAUAUCUGCCAUUCCUAAACUUUGUAACAGCCAGUUGCUUUUGUGACCGUUUAUGUGACGGCUAGACUGCUCUCACUUAUGUUACUAACCACGUGACGGUAGAGAGCCAAUUGGCAUUCCAUUAUUUUGAUUGUAGAGUUAUAAAUUUGUUUCUAAAUAGAAAACUAUUUGCUGAAGUCAAUAUAUUGAAAACCAAAGUCCCAAAUUCUCUCUCGUGCGUACCUGGCCAUCCUAAACCUUACUGGUAGCCGGAGAAUGGCGUAAAACGGCAGCGAUCUUCUUCUUCAUCUUAUUCUCUCUCUCAUCGUUUCAGGUAAGCUUGUGAUUAUGAGUUUCUUCUCUUUCUUAGCUUGUAAUUAUAGGUUUUGAUUUCUUUACUUCGUAUUGUAACCAUUAAUGUCAAUUUUUGUCCCGCCGGCAAUAUUUCUUGUUCCUAGAAGUUGAAGCCCUUCUGUUCUUGUUCCAUUGGUGACUUUGCUCACUCAAAUUAAUUUUGUUCUGCGGAAUUUACAAAGUUCAAAUGGAUUCAUUUGAAUUACUAUUGAAUUUAGCUUUAAUUUCAACAUCCAUUCUAAUGUUUUACAAUCAUGUAUUUAGAUUUACUUUAAUUUUAUGUUUAAAGCUUCUACAAUGAAUAGCGUAGCUUGGGCUUUAGUUUCAUUUUCUAAUUAACUUGUUUUAGUUUAUCUUAUAUGCUCGCCAAGUGCUUGUUAUAUUGUCUGAUAAGUUAUAUAACAUUGCUGAUUCUAUAUUAGUAAUGUCAUGUUCCAUUUUCGGAAAUUAUAACACAAAAGUUUUUACAAUGGCUUGCAUCUACAAACUGAAUUGACUUGUAGAGUAAGAGCUUGGAUUAGUGUUAUGUUCUUGAAUAAAUGAAAGUUCAUAUUGUGUAAGAGCAUGUAGAUAUAAAGCAUCACUACCAUUUCUACAAACUGCUUUCAUUCUGUUCAGAUGCUCCUCUUGAACUUUGAAAGGUGCCUCAUUCAAGUCCUAGCUAUAACUACUAGCUCUGAUUGCUUAAGUUCCUGUGCUAGCUGAAACAGAUUUAUUUAAUUAAUUAAUUGUGUAUGUACUAAUUAUAUUGAAAGUAUAUGAAGAAAUUGUUUAACAUGAAUGACUUCUAAAUGACUUAAAAGCCUAAAGGAUAUGUCAAAUAAUGCUCAUUUCACUUGAACGAGCCUAAUACUUUUAUGUCUAUGAUUGUCAAUCUUGCUUAAGUGUUUCAGUUAAGUGGUUUACCUAACAGGGGAAAAAAUUUAAUGGAAAACUUUAGAGUUCGAACAGAAAUAUAGUUGACUGCAGAUAUAGUUAUUUUACGGUACAUAAAUCAUAUUGUCCUAUACUCAAUGUCCUACGACCUAUUUUAUUUUAUAUGGUCAUUCAUUUUUGCGAUGGUUUUUUGUGCUUAUGAGUAUGGAAAUAGUGGGAUUUGGUGUGGCAAACAAAAAUAUACAUAUAAUCAAGUUUCUUAAUCAUGUAUAUUGGUUUUGGGUAUGAAUGUUUUCCUAUUCUAGUUCUAGGCAAAGUUUCUUCAUUUUGGUCUUCAGAUUUCUAGUAGGUUAAGUUAAGCAACUAUCAUAACUAGCUAGCUAGUUAUUGCCUGCCUUGUCGCCAUUACCGACGCCAUUACAUUGCAUGGCAUAAGGAAUAGUAACUAGGUGAUUAUUGGUGAUUCGUUGAGUUUAUUAUUGGCCAAACAAACAUAUUGGCCUUUACCCACAACUUAGUUUGAUUAGUUAUUAGAUAAUAAAGAGCCUUAAUCUAUGCAUUGCUUUAUUAUUUUUAUUUGGUUUUUCUUUCAACAAUAUUGUUGAUUUCUUAUAAAAAAUAUUCAUUGGUUUUUAAACACCUAAUCAUUGGCUACGAUGAAGCUAAUUAAAACUAAGGCUUUGGAUCAAUUUCUGUUAACAACAUACAAAUGUACUUACUGAGUAUAAGAUUGAAGACUUGAAAAGAGGAGAAAAGAGGAGAAUGAAUAAAAUGAAAGAAAUGAUAAGAUUACUUGGAAGAAGAAAAGCAUUUUUAAUGAACUAACGUAUUGGGAGUUCAAUUUGAUUCAUCAUAAUCUCGAUGUCAUGCACCGUUUUGAUUUUUGUUAUGAACUCAGAUCAAAAGUUUAAUGUGAUCAAAAUUUCUUAAAAAUAGUGAAAACGACUCCUCCUAAUAAUAUGGAAGAUGGCUAUAAAAGAUAAUUUCUUAAAAGUUUAAUGUGAUCAAAUUUGCUUGUGAACGCAAGGGUUUUAGUUACACUGUCAACGCUGUCAAUGUAGUGAUACAAUGAAGAUGAAGUAAAGCAUUAGUAGAAUAAUGAAGUUGACCAGUAACACAGUAAAGCAAAUUUUAUUCCAGAGCAUGAAAACUUUUAAACAGUAACACAGCUCUUAUUCCAGAGGCUGCACACGAGUGACCUCAAUCUUCUUCAGAACUUUCAAAUUUUAUCAAGCAAAGCUUUCAAAAUCCUUGCCUUCCUAAGUUAGGAAAGAUAGAUGUGGAGCAAACUAUUUUUUAUAGAUAUUUUCACUUUGGGCUGUCAGCCCGAGGAAGUACGGGGUUCUGAGUUAUUCAACUGAAAAUGUCGGCCAAGUUCUUGUGUUAGUUUUAGUAUAUUGUGUAAAAAUGAUACACUAACUUGAAUUUAUAUGCUUUUAUGACUAUUUGAUAAUCAAAUGGGUACAUGACACGAAGAACUUUGAGUUUAAAAAUCUGGCCCUGAUGCCUGGUAGCCCUCCAACCUAUGAAGCACUAGACGUUUUAAUGAGAAAACGACAAGACCAUUUAUCAAAUUUCUUGUGGAUAUAAAUACAUACACAUAGACGAGACCAACCUCCUCAAAGGAGAAUCAGAGUGAUUACAAGACCUUGUGAUGGUUGUCGAAACCAGUAAAAAUAAAUAUCUACUCUAAAUAAAUUGUGUAUAGUGAUUGAGCAGGAUCGUGUCCAUAAAGAUCGGUAAUUAUUUAAAUCCUUUUUAAAAUGUAAAUUGCAAAAUGGGGAGAUUGUUGACAAUAAAAAAAAAUCAAAUUAAAAUAACAAGAAUGCAAAUUAAAAUUGUAAUUCAAAUUGGAAAAAGUUCUGGUUGAAGGAAUUAACUCAGCUUGAUUCGACUACUGAUCAUUGAUUCAAAUAUAAAUUAUUACUACUUAUGAAUAAAUCGGUUAUAGCUACUGAGACCCUCUAAUAGCCAAUCUCUCUUUAACUAAUCGAUAACCAAGGUACGACCGUUGGUUAUUUCCCUAAUCAAUAGACAACCCUAGAUACGAUCAAAGGAUUUAAUCAAUUGACAGCCUAAAAAACCAGAGAGACCCAAAUCCUAAUCAACAAACGCAUACGAUGGUUCAUUUAAAUUAGAUUGUUUAUUCUCAUAACACAACUCACUGCUAUGUUAUUUGUCACAAAUAUUAAAAUCUUCAUACGAUGAAUCCUUUAAUUGACAAUAGAUUAAGUUGAUAAUUAAAUAGUGGCCAAUUAUCUAAUUAACAAACAUAAUCAUGACAAUAAUUCAGAGAAUAAACAAAUACCCAAAAAGUAAUAAAAUAAUUAAAGCAUAAGAAAGAUCUCACAGUAGUUAUGAAUCAAAGCUUCAUUAACUUUCAACCAGAAUAAUAGGUUUAGUUCUUCAUAGAGAGAAGAGAAAAGUUUAGAUCUAGGGUUUCUUUCUUUUAAAAAAUCUCCUUUUUUCACAAUAGAUUCCUCCCUUAAAUACUCUCUCUCUUCUCCUUUAGAGUUCUAUUUAAAAUAAAAUACUAAUAUAUGAAAUAUUAAAUUUGUAAUUACAAAAAUAAACAAAAAUACAAAACACGUUAAACUAAAAACUGUAGGUCCGUAGUUGACAGCACGCACCCACGCCUUAUCAACAAAGUUCUUCUGACACUCAUAAUUUCUCUAAGAGAACAAUCAUCCUUAAACAUCAUAUUGUAGCUCAAUUUUAUCACCAAUCAAUAGAAUUGCACCUACAAAAGUAAAACACAAGUAAAUCACUAUUAUUAAGUGCAAAACAUCGAUAUUAAGGGAAGUAAACAAUGCAAAACUAGUGCAUAAAUUGCACUCUAACAUAUACUCACUGUGACGAGUUGCACCAGAGUUUUUGCUGUGGAGGAUGUUACCAUGUGUAACAAUUUCUUGCAACCGAAAGCUACAAGUUUUGUUAGGUUCCGAAAAGAUACCGAUGAUGAUGGCAAUAGAAUUAACAGACUUUGACAAUGAUAUACUUUUAGAAUUUCAAGAUACUGAAAAAUGGGGCCAAGUUUGGAGUCUUGUUUGCACAGCUGCUUCAGAUGAUAGUGCCGGUUCAGCUCUAAUGUUUUUAUCAUUGCCAACUUCCCCACAUGUUUCUCUAAGCAUCCUUCCUCCGAAAAUACCUCUUCGUUGAAUGAAAAACAAACCAGUAAGAGUUUUUCAAGAUUGUGAAAUCUCUCCAGUACGUUCCAGAUUGGAAAACAAGCUGAGUCAUCUGCAGCAAUCUCUAGUUCUCUAAGACUGCCAAAAAGGUGUUGUGGGAAAUCGGCCUGCAAAAUCAUCUUCACAUCUUUUCCACUUAGUGCUAGUUCCUUCAAGUUGGGUACGAUCUGAUCAUCAUUAAUCAUAAUAACUAAUGAGGUCAAUUGAUGAUCUACGGUCACACGCAGUAACUUUAUAGUAUUUAUUUUAUAUUAUAUUUUAAAAAAAAAUGAAUUAUUGAUAAAAUUUAUUUUGUAUGUUAAUUUUACAGGUAAAAAAAGAAAUUAGGGAAAAAUAGUUGAUUUAUAUUGGCUCAAAAUUAUUUUAUUGCACAAUAAUAAAUUACUAAUUUAUUUUGCAAGUUCUUCUAUAUGGAAAGACUGAGGAUUCUUUUAUAAAUGCUAUACCUAAAAAAGUUCAUAUAAUUAUGAAUCUACCAUAUUGAUCCCUUAGUCUAGACUAGCAAAGAUUAUUGUAUAAUAAAAGUUUUUAAUUUAUUGAGUAUUAAAUGAUUUUUUAUAUGUUAAUUUUAGAGGUAAAAAAGAAAUUAGGGAAAAAAGGUUGAUUUCUACUGACUCGAAAUUAUUUUAUUGCACAAUAAUAAAUUACUAAUUUAUUUUGUAAAUUCUUCUAUAUGGAAAGGCUCAAGAUUCUUUUACAAAUGCUAUACCUAAAAAAGUUUAUAUAAUUAUUAAUCUACCACAUUGAUCCCUUAGUCUAGACUAGCAAAGAUUAUUGUCUAAUAAAAGUUUUCAAUUUAUUGAGCAUUAAUUUAUCGAUACUUUGUCAUAUUUUUCAAAGUUAAAAAUAAGCUAUAGAUAAAAAAUCUAGAAAAUGGCUUCAUACCUUUUCCAAUGGCAAUAGGGGCUGUUGUGCAGGAAUACCAAGUUGAUCAUUCCCAUUAUUCUGCGAUAAAUCUGCAGCGAAUAUCUUUAAUUUGUCACAACCAUGCACUAAAAGAAUUUCUAGUGCGGGCCAUUCCGAAGUAUGCAUUCCAGGGUACAAACAUCUAAGUUUUGGUAGAUCUUGGAGCUUCAGAGUGGUGAGCUGUGGAAAGACAAAAUAAGGGAUCAUUUGAUCUGCUCUGUUUUCAGAAAUGAUCUCCUGUAAAUUCUCACAGAAGUAUAUAUCCAGGUGUUGGAGCUGCUUAAGGCUUUCGAUCAUAGACGCUGAAAAUAUGUAUUUUAAUUUAUGACAACGCUGCACAAUCAAUCGUGUUAAAUUUUGAAAGCGAGGAAACAUGACCGGAAGAUGAUUGUAGUGCCAAAUCUUGUCGACAUUAAUUUCAGAUAUCUCCAAAGCCUCCAAGUUAGGCAACGCAACCUAAAAAAAGAAGAAUUUCUCGUUAGAUCCAAUAUCCAUAUGGGAAGUACUUGUUGAAAUUUUCUUCUUUGAUUACAAAUUAAUGCAAGUCAGAAUCAAUUUCAUACUACUUGUUAAGAGCUCAAUUAGUGAGCGCGUGAGAUUCUUUUUAUCCUUUUUUCCAUUUUCUUUCAAUUCUUUAAAUGAUUUAAUUAUUUUCCACGUAUAACAUCAAAACAGAACGCAUGAUAGAAUAAAAUGUGUUAUACAUUAAAGAAAAUGUUAGCCUACGCACCUUCUCGUUGAAAAGCAGAGUUGAAAUAUCCAAAGUGAUUUCGCUGGAGCUAUACAUAGUCGUCGAUUCCUCUUGCGACACUUGUCUGUUCGGUGAUGCUGAAGGAGUCUUCACCUCAUUGCGGCAAAAACUUGUAACCUCUGGAAGAUUCCCCAGACUCAAAGAUCUUAAUUGAGCAAACUCUAUCUUCUCAAUUGCAUUAUCAACUUCUUCCCCAAUUGCAAAAAUCUCUUUCAUCUUGCUGCAAUUAAUAACUGCAAUUCUCUCAAGUCUUGGAAGGCAUUUUGUAGUGGAGAGCCAAAAGAUAUUGCUCAACUUAUUACAACUAUAAGCUUCUAUGGUUUUGAGUUUGUUGAAAGACUCUACUUUGAGCCGAUCAAUACAUAUCCUCUCCAUGUUGAUCAAAUUGCGAAUGGUAAGUGACUCCAAAAGAGGAAAGGCAUCACAAGCGACCAUCUCCCUUGAAUCGACGAUACAAAAGAUGUCAGGAUUAUUUUGAACCAAGAGAAGCUUCAAUUGUGAAAAGCCAUCCGUGUCCAAAUUGAAAAGAACAUUCUCGAUGCCUUGCAGCUUGUCCAACCAUAAGUAUUCAACGUUAUUGAUGCCCUGCAAUUUCAUGGAGAAAAUGUCCAUAAAAUCAAGCUUGAGCUUCAAUGCUCUUAAACUCUUGCGAUCACGGUUGAUUGAAAAGUGCGGCCGACUUUGGAACCAUUUAUGUCUAGCAUACUUGUUGGGAGGCAUGAAUGACCCAUUUCCAAUAGAUAUUUUGAACCUUUCGAGCUUUCUGGCCAAAAAGCGUUCUGGUAAAAUACUAUCAUUUUUAACGUCAAUUUCUAGAGUGGUUAGCCUAGGUAAAUGCAUCAAUUCGUCGAGGCUAGCAUUACUUCUUUUGCUGUUGGCUCUUUCAACCUCCCAUUCAAUGAAGCAAUUACCCAUAUACAGCUCUUCUAAUCGACUUAAGCUUGAUAUGAGAUUGGGCGCAAUAACUUUUAGAUCGAAACAAUUGGUUAAAUCUAACAAUCUCAACUUAUUCAAUUGACCUAGUUCUUCUGGCAACUUCAUAAUAUCAGACAUCAAAAAGCUAAGGACUUCUAGAUUCUUCAACUUCCCAAUGAUUGCUAUGUCGCCCAACGCACUUUGAUCCAGACAUAGUGUGUGAAGAUAUGCUAGAAGAUCAAUUGAAGAUGGAAAAGAAGAAAACUGCAUUCGAGUAAAAUCUAGAACUCUAAGCUUUUUCAUCCCUACCAAAAAGUUCUCAGGAAUAUUGAUUUCAAGAGAAAAAUCUUUGAGAGAGAUAUAUAAAAAUUCAAGGUUUGGGCAUUCUAAUCGUCAGGAAAUCACGAUUACUAUUAUUUAUAAAGAAGAUAGCAUGCAGUUUCGAAGUGGCAUCUCAUCUGGCCAGUCCCACACAUCUCAUUUCUCACCGAAAACACAUGUUGGUGGCGGCAUGCAAUUGAUAUUGCGACAUCGCGAACAACAUCAUGCAUUGAAAAUUCUUCAUUGCUGUCACCCUCAAGCAACAAACAAGAGUCUCUAAGUUCAUGGACCGAUGCAUAUAAUUUGUCUCGUGCAUCUUCCAUCUUAUUGACUCCUUGAAAUAUACCCAAACCCAUGGAGUACUUAAACAAGUCCAAAGUAAGGAUACUGUUACCCAUUAGACUGCAGAGCUGAAAAAUGUUCUUGAGUUGCUCACCUUUUAAAUGGUUGAAACUCAGCUCAAUACUUGAAUAAGUCUCUGCAGACACUCCUUCGAAGUUUACCAUUGAAGGCGUUAGGAGUUCUCGCAAGGAAUUCUUCCAUUCAUGCAGACUCUUGCUUCUCAGUGCCUUUGCCACUGUAAUCAAGGCAAUGGGCAAACCUCCACAUGCCCUGGCGACGUCUAUUGCUGUAGAUUUCAACUCACGAUUUUCAACAUCAUCACCGGCCAUCAUCUUAAACAAUCUCCAGGCUUCUUCUUCAUUUAAAUUGUUAAUCAAGAAGUUGUCUUUAGAUCCCAUUUUUAAGAGGACACUACGAUCUCUUGCUGUCAGCAGUAGUUUGCAUCCUUUAUGAUCUUCUCCAAAAGGAAUUCCCACUGUCUCCAAAUCAAGGUGUUUCCAGAUGUUAUCUAAAACCACAAGGAUCUUCUUCUGAUUUCUCAAUCGCUCAAAUAGUCUACUUGCUCUUCUAGAUUCAACUUCCUCGUGCAACUCCAGGCCCAACUUCUCGGCAAUUUCCUGUUGAAUCUUUUUUAUGUCUGGAGUUUGCGAAACCUCUGAAAAGACCACCAUAUCAAAGAGCUUGUCUUCCAUAGCUUGCCUGGCGACCUUCUUCACCAGUGUCGUCUUUCCAAUGCCGCCCAUGCCGUACACCCCAACGACACUAACAUUAACAUCGAUCAAUGCUUUUUUUAUAGCCUCCAAAGAAGAAAGUCUUGACUCGAAGGCCUCGUAGCCUUUGUGAGACUUGAGCCAUAUCUCCUCCGGAAUGGUACGGUAGGAAAUUCUAUCAUCAAAUCUUGCAGCUUCUUCUCGGAUUUUGACGAGUGCCUUCACCUCUGCCUCUGCUUUCUUGCUAAGCUGAUAGCGAGUAAUCCAAUUAGGAAACAGCCCCAUGAGACAUCGUUCAUUUGCUUUCUCUUCGUCUUGAAUGAAUUUGGCUGCCUGCUCAAUGCUCUUGUUCGCAUUAACCAGCCAUUUCUCAACCUUCUCUUCAAUCUUUUCACUUUUUCUUUCAGCCUCAGAAACUCUGCGCUGAAUGCUUUCUCUUUCAUCCUUGAGCCUAUCGAGUUCUGCCUUGAGAUUCUCAAAGUUGGCAUCGGAGUUAUACCAGUAACUAAAUUCGCGUUGUGCGUGAGGAGACAAGCAGUUUACAACUGGAACAAUGCUUUUCAAAAUGUCCAUUUGUUUUUUUUUUUUGGGGGGGUGGGGGGUGAGUGAACGAAAUAGAAAUAGAACAGGGUCAACGACCGCGCAAUUAAUAAUCAAGUAGAAGCAAAACAAGGCAAAAUGGAGAAAAGAAAUUAUAUUUGUACAAAACAAGGGGAAAAUCAGUGUAACAGAAGAGAAUCAAAGUGUUUUUGAGAUCAGAAAAUUGAAUCAAGAAAAGGGUUGCUUGAUCCAAUGAAAAUGCAAAGAGGGAACAAACAUAAAUAAGAAAACGGCUAGCAGGAGCAGUGACCACGAUAAACAGAAGCAAAGUGUGUAUGAGAUCAAAAGAAGAAAAUCAGGAGAGGUUUUCUUGACUGAGAAUUGAAGGCAAAGAGUAGGAGCUGACGAAUACGGGGAUCAAGAGGGAAAAACUGCUUAAUAACAUUACGAUUGUCAUAAAACAUGUGAUCCUCAUCCAAUAUCCAUUAUUUGUGAUCCUUAAUCAAUAAAAUAUCUAACAAUAUCGAACAGUCGAUAUCCAACACAUGCACGAAGAUUCCAAGAAGUUGCGUGGCUGCCGACUUUUAAAUGCUAAGCCUGAUUGUGUCGAUGAUACACAAAAGAGAGCAGUCGGGGUAAUUGCCAAAACUUAGAACUAAACAGUAGCUUAGUCAGAAAAUCAAACGCCAGUACCGGUAAAAUGACCGAUAAAAAUAUAAAGAAAUAAAACUUUUAAAGUUUUACUUCAUUGCUUUUUUAAUGUUAUUACUAUUUCUCCUAGCACUUCUAAAGAAACCAAAGCUUUAAAAGAAAUCGGCCAAAGAAAUAAAGUUUUACUUCAUUGCAUUUUUAAUCUUAUUACUAUUUCUCCUUGCUCUUCUAAAGAAACCAAAGCUUUAAAAGAAUCAGCCAAAUCACCAAGAUUGAAGAGUAAAUCUAUUGUUUUAGAUUUUUAUUUUUAUUUUUUUAGAUAAUAGAUAUUAUUUUGAUGAAUUUUUUAAUAUUGGAAUAAUGUUAGGAAUUCCAAUAGAUGAAUUCUAACUUGACACCCAAUUGUUAUGUGUCAUUUUUUUAUUGGAUAAUGAAUUUCAUAACUAGUAAAAUUAAUAUUUUGAUCAUCUAAUAAAUAACUACUAUAUCAGUUGGGACUCAAUCAUUGGGAUGCUUAACAUUGCUCUUAGUAUUGUAUUGGACAUCUUAGUUAAAUCAGAUUAAAAAUCAAAUUAGAUUUUAGGCUUUAUUCAACAUCUCCUUUUCUUUAUUUUUUUUUCUUUUUUAGGUCUAUUUGAAGUGAACGAAUUAAAAAUACGACAAGGUCAACGAUUGGGCAAUUGAUAGUCAAGUAGAAGCAAAUGAAGGCUAAAUGGGAAAGAGAAAUUAUAUUUGUACAAAACACGGAGAAAAUCAGUGUAACAGAAGAGAAUCAAAGUGCUUUUGAGAUCAGAAAUUGAAACAAGAAAAGGGUCGCUUGAUCCAAUGAAAAUGCAAAGAGCUGAUGGCAAAAGGGAACAAAGUUAAAUAAGAAAACAGCUACCACUAGCAGCGACCACAAUAAACGAGAAAUUGGAGAUGGAUCUACAAUAUUUCUGCCUUUCUUUAUGCUUUAACAAAUAUUGCUCUAUCGAAAAAAAUAUUGUGGGUUUUUAUUAUUGGAGUCACAAAAGACCAACACAAUAUAGCAAGUGACUAGGAAUAAGAAUAUAUAACUCUCUCUCUAUUUCUCACUCUAGCUUUUAAUUGUCACUCAAAACCCAGACAGCGUAAGGAAAUAAGAGAUGACAGCGUCUGGUUGUCAUACGUGCCUUUUGGUUUCUGGAUGACAUGGCGUACACUUCUUUUGCAAACCAACACGACAUGUCGUACUCUUUGUUUUGAGAUCAUAUUUCAAACUCUUGAUGUUACGAAUGAAAGAUAAACUACAAUCAUCAAAAUAUUUAGUGUUUGUUUGGUAAUGUAAAGUCAUAGUUGUUGUGAAUUGAAAUUAUUUCUGUAAAAUAAAAGGAUUUGGGUCAUUGUUCGUUAUUUUUUGGCAAUAUUGCCUGGCUGUGACUAUUUAUUAAAUAUUAAAAAAAUAAAUUUAUAUUUAUUAAGUAUCAAAAAUAAAUAAACAACAAAAAUAAACGGAAAAAUUAUACAUUACGUAAAAUAAUAAGGACAAUAUCAAUAUUUCACACUCUAUAAUUGAGUGAUGUGUUAUCCAAUUGCAACACAUUUGUCCCAAACGGAGUCUUAAAUAUCAAAGUUAUUGCGAUGAUGACUUAUAAUCACCAAACUUGACAUACGGGUAAUCAUGCAUUAUAAGGUGUUGAUUUCUUACUAUCGGAACCUUAUAUUUCAUUUACAAAUAAAUAAAUGAUGUGACUUAACUGGUGGCGGGUCCUUUGUGCCAUUUGCGCAUUCCACUGAAUAGUUGAUUGUAGCAGAAACAUUCCUGGAGUUGCCAUUUGCCAAUGCUACUGACAUUUUCAAACUCGGAAAACCCUCCAAUCAAUCUUUUAGUGGUAGGCUUGGUAGCUUGGCUUGAUUAUGACAUAUGAUUAUUUGAUAAUAAAGUUAGAGGAUGUAUUAAUAUAAAAAUUAUUUAUCGGUGUUGAAAUUAUCUCAUUAAUAAUAGUAUGAAAAGUUAAUUCUUAAGAAAUACAUAAUAGUAGUUAAUUGGUGUAAUAUUAUUGAGAUUCUGGAAAUAAUUUUAUAUCAUAACUUUGUAGGUGUAUAAAUAUUACUCAUUAAAUUAAUAUAAUUAUUUUAAAAAAAUCAGUUGGAAAAAAUAAAUUAUAUUAUUUUUACUUCAAAUAAUCUUUAAAUUAACUCAAAAUAUAAUCAAGCUCAGAAUUAAAAAUUUAAACUAAUGCUACUAUAUCAGAGGAUUUUCUUUUUUUCUCCACUGAAUAGUUGAUUGUCGCAGAAACAUUCCUGGAGUUGCCAUUUGCCAAUGCUACUGACAUUUUCAAACUCGGAAAACCCACCCUCCAAUCAAUCUUUUAGUGGUAGGCUUGGUAGCUUGGCUUGAUUAUGACAUAUGAUUAUUUGAUAAUAAAGUUAGAGGAUGUAUUAAUAUAAAAAUUAUUUAUCGGUGUUGAAAUUAUCUCAUUAAUAAUAGUAUGAAAAGUUAAUUAUUAAGAAAUACAUAAUAGUAGUUAAUUGGUGUAAUAUUAUUGAGAUUCUGGAAAUAAUUUUAUAUCAUAACUUUGUAGGUGUAUAAUUACUCAUUAAAUUAAUAUAAUUAUUUAAAAAAAUUCAGUUGGAAAAAAUAAAUUAUAUUAUUUUUACUUCAAAUAAUCUUUAAAUUAACUCAAAAUAUAAUCAAGCUCAGAAUUAAAAAUUUAAACUAAUGCUACUAUAUCAGAGGAUUUUCUUUUUUUCUCCGAAGUUUCACUAGGAAAUUAUUGAUGUAUAGCUUUGUUGAGAAUUGAGAUCAUUUCAGUUCAGAAGACAAAUAAUUGAAAGACUAAACUAAAUAGACCGGCGAACAAAUUUGUACAUGAAAGUUAAAAAAUUAAGGUCAUGAGUUGGUAUUGCGGUUCUGUCUUGAGCAACUUUGCUGUCAUUGUUUAUUAUUUUUUGGUAAUAUUGCCUGGCGGUGACUGUUUAGUAAAUAUUAAGAAAUAAAUUUAUAUUUAUUAAGUAUAAAAAAUAAAUAAACAAACAAAAACACAAGGAAAAAUUUAUACUUUACGUAAAAUAAUAAGGACAAUAUCAAUACUUCACACUAUAAUUGAGUGAUGUGUGGCAUCUUAAUUGCCCAACUGCCACACAUUGGUUCCAAACGGAGACUUAAAUAUCAGAAAAAUUCCAAGUUAUUGCGAUGAUGACUUACAAUUGCCAAACUUGACAUAUGGGUAAUCAUGCAUUUCUUAUGAUCAUAACCUUAUUUUUCAUUCACAAAUAAAUAAAUGAUGUGACUUAACGGUUGACGGGGUCCUUUGUGCCAUUUUGGCAUUUCACUGAAUGGUUGAUUGUCGCAGGAAGAUUCCUGAAAGUUGCCAUUUUCCAAUGCUACUAACAUUUUCAAACUUGGAAAACCCUUUAAUCAAUCUCUUAGUAGUAGGCUGUGGUAGCUUGGUUUGAUUAUGAUUUAUAAUCAUUUGAUAAUAAAGCUAGAGGAUGUAUUAAGAUAAAAUUUAUUUAUUGGUGUUGAAGUUAAUUAUCUCAUUAAUAAUAGUAUAAAAGGUUAAUUAUUAAGAAACACAUAGCUGUAGUUAAUUGGUGUCAUAUUAUUGGAAUUCUGGGAUAUAAUUUUAUAUAAUAACUUUGUGAGUAUAUAAUUACUCAUUAAAUUAACAAACUUAUUUUAAAAUAUUUAGUUGGAAAAAAUAAAUUACAUUCUUUUUAUUUCAAAUAAUCUAUAAAUUAACUCAAAACAUAAUCAAGUUGAGAAUUAAAAUAAUGCUACUGUAUGAGAGGAUUUUUAUUUUUUCCCGAAGUUUCACUCGGAAAUUAUUGUUAUAUAGCUUUAUAUGCGAUCAUCCUCAGUUCAAACGACAAAUAAAUGAAAGACUAAGCUAAAUAGACCAGCCAACAACUUUGUAAAAUAGAGUUCGAAAAUUAAAUUAAGGUCAUGGUAGUGUUAUGUCUUGAAAAGUACAACGUAGUACUAAAAUAAAAACUAUUAGUCUUUGGUAAGAUAAUGACAUUUAAAUAAUAAUUUUCACAAAAAUACAAAGAAUAUUUAUAAAGUACUUCUAUAGUGAGGAGGCCCUCACUUUGUGAAAGUGAAAAUGUCGAUAAUAUACAAAAGCCAUAUAUUUUAACACAUUAAAAAUUGUAUUUUUUAUCUAUUGGUGUAUUAAAAUAUGUGUUACUUAGUUUGUUAGUGAUAUCAUCACUUUGUUAAAAUGAGGAUAUCGUCGCUAGAGAAUCAUUAUAUAUACAUAUCUAUAAAGUGCUUCUCUCCAAGACCUAGACUUUAUUAGAAUUUAAGAAAGCAAAUAUAUUUUAAAUGGUAUAAUAGUGUAAUAACAUCACACUAUUAUAUCAUAUAGAGUAAAAGUUUUUCGAACUUUAAUAAAGUUCAAGAUUAUAGAAUGAAUGAUUUAUAUAUAUAUAUUAUACAUUUUUUAUCAUAAAGUGGAGGACAAAAUUAACAUAUUUUUCAAAUUAUAAUAAGUAUUUAUCAAUAAUUUAACAUCAUAAUUUCUCCUAACUAGUAUAGUAAAUACAACCUAGGAGGUACAUUCAAAGCAUUUCAUAGGUUAGUUGUUCGCUCCAAAUUCAAUCACAGACAAGGAGCCUUUUUUGAGAAUAUUAAGCAUCAUCUUCAAAUGAAUUUUCAUGGCAAAGGUUUCAGGUCCAAAUUGUUGUUCCAGAUUAGUCCAAAGCUCAUGUGAGGUUUGAGAGUUUACCACAAGACUAAGGAUCUCGAUACUGAUGGAUGACAUUAACCAGCUCAACAACAAUUGAUCCUUUCUCUUCCAUGAAGUGAAUGCUAGAUUGAUCUGUGCUUUAGCUGUUGAAUCUUCAAUUUCAGUAAAAAGAAACUGAUUAGGACAUAGUUUUGAUCCAUCAAGUAGAUCUUCUAGUCCAUUGGCACGGACUUAAGACAAGAUUUGUAAUUUUCAGAUCAUUUAAUUCGACCGAUCCAGUUUGAUUGGUGAAGUGAAAGUAAACGAGGAAACAAAGAAGUUUGUAUUCUGAUUUGAGCUUGACGAAGCCAUUAGAAUUGAUAACUCAGGCUCUGAUACCAAGUUAAAGAUUCUAAUAUGUUUGGUAAGUAAGAAAAUGAGAGAAAAUGAAAGAAAGAACAGAGAUCAUCUAAGAGCUGGAUUUGAUGAAUAAACUUGAAUCAUACAUUCUUUAGCUGAUUACAAAUGUAUUUAUGCAAAAUUCCUGAACAUUUCAGAUUGUAUAUGCUUGACCUAAGCACCUGAGAGUUGAGCAGUGUGGACUGACAAACUGAUCACAAAAUAAGUAACUUAUGCCAGCUCAGCUAACACGUCAGUAACUCUAACUAUCUUGCUUAACAAACUGAAACAAUAACUAACCAUUUUAACUAUCUUAACAAUGCCAAUAAUUUCUUCAUUUGCGUAUUUCUUGAAUCAUAAUCAAAUGGGUAAAUUUUUCAACUAUUCUUUUAGAUAUUUUCACUUUGGGCUAUAAGGCCGGGGAAGUACGGGGGUCUGAGUUACUCAACUGAAAAUGUCGGCCAAGUUCUUGCCAUCUCAGGUGCAAAACUGAUACUUGUGUUCCCCAUUUAUACUUAUUACGAAACUGAUACUCGUUCCUCUUAACUUGUUUUCUCAUGCAUCAACUGUUGAGAAAAUGUGCUCUUUAAAAGCAUAUGUGUUUAUUUAAUUGUAAUGAAAAAAUGUGCUCUUUAAAACCAUAUGUGUUUAUUUAAUUGUAAUAAAUAUUUUUUCUGAUUAAUAAAAUAUAUGAGGUAUUUUAUUCAAGUAUAUUAAUUGCAUUGAUAUUUUGAGUAAAGUCCAUUUAAUCAUAUUAUAUGUAUUUAUGUGAUCACUAUGUGGAUUCACAAAAGACAUAAAUACAAGUUAUCUUAUGAUUAAAUAAAUUAUGUUCGCAGUUGAUAAAUAAAGUUGGACACUUUAUUUAGGUAUAGACUGUAAUAAAUUCAUUGAAUGAUUUGUCUUAAUCAUGUAUGAAUUUAUUGAUGUAGUGCGAUUACAUUGAAUAGGAUCACAUAUGAGAUUUAAUUAACUUUGUAAUAACUGUCAGACUUAUUAAAUCUCAUAGGCAUUGAUUUUACUGUAAUCUUAAUCUUGAGUUAGUUAUGAUUCCAUUAUUGUAAUUGUUAUUUCAUUUGAGUUACCAAUGGGCAUGACACAUACUUGUAUUCAAGAUUACCAGGUAUCUUGGUGAGAGCAAUUAUGAGUAUUGGAGUUAUAGAUUAACAAUAUAGAAUUUGUACAAUACAUCUCUUGAUGGGUUUUCGGUACUUGAUCAUAGAAUUCUCUGGCCAGAUUGUGUCGACAUAUUUAAUAUGUUGAAAAUGAUCAUUAGAGAAAAACCAGUAAGUAUCAAGGAACAAGAUGUAAUUAAAUUGAUUGGACAGUUGAGAUAUCGAUUUAAUUAAUGAUGUGGUACAAAUGAUUGAGCAGUCAAGAAAUCAUUGUGGUUUGGGACGAAUUAUUAUUCGAACAUACAAUUAGUGUGCGACCAGCAUUGGCCAGCGACAUGCGCUGCAUGCGCAGCGAGCUGCGCAGUCGAGUUUGGUUUGCUUUCGGUGAGGCGGCAGUGGUUAGCUCGGCAUCGGAGAUUGGUGGCAACUUUGAACAGCGGUUGAAGUUUGCGUUGAUGGCGGCUGGAGAAGAAGGGGAGAGAAAUAUAUGGAUUUAAGGCUUUAAUGGUUUUUAUCGUUGAGGUCUCUACGGUUUUACAAUUUUUCUUUCGGUCAGAUAAGGUUUAAUUUUUGCAUUUAAGUCCAACAACAGUUUUGGGCUUAAUGAAUCAUAAUUUUAGGCCCAAUUGAAAUUGGGUUUAAUGGAUUAAAAUGCAUAGAUAAAAUUGAAUAAAUUAAAUUUAUUUUUGGUCCAAACGUUUUAUUUAAAAAAGUUUAUUUAUUUAUUUAUUUCCUUUCAAAAUUAAAAUUGGACCAAUAAUAAAUUUAAAAGCCCAACUUCCUCUAGUCCAUUAACAAAGACAAGCCUAUGGAAGAUGGACAUUGACAAGAAGCCCAAUGAAGAUUAGGCUUAGGGUUAAUGUAUUUUUUUUAAUUUUAGGAAAGCCAUGAAUUCAGAUUAUUUAAUUAUUUUUCUAUAUGUUAUAUUUUGGAUGAUAACAUGCCAUGAUAACACGUCAUAUAGAAUAGGUAGUGCCACUCUAUGCAUAAUGAUACAUGAUGUUCAUUAAUUAUGAAUCUCAUUAUAUUGUUUGAAAAUUGAAUAUGCUUAAUAAUAUUGAAUAUCAUCUAGAUAAUAUUAUAGGAAGCAUGCAAUUAAAAAUAUUAUUUAUGUAUGUUUUAAAAAAAAACCAAUUUUUAAAUAUUGAGUGGGAGAGGGAAAAUUCAAGAUAAUUUUUCCCACGGGCUCCAUUGUUAGUUCAAUAAUAAAAUUAUAUAUAUACCUCGACUUCAUGAUACGGUGAUGCUCCCUUCGAAGGGUAUAUAUAUUAGAUAUUUUAUUUGAUGAACUUCUUCAAAGAUAAAAUUGAAAUAUUUUUCAAUCGAUUGUUCACCCCAACAGUGACUAUUGAUAUGAAAAAUACUUAGAUUGAAACAAUGGUUAUACACUCAACUAAAAUUUGUUAUUAACCUUCCCAACGAAGCUCUGUUAACAAAUUUAGGCCCAAAAGGAUAACAAUAAUUAUUUAUCAUGUCUCUACAUGAAAGUAAAUAAUCCAAUGGAUAAUUGGGUCUAGUAAGUGUAGACAUGACUUCCCCAACGGAUAGCUUGUCAAAGCGGUCCUAGAUUAUCGUUACAAUAAAUAAAAAUGCAGUUAUGGUUUUUUGCAUUUUUGUUAUUUAUUGUGAAUAUUAUAUCAAAUUAUUUAUGCAUGGAUGUUUUAUUUUUCAAAAAAAUGUCUUCCCUGAGCUCACUUACUAUUAUUCUGAGUCAAAACAAACUCACUGGAGAGAACUAUAUAGAUUGGAAAAAAAAAUAUAUUCAUUGUCCUGACUGCUGAAAAUUAUAAAUAUGUCUUAACCCAGCCAUGCCCUCUAGUUCCAGUGGAUGAUGCUCAUAGAAAUUAGAGGAGGCUUUAUGAGAAAUGGCAAAAGGCCAAUGAAAUGGCAAAAUGCUACAUUUUAGCCUCGAUUUCUAAUAUUUUGCAGACCAAACAUCAGAACUUGGAGACUUCCACUGAAAUAAUGGAUAGUCUCCAAGAGAUGUUCGGGCGGAAUACUCGCUCCGCGAGACAAGCAGCGCUGAAAGGCAUUAUGAACUGCAAAAUGGGGAAGGGCACAAGAGUUCGUGAUCAUGUCCUCAAAAUAAUGGACUAUUUGAAUGAGGCUGAGAUUCAGGGAGCACAAAUCGAUGAUAACUCAAAGAUUGACAUGGUGCUAGAAUCUCUGCCAAAAAAAUUUAAGGAGUUUAAGGUUAAUUAUAACAUGAACAAAAGAAACAUGACCUUAACUGAAUUGAUGAACGAACUCCAUUCUGCUGAAGAGAUCUAUUGCACUGAGAAAUCUCUAGGAAGCAUAAAGAUUGCUAACAAGGUUCUUCUUCUAGGCCCAAGCCGAAAGGCAAGGGUAAGAAGAAAGCUGGGAAAAAGAAACCGUCUACCAAGCAAGAUGGCAAGCCGAAAGGCAAAUGCUUCAAGUGUGGACAGAAAGGUCACUGGAACAAGGAUUGCCCUAAGAUUGUGAAAUCAGGAAUGAGAAAUCUUUUUGUAAUUGAGGUCUGUUUAGUUCAGAAUCCUAUUGACACUUGGGUGUUGGAUUCAUGAGCAACUAAUCAUAUUUUUAAUUCACUUUAUUGGUUUUAGGAAACUAGGAAAAUAAGUGAAGGAAGCGUCAAGCUGCAGUUAGGGACAAGACAGUUCGUGACAGUAGUGAAGACUGUAUCUAUUUUAUUAUCUUUUAAUAAUGAGAAUUUAGUUUUGAAUAUUUGUCUUUAUGUUCCAGACAUUAAGUGGAAUUUAAUUUCAAUAGCUUGUUUGUCAAAACAAGGGUACACUGUAAAUUUUGGAUCCUUUGUUUUUAUUUUUUAUAAUAAGAGACUUAUUUGUUCUGGAACAUGGGAAGAUAAUUUAUAUCAUUUAAGUCCUAUGAUCCAUUCUAUGCAUGACACAGUGAUCAAUAAUGAUGAGCAUACACAUUUAUCUAAGAAAAGAAAUAUUUCUUCCAACUAAUGUUACCUCUGGCAUUUGCGCUUGGGUCAUAUAAAGCAAAAUAGGAUACAGAGAAUGAUCAAAGAUGGGCUCUUGGGUCUAUUGGAAAAUGAAUCAUUGCCACUUUGUGAAUCCUGUUUAGAAGGGAAAAUGACCAAAAGACCGUUCUCGGCCAAAGGAGUGCAUGCAAUAGUACCACUUGAAUUGGUACAUACAGAUGUAUGUGGACUAAUCAAUAUACAAGCUUGAGGAGGUUAUGAGUAUUUCAUCACUUUCAUUGAUGAUUACUCAAGAUACGGUUAUGUUUAUCUGAUGCGUCACAAGUCUAAAACUCUUGAGAAAUUCAAAGAGUAUAGGGCUGAGACAGAAAAGCAAUUAGGUAAGAACAUAAAGCAACUUCGAUCUGAUCGAGGUGGUGAAUUUCUUUCUGGAGAUUUCAAAGAGUAUCUGGUAAAAAAUGGGAUUAUAUCUUAGUUAACUGCCCCAAGAACACCACAACAAAAUGGGGUAGCAGAAAAGAGAAAUAAAACUCUUUUAGAUAUGGUGAGAUCUUUACUUAGUUAUUUGUCAUUACCAAUCUCUUUUUGGGGACUAGCACUGGAAACUGCAGUUUACCUCUUGAACUUAGUUCCAUCUAAGUCAGUGCCUAAAACUGCAAUAGAAUUAUGGUAAGGUCACAAACCAAGUUUACGACAUGUCCAUAUUUGGGGAUCACCAACACAUGUGCUGAAACCAAAAGCAGAAAAAAUGGAUUCACGUUUUGAGGUUUGUAUGUUUGUGGGGUAUCUCAAAGGAACAAUAAGAGGUUUAUUUUAUAGUCCUUAAUAUAGAAAAGUGAUUGUGAGCACACAUUUCACUUCCCUCGAGGAAGACUAUAUGAAUAACUUCAAACCUAAGAGUAAGGUAAUACUUGAAGUACUGUCAGGUGAUCAGGUCUUUCAACACCUGUUAUAGAACAAGAAGAAGAACAACAACUAGCUGAUCAACACAGGAUUAUCCCUAAACAACCAUCACUUUUAGAACCUCGUCGUAGUGGGAGGGUAAGUAGGUUACCUGCGAGAUACAUGUUAUUGGGAGAAACUUAUACGACUAUCUCAGAUGAACAUGUACAAGAUCCCACUGGCUACAACGAAGCUCUAAUAAACAGAGAUGUUGAAUUCUGGAAAAAGGCCAUAAAUCAAGAAAUGGAAUCUAUGUAUUCCAAUAAAGUCUGGGAACUUGUAGAGGCACCAAAUGAGGUAAAACCUAUAGGGUGCAAGUGGAUCUAUAAGAGAAAAAGGGGAGUAGACGGAAGGGUGGAAACAUUCAAAGUAAGAUUAGUAGCCAAAGGUUUUACUCAGAAAGAGGGAAUCGAUUAUGAGGAAACAUUUUCUCCGAUUGCUAUGCUUAAAUCCAUUAGGAUUCUACUCCCUAUUGCUGCAGUACUAGAUUAUGAAAUUUGGCAAAUGGAUGUUAAGAUUGCCUUUCUUAACGGGCAUCUUGAAGAAGACAUCUACAUGCAGCAACUAGAUGGAUUCAUACAAAAAGGCCAAGAACACAUGGUAUACAAGUUGCAGAGAUCUAUUUAUGGAUUGAAGCAAGCAUCCCGGUCAUGGAACGCCAGAUUUGAUCAAGCGAUUAAAUCGUUUGGAUUCAUUCAGAACAUUGAUGAACCAUGUGUGUACAAGAAAAUUCAGGAAAAAUCUGUAGCCUUCCUAAUUCUUUAUGUAGAGGAUAUUCUCCUAAUUGGAAACGAUAUAGGAGUAUUGACUACAAUAAAAAGUUGGUUAGCAAAAUAAUUUGAUAUGAAAGACCUGGUAGAGGCAAGUUAUAUUCUUGGUAUCAAGUUACUAUGAGACAGGAAGAUUAAAACUUUAGCCUUGUCUCAAGCGGUCUUUAUCGAUAAAAUAUUGGCUAGAUUUAGCAUGGAAAAUUCCAAGACUGGUUUAUUACCAUUCAGACAUGAAAUUACAUUCUCUAAGGAUCAAUCAGCUAAAACAUAUGAAGAGAUAGAGAAAAUGAGACGAGUUCCGUGUGCAGAAGUUGUGGGAAGUCUCAUGUAUGCCGUGCUUUGCACUAGACCAGACAUCUGUUUUGCGGUAGGGAUGGUUAGCAAAUAUCAAUGUAAUCCUAGACCUGAACACUUGACUGCGGUCAAGCAUAUAAUAAAGUAUCUGAAAAGAACUAAAAAUUAUAUGCUUGUGUAUUCUGGUGAUGAACUCAUUCCAGUGAGUUAUACAGAUUCUGACUUUCUGUUAGAUAAGGAUUUCAGAAAAUCAACUUCUGGCUAUGUGUUUACAUUAGGAAGUGGAGCUAUUAGUUGGAGGAGUGUGAAACAAUCUUGUAUCGCAGACUCCACAACUGAAGCUGAAUAUGUGGCUGCAUCUGAAGCUGUAUGGCUCCACAAGUUCCUAUAAGAUCUUGAGGUGGUACCUGCUGUAACUGCACCCCUUAAACUAUUUUAUGAUAAUAGUGGUGUGGUAGCUCAAUCUAAGGAACCACAAGAAACAAAAACAUAUUGAGAGGAAGUAUCAUCUCAUAAGGGAUAUAGUGCAGAGAGGUGAUGUGGAGGUUACUCAGAUUGCGUCACAGCAAAACUUGGCAGAUCCUUUUACUAAGGCCAUACCUGGGAAACCUUUUAACUUGCACUUAGAAUCCAUGAGCAUGCGUGAGAUGCCAAAUAUGCUUUGAGAGUUAGUGGGAGAUUGUUGGGAAAAUGUGCUCUUUAAAAGCAUAUGUGUUAAUUUAAUUGUAAUAAAUAAUUUUUCUAAUUAAUAAAAUAUAUGAGGUAUUUUAUUCAAGUAUUUUAAUUGCAUUGAUAUUUUGAGUAAAGUCCAUUCAAUCCUAUUAUAUGUAUUUAUGUGAUCACUAUGUGGAUUCACAAAAGACAUAAAUACAAGUUAUCUUAUGAUUAAAUAAAUUAUGUUCGCAGUUGAUAAAUAAAGUUGGGCACUUUAUUUAGGUAUAGACUGUAAUAAAUUCAUUGAAUGAUUUGUCUUAAUCAUGUAUGAAUUUAUUGAUGUAGUGCGACUACAUUGAAUAGGUUUGGGACUACAUUGAUGUAGUCAAGAUUACCAGGUAUCUUGGUGAGAGCAAUUAUGAGUAUUGGAGUUAUAGAUUAACAAUAUAGAAUUUGUACAACACAUCUCUUGAUGGGUUUUCGGUACUUGAUCAUAGAAUUCUCUGGCCAGAUUAUGUCGACAUAUUUAAUAUGUUGAAAAUGAUCAUUAGAGAAAACCAGUAAGUAUCAAGGAAUAAGAUGUAAUUAAAUUGAUUGGACAGUUGAGAUAUCGAUUUAAUUAAUGAUGUGGUACAAAUGAUUGAGCAGUCAAGAAAUCAUUGUGGUUUGGGACGAAUUAUUAUUCGAACAUACAAUUAUGGAGGUUAGUUCCAAUCUUAUAGUGGGGUAGAGUUGGAAUUAAAUGAUUAGGCUUAUUUAACUACAAGCUUAAUUGUUGUAGCCACUAUUGUAUGUUCCAAAAUGAUCCCCGGGUUAGCUCAUUUAAUUGACUGCACCACUACUGGAUUAAUAAGCAAGAUAACUAGCUAUUUGGGUCAAAAGGCUAAAUAUAUCAUUUAGUGGGAGGCUCCAUUUAAUAUGCUUGUGUGUAAGGGACCUUAUGUUAUUUUACAAGGUGGACCCCCUAUAGAAAAAGCAAGUACCGUGGCUUUUGGUUUUUAUUAUUUGGAGCUAAGGAUUUUCACUAAAUGGAAAUAUAAAAAGGCUUAUUUUCUCUAAAGAAAAGAGAUAGAGCCACAUUAUACAGACCAAGAGAAAAAUAAUUUCUCUCUAAUUUUGAGAAAAAAUUUCUCCUGCUAGUUGCUUUUAGUGGUGAUAAAGGUGCCCACACGUUAAGUGCAGAUCAAACUUGAGUUAUAGCCUGGAAGGUUAUUUGAUGGCGGAUCGUGAUCUAAAAGGAGUGGUGGUGACGGAUCGUGAUCUGGGAGCCUAAAUCACUUCAGCGGAAAAAGCAAAAAUUGUUCAUCUUCUCGGAUUGUCAAGGUAUGAUUUUCUAGAUUAUGAAUUCCUAUAUAUUUUAUGAGAUUGGUCCUAAAAGUUUUUUAAAAAAAAUUUAAAAAACUGAUUUUUCCCCAACAUCAACCCCACAAAACUGCUUAUUGAUUGUCCUCAUUUUGAACUUACUAUAGGAUUCACCCUCCUUGUUUUACAACUUACUUUAUACCCUUACGUUGAGAGGAAGAUCAGGCCAAUAAUCAUAACACGCAUUGCAGGGGUAAAAUUUCGAACACACCAUGUGGCAUUUAGACCAUUUGAUAGUUUGUUUCAUACAUAUUUGUUUAUAAAAUACUUUUCUUCAUGGAUUUGGUGACGUAAUUUUCUAUGUAUGUACAGGUUUUAUCGAUACGUCUUUUGACAAGUUACACUUACAUAGCAAUGUUAUCUGUGUUCAGCCUUGCCUUAUUGAUACCUUAUUGAUAAACUGUGCUUCUGUGAUGAAGAAUGUUUUCUCUGUCAGUGGAUAUCCUAAUCAUUGAUCCAUAUACUUAGGUUAUAUUACCCAUUAGGAAGUAUGUAUAAAAAUUAUUUUAUAUCUUCUUUAUUAGAAAUGUUGUAAUUCUUUAUUACUUUUCCUGAAUUAUAACAUCAGAUGUCUAUAAUAACUGGAUUAUUCCUUCUGCAAAACAGAGCAGUGGUAAAUAUUUUUUUUCUUUUGUUUGUUUAGCACAUUUCCAUGAUUUCAGCUUUUUCAAAUUUUGUAUGUGUCAAAGUUUAAAUUUAAUUUGUUGGUUUAUCGUACAAUAACAGGAACAGCAUCAAAGAGGAGCUGCCAAUGGACUUGCUAUGACUGUAGUGUCGCUUACCAAAACUGCCGGUCCAGCUGUAGGAGGUGCUCUGUGAGUGUCCUAUUGAUUUUGUAAAAUUAUAUGUAAAUAAUGUUAUAAUUGUUUUUUCAUUAAUUGGGGUUCUGGCAGAUUUUCUUGGUCACAAAAGCGUCAAGAUGCUGGUUUCCUCCCAGGUAUGAUGAUUUACUGAUGAAAUUUCUGACGAGUUUGUGAAUUACUUUGUCCUAAUUAGCUUAGUUAGCUGCUUAAACUAAAGUGCAGGUAACCAGAUGAUUUUUUUCAUUCUGAAUUUGGUCGAGGCACUAGGAGUAAUAUUGACAUUCAAACCAUUUCUAACUCAACGUGUCCCGUGAGUAGAGAAAAGAUGCAUCUGUUGAAAUAUUCAAAUAUAUGUCAAGCAAAUUAAAGCUUUCAAAAUCUAUCAACAAUUUGAUUAUUUGAUGUGGUUUUCCACUUGCCGUAUUUUGUUUUGCUGUUCUAAAGGCUUAAAUAUGAAAAUGGUGGUUGGCGCUCACACCAAUCGAUUGCUGUUAACAUUGUUCAGUACUUUUCUCUGUCGACAUUUAUACUUGUUCAUUGUCAGAACUACGACAAUUUAUCUUUACAAUGAUGCAAGCUAGAAAGAAUUUUUCAUGUUAAGUAAAAUAUUGAAGCCACAAAGAGUCUGAAUUAAGUACUAAGUUUUCUGCCAUGCUUUCAACGGCAGCACAUUUGUAGCUCUUAUUCCAGGGGCUCCACAGUAGAGAGACCUGAUUUCGACCUUCUUCAGAACUUGGGGAUUCCGUAAUAACAGAGGACAACAGUUAUAUAAGAAUAUUAUUUUGUACAAUUUUCGUAUAACCUGACCAAUGCAAGUAUAAUUUUAUGAUCUUAACUCAUAUCAAAAGACCUUCAAUGAUGUAAAAUUUGCACAUAAAGAUGAGAACCAAACAUUAGAACUUAUGAUGAAACGGAAACAAAAACAUUGAGAUUGAAAAGAUAGAGAAACACAAGCUUUUUAAAAGGAAUAAAUGUUCAUUUAGUCUCUAUAUUUUGACUUAAGAGCGCAUUUAGUUCUUAUAUUUUAAAAAGUGCCUCAACCUCGAGUAGGGCUGGCAAAAAUCCCCACGGCGACGGGUACCCUUGGGGAUUUUCCCUAUUCGGGGAGGGUAUGGGGAUAAUUUCAUACCCAAUUUCUUAUUCAGGGAAGGAACGGGGAAAUUUUUUUACCCAAUUUCUUAUUUGGGGAGGGGACGGGGAUGAGGUGGAAUCCCCAUCCCCUACCCAUUUCCCCAUUUUAAUUUUUUAUUUUAUUUUUAUUUUUUAAAAUUACUAGUAAAUAAAUUAUAAAAUUUGAAUUAUAAAAUUAUAAAUAUUGGUAAAAAUAACAAAUAUCAAAAUAUUUAUAUUAUUAAACUUUUAGGCCUAAUUAACAAAUUAAAGUCCUAAAUUUUUAUUUAGGACAUUAAAAAGACCGGAUAUAUUCUAUUAGCCCAAAAAUUUUGUUUUAAUUUUAAUAUUCAUUAAAUAUUUUAAACUUAAAUCUAUUUAUUUAUUUAUUUUUAGAUGUUAUAAUUGCCCACAGCAAAUCACAAUUUUAAUAUCUAAUCUAAUCUAAUAUUUGCUCUUGAUUUGCUCGGACUUAACUAUUGUGCUGUAAAGGGAAUAGUCCACAUUUAUAAAGUGCCCACGCCACCAUUGAAAAAGUUAAUUUUGAAUCUAAAUUCGAUUUUAUCUGUAACAAUUUUGUAUUAGACUAUUAAUUUAUUCAUGAUAGUUUGUAUCCCUUGCAUGCUGCGUUACUUACUAAUUUAAUGUAUGUGACUUUUGUAAUAGAUAUUAAUGUAAGAUAUAUUUCGAACUUUACUUUUAUUUGAAUUUUUUUUAUUUUAAUAUGAUUAACUCAAAAUCGAAAAUAAAAAAAUGUAUUAGUUAUUCGGGGAUCGGGGAUCCUCUGUUAUUAUUCGGGGAGGGGAUGAGGAUUCUCUCAAGUAAUUCUGACGGGGACGGAGAGGGGAUGAGGACAUACGCAAAAUAUCGGGGAUGGGUACGGGGAGAUUGGUCCCCUCCCCUCCCCUCCCCUCCCCAUUGCCAUCCCUAACCUCAAGACACCCCUACUGUGUUGGAAUAAUAUUUUUGGGAAUAUCAAUGAAAAGAAAAAAAUGGUAAUUCAUCUAGCCAGCCUUAAACAAAAUAAAUAUUAAUAAAAACUUUUAUGUUAUUAUUUUAGUUUUAGGACUAAUUUCGUAAAUUAAAUUUUUUAUGCAUUUAUUAGUAAGAUUGCUUUAAGAAUAUUAAACAUUACUUUAAGAUGGCUGUUAUUAAUUUAUUUAUAAAGAAUUAUUAGCAAGAUUGUUGUAAAAGUACAAAAAAUACUGGUUAUUUCAUAUUGAUAUUUAUUGAUUAAUUUUCCAAUUAACUUUUUUAUAAAUAAAUAAAUUAAUUUAAGAAUAUUAUUGCCAAGAUAUUAUUGUAAAAGUAAAUAAAAUUUAAGGAAAAAUGUAACGUAUUUAAUAUCAAGGUAUAUUGAGGUAUUUUUUAAAAUAUAAAAACUAAACGAGCAUUGAAGUUAAAAUAUAGGUACCAGACGAGCAUUUUCUCUUUUAGAAAGUUUUAUAUUUUAUUAAUGAAAGUCUGAAUAACAAAAUUAAGGUUUUGGACUUCUUUUAAACUAAACUUAAAUAUCACAAAUUUACCAAAAUAAGUAAACCUAACAUAUUACUACAUAAUAACAUUCUCCUAACUGAAAUAAGAUAAAUGUUACUCAAAUUCUAUAUCUAGAAAAAAAAAGAUAAAAAUCCUGAAAACAAUAGGAAAAUAGAUCUUAAACUUGUAAAAUAAUAUGAAAUAAAUAUAAUUUUCAAUCGAACCACGAGACUAAUGCGGUGCUACAGUAUUAGAUUAGAUUCCCCUCGUCGCGAACUUCGAAAUGUAUAUUAUACACCCUAAAUAGAUACUUAUAGCUCAAGUUGUUACCCUAGAGAGAUACUCCACUCAUCCUACGCAACCAUCCGCUGCAUCAAAUUCGUUCCAAAAUUAAGAAUAAACCAGCUGAUGCAUUCCAAAUAAUUUAGAUGAAACGAUAAAAUAAACCUAGAGAUCAAAUAACAUGAAAUGAAAAAGAUAAUUACCUUGGACUGAAGCUCAUACAAAUUCAUUAUUUGACACCUGCAGCAAUUGUUGAAAUAAUAGUUAAUGAAAUAUAAAAUAAGACAAGUACAUAUUAAUGAAACACCACUGUGAAUCGAUAGCUAAGGACGGAGUAAAAUUUAAUUGUAAAUUAGGACAGUAGAGCAAGCAUCCAUAAACAUAACAUGAACGUAAUACAUCAAUUGAAAUAUCAUAGGAUAAAUUAGGACGUCAGAGAAAGAAAUAAGUAAAUAAAUCAGCAAAGGAAACAUGCAUAAACAAAUAAAAAAACAAAGACAAAAUAAGGAAGAGUUUGUGAUAAUUUUCUUCUAUGGUCAUUGAAGUCCAAAAACUAAUAAGGAUCGAGCAAUUGAACGGUUGCAAACUCAAUGGAACCUUAAAAAUGAACAGUGAAGGAAAAUGAAGAAAUCUGCAGGAAAUAAGGCGAUUGAGAGUGAAGAAUUAAUUACCACUGAGUAAAUGCGAAUGAAGAAUGGAGACAGAUCCUUCUUCGCCCCAUUGAAAAGUGAGAUUCAUAGAUUGUAUUGAAAUUGAGAGUUGAGAUCAAGAAGCGAUUCUUCUUCUCCGUAAUUUCCUUUUUCUUUUAAUGUUGUUAUUAUUAUUAUAUCUUUUUUGAUAUCUUUUUUGUUUUAAACGGUAUUGGCAUAUUCUAUUUAUUUAUGUUAAUUUUACAAUACCUCCCUUCAGAUUGCACAAAUUACAUAAAAAAAAAAAAAAGUGCUUUAUGUAUAAAACUUUCAAACAAAUUGGGCCAAAAUCUAACUUUACCAAGUUUAGAGUAAUUUUGGGCUCGACAUUCCAUUUCCGACAAACGAAUUUUCUUUAUCACCAAGGUAUGAUACUUUUCAUAUUUAUCCAACGGCUCGUCAAUGACAAUACCUUUGUAAAAAGUACUUAUUUUGAAUAGUAUAUUGUGGAAAUGUCUGGUCGGUAAUACAACUAUUUCUUAUAGUGUAAAAAUGAUACACUAAGCGUUCACAUUUUGAUGAGUAAAUUAAGGAUUUCAAGAUGAAGUACAUAAUUAGAUUAAUGCUAAGAAACUGAAGUUUGAUCGAUUGAAAAUGAAAAUAAUAAUGAAGGUAAUUAAGAAAAUGAACAAUAUAUGCAGAAGCGGUCCUUAUUAGGACUUCUAGAUUUUCUCUUGGGCUUUCCUUAUUAUUGUUAAAAAAUGAAACGAAGAACUUUGAGUUUAAAAAUCUGGCCCUGAUGCCUGGUAGCCCUCCAACAUAUGAAGCACCAGAUGUUUUGAUGAGAAAAUGACAAGACCAUUUAUCAAAUUUCUUGUGGAUAUAAAUACAUACACAUAGACGAGACCAACCUCCUCAAAUGAGAAUCAGAGUGAUUAAAAGACCUUGCAAUGAGACAAUGAUACACCAUCAAAUGUCAAAAUACAAUAGAAAUUCACGACAUAUAUAUAAUAAAAGACCUCUCAUUGAGUCAUAUAUAUUGAGAAAAAAAAAUGUUAUAAUACAUACACAGAGCUUAGUUAGAAUAAAAUGUCUUUGAACUUGCGAUGAUCAAACAAAGGAAACAGACAGGUUGUAACUCACACUAUCACAAGAAGAUCACGAAGAUGGAAAUGGGAACCCAUCAGAAUGGAAACUUUGAAUAGAGGAAAAAAGAAAAACGACCUUAUUCACAGAAGAAGAGUGACUUAAAUCUUCAUCAGUAUCCAGACAUUUUGCAAUCAUAGAGUAGAGAAAUUUUAACAGGAACAGCAGAGAAAAUAUUAUGAAUAUGCUAUAGACCAAUAUACUUGUUCAUAGCUGACGUUUGAUGGUUUAAGGAUUUGUUCUAGGAAUAAUGGGCUGAUUACUUUCUUUUUAUUUUUUUAUUUUUUAAUCCAAUGAAUGAUAUUCAGCUGUUAAUUAUGUGUUCAUAGGGAAGAACAUUUUCUAAGUACUUUCCUUGCCUUCUAACUUUCCGAAAAGCAAACCCAAUGAACAAACAGAGGACAAACUAAAAUAAAAGAACAGCAAUGAUGACAAUAAAUAAUUGGCAAAGAAAAAAAAGGAAAAAGUAUGCACGUUUUCAAGGAAUUAUAAAAUAUGAAGGCUUUUAAUGAAACUUAAUCAUAAAAAGUAUGCAAGGAAUUAUAAAAUUUUAGAAAACAAGGGGAGCUCUCAAAAAAAAAUGAAAAACUCAAAUUAAACUAGACUAAAAGACAUUCAAUUUUGCAAAAUCUGUCCAUAAAAGUCUGAAAGGAUCAUUAAAAUUGCAUUGCAAAUUUAACAGUAAACCGAGGGACCCAUUCUAAAUAAUUCAGAUGAAAUUGCGAAACAAGACAUGGGAUUAAAUAAAUGAAAUAAAAAUUAAUUACCAGUUGAGACUUUCUUCUAAAAAUUCGCAACUCCAAGUCAUAAGAAGCCUAUGAAAUUAGUCGUACUGCGUAGAGUAUGACGAUGACACCGCCAACAGUUGAAAGUAAAAUUCUUAUUCAUCAAUUUAAACUUACUUUAUAACAAAUAUCUUAUCUAUAUUGUAUUUAAGAAAUCAAAUUUUGUAAAAAUUUAUCAUGGGAGAUAGAGAGUAAUAUGUAUAUACGUACCUUCUCAGCAUGUAAUUGUUGUAUGGUUGUGUUUAGAUCAUUAUUAGCCCAGCGCCGUUGAUCCGCUGUCUCUCCAUAGCAGACGUUUACUCUUAGAGGCGUGAUUGAUUCUCCUGUAGUGAAAAUCUUCAUCUUGGGACAACCAAUCACCCACAAAUUUUGCAAAGAUGGCAAUUUGACGGUGUAAUUGGCAGAGCAGAAACAAUCUCUUCUUUUUCAACUCCAUCUUUGUCAUUUAUUACCACCUCUGUCAUUGCUCUGCAUCCAUAUAUUUCUAUUGCUACGAGUCGCACCAGAGUUUUUGCUGUGGAGGAUGUUACCAUGUGUAACAAUUUCUUGCAACCGAAAGCCACCACAGCUGUUAGGUUCUGAAAAGAUACCGAUGAUGAUGGCAAUAGAAUUAACAGACUUUGACAAUGAUAUGCUUUUAGAAUUUCAAGAUACUGAAAAAUGGGGCCAAGUUUGGAGUCUUGUUUGCACAGCUGCUUCAGAUGAUAGUGCCAGCGCAGCUCUAAUGUUUUUAUCAUUGCCAACUUUCCCGCAUGUUUCUCUAAGCUUCCUUCCUCCGAAAAUACCUCUUCGUGGAAUGAAAAUUGAAACAGUGAGAGCAUUUCAAGAUUGUGAAAUCUCUCAAGUACAUUCCAGAUUGGAAAACAAGCUGAGUUAUCUUCGGCAAUCUCUAGUUGUUUAAGACUGCCAAAAAGGUGUUGUGGGAAAUCGGCCUGCAAAAUCAUCUUCACGUCUUUUCCAUUCAAUGAUAGGUCCUUCAAGUUGGGUAAGAUCUGAUCAUCAUAAAUCAUAAUAACUAAUGAGGUCAAUUGAUGUUCUCUCAAAUGAUUUUGAGUAAUCCAAUCACAAGCAGUGACUUUAUAGUAUCUGUUUUAUAUUAAUUUUACCCCCCAAAAAAAAUUGAAUUAGUGAUAAAAUUCAUUAUAUGAUUUUUUUAUAUGUUAAUUUUAGAGGUAAAAAAGAAAUUAGGGAAAAAGAGUUGAUUUAUAUUUGCAUGAAAAUAUUUUAUUUCACAACAAUAAAUUAUUAAUUUAUUUUGUAAGUCGUUGUAUAAAGAAAAACUAAGGAUUCUUUACCUAAAAAAGUCCAUAUAAUUAUUAAUCUCCCACAUUGAUCCCUUAGUCAUGACUAGCAAAGAUUUUUAUGUAAUAAAAAUUUUCAAUUUAUUAAGUAUCAAUUUAUAAAUGUUUUGUUACAUUUUUCAAAGUCAAAAAUCGUCAAUGAGCUAUUGAAAAAAAUAUCUAGAAUAUGACUUCAUACCUUUUCCAACGGCAAUAAGGGCUGUUGUGCAGGAAUAUCAAGUUGAUUAUUCUCUUUAUUCUGCGAUAAAUCUGCAGCGAAUAUCUUUAAUUUGUCACAACGACACACUGCAAAAUUUUCUAGUGCUGGCCAUUCCGAAGUAUGCAUUCCUGGGUAUAAACAUCUAAGUUUUGGUAGACCUUGGAGAAUCAGAACGGUGAGCUGUGGAAAGACAAAAUAAGGGAUCACUUCAUCUGCUCUGUUUUCAGAAACGAUCUCCUGUAAAUCCUCACAGAAGCGUAUAUCUAAGUGCUGGAGCUGCUUGAGGUUUCCGAUCAUAGACGCUGAAAAUAUGAUUUAAUUAUUUUCCACGUAUGACAUCAAAAGAGAACGCAUGAUAGAAUAAAAUCUGUUAUAUAUAUAUAUAUAUAUAUGAAGAAAAUGUUAGCCUACUGUUGCGGACAGCCCAAUUCGCUAGCCCAAUUGCCCACAAUUUCGGGCUAGAGAGCCAACACAAGGCCAAGAGUGCUAGCUUGGCCCAAUUCCGGAAGGUUCUAGGCAACUCUAGCACAUGUGAACAUGUAAAUAUUCUAGAAUACUUUAUACAAUUCCAGCACAUGUAGAAUUCUCCAUAGAAUUCCAGCACAUGUAAAUAGCUAGGAAAUGGUAGAAUUCUCUAGAAUCUCUAGAGCUUGGCAAGCCUCCCCUAUAAAUAUGGGAUGACAUUAGGCAUUUGUAUCCAACAAGCAUUGUAAGCAACUCAAGCAUUGUAUUAUCUCUUUGUGCAAUACAAGUUUUCUUCUAUUGGCUCAAUUGCUCUCUCUCUCUUCUCUAGUUCGAGAAGCUCUAGGCUUACUUAGCAACAUUCGGCAAAGUUGUCUAAGUGCCGCACGGGUUAGCUGCGCAAAACACUCAUCCCGUGACAAGUGGUAUCAGAGUUAAGGUUUGCACGCACGCAAAUUAGCUCACGAGCAAUGGCCAACCCUUCGAAUCCAGCACAAGAGGGUGUUGUUGGUGUGGAUGUUCCACCGGAACCAAGCCGCGGCCGAGAGGGAGAACGCGCCCAAGGCAAGACUCGCGGCAAGUCCAAGGUCCCAUCCGUGGAUGCGUUGGAGCCUUGUGUGACUACUCUCGAAAUCGCAUUGUCCGCCGCUCAAGAUAGCCUCGAAGGAUUGGAGGAAAGAGUGGAUGGUCUCGAGGGGGAAUACGUCGAGUUCACGGUGGCCACAAAAGCUCUCAUCCAAGAGCAAGCGAACACUCUCAGAGGUGAGUUUCGUUCUUUCCAUGAUGAGUUGCUAAAACUUCGUAGUUUUGUUCAGGACGAACUACGCAAUGUCCGUGCGGAAGUGGAUGAAGUCCGCUCGGAUUGGGCAUGGCACAAGCGCACACUCUCCUCAAGUCCAGCUUCCGCAAACUCGAGUGAUGCGCGCUGCAUUGACGUGCCAAAGCCCGACACUUACGAUGGCACACGCAACGCCACAAUCGUGGACAAUUUUCUCUUUGGGCUUGAUCAAUACUUCGAUGCCAUGGGUGUCCGAGACGAGGCAUCGAAAGUGGGCACUGCACCCACCUAUCUUAGAGGCACUGCACAACUAUGGUGGCGUCACAAGCAUGGCGAGAUGGGCAAGGGCAUUUGCACCAUCGACACUUGGGCCGACUUCAAGCAAGAACUCCGAAAGCAGUUCGCCCCAAGCAAUGCGGAGAAGGAAGCGCGAGCGCGCUUACGUCGCCUCAAGCAAUCGAGUAGCAUUCAGGACUACAUCAACGAGUUCACUACCCUUAUGUUGGAGAUAAGCGACAUGUCCGACAAGGAUUCACUCUUCUACUUCCAAGAUGGCCUCAAGGAUUGGGCCAAGACCGAGCUUGAUAGGCGUGGUGUUCAAACACUUGACGACGCCAUUGCCGUUGCGGAGUCACUCACCGAGUACUCUACCCAAUCCAAGGACAAAAAGGCCAACCAAGGCAAAGGUGGGGGAGAGAGUCGCAAGGACAAGGGCAACAACCGCAAAGAUUGGGGGCAGAAAAAGCCGCCUAGCAACAAGAGCGGGCAAGGAAAAUCGGAGGGCAAGAAGGAAGUGCCAAAGCCGCGAAGCCCAUGCUUCAUAUGCAAUGGUCCUCAUUGGGUACGCGACUGUCCGGAGAAAAGGUCACUCAACGCUCUUGCUGCCCAACUCAAGAGCAACCCCACAAUGUCCGCGGAGGAACCCCAACUCAGCAUGGGUUCUCUCCAACGCCUCGGCGCACUCAAUCGCCAACAGCCCGCACUCGUCAAGAAAGGGCUCAUGUAUGUAAGCGCAAAGGUAAACGGUCAAUCCGUUCACGCGCUGCUAGACACGGGAGCGACGCACAACUUCGUGUCCAUAGACGAGGCCAAGCGCUUAGGCCUCAAGGCCACCAAGGAAGGAGGCACAAUGAAAGCGGUAAACUCACCCGCCAAGCCAAUUGCGGGGAUCGCACAAGGCGUGCACAUCACACUCGGUACGUGGAGCGGAAAGCUUGACUUCUCUAUUGUGCCCAUGGAGACUUCAAGAUGGUCCUCGGCAUGGAAUUCUUCGACCAAGUCCAUGCCUUCCCGCUGCCCGCUACAAACUCCCUAAGUAUCCUCGAUGGGAGCAAAGCAUGCAUGGUACCCACAGAGCGAGGCAAGUCCGAGGAGAAGACACUCUCCGCCAUGCAAUUCAAAAGGGCUUUCAAGAAGGACCCAAGCUUCUUGGUCUCCAUUCGGGAACUAAACGAGGAAGGAAAUAGCGGAACUUCGCCAAGCCAAGUCCCUCCGCGAGUUCAAGCCGUCCUCAAUGAGUACAAGGAUGUGAUGCCUCCAGAACUUCCGAAGAAGCUCCCACCUUGACGAGAGGUAGACCAUGCGAUCGAGCUGGAAUAAGGCGCGAAGCCACCAGCCUUGGAGCCCUAUCGCAUGGCGACCCCCGAAUUAGAGGAGUUGCGGAGACAACUCAAAGACUUGCUGGACGCAGGCUACAUUCGCCCCUCAAAGGCCCCAUUCGGUGCACCGGUCCUCUUCCAAAAGAAAAAGGAUGGAUCGCUACGGAUGUGCAUCGACUAUAGAGCACUCAACAAGAUCACCAUCAAGAACAAGUAUCUGAUUCCCUUGAUCGCGGACUUGUUCGACCAGCUUGGCAAAGCACGGUACUUCACCAAACUUGACUUGCGCUCCGGGUACUACCAAGUGCGCAUUGCCAAGGGAGACGAACCGAAGACAACAUGCACAACAAGGUAUGGGUCUUUCGAAUUCCUUGUAAUGCCUUUUGGCCUUACUAAUGCACCCACCACAUUUUGCACGCUCAUGAACAAGGUACUCCAACCAUUCCUCGAGCGCUUCGUGGUCGUGUACUUGGAUGACAUAGUGGUGUAUAGCACCACGCUCGAGGAUCAUGCCCAACACUUGCGACAAGUCCUCCAAGUACUUCGAGACAAUGAGCUCUUCCUCAAACUAGAGAAGUGCUCGUUUGCCCAACAAGAGGUGGAGUUCCUUGGCCACAAGAUUGCGGGCGGGAAGAUCAUGAUGGAGAAUGCUAAAGUAAAGGCCAUCCUCGAUUGGGAGCCUCCCUCGAAAGUGCCCGAGCUUCGCUCAUUCCUUGGGCUGGUGAACUACUACCGCCGCUUCAUUAAGGGCUAUUAAGCUAAGGCGGCACCCUUGACGGAUAUGCUCAAGAAAAACAGAACGUGGCAUUGGUCCGAAGAGUGCCAACGCGCAUUCGAGGAGUUGAAAAAGGCAAUUUCGGAGGAACCAGUCCUCGCCCUUCCGGACCACACAAAGCCCUUCGAAGUGCAAACGGAUGCCUCGGAUUUCACCAUAGGAGGAGUCCUCAUGCAAGAAGGCCACCCUAUAGCGUUCGAGAGUCGAAACCUAAAUGAUACCGAACGCCGUUACACGAUGCAAGAAAAGGAGAUGACCGCAAUCAUACAUUGCUUACGGGUGUGGCGACAUUACUUGCUUGGCUCGCACUUCACAAUCAUGACGGACAACGUGGCGACAAGCUACUUUCAAACUCAGAAGAAGUUGAGUCCGAAGCAAGCGCGGUGGCAAGAUUUCCUUGCGAAAUUUGAUUAUCGGCUCGAGUACAAACCGGGUAAAGCCAAUGUCGUUGCGGACGCUCUAAGCCGCAAGGCAGAAUUAGCAACACUUAGCAUGAGCCAACUGAAGUCCGACCUUGUCUCACGCAUCAAGGAAGGCCUCCAACAAGAUCAGCUAGCAAAGGAUUUGCUGGAGAAGGUGCUCGAGGGAAAGACAAGGCGAUUUUGGCAAGAAGAAGGCAUCCUCCUCACCAAGGGAGAUCGGCUGUUCGUGCCAAGGUGGGGAAACUUGCGGAAGGAAGUAAUCAAGGAAUGCCACGACUCCAAGUGGGCUGGUCACCCAGGAAUCGAGCGCACCAUCGCACUAGUCCAAGCCUCGUAUUUUUGGCCGCACAUGAGGGACGACAUCGAGGCAUAUGGAUCAUCAACUUCCAGCGGGAUUAUUGGAGCCGCUACCACUAGCAACAAGGCCAUGGGAAAGUGUCUCCAUGGACUUCAUCACAUCGCUGCCUAAGUCCAAAGGUUGCGGAAGCAUCAUGGUCGUUGUCGACCGAUACAGCAAGUACGCCACAUUCAUUGCCGCACCAGUUGAUUGCAAAGCGGACGAGACAACCCGCUUAUUUGUCAAGCACAUUAUGAAGCUUUGGGGAGUUCCGAAGAGCAUUGUGACUGACCGAGACCCUCGGUUCACUGGACGCUUUUGGACGAAGCUCUUCAAGAUGUUGGGGACCGAUCUUAAGUUCUCAAUAAGCUUCCACCCACAAACGGAUGGGCAGACCGAGCGCAUUAAUGGCCUCCUCGAGAUGUACUUGAGGCAUUAUGUGAGCGCUCACCAGCGGGAUUGGGCGAAGCUACUCGACGUCGCCCAAUUUUCUUAUAACUUGCAGCGAAGUGAGGCUACAGGCAAGAGUCCAUUCGAGAUCAUCAUGGGAUUCCAGCCCAUGACCCCCAAUGCCAUAGCCUCGACUUACGGAGGGAAAAGCCCUGCGGCACACAAGCUCGCCCGCGAAUGGCAUGAGGAAGCGGACAUCACGCGAGCCUAUCUCGACAAAGCCGCGAGGAAAAUGAAGAAAUGGGUGGAUACAAGGAGACGGCAUGUUGAGUACAAGGAAGGUGAUCAAGUCAUGAUUAAGCUCCUACCCCAACAAUUCAAGACUUUGCGGAAAGUUCACAAGGGGUUAGUGAGGUGCUACGAGGGACCCUUCCGAGUUGUUCGACGUGUGGGAAACGUCUCGUAUCAACUCCAACUUCCGCCAAGACUCAAGAUCCAUCCGGUCUUCCAUGUGAGCCUUCUCAAGCCAUAUCACGAAGACAUGGGAGAACCAAGUAGCGGAGAAUCGAGGCGCGUGCCAACUGCCGUUGUCACUGCGUUCGACAAAGAUGUGGACUACAUCAUUGCGGACCGCACGGUUUCGAGGAGGGGCGUGCCAGCACAUAGCGAGUACUUGGUGAAGUGGAAAAACCUCCCCGAGAGCGAAGCCACUUGGGAACGUGAAGAUGAUUUGUGGCAAUUCGCUGAGCACAUCCAGAAUUUCAAGCACGAGAGCGCGACGAGGACGCCGCGAGCUUAGGUGGGGGAGGAUGUUGCGGACAGCCCAAUUCGCUAGCCCAAUUGCCCACAAUUUCGGGCUAGAGAGCCAACACAAGGCCAAGAGUGCUAGCUUGGCCCAAUUCCGGAAGGUUCUAGGCAACUCUAGCACAUGUGAACAUGUAAAUAUUCUAGAAUACUUUAUACAAUUCCAGCACAUGUAGAAUUCUCCAUAGAAUUCCAACACAUGUAAAUAGCUAGGAAAUGGUAGAAUUCUCUAGAAUCUCUAGAGCUUGGCAAGCCUCCCCUAUAAAUAUGGGAUGGCAUUAGGCAUUUGUAUCCAACAAGUAUUGUAAGCAACUCAAGCAUUGUAUUCUCUCUUUGUGCAAUACAAGUUUUCUUCUAUUGGCUCAAUUGCUCUCUCUCUCUUCUCUAGUUCGAGAAGCUCUAGGCUUACUUAGCAACAUUCGGCAAAGUUGUCUAAGUGCCGCACGGGUUAGCUGCGCAAAACACUUAUCCCGUGACACUACACACCUUCUCGUUGAAAAGCAGAGUUGAAGUAUCCUCUUGCGAUGAUGGUCUGUUUGGUGAUGCUAAAGGAGUCUUUACUUCACGGCAGAGAUUUAUGAUAUUUUACAAUCAUGUAUUUAGAUUUACUUUAAUUUUAUGUUUAAAGCUUCUACAAUGAAUAGCGUAGCUUGGGCUUUAGUUUCAUUUUCUAAUUAACUUGUUUUAGUUUAUCUUAUAUGCUCGCCAAGUGCUUGUUAUAUUGUCUGAUAAGUUAUAUAACAUUGCUGAUUCUAUAUUAGUAAUGUCAUGUUCCAUUUUCGGAAAUUAUAACACAAAAGUUUUUACAAUGGCUUGCAUCUACAAACUGAAUUGACUUGUAGAGUAAGAGCUUGGAUUAGUGUUAUGUUCUUGAAUAAAUGAAAGUUCAUAUUGUGUAAGAGCAUGUAGAUAUAAAGCAUCACUACCAUUUCUACAAACUGCUUUCAUUCUGUUCAGAUGCUCCUCUUGAACUUUGAAAGGUGCCUCAUUCAAGUCCUAGCUAUAACUACUAGCUCUGAUUGCUUAAGUUCCUGUGCUAGCUGAAACAGAUUUAUUUAAUUAAUUAAUUGUGUAUGUACUAAUUAUAUUGAAAGUAUAUGAAGAAAUUGUUUAACAUGAAUGACUUCUAAAUGACUUAAAAGCCUAAAGGAUAUGUGAAAUAAUGCUCAUUUCACUUGAACGAGCCUAUUAAUACUUGUAUGUCUAUGAUUGUCAAUCUUGCUUAAGUGUUUCAGUUAAGUGGUUUACCUAACAGGGAAAAAAAUUUAAUGGAAAACUUUAGAGUUCUAACAGAAAUAUAGUUGACUGCAGAUAUAGUUAUUUUACGGUACAUAAAUCAUGUUGUCCUAUUCUCAAUGUCCUACGACCUAUUUUAUUUUAUAUGGUCAUUCAUUUUUGCGAUGGUUUUUUGUGCUUAUGAGUAUGGAAAUAGUGGGAUUUAGAGUGGCAAACAAAAAUAUACAUAUAAUCAAGUUUCUUAAUCAUAUAUAUUGGUUUUGGGUAUGAAUGUUUUCCUAUUCUAGUUCUAAGCAAAGUUUCUUCAUUUUGGUCUUCAGAUUUCCAGUAGGUUAAGUUAAGCAACUAUCAUAACUAGCUAGCUAGUUAUUGCCUGCCUUGUCGCCAUUACCGACGCCAUUACAUUGCAUGGCAUAAGGAAUAGUAACUAGGUGAUUAUUGGUGAUUCGUUGAGUUUAUUAUUGGCCAAACAAACAUAUUGGCCUUUACCCACAACUUAGUUUGAUUAGUUAUUAGAUAAUAAAGAGCCUUAAUCUAUGCAUUGCUUUAUUAUUUUUAUUUGGUUUUUCUUUCAACAAUAUUGUUGAUUUCUUAUAAACAGUACUAGUAGUGAAAAAAUGAUGACAACAACAAAAAUAGAAAAUUACAAGACUGCUGAUAAAAUUUCAUUUGCAUGCAUGUCUGACAAAAUUUCCGUGAUUUAAUGUGCUUUCAUGAACGCAAGUCCUAACGUUUCUGUGAUCACAAAAUGAAACUGAAGAUAAAACAGAACAACUACCAAACCUUUCAAGCUUGACGAAGCCAUGAGAAUUGAUAGCUCAGGCUCUGAUACCAAGUAAAAGUUUCUAAUCUGUUUGGUAAGUAAGAAAAUGAGAGAAAAUGAAAGAAAGAACAUAGAUCAUCUAAGAGCUGGAUUUGAUAAGUAAAUAUGAAUCAUCCAUUCAUUAGCUGAUUGCAAAUGUAUUUAUACAAGUGAUGGUUGUCGAAGCCAACAAAAAUAAAUUCCUACUAUAAAUAAAUUGUGUAUAGUGAUUGAGCAGGGUCGUGUCCACAGAGAUCGGUAAUUAUUUAAAUCCUUUUGAAACGUAAAACGUAAAAUGGGGGAAUUGUUGACAAUAAUAAAAAUCAAAUUAAAAUAACAAGAAUACAAAUUAAAGUUGUAAUUCAAAUUGGAGAAAGCUCUGGUUGAAGGAAUUAACUCAGCUUGAUUCGACUACUGAUCAUUGAUUCAAAUAUAGAUUAUUAUUACUUAUGAAUAGACCGGUUAUAGCUACUGAGACCCUCUAAUAGCCAAUCUCUCCUUAACUAGUCGAUAACCAAGGUAUGACCGUUGGUUAUUUCCCUAAUCAAUAGACAACCCUAGAUACGAUCAUAGGAUUUAAUCAAUUGACAACCUGAAAGACCAGAGAGACCCAAAUCCUAAUCAACACAUACGAUGAUUCAUUUAAAUUAGAUUGUUUAUUCUCAUAACACAACUCACUGCUAUGUUAUUCGUCACAAACAUUAAAAGCUUCAUACGAUGAAUCCUUUAAUUAACAAUAGAUUAAGUUGAUAAUUAAAUAGUGGCCAAUUACCUAAUUAACAAACAUAAUCAUGAAAAUAAUUCAGAGAAUAAACAAAUACCCAAAAAGUAAUAAAACAAUUAAAGUAUAAAAUAGAUCUCACAGUAGUGAUGAAUCAAAACUUCAUUAUCCUUCAACCAGAAAAAUAAGUUUAGUUCUUCAUAGAGAGAAGAGAAAAGUUUAGAUCUAGGGUUUCUCUCUUUUUCUCCAAUCCCCAUUUUUCACAAUAGAUUCCUCCCUUAAAUACUCUCUCUCUCUUCUCUUUUAGAAUUCUAUUUAAAAUAAAAUACUAAUAUCUGAAAUAUUAAAUUCGUAAUUACAAAAAUAACCAAAAAUACAAAACACGUUAAACUAAAAACUGCAGGUCCGCAGUUGACAGCACGUGCCCACGCCUUAUCAACAAAGUUCUUCUGACGCUCAUAAUUUCUCCAAGAGAACAAUCAUCCUUAAACAUCAUCUUGUAACUCAAUUUUAUCACCAAUCAAUAGAAUUGCACCUACAAAAGUAAAACACAAGUAAAUCACUAUUAUUAAGUGCAAAACAUCGAUAUUAAGGGAAGUAAACAAUGCAAAACUAGUGCAUAAAUUGCACUCUAACAACAAGGUUCCUGAACAUUUCAGAUUCUAUAUGCUCGAGCUAAGCACCUGAGAGUUGAGCAGUGUGCACUAACAAACUGCUAACAAAAUAACUAACUCAUGCCAGCUCAGCUAACACGUCAGUAACUCUAACUAUCUUGCUUAACAAACUGAAACAAUAACUAACCAUUUUAACUAUCUUAACAAUCCCAAUAAUUUCUCCAUUUGUGUACUUUUUUGAAUCAUAAUCAAAUGGAUAAAUGUUGCAACUAUUUUUUUAGAUAUUUUCACUUUAGGAUGUCAGCCCGAGGAAGUACGGGGGUCUGAGUUAUUCAACUGAAAAUGUCGGCCAAGUUCUUGCCAUCUCAAGUGCAAAACUGAAAAUGUUACUCGUUCUUCUUAACUUGUUUUCUCAUGCAUCAACCCCACAAAACUGCUCAUUGAAGGGGUAAAAUUUUGAACACACCAUGUGGCAUUUAGACCAUUUGAUAGUUUGUUUCAAACAUAUUUGUUUAUAAAAUACUUUUCUUCAUGGAUUUGGUUACGUAAUUGUCUAUGUAUGUACAGGUUUUAUCGAUACCUCUUUUGACAAGUUACAUAGCAAUGUUAUCUGGGUUCAGCCGUGCCUUAUUGAUAAACUGUGCUUCUGUAAUGAAGAAUGUUUUAUCUGUAAGUGGAUAUCCUAAUCGUUGAUCCAUAUCCAUAAGCAAGUAUGUAUAAAAUUAUUUUAUGUCUUUUUUAUUAGAAAUGUUGUAAUUCUUUUUUACUCUUCCUGAAUUAUAACAGCAGGUGUCUAUAAUAACUGGAUUGUUCCUUCUGCAAAACAGAGCAGUGGUAAAUAUUUUUUUCUUUUGUUUGUCUAGUACAUUUCCAUGAUUUCAGCUUUUUCAAAUUUUGUAUGUGUCAAAGUUUAAAUUUAAUUUGUUGGUUUAUGGCAACAACAGGAACAGAAUCAAAGAGGAGCUGCCAAUGGACUGCUAUGACUGUAGAGUCGCUUACCAAAACUGCUGGUUCAGCUGUAGGAGGUGCUAUGUAGGCGUCCUAUUGAUUUUGUAAAAUUAUAUGUAAAUGAUGUCAUAAUUUUUAUUGUCUCCCCCACCCCCUCUCCCCAAAAAAAAAAAUAUUAAAAAAUUAAAAAAUUAAAAACUAAGGCGUGAUUAAAUUGAUCAUUUGUUUGGUAACAACUUGAUUAAUCGGGUUCUGGCAGAUUUUCUUGGUCACAAAAAGCGUCAAGAUGCUGGUUUCCUCCCAGGUAUGAUGAUUUACUAAUGAAAUUUAUCACUAGUAUGUGAAUUACUUGGUGCUAAUUAACUUAAUCAGCUGCUUAAAUUAAAGUGCAGGUAACCUUAUUUUUUUUUCUUUUUACAAUAAUACUCUUGGAAUAAUAUUUCUGGGAAUAUUAAUGAAAAAAUGGUAAUUCAUCCAGCCAGCCUUAAACAAAAUAAAUAUUAAUAAAAACUUUUAUGUUAUUAUUUUAGUUUUAGGACUAAUUUCGUAAAUUAAAUUUUUUUAUGCAUUUAUUAGUAAGAUUGCUUUAAGAAUAUUAAACAUUACUUUAAGUUGGCUGAUAUUAAUUUAUUUAUAAAUAAUAUUAGCAAGAUUGUUGUAAAAGUACAAAAAAUACUAGUUAUUUCAUAUUGAUAUUUAUUGAUUAAUUUGGCAAUUAACUUUUUUAUAAAUAAAUUAAUUAAUUUAAGAAUAUUAUUGCCAAGAAAUUAUUGUAAAAGUAAAUAAAAUUUAAGGAAAAAAUGCAACGUAUUUAAUAUCAAGGUAUAUUGAGGUAUUUUUCAAAAUAUAAAGACUAAACAAGCACUGAAGUUAAAAUACAGAUACCAAAUGAGCAUUUUCUCUCUUAGAAAAUUUUAUAUUUUAUUAAUGAAAGUCUGAAUAACAAAAUUAGGGUUUUGGACUCCUUUUAAACUAAGCCUAAAUAUCACGAAUUUACCAAUAUAGUAAACCUAAAAUAUUACUGCAUAAUAACAUUCUCCUAACUGAAAUAAGAUAAAUGCUACUUAAAUUCUAUAUCUAAAUGAAAAAAAGAUAAAAAUCUUGAAAACAAUAGGAAAAUAGAACUUAAACUUGUAAACUAAUAUGAAAUAAAUAGAAUUCUCAAUCGAACCACGAGGCUACUGUGGUGCUACAGUAUUAGAUUAGAUUUCCCUCAUUGCUAACUUCAAACUGGUAUAUUAUACACCCUAUAUAGGUACUUAUAGCUCAAGUUAUUACCUUAGAGAGAUACCCUACGCAUCCUACACAACCAUCCACUGCAUCAAAGUCGUUCCAAAACAGUAGUUCACAGUUGGUACUGCACAUGAUGCUUGUUUCUCCUUUUGCAUCAACUUUUGUUGUUAACAUUAAUUUCAAUAGCAGCUCGUUAUGUAUGCAACAUUUCAAAAUUAAUCCAAAAAAACAAAAAUUAGUUCAGCUGACUAAAUUUGAAAGCAUGGAUUUGCUGUCGAUUAAAAAUCGUUUUCUAGGGAAAAUUUUUGGAUUGCAAUUCUCAUACAAUACAUAGAAUUAUCAUAAUCUAUAAAUUGUAUUUUUUCUUUUCUACGGUAGUAAGUCAAGAAUCCUUAGUGACAAUUUAAAUUGAAAAAAUAAAAUCAUAAAUAAGAAUUAUUUGAUAAGAAUUAAAAUAAUUGAUAAAUAUUUGAGAGGAACAAUUUUGGAAGACUCGAUCUAAUAGGAGGAGAAUUUGAAUUUUACAACCUUCCGUGAGGAAUCCAAAAUGCACAAUUUGAUGAAAAUUAAAUUUCAAUAGAAAUUGAAUUCCCAUAUAUUAGUGAAAACCAAACAACAGAAAAGUGAAAGGAAUUUGAAUUCAUUUCCUUCCUGUCUCAUCCCUCCAACUAAACACCAUCGAUACCCAAAGGUAUGGGAUUGGGAUUCCAUACUGAUCAGAAUGGGAUUUGUCCAUAUUAUUAGGACCAAUUUUAAAAGCAGUCGGAGUUUAAAAUUGAAAUUAAUCCCAAUUUUUUAUCAAUUUAUGCAUGAAUUUUUGUACGUUUACUUUGGUUUAUUAUUGUUACUUUUAGACAUUUUUAUUGGUUUGAUUUAGGGUCAUUUUGGUAAUCUUGUAAUUUUUAAAAUAGUUACAGUUAGUUAUGCUGUAGAAAUUGAUCAAUCAUGAAGAGAAUCAGCUGAACAUUUAGUAAAAUUUAUUUUUAAAAGUACUUUGUUUUAAAAGCAGUUGUAUGUGUUUCGUAAAUCUUAUUUUUAAACAGGUGCAAGAAUAUAAAUAACUAAAUUGGACAUAAUACUAAAUAAAAUUUAUUUACACAUUUACAAACAUGUAUAUAAAAUAUUUUUAUUAUGUACAUAUAAUUAUUGAUAACUAAAAUAAAUAUUUUAUAUUAUUAAAUUUUAUUCUUUAUUUUGUUAUCUCAAUAUAAUUGGUAAUAAUAAUAAUCUUUUAAAGUUAAUGAUUUUAUUUCUUAAUUAAUAAAGAUAAUUCUGGAUUUUUAUUAUAUAAUGAGGAUAUAUAUAUAUAUAUAUAGAAUUGGAUUAAGUAUAAAAGUGAUUUUCAAAAUCAAAUUUUGAAAAACUAUUCCUUCCAUACUUUUCAAAAUCCACUGUAUGAUGAGAUGAUUUUUCCAAAAAUAAUUACUAAAAAAUUAUAAAACACUAAAAAUUAGGUUUUAGUUUUUAAAAUCACUUUUGAGCUUCCCAAAAACAAUCCUAACGGGCCUUUAUUUGGGUGGUGUUGGAACUUGUAACUUUUGGAUCUUUUAGUUUUUAUUGGUUUGAUACAAGUGUUACACUAAAAAUUGAAUGCAUCUUAAACCCCAAACUUCUUCUUCUUCUUUUUUGAUUGCACAAAAUUAAAAACAAUAGUGAACGCAUUCUUUAAUAAACAAUAAGUAAUUACUAAAAUUGUGUUAAAGAAUUUAGUUGAAACAUAAAUUGAUUUCAAUGUUGUAUAUGCUAAAUUUCUUAAAAAUUUUCUUUCACAGUCUGCGGAAUAGUUUUAUUAGUAUUUUGAAUAAAUAAAAAUAAUUGAUUUAAUUUUUUAAAGAAAUUUAUUAGGUUCAUGUAAAUACGUUUUUGUUAUUUAAAAAGUGUACAAAGUAAAACUUAAUUUUUUAAAUUUAUUAGAUGAAUGGAUAAAAUAAUUGAGUGUUCAUAGUAAAUUUUAAAGUAUAGAUAGUCAGACCCUAAUAUUUUUAAUAAAUGGAAAUUUUUAAAAUAUGUUAAUGAGAAUUAAAAUGAUAAUUAAGGGAGGCAUUCGAGACAUUCAAGAUUGUUAGGAUAGGACAUGAUUGUGAGCGGUUUGAGAUUGGCCCUAAUUUUGAUCACAAAUAUAUAAGCAGGAUGAGUUUAUCCAUACUUACAUUCCAUUUGAUAAUUAAGAUGAGAGUGGAAUUGUCAAAUCCCAAAUUAUCCCGGACCAUUGCCACCAAAGGUACUCUCACUAAUAAUAUCUAAAGAAAAAUCUACAUCUAUUUCAUACUUUUUUUUUUAAACGGAAAGAGCCCUUAUGGGGCUUGAAAUGGUAUCCUAAAUAAUAUUCAGAAUAUCAGGCCAUGACUGGGUUUGUAACAAACAAAUAUUACAUAGUUGGGAUACGUAGUUGCUAGUGUCCCAAUUUAUGUAGUAUCUAUCAUUUAGUGCACAUAUAAAGUGUUUGGGAAAUGAAAUAGGGUGACCAAGAUAAGGUGUUUGCUCAUAUAUUAUCGUGCUCUCCUCAAAGUAAAAAGUGAAAAAAUAGUUGAUAGACUACUAGGAGUUUAUUUGGUCACCUCGACCAGGAUAUUAUUUGAUGAUCUCGAGCACAUCAUCUUGACUAAGAGAUUAUUUGGUCGCCUUGAGUAUAUCACCUCGACCAGGAGAUUAUUUGGUGACCUCGAGUAGAUCAUCUUGACCAGGAGGUUACUAGGAAGCACGACUCAGUCAAAACAAAUCUCACUUAUUUUCUUCGAAAUAUUGGGGACCAUAUUCUUAGUGGGCUGAAAAUUAGUGGUUUUCUUGAGAGUUUAGGUGAGAGGAUAAAAACCGCUAUAAUUUGCUCUAAAAAUCCUGGGAAAGGGGGGGAAAUAGGGAGAUUCUUUUUAUCUCUCUCUCUUUGGGUGACUGAACCCAUGGGAUCUUUUUCUCUCUACCACUGGGAAACUUCUCUUUCUCUCAUGAUUUAUUUUUCUUUAAGAUUGGUUAUUUUUUAUUCUUUUCCCAUAAAUUUACUUAAAAGCUUUUUGUUUAAAGUAUUCAUAAUUAAGCCGCGUGAAUUGUGGUACGGAUUUUUCCAAGUAGACCCAAAUCGCUGACUUGAGCAUCAGAGAAUUUUCUUUAAGAUUGAUUAUUGUUUCCAUAAAUUUGAACCAAGAAGGAUGACGCGAUAAAAUUUGUUUUUAUUGUAUGGUUGAUUUCAUAUCUCAUGCACUCAUUUCUUAAGAUAAUUAGAUUUCAUCUUUUGCAAAUGUGGAAAUAUCAAUUAUGAUCGAUCAAAACAAUCUCAAAACCUUUCAAUGAGACAUAUUUAUAAUACAAUAUUGUGAAAAUUACACCAAAAAUUUAAUUUAUGAUAUAUUAUUGUCCCACCAGCACACAAAAAUGAAUUCGUACAAAUCUAAAAUACUUAGCAAUUUUCAAAUAGAAUUUUAAAUUUAUUUCCAGUUAGAAAACUAUUCGCUGGACUCCGUAUUACUAGCCACCAUGGUAAGCCUAACCGGUUGCCGGCGAAUGGCGUAAAACACCAGCCAUCUUCUUCUUCAUCAUAUUCACCUUUCAUCUUUUGAGUUAAGCCUGUGAUUAUGAGUUUCUUCUCUUACUUAGCUUGUAAUUAUAGAUUUUGAUUCUUUUUAAUUCAUAUUGUAGCCGUUAUUGUCAAUUUUUGUCCCGCCAGCAAUAUUUUUUUAUUCCUACAAGUUGAAAAUGGAUUCAUUUGAAUUACUAUUGAAUUUAGCUUUAAUUUCAAUAUCCAUUCUAAUGUUUUGCUAUUAGAUUUACUUUAAUUUUAUGUUUAAAGCUUCUACAAUGAAUAGCGGAGCUUGGGUUUUAGUGUCAUUUUCUGUAACUUGUUUUAGUUUAUCUUGUACGCUCACCAAGUGCUUGUUAUAUUGUCUGAUAAGUUAUAUACAUUGCUGAUUCUAUAUUAAUAAUGUUAUGUUCUAUUUUCAGAAAUUAUAAUACAAAGUUUUUACAAUGGCGUGCAUCUACAAACUGAAUUGACUUGUAGAAUAAGAGCUUGGAGUAAAUGAAAGUUCAUAUUGUGUAAGAGCAUGUAGAUGUAAAGCGUCAUUACCAUUUCUAUAAAGGACUUUCAUUCUGUUCAGAUGCUCUUCUUGAACAUUGAAAGGUGCCUCGUUCAAGUCCUAGCUAUAACUACUAGCUUUGAUUAAUUAAGUUCCUAUACUAGCUGAAACAGAUUUAUUUAAUUAAUUAAUUGUGUAUGUACUGAUUAUAUUGAAAGUAUAUGAAUUUUUUUUUUUUUUAACAUGAAUGACUUAAAAACCUAAAGAAUAUGUGAAAUAAUGCUCAUUUCACCUGAAUGAGCCUAUUAAUACUUUUAUGUCUAUGAUUGUCAAUAUUGGCUUAAGCAUUUCAGUUAAGUGGUUUACCUAAUAGAGAAAAAAAUUUAAUAGAAAACUUCAGAGUUCUAACAGAAAUAUAGUUCACUAUGCAGAUAUAGUUAUUUUACGGUAUACAAAUCAAGUUGUCCUAAUCUCAAUGUCCUAUGACCGAUUUUAUUUUAUAUAGUCAUUAAUUUUUGCCAUGGUUUUUUGUGUUUAUGAGUUUGAAAUAGUGGGAUUUGGUGUACCUUAUCAUCUUUUGAAAAUUCUCUUUAAGUGUGGCCAACAGAAAUAUACAUAUAAUCAAGUUUCUUAAUCCUGUAUAUUAGUUUUGGGUAUGAAUGUUCCUAUUCUAGUUCUAGGCAAAGCUUCUUUGUUUUGGUCUUCAGAUUUCCAGUAGGUUAAGUUAAUCAACUAUCAUAACUGGCUAGCUAGUUAUUGUCUGCCUUGGCGCCAUUACCCAGGCCAUUAUAUUGCAUAGCAUAAGGAAUAGUGAUUAGGUGAUUAUUAGUGAUUUGUUGAGCUUAUUAUUGACCAAACAAAUGUAUUUGCCUUUGCCCACAACUUAGUUUGAUUAGUUAUUAGACCAUAAAGAGCCUUGAUCUAUUCAUUGGCUUUAUUAUUUUUAUUUGGUUUUUCUUUCAACAAUAUUGUUGAUUUCUUAUAAAAAUAUUCAUUGGUUUUUAAACACCUAAUCAUUGGCUAUAUGAAGCUAAUUAAAACUGAGGCUUUGGAUCAAUUUCUUCUAACAAGAUACAAAUGAGCAAAACCUUUCUCCUCUAAGUAAAUUUUUUUAAUAUCCCUUGAUUUGUAAGGAUCUGGAGGCCUGAAUCCUCUUGAUUUUUUUUAACACUGUCAUUGUUCUUUUUAUUCUGAGAAGGAAAUAAAAGGUUUUAUCUUUCAUACCCGAAUAGUAAGCUGGCCUUGUCUUAACAUGGCCUCCCGAGGACUUGCAAGAUUCAUAGUGCCCCCCACCCCAAAAAAAAAAUCAAAAACACAAAUAGGAAGAUUUUGCAAGAUUCACCACCAGGUUUUUUUUUAAUUUAUUAAUUGUGUGUACGUGCUAGUUAUAUGUUGAAAGAAUAGGAAGAAGUAUUUCAACAUGAAUGACUUAAAACUUAUUGCUCAGUAAAUAUAAUCUGCAUCAGUGCGAAAAUGUAUUUAUCGUUUGUAUUUUUUAUGGUUUUGCUAAAGAAAUGAUAUGUGAAAUAAUGCUACAUUGCAUCAGGAAUAAAUUGAAGAGAUUUAUGAUAUUUAUGUGUUAUUCAAAUUUCAGAUUCAAUUUUAAACUUUUGAUACAUGCAUUGAAAGCUUAGACUUGUUUAAGAAAUUAUUAAUAGACACAUGUUUUAUUAGUUUCAUCUUUGGAUGAUAGUGAGGAUCAUAUGUCUAUUAAUAAUUCUUGAAUUGUCCAGGCUUGGACAGUUUGGGAAUGCAUAGUUCACUCUGGUAGCUAGUAGCUGAAGUUUUUUCCCACGUAAAAAUGGGUUUUUCGGUAGCUGCUCCUCGUGUUCUCUGGGUACGUACUAGGUGAAUGGGUGUCAUGUGUUGUUUUGGCAUAACGCAUAAACACUUAUAUAGCUAUGUCGUGUGCUUGGAGAAUUAUAGGGAGAUGGUGCCGAAAUUUUUAUAAACGUGGAAGAAAACUUUAGGUACUUGAGAUUGAAGAAACUUAUGCAUUCUUGAGUGGGAUAUGUAGGAUUACUUACCUUCUGUAAAUAUGAAGGGAAUGUUGGAUAUAUUGGGGAUAGUGUAGGAGCUGAGUUGGAUGAAUGUAAUUGGUGAUGAUUUUGCUGAGCUGACCUUGGUUUUGAGCUUGUAAUUUUGUUUGUAAAUGGAGUGCUAUCACCAAUGUUGGUUUAUAAAAAUGUUUCAGGACUUGCUGACCUAAUUUUUUGUUUCUAGGUUACAGGCUUUAUAUAUCUGUAAUUGAUAGCCAAGUGAAGUUCUCAGCGCUUGGCGAGGAUAUUUCUUUACAGAAGGUAUUGGAAACUGUUUUUUACAUUAAUUAUCGUUGUUUAUAUACUUUGAUUGUCACAUCUUUUUCUCUGAUUCUUGUGGCUUUGCUUGCUUUCAUAUAUGUAAAUUCUAAUGAAAUUAACCAUAAAAUUGUAAAAUGAUCUUUUUAUUAUAUUGCAAAACUGUGCACACACGAAAAUAUGUUGUUUAGUAGUAGAAAUGAAGAACUAAUUUUUGUAGCGCAUUAAAAGGAGAUAGUCAUGGACAAGUGUUGGGUUGGUUUGCCAAAUAGAUAUCCAAGUCAUAUACUGAUGGCGUUGAAAAAUUUAUAGAUUUUGUAUUUGAGAAUGUUGUUGGUGGUACAAGAAUUUAUUGUCCUUCUUGAUAAGUGUUGUAAUCUAUAUUUCGUUAUAAGGGAAGUGGCUGAUGAUGAUAUGGUUGGAAUGAUACACUGCAUCACGUAAUCAAAUGUUCAAGUUACACGCAGCAUUGUUAUGAACUAUCAGUGGCAACUUGUCUGGGUGGAGUAUUAAAGGUAAAUGAGCAUGUCUUAUUUGCCAACAAAGCACUAGAUCUAAUUGGUUGAUACAGAAUUACAUAGUAGAAAAUUUUGUCACGUGGGUCACCGUCGAUUUUGCCCAACAAAUCAUAGGUUUCGAAAAUAUAGUGUCUUUUGAUAAAACUAGAGAGUAGGGACCAGCACCUUCUCGGUUGUCUGGAACUGAAGUGAAAAAGCAGUUUAAUAUAGUUACUGAGUAUAAGAUUGAAGACUUGAAAAGAGGAGAACGAAUAAAAUGAGAGAAAUGAUAAAAUUACUUGGAAGAAGAACAGCAUUUCUUAAGAUUACUUGGAAGAGAAAUGAUGUGGAAGAUGGCUAUAAAAUAUAAAAGGAAAGGCUUAAAAAGAAAAGCCAUGCCUGUCAAAAACAAAAAACAAUGGCAGCGUCAAAUUUAUAACAAAAAUCAAAACGGUGCGUUUGAGAGUGUAUAAAAUACAUUUAGAGUGGGAGUUGUGUUGUUGCUUGAAGGCAGAAUGUUUGUGAGAUAUUUGUCGACGAAGCCGAAACCAAAGAUGAAGCCCAUCAAAAGUAUUUAUAGUGUAAAAAGUAUAUUGUGGAAAUGUCUGGUCGGUAAUACAACUAUUUCUUAUAGUGUAAAUGAUACACUAAUUUGAAUUUAUAUGCUUUUAUGAUUAUUUUAUUAUCAAGUGGUGAUCAUAUGUGAUGAUAAACUUAGGUAGUACCUUUAUAUUUAUUGCCUUAGUUUUCUAAGCGUUCACAUUUUGAUGAGUAAAUUAAGGAUUUCUAGAUGAAGUACAUAAUUAGAUUAAUGCUAAGGAACUGAAGUUUGAUCAACUGAAAACGAAAAUCAUAAUGAAGGUAAUUAAGAAAAUGAACAAUGCAGAAGCGGUCCUUAUUAGGACUUCUAGAUUUUCUCUUGGGCUUCCUUAUUAUUGUUAAAAAAUGACACGAAUAACUGAGUUUAAAAAUCUGGCCCUGAUGCCUGGUAGCCCUCCAACAUAUGAAGCACUAGAUGUUUUAAUGAGAAAAUGACAAGACCAUUUAUCAAAUUUCUUGUGGAUAUAAAUACAUACACAUAGACGAGACCAACCUCCUCAACUGAGAAUCAGAGUGAUUACAAGACCUUGCAAUGGGACGAUAACACACCAUCAAAUCUCAAAAUACAAUAGAAAUUCAUGACAUAUGUAUAAUAAAAGACCUCUCAUUGAGUCAUAUAUAUUGAGAAUAAAAAUGUUAUAAUACAUACAAAGAGCUUAGCUAGAAUAAAAUGUCUUGGAACUUGCGAUGAUCAAACAAGGGAAACAGACAGGUUGUAACUCACACUAUCACAGAUGUAGCGACACGAUGCAGUGAAUCACAAGAAGAUCACGAAGAUGGAAACGGGAACCCCUCAGAAUGUAAACUUUGAAUAGAGAAAAAAAGAAAAACGACCUUAUUUCAAAUUGUGCACAGAAGAAGAGUGACUUAAAUCUUCAUCAGUAUCCAGGCAUUCUGCAAUCAUAAAGUAGAGAAAUUUUAACAGGAACAACAGAGAAAAUAUUAUGAAUAUGCUAUAGACCAAUAUACUUGUUCAUAUCUAACGUUUGAUGGUCUAAGGAUUUGUUCUAGGAAUAAUGGGAUGAUUACUUUUUUUUUUUUUUUAAUUUUUGUUAAUCCAAUGAAUGAUAUUCAGCUGUUAAUUAUGUGUUCAUAGGGAAGAACAUUUUCUAAGUACUUUCCUUGCCUUCUAACUUUCCGAAAAGCAAACCCAAUGAACAAACAGAGCACAAACUAAAAUAAAAGAACAGCAAUGAUGAGAAUAAAUAACUGGCAAAGAAAUAAUGGAAAAAGUAUGCACGUUUUCAAGGAAUUAUAAAAUACGAAGGCUUUUAAUGAAAUUUUAUCAUAAAAAGUAUGCAAGGAGUUAUAAAAUUUUAGAAGACGAGGGGAGCUCGCAAAAAAAAAAGAAGAAAAAGACUCAAAUUAAACUAGACUAAAAAGACAUUCAAUUAUGCAAAAUCUGUCCAUAAAAGUCUGAAAGGAUCAUUAAAAUUGCAUUGCAAAUUUAACAGUAAACCGAGGGACCCAUUCUAAAUAAUUCAGAUGAAAUUGCGAAACAAGCCAUGGGAUUAAAUAAAUGAAAUAAAAAUUAAUUACCAGUUGAGACUUUCUUCUAAAAAUUCGCAACUCCAAGUCAUAAGAAGACUAUGAAAUUAGUCGUACUGCGUAGAGUAUGACGACGACACCGCCAACAGCUGAAAAUAACAUUCUUAUUCAUCAAUUUAAACUUUUACUUUAUAACAAAUAUCUUAUCGAUAUUUUAUUUAAAAAAAGCAAAUUUUGUAAAAUUUUUCCAUGGGAGAUAGAGAGUAACAUGUAUAUCCGUACCUUCUCAGCAUGUAAUUGUUGUAUGGUCCUGUUAAGAUCAUUAUUAGCCCAACGCCGUUGAUUCGAUGUCGCUCCACACCAGACAUUUACUCUUGGAGGCGUGCUUGAAUCUCCUGUAGUGAAAGUCUUCAUCUUGGGACAACCAAUCACUUCCAGAUAUUCCAAAGAUGGGAAUUCAAAGGUGUAGUUGGCAGAGCAGAAACUUGUGAGACUUUCUAAAUCACGCAGGCCCAACGCCUUCAAUUUGCGGAAAACAAUCUCUUCUUUUUCAACUCCAUCUUUGUCAUUUAUUACCACCUCUGUCAUUGCUCUGCAUCUACAUAUUUCUAUUGCUACGAGUUGCACUAGAGUUUUUGCUGUGGAGGAUGUUACCAAGUGCAUCAAUCCCUUGCAACCGAAAGCUAAAAGUUUUGUUAGGUUCCGAAAAGAUACCGAUGAUGAUGGCAACAGAAUUAACAGACUUUGACAAUUAUAUACUCUUAGAAUUUCAAGAUACUGAAAAAUGGGGCCAUGUUUGGAAUCUUGUUUGCACAGCUGCUUCAGAUGAUAGGGCCGGUACAGCUUUAAUUCUUUUAUCAUUGCCAACUUCCCCACAUGUUUCUCUAAGCAUCCUUCCAUCGAAAAUACGUCUUCGUCGAAUGAAAAAAAAGACAGUGUGAGUAUUUCGAGAUUGUGAAAUCUCUCCAGUACGUUCCAGAUUGGAAAACAAGCUGAGUCAUCUGCAGCAAUAUCUAGUUUUCUAAGACUGCCAAAAAGGUGUUGUGGGAAAUCGGCCUGCAAAAUUAUCUUCAUGUCUUUUCCGCUUAGUGAUAGUUCCGUCAAGUUGGGUAAGAUCUGAUCAUCAUCAAUCAUAAUAACUAAUGAGGUCAAUUGAUGUUCUCUCAAAUGAUUUUGAGUAAUCCAAUCACAUGCAGUGACUUUAUAGUAUUUGUUUUAUAUUAUACUUUACCCAAAAAAAAAUUGAAUUAUUGAUAAAAUUUAUUAAAUGAUUUUUUAUAUGUUAAUUUUAGAGGUAAAAAAGAAAUUAGAGAAAAAAACGAAAUUAUAUUGCACGAUAAUAAAUUACUAAUUUAUUUUGUAAGUUCUUCUAUAGGAAAGACUAAGGAUUCUUUUACAAAUGUUAUACCUAAAAAAGUUCAUAUAAUUAUUAAUCUAUCACAUUAAUCCCUUAGUCUAGACUAGCAAAGAUUAUUGUAUAAUAAAAGUUUUUAAUUUAUUGAGUAUUAAUUUAUCAAUGCUUUGUUAUAUUUUUCAAAGUUAAAAAAAAAAAUGCUAUUGAUAAAAAAUCUAGAAAAUGGCUUCAUACCUUUUCCAACGGCAAUAGGGGCUGUUGUGCAGGAAUACCAAGUUGAUCAUUCUCAUUAUUCGGCGAUAAAUCUGCAGCGAAUAUCUUUAAUUUGUCACAACGAUACACUAAAAGAAUUUCUAGUGCGGGCCAUUCCGAAGUAUGCAUUCCAGGGUACAAACAUCUAAGUUUUGGUAGACGUUGGAGUCUCAGAGUGGUGAGCUGUGGAAAGACAAAAUAGGGGAUCACUUGAUCUGCUCUGUUUUCAGAAAUGAUCUCCCGUAAAUCCUCACAGUGGCGUAUAUCCAGGUGUUGGAGCUGCUUAAGGCUUCCGAUCAUAGACGCUGAAAAUAUGUAUUUUAAUUUGUGACAACGCCACACAAUCAAUCGUGUUAAACUCUGAAAGCGAGGAAACAUGACCGGAAGAUGAUUGUAGUGCCAAAUCUUGUCGACAUUAAUAUCAGUUAUCUCCAAAGCCUCCAAGUUAGGCAACGCAACCUAAAAAAAUAAGAAUUUCUCAUUAGAUCCAAUAUCCAUAUGGGAAGCACUUGUUGAAAUUUUCUUCUUUGAUUACAAAUUAAUGCAAGUCAGAAUCAAUUUCCAACUGACUGCUGAGUUUGAUGCAUUCUAAUUCAUACAACUUUUUAAGAGCUCAAUUAGUGAGCGUGUGAGAUUCUUUUUAUCCUUUUUUCCAUUUUCCUUCAAUUCUUUAAAUGAUUUAAUUAUUUUCCACGUACGACAUCAAAAGAGAACGUUAUAUAUGAAUAAAAUCUGUUAUAUAUGAAGAAAAUGUUAGCCUACGCACCUUCUCGUUGAAAAGCAGAGUUGAAGUAUCCAAAGUGAUUUCGCUGGAGCAAUACGUAGUCGUCGAUUCCUCUUGCGACGCUGGUCUGUUCGGUGAUGCUGAAGGAGUCUUUACUUCACGGCAGAAAUUUGUAACCUCUGGAAGAUUCCCCAGACUCAAAGAUCUUAAUUGAGCAAACUCUAUCUUCUCAAUUGCAUUAUGAUCAACUUCUUCCCCAAUUGAAAAAAUUUCUUUCAUCUUGCUGCAAUUAAUAACUGCAAUUCUCUCAAGUCUUGGAAGGCAUUUUGUAGUGGAGAGCCAAAAGAUAUUGCUUAACUUAUCACAAUUAUAUGCUUCUACGGUUUUGAGUUUGUUGAAAGACUCUACUUUGAGCCGAUCAAUACAUAUCCUCUCCAUGUUGAUCAAAUUGUGAAGGAUAAGUGACUCCAAAAGAGGAAAGGCACCACAAGCGACCAUCGCCCUUGAAUCGACGAUACAAAAGAAGUCAGGAUUAUUUUGAACGCAGAGGACCUUCAAUUGUGAAAAGCCCUCCGUGUCCAAAUUGAAAAGAACAUUCUCGAUGCCUUGCAGCUUGUCCAACCAUAAGCAUUCAACGUUAUUGAUGCCCUGCAAUUUCAAGGAGCAAAUGUCCAUAAAAUCAAGCUUGAGCUUCAAUGCUCUGGAAAUCUUACGAUCUCUGUCGAUCAAAAAGUGCUGCCGACUUUUAAACCAAUUUUGUCCAGCAAUCAUGGGAUGCAUGAAUGACCCAUUUCCAAUAGAUAUUUUGAACCUUUCGAGCUCUCUGGCCAAAAAGCUUUUUGGUAACAUACUCUCAUUUUUAACAUCAAUUUCUAGAGUGGUUAGCCGACGUAAAUGCAUCAAUUCGUCAAGGCUAGCAUUACUUCUUUUGCUGUUGGCUAUUUCAACCUCCCAUUCAAUGGAGCAAUUAUACAUAUACAAUUCUUCUAAUCGGAUUAAGCUUGAUAUGACAUUUGGAGCAAUAACUUUUAGAUGGAAACAGUCUGUUAAAUCUAACAGCCUUAGCUUAGUCAGUUGACCCAGUGCUUUAGGCAUAUCAGAUUGCAAAAAGCUGAGGAUUUCUAGAUUUUCCAACUUUCCAAUAAUAGCUAUGUCUAUGCCUCCCAAAAUGCUUUGAUUAAGACAGAGUGUCUGAAGAUUUACUAGAAGACCAAUUGAAGAUGGCAAUGACAAUAACCGCAUUCUAGUCAAAUCCAAAACCCGAAGCUUUUUCGUCCUUUUGAAGAAGUUCUCAGGAAUAUUAGGCACAGCAAAAGAGUUCUUGGGAGACAUGACUAGAAGUUCAAGUUGUAGAGAUUCGGACCCUUCAGGAAUGUCAUUAAUAGUACUAUCUUUUAAAGAAAUUGCAAGAUAUUUUUUUAAUUCAUCUGCAUUUGGCCAUUUCCAAUCAUCCUCAUUUCUCACCACAAAUCCAAUUUUGUCACGACAUGCAAUUGAAAUGGCAACAUCGCGAACAACGUCGUGCAUUGAAAAGUAUUUACUGCCACCAUCCUCAAGCAACAAACAAGAGUCUCUUAGUUGAUGGACCCAUGCAUGUAAUUUGUUAUGUGCAUCUUCUAGCUUAUGGACACUUUUAAAUGCACCCAAGCCCAUGCUAUAUUUGAACAAGUCCAUAAUAUAAGUUGGUGUAAUUAGACUACACAGUAAAAAAGUUUUCUUGAGUUGCUCACCUCUUAAGUACUUGUAACUCAGCUCAAUUGUUGAGUAUGCCUCUGCUGGUACUCCUUCGUCGAAGCUCGCCUCUGAAGGCGUUCGGAGUUCUUGCAAGGCAUUCUUCCACACAGGCAGCUCUUUUUUUCUCAGUGCCUUUGCUACUGUGGUUAGGGCAAUAGGCAAACCUCCGCAUGCCUUGGCUACACUUGUUGCUGUAGAUUCUAACUCACGAUUUUCAACAUAAUCACCAGCCAUUAUCUUGAACAAUCUCCACGCUUCUUAUUCAUUUAAAAUGCCAAUCGAGAAGUUUUUUUCAGAUUCCAUCCUUAACAGCACAUCAAGAUCUCUUGUUGUGAAUAAUAAUUUGCAUCCUCUGUGCUCAACUCCAAAAGGAAUUCCAAUAGUCCCCAAAUCAAGAGGUUUCCAGAUGUUAUCCAGAAUCACAAGGAUCUUCUUCUCAUUCUUCACUCUUUCAUAUAGUCUACUAGCUCUUCUAGACUCAGGUUCCUCGGACAACUGUAGGCCUAACGUUUCCGCAAUUUCCUCUUGGAUCUUUUUUAUGUCUGGACUUUGGGUAACCUCCGAAAAAGCCACCAUAUCGUAAAGCUUGUCUUCAAUGGCUCGCCUUGCAAACUCCUUCACCAGUGUCGUCUUUCCAAUGCCGGCCAUGCCGUAGACCCAAAUGAUGCUGACAUCAACAUCGAUCAAUGCAUUUUGUAUGGCCUUCAAAGCAGAAAGUCUUGAUUCGAAGGCCUCGUAGCCUUUGUGAGACUUGAGCCAUAUAUCCUCCGGAACGGUACGGUAGGAAAUUCUAUCAUCAAAUCUCCCAGCUUCUUCUCGGAGUUUAAAAAGGGCCUCCUUCUCUGUUUCUGCUUUCUUUCCAUGCUGAUAGCGAGUAAUCCAAUUAGGAAACAGCCCCAUGAGACAUCGUUCAUUUGCUUUCUCUUCGUCUAGAAUGAAUUUGGCUGCCUGCUCAAUGCUCUUGUUCGCAUUAACCAGCCAUUUCUCAACCUUCUCUUCAAUCUUUUCACUUUUUCUUUCAGCCUCAGAAACUCUGCGCUGAAUGCUUUCUCUUUCAUCCUUGAGCCCAUCGAGUUCUGCCUUGAGAUUCUCAAAGUUGGCAGCGGAGUUAUACCAAUAACUAAAUUCGCGUUGUGCGUGAGGAGACAAGCAGUUUACAACUCCUGGAACAAUGCUUUUCAAAAUGUCCAUUUUUUUUUUGGGUUGGGGGGGGGGGGGGGAGGGAACGAAAUAGAAAUAGAACAGAGUCAACGGCCGCGCAAUUGAUAAUCAAGUAGAAGCAAAACAAGGCAAAAUUGAAAAAAGGGAAAAUCAGUGUAACAGAAGAGAAUCAAAGUGUUUUUGAGAUCAGAAAAUUGAAUCAAGAAAAGGGUUGCUUGAUCCAAUGAAAAUGCAAAGAGCUGAUGGAAAAAGGGAACAAAGAUAAAUAAGAAAACGGCUAGCACGAGCAGUGACCACGAUAAACAGAAGCAAAGUGUGUAUGAGAUCAAAAGACGAAAAUCAGGAGAGGUUUUCUUGAUUGAGAAUUGAAGGCAAAGAGUAGGAGCUGACGAAUACGGGGAUCAAGAGGGAAAAACUGCUUGCUCAUAAAACUACUUUCAAGCGAAUCUGAUAAAAUUAUUUCAAUACUCGUGGGCGACUCCCUUUUAAACCGCAGAAGGAAAAAAAAAAAAAAAAGUUCUGAUUUUCAAUAUAUUAAUUUUUAUCCUAAUUUAUGUUGAGACUCGUAAUCUCGUCUCAAUGAUUAAUUAGUAGAUAAUCUUUCUAACAAAUAUGUGUUGAAUAGAUAUAUUUCUUGACUAUUAGUAGGUUAAAUAUAUUUUAGCAUAGGAAUGAAAGUACAAGUUGUGUCAUAUUAGAAUAAAAAUUUGACCUAAAAAUAUUGUUCUACGACCUUUUAAUUAUUUGUCAGCAAAUAAUUAAGUCAUAUAAAAAAAUUAAUAAUCUGAAUUAGUCUUUAAGUAUUAUAAAUAUUUUUAGAUUUUAAUUAUAAUAUCAUUAUUUAAAAAUAAUUGCUUGACUUACAUUAGUAACAUUACGAUUGUCAUAAAACAUGUGAUCCUCAUCCAAUAUCCAUUAUUUGUGAUCCUUAAUCAAUAAAAUAUCUAACAAUAUCUUCACCUAAAGUUUGAGACAUGUGAUCCUUAUUCCACUGCGUCAAAACAAGGAGAAAAUCAGUGUAACUGAAGAGAAUCAAAGUGCUUUUGAGAUCAGAAAUUGAAGCAAGAAAAGGGUCGCUUGAUCCAAUGAAAAUGCUAAGAGCUGAUGGCAAAAGGGAACAAAGUUAAAUAAGAAAACAGCUAGUGCUAGCAGCGACCACAAUACACAGAAAAUUUGAGAUGGAUUUACAAUAUUUCUGCCUUUCUUUAUGCUUUAACAAAUAUUGCUCUAUCAAAAAAAAUAUUUAGAAUUUUAUUAUUGGAGUCACAAAAGACCUACACAAUAUAGCAAGUGACUAGGAAUAAAUAAGAAUAUAUAACUCUCUCUCUAAUUCUCACUCUAGCUUUUAAUUGUCACUCAAAACCCAGAAUUCAUCCUUAAAGUGUAAGCAAAUCAGAGAUGACAGCGUCUGGUUGUCAUACGUGCCUUUUAGUUUUCGGAUGACAUGGCGUACACUUCUUCUGUAAACCGAACAUGACAUGUCGUACUCUUUGUUUUGAGAUCAUAUUUCAAACUCUUCAUGCUAUGAAUGAAAGAUAAACUACAAUCAUCAAAAUAUUUAGUGUUUAUUUUGUAAUGUAACGUCAUAGUUGUUGUGAAUUGAAAUUAUUUCUGUAAAAUAAAAGGAUUUGGGUCAUCGUUCGUUAUUUUCUAGCAAUAUUGUCUGGUCGUGACUAUUUGUUAAAUAUUAAAAAAAUAAAUUUAUAUUUAUUAAGUAUAAAAAAUAAAUAAACAAACAAAAAUAAAAGGAAAAGUUUAUACAUUACAUAAAAUAAUAAGAACAAUAUCAAUAUUUCACACUCUAUAAUUGAGUGAUGUGUUGUCCAACUGCCACACAUUGGUCCCAAACGGAGACUUAAAUAUUAAAGUCCAAAGUUAUUGUGAUGAUGACUUAUAAUCGCCAAACUUGACAUACGGGUAAUCAUGCAUUAUAAGGUGCUGAUUUCUUCCAAUCGAAACCUUAUUUUUCAUUUACAAAUAAAUAAAUGACGUGACUUAACGAGUGGUGGGGUCCUUUGUGCCAUUUGUGUAUUUCACUGAAUAGUUGAUUCAACUAUUCUGAUCGGAAGAUUCUUGGAAGUUGCCAUUUGCCAAUGCUACUAACAUUUUCAAACUUGGAAAACCCUUCAGUCAAUCUUUUAGUGGUAGGCUCUGGUAGCUUGGUUUGAUUAUGACAUAUGAUUAUUUGAUAAUAAAGUUAGAGGAUGUAUUAAUAUAAAAUUUGUUUAUUGGUGUUGAAGUUAAUUAUCUCAUUAAUAAUAGUAUAAAAUGUUAAUUACUAAGAAACACAUAGCAGUAUUCUGGGAUAUAAUUUUAUAUCAUAACUUUGUAAGUGUAUAAUUACUCAUUAAAUUAACAAAAUUAUUUUAAAAUAUUUAGUUAGAAAAAAUAUAUUAUAUUCUUUUUAUUUCAAAUAAUCUAUAAGUUAACUCAAAACAUAAUCAAGCUGAGAAUUAAAAUAAUGCUACUGUAUGAGAGGAUUUUUAUUUUUUCCCGAAGUUUCACAAGGAAAUUAUUGAUAGAUAGCUUUAUUCGGAUCAUCUCAGUUCAAACGACAAAUAAUUGAAAGACUAAGCUAAAUAGACCAGCCAACAACUUUGUACAAGAGAGUUCAAAAAUUAAAGUCAUGGUAUUAAAGUGUUCUAUCUUGAAAAGUACAGCGUAGUAAUAAAAUAAAAACUAAUAGUCUUUGGUAAGAUAUGACAUUUAAAUAAUAAUUUUCACAAAAAUACAAAGAAUAUUUAUAAAGUACUUCUAUAAUGAGGAGACCCUCACUUUGUUAAAGUGAAAAUAUCAAUAAUAUACAAAAGACAUAUAUUUUAACACAUUAAAAAUUGUAUUUUUUUUUAUCUAUUGGUGUAUUGAAAUGUGUGUUAUUUAGUUUGUUAAUAAUAUCAUCACUUUGUUAAAAUAAUGAUAUCAGAACCAUUAUAUAUACAUAUAUAUAAAGUGCUUCUCUCCAAAAUCUAGACUUUAUUAAAAUUUAAGAAAGCAAAUAUAUUUUGUAUGGUAUAAUAGUGUAAUAACAUCACCCGAGUAUAUCAUAUAGAGUAAUAGUUUUUGGACUUUAAUAAAGGUCAAGAUUAUAGAAUGAAUGAUUUAUAUAUAUUUUAAAUUUUUUAUCAUAAAGUGGAGGACAAAGUAACAUAUUUUUCAAAUUAUAAUAAUUAUUUAUCAAAUAAUUUAACAUCGUAAUUUCUCCUAACUAGUAUAGUAAAUACGACCUAGGAGGUACAUUCAAAGCAUUUCAUAAGUUAAUUGUUAAUAAUAAAUGAUACAUGCAGCUCCAACUAUUAUUGUACGGUGAGUAAUUUCAAUAGAUUUUUUAUGGCUUAAUAAUAAUGAACAUUGAAUGUCAAAAUAUUAAUGGCCAAACAGACCAGCUGCCAACGACUUAUUCCAAUGUGAAUAGUUCACAGUGGGUACUGCACAUGAUACUUGUUUCUCCUUUUGCAUCUACUUUUGUUGUUAACAUUAAUUUCAAUAGCAGCUCGUUAUGUACGCAACAUUUCAAAGUUAAUCCAAAAAAAAAAAAACAAAAAUUAGUUCAGCUGACUAAAUUUGAAAGCAUGGAUUUGCCGUCGAUUAAAAAUCGUUUUGUAGGGAAAAGUUUUGGAUUGCAAUUUUCAUACAAUACAUAGAAUUAUCAUAAUCUAUAAAUUAUUUUUUUGCUUUUCUGUGGUAGUAAGUCCGACUCCUUAGUGACAAUUUAAAUUGAAAAAAUAAAAUCAUAAAUUAGAAUUAUUUGAUAAGAAUUAAAAUAAUUGAUAAAAAUUUGAGAGGAACAAUUUUGGAAGAUUCGAUUUCUAAUAGAAAGGGUGAAUUUUACAGCCUUUGGUGAGGACUCCAAAAUGCACAAUUUGAUGAAAAUUAAAUUUCAAUAGAAAUUGAAUUCCCAUUUAUUAGUGAAAACCAAACAACAGAAAAGUGAAAGGAAUUUGAAUUCAUUUCCUUCCUCUCCUCCCUCCAACUAAACACCAUCGAAAUCCAAAGGUAUGGAUUGGGAUUCCAUAUUGAUUAGAAUGGGAUUUGUCCAUAUUAUUAGGACCAAUUUUAAAAGCAGUCGGAGUUUCGAAGUUUAAGAUUGAAAUUAAUCACAAUUGUUGAUUUGGGACUAGAUAAGAAUUUAUCUUAGAACUCCAAUUCUCCAAAAAAAGUACGCUAGCUUCGCCACUGCACUAGGGACAUAUUAAUCAGGUGGCUUAUAUUACAACCAGAGGAUUUAAAUUUGAUUUAAGAUAUGUGGGGUCUGCUUUUGGAUUUAGAAAAUUUGCUCAUUAAGAGUUGAACCCAAGUGACCUACCGUUAGAUUAGAUUAAUAGUGAUUUCUUGUAGUAAAUAUUUGUGAAUUUGAAAUAUGUGAAUUCUAUCCUGGUGAUACAAAACAAGCUUCUUGUACACGAGAACUAUUUAUUUUUAUGAUUUGGAAACCAAUCUAUAAAGAUGAAUUAAGUUGGCAUAAUGGUACAAAGCAACUUUAAUUUUUCAAUAAAUUCAAAAGUUGGCAAGUUGGUUAUGAUUAUUAUCUUUUCUUUUUUACUAUUUAAACUACAAUUAAUUGAAUCCAAAGACUAAAGGGUUGGAUCGAGAAGAAACUAAUUUUAAGUAGACAUUCCGGCGAAAAUCACUCCCAUGAUCGAGACACUCAUGCAAUCAAUGCAAAAAUGGACACAAAAAUUGUCUACUUAAGUUUGGUGGAAUGAUUUUAAAAAUAGUUUUAUUUGUUUCACACUCGAAUUUGUAUUUUGAAAAAGAGUGGGAGUUAAAAAUUGAUUUACACUUUAUCAAUUACUCUAUUUUAAAAAGAAAUAAAUAUUAAAAAAAUAAAAACAUUAAUUUCUUGUUUGUUUGUACUUACCAUUGUAGGAUAAAUAAAGUGGUUGACAAAAAUUAUAUAUCUUAAAAAUAAAUUCUAGAUUUAUAACUAAUGUAUAAUGAUUUCAAUUCACAUGUUUCAAUCCCAAAUAAAUUCUCCUUUGGUUAUUUGAAUCUUAGCGCGGUAAGAUUUCAUUCUCUUAUAUGCAUUUGUGUAAACUUCUCCCUUUACCUUUAUCAUUUUAUCAACUUUAUUGAUUGCCAAUCAACUUUAGGGUUUAGGCAUGAAUCACACAAGGGAAUGAUAUUGUGGCAAUUUUUUCCCCCUUCUUUUUUCUUUUUGAAAAAAAAAAUUAUUUAUAGCUUUGCUUUGAUGGUAGAAGACUAGAAGACCAAUUAAUUUCUUUUUGUUGCGUGGUGAUAAUAAUGAUGGAAAUUGCUAUGUGCGCGUUGGUGAUUGCAUUGCUAGUCACAUAUUGCUUCCCAUCAUGGAGACAAAGGGGACCCCUCUAUCAAAGCUAGCUGUUGAAAUAUCAUACCCAAAAUCACAUGAAUUCAAAGGUUGAAUGGGAAAACGAUCUUGCUUCUUUGUAUGUUUUAUUUUAUUUAAAGACUUAUUGUUUCCCAUAAGAGAUAAGCUUGGAUCUAUCUUUCCUUUUAAUCAUUUUAGCCUCCAACUCCCAUCUUUUUCAAAAGUUUCGUUUAGCCCAUUUUGAAUGGCAAGGUAAGCUUCAAUUAACGCAACAAGUUCCAGUGAUUCCCGUCAAUAUUCGAUUGCAUGUAUGUAGCUUUGAGUGCUCAAAUUUAUUUUAUUUAUUAGUUGUUAUCACUUAUCAUUUUCUUUUUAAUAAUGAGAUUUGGGCAUUUUCUUUUUAAUAAUGAGAUUCGGGUCCCUGGAUGGUGAUUAGCCAACAGUCUAGUUAUGAGAAAUUAAUGUCUUAAUUACAAUGACAAAAAAGGCAAGUGGGGAUCUCAUUUGCCAUUAGGUAACACAACAUCUUCAGCAUUGGAGCUUUUCUUCCUUUCUCUCCUUCUUUCUUUCUUUCUCAAAAUAAUUGAAAAUCUAAUGCAAUACAAUUAAAUUGAUCAACGAUCUAAUUUAAUCAAUACAUUAUAUUAAGAUAUUUAAAAUAAAAUCGGUUCAAAUGGAAUGAGAAGUUCUACUAAAAAAAUAACAACAUUUAUUCCUUAUUAUUAUUAUUCGAAUUCAAAUAACCUUGGAUUCCAAACGCAUUCAAGACUAGCCAGGCUGCAUAUCCAAGAAGAAAACAAAAUCAAAACUUUAGCCACAAACAUAUACGUGUGUGUGUAUGUGUGUGUGUGUAUAUGUGUGUGUGUGUGUGUGUCUGUGUAUAUAUAGAGAGAGAGAGAGAGUUCUUUCACUAGGUUCAUUUGCGUGAAACUUUUUGAUCAUUUAGGUUUAAGACUAUAUCAUAUAUCCUAUUGCACGAACAUUGAUUAAGAUGAAUGAGUCAAACCCACUAAGCUUGCAACAAAAUCUUUUCAUAGUUACUAGAGAAUAUUUAUAUUUUUUUCAAAUAUUAAUAAAAUUAUUGAAUUGCUUUAUUUAUAGUACGUAUACAAUUAAUAGUGUAUGGAUUUUUUUUUAUCUAUUGGUGUAUUGAAAUAUGUGUUAUUUAGUUUGUUAGUGAUAUAAUCACUUUGUUAAAAUGAGAAUGUCGUUACUAGAGAAUCAUUAUAUAUACAGGGUCCAGCUACAAUACCCAUGGGGUUUGGUACCCCAUUUUUUGUCUUUUUCAAAUCUACCGUUGGAUUUAACGUAAGAAUUGCAGAAUGGCUGAGAUGUAAUUUUUGGGUUAUUAACAACAAAGACCCUUAUUGUUCAUGGAAAAUAAAAAAAAUCAAAAGUUUUGAAAUUAUGACGUAUAAGUCCAUAAUAUUCUCUUUUUUUCUUUUUAACUAUUGAACUCGGUUUCUAAUUAAAUGAAUUUUUCUUACAUUUAUUAAUAUCUAUUUAAAUUAAUAUAUUUUUAAUUAAUAAAUUAACUACUUUAUUAUAUAGUUAAACUAUGUAUAUUAUUUACUAACCAUAAUUAACGAUAAGUAUAAAUAUGAUCUUUUUUUUUUUUUAACAUAAUGGCAACCAAUUUCCUCUCACCUAUGUGAACAAGGUUCAAAACCCAUAAUUUUUUUUUUAACACAAGAGAUUUUAUUAUCUCAAGUAGAUGAAAUAUACAAAAUACAAAAAUAAAUUUAAUUUCAUAUUCUAUAUAGUUAAUUUUUUUUGUAACAUAAUAUUUAUUAAACAUACUAUCAAUUAUUUAAUUAACUAGCAAAAAUAUGUUAAUUUACUAAUAAUAAUCAAAUGUUAGUUUAUGAACUUGUAAAAUCUUUUUUUUUAACAAUGAGUUUUUGUCCUUAAAAUAAAAAAUAACAAUUUAAUUGCACACUUAAAUAAAUUAGUAUUUGUUAAAAAUAGUAAUUUAAUUGCACACUUAAAUAAAUUGGUAUUUGUUACUCCACCCCAAUUAUUUAAAUAGUCAUUAACUUAUCUGAGAGAAGGGUAAAAAAAUUCUAAACAAUUACUCUAUUUGAAAAUAAUUUAAAUAUUUCUUUAGAAAAAUAAACUAAAAAUAAGUAUUUUCUAUUCUUUCUUCUUUCUUGCUAACAUCAAUCAUGGAUAACAAUAGAGAUGGCAAUUCAACACAUAUCUAUCAAUUAAAAUAGAAGUCAAUUAAUAUAAUUAAUUGAAUAAUUAAUUUGUGUCAUGAAUGAGUUAUCGUAUUAGGAGUUAUAAAACCAAACCCAAUAGAAUUAUUAAUCGAGUUAACAGCUAGAAAGAGCAAACAAAUCCAUUCAAGUUGGAUGUCUAAGUAUUUGAACCAAAUAGAUUAGAUAAUAUCCAUCUAAAAUACUCCAAAUUUGAUUUAUUCAAUAUCCAUCUAUGAACUUGAAUAUUAGUGAUAUUUAAGUGUAUGUGACUGAAAUUGAGUAUUAUAUUUAAUAUUUAAGUUUUGUAAGUCAAAUGAAAAAUCAAAAUAAUAUUGCUAAAAAUUAUUGCACCAUCAAUGACAACAAUGACGAUAUCAUCACUAAGAAAUAGAAAUGAGUGAACAGAGAAACAAAAACUAUCAACGUAAUCAAAACUCUCUGAUCAAUGUAAUGGUGGCAAUGUUGCCAGAUAAAUAGAUAUGCCGGCAAUAGAUGAGCAUUCCAAUGCAAACAACUAGAACAAGACCCUAUGAUUAGAUGACGUUUUAACGUAGAGUGGAAGCGAUACUAAAUUUCGUUCUAGUAUACGUCUUGAAAACUCAAGAAAGAGACUCUCACCAAAGAGAAGAUAUUUCAAUUGAGAAAAAACUAAAUAUUAUUAAUGAGAAGCUUGUGUCUGUUAUCAUAAAUUAAGAAUAACAAGCCUAUAUAUAUAAUAGUAGCUAACUUAAUCCUUAUCUUUCUCAAAUAAGAGAAAUAAUCUAAAAUCCUAAUUAAAUUAUAAUUACAAAUAUGACUCAAGUAAGCUUAAUAAAAUAAGAUAAAUCCUAAUAAAAUAUUAAAUUCUAAAUUGACCCAAAUAUUAUAAUUCCUAGUAAAUUCUAAUUUAUUUAUUUAUUUAUUUAUUUAUAAGUUUGUUUGGUUUUUGGGUUUUUUUUUUAAAGAACAGAAAAUUAUAGGUAAUAGUGUAAGUAUAGAAAAGUAAAGAGGCAAAAUUAAAAAUAGGCAAAAGUUGGUGUUGCCGUCGACGGUGGUCGAAAAAUUGGCCUAGGAUAGGUGGAUUUGGAAGAUUUGAUGGUGCUGAGUGUGAUGUUGGUGGUGGUUUGUCUCAAAUAGUUGUGAGUUGACCGAAAAGUUGAGCUAAAGUAGUGGGUGGAGGUUGGUUUCGGUUUCCGGCGAUCCGGCCGGGGGUUGGCAGCGUGAGUGGGUUGAAAAGAAAGAGCUAAUGAUGGUGGACGAAUGAGUGGUGGUGGAGGCUGUGAAUCGCGGCUGAUUGUAGCGAAUGGAGAGGCGGAUUUUCGUGGUGGUUCAGCGGCUGUUUUGGCUAGUUUCCCGUGGCUACGGUGACGAGAUGGUGGUGUUAUGGGUUGGGUUAUGAUUGGCGGCGUGUAGGCUUUCGGAUGGGAGAGAGGAUCGACCGAAAAGAAGAGAAACUGGUGGCGGCAGUAGCCGUGUGUGGCAGAUGUAAUGGCGGCUUCGGGUUUUGCUAGUUUUUUUUUUAACUUGAUGGAACUAAUGUACGGAGUUGGUGGUCAGGAAUGCUCUGCCUGCUACCAAAAAAAGCUCUAAUAUCAUUUGUCUUGAAAAUUAAAAAAAAAAUCCCACUAAGGAUUAAUAUCUUAAUUGUGAAAAUAUUGAAUAUUAUUAAUGAGAAGCUUGUGUCUGUUAUCAUAAAUUAAAAAUAACAAACUUACAUAUAUAAUAGUAGCUAAUUUAAUCUUAAUCUUUCUCAAAUAAGAGAAAUAAUUUAAAAUCCUAAUUAGAUUAGAAUUACAAAUAUAACUCAAGUAAGCUUAAUAAAAUAAGAUAAAUCUUAAUAAAAUAUUAAAUUUUAAAUUGACCCAAAUAUUAUAAUUUCUAGUAAAUUUUAAUUUAUUUUAUUUAAUAUGCUUCCUACAUCACGUUUUAAGGUUCAUUGCCUUUAACAACCAAUUUGAGGGUCUCUAAACUAAAAAAAAAAAAAAAAAAGGUGGUAGUAUAAUGUAACUCCUUGUGUUUUGAUGGUAUAGUUAUUGUUGCACCUAUUUUAGAAGGAGCAUGUAACUUUACAUAUCACCAUUUGCUAGCAUUGAGACUAUCUUUAUGUAAAUCAUUCAAUUUCAAGUCUAAUGGAAUCCUUCAUGUUCCAUUUCGGUUAAUAAUGUCAUUGCACAUGAAGAAACAAUAGUCACUAGUGAUUGUCUAUAUUUUUUAAUGCAAAAUAUCUUUUUGUAAUUAAUUAAAAAAUAAGAAUAAUUUUUUAUUAUUAUUAUGUUUCUAUAUGGAAAAUAAUUUUAAUUACCUUUUAAUUAAAAUGGGUGAGAAAAAUGAUGUCAUUGAUGGUGCAAAAUGGAUGAGAAAAAUGAUGUUAUGUAGGUGUAGGACUAAUGCGUAAAACUUUAAAAUUUUUUAACAUUUUUAUUUUUACAACAAAUAGCAGGACACUAUUAUAAUUAACCUUAAUAAAGACAAAAGAGAGGGGUACCAAACGUAUGUUGCAACAUAGCUUUGCCCAUAUAUACAUAUAUAAAGUGCUUCUAUCCAAGACCUAGACUUUAUUAAAAUUUAAGAAAGCAAAUAUAUUUUAUAUGGUAUAAUAGUGUAAUAACAUCACACUAUUAUAUCAUAUAGACUAAUAGUUUUUUGAACUUUAAUAAAGUUCAAGAUUAUAGAAUGAAUGAUUUAUAUAAAUUAUAAUUUUUUAUCAUAAAUGGAGGAGAAAAUUAACAUAUUUUCAAAUUAUAAUAAAUAUUUAUCAAAUAAUUUAACAUUGCAAUUUCUCCUAACUAGUAUAGUAAAUAAUACGACCUAGGAGGUACAUUCAAAGAUUUUCAUAAGUUAGUUGUUAAUAAUAAAUGAUAUAUGCAGCUCCAAUUAAUCAUCAUUGUACGGUGAGUAAUUUCCAGUUAUAAAUAGAUAUUACUCCCUUCCCAGCAAUUUUUGAUGGCUUAAUUUUGUGGGAUCAAAAUCAACAUUGAAUGUCAAAAUGUUAAUGGCCAAACAGACCAGCUGCCAACAACUUAUUCCAAUGUGAGUAGUUCACAGUGGGUACUGCACAUGAUGCUUGUUUCUCCUUUUGCAUCUAUUUUUGUUGUUAACAUUAAUUUCAAUAGCAGCUCGUUAAUGCCAAUUGUUGAUUUGGGACUAGAUAAGAAUUUAUCUUGGAACUCCAAUUCUCUGAAUUAUUUUAGUUGACAAUAUGUUUAACAUUAUUUUUUUUAACAUUAUUAAUUGCAUAUUAUUUAAUUAUCAAUAUAUAAUAUUCUUUAAUUUUUUAAUUUUAUAGGAUUAGACACAAAAUUGAUUAUACCUUUUGAAAUUUAAGGGUUAUGUCAAUUGAAUAGAAAACUUGGAGUUAAACUUUUGGAUGUUUUUGUUGAUUAUCAAUUUAUGCAUGAAUUUUUGUACGUUUACUUUGGUUUAUUAUUAUUACUUUUAAAUAUUUUUAUUGGUUUGAUUUAGGGUCAGUUUAAUAAUCCUGUAGCUUUUAAAAUAAUUAGAGUUAGCUAUGCUGUAGAAAUUGAUCAAUCGUUAAGAGAAUCAGCUGAACAUUUAGUAAAAUUUAUUUUUAAAAGUACUUUUAGUUUUAAAAGCGUCGUAUGUGUUUCGUAAAUCUUAUUGUUAAACUAGUGCAAAAAUGUAAAUGACUAAAUUGGACAUAAUGCUAAAUAAAAUUUAUUUACACAUUUAUAAACACGUAUAUAAAAUAUUUUUAUUACGUACAUAUAAUUAUUGAUAACUAAAAUAAAUAUUUUAUAUUAUUAAAUUUUAUUCUUUAAUUUGUUAUCUCAAUAUAAUUGGUAAUAGUAAUAACCUCUUUAAAGUUAAUCAUUUUAUUUCUUAAUUAAUAAAGAUAAUUUUGAAUUUUGAUUAUAUAAUGAGGAUAUGUAUAUAAAUAUAUAGAAUUUGAUUAAAUAUAAAAGUGAUUCUCAAAAUCAGAUUUUGAAAAAUUAUUCAUUCCAUACUUUUUCAAAAUCUACUAUACAAUGAGAUGAUUUUGCCAAAAGUAAUUACUAAAAAAAUUUAUAAAACACUAAAAAUUAAUUUUUAAUUUUUAAAAUCACUUUUGAACUUCCCAAAAAUAAUCCUAACGGACCNNNNNNNNNNNNNNNNNNNNNNNNNNNNNNNNNNNNNNNNNNNNNNNNNNNNNNNNNNNNNNNNNNNNNNNNNNNNNNNNNNNNNNNNNNNNNNNNNNNNGUGGUGUUAGAACUUGUGACUUUUGGAUCUUUUAGUUUUUAUUGGUUGAUACAAUUGUUACCUAAAAAUUAAAUGUAUCUUAAACCCAAACUUCUUCUUCUUUUUUUUGACUAACAAAAUUAAAAAACAAUAGUGAACACAUUCUUUAAUAAACAAUAAGUAAUAACUAAAAUCGUGUUAAAUUUCUUAAAAAUUUUCUUUCACGGUCUGCUAAAUAUUUUUAUUAGUAUUUUGAAUAAAUAAAAAUAAUUGAUUUAAUUUUUUUAAAGAAACUUAUUAGGUUCAUGUAAAGAUGUUUUUGUUAUUUUAAAAAGUGUAGAAAGUACUCCUAAAAAAAAAGUGUAGAAAGUAAAACUUAAUUUUUUAAAUUUAUUAGCUUACUGCAUAAAUAAUUGAGUGUUCAUAAUGAUUUUUAAAGUAUAGAUAGUCGGACCCUAAUAUUUUUAAUAUGGAAAUUUUGCUAAUAUGUUAAUGAGAAUUAAAAAGAUAAUUAAGGGAGGCAAUUGAGACAUUCAGGAUAGUUAGGAUGGGACAUGAUUGUGAGUGGUUUGAUAUUAGUCCUAAUUUUGAUCACAAAUAUAUAAACAUGACGAGUUUAUCUCUACUUACAUUCCAUUUGAUAAUUAAGAUGAGAGUGGAAUCGUCAAAUCCCAAAUCAUCCCGGACCAUUGCCAUCAAAGGUACUCUCACUAAUAAUAUCUAAAGAAAAAUGUACAUGUAUUUCAUUUUUUUUUUAAACGGAAAGAGCCCUCAUGGGGCUUGAAAUGUUAUCCUAAAUAGUAUUCAAAAUAUCAAGCCAUGAUUGGGUUUGUGACAAACAAAUAUUACAUAGUUAGGAUACGUAGUUACUAGUGUCCCCAUUUAUGUAGUAUCUAUCAUUUAAUGCACAUAUAAAGUAUUAAUCAGCUUAAUUAAUUUAUAAAAUCUAAAUCUAAUUAAUAAGUGACACAUAAAAGCCAAGUGCAAUAUAUGCAAGUCAUGUUUGUCGAUCAUUACAAAACUAGCUCUUGAAAACAAGCAAGAAAGCUUAAUUAAGAACUUAAAACAAAAAGAAAUUUAGAUUGAGAACAGUCAAGCCUUAUUUUUUUCAAGGAUGGAGCUUAUAAAUCUUCAAGUACCAACAUAUGCUUGGCCCAAUUGUUGUUAUUAAAAAUUCAAUAUAUAUAUAUAUAAGUAUGACAUAGCAAAAAUUUGAUGGUACAUAUGUCGGAAUAUACUAGUUCAUGGAUGCAUUUGAUUAUUGUUUCCAUAAAUUUGAACCAGGAAGGAUAACACGAUAAAAUUUGAUUUUAUGGUAUGGUUGAUUUCAUAUCUCAUGCACUCAUUUCUUAAGAUAAUCAAAUUUUCUCUGGCAUCUUUUGCAACUGUGGAAAUAUCAAUUAUGAUCAAUCAAAACGAUUUCAAAACCUCUCAACGAGACAUAUUUAUAAUACAAUGUUGUGAAAAUUACACCAAAUUUUAAUUUAUUAUAUAUUAUUAUCCAACGAGCACACAAAAAUGAAUUCGUACAAAUAGAGUUUACCAUGUACUACAAGAAACUAGGGUAUAAGUGACCCCUAAUGUGAAUGCAAAAGAAGCCAUUAUGUAUAUCACUAACUUCUAGGCUCUAGCUUUGUACCCCGACUUGCUUUUGUUACCCUUUAUGUGACGGCCACACCGCUAUCACAUAUGUUAGUUACUACCCGCGUGACGGUAAAGAGCCGUUCGGUAUAUUACUAUUUUAUAAUUUUAAAUUUAAAACUAUUUGCUGGACUCCGUGUUACUAGCCACCAUCGUAAGCCUAACUGGUUGCCGGCGAACUGCGUAAAACACUGGCCAUCUUCUUCUUCAUCGUCUUCUCCCUUCAUCUUUUGAGGUAAGCUUGUGAUUAUGAGUUUCUUCUCUUACUUAGCUUGUAAUUAUAGACUUUGAUUUUUUUUUUAAUUCGCAUUGUAGCCAUUAUUGUCAAUUUUUGUCCCGCGAGCAAUAUAUUUUUAUUGCUUCAAGUUGAAGCCCCUGUUUUCUUGUUCCAUUGGUGAGUUUGCUCACUCAAAUUAAUUUUGUUCUGCGGAAUUUGCAACGUUCAAAUGGAUUCGUUUGAAUUACUAUUGAAUUUAGCUUUAAUUUCAACAUCCAUUCUAAUGUUUUGCUAUUAGAUUUACUUUAAUUUUAUGUUUAAAGCUUCUACAGUGAAUAGCGGAGCUUGGGUUUUAGUUUCAUUUUCUAGAUAACUUGUUUUAGUUUAUCUUGUAUACUCACCAAGUGCUUGUUAUAUUGUCUGAUAAGUUAUAUACAUUGCUGAUUCUAUAUUAAUAAUGUUAUGUUCUAUUUUCAGAAAUUAUAAUACAAAAGCUUUUACAAUGGCGUGCAUCUACAAACUGGAUUGACUCGUAGAAUAAGAGCUUGGAGUAGUGUUAUGUUCUUGAAUAAAUGAAAGUUCAUAUUGUGUAAGAGCAUGUAGAUGUAAAGCAUCAUUAUCAUUUCUACAAAGUGCUUUCAUUCUCUUCAGAUGCUCUUCUUGAACUUUGAAAGGUGCCUCGUUCAAGUCCUAGCUAUAACUGCUAGCUUUGAUUAAUUAAGUUCCUAUACUAGCUGAAACAGAUUUAUUUAAUUAAUUAAUUGUGUAUAUACUAAUUAUAUUGAAAGUAUAUGAAACUUUUUUUUUUUCACAUGAAUGACUUCUAAAUGACUUAAAAACCUAAAGGAUGUGUGAAAUAAUGCUCAUUUCACUUGAAUGAGCCUAUUAAUACUUUUAUGUCUAUGAUGUCAAAAUUGGCUUAAGCAUUUCAGUUAAGUGGUUUACCUAGCAGAGAAAAAAAUUUUAAUAGAGAAACUUCAGAGUUCUAACAGAAAUAUAGUUCGCUAUGCAGAUAUAGUUAUNNNNNNNNNNNNNNNNNNNNNNNNNNNNNNNNNNNNNNNNNNNNNNNNNNNNNNNNNNNNNNNNNNNNNNNNNNNNNNNNNNNNNNNNNNNNNNNNNNNNNNNNNNNNNNNNNNNNNNNNNNNNNNNNNNNNNNNNNNNNNNNNNNNNNNNNNNNNNNNNNNNNNNNNNNNNNNNNNNNNNNNNNNNNNNNNNNNNNNNNNNNNNNNNNNNNNNNNNNNNNNNNNNNNNNNNNNNNNNNNNNNNNNNNNNNNNNNNNNNNNNNNNNNNNNNNNNNNNNNNNNNNNNNNNNNNNNNNNNNNNNNNNNNNNNNNNNNNNNNNNNNNNNNNNNNNNNNNNNNNNNNNNNNNNNNNNNNNNNNNNNNNNNNNNNNNNNNNNNNNNNNNNNNNNNNNNNNNNNNNNNNNNNNNNNNNNNNNNNNNNNNNNNNNNNNNNNNNNNNNNNNNNNNNNNNNNNNNNNNNNNNNNNNNNNNNNNNNNNNNNNNNNNNNNNNNNNNNNNNNNNNNNNNNNNNNNNNNNNNNNNNNNNNNNNNNNNNNNNNNNNNNNNNNNNNNNNNNNNNNNNNNNNNNNNNNNNNNNNNNNNNNNNNNNNNNNNNNNNNNNNNNNNNNNNNNNNNNNNNNNNNNNNNNNNNNNNNNNNNNNNNNNNNNNNNNNNNNNNNNNNNNNNNNNNNNNNNNNNNNNNNNNNNNNNNNNNNNNNNNNNNNNNNNNNNNNNNNNNNNNNNNNNNNNNNNNNNNNNNNNNNNNNNNNNNNNNNNNNNNNNNNNNNNNNNNNNNNNNNNNNNNNNNNNNNNNNNNNNNNNNNNNNNNNNNNNNNNNNNNNNNNNNNNNNNNNNNNNNNNNNNNNNNNNNNNNNNNNNNNNNNNNNNNNNNNNNNNNNNNNNNNNNNNNNNNNNNNNNNNNNNNNNNNNNNNNNNNNNNNNNNNNNNNNNNNNNNNNNNNNNNNNNNNNNNNNNNNNNNNNNNNNNNNNNNNNNNNNNNNNNNNNNNNNNNNNNNNNNNNNNNNNNNNNNNNNNNNNNNNNNNNNNNNNNNNNNNNNNNNNNNNNNNNNNNNNNNNNNNNNNNNNNNNNNNNNNNNNNNNNNNNNNNNNNNNNNNNNNNNNNNNNNNNNNNNNNNNNNNNNNNNNNNNNNNNNNNNNNNNNNNNNNNNNNGUUAUUCAAAUUUCAGAUUCAAUUUUAAACUUUUGAUAUGUGCAUUGAAAGCUUAGACUUGUUUAAGAAAUUAUUAAUAGACACAUGUUUUAUUAGUGUCAUCUUUGGAUGAUAGUGAGGAUCAUGUGUCUAUUAAUAAUUCUUGAAUUGUCCAGGCUUGGACAGUUUUGGAAUGCAUAGUUCUCUCUGGUAGCUAGUGGCUGAAGUUUUUGUCCCACGUAAAAAUGGGUUUUUCGGUAGCUGCUCCUCGUGUUCUCUGAGUACGUACUAGGUGAAUGGGUGUCAUGUGUUUGUUUUGGCAAAACACAUAAACACUUAUAUAGGUAUGUCUAGUGCUUGGAGAGCUAUCAUUUCAUAAGAGAGUGUAUUGCAAGAAAAGAAGUGCAAAUCAAGUAUGUAAAAUCACAAGAUCAAGCAGCUGAUAGCUUCACUAAGCCACUCAAGCAAGAAGACUUUGUAAGAUUCAGAAGUUUGCUUGGUGUCACAGGAUCAAGUUUAAGGGGAGAUGUUGGAUCAUAAACUUGAUCCAAGAUGAAUAAAUCAAGCCCAACUCAUGGAAGGUUCCAUGAGUAUGUAUGGUUGGUGAGGUUUGAAUUAUUUGUGUUAGGUGUGUUAGGUGUGGUUGGUGAAGUAGGUGAGUGGUAGGUUUUAAUGGAUGGUGAGAAUUUGUUUAUUAGUUGAAUAAAUGAAUGGUUGUGAUUAGUUUUUUUCAUGUAUAAAUACCCCCUCUCCCCUUUGGUUUAAACAUCAAGUGAAGUAGCAAAAUCUCUAAGGUGUAGAGAGUGAAAAAUAAGAGUUGUAAUUGGUGAGGAGUGUUGUUGAAGAAAUAAAAUAGUGUGUUUUAUGUGAGUUUUAUUUAUUAAUUCUCCAACAUGUAAUUGGUGAUGAUUUUGCUGAGCUGACCUUGGUUUUGAGCUUGUAAUUUUGUUUGUAAAUGGAGUGCUUUCUCCAAUGUUGGUUUAUAAAAAUGUUUCAGGACUUGCCGACCUAAUUUUUGUUUCUGCUAGGUUACAGGCUUUAUAUAGCUGUAAUUGAUAGCCAAGUGAAGUUCUCAGCACUUGGCGAGGAUAUUUCUUUACAGAAGUAUUGGAAACUAUUUUUUACAUUAAUUAUUGUUGUCUAUAUACUUUGAUUUUCACAUCUUUUUCUCUGAUUCUUGUGGCUUUGCUUGCUUUCAUAUAUGUAAAUUCUAAUGAAAUUAACCAUAAAAUUGUAAAAUGAUCUUUUUAUCAUAUUGCAAAACUGUGCACACACGAAAAUAUUCUUGUUUAGUAGUACAAAUGAAAAACUAAAAUGAUUUAUUUAACUAAUAUUUGAGCGCAUUAAAAGGAGAUAGUCAUGGACAAGUGUUGGGUUGGUUUGCCAAAUAGAUAUCCAAGUCAUAUACUGAUGGGGUUGAAAAAUUUAUAAAUUUUGCAUUUUAGAAUGUUGUUGCUGGUACAAGAAUUUAUUGUCCUUUUAAGAAGUGUUAUAAUCUAUAUUUCGUUAUGAGGGAAGUGGCUGAUGAUGAUAUGGUUGGAAUGAUACACUGCAUCACAUAAUCAAAUGUUCAAGUUACACUCAACAUUGUUAUGGACUAUCAGUGACAUGAGUGAACUAGACUGAGAAUACCUUCAGUUAUUGAGCUAAGAAGCCAGCUGAGUAAUGUUUGAUCUUGAGAUCUCCAAAUUGUGUAUUCAGGAUUCUCGAUCUGUUGAGAAGAUCCAGCAGCUCCAGCAGUUGUUGCAGCAAAGCUUGAUGAUGCUAUAAAUCGAUUUGGUGCAAUCUUUUCUCCAUUAAUGUAUCCUUCAAGUCGAUUUCCUCUAAUGGAGGCCAGGACUUGAUUUUUCCAAAGCAUGUAGUUAGAUCUAUCUAAUUUGAUUGGUGUGAUGAAAGAAAAAGUUGUUUGAUUUGCAGCUACUGUAUUUUGAUUGUUUGUGAUUGCCAUGAUUGGCUCUGAUACCAUGAAGAAAUUGUAAAAAUGAAUAAAUGCUGUUGUUUGGCAGCUGAGAAAAUACAGAGGAAAAUUUUAUUUCAUUAAUGAAACUGAUAUUUUGUACAUAACAACAAUCACGAACAUGUAGCUAUUUAUACAUGCUUAUGUUCACUAACUAGUUGCUCACUAACUAAUUAUUAAUCACAAGCUCACUCAGCUAAUUAAUAACCAAACACAGAGUGUGCAUUGUGAAGUUAGUUAGGCUGGUAACUGCUGCUGACGUGGAUCUUCUGACGUGGCACUAAUGACAGCUGGUAACUUGACAUGCUGAUUCUUCUUCUUCACUUCUGCAUAAUGACAUAUCUUCACACCAGUCAAGAAGUUAUUUUCAGAUCCCAUACUUAACAAGACAUUACAAUCCCUUGCUGUUAAUAAUAAUUUGCAUCCUCUAUGAUCAUCGCCAAAAGGAAUUCCAACAGUCUCUAAAUCAAGAUAUUUCCAGAUGUUAUCCAGAAUCACAAGGAUCAUCUUCUCUUUCUUCAAUCGUUCAUAAAGUCUACUAGCUCUUCUAGAUUCAGCCUCCUCGGAAAACUCCAGACCUAGUUUCUCUGCAAUUUCCCCAUGAAUCUUUUUUAUGUCUGGAGUUUGGGAUACCUCUGAAAAAACCACCUGAUCAAAGAGUUUCUCUUCACUGGCUUGCCUUGCAAACUCCUUCACCAGUGUUGUCUUUCCAAUGCCGCCCAUGCCGUAUACCCCAACGAUGUUGACAUUGACAUCAGUCAAUGCAUCUUGUAUAGACUUCAGAGUAGAAAGUCUUGAUUUAAAGGCCUCGUAACCUUUGUUAGACUUUAGCCAUACCUCCUCCGCAAUGGUACGGUAGAAAAUUCUAUCAUCAAAUCUCCUAGCUUCUGAUGAGAUAUAAUUAGUAAUCUAGUAAAUUGAGCAAGAAGUUUGAAGGGUUAUUUGGUUUGUUUUUCAACGUGAAGUAAAGGGUAAAAUUGAUGUUUGCAAUGUGGCUUUGGAAAUGUAAAGCAUGAUUAAUGUAAUCUCCAGAGUUGUCUAUAAUGCAUAUAAAUAUAGAACUCUGGUUGUAUGAAAAGGAAGAGAGAAACGAAAAAAUGAAUUAAGCAAUAAAGUUUCAGAAAUUUCCAGCAAAAUACUCUGUUCUUAAAUAAAAAAAUUUCUGCACUUCCGCUUGCACCCAACAAAUUUGGUAUCAGAGCUUUUCAAAACACCCUCAAAAUGACAUCAAAUACCCUACCCACAUUAUUUUCAUAUGCUCCCAGUCAAGUUCCAAUAUUUGAAGGGGUACAUUAUGAAUAUUGGAGUAAUCAAAUAGAAACCUUUUUCCUCUCUCAAAAUUUAUGGGAUGUUGUUGAAGAUGGAUAUGCUGAACCACCAGAAUUUGCAAGUUCUUCAGAUUGGACUCCAGCACAUCAACAGCAGUACAAAGAAAACAUACAGAGAAAUGCCACGACACUUCGAUAUAUCUAGUAAGGUGUUAGUAAGUCAAUUUUCCCAGAAUAUUUGGUGUCAAAAAGGCCAAAAAUGCUUGGGAAAUCCUAAAACAAGAAUUUCAAGGUUCCGAAAAGGCAGUCACCAUCAAGUUACAAACUUUGUGGAAAGAGUUCAAUAAUUUAUCAAUGAAAGACAGUGAAGGAGUUCAAGAUUUUUGCAGUAGAGUUACUGAGAUUGUGAACCAGAUUAAAGGUUGCGGGGACUCCAUUGAAGACAAGAAGGUGAAUGAAAAGGUGCUGAGAUGUCUUCCUCCAAAUUUUGAUCAUGUAGCAGCAGCCAUUAAAGAAUCAAGGGAUUUGUCCAGGAUGACUUUUUCAGAUUUGUCAGGAUCAUUACGGUCUCAUGAGCAAAGAAUCAAUCGACCUUCAAGUCAGCCUACAGAGCAAGCUUUUCAGUCAAAGAUUAAUAAUUUAGAUCAGAAUAAAAGCAGCAAGAAAGACCAGAAGAACGGAGGCUCGUCUCAAAGAAACGGACAGCGUGGCAAAGGGAAAAGAGAAUAGAACGACAACCGCAACAAGUGGAAAAAUGACAGAGGGAAUUCACAGCAAAAUUCAGAUUCUCGGUGCAUCAUUUGUAAUUGGUCUAAUCAUGAAUUAAAAGAUUGUCGUUAUAAAUGCACAAGGUGUCGCAUUCCUAACCAUUCUCAAAGGGAUUGUUGGUAUCAAAAUAAAAAAGGCAAAAAUGAGGCAAAUUUUACAAAAGAAGGUGAUGGAGAUUACUUGUUUUAUUCAAGUAAAGGUACUGAACGUGAAUCAUAUAAUUUUUGGUACUUGGAUAGCGGCUGCAGCAACCACAUGACUAGAGAACGUGACAUUUUCAUCAGCCUUGACUAAAGUUUUAAUUCGCAAGUGAAGCUUGGAGAUGGAAAGAUGCAGAAAGCUGUGGGAAAAGGCACUAUUGCUGUCCAUACAAAGGGAGGUAACAAAAAGCUCAUUUCUGACGUUCUUUAUGUUCCAAAUUUAACUCAAAACCUCUUGAGUGUGGGACAGCUAAUUCAAAAGGGUUUUUCAAUUUAUUUUGAUGAUGAAAAAUGCAAAAUUAUUGAUAAAACUAAUAAUCACACAGUGGCCGUUGUUGAAAUGUCAAAGAACAAAGUUUUUCCUCUUGUUAUGCCACUUGAUGAGAAUGUUGCUCUCAAAACUGAAAAUUCAGAUUUGUCAACUUUAUGGCAUCUCAGAUAUGGCCAUUUAAACUAUAAAGGGCUGAAUUUGCUCAAGCAAAAGAACAUGGUGAUUGGCCUACCUGAUGUUGGAAGAUAUGAAAAAGUUUGCGAGGGCUGUAUUUAUGGAAAAAUGCAUAGACUUCCAUUUCCUAAAAAUUCAUGGAGAGCCAAAGCUCCGUUGGAGUUGGUGCAUGCUGAUAUUUGUGGUCCUACAAGGACUUUCUCUCUCAAUAACAGGAGAUAUUUCAUUCUUUUUGUUGUUGACUAUACAAGGAUGAUGUGGAUUUAUUUUUUGAAUGAAAAAUCAGAAGCUUUCUCAACUUUUCUUCAGUUUAAAGCUCUUGCAGAAAGGCAAAGUGGAUGCAAAAUGAAGACCUUGAGAACUGAUCGUGGUGGUAAAUUUAUCUACACUCCAUUCAUGAAUUAUUGCGGGGAUAAUGGAAUUCAAAGACAACUUACUGUCAGCCGAAGUCCACAACAAAACGGAGUCGCAGAACGGAAGAACCGUACCAUUGUAGAGAUGGCAAGAAGCAUGUUAAAAGGCAAAGGCAUUCCUAACAACUUAUGGGCAGAAGCAUGUCAUACAGCUGUGUACAUCCUCAACAGGUCUNNNNNNNNNNNNNNNNNNNNNNNNNNNNNNNNNNNNNNNNNNNNNNNNNNNNNNNNNNNNNNNNNNNNNNNNNNNNNNNNNNNNNNNNNNNNNNNNNNNNNNNNNNNNNNNNNNNNNNNNNNNNNNNNNNNNNNNNNNNNNNNNNNNNNNNNNNNNNNNNNNNAUAGUGAUGAGUCUAAAGGGUAUCGGUUGUUGAAUCCUACAACAAAUAAGCUUGUUAUCUCAAGAGAUGUUGUAUUUGAUGAGGCAUCAGCUUGGCAGUGGGAAAACGAUCAAUCUCAAGCAUCUAGCUUUUUUGAAGCUCCUGUAUCUCCACCAAAUUCUUCACAGCAAAAUAAUUUGGAACCAAAUUCUCCAAAUUCAGCAGCAGAAAGUUCUUCGGAUGAUGAAAGCCCUCCAAGGAAGAUAAAGUCAAUGAGAGAAAUUUAUGAGUCAUGUGAACUUGCUUUAUUUUCUUGUGAGCCUCAAGACUUUGAGGAGGCCUCAAGAAAUGAAGAUUGGAUCAAAGCAAUGAACGAGGAAAUGGCCACCAUUGUGAAAAAUAAAACUUGGGAGAUGGUUAAUUUGCCAAAUGGAAAAGAAACAAUUGGGCUGAAAUGGAUCUUCAAAAUCAAGUACAAUGAAGAUGGUUCAGUUCAAAAAUAUAAGGCGCGGCUCGUUGCCAAAGGAUACUCUCAGCUGCCUGGAGUUGAUUUUACAGAAACAUUUGCUCCCGUAGCUCGAAUGGAGACUAUUCGAACUGUUCUUGCCUUGGCAGCCCAAAUGGAAUUAAAUGUGUUUCAGCUAGAUGUAAAAUCGGCAUUUCUAAAUGGUGAAAUUGAAGACGAGGUUUAUGUUGAGCAGCCUAAAGGAGACUAAACGCAACNNNNNNNNNNNNNNNNNNNNNNNNNNNNNNNNNNNNNNNNNNNNNNNNNNNNNNNNNNNNNNNNNNNNNNNNNNNNNNNNNNNNNNNNNNNNNNNNNNNNNNNNNNNNNNNNNNNNNNNNNNNNNNNNNNNNNNNNNNNNNNNNNNNNNNNNNNNNNNNNNNNNNNNNNNNNNNNNNNNNNNNNNNNNNNNNNNNNNNNNNNNNNNNNNNNNNNNNNNNNNNNNNNNNNNNNNNNNNNNNNNNNNNNNNNNNNNNNNNNNNNNNNNNNNNNNNNNNNNNNNNNNNNNNNNNNNNNNNNNNNNNNNNNNNNNNNNNNNNNNNNNNNNNNNNNNNNNNNNNNNNNNNNNNNNNNNNNNNNNNNNNNNNNNNNNNNNNNNNNNNNNNNNNNNNNNNNNNNNNNNNNNNNNNNNNNNNNNNNNNNNNNNNNNNNNNNNNNNNNNNNNNNNNNNNNNNNNNNNNNNNNNNNNNNNNNNNNNNNNNNNNNNNNNNNNNNNNNNNNNNNNNNNNNNNNNNNNNNNNNNNNNNNNNNNNNNNNNNNNNNNNNNNNNNNNNNNNNNNNNNNNNNNNNNNNNNNNNNNNNNNNNNNNNNNNNNNNNNNNNNNNNNNNNNNNNNNNNNNNNNNNNNNNNNNNNNNNNNNNNNNNNNNNNNNNNNNNNNNNNNNNNNNNNNNNNNNNNNNNNNNNNNNNNNNNNNNNNNNNNNNNNNNNNNNNNNNNNNNNNNNNNNNNNNNNNNNNNNNNNNNNNNNNNNNNNNNNNNNNNNNNNNNNNNNNNNNNNNNNNNNNNNNNNNNNNNNNNNNNNNNNNNNNNNNNNNNNNNNNNNNNNNNNNNNNNNNNNNNNNNNNNNNNNNNNNNNNNNNNNNNNNNNNNNNNNNNNNNNNNNNNNNNNNNNNNNNNNNNNNNNNNNNNNNNNNNNNNNNNNNNNNNNNNNNNNNNNNNNNNNNNNNNNNNNNNNNNNNNNNNNNNNNNNNNNNNNNNNNNNNNNNNNNNNNNNNNNNNNNNNNNNNNNNNNNNNNNNNNNNNNNNNNNNNNNNNNNNNNNNNNNNNNNNNNNNNNNNNNNNNNNNNNNNNNNNNNNNNNNNNNNNNNNNNNNNNNNNNNNNNNNNNNNNNNNNNNNNNNNNNNNNNNNNNNNNNNNNNNNNNNNNNNNNNNNNNNNNNNNNNNNNNNNNNNNNNNNNNNNNNNNNNNNNNNNNNNNNNNNNNNNNNNNNNNNNNNNNNNNNNNNNNNNNNNNNNNNNNNNNNNNNNNNNNNNNNNNNNNNNNNNNNNNNNNNNNNNNNNNNNNNNNNNNNNNNNNNNNNNNNNNNNNNNNNNNNNNNNNNNNNNNNNNNNNNNNNNNNNNNNNNNNNNNNNNNNNNNNNNNNNNNNNNNNNNNNNNNNNNNNNNNNNNNNNNNNNNNNNNNNNNNNNNNNNNNNNNNNNNNNNNNNNNNNNNNNNNNNNNNNNNNNNNNNNNNNNNNNNNNNNNNNNNNNNNNNNNNNNNNNNNNNNNNNNNNNNNNNNNNNNNNNNNNNNNNNNNNNNNNNNNNNNNNNNNNNNNNNNNNNNNNNNNNNNNNNNNNNNNNNNNNNNNNNNNNNNNNNNNNNNNNNNNNNNNNNNNNNNNNNNNNNNNNNNNNNNNNNNNNNNNNNNNNNNNNNNNNNNNNNNNNNNNNNNNNNNNNNNNNNNNNNNNNNNNNNNNNNNNNNNNNNNNNNNNNNNNNNNNNNNNNNNNNNNNNNNNNNNNNNNNNNNNNNNNNNNNNNNNNNNNNNNNNNNNNNNNNNNNNNNNNNNNNNNNNNNNNNNNNNNNNNNNNNNNNNNNNNNNNNNNNNNNNNNNNNNNNNNNNNNNNNNNNNNNNNNNNNNNNNNNNNNNNNNNNNNNNNNNNNNNNNNNNNNNNNNNNNNNNNNNNNNNNNNNNNNNNNNNNNNNNNNNNNNNNNNNNNNNNNNNNNNNNNNNNNNNNNNNNNNNNNNNNNNNNNNNNNNNNNNNNNNNNNNNNNNNNNNNNNNNNNNNNNNNNNNNNNNNNNNNNNNNNNNNNNNNNNNNNNNNNNNNNNNNNNNNNNNNNNNNNNNNNNNNNNNNNNNNNNNNNNNNNNNNNNNNNNNNNNNNNNNNNNNNNNNNNNNNNNNNNNNNNNNNNNNNNNNNNNNNNNNNNNNNNNNNNNNNNNNNNNNNNNNNNNNNNNNNNNNNNNNNNNNNNNNNNNNNNNNNNNNNNNNNNNNNNNNNNNNNNNNNNNNNNNNNNNNNNNNNNNNNNNNNNNNNNNNNNNNNNNNNNNNNNNNNNNNNNNNNNNNNNNNNNNNNNNNNNNNNNNNNNNNNNNNNNNNNNNNNNNNNNNNNNNNNNNNNNNNNNNNNNNNNNNNNNNNNNNNNNNNNNNNNNNNNNNNNNNNNNNNNNNNNNNNNNNNNNNNNNNNNNNNNNNNNNNNNNNNNNNNNNNNNNNNNNNNNNNNNNNNNNNNNNNNNNNNNNNNNNNNNNNNNNNNNNNNNNNNNNNNNNNNNNNNNNNNNNNNNNNNNNNNNNNNNNNNNNNNNNNNNNNNNNNNNNNNNNNNNNNNNNNNNNNNNNNNNNNNNNNNNNNNNNNNNNNNNNNNNNNNNNNNNNNNNNNNNNNNNNNNNNNNNNNNNNNNNNNNNNNNNNNNNNNNNNNNNNNNNNNNNNNNNNNNNNNNNNNNNNNNNNNNNNNNNNNNNNNNNNNNNNNNNNNNNNNNNNNNNNNNNNNNNNNNNNNNNNNNNNNNNNNNNNNNNNNNNNNNNNNNNNNNNNNNNNNNNNNNNNNNNNNNNNNNNNNNNNNNNNNNNNNNNNNNNNNNNNNNNNNNNNNNNNNNNNNNNNNNNNNNNNNNNNNNNNNNNNNNNNNNNNNNNNNNNNNNNNNNNNNNNNNNNNNNNNNNNNNNNNNNNNNNNNNNNNNNNNNNNNNNNNNNNNNNNNNNNNNNNNNNNNNNNNNNNNNNNNNNNNNNNNNNNNNNNNNNNNNNNNNNNNNNNNNNNNNNNNNNNNNNNNNNNNNNNNNNNNNNNNNNNNNNNNNNNNNNNNNNNNNNNNNNNNNNNNNNNNNNNNNNNNNNNNNNNNNNNNNNNNNNNNNNNNNNNNNNNNNNNNNNNNNNNNNNNNNNNNNNNNNNNNNNNNNNNNNNNNNNNNNNNNNNNNNNNNNNNNNNNNNNNNNNNNNNNNNNNNNNNNNNNNNNNNNNNNNNNNNNNNNNNNNNNNNNNNNNNNNNNNNNNNNNNNNNNNNNNNNNNNNNNNNNNNNNNNNNNNNNNNNNNNNNNNNNNNNNNNNNNNNNNNNNNNNNNNNNNNNNNNNNNNNNNNNNNNNNNNNNNNNNNNNNNNNNNNNNNNNNNNNNNNNNNNNNNNNNNNNNNNNNNNNNNNNNNNNNNNNNNNNNNNNNNNNNNNNNNNNNNNNNNNNNNNNNNNNNNNNNNNNNNNNNNNNNNNNNNNNNNNNNNNNNNNNNNNNNNNNNNNNNNNNNNNNNNNNNNNNNNNNNNNNNNNNNNNNNNNNNNNNNNNNNNNNNNNNNNNNNNNNNNNNNNNNNNNNNNNNNNNNNNNNNNNNNNNNNNNNNNNNNNNNNNNNNNNNNNNNNNNNNNNNNNNNNNNNNNNNNNNNNNNNNNNNNNNNNNNNNNNNNNNNNNNNNNNNNNNNNNNNNNNNNNNNNNNNNNNNNNNNNNNNNNNNNNNNNNNNNNNNNNNNNNNNNNNNNNNNNNNNNNNNNNNNNNNNNNNNNNNNNNNNNNNNNNNNNNNNNNNNNNNNNNNNNNNNNNNNNNNNNNNNNNNNNNNNNNNNNNNNNNNNNNNNNNNNNNNNNNNNNNNNNNNNNNNNNNNNNNNNNNNNNNNNNNNNNNNNNNNNNNNNNNNNNNNNNNNNNNNNNNNNNNNNNNNNNNNNNNNNNNNNNNNNNNNNNNNNNNNNNNNNNNNNNNNNNNNNNNNNNNNNNNNNNNNNNNNNNNNNNNNNNNNNNNNNNNNNNNNNNNNNNNNNNNNNNNNNNNNNNNNNNNNNNNNNNNNNNNNNNNNNNNNNNNNNNNNNNNNNNNNNNNNNNNNNNNNNNNNNNNNNNNNNNNNNNNNNNNNNNNNNNNNNNNNNNNNNNNNNNNNNNNNNNNNNNNNNNNNNNNNNNNNNNNNNNNNNNNNNNNNNNNNNNNNNNNNNNNNNNNNNNNNNNCUCAAGGAUUUGCAGUUCAAUCAAGAUGCUGCAACAACAAUUUAUUGUGACAACAUGUCAGCCAUUGCUCUAACAAAGAACCCCGUAUUUCAUGCUAAAUCUAAGCACAUUGAGCUGCGUUAUCACUACAUCCGUGACUUAGUAAGCAAAGGAGAAGUUAAUAUGGAGUUUAUCAACACUAAUGAGCAGCCAGCAGAUUUUGUCACGUGGGUCACCGUCGAUUUUUACCAACAAAUCAUAGGUUUCGAAAAUAUAGUGUCUUUUGAUAAAACUAGAGAGUAGGGACAAGCACCUUCUCGGUUGUCUGGAACUGAAGUGAAAAAGCAGUUUAAUAUAGUUACUGAGUAUAAGAUUGAAGACUUGAAAAGAGGAGAACGAAUAAAAUGAGAGAAAUGAUAAGAUUACCUGGAAGAAGAACAGCAUUUUUUAUGAACUAACGUAUUGGUUUUUGAUAUCAUGAUCUUGAUAUCAUGCACUGUUUUGAUUUUUGUUAUGAACUCAGAUCAAAAGUUUAAUGUGAUCAAAAUUUCUUAAAAAUAGUGACAACGACUCCUCCUAAUAACAUUGAAGAUGGCUAUAAAAGAUAAAAGGAAAGGAUUAAAAAGAAAAGCUACGCCUGUUUCAAAAAAAAAAAUGGCGGCAUCAAGUUUAUAACAAAAAUCAAAACGGUGCGUUUGAAAGUGUAUAAAAUACAUUUAGAGCGGGAGUUGCGUUGUUUCUUGAAGGCAGAAUGUUUGUGAGAUUUUUGUCGACGAAGCCAAAACCAAAGAUGAAGCCCAUAGAGCUCAAAACUCCACCGGAGCAAAUUCAGACAAUUACGAGGGUUAUAUUUGACAUGGUCAAGGAAGACGGUCCUCUCACCGUCGCCGAUUCUUGGGAACGCGUCAAGGUGUGUGUAUCUGUUAAAUUGAAUUUCAACCGUUUGGUCUGUAAUUAUAAUUAAUCCUAUCGAUCUGACAGUGAUGAUUGAUCAUAAUACUAGUAGUUGUUUUACAUUUUCUACAAGCUGGAGUGAGUGGAUUGACGGGCAAAAGCCACNNNNNNNNNNNNNNNNNNNNNNNNNNNNNNNNNNNNNNNNNNNNNNNNNNNNNNNNNNNNNNNNNNNNNNNNNNNNNNNNNNNNNNNNNNNNNNNNNNNNNNNNNNNNNNNNNNNNNNNNNNNNNNNNNNNNNNNNNNNNNNNNNNNNNNNNNNNNNNNNNNNNNNNNNNNNNNNNNNNNNNNNNNNNNNNNNNNNNNNNNNNNNNNNNNNNNNNNNNNNNNNNNNNNNNNNNNNNNNNNNNNNNNNNNNNNNNNNNNNNNNNNNNNNNNNNNNNNNNNNNNNNNNNNNNNNNNNNNNNNNNNNNNNNNNNNNNNNNNNNNNNNNNNNNNNNNNNNNNNNNNNNNNNNNNNNNNNNNNNNNNNNNNNNNNNNNNNNNNNNNNNNNNNNNNNNNNNNNNNNNNNNNNNNNNNNNNNNNNNNNNNNNNNNNNNNNNNNNNNNNNNNNNNNNNNNNNNNNNNNNNNNNNNNNNNNNNNNNNNNNNNNNNNNNNNNNNNNNNNNNNNNNNNNNNNNNNNNNNNNNNNNNNNNNNNNNNNNNNNNNNNNNNNNNNNNNNNNNNNNNNNNNNNNNNNNNNNNNNNNNNNNNNNNNNNNNNNNNNNNNNNNNNNNNNNNNNNNNNNNNNNNNNNNNNNNNNNNNNNNNNNNNNNNNNNNNNNNNNNNNNNNNNNNNNNNNNNNNNNNNNNNNNNNNNNNNNNNNNNNNNNNNNNNNNNNNNNNNNNNNNNNNNNNNNNNNNNNNNNNNNNNNNNNNNNNNNNNNNNNNNNNNNNNNNNNNNNNNNNNNNNNNNNNNNNNNNNNNNNNNNNNNNNNNNNNNNNNNNNNNNNNNNNNNNNNNNNNNNNNNNNNNNNNNNNNCAAGCCACAUGAAGAUUGUGUAGAGAUGGAUGAGGGAGAGACAAAAGCUCAGGCUCGUCUGCAACCAUGUGGGCCCUCAUUAGCAACUCCUGUACACAGCUUGGCUUACCAAGCCCAACAACUUGAAGCAGGCAAAGUCAGGGAAUGACCAUUCCCCUUCACAACCCUAGCUGCCUUAACCUUGUAUCUCUGAUAUUUAGUUAAAGAGUAAGAAGAUUGCUCCUCUGUCAAUUACCUUUAAGAGAGACUUUCUUUCUCAUUCAUUGAUGCUUGCUUGUGAACGCAAGGGUUUUAGUUACACUUUCAACGCUGUCAAUGUAGUGACACGAUGAAGAUGAAGUAAAGCAGUAGUAGAAUAAUGAAGUUGGAAGCCCCACAGCAUGAAAACUUUUAAACAGUAACACAUCUUUUAUUCCAGAGGCUGCACACGAGUGACCUGAAUCUUCUUCAGAACUUUCAAAUUUUAUUAAGCAAAGCUUUCAAAAUUUCUCAACAAAAUGAUUAUUUGGUGUGGUUGCGGCAUUUUGAGUAACUGCGAUUUGUUCUCAAGUACAAAAUCCUUGCCUUCCUAAGUUAGAAAAGAUAGAUGUGAAGCAAACCAAAUGAAAUAAAUGGGUAAACAGAACAAACAGGGCGAAAAUUAAAAAUGAUGGCAAUUAACAAAUUAAUAGCAACGUUACAUUUGACUCUUUAGCCCUUUGUUCCUUCUCUUAGCAUUCUUCAAAGUUUUUGAAAAUUGGAAGUGAAGCAAACAAAAUAAAAUAAAUUUAGACAACACAUGCCCUGUAUUCAGCAUCAUAUAUAUCUCGAAGACUAGAAUUUCAAACAGUACUAGUAGUAAAAAAAUGACGACAACAACAAAAAUAGAAAAUUACAAGACUGCUGAUAAAAUUUCAUUUGCAUGCAUGUCUGACAAAAUUUCCGUGAUUUAAUGUGCCUUCAUGCACGCAAAUCCUAACGUUUCUGUGAUCACAAAAUGAAACUGGAGAUAAAUCAGAACACCUACCAAACCUUUGGCUGAAAAUUCAGAAGAAUUUAUAUUCAAGAUGUCAAAGUAAACUGGAAAUUUAUGGCACAUAUUACAAGAAGCAGUACACACCAAUGGUAAAUUGAUUCAUCGUCUUUGAACUUAAGAUAGUCAAAUGAAAGAAACACAACGGAGGGUUAAUGCAAUACAGUAAAGUGAAAACCCUCAGCAUGUAAACUUAACUUCAAAGAACGGAGCACAAGUUUCACAGAAAAGUAGCUCUUAUUCCUGAUGCUGCAAACACAGAGGAGUGUUCUCAAUCUUCUUCAUAACUUGGGAAUUCUGCAAUUAUAGAGCACGACAUUGAGCACGAACUAAAAAAAAAAAUUAUUUUCUACAAUUUUCAUAUAACCUGACUAACCAAUAUUAAUUUUGUGGUAAUGUAUUGGGUCAUUAAUUCAUAUGUUUUUACAAUCAUCACUUUAGAAAAAAACUAAUUUCUCAAUGUGAAAUGGCCCAUUGAAAGUAUUCUCAUUUAAAAACUAAAUUUGACGGACCCCUCGAUUAAAGCAGGGAAAAAAAAAAAAGAGAUCUGAGGCUUUCCACAUGAAAAUGUUGUUUGUCACUUUGAAUGAUAUUUUGAAGGGAUUUCAUUCUAAAAAUAAAAUACCUGGGACCUCAUUCUUCAAAAUUGACAACUCGCCAGGUAUUAAAAGCGUAUGAGAUCAGUACUGCGACGAGUAAGAAGACGACCCCUCUAACAGCUGAAAACAAAAUUCGCAUUCAUCAAUUUAAAUUAAAAUUCAUAUUAUGAAACUAAAACUAAUGAUUAAUGAAUUUUCGAGGAAUUUAAUAAGAUUCUCAGAUAUAAACGUGAUAACAAAUUCACUCAUCAAUAACAAAUAUUCUAACAGUUGUCCGUACCUUUUCUUGAUGUAAUUGUUGUAUGAUUGCGUUAAGGUCAUUAUUAGACCAACGCAGGUUGUCCUCUCUCUGUCCGUACCGGAAGUUUACUCUGACAGGCGUGCUUAAUUCUCUUUUGGUGAAAAUCUUCAUCUUGGGACAACCAAUCACAGCAAGAUCUUCCAAAGAUGGGAAUUUGAAGGUGUAAUUGACAGAGGAGAAGCUUGUGAGACUAUCUAAAUCAAAGAGGGACAACGUAGUCAGUUUGCUGAAAACAAUCUCUUCUUUUAAAUUUGCUGUUUCAUCUUCGUCACUUAUUACGACUUCUGUGAUUGCUCUGCAUCCAAAUACACCCAAUGAUACGAGUCGGUCUAGACUUUUUGCUGUGGAGGAUGUUAGUAAGUUCAUCAAUUUCUUGCAAGCAAAAGCUUGCAGGCGUGUGAGAUUCCGAAAAGAUACCGAUGAUGAUGGCAAUGUUGGAACAUUUUCAAAAUAAAUGUGUCUUAUGGUAAAGACAUGUCCUAUUAAUUGUGCCUUAUAGAAAAUGUACCUUUCACUAAAGACAUGUCUAAUUAAAUGAUGUCUUGUUGUAAGGACAUGUCCAUUUAAUUGUGUCUUGUAGAAAAUGUAUCUUUUUACUAAAUGAUGUAACUUUUCAUGACAACAUUUCACUUAGAGAUGCAUCAUUUCAUGGUGACAUUUCAUUUGAAAUUGUGAUGAUUCAAUUUGGACCAUUGAUUAAAAUCAAAUCUAGAUCCAAUGGCCAUGAAUGAAGGGGUAUCAUGAAAGAUGACAACCCAAAUGAGGGGGCACAAGUAUAUCUAUAAAUAGGGAUCAUGUUUAAGCCAUUUAGACAUGAAAUAAAUGAUCCUACACCACUCUUUUCUUAGCAUUCUUUUCUAGUACGAAUUUCAACACAAAACACCCAUUUCUUUUGUGCAUUCACAUUCCAAUAUAUUGUUUUCUGCAGGAACAAUAUAUUGUUUCUUGGCAGGCUUGCAACAUUCAAGAGUAUUCUGGUUUGCUUUCGUCGAUGCACAGCGCAAGCAAACAAACAAGUGCUUCAUUGUAUCCUGGAGGCGUAUUUGCUUAACCUAUGUGCAUCACUCAAUUGGUGGGGGCAAAUAACGUCUUAAGGAAAGCGACAUUUGUAACGUGCCUUGAAGCACACAAAAUUUCUGCAGUUUCUUCCUAUAUACAGAGUUAGUUGUAAACACAUUACUUUACAUAAUAAAGUUCCACCAUUAUUGUUGUAUUUUUCUACAUUUGCCAUUCCCCAAAAAUUUUACCACCAACAAUCUUAAGACGUUAUUUCUACAACAAUGGCACCAAGUUCAUCUCUUCGACAAUUCACAGUAGAUUUUGUCAAAUUGGAGCGGUUCGAUGGUGGCAACUUUAUUCGUUGGCAGAAAAAGUUGCAUUUCUUGUUGACAAGCAUCAAUGUGGUCUAUGUUCUCACAACACCAAAGCCUCAAGAACGUGAGAAUGAGACAUUAGCGGAAACCAGAGUGCAACAUAAGUGGGAGCAAGAUGACUACGUGUGUAAGGGACACAUUUGCAAUGCCAUGUCUGAUACUUUGUUUGAUCAAUAUCACAACAAACCUACAGCAAAAGAGAUAUGGGACUCAUUAGAGGCUAAGUACAUGAUGGAAGAUGCCACAAGUAAGAAAUUAUUGGCUUCUAAAUUUUUUAAUUAUAGAAUGGUUGAUAAUAGAAUUGUGGUUGAACAACAUAAUGAGAUUUUGCAUAUUCUUGAUCAAUUCAACCAACAUAACAUGAAAAUGGAUGAGUCUAUUAUUGUCUCUUCAAUUAUUGAUAAACUUCCUCCCUCUUGGAAAGACUAUAAGAAAAGUCUUAAACAUAACAAAGAGGAAAUUAGUCUGGAUGGCUUAGGCCAAAGUCUUCGCAUUGAAGAGGAACUCAAGCUUAAUAGUUUUGAGGAUCAGACUACUACGUCCUCUAAAAUUAAUGUCGUAGAGGAAGGGAAGGAGUUUAAACAUUCUAAUCACCCUAAGAAUAAUCAAAAGAGAAAGUUUGAUUCCAAAGAGAAUCAAAACAAUAAGAAGAAAAAGAAGGGUACAUGCCACCACUGCGGAAAACCUGGCCACUUCAAAAGAGAUUGUCGACUUCUGAAGAAACAAAAGAAAGUUUCGAACACAAAUUUUGUGGCCAUGAUAUCUGAGAUUAAUGUUCUUGAAGAUGAUAAUGCAUGGUGGAUAGAUUCAGGUGCAACCAAGCAUGUAUGCAAGGAUCGUAGCCUUUUCAAAUCUUAUAAAGCAAUGGAUGAUGGAAGUGUUCUUUACAUGGGAAAUUCCUCCACUGCAAUAGUUAAAGGAAAAGGCAAUGUGCAACUAGAGUUUACUUCUGGAAAAACUUUAACUCUUAUUGAUGUUUAUCAUGUUCCUGAAGUUAGGAAAAACCUUGUAUCUGGUAGCCUUCUUAAUAAGUUUGGCUUCAAACUUGUUUUUGAGUCAAACCAAUUUAUAUUAUCUAAGGGUGGUACCUUUGUUGGGAAAGGAUACAUGUAUGAAGGAAUGUUUAAACUCAAUAUCAAUAAUAUGAAUGUUUCUUCUGCUUAUAUGGUUGAUUCAUUAUCUUUGUGGCAUAAUCGUUUAGGACAUGUGAAUAUUAGAAGAUUGCAUGAUAUGGCUAAUUUAGAGUUAAUUCCUAAGCAUGAAAAUGAUAUGCAUGAAAAAUGUAAAGUAUGUGCACAGACUAAAAUCACAAGAUCUCCUUUUCCAAAAAUUGAAAAAACAUCUUCUUUAUUGCAUUUAAUUCAUAGCGAUGUGUGUGAUAUGCAUAGUAAUCCUUCUAAAUGUGGUAAAAAAUAUUUUGUAACAUUUAUUGAUGAUUUUUCAAAAUAUUGCUAUGUGUAUUUAUUACAUUCUAAAGAUCAAGUGUUAGAAAAAUUUAAAACUUAUAAAAAUGAAGUUGAGAAUUUUUGUGACACUAAAAUUAAAUGCCUUAGAAGUGAUAAAGGAGGUGAAUAUGCUUUUUCUGAAUUUUGUGAAUCUGUUGGCAUUGUACAUGAAACUAGCACUGCAUGUACUCCACAACAAAAUGGCGUAGCUGAAAGGAAAAAUAGGACAUUAAUAGAAAUGGUUAAUGCUAUGCUUUUUAAUGCUGGGCUUGGUAAAGGUUUUUGGGGUGAAGCUAUUUUAACUGCAUGUCAUAUCUUAAAUAGAGUGCCUAAUAAGAAAACAAAGGUGACCCCAUAUGAAUUAUGGAAAAAGAGAAAGCCUAAUCUUUCUUAUCUAAGAGUUUGGGGUUGUCGAGCCAUUGUAAGACUACCAAAACCUAAGAUAAAGAAAUUAGGAGAAAGGGGCAUUGAAUGCAUAUUCUUGGGAUAUGCUGAGCAUAGUAAAGCUUAUAGGUUUCUUGUAACAGAACCUAAUAGCUUUGUUGAGAUCAAUACUAUAGUGGAAUCUAGAGAUGCAAUAUUAUAUGAAAAUAGAUUUUCCACUAUACCAAAAAGUAUUGAUUCUCAAGAGAAUGAUAAACAAAUAGAAAUUGGUCAAAAGCGUGAUGCUAAUAAUGAGCAAAAUCAUUUGAGAAGAAGUAAAAGAAUAAGGACUAUAAAAUCUUUUCCAGAUUUUAUAGUCUAUUUAGUUGAAGGGACAAGAGACUCACAAUCAAAACAGACCAUGAUCGUAUCUACUAUAGAGUCUGAUCCCCUCACCUAUGAAGAUGCAAUGAAGUCUCAAGAUGCUGCUUUUUGGAAAGAGGCCAUUAAUGAUGAAAUGGACUCUAUUGUGGGUAAUAAGACUUGGAAAUUAGUUGAUUUACCACCUGGCUCUAAUCCUAUAGGUUGUAAAUGGAUUUUCAAAAAGAAGAAGAAAGUUGAUGGAACAAUUGAAAGAUUUAAAGCAAGACUAGUAGCAAAAGGCUUUACACAAAAAGAAGGCCUUGAUUAUUUUGAUACUUAUGCACCUGUUGCAAGAAUUGCUACUAUUAGAGUCUUGAUUGCUUUGGCUUCAAUUUAUCAAUUUGAAAUCCAUCAAAUGGAUGUAAAAACAGCUUUCUUAAAUGGAGAAUUAGAUGAGGAAAUUUACAUGAAACAACCAGAAGGGUUUGUUAUGCCAGGACAAGAACAUAAAGUUUGUAAACUAGUCAAGUCUUUAUAUGGUCUUAAACAAGCUCCAAAGCAGUGGCACGAAAAGUUUGACAAAGUGAUUGUCUCAAAUGGAUUUAAUAUUCAUGAAUCUGAUAAAUGUGUCUAUAGCAGAUUCAAUGGAAAUAAAGGUGUGAUUAUUUGUUUAUAUGUAGAUGACAUGUUAAUUUUUGGUAUUGAUAGUGAGAGCAUUGAACUCACUAAAUUAUUAUUGUCAUCUAAUUUUGAUAUGAAAGACAUGAGACUUGCUGAUGUGAUUUUGGGGAUUAAAAUUAUAAAAAAUGAGAAUGGCCUAGUAUUGACCCAAUCACAUUAUAUUGAGAAAAUUUUAAAGAAAUUUAAUUAUUAUGAUUGUAAGUCUGUGUCAACACCUUUUGAUUCAAACAUAAGACUGUAUCCUAACACUGGCAUAUCAGUAUCUCAAUUAGAAUAUGCACGUAUUAUUGGGUGUUUUAUGUAUGCGAUGACUUGUACUAGGCCUGAUAUUGCUUUCGCUAUUGGAAAGCUCAGUAGAUAUACUAGUAAUCCAAGCCAAGCACACUGGCAAGCAGUGUACAAAAUUCUAAAAUAUUUAAAACAUACAAUGGAUUAUGGUAUAUACUACACUGGAUAUCCUUCAGUUUUGGAAGGAUUUUCAGAUGCUAGUUGGAUUACUGAUCGAGAUGAUCAUACAUCCACAAGUGGUUGGAUUUUUAAUCUUGGUGGAGGAGCUAUUUCAUGGGGUUCAAAGAAGUAAACUUGUAUAGCAGACUCCACCAUGGCUGCAGAAUUUGUAGCGUUGGCUUCAUGUUGCAAGGAAGCUGAAUGGUUAAGGAAUUUGCUUAUAGAAAUUCCUAUUUGGCCUAAACCAAUGCCUCCUGUAUCUAUUCACUGUGAUAGUGAGGCAACUUUAUCAAGAGCAUAUAGUCAAAUCUAUAAUGGAAAGUCUAGGCACAUUGGUCUGAGACAUAGUUAUGUAAGACAAUUACUUACAGAUGGAGUAAUCACAAUUGACUUUGUGAAAUCAUGCCAAAAUUUGGCAGACCCCUUAACUAAAGGUCUUGCAAGGGAUAUUGUAUUUAAAACUUCUAAGGGGAUGGGACUGAAGCCAACAUCAUCUUAUCACCAAUGAUGGAAACUCAACCCAACACUUGAAAUAUCAAGAUCUUGGGUUCAAUGAGCAAAAGUACAUCAUAUGUUGUGAUAGGAAGCACUAUAAUAUUUUUAGAUGCGUCCCAAAGGUUAGUGCUUGAUACUUGUAACAUAUGGGAAAGGUUAAGCUACUUAGCUUUUAAUGGACUUAUAAAUGUUUUAGUUACAGGGACAUUCUAGAUAAGUCUACCUAUGUGAGUGUAUGAGGUGGUGCCGCUUCCUAUGUAACUUGGCUGGUUACUAAAGCGCUAAUGAAAACAGGAUAUAGACACAGGGCCAAUCCACGUGUCGGCUAAGGAAUACUUGAGAAUUUGAAAACUUAUGUGUGAGGUAUAUCCGGUUAGUCGAUUAAGGUCGCUGGUUCAAAGCUUGCCUACCAUGCCACCUUGAUUAACUUUGAUGUAUUGUCACUAAGUGAAGGUUCAAGUCCACAAGACACCUUCAUCUAUGCAUAAGUUUUCCAAGCCUGUGUAAGAUAAUUUUUCAAAAUUCAUUUAUUUUGAAAAUGGUGGGGGAUUGUUGGAACAUUUUCAAAAUAAAUGUGUCUUAUGGUAAAGACAUGUCCUAUUAAUUGUGCCUUAUAGAAAAUGUACCUUUCACUAAAGACAUGUCUAAUUAAAUGAUGUUUUGUUGUAAGGACAUGUCCAUUUAAUUGUGUCUUGUAGAAAAGGUAUCUUUUUACUAAAUGAUGUAACUUUUCAUGACAACAUUUCACUUAGAGAUGCAUCAUUUCAUGGUGACAUUUCAUUUGAAAUGGUGAUGAUUCAAUUUGGACCAUUGAUUAAAAUCAAAUCUAGAUCCAAUGGCCAUGAAUGAAGGGGUAUCAUGAAAGAUGACAACCCAAAUGAGGGGGCACAAAUAUAUCUAUAAAUAGGGAUCAUGUUUAAGCCAUUUAGACAUGAAAUAAAUGAUCCUACACCACUCUUUUCUUAGCAUUCUUUUCUAGUACGAAUUUCAACACAAAACACCCAUUUCUUUUGUGCAUUCACAUUCCAAUAUAUUGUUUUCUGCAGGAACAAUAUAUUGUUUCUUGGCAGGCUUGCAACAUUCAAGAGUAUUCUGGUUUGCUUUCGUCGAUGCACAACGCAAGCAAACAAACAAGUGUUUCAUUGUAUCCUGGAGGCGUAUUUGCUUAACCUAUGUGCAUCACUCAAUUAGUGGGGGCAAAUAACGUCUUAAGGAAAUCGACAUUUGUAACGUGCCUUGAAGCACACAAAAUUUCUGCAGUUUCUUCCUAUAUACAGAGUUAGUUGUAAACACAUUACUUUACAUAAUAAAGUUCCACCAUUAUUGUUGUAUUUUUCUACAUUUGCCAUUCCCCACAAAUUUUACCACCAACAGGCAAUAGACUUAACAGAUUUUGACAGUGAUAUGCUCUUAGAAUUUCAAGAUGUUGAAAAAUGAAGUCCGGCUGUUUGGAAUCGUGUUUCCACAGUUGCUGUAGAUGAUUAAGUCUUGUCAGGUGUAACUCUUUUAUCAGUGCUAGCUUCCUCGCAUGUGUCUCCAAAUACCACUUCGUACGAACAAUCCGACAGGUGGAGAAAUUCCAGAUUGUGAAACCUCUCAAGUAAACCAAGUGGAAAGAAAGCUAAGUCAUCAUCCUCAACCUGUAGUCGUUUGAGACUGCCAAAGAUGUGUUGGGGGAAAUGGCCUUGCAAAAUCAUCGUGAUAUCUUUUCCACUUAAUGCCAGUUCCUCCAAGUUGGGUAAGAUCUGAUCAUCAUCGAGCUCAAAUUAUUAACUCAGCACAUUGAUCCAUAAUUCAAGACUGGCAAAAUUCAUUAUGUAAUCAAAGUUUUCAAUGAUUAUAUAUAUAUAUAUAUAGUGCUUUCGUUGGAAUUAAUUAUUAAAAGCUUUAAUCAAACAAUGUUUGGAUUGGGUCGGCCUAUCCAACUUUUAAAUAAGAUUACCAACUUUAAAUUAAAAUUGCUUUAGAUCGCGGUUGGUCAGGUUUUAGUGGAGGUACGUGGCGUUGUAUCUAGAUCGAUGCAGAGCCAAGUCUGUCCUUUGGAACCAGAUCUGACUUAGGACAGAUCAAUAUUCCGCACGCUCUAGUUUCCAGCCGAUAUACCAAUAUUAUUUACCAAAUAUUUAUUAAGUUCUUUAGUCAAGCCUAGCAACAACAUUCAUCUAAAGGCUUGGGUGCAUACACAGUACUAUUUCCUUCUGGUAUCAGAGCCAAGGGGAGGAUAGUGUAAUACAGUUUAGAGUUUUGUGUUUAAAGACUUGUGUUUUAUUUUGAAGUUUUGUUGUGUGGUGAAUUUUUACUGGUAGUAAGUCCCGUCCAAGGAUAAGUUUUUCGUUUAGGGCUGUAAAACCAUACCUGUAGCCAUUCUGACCAAACCAUAAAUAGACCAUAGGUUUGUAACCAUGGAUCCUCUACUCUGUAGAACAUCGUCCUUUUCUAGCUCUUCUUCCGGGAAGACUAGUGAUUCAAAGCAUGUUGUGAGUUCAGAAGAAUUCGUUAUUGAGAACUUUGAUAAAGCAAUUGAUUGUUGGGAACUUCCAAAAGUUUCUAAAGAAAAGAUUUACAAAACAAAAAAGCUUGAUUUUCUAAAAAAUGAUUAUGUAAUAAAGACUGAAGAAAGAGACAUAACUCUCUCAGAACCUUUUGAAACAAUUCAUUUGUUUUCAGAAAAAUCUUUAAAGAAAUUAAGAGAAAAGAAUUAUAAUUAUAUUCACAUUGGUUUAAUCCAAGUUGGAAUAAAACCUUUGACCAAAGAAGGCUUGGAUACUUCUAUCCUUACUGUCCUUAGAGAUGGGCGAUUCAUCUCUUUUGAUGAUUCUUUGCUAAGUAGCAUCGAAUCCAGUCUUUGUAAAUGUCCGAUCUCUUUUGAUUGUUAUCCAAACAUAACAAUUUCUCUUAAAGAUAAAAACAUUUUGAAAAACAUGAUCUUACAAAUCAAAACGCAUAAUUAUAAUAUGAUUAAGGGAUCUGUCCCAGUUGCCUUAAUUUUCAAAAUUUCUUAUAAAGCCAUGAUCUUUGCGUUCAGUACGCAACACAAAUUCCAGUCAGAAAGAGAUGAAACUCUUCUCUUGCAGACUGAUAUGUCUAAAGCCAAUACUGUCAUUCCAAAACCAAUCUAGUGGAAAGAUGUCAAUCUUCCAGAAGAAUGGAUUCUUGAAGGAGCUGCUCCACCAGCAAUUCCAAAACAACUUGAACCUAAUACGGAGUUGCAAAAAGUGACUCAGUAUUCUGAUGGUAGAGUUAAACUGUCUUUCAGGAGAUCUAACUCAACCAGAUUUUCUGAUAAAGAGUCGUGUUCAAGUAUUCCUUCAUUAGAAAGGAAAUUCACAAAAAUCCCUUCUGUCAUAAAUCUUCAUUUUCAAAGUCAACCUAGGUUUUCCACUUCGGCUAUACCUAGUUCUUCCAUUUGUUCUGUUGACUAUACUACAAACAUUCCUCAUCCUAUUUAUACUAGCAGUCAACAUGAACAAAGAUAGGAAGAGAAGUAACCUUCUCCUCCAACUUCCCCUACAUUCUCUGUUGUCACAGAAAAUGUAAUUAAUGUUAUUGAAAAAGAAUUUGAACUGGAUAAAACUCUCCUUCAUAAUGAUUUUUAUUCAGAUAAUAAUAAAGAAAAGAGACUUUGGUUUUUUAAACAUUUUUUAAAUCAAAGAAAAGAAAUCCAACAAUUUUAUUAUGAAUUUGUGAACCUUCACCAAGUUCAUAUAUUAUUUUUUGAUUGGUUCGAAAUACAUUCUUCUGAUAAUAACAUUUCUUACCCCUUCAAAGAGUCAAACCCUAUUACUAUUAGGAAGAAAACCACUGAAUGGAAACUUUCUGAUAGUGAUAAAACCAUAGAAUCUGAGCAUCCACCUCUUCGGAGCAUAACCGUUGAUCACGGCGAACCUCCUAUUCAAAUUAGAGCUUCACCUUAUAAAAUCCCUAAACCAAAUGAUUCUGAUGCAAAUUUAAGUAGUAUUAUUCAACAGAAUAAUUUCUGUAAUACUAACUUAAAUACAAUAGGAAAACAGUUGACUAGAAUAGAAAACCAAUUCCAACAGUCAACCAUAGCUAUUUCUCCUGUAGCAAAGCCAAUUCCUUCAAAAUCGGAUUCUGAUAAAAAGCUUAAGGAACCUAUUUUCAAACCUUUUCAGGUUUCGAAAACUAGCCAAAAGCUUGUCCAAGAAUCAAAAUCAGAUUUUGCUAAAGCCAUUAGGGAACAACUAGAUAGGAUAGAAGCUGUUUCUUCCUCAUCUAACAGAGUCCAAAUAGCCCCUGAUACUCCCUAAUCUAGCAAGAUUGGAGUAUUAGAACAAGACCAGGUUUUUAUUGCCUCUUCCAAUCUAGAAGCCUUUACAGAAGAACCUAUUCCUAAAGCCAAUAAAAUCCAUUGGGAUUUAGCUCUCCCAACUGUCAAGUCUCCACCUGAUUUGGCCAUAGACAAUAGGCCUAGUGCAUUAAACCAAUCACGUUUUAAUGCAUCCUCUGUCUAUGAGUGGAACAUUGAUGGUAUGUCAGAAUAUAACAUCUUAGGAUUGUUGCAACAGAUGACCAUGGCAGCCAAUGCCUAUAAAACCCAAUCGGGAACUUCUGACAAGGCCAUUGCAGAAAUUCUUAUUGCGGGUUUUACUGGUCAACUUAAAGGAUGGUGGGAUCAUCUUCUUACCAAACCGCAACAAUUAGAUAUCCUAAACUCCAUACAAAUAGAUGAGAAUGGUGCCCCCAUUCUUGAUGAGUUCAAUAGUCCUAUUCAGGAUGCUGUUGCUACCCUGAUUUUGACUAUAUCCCUCCAUUUCAUAGGUGACCCUGCUCACCUUAGAGACAAAAACGCCGAGUUACUAUACAAUUUGAGGUGUAGAAAACUUAGUGAAUUCCAAAGCUAUAAAACCUCUUUCUUCACUAGACUUUUCCUUAAGGAUGAUGCUAAUCAUACAACUUGGAAGGAGAAAUUCCUUGCAGGUUUACCAACCUUACUAGGAGAAAAGGUUAGAAAUUCCAUUAAAGCCCUUUAUGACAACCGUAUUCCUUAUGAUGAGCUCACCUAUGGUGAACUUGUCAGUUUCGUCAAUAAGGAAGGCUUAAAGAUCUGUCAAGAUUUGAAAUUACAGAAACGACUUAAAUGGGAGCUUAAAAAGUCUAAGCAAGAAUUGGGCAGUUUCUGUAAACAAUUCAAUUACGACCCCUUUAAGACUUCUACCUCCAAAGAUUGUAAUGGUAAGUGUUCUACAAAACCUUACAAGAAACAUUACAAGUCUAGAUUCCGUAAAAAACCCUUUCAAGACUUUAGAGAACUUCAUUAUAAGAAACCUUCGAGGCCUUAAAAGAAACCGAGUUCUUCUAAAAAGAAAGAGUUUAAAGCCAAACCAAAAACUCCGUACAAAACCCUAUUCAAUUACAGAGAAGCCAUAUGUCACAAAUGUGGUAUGAAAGGUCAUACUGCAAAAUAUUGCAGAAUGAGCAGAAAGCUCCAUGAGCUAGACCUAGAUGAGGAAACCCUCUCCAAAAUUACCUCUCUGCUCAUAGAGUCUUCUGACUCUGAGUCUUCCAUGUCGGGAGAUAGUGACCCUCUUCAAGUUGAUGAGAUAAUUGACUCAGAUGAUUCUGCAUCUAGCAGUAUUGAUUCUGAAUCAGAUCCUUAUUUAAAGAAAAUCAAUGUUUUAACUAAAGACCAAGAAAUUUUUCUUGAACUUGUAAAACAUAUUUCCGAUCCGAAUCUUCAAAAGGAAUACCUAGACAAACUUUUGAAAACUCUGGAUUCUAACAAAGCAGAAACUUCUAAAGUUCCAAUUGUUAAAAAGAAUUCUUACGAUCUCACUGAAAUUUUGGAUAAAAAGAAAACAAAAAAGUUAAUUCCUAAUAUCCAAGAUCUUCAUAAAGAAAUCAAAGAUAUCAAAAUUGAGAUUAAAGAAUUAAAAGAAAAACAAAAGAAAGAUUCUGAAACCAUCCAACUUCUUAUACAAAAACAAUUAGAAGAAAACUCAGAAAAAGAAGUUGAAUCUGAAAGCGAUAACAAUCAAAAUGUUGACAACAUUGAAUCUGUACCUAAUGAUUUUCUGUUUGUCCUAAAACAAAUCACCACUAGAAAAUACUUAAUUAAAAUAACUUUGAUUUUUUCCAAAGACUUUGCUAUUGACGCCAUUGCCCUUUUCGAUACUGGUGCCGAUUUAAAUUGUAUAAGAGAAGACAUUGUCCCCAAAAGAUUUCAUGAAAAAACAAGGGAAAGGCUUUCCACCGCCAACAAUUCAAAACUUAAAGUCAAUUCUAAAGUGGAAGCCUCAAUACAUAACAAUGGAUUCGAAUUUAAAACUUCAUUUCUUCUUACAAAUGACAUUCACCAUACUGUCAUUUUAGGAACCCCGUUCAUAAAUUUAAUUACCCCAUAUACUGUCAAUUAUGAUAGUAUAUCUUUCAAAGCAAAAUCUAAAAAACUUGUUUUCCCUUUUAUUGAGAAACCAAAAACAAGAAAUCUAAAUAUUGUUAAAGCCUGUUCUGUUUACCAAAAUCAAAUCAACGCCAUACUUAAAUCCAAACAAAAUGACUUGUUUUGUUUAAAAAAGAAUUUAAGUCUACAACGAAUUGAAAACCAAUUACAAAAUGAUUUUAUCCAAAGAAAAAUCAAUGAUUUUAGAGACCUCAUUGAAAAAGAAAUAUGUGCUGAUUUACCAUCUGCUUUUUGGAACAGAAAACAACAUUUGGUAGAUUUGCCCUAUGAAAAUUCUUUCGAUGAAAAAAAAAUACCCACUAAAGCCCGUCCAAUCCAAAUGAACAUGGAAUUGGAAAAACAUUGUAAAGAUGAGAUACAAGAUUUAGAAUCUAAAGGAUUAAUUACAAAAUCUAGAUCUCCAUGGUCUUGUGCCGCUUUUUAUGUAAACAAAAAUUCUGAGAUUGAAAGAGGAACACCGAGACUUGUAAUAAUUUACAAACCCUUAAAUAAAGCAUUAAAGUGGAUUAGGUAUCUCAUACCUAACAAAAAAGAUUUACUCCAAAAAUUGUGUUCCGCCUUUAUUUUUUCAAAAUUUGAUAUGAAAUCUGAAUUUUGGCAAAUUCAAAUCCAUCCUAAAGACCGUUACAAAACUGCUUUUACUGUUCCAUUCGGACAGUAUGAAUGGACUGUUAUGCCAUUCGGUUUGAAAAAUGCACCCUCAGAAUUUCAAAGAAUUAUGAAUGAUAUUUAUAAUCCUUAUUCUGAUUUUUGCAUUGUCUAUAUAGAUGAUGUUUUGAUUUUUUCUCAAACCAUCGACCAGCAUUUCAAACAUUUAAAGACUCUCUAUUUUGCCACUAGGAAGGCUGGCUUAGCCAUUUCUAGUUCAAAAAUUUCUCUAUUUCAAACUAAAGUCUGGUUCCUUGGUCAUUAUAUUUCUAGAGGAACUAUUACCCCAAUUGAAAGAUCUCUUGCAUUUGCUGAUAAAUUUCCUGAUAAAAUUCUUGAUAAAACUCAAUUGCAGAGAUUUCUUGGUAGUUUAAAUUAUGUUCUUGACUUCUGCCCUAAUAUCAAUAGGAUGUCUAAACCUCUGCAUGAUCGGUUAAAAAAGAAACCUGUUGCAUGGACAGAUGAACACACUAAAGCUAUUCGAUUAAUAAAAAAUUCUGUAAAGAAUAUUCCUUGUUUAUUUUUAGCCAAUCCUGCAUUACCUAAAAUAGUUGAAACUGAUGCAUCUGAUUUAGGUUUUGGAGGUAUUUUGAAACAAAAGGAAAAUGAUAAAGAACAGAUAGUACAAUAUGUUUCUGCACAUUAGAAUGAUUGCCAGAAAAACUAUUCUACUAUCAAAAAAGAAAUUCUUUCUAUUGUCUUAUGCAUAUCUAAAUUCCAAAGUGAUUUAUUAAAUCAAAAAUUUUUGCUUAGAAUUGAUUGCAAAGCUGCAAAACAUGUUUUAGAAAAAGAUGUUCAAAACAUUGCAUCAAAACAAAUUUUUGCACGAUGGCAAGCCAUUUUAAGUGUUUUUGAUUUCGAUAUUGAAUUUAUUAAAGGUGACACAAAUUCUGUUCCUGAUUUUCUAACCAGAGAAUUUUUACAAAACAGAUAAUGCCGCCAAGAAAGAAUAACAAAGGUAAAGUUGUUCUUAAAGAUACUGAGUCCCAAGCCACCUCUAAAGAACCUCAACCAACUCCCUCUAAAGAAAAACUACUUUCUUCUGCCAUGCCCAUCAAGUCCUGGAUUGAAAUGGUUGAAGAACAUGAAGCCCAAUACAAAACUAUUUCUUCUGAUGACCAAGUAAAGGAAUGGAUGAGUUCCAUUACAAAAUCGCCUGAGCUUAUGCUCGCCCUCCAAAGCUUUUCUCAAAGUCAAAUUUCUCCUAAAGAAGAAAUUGAAAAAGAAAAACCUAAGUCCAAAGAAAUGACAAAACCUUCUUCUCAAAACGUUGUUGUCUCCGGUGAAAGCUCAUCUUCUCAAAUUGUGCUUUCCCAACCAACACUUUCAAAGAAAUCAUCCGAUUGGUUUGAUAAAACCCAUUUUCAAAACAUUUUAUCUAUAGAAGAUGGAUUUUACCAUACUGAUCCUUUUCAAGCAAUUUCAAAGUUUUUCCCCAAAUGCUGGUUUUUUAAACCAUGUUAUUUAACAAAACCCCAGUCUUACUAUCAAAGCAUUUUAGAAAUUACUGAGUCAGUUAAAUUCAAACAUUUCUUUCUCAGUGAUACCCAUUCAGAGCCAGCCUAUUCCACGGCUACUAUUUUAAAAGUCCUGAGCCCAAACCAGUGGGGGGAUCUGCUCCACAAUUUUAAAACCUUCCCUUUAAACUUUCAAACACGUUUACCACAUUGUCGGACUUAUUCCUACUGGGAUUACCAAUAAGCCUGGUAUAACACAUUUUUUAUCCAAAACCCCAAAAAAUCCCACUCUUGGUUAUUUUUCUUCAAUUAAAAAAUAACCGUCCAAAGCCUCCCAAACUGGUUUCAUCAUUGGUGGAAUUCUUUUGGCCCAAUACCUCAAAUCCUAACUCCAAAUGCUACCCAAUGUUUAAACUUCUUUAAAGCCCACUACAUUCCUUCUGAAUCUGAGAAAAGGUUUCCACCCUUUCUCUGUUUCUGUACAAAUUUCUUCCUUCCAUGGGUAUGGAUGUGGAACCUCAGACUUCAUACCCAAGAUGCCCAGCUUAUCUUACAAAGAACAUUCAAAGUAAAAUGGUGGUCAAAAUUUGACGAACAAACCAAACUUACUGAUACCCUCAUCAGAAAUUGGCUUUGUUCCAAAGGCUUCCUCCAACCAACCAUUAAGGGAUCCAAAGCCCAACAAACCUUCCUUACUCAAAAGUCCAAAGCCCAAUCUCUUCUGGCAAGUGCCAAAACCGAAAAAGAAUACUUCAAAGCUAUGGAACAACUCCUCGCCUCCAGGUCAAAGUCAUCAGUGGCAGAUUCCUCUGAAGAUGAAGACAAUGAAGAAGAGGAAGAGCCGUUUAUCUCUCUUGGAGAUGAAAAUGAAGACGACUAUUUCAGAAUUUUCUCUCCUGUAAAGCAUUGUAAAUAAUUAUUGUUUAAUUAAUGUAAAAAAAAAGUAAAUACUCAUUUUUUUUAUUUAUAUCAUUCGGGUGGUCCCUUGGACACAAGUGAGAGCGCACAUGUCUCUUCACCCGUAUUGUAUGUCUACAAAGUCACUAUUUCAACAUACGCUCCAAAAGCUUAUUGUUACAUACGAUCCAAAGCUUACUGUUUGCUUCAACCCCGUUACAGUGAACAGUGCAGAGUUCCAAAGAUUACUGUAUGCUACAGCUCCGCUACAGUCUACAGUUUAAAAUUUCAUUUUGUAUAUAAUCUGAAGGAAGACUCAGACUCCUCAGAUUUUUUGAAUCUCCUCUCUCUCUAAUUUUCAUUUUCUCUCUCUCCUCCCUGGGAAUCAGGAAUCCGAAGGCACUAAGGAAAUUUUUCUGUUUACAGAAUAGUUCCUUACCUUCAGGAUUAAUUUCCCUUUUCUUUUCUACAAAGAAAAAGCAAUUGAUGUAAGCAUUUUAAUUUUCAGUAUUAUUUCAAAGCAUUUGUAAAUUUUAUUUAAGGCUUUCCAUGUAUGUUUAAAUUUCUGUACUUUAAUUUUCGCAAUUUACUUUAAAGCAUUUUUAAAUUUUUAUGCAGACUGAUCUCUAUCAGAUCUGCCAUAAAACUGCUACGUUCCUCUGAGGCAACGAGACCAGAUCUCAAUCCUCAGUUGUAUUCUUUCUCUUCUCCCUCCAUUCCUUUAGAGCACUAUUUCCGGGAACCGGAUCUAGUACUGUGUAUGCACCCAAGCCUUUAGACGAAUGUUGUUGCUAGGCUUGACAAAAGAACUUAAUAAAUAUUUGGUAAAUAAUAUUGGUAUAUCGGCUGGAAACUAGAGCGUGCAGAAUAUUGAUCUGUCCUAAGUCAGAUCUGGUUCCAAAGGCAGACUUGGCUCUGCAUCGAUCUAGAUACAACGCCACGUACCUCCACUAAAACCUGACCAACCGUGAUCUAAAGCAAUUUUAAUUUAAAGUUGGUAAUCUUAUUUAAAAGUUGGAUAGGCCGACCCAAUCCAAACAUUGUUUGAUUAAAGCUUUUAAUAAUUAAUUCCAACGAAAGCACAUCCAUCCUUCGAUCCUAUUUCCUUCUGGUAUCAGAGCCCAAUAAUUAAUUCCUUCAGAUUAAAUCAGAUGCAUCAGUUUCAACUAUUUUAGGUAAUGCGGGAUUGGCUAAAAUAAACAAGGAAUAUUCUUUACAGAAUUUUUUAUUAAUCGAAUAGCUUUAGUGUGUUCAUCUGUCCAUGCAACAGGUUUCUUUUUUAACCGAUCAUGCAGAGGUUUAGACAUCCUAUUGAUAUUAGGGCAGAAGUCAAGAACAUAAUUUAAACUACCAAGAAAUCUCUGCAAUUGAGUUUUAUCAAGAAUUUUAUCAGGAAAUUUAUCAGCAAAUGCAAGAGAUCUUUCAAUUGGGGUAAUAGUUCCUCUAGAAAUAUAAUGACCAAGGAACCGGACUUUAGUUUGAAAUAGAGAAAUUUUUGAACUAGAAAUGGCUAAGCCAGCCUUCCUAGUGGCAAAAUAGAAAGUCUUUAAAUGUUUGAAAUGCUGGUCGAUGGUUUGAGAAAAAAUCAAAACAUCAUCUAUAUAGACAAUGCAAAAAUCAGAAUAAGGAUUAUAAAUAUCAUUCAUAAUUCUUUGAAAUUCUGAGGGUGCAUUUUUCAAACCGAAUGGCAUAACAGUCCAUUCAUACUGUCCGAAUGGAACAGUAAAAGCAGUUUUGUAACGGUCUUUAUGAUGGAUUUGAAUUUGCCAAAAUCCAGAUUUCAUAUCAAAUUUUGAAAAAAUAAAGGCGGAACACAAUUUUUGGAGUAAAUCUUUUUUGUUAGGUAUGAGAUACCUAAUCCACUUUAAUGCUUUAUUUAAGGGUUUGUAAAUUAUUACAAGUCUCGGUGUUCCUCUUUCAAUCUCAGAAUUUUUGUUUACAUAAAAAGCGGCACAAGACUAUGGAGAUCUAGAUUUUGUAAUUAAUCCUUUAGAUUCCAAAUCUUGUAUCUCAUCUUUACAAUGUUUUUCCAAUUCCAUGUUCAUNNNNNNNNNNNNNNNNNNNNNNNNNNNNNNNNNNNNNNNNNNNNNNNNNNNNNNNNNNNNNNNNNNNNNNNNNNNNNNNNNNNNNNNNNNNNNNNNNNNNCGUUGGUCUCUAAUAGGAUGAGGAAUGUUUGUAGUAUAGUCAACAGAAUGAAUGGAAGAACUAGGUAGAGCCGAAGUGGAAAACCUAGGUUGACUUUGAAAAGAAAGAUUUAUGACAGAAGGGAUUUUUGUGAAUUUCCUUUCUAAUGAAGGAAUACUUGAACACGACUCUUUAUCAGAAAAUCUGGUUAAGUUAGAUCUCCUGAAAGACAGUUUAACUCUACCAUCAGAAUACUGAGUCACAUUUUGCAACUCCGUAUUAGGUUCAAGUUGUUUUGGAAUUGCUGGUGGAGCAGCUCCUUCAAGAAUCCAUUCUUCUGGAAGAUUGACAUCUUUCCACUGGAUUGGUUUUGGAAUGAAAGUAUUGGCUUUAGACAUAUCAGUCUGUAAGAGAAGAGUUUCAUCUCUUUUUGACUGGAAUUUGUGUUGCGUACUGAACGCAGAGAUCAUGGUUUUAUAAGAAAUUUUGAAAAUUAAGGCAACUGGGACAGAUCCCUUAAUCAUAUUAUAAUUAUGCGUUUUGAUUUGUAAGAUCAUGCUUUUCAAAAUGUUUUUAUCUUUAAGAGAAAUUGUUAUGUUUGAAUAACAAUCAAAAGAGAUCGGACCUUUACAAAGACUGGAUUCGAUGCUACUUAGCAAAGAAUCAUCAAAAGAGAUGAAUCGCCCAUCUCUAAGGACAGCAAGGAUAGAAGUAUCCAAGCCUUCUUUGGUCAAAGGUUUUAUUCCAACUUGGAUUAAACCAAUGUGAAUAUAAUUAUAAUUCUUUUCUCUUAAUUUCUUUAAAGAUUUUUCUGAAAACAAAUGAAUUGUUUCAAAAGGUUCUGAGAGAGUUAUGUCUCUUUCUUCAGUCUUUAUUACAUAAUCAUUUUUUAGAAAAUCAAGCUUUUUUGUUUUGUAAAUCUUUUCUUUAGAAACUUUUGGAAGUUCCCAACAAUCAAUUGCUUUAUCAAAGUUCUCAAUACCGAAUUCUUCUGAACUCACAACAUGUUUUGAAUCACUAGUCUUCCCGGAAGAAGAGCUAGAAAAGGACGAUGUUCUACAGAGUAGAGGAUCCAUGGUUAAAAACCUAUGGUCUAUUUAUGGUUUGGUCAGAAUGGCUACAGGUAUGGUUUUACAGCCCUAAACGGAAAACUUAUCCUUGGACGGGACUUACUACCAGUAAAAAUUCACCACACAACAAAACUUCAAAAUAAAACACAAGUCUUUAAACACAAAACUCUAAACUGUAUUACAGUAGUUUUCUGGUCAGGGAAUUUAAAGUGCGGGAAAGUCCGGGAAAGCUUUAAAACCACACGGCUUUAAAGGCUUACAAUUUUAAGCCUUUAAAACCAUGCGGUUUUAAAGGUUUCCCGUACUUUCCUGCACUUUAAAAUUCCUGACUGGAACAUUUCUAUAUAUAUAUAUAUAUAUAUAUAUAUAUAUAUAUAUAUAUAUAUGUAUGUAUAUUUCUUCUCUAGUGCGGACGCCCUCAUUUUCUUUUUCAUGCGGACCAGUUUUUAGACCCCAUGGUUUAAAAGACUUAGUUUUUAACUCUCUAAAACCGCAUGACUUUAUAAUUCAUUUAAAAACUAACUAUCUUAAACCGCACGGUUUAAAAGUGUGUCCCCAUUAAAAAAAAUGCGGACCCCCACACCUAAGAAUGAUUAUAUAUACAUACACGCUCUUAAACCGUGGGACUUGAAAGCUUCUCCGCAUGAAAAAAGUAAAAAAUGAGAGCAUUCCCACUAGAAAAAAACUCCAUAUAGGUAUUUAUUAAACCUCCUAAUCUGUGAGUGAGGAACAACAAAGAUAAUUGAUAAAAAAAAUCUAAAAUUUGGUUUCAUACCUUCUUGAACGAGAGCAGGGGCUGUUGUACCGGAAUACCAAAUUGAUCAUUCUCGUUAUUCUGGGACAACGUUAUUUUAUCACAAUUACAGGCUUCCAAUUUUUUUAGUGCUGGCCAUUCUGAAGUAUGCAUUCCAGGGUAUAAACAUCUGAGUUCUGGCUUUUGGAAAGACAAAAUAUGGGGUCACUUGAUCUGCUGUGUCUUUGGAGAUGAUCUCUUGUAAACCCAUACAUAUCCGUAUCUCCAGGUGUUGGAGGUGCUUAAGGCUUUGGAUCAUAGAAGCUGAAAAUAUGUAUUUUAAUUUGUCACAGCCCCACACUAUCAAUCUUGUCAAGCUUUGAAAGCAAGUAAUCAUGGCCGUAAGUUGAUUGUCAUGCCAAAUCUCGUCGACAUUAAUAGCAUUCAGCUCCAAAGCCUCCAAAUUUGGCAACACUACCUAAAGAUAAUUUUCUCUUUAGAUCCAAUAUCAGUAUGAAAAGCACUUGUUUUGACACAAUAUCCAUAUGAGAAGCACUUAAUUAAGAGCUUAAUUAGCGAGUGUAUCAGACUUUUUUUUUUCAAAUGCGAGUGCAUGAUAGAACUAAAAAAAAAAGAAGAAGCAUUGGCCUACGUACCUUCUUGUUGAAAAGCAGAGUUGACGUUUCGGAACUGAUCUCGUUGGAACUGGCUGUCAAUUCCUCUUGCGACUCUUGUCUGUUUGGUGAUGUGGAAGGAGUCUUCACUUCACCGCAAAACCUUGUAACCUUUGGAAGCUUUCCCAGACUCAAAGAUCUUAAUUGACCAAACUCUAUCUUCUCAUCAACAUCAACAUCAGCUUCUCCUCCAGUUGCAAAAAUCUCUUCCAUGCUGCUGCAAUUGAUAACUGCAAUCCUCUCCAGUCUUGGAAGGCAUUUUGUACUACUAGAGAGCCAGAAGAUAUUACUCAACUCAUCACAAUUUUCUACUUUUAUGGUUUUGAGUUCAUUGAAGGACUCUAUUUUGAGUCGAUCAAUACAUAUCCUCUCCGUAUUGAUCAAAUUGUGAAGAGUAAGGGACUCCAAAAGAGGAAAGGCGACACAAGGUUCUCUCUUCAUUGAAUCGACGAUACACAGGAUGUCUGGAUUAUUUUGAACAUGGAGAUGCUUCAAUUGUGAAAAUCCCUCGGUGUCCAAUUCUAAAACAACAUUCUUGAUUCCUUGCAACUUAUCCAAACAUAAGUAUUCAACGUUAUUGAUGCCCUGCAACUUCUUGGAGGAAAUGGCCAUAGAAUCAAGCUUGAGCUUCAAUGUUCUUAAACUCUCAAGAUUACUGAUCAUAAAGUGCGGCCGACUUUGAAACCAGUCUUUUCCAAAUAACCAUGGUAGAGUCGAAAGAUCCAUCUCCUAUUGAUAUAUCAAACCUUUCCAGCUUUUUGGUAAAAAAGCCAUCUGGUAAAAUGCUAUCAUCUUUAACAUCUAUUUUUAAGGCGGUCAGUCGCUGCAAAUGCAUCAAUUCAUCGAGGCUGGCAUUACUUCUUUCACUAUUGGCUUUUCUCACUUCCCAUUCAAUAGAGCAGUUACUCAUAUACAGUUCUUCCAAUCGAGUGAAGCUUGAUAAGAUAUUGGGCACAAUAAAUUUUAGUUGCAAGCAAUCUGUUAAAUCUAGCAUCCUUAACUUAGUCAGUUGACCUAGUUCGUCAGGCAACCGUACAAUAUCAGACUUUAAAAAGCUAAGGAUUUCUAGAUUCUUCAACUUUCCAACUAUGGCUAUGUCUCCCAACAUGCUUUGAUCAAGACACAGUGUUUGAAGAUUUGCUAGAAGACCGAUUGAAGAUGGCAAUGAAAAUAAUCGUACCCUUGUCAAAUCUACGACUCGAAGCUUUUUCAUCCCUUUGAAAAAGUUGUUAGGAAUAUUGACCUCGACAAAAGAGUCUUCGGGAUCAAUAUGUAAAAAUUCAAGUUGCGGACAUUCGAAUUCCUCGGAAACUUCAUGAAUGCUACUAUUUAGUAAAGGGAUUGCAUAGCAUUUUUUAAGUGCAUCCUCAUCUGGCCACUCCCACACAGCGUCAUUUCUCACCAAUGAAGCAUGUUGGUCUCGACAUGCAAUUGAUAUGGCAACAUCGCAGACAACAUCAUGCAUAGAGAAUUGUUCAGUACUAUCACCCUCAAGCAACAAACAACAGUCUCUAAGUUCAUGGACCAGUGCAUAUAAUUUGUUUCGUGCAUCUUCCAUCUUAUUGACUCCAUGAAAUAUUCCUAAACCCAUAGAGUAUUUAAGCAAGUCUAAAAGACAAAAACUGUUGCCUAUUAGACUGCAGAGCAGAAAAAUUUUCUUGAGUUGCUCACCUUUUAAAUACUUGAAACUCAGUUCAAUACUUGAAUAAGUCUCUGCAGGCACACCUUCGAAGUUUACCACUGAAGGCGUUUGGAGUUCUCGCAAGGCAUUCUUCCACUCAUGCAGACUCUUGUUUCUCAGUGCCCUCGCUACUGUAGUCAGGGCAAUGGGCAAACCUCCACAUGCCUGGGCUACAUUAAUUGCUGUAGACUUGAACUUACAAUUUUCAACAUCAUCACCAUUCAUUAUCUUAAACAAUCUCCAAGCUUCUUCUUCAUUUAGAUUGCCAAUCAAGAAGUUAUCUUUGGAGCCCAUACUUAAUAGCACAUUAUUGUCUCUUGCUGUCAGCAGUAGUCUACAUCCUUUAUGAUCAUUUCCGAUGGGAAUUCCAACCGUCUCCAAAUCAACAUGUUUCCAGAUAUUAUCUAGAAUCACAAGAAUCUUAUUCUCAUUCUUCAGUCGUUCAUACAGCCUGCUAGCUCUUCUAUAUUCAGCUUCAUCGGACAACUCCAGACCUAACUUCUCUGCAAUUUCCCCUUGAAUCUUUUUUAUGUCUGGAGUUUGUGAAACCUCUGAAAAAACCACCCGAUCAAACAACUUGUCUUCCCUGGCUUGCGUAGCAAACUCCUUCACCAGUGUCGUCUUUCCAAUGCCGCCCAUGCCGUACACCCCAAUAAUGCUGACAUUCACAUCAGUCAACGCAUUUUGUAUAGACUUCAAAGUAGAAACUCUUGAUUCGAAGGCCUUGUAACCUUUGUUAGACUUAAGCCAUAUCUCCUCCGGAAUGGUACGAUGGGAAACGAUAUCAAACUUCUUAACUCCUUCUCCAAGUUCAACAAGGGCCUUCACCUCUGUCUCUGCUUUCUUGCUAAGCUGAUAGCGGGUCUUCAAAUUAGGACACAAGCCCUUGAGACAGCGCUUGUUUGUUGACUCCUCAUCUUCAAUGAAUUUGGCUGCCUGGUCAAUGAUGCCGUUUGCACUGACCAGCCACUUCUCAACCUUCUCUUCAAUCUCUUCCCCUUUUUCUUUCGCCUUUGAAACUCUGCGCUGAAUGCUCGUACGUUCAACCUCAACUUCUCCAUUUCCGCCUUGAGAUUCUCAAGGUUGGCAUUGUAGUUCCGCUUGCGCAAAUAAACAAGUUGGCGUUCUGUCGGAGGAGCCAGGCAUUUUACAAGUUCCAAAACGAGAGUAACAAUGAUUUCCAGCAUCUUGAAUCCUGACAGCAAUGUAGAAGUGAAGAAGGCCAAAGGACAGUAAAAACAGAGAGACAACGAUACGACAAGCAGUUAUAGAGCUACAAAUAAAUAACAAACAAACAGAAGCAAAGUGUUCUUCGAAUGAGAAGAAGGAAGCAAGAAAAGGGUUUCUAUUUAGAUUAAGAAUAAAUGUAAAGAGCUAAAAAAGCUGAUGGGUACAGAAUAAGAAAUGAUUAAGAGAAUGGGGGAGCUAACAAGACUGUGGAGUGAGCAGGCGUAAAUAAACUUUUCUUAACCUUUUGUCAUACGUGUAUAUAAAAUAAUAUAAUUAAUUUUAUAUUUUUAUUCAAUAACUAUUAAUUAUAUUUUUUUCAAAAUUAAUAAAAAGAAUAAUUAAGUACUGAAUCCAAAUCCUAUCCUAAAUGGUUAGAUAAAAAUAAGGGAAUGAAAAGAGUAAUGGUAGAUUAAUGAGAAGGUGAUUGAUUAAUUUAUGAGGCCAAUUAACGAAACGACAGAUCUGGUUUCCAUGUUUGUAGUUUAAGUGUAUGAGUACGAGGUGAACCGAAGCUUUGUCGAGUCAGGCAAAUAGAAAGAGAAAUUACUAAAACAAGAACCAGCAACUUUUACUCACACAUGAGCUAAUAAUGUAUUGAGAUUGUGCAGAGUAAUAUAAAAGAUUAAAACUAGUAUAAUCAAUUUGUCAUCAAGUUUUAGCCUUCUUCUUCAACCAAUUACAGCACGAUCUUGAGCUCUGUGUUUCUUUUUUUAAAUCAUUCAAAAGAUCUCUGUCAUUAAUUUUUCAAUGAUAAAAAUUAUAUUUUUGUCUCAUAAAAUAUAAAAUAUAAAAAAAUCAAACAUAUAUUAUAAGUCCGUUUGAGAUUAUUUUUAAAUAAAGUAUACAAAUCUCUAAAUUAACUUCGUCCCCUUGAAAUUCAGCAUAAAUAUAAAUAGAAUUAUAGAAAUCUUACUACCUUUUAUGAGAAAUCCAACUUAUAUAUUUGAGACUUCUCUCUCUAAACACACGCUUCCUCUCUCUGUACACUUUCCACCUUUAAAUUCUCCUUCAUUAAGUCUACCUAAAUGAAUUUAGCAUUCUCUCAGUUUCUUCAGCAUUUUUCUCCGUGAAAAUAGGUGAAAAAGAGAAAGUGAUUUGAUUAUUUUAAUGUACGACAGAUCUGAUUUCCAUCUCUGUAAUUUAAGUGUAUCAAAACGAGGUCAACAACUCUUGGUCGAGUCAGUCAAAUAUAAAAGACAAAUUACUAAACCAAGCAGAGCCACAAAAAAAAAAAAAAAUCCAAUUAAAUAAUCAUCAAGUCUUUUUCAAUUAAAAUAGGGGGUGCAGAACAACUGUCAAGAGAUAAUCAUUGUUUAUUAUAUUUUCGAUUAAAAUAGUUGCGCGUGAACGAUUGUCCGAAUUCGUAUAAAUUGUUGUAAGGUCUAUUAUAAUUAACAAGUGGAAUGGCCAAUGGAUGAAGAACCACUGUAAUUUCGUUUAUGAAUUUAAAAUGCUAAAGAAACUGGACACCAACGCUAAACGUGAGUCUGCCCAAUCUAGAUAAAUAGGAUAAAAAAUUAUCCGUCGGCUAUCUGAUCUUUUAGCCAUUAUAAAAAAUAUUAAAAAAAUAUACAAACAAUUUUUUUUUUUUUUCAACAAUCCAUCUGAUAUUUAUGAAGUGCAUUAGUGCUCCACUACUAUCAUAACCCUUUAAAAAUAUCGCUUAAACACAAGAACGUAUUGCCUAAAAUUAUUUUUCAAGCAAAUGUAACGACAUAUUUGGUUUUGAUCUUCGUGACUUUUUAAGUGUACAAGAACAAGAUGUAUGACCCUUUGUCGAGUUGAAGAAUUAAAAUAAAUCAGUUACAAAUCCAGAACAAACUUACGGGUGACAUUUUAGUAUUAAGCAAACUAUAAUUGAUCAUCCAAUGAUAGGCUUAUUUUCAAUUAAAUUAGAGUAAAUAUAGACAUUCCAAAUUUUUUCUCUCAAAUUUAAUCCUAGAUAAUGUGUUAUUAAUUGAGUGCUUGGUAAUUCUUUCAAGAUCUAAGUGAAUUAAUUAUAUUAUCUCUCCAACCAAUUGAUGAAUAUUAUAUUAUUAAAUAAUCAUCAAGUAAUACGACACUUCUCAUGUUCCGUUAACAUUUCAGUUAUAUUAUUAAUUAUCAUUUUAAUUUGGAUAGUAUUUUUGUUUAGGAGAAUAUAUCAAUUAUGAAAUUUUUAAUUUUGAAAAUUAAAGAAAUAAUUGAACUGAUUUUUUCUUAUUAAUUGAUAGCUUAGAUGCAUUUUGUUACAUGUUAAAAAAUUAUGAAUACAUAUCCUUUUUGGUAAUUUAAUUACACAAAAGCACUUUUAGUUUUGCACAACCAAACCGUUUAAUGGUUCAAAAGUACUUUUUUAAUUGACAACCAAACACCCAAUGACUUUUUUGUCCAAAAACUCUAUUGGUAUAAGCUCUACUUCUAUAAGCUCUACUGCUAUAAGCUCUAUUUAAUAAGUUGUACCAAACGGAGCCUUAAAAUCUAAGUGAAUUAAUUAUAUUAUCUCUCCAACCAAUUGAUGAAUAUUAUAUUAUUUGAGUUUUUUUUUUGUCUCAAAUCCCAGCAAAGAAAACAGAACAAACGGAGCAAAAAUAUUUUUACAAACCUAAAAUAACAAAAAAAGAACUUUUUCUUGUUUUUCUUAUUUUCCACUGUUAAACUUCAAAAUGAACAACUUUAUUCUACCAUCUCUCAAAUAAUAAUAAUAAUAACAACAAUGUCAUCAUCAUCAAUAAUAAUAAUAAUAAUAUAUUAACUUUGUAGGAUGGAGCUCUCGCAAAUCUUCAAGACACAAAAUGUGCUUGACCCCAUUGUUGUUAAUAUAAUUUCAAAAUCAUAUGUAUUAUAUAAUAUUAGAGAAUAUGACAUAGCAAAAUUGAUGGUACAUAUGCUGCAAUAUACUUGUUCAUGUGGCGACACAUUGAAGUAAAGCACAAGCAGAACAACGAAAAAUGUAACGGGAGAGCUCUCAUUAUGUAGAUUUUCAAUAGAAGUAAUGCAAAUUUCACAAGGGCAAUGGCCUUAUUUCGAAUGCUGCACCUGAGGAAUGACUUGAAUCUUCUUUAGAACUCAGGCAUUCUAUAAUCAUAGAGUAUAGCAUUUCAACAAAAAUAUUAUAUAAACAAAAAUAUUAUAUAGGUGGUUCCUUUAUAUAUUUUCUGGGUACACCUACAAAAAUAUUAUUUUAGGUACAUUUCUUGCAAUAAAACCUGCCCAAUCUAGCGUUUUCGUAAGUUGGGUUUCUCAUUUACAUUUUUUUCCAUUGGUUAAUUAUCACAAACCUCCACUGAGAUUUAGCAUGUUUUUAGUUUGAUAGAUUGUAUUCGCAUAUUCUCAAAUACCUUUUAGUUUACCACUUCGUAUAAAUUAAGUUGGUGAGGAUAAAAUCGUAAAAGUACACAUUAAUGAUAAAAAAAUUCAAGUAAACUUGAAAUUUUCAAGGAUUAAUUUUUCGGGACCUCCCUUGAGGUUCGGUGUAUUAAAAGUCUCAUAGAAUGUAUUCAUGUAAUUAUAAGAACCUCCCCUGGCGUUAGUACACAGUUAACUUGACUGUUAGUGGACUGAUAAAAAGUCAAAAAUGCCCUUGGCUACAAAAAUGAGUGCAACAAUUUGGAGCUAAAUAGUAAACACCACACUGGAGCACUAAAAAGUCUACAAUAAUCAUGGAAAACAAAUCAUUGACAUUUACAUAAUAUAAAAAAAAAAAGUAAAAUAUAAAUUAAGAAAAUCAACAAAAUUGUCAACGUAUUGAAUAUUUACAGCAGCAGUGGCUAUAAAUACAACCAUCGUCAAAUUAAAAUAUCACCAUUAGUAAACUACUUCAAUAAGACAAUAAACCAUGAUUCAAUCUUCAAUGCAUUCAAAAUACACAACCCGCACAAUAGAAUCACAUACGCACACCUGCUAAUGAAAUAUAAGAACAAACGGGAAAUUGAACUGACAUGGCUAAGAUACUCCUUCCCGAUAUCUAUUAGAAAGAUAAUGAGCGAUUUAUGAAUCAUGAUGCUUGCUUUACUUUCUGGCAGUGUUAACUUCAAAUUCAAUGAUAGUAAAUGAACAAUGGUUCAUUCAUUAUGAAAGUAAUUGUAAAGCUAGGAAUUUAUAAUAUUCAGAUGUUGGAAUUAGAAAAAUAUUUCUUAAUCGUUUCAAUUGAAGCCAAGGAAGAAAAAGAAAUGAGUCUUCUUUUUUCAGGCCACAAGCCAUAUGAAGAAGGCAGACCAGAGCAUAAGAACGAAUGCUAUUGCCACAGUAAAAGCCUGGAUCAAUGGGUAAUGGCACCUGCCAUGUCAAUUUCAUGACAAACAAAAAUCAAUUAUCAUCCCCAGACCACAACACCACCAAACCAACCUUUUGCAUCUAAAAUAACAAGUUAAUAAAUCAAAGAUUUCAAUUCAUUUAAGUUUGAAAUCAACUAAAAUAGAAAAAAAAAAACCCAAUUUCUUUUUUGUUCAAUAUAACUCAUUCAGCAUCUUCUUCAACACAUUUUUAUCAUUCUUCAUCAUCACAACAAUAAAAAGAACAAAAAACUUUGAGUUCAACAUGCAAUUCUUUUUUUUUGGGAAACUAACCUUUUUUAGGUUCCAAUUCUAGUAGUCUUAAACAGUAGCCGCCGAUGAAAUUCGCUUGGCAACACCCUUUUGCCACCAUUGCAGCUUGUCAUGUUCAUACUCAACUUAAAAUUACUUGAAGGCAGCAGGGAUUUUAUAGUUACAAAAGUUUCUUCAGAGCUUUUCAAGCUUGAAAAUGGAGUUUUCAUUCAUCUUAGAUAAAUUGAAGAUAAUUUGCAUUGUGGGUAAUAAAUUGAUUAUCAGUGUCUAAAUCUGGGUCAUCGACGCAACAUUGGAUUUUGUUUUGAUUUUCUUUGAUUUUUUUUAUGAAACCACUAAUUUACCCUCAUAUACUAACAAUAUACGAAAUGGUAUACUAACGUCAGUUACGUCAGGGAGCUCCCUAUAAUUACAUGAAUACUUUUCAUGAGACUGUCAAUACACAAAACCUCAGGGGAGGUACCUAAACAUUACCCAAUGGUAUCAUUUCUUGUAUGGAUAAUGGAUGAUUAGAUUUUGUUUUUUUGUUAUCCGACGAAGGAUAUUCAGUUGUUCUUUAUGUGUUCAUAGGCAAGAGCAUGAGCAUAUGCAUGAUUUGAUAUAUGCUUCUUGCAUUUUCUAAUUAAGUGUUCUCUUUCCUUGCCUUCUUAGUUUUGAAAGAAAGAUGUGAAGCAAGACAAACCCAGUGAAAUACACAGAGCAACAGAACCAUCAGAGGAAAAACUAAAUAACAGAACUACAAUUAAACCAAACAAAAUCAAAUAAACCGACGCAACAGAUGCCCUGAAUCAGGCAUUCCUUUUUCUCGAAAGAAAAUAUGUUUGCAUGGGUGGGAACCCAGUAUUUACUCAAGAGUUGAGGAGUUGGAAAGAUUUGGUAUUCAUAUCUUCUCAAUUCAUAUGCUUUAAUGCAGAAUCGACAGCUUUAUAUUAUUUUAUACACUUGCACUUGCUUGAGUAUUUGUGCCGACAUUUUCAUAUGUGAUGCUACUUCUUAGCCAGUAGAUAUGUUGAAGUACUACAAAACAGAGUAUUUGAUGAAGUUUUGCUACUUUCGUAUCCCCUUUUUUGUUGAAUUCUUUAUAAACAAAAAUUAGAAAGCUACAAAUAAUACAGUAGCUUGAAUUUAUAUGCUUUUAUGAUUAUUUGAUAGUUUAGUGCUGAUCAUAUGUGAUGAUAAACUUAGCUAGUAGUUUUAUAUUUAUUUUCAUAGUUUCCUUAGCGUUCACAUUUUGAUGAGUAAAUUAAGGAUUUCCAGAUGAAGUACAUAAUUAGAUGAAUGCUAAGGAACUGAAGUUUGAUUAAUUGAAAACAAAAAUAAUAAUGAACGUAAUUACGAAAAUGAACAAUGCAGAAGUAGUCCCUAUAGUAUUUCUAUAUUUUCUCUUGGUGUUUCUUAGUAUUCCUCAAUAUUUUUAAAAAAUGACAUGACGAUCUUUGAGUUGACAAAUCUUGGCCUGCUGCUUAGUACCCUUCCAACAUAUAAAGUACUAGAUGUUUUACUGAGAAAAUGACAAGAUCAUUUUUCAAAUUUCUUGCGCAUAUAUACGUAUGUACACGAGAAAUGAGAAUCAGUGAUUAUAAGACCUUGCAAUGAGACAAUAAUACAUCAUCAAAUCUAAAAAUACACAAGAAAUUCGGGACAUAUAAAUAACAAAAGACCUCUCAUUGAGUCAUCCAUAUUGAGAAUAAAAUGUCAAAAUGCAUACAAAGAGCUUAUACAGAAAAUGAAUGUACACAUAUUUAGAAUAAACUGUCUUUGAACUUUCGAUGGUCAAACAAAAGAAACAGACAGGAUAUAACACACACUAUCAUAGAUGUAGCGACACGGUGAAGUAAAUCACAUGAAGAUGGAAACGGAAACCCUUCACAACAUAAAAUUUGAAUAGAGGGGGAAAAAAAGGCUUCAUUUCGAAUGUUGCACGAAAGAAGAGUGACUUGAAUCUCCAUCAGUAUCCAAACAUUCUGCAAACAUAGUGCUGAGAAUUUUAACAAGAAUAACAGACAAAAUAUUGUGCUUCUAUACUUGUCAAAAAACUAGACAAAAAUAGUUCCCUUUUUGGUUUGUGAAAACUUGAUAUUUUUGAAAAUUCUAUCCAAUGCUUUCAAACAAUAUUUCCAUAAUAUAGUUGUUCAUAGCUAACCUUUGAUGGUGUAAGGAUUUGUUGUAGGCAUAAUGGGCUAAUUAUAUAUAUAUAUAUAUAUUUUUUUUUUUUUUUUUUUUACCCGCUGAAUGAUAUUCAGCUUCUUAAUUAUGUGUUCAUAGGCAGGAGCAUUUUCUUAAGUACUUUCGUUGCCUUCCAAGUUUCCAAUGAACAAACAGAGCACAAACAAAUUUAACGGAACAGUAACGAUGACAAUAAAUAAUUGGCAAGGAAAGAAAGAAAAAAGUUUGCAUGAUUUCAGGGAAUUAUAAAAUCUGAACACUUUCAACAUGCAAGUGUUGCCCCUCUUAAUGAAAUUUCAUCAUAAAAUGCUUGCAAGGAAUUAUAAAAUUUUAGAGAACAAGGGAACUCUCAAAACAAAAUACUCAAAUUAAAUUACAAUAGGCCAAAAGACGCUCAAUGACGCAAAUCUGCCCAUAAAAGCUUGAACGAAUCAUGAAAAGUGCAUUCCAUAUUGAUAGUAAACCAAGUGACCCAUUCUAAACAAUUGAGAUGAAAUUGUGAAACAACCCACGAGAUCAAAUAAAUAAAAUAAGAAUUAAUUACCAGCUGGGACUUUCUUCUUCAAAUUCGUAACUCCAAGUCAUAAGAAGCCUAUGAAAUUAGUCGUAAUCCACAGAGUAUGACGACGACCCCGCCAACAGCUGAAAAUAAAAUUCUUAUUCAUCAAUUUAAACUAACUUUAUAACAAAUAUCUUAUCGAUAUUUUAUUUAAAAAGAAAAAGCAAAUUUUGUAAAAUUUUUCCAUGGGAGAUAGAGAAUAACAUGUAUAUCCGUACCUUCUCAGCAUGUAAUUGUUGUAUGGUCGUCUUAAGAUCAUUACUAGCCCAACGCCGUUGAUUCGAUGUCUCUCCAUACCAAACGUUUACUCUUGGAGGCGUGCUUGAUUCUCCUGUAGUGAAAAUCUUCAAUUUGGGACAACCAAUCACAGAUAGAUCUUGCAAAGAUGGGAAUUUGAAGGUGUAAUUGGCAGAGCAAAAACUUGUGAGGCUAUCUAAAUCAAACAGUUCCAACCUCUUCAAUUUGCGGAAAACAAUCUCUUCUUUUUCAACCCCGUCUUUGUCAUUUAUUACCACCUCUGUCAUUGCUCUGCAUCCGUAUACACAAAGUGAUACGAGUUGCACUAGAGUUUUUGCUGUGGAGGAUGUUACCAAGUGUAUCAAUUCCUUGCAACCGAUAGCUACAAGUUUUGUUAGGUUCCGAAAAGAUACCGAUGAUGAUGGCAAUAGAAUUAACAGACUUUGACAAUGAUGUACUUUUAGAAUUUCAAGAUACUGAAAAAUGGGGCCAAGUUUGGAAUCUUGUUUGCACACCUGCUUCAGAUGAUAGUGCCGGUACAGCUUUAAUUCUUUUAUCAUUGCCAACUUCCCCACAUGUUUCUCUAAGCAUCCUUCCUUCGAAAAUACCUCUUCGUCGAAUGAAAAAAAAAACAGUGAGAGUAUUUCGAGAUUGUGAAAUCUCUCAAGUACGUUCCAGAUUGGAAAACCAGCUGAGUCAUCUUCAGCAAUCACUAGUCGUUUAAGACUGCCAAAAACGUGUUGUGGGAAAUCGGCCUGCAAAAUCAUCUUCGCGUCUUUUCCGCUUAGUGAUAGUUCCGUCAAGUUGGGUAGGAUCUGAUCAUCAUCAAUCAUAAUAACUGAUAAGGUCAAUUGGUGUUUUCUCAAAUGAUUUUAAGUAAUCCAAUCACAUGCAGUGACUUUAUAGUAUUUGUUUUAUAUUAUAUUUUACAAAAAAAAAAUUGAAUUAUUGAUAAAAUUUAUUAAAUGAUUUUUUAUAUAUUAAUUUUAGAGGUAAAAAAGAAAUUAGGGAAAAAAAGAAAUUAUUUUAUUGGUAAUUAAGUGUUUGGUAAAUUUUGUUUCAAGAAGUACUGUAAAUUUUGAAAACAAUUAUGGUCGUUUGGUAAAUUUUACUGUUAAACUGCUGAGAGAAAAUAAAUGACUAAAAUAUCCAUAAUAUAAGAUAAAAUUUACUUAUAUAUCUCCUAAAAGCAAUCCCAAACGGGCCCUAAGGAUUCUUUUAUAAAUGUUAUACCUAAAAAAGUUCAUAUAAUUAUUAAUCUACCACAUUGAUCCCUUAGUCUAGACUAGCAAAGAUUAUUGUAUAAUAAAAGUUUUCAAUUUAUUGAGUAUUAAUUUAUCAUUGCUUUGUCAUAUUUUUCAAAGUUAAAAAUAUGCUAUUGAUAAAAAAAUCUAGAAAAUGGCUUCAUACCUUUUCCAACGGCAAUGGGGGCUGUUGUGCAGGAAUACCAAGUUGAUCAUUCUCAUUAUUCUGCGAUAAAUCUGCAGCGAAUAUCUUUAAUUUGUCACAACGAUACACUAAAAGCAUUUCUAGCGCGAGCCAUUCCAAAGUAUGCAUUCCAGGGCACAAACAUCUAAGUUUUGGUAGAUCUUGGAGUCUCAGAGUGGUGAGCUGUGGAAAGACAGAAUAAGAAUUUGUCACUUGAUCUGCUCUGUUUUCAGAAAUAAUCUCCUGUAAAUCCUCACAGUCUCGUAUAUCUAGGUGUUGGAGCUGCUUGAGGCUUCCGAUCAUAGACGCUGCAAAUAUGUAUUUUAAUUUGUGACAACGCCACACAAUCAAUCGUGUUAAACUUUGAAAGUGAGGAAACACGGCCACCAGAAUUUGAUUGUAGUGCCAAAUCUUGUCGACAUUAAUUUCAGAUAUCUCCAAAGCCUCCAAGUUAGGCAACGCAACCUAAAAAAAUAAGAAUUUCUCGUUAGAUCCAAUAUCCAUAUGGGAAGCACUUGUUGAAAUUUUCUUCUUUGAUUACAAAUUAAUGCAAGUCUGAAUCAAUUUCCAACUGACAGCUGAGUAUGCAUUCUAAUUCAUACUACUUGUUAAGAGCUCAAUUAGUGAGUGCGUGAGAUUCUUUUUAUCCUUUUUUUCCAUUUUCUUUCACUUCUUUAAAUGAUUUAAUUAUUUUCCACGUAUGACAUCAAAAGAGAACGCAUGAUAGAAUAAAAUGUGUUAUACAUUAAAGAAAAUGUUAGCCUACGCACCUUCUCGUUGAAAAGCAGAGUUGAAAUACCCAAAGUGAUUUCGCUGGAGCAAUACAUAGUCGUCGAUUCCUCUUGCGACGCUCGUCUGUUCGGUGAUGCUGAAGGAGUCUCCACCUCACAGCAAAAACUUGUAACCUCUGGAAGAUUCCCCAGACUCAAAGAUCUUAAUUGAGCAAACUCUAUCUUCUCAAUUGCAUUAUCAACUUCUUCCCCAAUUGCAAAAAUCUCUUUCAUCUUGCUGCAAUUAAUAACAGCAAUUCUCUCAAGUCUUGGAAGGCAUUUUGUAGUAGAGAGCCAAAAGAUAUUACUCAACGUAUCACAACUAUAUGCUUCUAUGGUUUUGAGUUUGUUGAAAGACUCUACUUUGAGCCGAUCAACACAUAUCCUCUCCAUGUUGAUCAAAUUGUGAAGGAUAAGUGACUCCAAAAGAGGAAAGGCAUCACAAGCGACCAUCUCCCUUGAAUCGACGAUACAAAAGAUGUCAGGAUUAUUUUGAACCCAGAGAAGCUUCAAUUGUGAAAAGCCCUCCGUGUCCAAAUUGAAAAGAACAUUCUCGAUGCCUUGCAGCUUGUCCAACCAUAAGCAUUCAACGUUGGUGAUGCCCUGCAAUUUCAUGGAGCAAAUGUCCAUAAAAUCAAGCUUGAGCUUCAAUGUUCUUAAACUCUUGCGUUUACUGUUGAUCCAAAAGUGCGGCUGACUUUGGAACCAAUGUUGUCUAACACACUUGGGAGGCGUGAAUGACUCAUUUCCAAUAGAUAUUUUGAACCUUUCGAGCUUUCUGGCCAAAAAACCUUCUGGUAAAAUACUGUCAUUUUUAACGUCAAUUUCUAGAGUGGUUAGCCGAGGUAAAUGCAUCAAUUCGUCAAGGCUAGCAUUACUUCUUUUGCUGCUGGCUCUUUCAACCUCCCAUUCAAUGAAGCAAUUACCCAUAUACAGCUCUUCUAAUCGAGUUAAGCUUGAUAUGAGAUUGGGCGCAAUAACUUUCAGAUGGAAACAAUUGGUUAAAUCUAACAAUCUCAACUUAUUCAAUUGACCUAGUUCUUCUGGCAACUGCAUAAUAUCAGACAUCAGAAAGCUUAGGACUUCUAGAUUCUUCAACUUCCCAAUGAUUGCUAUGUCCCCCAACGCACUUUGAUCCAGACAUAGUGUGUGAAGAUUUACUAGAAGAUCAAUUGAAGAUGGAAAUGAAGAAAACUGCAUUCGAGUAAAAUCUAGAACUCUAAGCUUUUUCAUCCCUACAAAAAAGUUCUCAGGAAUAUUGAUUUCAAGAGAAGAAUCUUUGGGAGAGAUAAAUAAAAAUUCAAGGUUUGGGCAUUCUAAUCCUUCAGGAAAUUCACGAUUACUAUAAUUUCUUAAAGAGAUAGCAUUGCAUUUUCGAAGUGCAUCCUCUUCUGGCCAGUCCCACACAUCCUCAUUCCUCACCGAAAACACAUGUUGGUGGCGGCAUGCAAUCGAUAUUGCGACAUCGCGAACAACAUCAUGCAUUGAAAAUUCUUCAUUGCUAUCAUCCUCAAGCAACAAACAAGAGUCUCUAAGUUCAUGGACCAAUGCAUAUAAUUUGUCUCGUGCAUCUUCCAUCUUAUUGACUCCUUUAAAUAUACCCAAACCCAUGGAGUACUUAAACAAGUCCAAAGUAACAAUACGGUUAUUCAUUAGACUACAGAGCAGAAAAAUUUUCUUGAGUUGCUCACCUCUUAAAUGGUUGAAACUCAGCUCAAUACAUGAAUAAGUCUCUGCAGACACUCCUUCGAAGUUUACCAUUGAAGGCGUUCGGAGUUCUCGCAAGGAAUUCUUCCAUUCAUGCAGACUCUUGCUUCUCAGUGCCAUUGCCACUGUAGUCAAGGCAAUGGGCAAACCUCCACAUGCCCUGGCGACGUCUAUUGCUGUAGAUUUCAACUCACGAUUUUCAACAUCAUCACCGGCCAUCAUCUUAAACAAUCUCCAGGCUUCUUCUUCAUUUAAGUUGUUUAUCAAAAAGUUGUCUUUAGAUCCCAUUUUUAAGAGGACACUACGAUCUCUUGCUGUCAGCAGUAGUUUGCAUCCUUUAUGAUCUUCUCCAAAAGGAAUUNNNNNNNNNNNNNNNNNNNNNNNNNNNNNNNNNNNNNNNNNNNNNNNNNNNNNNNNNNNNNNNNNNNNNNNNNNNNNNNNNNNNNNNNNNNNNNNNNNNNNNNNNNNNNNNNNNNNNNNNNNNNNNNNNNNNNNNNNNNNNNNNNNNNNNNNNNNNNNNNNNNNNNNNNNNNNNNNNNNNNNNNNNNNNNNNNNNNNNNNNNNNNNNNNNNNGGCUUCCAUAGCUUGCCUGGCGACCUCCUUCAUCAAUGUCGUCUUUCCAAUGCCGCCAUGCCGUACACCCCAAUGAUGCUGACAUUAGCAUCGAUCAAUGCGUUUUUUAUGGCCUCCAAAGUAGAACGUCUUGAUUCGAAGGCCUCGCAGUCUUUGUUAGACUUGAGCCAUAUAUCCUCCGGAAUGGUAGGGUCGGAAAUUCUAUCAUCAAAUCUCCCAGCUUCUUCUCGGAGUUUAAAAAGGGCCUCCUUCUCUGUUUCUGCUUUCUUUCCACGCCGAUAGCGAGCAAACCAAUCAGGAAACAGCCCCAUGAGACAUCGACCGUCAUUUGCUGUCUCUUCGUCUUGAAUGAAUUUGGCUGCCUGCUCAAUGCUCUUGUUCGCAUUAACCAGCCAUUUCUCAACCUUCUCUACAAUCUUUUCACUUUUUCUUUCAGCCUCAGAAACUCUGCGCUGAAUCCUUUCUCUUUCAACCCUCAGCCUAUCGAGUUCUGCCUUGAGAUUCUCAAAGUUGGCAGCGGAGUUAUACCAAUAACUAAAUUCGCGUUGUGCGUGGGGAGACAAGCAGUUUACAACUCCUGGAGCAAUGCUUUUCAAAAUGUCCAUUUUUUUUUUUUUAUGGGGAAGUGAACGAAAUGGAAAUAGAACAGGGUCAACGACCGCGCAAUUGAUAAUCAAGUAGAAGCAAAACAAGCCAAAAUGGAAAAAGAAAUGAUAUUUGUACAAAACAAGGGGAAAAUCAGUGUAACAGAAGAGAAUCAAAGUGUUUUUGAGAUCAGAAAAUUGAACCAAGAAAAGGGUUGCUUGAUCCAAUGAAAAUGCAAAAAGCUGAUGGCAAAAGGGAACAAAGCUAAAUAAGAAAACGGCUAGCACGAGCAGUGACCACGAUCAACAGAAGCAAAGUGUGUAUGAGAUCAAAAGACGAAAAUGAGGAGAGGUUUUCUUGAUUGAGAAUUGAAGGCAAAGAGUAGGAGCUGACGAAUACGGGGAUCAAGAGGGAAAAACUGCUUGCUUGUAAAACUACUUUCAAGCGAAUCUGAUAAAAUUAUUUCAGUACUAGUGGGCGACUCCUUUUUAAACUGCAGAAGGGAAAAAAAAAAGUUCUGAAUUUCAAUAUAUUAAUCUCGUAAUCAAUGAUUAAUUAGUAGAUAAUCUUUCUAACAAAUAUGUGUUGAAUAGAUAUAUUUCUUGAUUAUUAGUAGGUUCGAUAUACUUUAGUAUAGGAAUGAAAGUACAAGUUGUGUCGUAUUAGAAUAAAAAUUGGACCUAAAAAUAUUGUUCUAUGGCCUUUUAAUUAUUUGUCAGCUAAUAAUGAAGUCAUAUAAAAAAAUUAAUAAUCUGAAUUAGUCUUUAGUAUUAUAAAUGUUUUUAGAUUUUUAAUUAUAAUAUCAUUAUUUAAAAAUAAUUGCUUGACUUACAUUCGUAACAUUACGAUUGUCAUAAAACAUGUGAUCCUCAUCCAAAGGCCAGGUGAACAACUCUUUGUCAAGUCAGUCAAAUAUAAACGACAAAUUCUUUUCAAUUAAAUAAUCAUCAAGAAAUAAUCUUCUAUUUCAGUACAAAUGGCGAGUGCAGAACAGCUGUCAAGAGAUAAUCAUUGUUUACGGAGCCAUAUAUAUUUUCUAUUAAAAUAGUUGCGUCACUUGCGUGAACAAUUGCCAGAAUCCGUAAAAAUUGUUGAAAGGUCUAUUAGUUUCGAGUAGAAUAUUUUCGAUUAAAAUAGUUGCGUGAACAAUUAUCAUAGAUAGUGUUUAUAUUUUGGAUUGAAGUGAGAAUUUUGAGAAAUAAAAAUCUAAGAUUGAGAGUGUAGAGUGGAAGUGAGUGUAAGUUAUUUACUUACACUGAAAAAUAAGCAUGGAAUGGAGAUCAUAAUCCAAUUUAUGUGUUUAUUUUAUCUUCAAUUGAGAAUAAAUAGUUUCAAAUUACAAUUUUACCUUUAUUUAAAGAAUUAUAUAUAUUUAAUGAAUAAACAUUUAUUUUAUUAUAUUUGUAAAUUUAUAAUAAUUGUUAAUAUUCUUAAUUAUGUACAUCAUAAUUUUUUAUUAAUUUUAAUUUUAAUUAUAUAAAUUAAAAAUUAUUGAUAAGAGCAAUAUAAAUGAAACAUUUUUACUAUUAACAUAGUACAAAAUUAAUAUUUUCUUAUAAUUAACUAUUUAUUAUUACUAAUUAUUGAUAUUAAAUAAAUAUAAUACUAUUAUUUUUAAAUAAAUAUAAUAAUAUUAUAUUUUCAAAUAAAGAUAGUAUAUAGUAAUAUUAUUAAUUCUCUAUUAAUAUAAUAAUAAUAUUUAAAUAAAUAAAAUAUUUUUUAUUUUAUUUUAUUAAUAUAUAAUUAUAGUAAAUUUAAUAAAAGGGGGUUAAAAAAGGAAGGUAAAUAUAAAAUGAAAUAUUAUUUUAUUUAAUUAUAUUAAAUUUAUUAUUAUAUAAAUAAUAAUAUAAUAUUAUUUAGUAUAAAAUUAAUAUUUUCUUAGAAUAAACUAUUUAUUAUUAUUAAUUAUUAAUAUUAAAUAAAUAUAAUACUAUAUAUUUAAAUAAAUAUAAUAAUAUUAUAUCUUCAAAUAAAGAUAACAUAUAGUAAUAUUAUUAAUUCUCUAUUAAUAUAAUAAUAUUAUUUAUUUUAUUUUAUUAAAUAUUAAAUAUUAAAUUUAAUUAAAUAAGGUAGAAAAUGGAGAGGUGGGAAUGGGUUUCCCAUGGGAGUCCCACUCCCACUCCCACUCCCCACUCCAAAAAUGGGUGGAGUUUAUGGAGUGAGAUUCCCAAUUCCUCCUUAAAAUGGUAAAGUAAAUAUUGAAGUGGGAGGAAUUCACACUGCUCACACCCACUCUAGAAAAUAAACACCGAAAAGGCCAAAGGAUGAAGAACCACUAUAAGUUCUUUUAUGAAUUUAAAAUGCUAAAGAAACUUGAUUUUGAUGAUAACAAACUACAUAGGGUACAAUGGUAAAUUUAUUUCUCACAAUCUCACAAGUUUUUGAAGGGCAAAAAUCAUUCAAGUGAGAUCAAGAUCAAGAUACUCAAUGGACAAUGACAAUCAAGGACGAAUACUAAGGGUACUAGUUUAAGCAAUCUUUAUUGUUAAAUUUAUUGUAAAGCCAGUAUAAUUUAAUGUGUGCAUGAUUUAACAUUUAAAAGCUCAAGAUAUUUUUCAUGACAUUUUCAAAUUAAAUCAUCAUUUUCUAUAAUAUAAAAGUUUUAACGAUUUUAUAAAAUUAGUUGCUUUUUCCAAAUUUAUGGACUAACUUGAAAAGUUUUGAGAACUUGGAAAUCAACCAAUAAUGUUUUAAAUCCUAGAAAUUGACAUAUUUGUAAAUAUUUCAAACAUUUUGGGUUGUAAUAUAAUUUCAAAAAAAUUAGGUCUAAUCUAUAAAUCCUGGAACAAUAGUGGCUAAUCGCUUAACCAAUAGCGGCUAACUACUUCAAGUCCAAAAACAUAGCAGCUAACCGCUUAAAUCAAGUGGAAUCCGCUUGAACCAAAGUUUUCAAAUUUGAUUUGCAACUGUAACUUACCAUAUCAACAUAGUGGCUAACCGCCUCAUUUUAACGGCGAUCCAGCAAGUCCCUAGAAAAGCCAAUAAUUGCUAGUUUGAUUGUUUAAACUAUAAAAUUCAAAUUAAACUCAAAUCUAACAAUUUUUUUCAAUCUCAAUUAAGCUAAAACUUAUUCAUAUAUCUUGAGGUUUCAUUUUGCUUAUCUACAUACAUUAAUCAUUAUAGGGCUAUCAUUUGCUUAUACACUCUUAUAGAGUGUAAUCUUUGUAAUCUUCAAUUAAAUAUCAAAAUUGAGUGAGUAUAAGUGUGGGAAACACUUGGGAAAAGAGGCGUGUGUAUACAUAACUACUUGUAAAGGUUUAUUGACACCUUAGAAGUCAAUUGUAAAAUCUUGGAGUCUUGGAAGGUUUAGAUAGUAGAAUUCUCAAGUUUGGAUUGCUUGGAGGCGUAGUCAUAGGCGGGUUUGCCGAACCACAUAAAAAUUCAUGUGUUUGUUAUCUUCUCCCUUAUCUUUUUAAUUUCACGCAUUGUUAAAUUUACCAUUAUUAAAUUUCUUGAAGCAUUUGUUUAAUUUGUAUUGUGUUUUUGUUAGUAUAAUUUUUAAUACCUAAUUCACCCUCUCUUGGGUUGCUUAGCUAGAAUUUUAUUUGGUAUCAGAGGAAGUUCUCUUAUUAUAACUUAACCAUCUAGAGUAAAAGAUCUAUAGUAAUCCAAAAUGAUCCCAGAUUUGGGAAAGGUUAAUCCCUUACUAGAUCACCAUUCUUUGAUGGGAAUGAUUAUCCAUGUUGGAAAAUUAUGAUAAGAAUUUAUUUGCAAGCAUUAUAUUAUGAAAUAUAGGAAGUUGAUUGUGAUGGUCCAUUCAUGCCUACUACUAAAAAUGAAGAAGGGAAAGAAAUUCUAAAACUUUCACAAGAAUGGAAUGUGUCAGAAAAGAGAAAAAAUUCUCUUAAUUUCAAAGUCAUGAAUGCUUUGUUUUGUGCCUUAAGGUUGUUCCAAUGCUUAUGAAAUUUGGAAAAAAACAUAAACUCGUUUAUAAAGCUACAAAUCAAGUUAAAUAGUCUAAAAUUAGUAGAUAUACUAGGCAAUACGAAUUGCUAUAAAUGGAACAAAAUGAGAGUGUUAAUUCCAUAUACACUAGAUUUACAAACAUUAUAAACACUUUAGAAGCUCUUAGAAAGGCCUUUUCAAAUAGCGAGAAGGUAAAAAAAAUCAGUAGGUCUUUACCAAAAGAAUAGAGACCUAAGAAAAUUGCCAUUGAGGAAGACAAUGAUACUUUAUCUAUUGAUGAUUUAAUUAGUUCAUUUAUUUCUUAUGAAAAGGAUUUGACAACUUGAAAAGGCAAUGAAGACGAGAAGAAGAAGAGUAUUUCCUUAAAAGCAUCAAGAUCUAAAAGUGACAACGAAAGUGAGAUCGAAAAUGAAGACAUGGCUAUGAUAGCUGGAAAAUUCAAAAAAAAUUUCAAGAAAUCCAUCGAGCGAAGGAAUUCAAAAAUCAGAAAGAAAAGGAGGCAAUUAUUUGCUUUAAAUGCAGGAAGCCUAGACACAUAACACUAGCAUGUCCUUUUCUCAAUAAAGUAAAGAAGAAAGCUAUGGUAGCAACACGGGAUGAUAGUGAUAAGGAGACUAUAGAUGAAGAGUAGUCUCAUGAAGUGUCAAAUUUGGCACUUAUAGUUAUAGGAGAUGAUUAUAGGAGAUGAACUUGAUGAGGUAAACCUCUUAGGAUGAGUUGUUUGAAGUAUUCUCUAAAUUGCAUAAAGAUUUAAAGAAGAUUGGAAUGUAAAAUGUUUCUCUUGGAAAGAAAAAAGUAGAACUUUUAUAUGAGAAUGACACUUUGAAUAAAAAGAUUAAGUGCCUAGAAUUAUUUGUGAAGAAAUUGCAUCUUUUAAAGAAAAAACAAAGUGUUUCAUCUAAGAAUAAAGGUUUACCUGUAAAUGAUUUGAAAAAGAAAAAUAAAAGAUAUUGCUUUAGAAUUUGCUUAGUAUUAGUCAAUUGUGUGAUAAAGGUUACAAAGUUAUUUUUAUGUGAUAAAGGCUAUAGAGUUAUUUUUUUAUAAAACAAAAUGUGUUAUUAAAAAUGCACGUGAUGGCAAAGUUUUAUUUGUUAGAUAAAGAUAUGUUAAUGUAUACACCAUUGAUAUAGAUUGUGUAUCAACUCAUAAUAAAUGUUUUUUUCACAUUACAUGAUGAUAGUUGAUAUGGCAUGGAAGACUAGGUCAUGCGAGCAUGGAUUUUAUUUCAAAAUUUUUUUAAAAUGAUUUGGUUAUAGGUCUUCCAAAAAUUGGUUCUAAAAUAGAUAGAAUUUGUGAAGUUUGCCAAUUUAGAAAACAAAUAAAAUGUCCUUUAAAAAUAAAAUUCAUAUUUCUACUUCAAAACCACUUUAACUUUUUCACAUGGAUUUGUUUGAAUUUUCUAAAUAUGCUAGUCUAAGUGGUAAAUAUUAUGCAUUUAUAAUUAUAGAUGAUUAUUCUAUAUACACAUGGUAUUACUCUUAACUAAUAAAGAUGACACCUUUAAUGCUUUCAAAAUUUCUAUAAAAAGGUUCAAAAUGAAAAAUGAUAUGUUAUUUCUUGCAUUAGAAGUGAUCAUGGUGGAGAAUUUAAAAAUUGUAAUUUUGAAAAUUUUUACAAUAACUUUGGCAUUGAGCAUCAAUUCUUGUCACCAAGAACUCCACAAUAAAAUGGAGUAGUUGAGAGAAAGAAUUAGUCUAUCCAAGAAAUGACUAGGACCAUGUUAAAUAAAAAUGCUUUACUAGAAUAUUUUUAGGUUGGAGCCGUCAAUAUUGUUUGUUAUGUUUUAAAUCGUGCAUUGAUUAGACCUUACUUCAAUAAAACUCCUUAUGAGCUUUGGAAAAAUAGAAAAACAUUGACUAUUUCAAAGUUUUUGGUUGCAAAUGUUUUCUAUUGAAUACAAAAGAUAAUCUUGGUAAAUUUGAUCUAAAAUCUGAUGUUGAUAUUUUUUCUUGGGUAUUCAAAUACAAGCAGAACUUAUAGAGUGUAUAAUAAAAGAACCUUGGUCGCUAAAGAAUCUAUACAUGUUGUGUUUGAUUAAAUCUAACUUUUCUUCUACGAAGAAAGUUGUUGUUGAUAAUGAUGCAUAUGAAGAGUUACAAAAAAAAAAGUCUUUAAAAGACAAACAAGAUGAUUUACUAGGAAAAAAUCAAGAUGAGCAACAAGAAGAACCAGUUAAAUAUAUUCAAAAUGAAGGUAAUUCACAAACACUCUCUAAGGAGCUAAGGUAUGUCUCUUCAGACCCUAAAGACUUAAUCUUAGGAGAUCCUUCAUGAGGUGUAACUACUAGAUAAUCACUUAGAAAUACAUGUGAACAUACUGUAUUCGUAUCUCAAGUUGAACCAAAAUCCUUUUCAGAUGUGGAAAAUUAUGAAUCUUGGAUCAUAGCAAUACAAGAAGAGUUAAAUCAAUUUGAAUGAAACAAUGUAUGGAAACUUGUUCAUAAACCAGAACAUCAAUCUGUAAUAGGCAGUAAAUGGGUGUUUAGGAAUAAAAUUGAUGAAUCUGGUGUGGUUGUAAGGAAUAAAGCUAGAUUAGUAGCUCAAUGAUGCAACCAAGAAAAAGAAAUUGAUUUUGAUGAAACCUUUGCACAUGUAGCUAGAUUAGAAUCCAUUACAUGCUUUUAUCAUUUGCAUAUCAUAAUGAUUUUAUUUUAUAUUAAAUGGAUGCUAAAAGUGCCUUUCUAAAUAGUUGUAUUAUAAAGGAAGCUUAAGUGAAACAAUCCCCUCGUUUUAAAAACGAAAAAUAUUUUUGGAUCAUGUUUACAAGUUGUCCAAAGUUUUAUAUAGUUUAAAGUAAGCAUCUAGAGCAUGACAUGGUAUACUUAGUAAAUUUCUUGUAGAAAAUAGUUUUUCAAUGGGUAAAGCGAAUACUACUCUAUUUGUUAAAUACAAGGAUCAAGGUAUACUUGUUCAAAUUUAUAUUGAUGAUAUUAUCUUUAGUUCUACUAAUGAGUUUCUGUGUAAGGAAUUUUCAUCUUGUAUGAGUAGAGAAUUUGAGAUGAGCAUGAUGAGAGAAUUGAAGUACUUUCUUGGACUUAAAAUUUAAAAAAAAAAUCAUUAAUCAAGCCAAGUAUUUUAGAGAUCUACUCAAAAGAUUUUGCAUUCAGGACUAAAGACACUCCAAUGAGUACUACAAUCAAGAUCGAUAAGGAUAAAAAAAGUAAAGAUGUUGUAUCAAAAGAUAUCGAGGUAUGAUCAUAUCUUUACUUUACUUUACUGCUAGUAGACAUUACUUUAGUGUAUGUUUGUGUGCAUGAUUUCAACCAUAUCUCAAAGAAUCUCAUUUGCUUGCGGUUAAAAGAAUUUUUCAUUAUUUAUGAGGAACAAUUGAUCUUGGUCUAAGGGAACUCAUAUAGAUUAGUAGCUCAAUAAAUUUGUCAAAGAAUCCCAUUCAACAUUUUAGGACCAAACAUAUUGAAAUUAGGCAUUAUUUCUCACGUGAUCAUGUUUAAAUGAGAGAUAUUGCUUUAGAAUUUGUUUCUAUGGAAAAAUAACUUGCUCAUAUUUUUACAAAGCCUUUUUGUGAAGAAUAGUUUUCAAAGAUUUGGCUUGAGUUUGGAAUGAUGACAUUUUCACAUCAAUAUUUCAUUACAUGAUAUUGAGACUACAAAUUUGCUUGAUUUUCUAUCUUGAUUGAUUGUAUGAUAAAAACUUGAUUUUAAUGUGUUAUAUGCUUGAAUUUACUUCUUUGAAUGUUUAUCAUCAUAUCUUAUGCAUUAAAAAUGGCUUUUGAAAUACUUCGGGAUCACAAAAUGGUCUCAAAAUUAAUUAAAUUUUGGCCAAAAAGCAAAAUCGUGCAAAAUUCAGGGGAACUAGCUAACCGUUAACCACAAGCGACUAGCCAAUUGUGAGGCAGAAACUAGCUGGCCAGCCGGCUUAAAGCAAACGGUUAAUUGCUUGGUUUCUAAAAAUGAAACGGUUAACCGCUUUCUUCAAGUGGCUAGCUGGCUUCACGUUUUCAAAUGUUGUUCAUCUUCUUUUUCCCACUUUCAGUUGUUACCCUCUCUCUAUCACUGUCAUCUCUCAUUUCUUUUACUCUCUCUCUAAAAUCUUCCAUUUUUACAUCACUUUUGUGUCAAAUUAAACUUUCCAAAUCAUUUCCCAUCAAUUAAUCUUCACUCAUUCGCUUUUAAAACACAAUCUAAUCACUCUUUUCUCAAAAUCUUAAAGCCUAAGUCACCAGUUUCAACAUUCUCAAAUUUGAACCAUUAUUUGACCAUUUUCGACCAAAAUAAACCCAUACAUUCCUUAGAUAUUCUCAAAGAAUAUUUUAACAUUUUAAUCGGUUCAAAAUCAUCUAUUUCUUUAAAAACUUACUAAACUCAAAUUUGUGCAAUUUUGGACACAUUUUGAUAAUUUCUUAAUGGCUAGUGGUGAGAAGUCCAAGGGUUAGCAUAUGCCUAAAAUGUAAAAAAAAGAUUCAUAAAGACAUUAUGAAAUUUAUUUCCACCCACUUUCCAAAUCCACCUCAAUAGAAUGAUUCUAUGAUCGAUUUAUGACAAGGUCAGUCCUCCCAUCCUAUAUAUGUUAAUCUUGAUUAAUUAGAAAAUUUGUCAAGUUGUAGCAAAACUUUUAGAACUUUACUUGCUGAAUUGGGUUGGACAAAUGUCUUAGUUCUUAAGGAACAUAUUUGUCCUAAUUUGGUACGAUUAUUUUAUUCGAACAUGCUUAUUUAUACAAUUACUGCCAAUAUGAUUAUUACUAAUGUUGCUGGGAUUCCUAUUAAGUUUACAGUAGAAGAUUUAAACAUGAAUCUCAGGACUAGGAAUGAUAGGUUGCAUUUGUAUACAUCUAGGACUAAAAUUGAUUAUCCCUGGUAUUCAGGACUAGGAAUGAUAGGUUGCAUUUGUAUACAUCUAGGACUAAAAUUGAUUAUCCCUGGUAUUUAGUUGUAGAUGAUGUUUGAAACAUAGAUGUUCGAAAAAUAUGUAGGUGAUCUGAUCUAUCCAUGGAGCUUUUUAAUUCCUCUCUUAGAUCACAAAUGUUGCCUCUUCAAGUUCGGAUCCUACAUAGUGUUCUUCAGCUUGCGAUCAGUCCUCGCAAGGGACAUGGUGCUAAGGUUACACGCUUAGAUGUUACUUUAUUAGAUAGCAUCCUUGAGGGUAAAAGCUAAAUGUGCGAAUAUUAUCAUUCAGCACAUGCUUAAUACACUGAGUAUAGGAAACCGAUCCUUUUCAGUUGAUAGUGUCAUUACCCAUAUCCUUCAAUAUUUUUGGGUCCCUAUAGCUGAACCAUCUCAUGAUGAACCCAAGGAGUUAGGGGAUGAGGUCAUUGCUAGCUUAGGAUUUGGGUGGGUAGAUGACCAAUAGGUUAAGAAUCAGAACUUGUUGAGCAAACCCACAAAGCUGGCUCUUUUUUAUCAUUGCAUCUUUAACGAUGUGCUUCCCAUUACUGGGUUCUUGAUCUUAGCUCUUCCCUGAGGUCACAAGCUCUACAUUGGCCUUCUGAUGCUCCACCACCAUCAUCUUCAGCCAUUCCCAAUAACCCAAUCCAGCAGUUGUUGAAUAAAGUGUGUUCCAUAUCCGAGUAGUAGAGCAAACUUAAGAUACCGUUCGCAGCAUUCCAGGAUCAUUUUCUUUCUGAGCAGCAGCGUCUCUUUCUUCAACAAUAACAAAUUCUAGACCAUCAGCAGCUUAUUUUCAUUGCUCUCAAAUUUUUGCCACCAUCCUUGUUAUCAUGUUUGCCGCCUCAUCAGUGAUUUUCUUUUAUCUCUUUUGCUUCCUUGUUUUAUGCACCGACAUUAUUUAUCAUAUGCAUUUUCGUUUUUAGCAUUAUGGAUACUUGAUGGAUGUUAUUUUACUUAUGCAUUAUAGAUACUUGAGUUAAUAUGGAUUAUCUUUAUGCAUUCUAGUUAUUGAUCGUGGUAUCUUUAUUAGUUAUCUUUAUGGAUUAUCUUUAUUGAUUAUGGAUUAUGUAUAUGGAUACUUGAUUAAUGGUCAUGUGUGGAUUCUUGAUUGAUGAUCUUUGUGGGGGAUAAUUAUUGAUAAUAUUUGUAUAAUAGAGGAGUGAUUUUUCAUGAUGAAGGGAGAGAAGAUAUUGACAUGUAUUUUGAAGUGUUUUGACAUGUUUUUGGCUCAUGGGGGUUGAUUGAGUGUUUGUAGUAUUUUAGUUACUUUAUGAGUCACUCAAGGAGAGUUUACAAAUGUUGUACAAUUAUAUGGAUCAUGUACUUAGAGGGAGUGAGUUUAUAUAUUUGGUUAUAUUUUUUGAAUUAUGUCAUAUAUUCAGGGGCAAUAGAAAUGUCAAAAUACAUAGAGUGUUUGUCAUCAUAAAAAAAGUAGAGAUUGUUGGGGUAAACGACUAUAUGAUCCUUAAUUUUGAUGAUAACAAACCACAUAAGGUAAAAUGGUAAAUUUAUUUCUCACAAUCUGACAAGUUCUUAAAGGACAAAAAUCACUCAAGUGAGAUCAAGUUCAAGUCACUCAAUGGACAACAACAAUCAAUGAUGAAUGCUAAAGGUACUAGCUUAAGCAAUCUUCAUAGUUAUAUUUCUUGUAAAGCUAAUAUGAUUUAAUGUAUGCAUGAUUUAGUAUUUAAGAGUUCAAGAUAUUUUUCAUACAAUUUUCAAAUUAAAUCAUCAUUUUCUAUAAUAUAAAAGUUUUAAACGUAAAUAAAAAUGAUUUUAUAAAAUUAGUUGUUUUCAAAUUUAUGGACUAAAUUGAAAAGUUUUGAGAACUUUGAAAUCAACUAGUAAUGUAUUAAAUUCUUGAAGUGGACCUAUUUAUAAAUAUUUCAAAAUUUUUAGGCCAUAGUAUAAUUUUAGGAACUUUUAGUUUAAAUCUAUAAAUUUUGAAACAGUAGCGACUAACUGCUUAACGAAUAGUGGCUAACUGCUUCAGGUCCAAAAACAUAGCUGCUAACCAUUUAAAUCAGGCGACAAUUCGCUUAGGCAAAAAAGUUUUUAAAUUUUAUUUGUAACGGUAACUUACCACAUCAAUAUAGCGACUAACUUCUUUAUUUUAACAGCAAUCCGGUAGGUCCUCAGAAAGUCAAUUACGACUAGUUUGAUUGUUUAAACUAGAAGAACCCAAAUCAAACUCAAAUCUAACAACUUUUUCAAUCUCAAUUAAGUUAAACUUGUUCAUACAACUAAUCCUGAGCUUUCAUUUUACUUAUCUACAUGCAUUAAAUCAUUAUUGAGUUAUCAUUUGCUUAUACACUCUUAUAGAGAUUAAUCUUUGUAAUCUUCAAUUAAAUAUCAAAAUUUUGUGAGUAUAAGUGUGGGAAACACUUGGGGAAAGAGGUAUGUGUAAACAUCACUACUUAUAAAGGUUUAUUGACACAUUACAAGUCAAUUGUAAAAUCUUAGAGCCUGAGAAGGCUUGGAUAGUGGAAUCCUCAAACUUAGUUUGCUCGGCAGCAUAAACAUAGGCGGGUUUUGCCGAAACAUGUAAAAAUUCGUUUGUCUGUUAUCUUUUCCUUUAUUUUUUUAAUUGCAUUCAUUGUUAAAUUUACUGUUAUAAAUUUCUUAAAGCAUUUGUUCAAUUUGUUUUGUAUUUUUGUAAGUAUAAUUUUAAUACCCAAUUCACCACCCUCUUAGGUUGUGUAGAUAGAAUUUCACAUUUGUUGUACAACAACAACAACAGCAAUAACAAUAAUAAUUGUUAUAAUGGUUGUAACAAUUACUAUUGAAAAAAAUUUAUUGUUAAUAAUAGUAGAAAAUAAGAAAAAAAAAGGAAAUUAUCCACUAACCAUGUAGUCUUUGGGACUUUUUCAAAAAUACACAAAAAAAAACUUUCUUUGUAGAAAUCCACCUAGAGUUUAUUAAUUAUUCAUUGUCAUCUUAGCUCAUUAGAUUCUUGUUGAUGUCAUAAGAUUAAAAUUAUCAUUUUACUUGAACACCUAAGAUUAAAAUUAUCCUUUAGAGUUUCUUUCGCUGGGGCUGGUGACCUUAGUGGUUAGAUUUGCUAGAUAUGGUCGUGAGAAACUCGACAAUGACCGAGGAUUGGCUGGAUUCACGGUGGUUUGGUCAAAAAUCUGACUUGAAUUGGCAUUUGUGGUGCUUCAUUCAUGUUGGAGAUUUUGAUUGCGAUUUGGAUAUCGACAAUGAGAAAGUGGCAUUUGCGGUGGCGCUAGGUGAAGCCCGGGUUUUGGGUUAGCGUUGUGGCGAUUUAUGGCGGUGAUCAUUGUUGGGUUUUGUCAAGUUAUGACCAGUGGAAUGUAGCAAGUUUAGUGGUGGUGUUGGUUGACAGUGAAGAUGGUUGGUUUCACGGUGGCAGCUGGUGGAUGCUCCCAGUUUUAGGUCUAGAUGAUUUAUAGUAGGUACAAGCGGCGAUUGAUGGCAGGAGUGGCUAAGGCUUGGUCAGUAGUGGCUAAUGAGUUUGGUAGAGGGAUUAGCCAAUGGUGAACUAUUAGUGAAGAGUGGCAGUGGCGGUGGGCGGCUGCUAAGGUUUUGUAAUUUUGUAAUAUUUUUUUGUUGGAUAAACAGUUAUGAAUUUGGUGGGGAUGGAUAUGGGUAGCCAGGAAAACUGUGCAAUUGGCAUUGAACCACUCUAAUACAAACUAACAAAUUGGAAUAGCGGAAGUGGAAUUGAUAGAGUAGGAAAUAUUAGCUAUCAUUCUAAUACUGGCUAAGGUAAUGUGGAUAGUUUACGUCCUAAUCGAAACGUGAGUAGAUCUCAUUCUAACAAUGGCUCAAUGAGAUUUUAAUAACGCAUAAAGCAAGAUUAGACGACGUUCUAAUCCAAAUAACUUUGUAAGAGAGAUUUUGAUAAAUAAUUUUAGAGAGAAUUAUUAAAAAGGGCUUUAUUAGUUGAUCAAUAGUUGAAGUUACAAUAAUAAGAUUUUGAUUUAUAAUAUAAUAAACCUACUUCACUAAGUUAACUUAAAAAGAAAAACUAAAUCACAAUUUUAAUAGAAAUAAAAAACUAAGACAUAUACCAUAGUUGACUAUAAUUAAAAUAGAAAACAAUAAAAUAAUAAAAAUUAUAGAAUCCUAAAAUAAUGUCUACAUCGUAUCCUCACUAAAAUAAAAAUAUAAAAGUAAAGCAAAUUGUGGUAUAACAGACUUUAAUUCUAUCACUCUUCAAUUUUUUUGUUUAUUAAUUAAUAUUGGUGUCUAUGGUUAAAUUUGUUAUUUUUUAUAACAAUUUUAUUUGUUAAUUGAAAUAUUUAGUCUAUGUAAACAAAAAAAAAAUGGUUGGAAAGAAUGAGAGACGAAGGGGGAGAGAGAGAGAGAGAACAAAGUCAAACAAAUAAUUUAUUGAAUUAUAUUUUAAAAUUAAAUUUUAAUUUGAUUAAAUAAAUGAUGUAGUGAGAAAAUGAGUAGGUUCAAAUAGCUUUACUUAUAUUUAUUUCAUUAAUGGCUCAAAAUUUAAUGAAAAUAAAUGGUUUUAAAAAAAUUGCAUUUAAGUUGCAUAAUUCAAUGAGUAGUGCCACACAUCCUAAAUCUUUUAUCUUAAAAAAUUAUCUCAAAUGAUAUGGUAUUCAUCAAUAGAUUGAAGAGAUAAUACAAUUAAUUCACUCAAAUCUUGAAAGAAUUACCUACUAUUCAAGUAAUGACACACCAUUUGGGAUAAAAAAAAUUUGGAAUAUCUAUCAUUACUCUAAUUAAAAAUAAACCUAUCACUGGAUGAUUAAUUAUAGUAGGUUGCUUAAUACUAAAAUGUCACUCAUAAAUUUUGUUUUGGAUUUGUAAUUGAUUUAUCUUAAUUCUUCAACUUGACAUAAGGUCGUUCUCCUCGUUUCUGUACACUUAAAAGUCACCAAGAUCAAAACUAGAUCUGUCGUUGCAUUUGCUUGAAAAAUAAUUUACAAGCACUAGGUUCUCCUGAUUAAGCAACAUUUUUAAAGGGUUAUGAUAGUAGUGGAGCACUUUGUAAAUAUUAGAUGGAUUGUUGAAAACAAUAAAAAAUGUUUGUGUGUUUUUUAUAAAGGCUAAAAGAUGAAGUGGUCUAUGGAUAAUUACUUAUUUUUUCCCUUUUUAUCUUAAUCAUAUUUGAACGACAUCCUUUUAUAGUUCCCAGGCAUUCUGCAACUAUAAUAGACAAUUUUAAUAGGAACUACAGAGAAAAUAUUAAUAUUUUUAUACUUAUUUACUUACCUGAUGGAUAGCUAGAUAAGUGUUACUUUUCACACAACUAGACCAAAUUAGUACCCUUUUUGGUUGGUGAAAACGUGAUUUUUAUGAAUAUGCUAUAGAUGCUUUCAAACGUUUCCACAGUUUACGAAUUUACGCAUUAAACGAAAACCUCCAACUAUCAAACAAAAAGGUGAAAAUUCAAUAGAAUCGACAACUUCUCAGACUCACGUAGGUGGUGGUUCAAGUUUCUAAACUACUAUUAUUAUUAACAGUUUUGAAAAGCAAAUAGUAACUUCAUUUCACAGCAUCUGCUUUUGAGAAAGCUCAGAUGUAAUCAAAAUUCCAAAACCACUCUAAAUAUGUUAGGGAUAUGACCAUAAAUAGAAGUUAAAUAUGAUAGGAUAUAUAGUUGUUCAUAGCUAACAUUUGAUGGUUUAAUUAUUUGUUCUAGGGAUUAUGCGCUGAUUAGUGUUUUUUGUUAUCCACUGAAUGAUAUUCAGUUUUUCUUACAUGUUCAUAGGCAAGAGCAUUUUCUAAGUACUUUCCUUCCCUUAAAAUUUUGAAAGAAAGAUAGAUAUGAUAUGUGAAGCAAGCCCAAUGAAAUAAGCAAAUAAAAUAGAAUAAACGAAGCAAAAAUAUUUCUAGAAACAAGAAAUGACAAAGGAAACACGAAUACAACUUUUUUCUUGUUUUCCUUAUUUUCCACUGUUAAGCUCCAAAAUGAAUAACUUUAUUCUACCAUCUCUCAAAUAAUAAAAACAUCAACAGCACAUCAUCGUCAUCAAUAAUAAUAAUAAUAAUAAUAAUAAUAAUAAUAAUAAUAAUAAUAAUAACAACAAUAAUAAUUUAACUUUGUAGUAUGGAGCUCUCGCAAAUCUUCAAGACACAAAAUGUGCCUGACCCCGUUGUUGUUAUUAUAAUUUCAAAAUGAUUUGUAUUAUAUAAAAUUAGGGAAUAAGACAUAGCAAAAUUGAUGGUACAUAUGUUGCAAUAUACUUGUUCAUGUAGCGACACAUUAAAGUAAAGCAAAAGCGAAACAACGAAAAAUGUAACGGGAGAGCUCUUAUUAUGUAGAUUUUCAAUAGAAGUAAUGCAAAUUUCACAAGGGCAAUGGCCUUAUUUCGAAUGUUGCACCGGAGGAAUGACAUGAACCUUCGAUACGUCACAAAUGUAUCAUGAAAGUGUGAUAGAUUUGUGACAUAUAUUUAUUUAUUUAUUUAUUUUUUGGUCUUAACCACGAGGUAUUCUGGGGAGGGCUCCAACUGUGGAAAACAUCUUUAAGCCCGUACCACAACUCAGACUACAAGUUUCCGCUCGAACCGGGAGGCAUAAGUUCUCCCAACAAAAGCGACUUUCCUACAACUCGAACUAGGGAGCAAACCCAGUCAAGCCACUUAAGGGGACUCCAUUGCCAGUGGAGCCAACACUUUGUUGGUGUGGCAUAUAUUUAUAUGUUCAGAGUUUAUGACAUAUUCAUGACUUAUAACUUAACUAACAUAAAUAAAUGAUAGAUAUAAGUGAUGCUCAAGUUUUGUGGAUUUAUAAUAUCAUAAAAUGAUGACUAUUUAAACGACGUCGUUUUUAUGAAACUUAAAACAUACCAACACUUCAGCCAAAUAUCGACAAGUGUUGAAUAAACCCCUCUCUCGCUGCAACCUAAAAUCAAUGAACUUUGAGCCAUUCUCAACAACAUUGUGUAGAACCCUAGCCCUAACCCUCACUUCCACCACCGAUAAAGCUAAGAAAGUUUUCCGUAUAUCAGAACCAUGGCGAAUUGCCUUCAGCUCUUAGGACCCAUAAUAAAUCUUGUAUUCCCUCGCUUUCACUUUGCUAAUUUUUUGUAUUAUUCCAUCUCUUUCACUUUAAUAACCCAAAAUCUUUCUCUGUUUCAAUCGAAAGAAGACCCUAGCUUAAAUUAAGCUGAAAUUUACAUAUCAAAGCUCUCGCUCAGCUUCCCUCCUUCAAUUGAAACAAAACGAAGCCAUAAGACCCCAAUAUGCCACGCCCUUUUGUCUCAGGCCAACAUUCAUUUAAACCCUACCUUUCGGUUCAAUGCCAUUUAAUGCGAUUGCAGAUGCCGUUUCAACUCAUUAUUUAGUUAACGCCAUUCAGUUCUUUGCGGUAAGCCUUAACCCUAAUAACUAAUCAACUGUGGUAGCACGUUGCUGACUGGGGUGGGAAUACAUUAAUUGAAUAUAUGAAUUGGGUGAUGUCAGUGAUUCAUCCCCCUAUUUGCCGUUAAUGGAGAUUUGUGUAUAAUGUUUGUAAGAUUGUUAAAAAUUUCAUGUUCCAGUCGAAUUUCUUGCUUGUGGAAGAUAAAACAAAAGUUUAAUCUAUAUAUAUAUAUAUAUAUAUAUUAGCUUCUUUAUAGUCAGGCUCUGGCUUUGCUGCUAUGCUUAGUGCAGUUUAUGGUUUCAAGAUUAAAUUAGGUUUAUUUGACGACAUUGAUAUCUUAUCUAGCUCCGCUUGAAAAUGAAAAUGUUGUACUAGUAAUCAUAGACUUUGUUUAUUCAGUUGAUAUUUUAAUUAUACAUAUAAGAAUGAAGGUUUAUUUGGGAAAAAAAGAAAUAAAGAAAUAGGCUCUGUUGAAGCUAAUUAAUACUUCAUUCUUUCUAUACGUGCGACCUGUGGUGGAAACAUGAUAUGAAAAUGUGUUACUGGUGAGGUUGCUGCUUGAGAUGAGAAUGAUGAGAAUGCCUUCUAUUCGGAAAUCCUUGGUAGGUAUUAUAUAAUUAUAUUUGAUGGAAUAUUAAAUAGCUAAAGAAUCUGUGAUAUUGUCUUUGUUCAAUUGUUACUGUAGUAGUGUUUGUUGGUCUUUUUCUGGUUGGCGUUUGGAUGUUAAUGUCAUCAUCAGUUGUACUGGUGUGGGAUCCAGGAUGUUGUCCUCUUAAGAGCCUAUAAGCAAAGUGAAACAGAGAGUAUCUGAGAUUUUUCUGGGCCUUUCGUAGAAAAUCAAGGUGAUGAAUGACAGGAUUCAACAAAUGGGGAUGGGGAUGAUGUUCCUGUUGAAAAGUUAGAGAAUAGAGUGGAAGAUAAUCACGAAGAGAUGAAUAUGUAUGAGGGUGAUGGUGAGACGAGUGAAUCUAAGAAUAUGGUUAAUCAAAACCAGGAAGAGAAUUUAGUGAAGGAGAGUUUUGAUGAGAAUACUGAGUCUGAAGAGGAAUCUAGGGCGGUGUCUAAAAAUUAUGAUGUUAGAAAAAAGGAAGAUAAGGAAUCUAAAAGUGAAGGUGGAGAUUUGAAUUAAGAAGCUGGAGAAACAGAAGGCGGCGAAUUGAAUAAAAUUGAGCAAAUUGAAUCAGAGAAGAGCUUGGAUGAAAAUAAAUGGAUCAGGCUAGUCAGAUUGAAAAGGAGAAGGAUUCUCAAGAUCAAGAUAAUGACACUGAGAGUCGUUGAAAGGAUCAGGCUUCAACUGAGAUUUUUCCUUUUGGUGACUAGUCAGAAAUUCUGAAGGAAACUAAUGCUCAGAAUGGGGCUUGCUCAACUCAACCUAUUGAGUCAUAGAAUCAGAAAAUAUCACAACAAUCUUCUAUAUCUAAGGACCAGUAUGGUCGUCGCUGGAAAGUGUGUAAUGCCACUGCUAGGCCAGAUUGCAUCCCUUGCCUGGAUAAUUUGCAAGCAAUUAGAAUGCUUUCCAGCACAAAAGCAUUAUGAACAUCGAGAGAGGUAUUGCCCUGAAGAAGCUUGUACCUGUAUUGCUCCUUUACCGGAAGGAUACAAACACUCAAUUAAGUGGCCCCAAAGCAGGGAUAGGGUAUGAUCUUAUAUUAUGCAUUAUAAAAUAUAUACUUGACUACUUUUAAUUCACUUGGGCUAAGAUUUGUUCUCAUGCUGUGUGGGAUAGAUUUGGUAUUAUAAUUUUCCCCACACAAAGCUUGCAGAAGUUAAGGGUUAGCAAAAUGGGGUUAAAGUUACUGGUGAAUACCACAUUUUUCCAGGUGGCAGAACUGAAUUUGAGAAUGGUGCUCUUCAUUACAUUGACUUCAUUCUGAAGGUGAGCAUUUUUCAUUUAUCAUUUUAUGUCUGUUGUUAGCUUCAAUUAAUAGGUGGCUUAUUCUUUUCUUUGUAUGAACCAUGGGCGGUCCAUUUCAUCUUAUAAGCUAUUUCUUGGGUUUUAGCAAGACAACUUAUGGAGGGUAUACAGAGGCUCAAGAGCUCGAUUGCCAUUCAUUUUACACUUGGCUGGGCUAUAGUAUACCAACUAGUGAUUAAUAAAGAGAAGGUAUGAAGGUCCUGUUGCUGGUGGUAUUAUCAAUCAGAAUUGUUAUUUUACUUAGUCAUACUUACCAUGUAUACUAUUCGUAGGCUUUUUCAUUUUCAUGCAUUCGCAUCAUCUUCUGGUUAAGCUACAGAUGGUUGAUUUGUGUACUCAUUUGUAUCACUUGUAGCUCUUGAGGAAUAAAAUUUAAAAUUAUGUUGCAUCCCUUGUACUAAAUAGUAAUUUUGUUGGCUUUAUGCAUGGGAAAUGGUUUGUUGUCUUAUUUCUUUGAUGUGUAUGGUGUUACACUGUCUAAAGUUAAGAAGUAUUUCUAUCACUUGUGUAAAAAACAACCUACUUUUUUCAUUCUUCUUAUAUUGAAUAAAAGAGGGACACCAAGAUUGAACGAAAUUUGAUUCAGAAAGCAUAGCAAUUAGGCCAGUUCAAAACAGCUUCCUUCUGAUUCUUUGAUAUUUGACUUAAAUCUUUUGUUUGUUUCAUUUAUCAAAGUCAUUUUGGAAAGUAACGGGGGUGAUUUGAUAUUUUCAUUGCAUUCACAUCCCUUAGGCACCAAAACAAGCAUGCUGGUACUAACCAACAAUUUUUUAUUUUCAGUAUACAAAUUAUUUUUUUCUAAAUUAGGGGUAUUAAGAAAAGGUAUACUAGCACCAGGGGAGGUAUUUGAGAAUACACAAAUACAAUCUAUUAAACUAAGAAUAUGUCAAACUUCAGGGGAGGUUUCUGAUAAAUCUCUUUUACUUUUUCCUCCAUUCACCAUAGGUUCAAUUUAGAACAGUUGACCAAACCGAAGGUUUAGGUUGGUAAACGCACUAGUGUUAAUGUCAACAACCCAAGGGGCUUCAUGGUCCUCUGGGCUGAAAUAGCGUAAUUAUUAAUUCUCCUCCAGUGAAAAUCUUCAUCUUGGGACAAAUAAUUACAAAUUGACAUUAUGGCUAUGCAAAUUUUGAGGUGUAAUAACCGGAAAAAUAAAAAUCUUAAGAGACUUUUUAAAUAAAAAAGAUACAACACCUUUAAUUUGCUAAAAGUAAUGAUAUCAUUACUUGUAUGGAAAAUGGAUGAUUAGAUUUUCUUUUUUGUUAUCCGACGAAGGAUAUUCAGUUGUUCUUUAUUUGUUCAUAGGCAAGAGCAUGAGCAUAUGCAUGAUUUGAUAUAUGCUUCUUGCAUUUUCUAAUUAAGUGCUCUCUUUCCUUGCCUUCUUAGUUUUGAAAGAAAGAUGUGAAGCAAAGCAAACCCAGUGAAAUACACAGAGCAACAGAACCAUCAGAGGAAAAACUAAAUAACAGAACUACAAUUGAACCAAACAAAAUCAAAUAAACGGACGCAACAGAUGCCCUGAACCUAGUAAUUACUCAAGAGUUGAGGAGUUGGAAUGAUUUGGUAUUCAUAUCUUCACAAAUCAUAUGCUUUAAUGCAGAAUCGACAGCUUUAUAUUAUUUUAUUCAAAAAACGAUAAAGCAGGAAAACCACAAUAAUCCACCAACUUUUGAUACUUGUAGGAAUUUUUUUUAGUCAAAUUAAGUUUCAUGAUAACACAAGUGGCUCGUCCACACACUUGCACUUGCUUGAAUAUUUGUGCCGACAUUUUCAUAUGUGAUGGUACUUCUUAGCCAGUAGAUAUGUUGAAGUACUACAAAACAGAGUAUUUGAUGAAGUUUUGCUACUUUCGUAUCCCAUUUUGUUGCAUAACUAAAUUCUUUAUAAACACAAAUUAGAAAGCUACAAAUAAUACAGUAGCUUGAAUUUAUAUGCUUUUAUGAUUAUUUGAUAAUCUAGUGCUGACAAUAUGUGAUGAUAAACUUAGCUAGUAGUUUUAUAUUUAUUUUCGUAGUUUCUUUAGCAUUCACAUUUUGAUGAGUAAAUUAAGGAUUUCCAGAUGAAGUACAUAAUCAGAUUAAUGCUAAGGAACUGAAGUUUGAUUAAUUGAAAACAAAAAUAAUAAUGAAGGUAAUUACGAAAAUGAACAAUGCAGAAGUAGUCCCUAUAGUAUUUCUAAAUUUUCUCUUGGGGUUCCUUAGUAUUCCUUAAUAUUUUUAAAAGAUGACAUGACGAUCUUUGAGUUGACAAAUCUAGGCCUGCUGCUUAGUACCCUUCCAACAUUUCAAGUACUAGAUGUUUUACUGAGAAAAUGACAAGAUCAUUUAUCAAAUUUCUUGCGCAUAUAUACAUAUGCAUACAAGAAAUGGGAAUCAGAGUGAUUAUAAGACCUUGCAAUGAGACAAUAAUACAUCAUCAAAUUUAAAAAUACACAAGAAAUUUGUGACGUAUAUAUAACAAAAGACCUCUCAUUGAGUUAUACAUAUUGAGAAUAAAAUGUCAAAAUGCAGACAAAGAGCUUAUACAGAAAAUGAAUAAACCGUCUUUGAACUUCCGAUGGUCAAACAAAGGAAACAGGCAGGAUAUAACACACACUAUCAUAGAUGUAGCGACACGAUGAAGUAAAUCACAUGAAGAUGGAAAGGGGAACCCCUCACAGCAUAAAAUUUGAAUAGAAGGGGGAAAAAGGCUUCAUUUCAAAUGUUGCACAGAAGAAGAGUGACUUGAAUCUCCAUCAGUAUCCAGACAUUCUGCAAACACAGUGCUGAGAAUUUUAACAAGAAUAACAGACAAAAUAUUGUGCUCUCUAUACUUUCACAAAACUAGACCAAAUUAGUUCCCUUUUUGGUUUGUGAAAACUUGAUAUUUUUUAAAAUUCUAUCCAAUGCUUUCAAACAAUAUUUCCACAAUAUAGUUGUUCAUAGCUAACCUUUGAUGGUUUAAGGAUUUGUUGUAGGCAUAAUGGGCUAAUUAGAUUUUUUUUUUUAUCCGAUGAAUGCUAUUCAGCUGUUCUUAAUUAUGUGUUCAUAGGCAAGACCAUUUUCUUAAGUACUUUCGUUGCCUUCCAAGUUUCCAAAGAACAAACAGAGCACAAACAAAUAUAACGGAACAGCAAUGAUGGCAAUAAAUAAUUGGCAAAGAAAGAAAGAAAAAAGUUUGCAUGAUUUCAAGGAAUUGUAAAAUCUGAAGACUUUCAACAGGAAUUAUAAAAUCUGAAGACUUUCAACAUGCAAGUGUUGCCCCUUUUGAUGAAAUUUCAUCAUAAAAUGCUUGCAAAGAAUUAUAAAAUUUUAGAGAACAAGCGAACUCUCAAACAAAAUACUCAAAUUAAAUUAAAUUAGACCAAAAGACACUCAAUGACGCAAAAUCUGCCCAUAAAAGCCUGAACAAAUCAUGAAAAGUGCAUUCCAUAUUGACAGUAAACCAAGUGACCGAUUCUAAAUAAUUGAGAUGAAAUUGUGAAACAACCCACGAGAUCAAAUAAAUAAAAUAAGAAUUAAUUACCAGCUUUGACUUUCUUCUCCAAAUUCGCAACUCCAAGACAUAAGAAGCCAAUGAAAUUAGUCGUAACCCAUAAAGUACGACGACGACCCCGCCAAUAGCUGAAAAUAAAAUACUUAUUCAUCAAUUUAAACUAACUUUAUAACAAAUAUCUUAUCGAUAUUUUAUUUAAAAAAAGCAAAUUUGUAAAAUUUUUCCAUGGGAGAUAGAGAGUAAUAUGUAUAUCCGUACCUUUUCAGCAUGUAAUUGUUGUAUGGUUGUGUUAAGAUCAUUAUUUGCCCAACGGCGUUGAUCCUCUUACUCUCCAUACGAGACGUUUACUCUCGGAGGCGUGUUUGAUUCUCCUGAAGUGAAAGUCUUCAUCUUGGGACAACCAAUCACUUCUAGAUAUUCCAGAGAUGGGAAUUUGAAGGUGUAAUUGGCAGAGCAGAAACUUGUGAGACUGUCUAAAUCGCACAGAAUCAACGCCUUCAAUUUGCUGAAAACAAUCUCUUCUAUGUCAACUCCUUCUUUGUCAUUUAUUACCACCUCUGUCAUUGCUCUGCAUCCAUAUACUUGCACUGAUACGAGUCGCACCAGAGUUUUUGCUGUGGAGGAUGUUACGAAGUGUAUCAAUUCCUUGCAACCGACAGCUACCAGUUUUGUUAGGUUCCGAAAAGAUACCGAUGAUGAUGGCAAUAGACUUAACAGAUUUUGACAAUGAUAUACUUUUAGAAUUUCAAGAUAUUGAAAAAUGGAGUCAAGUUUGGAGUCUUGUUUACAUAGCUGCUUCAGAUGAUUAAGGUGGCCCAGCUCUAUACAUUUUAUCAUUGCCAACUUCCUCAAACGUUUCUCUAAGCAUCCUUCCGUUGAAAAUAGCUCUUCGUAUGAACAAUGAUACAGUAAGAGUAAUUCGAGAUUGUGAAAUCUCUCAAGUACAUUCCUGAUUGGAAAACAAGCCGAGUCAUCAUAAGUUAUGUCUAGUUUUUUAAGACUGCCAAAAAGGUGUUGAGGGAAAUCGGCGUCCAAAAUCAUCUUCACAUCUUUUCCGCUUAACGCCAGUGACUCCAAGUUGGGUAAGAUCUGAUCAUUAUCAAUCACGUAGUAACUAAUCAGUCAGUUGAUGUUCUCUCCAAUAAUUUUGAGUAAUCCAAUCAUAUGCAGCGACCUUAUAGUACUUGUUGUAGAUUAUAUAUAUUUUACCAAAAAAAAAAAAAAAAGAAAGGAAAAAUUGAAUUAGUGAUAAAAUUCAUUCUAGGGGCCGUUGAAUUAGUGAUAAAAUUGAAUUAGUGAUAAAAUUCGGUUAUAUUUUUCAAAGUCAAAAGUCGCUAAUGAUCUAAUUGAUAAGAAAUCUAGAAAGCGGCUUCAUACCUUUUUGAACAAGAAUAGGGGCCGUUGUGCAGGAAUACCAAGUUGAUCAUCCUCAUUAUUUUGUGAUGAAUCUGCAGCGAAUGUCUUCAAUUUGUCACAACCAGACACCACUAAAAUUUUUAGUGCAGGCCAUUCCGAAGUAAGCAUUCCAUGGUAUAAACAUUUAAGUUCUGGUAGCUCUUGGAGUAUAAGAGUGGUCACCCGUUGAAAGACAAAACGAGGGGUCACAUGAUCUACUCUGUCUUCCGAAAUGAUCUCUUGCAAACCCCUACAAUUCACUAUCUCUACUUGUUGGAGAUGCUCAAAGCUUUGAAUCAUAGAAACUAAAAAUAUGUAUUUCAAUUUGUUACAGUGGCACACAAUCAAUCGUGUUAAACUUUGAAAGCGAGGAAGCAUGACCGGACGAUGAUUGUAAUGCCAAAUCUUGUCGACAUUAAUUUCAGAUAUCUCCAAAGCCUCCAAGUUAGGCAAGCCUACCUAAAAAAAUAUUAAUUUCUUGUUAGAUCCAACAUCCAUAUGAGAAGGACUUAUUGAAAUUUUCUUCUUUGAUUGCAGAUUAAUAAUUCAAGUCAAAAUCAAUUUCCAACUGACAGCUGAGUAUGCAUUCUAAUUCAUAUUACUUGUUAAGAGCUCAAUUAGUGAGUGCGUGAGAUUCUUUUUAUCUUUUUUUUUUCACUUUCUUUCAAUUCUUUAAAUGAUUUAAUUAUUUUCCACGUAUGACAUCAAAAGAGAAUGCACAAUAGCAUAAAGAAAGUGUUAGCCUACGCACCUUGCCGUUGAAAAGCAGGGUUUCCAAAUUGAUUUCGUUGGAGCAAGAACUUGUCAAUUCCUCUUGCAGCCCUUGUCUGUUUAGUGAUGCUGAAGGAGUCUUCAAUUUACGGAAAAAAGUUGUAACCUCUGGAAGAUUUCCUAAACUCAAAGAUCUUAAUUGAGCCAACUCUAUCUUCUCAGUAGCAUUAUUGUUGUCAACAUCAGCUUCUCCCCCAGUUGCAAAAAUCUCUUUCAUCUUGCUGCAAUUAAUAACUGCAAUUCUCUCAAGUCUUGGAAGGCAUUUUGCAGUGGAGAGCCAGAAGAUAUUACUCAACUCAUUACAAUUUUCUACUUUUAUUGUUUUGAGUUUAUUGAAAGACUCUACUUUGAGUCGAUCAAUGCAUAUCCUCUCCAUGUUGAUCAAAUUGUGAAGAGUCAGCGACUCCAAAAGAGGAAAGGCAUCACAAGCGACCAUCUCCAUUGAGUCGACAAUACAAAAGAAGUCAGGAUUAUUUUGAACCCAGAGAAGCUUCAAUUGUGGUACGCCCUUUGUGUCCAAAUCGAAAAGAACAUUUUUGACACCUUGUAGCUUGUCCAACAAUAAGUAUUCAACGUUAUUGAUGGCCUGCAAUUUCAUGGAGCAAAUGUCCAUAAAAUCAAGCUUGAGCUUCAACUCUCUUAAACGCUCAUGAUUAUUGUUGAUCAAAAAGUGCGACCGACUGCGAAACCAAUCUUUUGUAACAGGCAAGGAAGCCAUGAAUGACUUAUUUCCAAUAGAUAUUUUGAACCUUUUGAGCUUUCUGGCCAAAAAGCCUUCCGGUAAAAUACUGUCAUUUUUAACAUCAACACUUCGGGAAUGUCAUUAAUAAUACUAUCUUUUAAAAAAAUUGCAGGAUAUUUUUUUAAUGCAUCUGCAUCUGGCCAUUUCCACAAAUGCAAUUUUGUCACGACAUGCAAUUGAAAUGGCAACAUCGCGAACAACAUCAUGCAUGGAAAAUAAUUUACUGCUACCAUCCUUAAGCAACAAACAAGAGUCUCUUAGUUGAUUGACCCAUGCAUCUAAUUUGUUAUGUGCAUCUUCUAGUUUAUGGACACUUUCAAAUGCACCCAAGCCCACGCUAUAUUUGAACAAGUCCAUAAUUGAAGUUGGUGUAAUUAGACUACACAGUAAAAAAGUUUUCUUGAGUUGCUCACCUCUUAAGUACUUGUAACUCAGCUCAAUUGUUGAGUAUGCCUCUACUGGUACUCCUCCGUCGAAGCUUGCCUCUGAAGGCGUUUGGAGUUCUUGCAAGGCGUUUUUCCACACAGGCAGCUCUUUGUUUCUCAGUGCCUUUGCUACUGUGGUUAGGGCAAUAGGCAAACCUCCACAUGCCUUGGCUACACUUGUUGCUGUAGAUUUUAACUCACGAUUUUCAACAUAAUUACCAGCCAUUAUCUUGAACAAUCUCCAAGCUUCUUGCUCAUUUAGAAUGCAAAUCAAGAAGUUAUUUUCAUAUCCCAUACUUAACGAGACAUUACGAUCCUUUGCUGUUAAUAAUAAUUUGCAUCCUCUAUGAUCAUCGCCAAAAGGAAUUCCAACAGUCUCUAAAUCAAGAUAUUUCCAGAUUUUGUCCAGAAUCACAAGGAUCUUCUUAUGAUUCUUCAAUCGUUCAUAAAGUUUACUAGCUCUUCUAGAUUCAGCCUCCUCGGACAACUCCAGACCUAGUUUCUCUGCAAUUUCCCCUUGAAUCUUUUUUAUGUCUGGAGUUUGGGAAACCUCUGAAAAAACCACCUGAUCAAAGAGUUUCUCUUCACUGGCUUGCCUUGCAAACUCCUUCACCAGUGUUGUCUUUCCAAUGCCGCCCAUGCCGUAUACCCCAACGAUGCUGACAUUGACAUCAGUCAAUGCAUCUUGUAUAGACUUCAGAGUAGAAAGUCUUGAUUUAAAGGCCUCAUAACCUUUGUUAGACUUUAGCCAUACCUCCUCCACAAUGGUACGGUAGAAAAUUUGAUCAUCAAAUCUCCUAGCUUCUUCUUUGAGUUCAACAAGGGCCUUCACCUCUGUUUCUGCUUUCUUGCUAAGCUGAUAGCGGGUCUUCAAAUUAGGACACAAGCCCUUGAAACAUCGCUUACUUGUUGUCUCCCCAUCUUCAAUGAAUUUGGAUGCCUGCUCAAUGGUGUUGUUCGCACUAACCAGCUAGUUCUCAACCUUCUCUUCAAUCUUUUCUCCUUUUCUUUCAGCCUUAGAAACUCUGUGCUGAAUGCUCUUACUUUCAUCCUUGAGCUUGUCUAUUUCUGCCUUGAGAUUCUCAAAGUUGGCUUUAUAGUUACGCAAAUAACCAAGUUGGUGUUCUGUUGGAGGAGCGAAGCAUUUCACAACUUCUAACAGAACAGUAACAAUGCUUUCCACCAUCUUCGAUCCUCUUUUUUUCAAAGUUCCGAAAUGAAAAUAAACGACGAGCGAAACACAGAGAGAAAGAGAGGCAAAAAAAAAAAAAAAAAAAAAAAGAAAAUGAAACAACAAAGAUGACAAGUGUAUCUGUUUGUGGAAGCGGAGAAAUCAAAGAAAGCUUAAAAACUGUUGUGAAUCUGGUGAGAAGAUGGAAACAAGGAAAAGGUUUCUAGUUCAAAAGUGAUUGAAUUGAUAUAAGGAAUGAUUUAGAUAAUAGAGGAAAAGUGAAUCAGUCAAAAUAACUUAUGUAUUGACCAGAAGAAAGAUGCAAACAAUAUUGGAGACAACAACAACGCUAUGUGUUGUGCGCAGAAUGCGGAAACAAGUGCACUGAAUAAUCACAGAAAAAUAAAGGACACAAGAAUUACAUGGUUCGGCAAUAUGCCUACGUCCAUGGGAACAAGAGAAAAAUAAUUGUAUUAUUAACAAUUAUAGUACAAAUUUGAGUAAAGAAAUCUCACUUUCCCAUAACCCAAAUACACCAGUACUCUCACACACACUCUCCAAUUGCUCACACUCUCACAACUCUCAAAACCUUAGAAACUUAUACGCUUAACAAUUUAGGGAUGAUUUACAAAUGAAGAAUGCAUCUAUAUUUAUAGCAAAAAACGUUGCACUAUUGCACCAUCCGCUUUGCAAUUUGUCAAUUCUCCUAUCUGUCAAUUUGACAAAUUUUACUAACCUUUUUCAUUUUUCUUCAUUUGGUGCAGGAUUGUCAAAAGUCAUAUAUUCUACAGCUUGCAAUUUUGGUGCCGACUUUGAAAAACAAAAGCAAUGCAUGUGGCUCACUUUUAUUUUUCAACCAAUUUGAAAAAAACUCUUUGACUUUUCAACAAUUCUCCACCUCGGCGAAGAUUUGUUCAAAUCUGAGCCGACUACCAACCAAUCAUCAUCCCCAAAGUGGCUGCAUCUCUGUGACUGCCUACGUACCCAAAAUUUGGGAUCAAGCCAACCGUAGUUUAAAAUUUCCGAAGGACAUAUCUUAACACAAUCGAAGGAUUUGAAUUAGUUUCAAGCAAUGUUGAAACUUAACUCCAGAAACUACCUUCGUCAACAUAUCUGAUGGAUUAUCUUUGGUAUCGAUCUUUCUCAACAACACAACACCGCUCUCGAUAAUCUCUCUCACAUAAUGAUAUUUCACAUCUAUGUGUUUCGUCCGAGCGUGAUAUGUUUGAUUCUUCGCAAGGAAUAUCGCACUUUGAUUAUCACAGAAGACCGCAAUGUUCUCUUGGAUUACUCCUAAAUCACCUAACAAGCCUUUCAACCAGAGAGCUUCUUUUACAGCUUCAGUUACUGCCAUAUACUCUGCUUCCAUAGUGGACAAAGCAAUUAUCGAUUGUAGAAUCGACCUCCAGCUAACCGGACCUCCACCCAAUGUGAAUACGUAGCCCGUUGUUGAUCUUCGCUUGUCAAGGUCUCCAGCGAAAUCAGAAUCACAAUACCCAACACAUUGUUGACCACAAUCAUUCUUGAACAAUAACCCAACAUCAACUGUCCCAUACAGAUAUCGGAGAAUCCACUUUACUGCAAGCCAUUGAUUUAUACCCGGAUUGUGCAUGUAUCUACUAACCAUGCUCACUGCUUGAGAUAUAUCAGGCCUUGUACAUACCAUAGCAUAUAUAAGACUACCCACAGCACUAGCAUAUGGAACACGAGCCAUAUAAUCGCGCUCCUCUUGAGAUCUAGGACAUAAAGAAGAGCUUAAUUUGAAAUGAGGAGCUAAAGAUGUACAUACUGGUUUAGUUUUGUCAUCCAUGCCUAAUCUUUUUAGCACUUUCUUCAAAUAAGACUUUUGAGUCAACCAUACGCUCCCAUUCUUCUUGUCUCUACGAAUCUCCAUCCCAAGUAUUCUCUGUGCAUCACCCAAGUCUUUCAUCUUGAACUCAGAAGCUAGCUGCUUCUUUAAUCUUUCGAUCUCAUCUCUAUUCUUCGAAGAUAUAAGCAUAUCGUUGACAUAGAGUAACAAAUAGAUAAAAGCUUUAUCUAGUAGUCUUCUAAAGUAAACACAAUGAUCGUGUUCGCUUCUAGUGAAUUUCUGCCCUUGUAUAAAUUGAUCAAAUCUUUUGUACCACUGCCUUGGCGAUUGCUUCAGUCCGUACAAAGAUUUAAUCAACCUACACACAUGAUUCUCCUUUCCAGCAACUUUGAAACCACAAGGCUGAAUCAUAUAGAUUUCCUCCACUAAAUCUCCAUGUAAGAACGUCGUCUUAACAUCCAAUUGAGCCAACUCUAACUCAUAUUCUGCAAGUAAGGUAAGUAGGAUACGAAUGGAAGUAUAUUUUACAACUGGAGAGAAAACUUCAUUAUAUUCAAUACCUUCCUUUUGAGCAAAACCUUUCGCCACGAGCCUUGCCUUGUAUCGAGGAAUUGAUUGCUUCAGAGAUCCUUUCUUCUUGGUGUAGACCCAUUUAUUCCCAAUAGCCUUUUUUCCUUUUGGUAACUUUACAAGUUCCUAUGUCUGGUAACUUUACAAGUUCCCAUGUCUGGUUUUGAUGGAGAGAUUUCAUCUCUUUUUCCAUGGCUAACUUCCAUUGAUCACUUUCACUGCCGCGUAAUGCUUCACUGAAAGUGUUGGGGAUGUCAUCAUCAAUAACUAGAAGUGCAUAGGCUACCACCAUGUAUUUAGUAAGCCAUCCGGGUUUCUUUAUCUCCCUUCUUGGCCUCCUUAUUGCUAUAAAAUCAUCAUUAUCUACAUCAUAAAUUGUUUCUUCAUUUUGUGGGACAUCAGAAGAAACAACCUCUUCUUCAACUGUAGGUGUCACCUCCAUAGUUGAACCCUUCUUUGAUGUAGAAUUAACUGGUACAUAUGAAGUUGCAUCAAACUUCACCCGCUGCAAUACCUCUUUGGUCUUGUUCUCCACCUACUGAGAACUUGAAGCUUUCAUCAUUAAAGCUUCAUCAAAUGUGACAUCUCUGCUACACACAAACUUUUUGUCUUCGAGAUUCCAAAGCUUGAAGCCCUUUACUCCAUCUUUGAAUCCCACAAAGAUAGCUUUUCUAGCACGAGGAUCCAGUUUACCAUCUUUGACAUGAUAAUAAGCUGGACACCUGAAUAUACGAAGGAAAUCAUAGUCUUGUGCAUGCUUUCCAGACCACAUUUCCAUAGGAGUUUUACCUCUAAUUACAGUAGAAGGAACUCGGUUUAUCAAGUGACUUGCAUAGCUCACAGCUUCAGCCCAAAACUUUUUAUCUAAACCAGCAUUAGAUAAUAUACACCGUACUUUCUCCAGUAAAGUACGAUUCAUGCGCUCAGCCACACCGUUCUGUUGCGGAGUAUGUCUCACCAUGAAAUAUCUUUUAAUACCCUCGUUCUGGCAUACUUGCAAGAAUGGAUCAGAAGUAUAUUCACCCCCAUUAUCAUAUCGUAAUACUUUGAUCUUUCUGCCAGUUUAAGUCUCUACCAAUUUCUUCCAUUUCACGAAAAUCUCUAGAACAUCAUCCUUUGCUCGCAUGGUGUACACCCACACACGUCUAGAGAAAUCAUCAACAAAUGUAACAAAAUAAUGGCUUCCACCAAUUGAUGCAGUCUUGGUUGGUCCCCAUACAUCACUAUGAACAUAUGCAAGGAUCUCACGAGUAUCGUGAUUAGCCGUACCAAACUUGACCCUUGUUUUCUUGCCUACUACACAAUGCUCACAGAAAUUUAAUUUACAGGUUUUGGGACCUUUUAAGAGUCCGUGCCUCAUCAGAGUUUGCAAGGACUUCUCUCCAGCAGUCACAGUCGUACAUGCCAUAGCUUGGUGGUGUCACUGUGCGCCUCAACAACAUUUGCUUCAUCAAUUGUACCUCCCUUCAAAUAGUACAGAUUAUGACGCCGAACCCCUUGUAGAAUCACCAUAGCCCCAUGUGUAAACUUCAUUAUACCAUCUUUAAUGGUAACCUUGUAGCCUUUACCUUCCAAAGUACCCACAGAAAUUAGAUUUUUCUUGAAAACUGGAAUAAAUCUAACCUUUUUGAGUUCUCUGACCGUUCCAUCAAACAUUUUGAGCUGAAUUAUUCCUAUCCCCAUUGUGCGACAAGGUUGAUCAUUCCCCAUCACAACUGCACCAGAUUCCAGAUUACGAAAACCCGUAAAUCAUUCCUUAAUAAGACACAAAUGAUAGGUUGCUCCAGUAUCAAGUAUCCACUCGCUCGAAUUAGCUACAUAUACUACAGGAGUAAUACUUAGUGAAUAAUCAGAGUCUUCAUCUUUCCAUGCCAUGUUUGCUGGUGCUGGUUUCUUCCCAUCUCUCUUUUGAACCUUUGGCCAAUCUUUCCUCCAAUGGCCAUUUUCAUGACAAAAUGCACACUCAUCUCGAGCUAUAUUUCUGCUUCUCAAUUUGGAUCGAGAAUUUUUUCCACCAAGCUUUUUCUUUUUCUCCAUCACCCAAUCUUUACUCACCAAAGCUUCAAACGAUACUCGUUCAGAAUUUUUAUCAUUAUUCUGCAUCUCCAAGUUAGUCAAUGUUGUGCAAACAUCUUUGAAGACGAUCACACUCUUCCCGUAUAUCAAGGUAGUCACAAAAUGACUAUAUUCCUCUGGUAGUGAGUGUAACAAAAUUAUAGCUUUGACUUCAUCCUUAAUAUCUUCAUCGAGAUUCUUCAAAUCAGCAGGUAACUUUUCAAAUCUUGAGAUAUGAUCGUGCAUUGACACCCCAUGCUUCAUUCGAAAGCCAUAUACUUGGCUCAUUGUAUAAAGACGAUUUUCAGGACUUUUCAGCAGGUACUUCUCCUCCAAUGUACGCCACAAAGUCACCGCACACUCCUCAUCUUUCACCAAGUAUUUCACCUCCUUGGUCAAACAAGAUCUGAUCUGACCACAAGCUUUCUCGUUCAUACGAUCCCAAAUUUCUUCAUCAUACAAGUGUCUUUUAUUUUUCAGAACAACAUCGAGAUCGAUUUGAAUAAGGACAUCCAUAACUUCGCGCCUCCACAUGCCGAAGUUGAUUUUCCCAUCAAAUUUUUCAACAUCGAUCUUCUGGCCUCCUAUAACAGGUGCUGAGUAGGGAUUUGACAAAUCUCGCCUCCCACUUGAACUGUCUCCUGAAAUAGUCUCGGUAGAUCUCUCCUUACUUCUGGAAGUUUCACCUUCUACCAUUUUCUCAACGAACUAUUUCCACUUGAAAAACAGCCUCUGUGAUGUUAAUUUCGCAUGAAUAAAUGCACCAGGAAAGUUCCCAGGAAACUGGAUGGGAACUCGGUCCCAAUUAAAAACCAAAAUCCUUAGACGCUUAUUGCCUUGUUGACAGAACUUUCCUAGACAUGCAAAAAGACACACUACUUACAAUAGACUGUCUCCUAAAUACAAAUGGCCGUCUCAACCGUAUUCGUGAACAGUACCGUAUGUGAACAAUACCGUAUACAAGAAUAGUACCAUAUGUGUGAAUAGUAUUGUAUAUGUGAACACUUCCGUAUAUUAGAAUAGUAUCGUUUACGUGAACAGUACCGUAUCCCCCCAAGUACGAACCUUCGGCUCUGAUACAACUUGUUGUGCGCGGAAUGCGGAAACAAGCGCACCAAAUAAUCACAAAAAAAUAAAGGACACAAGAAUUACGUAGUUCGGCAAUAUGCCUACGUCCACGGGAGCAAGAGAAAAAUAAUUGUAUUAUUAAUAAUUAUUUAAGUACAAAUUUGAGUAAAGAAAUCUCAUUUUCCCAGAACCCAAAUACACCCAGUACUCUCACACACACUCUCCAAUUACCCACACUCUCAUAACUCUCAAAAGUUUAGAACUUAUAAGCUUAACAAUUUAGGGAUGAUUUACAAAUGAAGAAUGCAUAUCUAUUUAUAGCAAAAAACAUUGCACUAUUGCACCAUCCGCUUUGCAAUUUGUCCAUUCUCCUAUCUAUCAAUUUGACAAAUUUUGCUAACUUUUUUCAUUUUUCUUCAUUUGGUGCAGGAUUGUCAAAAGUCAUAUAUUCUACAGCUUGUAAUUUUGGUGCCGACUUUGAAAAACAAAAGCAAUGCAUGUGGCUCACUUUUCUUUUUCAACCAAUUUGAAAAAACUCUUUGACUUUAAUUUCAACAAAUAGAGAUGGAGAAAAAGAAAUAUCUUCACACGGUGGAAGUACAAAGGGUAGAUAUGGAACCAAACAGAGACAACAACAGGCCACAACUAGAUUGGGAAUGGAGAGAAACAAAUUAACAAAGACUGGAGAUUACAACAGAACAGAUGCCAAGAGAAAAGGGUUUCUUCAUCCAGUGAAAUUCAAGUGAGUUGACAGCAAAAGGGAGCAUAUGUGUUUCUUGAUUGAGAACGAGUGCAAAGGAUGACUUUUUAAUGAGGUUCUGAAGCUGACGGAUAACGAUUUGCUAAAAUUUUGAGAAAGUUAUAUAUUUCGUAACUUCAACAAGUGAAGAAUAAAAGAAUAAUAGUUCGUCAUCUUCACAAUGAAGAUCAUGGCCGAGAUUAAAAGCUAAAACUAGUCCAUUUGAAAAGCCAAAGUUCAAGUUCCUUGGCUAAGUUCAGAAGUGAAGCAAAGAAUAAAUAAAUAAAGAUCAAGGGAUGGGAAUAAAGUCACCCCCAGACAGUUGCAGAAAGAUUAUUAUUUGGUAAGUGUAGUUGAUUAUUAGUACAAAACAGAGUAGGUGAAACACAUCCUUUCUAUUUAGACUGAUCAGCAUCUAAAAUUUUAUGAAUUAUGAGUUGCAUUUUACUUUGUACAUUAUGUUAACACAUUUUAAUUUAGCCAAUUUUGCAAUAAAUGUUAUUGAUGUAUUAAAUAGAAAAUGAAUUGAAUUCCACUCAUCGUCAUCUUGGCAAAUCAAGUCAAAAAAUAAAAAUCCAUAUGCUUUUGUUAAAGUUAAAAGCUACAUAAAUAAUAUCACAGAAGCUUCUGCUAAGGUUCAUGUGAAGUCACAGCUUUGAUACUUGUAAUACAAGGAGCACGGAGAAACCAUAAACUUCAGUUUAGGUAUAUACAUUGCUUGUCUUUCAAACUUGAAUUGAUAAGGGGGAAAAAAUAAUACUAAAGCAAACAGAAGGAUCAUUUAGUUGACAAAAUUAUUAGCUGAUAUGCAUUAACAACUCCUAUCCUAUACUAUCAGCCAGUAGGUUGUUGCUGCUUCCCGAUUUUUAAUGAUGCGAACAUCUCAUACUUAGAAAUAAGGGCGGAGCCUGGAGAUUGAUUUAUAAGAUAAGAAGCAACAUUGUGUACAAUAUCAGAUUUCCAAUGUGAGAAAAAUAAAAUUGCGUUAUAAAAUUAAUCCCACUAAGAAAGUGGUCUACGAAAUUGCCACAUUAAAAGAAAUUUUUUCCAUAAAUUAAAAUAAAAUUAAAUGAAAACUAUUUUUCAGUAAAGUCAAUUGCCCACGCUAGGCUAAGGCGUUUGUUUUUUUGUUUUUUUUUUUUUAAAUCUGAAUAGGUAUAAAUUUUUCGUAAGCAUGAAUGGGCUGAGUACAAAUAUAUGAAUGACAUAUUUAUUUUUAUUUUUCUUAAUACCCGAAUAUAAGUGACAUCUUAUUUAUCUUAAAUAUGGUUAUUUGAUAUUUAUAUUUUUACAAAUCAAAAUAAAAAAAAAAAAGUAGUUAGAUUUUAUAGUUUAAGAAAUAAAUAUAUUUUAUAAAAAAAAAUUUAGAAUAUAUAUUUACUUCUUAUUCAGACUUUUUUCUAUUCAAUAAAAUUCACAAAAGUUACUUUUUCUAUUCAAAUGUAAAUGCUUAAAAAUCAUAUAUAAGUUACAAAAAAAAAUUUGGAAAAAGUCAUAAAUUAAUAAAAUUUCAGAUUUUAUAUAUUUAACUCCCAAUGCAGAUCCGUCCCUAUUAGUGUUAGGAAAUUGACUGGUGAAUGUUGAGUGUUAGAAAAUAGGAGAAAAUCGUCAUUUUACACUUCAAGUUUUACUAACAUCCUUACUUUUACGUAUUUAACCUUCUUGUGAUUUAAUUACGUGUUUUUUUAUUUUAAUUAAGUAUUUUAUGUAUUUUAGUGGCAUUAUAGUCAUUUCACAAUGAACGAGAGAUCAGACGGCAAAACGGACAUCACUUUUGAACUCAGGACGGUCGAAAACCUUAGGAGGAGCAUAAAAGGAAAAAUGACACUGUUCAUAUGUACGGUACUAUUUACAUGUACAGUACUGUCUACGUUACUGUUCACGACACUGUUCACAUAGACGGAUCGAUGAUGUGGCAUUGACCGAUGAUAUGGCAUUGACUGAUGAGGUGUCACGAUCUUGUUGGACUAAAAUUCUUAUGCACUGUUGAUUGGUGACGUGGCAGCAUGUUAGUGGACCAAAAAUUGCGCGUACGGUACAUGCAUAUACACAGGAUUAUUUUCAACCAAACCGCGUUACUGUUCAAGCCGGGUCAAACCGUGUUACUGUUCAAACCGCGUGGUCAAACCGCGUACUGUUGACUGAUGACGUGGCGCAAUCCUAAACGUCCAAACUGUUUUUAAUCCGAUGGCCAUGAUUUACUCAAUGUAUCUAUAAACAAGAUCCUUGUUUAUGGCUCUGAUACCAUAAAUCUUGUUGGUACGUGGCGUUGUUUUACCAUAAACAAGGAUCUUGUUGGUACGUGGCGUUGUUUUACCAGAUCAAUGCAAAAGUUAAUCUGCCUUAGGGACCAGAUCUGACUUAGAACAGAUCAAUAUCCCGCAUGUUCGGGUUUUCAGCCGAUAUACCACAAAGGCUCAACGAUAGUACUAGAUCUGGAUCCCAGAAAUAGUACUCUGAUUGAAUGGAGGGAGAAGAGAAAUACAACUAAGGUCAGAGAUCCGGUCUCUAUGCCUUAGAGGAUAUGUAACAGUUUAUAAAGAAAUUUAAAUAGACGUAAAAUAAAUUACAAAAUUUAAAACAUACAUGCUUUAUAAAAUUAAAAUAUUAAACUUACAUAUUAUUCUUGCUUGAAUCCAAGAAACCUUUACGUUACAAUAUAGUUUUACAGAAUAGGAAAGAUGAGAAAGUUCGGAGACAGGAAAAUUUCCUCCAAGUCUCUGAUUUCUUUCCAGAGGAGAAUACAAGAAGAAGUAAAAAAGAGAAGUGUCCUCCCCUUCUGCUCGAGGCCUCGAUUUAUAGAAUCAGAAGUGCCUUGGUAGCUGCAUCAGACCACUACUUGGAGAAACGUGCUUGUGGAGACAGCAUCGUCUGCUUUAUCACGUGGAGACAGCAUCUUCUGCUUUAUCACGCGGAGACAACAUCUUUUGCUUUAUCACGUGGAGACAGACAUCUUUUGCUUUAUCACGUGGAGACAGCAUCUUCUGCUUUUUGAAAAGCGUUGACGUGGACCAAAAAGUGAAAAUGAAAAUACAAGGAAAAAUACAUAAAUACAAAUUAUUUACAUAAUACUAAAUGAACAAUACAUAUGAUAAUUACUUUUUUUUUUAAAUGGUAACUUUAAAAGUGCUUUAUGGGAGAAAGAAUCCCGAAACAAUCAUCUUUAUUGUCGUCUCCCAGGGAAAUGAAUGGUUCAGCUUCUUCAUCGGUAGAACCUGCUGCAGAUGGUUCAGAUCUUGAGGCAAGGAGGUGUUCUAUAACUUGAAAAUAUUCGUUUUCAGUCUUUGCACUGGCCAAAAGAGAUUGGGCUUUUGACCGUUGGGCUAAGAAAGUACUCUGGGUUUUAACAUCUUGAAUGCUUGGCGCGAGAAGGCCUUUUGAGGAGAGCCAUUUCUGAACUGUGGCUACAGACAGCUUUGACUGUUCAUCAAACUUUGACCACCAUUUGACUUUAAAGGUUCUUUGUAGAAUGAAUUGGGCUUCCUGUUUGUGGUAUUGGAAAUUCCACAUCCAGACCCAAGGAAGGAAAAAGUUUGUACAGAAACAAAGAAAAGGAGGAAACCUUUUCUCGGACUCUGAAGGAACAUAAUGGGCUUUAAAAAUGUUUAAACAGUGAAUGGCAUUUGGAGUUAAAAUAUCGGGGCAUGGCCCAAAAUAAUUCCACCACUGUUGGAACCAGUUUGGAAGACUCUGAACGGUUAUUUUUGAAUUAAAGAAAAAUAACCAAGAAUGGGUCUUUUUUGGGUUUUGAAUAAAGAAUGUGUUAAAUCAGGCCUGUUGAUAGUCCCAGUAAGAGAAAAAUAAACAGUGGUUUAAACUCCGUUGGAAAUUGGCAGGAAAGGUUUUUAGUUUGUGAAGUUCAUCACCCCACUGUUUUGGACUCAAGACUUGUAAUAUGGUGGCUGUGGAAUAGGCGGGUCUUUAUGGGAUUCACUGAGGAAGAAAUGUUUGAAUUUUACAGACUCAGUGUAUUCCAGAAUGCUUUGGUAGAAAGACUGGGGUUUUGUCAAAUCCCAAGGUUUGAAAAACCAGCCUUUCGGAAAAAUCUUUGAAAUGGCUUGAAAUGGAUCAGAGUGAUAAAAUCCAUCUUCUAUAGAUAAAACAUUUUGAUGAUGGGUUUUAUUAAACCAAUCCGAAGAUUUUUUAGGAAGAUUUUGUUGUGAAACAAUAAUUUGAGAACUGGAACUUUCUCCAGAAAGAACUAUAUUUGAAGAGGAUUUUGAAAUAUCUUUAGAAAUAGUCUUUGAAACAGUUUUUUCUUCUUCAGGAUUUUUAGAAAAAGCUUUAUUUUGAGAAAUGCUUUGAAGAGCUAAUAAGAGUUCAGGAGAAUUGGAAAUGGAGUUCAUCCAUUCUUUUACCUGUACUUCCGAGGCGAUAGCUUUAGAAUGAGCUUCAUGCUCCUCAACCAUAUCAAUCCAAGAUUUAAUAGGCAUGGCUGAGGAUAAAAUUUUGUCUUUAGGAGGAGUUGAUAAAGAUUCUUUAGAAGCGGGUUGAGGUGGAGGGUCUUUGAGGACACCUUUUCCUUUGUCUUUUUUGGGCGGCAUUAUCUGUUUUGAAGAAAUUCCCUAGUUAGAAAGUCAGGGAUAGAAUUUGUAUCUCCUUUAAUAAAGUCAAUAUCAAAGUCAAAAACACUUAAAAUAGUUUGCCAUCGUGCAAAAAUUUGUUUUGAUGCAAUGUUUUGAACACCUUUUUCUAAAACAUGUUUUGCAGCUUUGCAAUCUAUCCUAAGUAAAAAAUUUUGAUUUAAUAAAUCACUUUGAAAUUUGGAUAUGCAUAAAACAAUGGAUAAAAUUUCUUUUUUAAUAGUAGAAUAAUUUUUCUGACAUUCAUUCCAAUGAGCAGAAACAUAUUGAACUAUUUGUUCUUUAGUACCAUUCUUUUGUUUUAAUAUUCCUCCAUAACCUAAAUCUGAAGCAUUGGUUUCAACAAUUUUAGGUAAUACAGGAUUUGCAAGAAACAAACAAGGGAUUUCUUUGACUGUAAGUUUUAUUAAUUUAACAACUUUAGUGUGUUCAUCAGUCCAAACAACAGGGUGUUUCUUUAAUCUAUCAUGCAACGGUUUUGAAAUCCUAUUAAUGUUAGGACAGAAAUCAAGAACAUAAUUCAAACUACCUAAAAAUCUAUGUAGUUGAGUUUUAUCAAGAAUUUUAUCAGGGAAUUUGUCGGCAAAUGCAAGAGAUCUUUCUAUAGGUGUUAUAGUACCUUUAGAAAUAUAAUGACCAAGAAAUCUAAUUUUGGUCUGAAAUAAAGAAACUUUAGAAUUAGAAAUAGCUAAGCCAGCUUUUCUAGUCGCAAACUAGAAAGUCUUUAAAUGUUUGAAAUGUUGAUCAAUAGACUGAGAAAAGAUUAAUACAUCAUCAAUAUAAACAAUGCAAAAUUCUGAAAAAGGAUUAUAAAUAUCAUUCAUUAUCCUUUGAAAUUCGGAAGGUGCAUUUUUUAAUCCGAAUGGCAUUACUGUCCAUUCAUACUGUCCAAAAGGAACAGUAAAAGCAGUUUUGUAUCUAUCUUUAGGAUGGAUUUGAAUUUGCCAAAAUCCUGAUUUCAUAUCAAAUUUUGAGAAAAUGAAAGCAGAGUGCAGUUUUUGGAGUAAAUCUUUUUUAUUAGGUAUGGGAUCCCUAAUCCAUUUUAAUGCUUUAUUAAGAGGUUUGUAAUUAAUAACUAAUCUAGGUGUUCCUCUUUCUAUUUCAGAAUUCUUAUUGACAUAGAAAGCGGCACAAGACCAAGGAGACCUAGAUUUGACAAUGAGUCCUUUAGACUCUAAAUCUUUGAUUUCGUUUUUACAGUGUUGUUCUAAGUCCAUGUUCAUUUGGAUUGGACGAGCUUUAGUGGGAAUUUGUCUUUCAUCAAAGGAAUUUUCAUAAGGCAAAUCAACCAAAUGUUGUUUUCUAUUCCAAAAGGCAGAAGGCAAAUCAGCACAUAUUUCUUUUUCAACUAGGGUUUUAUAUUCAGAAAUUUUUCUCUUUGAAAAAUCAUUUUGCAAUUGGCUUUCAAUUUUUUGUAAAUUCAAGUCUUUUGUAAACAAACCAAGUCAUUUUGUCUAGACUUGAGUAAAAUAUUGAUUUGGUUCUGAUAAACAGAACAUGCUUUUACAAUAUUCAAAUUUCUUGUUUUAGGUUUUUCAAUAAAAGGAAAAAAUAAUUUUUUGUUUUUUGCGUUAAAAGAUAUACUAUCAUAAUUGACAGUAUAAGGAGUAAUAAGGUUAAUGAAAGGAGUUCCUAAAAUAACAGUGUGAUGUAUGUCAUUUGUUAGGACGAAGGAAGUCCUAAAUUCAAAACCAUUAUUAUAAAUUGAGGCAUCAACUUUAGAUUUGACUUUUAACUUCGAGUUAUUGGCGACAGAAAGUCUUUCAUUGGUUUUCUCAUGAAAUCCUUUAGGGACAAUAUCUUCUCUAAUGCAAUUUAAAUCGGCACCUGUAUCAAAAAGGGCAAUUGUGUCAAUCUCAAAAUCUUUAGAAAGAAUUAAGGUGAUUUUAAUCAAAUAUUUUCUAGUGGUGAUCUGUUUUAAAACAAAAAGGAAAUCCUUGGGUAAAGAUUCAAUGUUUUCAAGGUUUUGUCCUUCAUUAUCACCAUCGGAUUCUGAUUCUUUAUUAUAAUUAUCUUGUAAUUGUUUUUGUAACAGAAGUUGGAUGGUUUCAGAAUCACUUUUCUGUUUUUCUUUCAAGUUUUUUAUCUCAAGUUUGAUUUCUUUUAUCUCUUUUUGGAGAUCUUGGAUAUUUGGUAUUGUUUUCUUUAUUUUCUUAUUGUCAAGGAUUUUUGUAAGAUCAUAAGUAUUCUUUUUAAUAGUAGGGGCUUUAGAGGUUUCUGCUUUAUCUCCUAAAUCUAAAGUUUUUAGGAGUUUAUCAAGGUACUCUUUUUGAAGAGUAUGGUCAGAAAUGUGUUUAACUAACUCAAGAAAAGUUUCUUGAUCUUUAGUUAACACAUUAACUUUCUUAAAAUAGGAAUCUGUUUCAGCAUCACUAUUACUAGUUACAGAUGUAUCUGAGUCAAGUAAUUCAUCAAUCUAUAAGGGCUCACUAUCUCCCGUCAUGGAAGAUUUAGAAUCAGAAGAUUCUACAAGUAAAGGGGCAACUUUAGAAAGUGUCUCUUCAUCAAGACCAAGUUCGUGAAGUUUUGUAUUUACUCUACAAAAUUUCUUGGUGUGGCAUUUUCUUCCACAUUUAAAACAUGUGGCUUCUUUGUAAUUGAAAGGAGGUUUUGUUGUGGCCUUAGGAUCCUUUCGUUUAGAGAAGCGAGGCUUCCUAUAAAAUUUCGAAGGUUUUUUAUAGGAAGAUUCCCUAAAAUCCGGAAAAGCUUUUUUACGAUUCUUAGAAUUGUAAUGUUUUUUGUAAGGUUUUGUAGAACAUUUACCAUUACAAUCCCUGGAAGUAGAGGCUUUAAAAGGAUCAUAGUUAAACUGUUUACAGAAACUGCCUAAUUCUUGCUUAGAUUGUCUAAGCUCCCAUUUUAGACGCUUCUGUAAUUUCAUAUCUUGGCAAAUCUUUAAUCCUUCUUUAUUGACAAAACUGACCAAUUCACCAUAGGUGAGUUCAUCAUAUGGAAUACGGUUGUCAUAAAGAGCUUUAAUGGAAUUCCUAACUUUUUCUCCUAAGAGAGUGGGUAAACCAGCAAGGAAUUUUUCUUUCCAAGUAACAUGGUUUGCAUCAUCUCGGAGAAAAAGUCUAGUGAAGAAAGUGGUUUUAUAACUUUGGAAUUCACUAAGUUUCCUACAUCUUAAGUUGUGUAGUAACUCAGCAUUUUUAUCUCUAAGGUGUGAAGGAUCACCUAUGAAGUGUAGAGAAAUAGUAAGGAUCAGGGUAGCUACAGCAUCUUGAAUAGGGCUAUUGAAUUCAUCACAGAUAGGUGCUCCAUUUUCAUCUGUUUAAAUAGCAUUAAGAAUAUCUAAUUGUUGUUGUUUGGUGAGAAGAUGAUCCCACCAGCCUUUAAGUUGACCAGUAAAACCAGCAAUGAGGAUCUCUGCAAUAGCUUUGUCAGAGGUUCCUGACUGGGUUUUAUAAGCAUUAGCUGCCAUGGUCAUCUGUUGCAACAAUCCUAAAAUAUUAUAUUCGGACAUACUAUCAAUGUUCCACUCAUAGACAGAGGAGGCAUUAAAUCGUGAUUGGUUUAAUGCGCUUGGUCUGUUGUCUAUGGCUAAGUCAGGAGGAGAAUUGAUAGUAGGAAGGGCUAAUUCCCAAUGAAUUUUAUUGGCGUUAUGAAUAGGUUCAUUUGUAAAGGCUUCUAUAUCUAAAGAGGCUAUAGACACUUGGUCUUGUUCAAGUACACCAAUUUUGCUAGAUUGGGCACUAUCAGGAGCUAUUUGUAUCUUACUAGAUGCAGAAGAAGAAGCUUCGAUCCUAUCUAGUUGUUCUCUAAUGGCUUUAGCAAAAUCUGAUUUUGACUCAUGGGCAAGCUUUUGACUAGUUUUCGAAACUUGGAAGGGUUUGAAAAUAGGCUCUUUAAGCCUUUUGUCAAUAUCCGAUUUUGAUGAACUAAUAGGGGAAACAACUAUUGUUGACUUUUGGAAUUGGUUUUCUAUUCUAGUCAACUGCUUUCCUAUUGUAUUUAGGUUAGUAUUACAGAAAUUAUUCUGUUGGAUAAUGUUACCUAAAUUAGUCUCUGGAUCAUUAGUUUUAUGGAUUUUAUAAGGUGAGGCUUUAAUUUGGACAGGAGGUUCACCAUGGUCAAUGGUCAGACUCCUAAGAGGUGGAUGCUCAGAUUCUAUAGUUCUGUCACUGUCAGAAAGAUUCCACUCAGUGAUCUUUUUUCUAACUGUGAUCGGGUUAGAUUCUUUAAAAGGAUAUGUAAUGUUAUUAUCAGAAGCAUACAUAGUCAACAGAAUGUAUAGAAGAGCUAGGUAUAUCCGAUGUGGAAAACCUAGGUUGACUUUUUACAGGUUGGAAAGGAAGAUUUAUAACAGAGGGAAGUUUUGAGAAUUUUCUCUCUAAAGAGGCGAUACUAGAACUUGAAUCUUUAUCAGAAAACCUAGAUGAUGUGGACCUUCUAAAAUAUAGUUUGACUUUACCAUCAGAAUAUUGAGUCACAUUUUGUAACACUGUAUUUGGUUCAAGUUGUUUUGGAAUCACUGGUUCAGUGGCUCCUUCAAGAAUCCAUUCUUCUGGAAGAUUGACAUCUUUCCAUUGGAUUGGUUUGGGAACAACAGUGUUGGCUUUAGACAGGUCAGUCUGCAAGAGAAGAGUCUCAUCUCUUUUUGACUGAAAUUUAUGUUGUGUAUUAAACGCAGAAUUCAUGGCUUUGUAUGAAAUUUUGAUAAUUAAGGCAACUGGGACAGAUCCCUCAAUCAUGUGAUAAUUAUGGGUUUUGAUUUGUAAAAUCAUGCUUUUCAAAAUGUUUUUGUCUUUUAAAGAAAUUGUUAUGUUCGGGUAACAGCUAAAUGAGAUGGGACCUUUACAAAGACUUGAUUCUAUACUACUUAAUAAAGAAUCAUCAAAAGAGAUGAAUCGCCCAUCUCUUAGGAUAGCAAGAAUAGAGGUAUUAAGACCUUCUUUAGUUAAGGGUUUUAUGCCAACUUGUAUUAAGCCGAUGUGAACAUAAUUAAAGUUCUUUUCUUUUAGUUUCUUUAAAGAGUGUUAUGAAAACAGGUGAAUUGUUUCAAAUGGCUUUGAAAGGGUUAUGUCACGUUCUUCAGUUUUUAUAACAAAAUCAGUCUUUAAAAAAUCAAGCUUUUUUAUUUUGUAAAUCAUGUCUUUAGAAAUCUUUGGUAAUUCCCAAUUAUCAAUUGCUUUAUUAAAGUCUUCAAUAAAAAAUUCUUCUGAAUUUACAACAUUCUUAGAAUCACUAGUCCUUCCAGAAGAAGAGCUAGAGAAAGAUGAUGCUCUACAGAGUAGAGAAUCCAUAUAAGCUGGAACCUAUAAAUGAUCUAGUUUUACAGGAAUGGAAAAUCAAUCCUAGGCUAAGAGUUGGUUUUACUGCCCUUCAACCAAAUCGGGACUUACGACCAAAUACUACCAAGGCACCCAAAGGUAACACCCUUUACCACUCAAGCAAAAGUUUAAUCACAUACAACUUCAGCCUACACAAAAACUCUAAACGAUAAAACACGACCCCCCUGGCUCUGAUACCAUAAAUCUUGUUUAUGGUAUAUAUAUAUAUAUAUAUAUAUAUAUCUUUUUAAUAUAUUCCAUUACUUUAAUAAUCAAUUUAAAAUAGUUUGUGAUAUUUUCAGCUAUUUACUUAUCUACUUUUAGCUAGUUAUUUACACCGAAUGAAGUGCUAGGGUCCAAAUUUUAGUAUCCUUCUCAGCUGUUUGGGGUUAGUAAAUACUAAUUAGCAUAUUCGUCCCGAACAGCUGUGUAAAUGCUGUUAGAUUUCGGAGAGAUGCUGAGGAUGGUACAAGAUUUAUCAAAUUGUGGCGACAUUUUUAUACCUUUAGAAUUUCAAGAUUUUGAAGAAAUAAAUGGGAUCUGUUUUCCAUAAGUGCUCCACUAUCCACCAGGAGGAAUUCUAAAAUACAUUACAGAUUAGUGAUUUCUCAGAAUAAAUAAACACAUAUUAUAACAUUAUUUACUUAUUGUAUGACUGAUAUGAUAUUUCUGAGAUAUUUUAGAAUUUUUAACGCACCAAAGUUCAUUUUUAGCUUUAAAGGUUUUUAUGUGUGAGCCUCUCAGCAUGUUCCCCAACCUCCUCACGUGAAAAUAUUUCUAUGUACGGUUACAAGCUUUUCCAGAUUGUGAGUAUUCCGAAGCAAUCCAACUUGAAAAACAGCUGGUUCGUAGAAAAUGACAGUUUACGAAGCUGGCCCUGCUGCCAUACAUAUGAUGAUGAAGACCAUUUGGCUUUAUGUCAAUUCCUCCAAGUUGAAAUCUUUCUCGGUCUGGGACACUUCCAACACAUAAAGUACUACUAGGCUAGAUGAUUUUAAAAAAUGUCCAGGUCCUUUAUCAAAUUUCAUUUGCAUUCAAGACCAAUCCCCUUUGAUGAAAAUCAAUAAUUAAAGGCUUUCCAAUGAGAAAUUAUUACGUCUUCAAAUCUCAAAAAACGCCAGAAUAUUAAUUCGCUACAUAUAAUCAAGAUAUCUCAUUGAGACGCAUUAAUAAAAAAUGUCAAAAUGCAUAGAAAGAGCAGACACACGGAUGAUGAAUUUACUCAUCUUUAGUAGUAUUUGAACUUGAGAGACAGAAUGAAGUACAUGUCAAGAAUAUCAUAAAGAUGGAAACCGGAAGUCCUCCGCACAUAAACUUUGAAGAAACUGGAAAACGACUUUANNNNNNNNNNNNNNNNNNNNNNNNNNNNNNNNNNNNNNNNNNNNNNNNNNNNNNNNNNNNNNNNNNNNNNNNNNNNNNNNNNNNNNNNNNNNNNNNNNNNNNNNNNNNNNNNNNNNNNNNNNNNNNNNNNNNNNNNNNNNNNNNNNNNNNNNNNNNNNNNNNNNNNNNNNNNNNNCCAUUUGGAGUCUUGUUUCCACAAUUGCUUCAGAUGAUUAAAUUUGUGCAGAUCUAAAUGUUUUAUCAUUGUAAACUUCCUCACUUGUUUCUUCAAGUAUCCUCCAUUCGAAAAUACCUCUUCGCAUGAACAACGACGCCGUAUGAGAGUUUCCAGAUUAUGAAAUCUCUCAAGUAAAUCAAGUGGAAAACAAGUUGAUUCAUCAUCCACUGUUUGUAGUAGUUUAAGACUGCCAAAGUCAUCCUCGAGUAUUUUCCACUUAAUGCCAGUUCCUUCUAAGUUGGGUAAGCUCUGAUCAUCAUCAAUCACGUAAUAACUUAUUAAGUCAAUUCAUAUUCUCUCAAAUAACUUUUAAUAAUCCAAUCAUACACAGUGACUUUAAUAUAAAUGCAUAAUAUUUUACAAACAAGAAGAAAAAAUCGAAUUAGAGGUAAAAGUUAUUCUACGAUUUUAUUUUUUAUAUAUAUCUUGCAUGCUAUUCCCAAAAGCAAUCCCAAACGGCCUUUAAAGCAAUUUUACAAAAGCGGCCUGCACAUAUAUUGCCAACUUUGUUGGGAAUGGCAAUGGGGAGAGGAGGGGAAGAGACCGAACUCCCCGUACCCAUUCAUGAUAUUCUGCAUAUAUCCUCGUCCUCUCCUCAUUUCUCACAAAAUUGCUUUAGGAAAUCCCCCUCCCCUCCCCAAAUAAUAAUAGGGGAUCCUUGAAGGCCCUCGAUCCUCGAAUAACUGAUACGUUUUUUGUUUUAAAUUUUAAUUUAAUCAUAUUAAAAUAAAAAAUAAAAAUAAAAAUAAAGUUUGACGAUAUAUCUUAUAUUAACAUUAAUCUAUUACAAAAGUCACAUUACAAAGUAUAAAUCACCAUAAUAAUUAUCUUCGGCAAUCUUCAAAAUCAUAUAAUAAAAAAAAGAAAUUACUUUUAUAUCAACAAUGAGAUAAAUGAAAUGAAUAUAGAUACUUAAUCAAUAUUUCUAAUAAAAGUAUUUACCUCUGCGUCUCCUACUCUUCUUGUUCUUCCUCGAGGAAUGUGACAAAUUGAGAGAUAGCCUCAGAUUUCAAAUUUAAAACAAUAAAAAUGAUAUAAGUAAUGUAAAUUCUAAUUAAAAUAAACUCAUACUGCCAUUGUAAGCUUGUGGUCAACUUUGACAACAUAUUAAAGCCUCCAAUGUGCUUGAAUAAAGCGUGUUACGGUACUCUACCACUGGUGCUAAAAGCUAAUUCAGAAGCAACAUUUGUAAUUAGAAUUGCCAAAAUAUCUCUAGGUGCCAAUAUAGGAUAUCUAUAGACAUUUAUUUUACAAAAACUCAAAAUAUUAAAAUCUUUCAUCCUAAGCAUAACUUUCUCAUCCAAAUAUUAAUGUAGUCAAUUAGGCCUAAAUUUUAAUAAUAUAAUUUUUUUAAUUUUUUUAUUUAUACUAAUAUUUAAUAUUUUAUUAUUUAUUUACAAAUAAUUUUAAAAAAAUUAAAAUUAAAUCAAAAAAUUAGAAGGGGAUAGGGAUUCCGCCGCAUCCCCGUUCUUUCUCUGAAUAAGAAAUUGAGUAAAAAAACUAUCUCCGUCCACUUUCCAAAUAAAAAAUUAAGUAAAAAAUUAUGUACCCUCCUGAAUUGGGAAAAUCUCGAGGGUCAUGUCCCCGCGGCAAUAUCUGCCAUUCCUAAACUUGUAACAGCCAGUUGCUUUUGUGACUGUUUAUGUGACGGCUAGACUGCUCUCACUUAUGUUACUAACCACGUGACGGUAGAGAGCCAAUUGGCAUACUAUUUUGACGGUAGAGUUAUAAAUUUGUUUCUAAAUAGAAAACUAUUUGCUGAAGUCAAUAUUUUGAAAACCAAAGUCCCAAAUUCUCUCUCGUGCGUGCCUGGUCAUCCUAAACCUUACUGGUAGCCGGAGAAUGGCGUAAAACGGCAGCGAUCUUCUUCUUCAUCUUAUUCUCUCUCUCAUCGUUUCAGGUAAGCUUGUGAUUAUGAGUUUCUUCUCUUUCUUAGCUUGUAAUUAUAGGUUUUGAUUUCUUUAAUUCGUAUUGUAGCCAUUAAUGUCAAUUUUUGUCCCACCGGCAAUUUUUUUUUGUUCCUAGAAGUUGAAGCCCUUCUGUUCUUGUGCCAUUGGUGAGUUUGCUCACUCAAAUUAAUUUUGUUCUGCGGAGUUUACAAAGUUCAAAUGGAUUCAUUUGGAUUACUAUUGAAUUUAGCUUUAAUUCCAACAUCCAUUCUAAUGUUUUGCUAUUAGAUUUACUUUAAUUUUAUGUUUAAAGCUUCUACAAUGAAUAGCGGAGCUUGGGUUUUAGUUUCAUUUUCUCAUUAACUUCUUUUAGUUUAUCUUAUAUGCUCGCCAAGUGCUUGUUAUAUUGUCUGAUAAGUUAUAUAACAUUGCUGAUUCUAUAUUAGUAAUGUCAUGUUCCAUUUUCGGAAAUUAUAACACAAAAGUUUUUACAAUGGCUUGCAUCUGCAAACUGAAUUGACUUGUAGAGUAAGAGCUUGGAUUAGUGUUAUGUUCUUGAAUAAAUGAAAGUUCAUAUUGUGUAAGAGCAUGUAGAUGUAAAGCAUCACUACCAUUUCUACAAACUGCUUUCAUUUUGUUCAGAUGCUCCUCUUGAACUUUGAAAGGUGCCUCAUUCAAGUCCUAGCUAUAACUACUAGCUCUGAUUGCUUAAGUUCCUGUGCUAGCUGAAACAGAUUUAUUUAAUUAAUUUAUUGUGUAUGUACUAAUUAUAUUGAAAGUAUAUGAAGAAAUUGUUUAACAUGAAUGACUUCUAAAUGACUUAAAAGCCUAAAGGAUAUGUGAAAUAAUGCUCAUUUCACUUGAACGAGCCUAUUAAUACUUGUAUGUCUAUGAUUGUCAAUCUUGCUUAAGUGUUUCAGUUAAGUGGUUUACCAAACAGGGAAAAAAAUUUAAUGGAAAACUUUAGAGUUCUAACAGAAAUAUAGUUGACUGCAGAUAUAGUUAUUUUAUGGUACAUAAAUCAUAUUGUCCUAUUCUCAAUGUCCUACGACCUAUUUUAUUUUAUAUGGUCAUUCAUUUUUGCGAUGGUUUUUUGUGCUUAUGAGUAUGGAAAUAGUGGGAUUUGGUGUGGCAAACAAAAAUAUACAUAUAAUCAAGUUUCUUAAUCAUUGUGCUUAUGAGUAUGGAAAUAGUGGGAUUUGGUGUGGCAAACAAAAAUAUACAUAUAAUCAAGUUUCUUAAUCAUGUAUAUUGGUUUUGGGUAUGAAUGUUUUCCUAUUCUAGUUCUAGGCAAAGUUUCUUCAUUUUGGUCUUCAGAUUUCCAGUAGGUUAAAGUUAAGCAACUAUCAUAACUAGCUAGCUAGUUAUUUGCCUUGCCUUUGUCGCCAUUACUGACGCCAUUUACAUUGCAUGGCAUAAGGAAUAGUAACUAGGUGAUUAUUGGUGAUUCCUUGAGUUUAUUAUUGGCCAAACAAACAUAUUNNNNNNNNNNNNNNNNNNNNNNNNNNNNNNNNNNNNNNNNNNNNNNNNNNNNNNNNNNNNNNNNNNNNNNNNNNNNNNNNNNNNNNNNNNNNNNNNNNNNNNNNNNNNNNNNNNNNNNNNNNNNNNNNNNNNNNNNNNNNNNNNNNNNNNNNNNNNNNNNNNNNNNNNNNNNNNNNNNNNNNNNNNNNNNNNNNNNNNNNNNNNNNNNNNNNNNNNNNNNNNNNNNNNNNNNNNNNNNNNNNNNNNNNNNNNNNNNNNNNNNNNNNNNNNNNNNNNNNNNNNNNNNNNNNNNNNNNNNNNNNNNNNNNNNNNNNNNNNNNNNNNNNNNNNNNNNNNNNNNNNNNNNNNNNNNNNNNNNNNNNNNNNNNNNNNNNNNNNNNNNNNNNNNNNNNNNNNNNNNNNNNNNNNNNNNNNNNNNNNNNNNNNNNNNNNNNNNNNNNNNNNNNNNNNNNNNNNNNNNNNNNNNNNNNNNNNNNNNNNNNNNNNNNNNNNNNNNNNNNNNNNNNNNNNNNNNNNNNNNNNNNNNNNNNNNNNNNNNNNNNNNNNNNNNNNNNNNNNNNNNNNNNNNNNNNNNNNNNNNNNNNNNNNNNNNNNNNNNNNNNNNNNNNNNNNNNNNNNNNNNNNNNNNNNNNNNNNNNNNNNNNNNNNNNNNNNNNNNNNNNNNNNNNNNNNNNNNNNNNNNNNNNNNNNNNNNNNNNNNNNNNNNNNNNNNNNNNNNNNNNNNNNNNNNNNNNNNNNNNNNNNNNNNNNNNNNNNNNNNNNNNNNNNNNNNNNNNNNNNNNNNNNNNNNNNNNNNNNNNNNNNNNNNNNNNNNNNNNNNNNNNNNNNNNNNNNNNNNNNNNNNNNNNNNNNNNNNNNNNNNNNNNNNNNNNNNNNNNNNNNNNNNNNNNNNNNNNNNNNNNNNNNNNNNNNNNNNNNNNNNNNNNNNNNNNNNNNNNNNNNNNNNNNNNNNNNNNNNNNNNNNNNNNNNNNNNNNNNNNNNNNNNNNNNNNNNNNNNNNNNNNNNNNNNNNNNNNNNNNNNNNNNNNNNNNNNNNNNNNNNNNNNNNNNNNNNNNNNNNNNNNNNNNNNNNNNNNNNNNNNNNNNNNNNNNNNNNNNNNNNNNNNNNNNNNNNNNNNNNNNNNNNNNNNNNNNNNNNNNNNNNNNNNNNNNNNNNNNNNNNNNNNNNNNNNNNNNNNNNNNNNNNNNNNNNNNNNNNNNNNNNNNNNNNNNNNNNNNNNNNNNNNNNNNNNNNNNNNNNNNNNNNNNNNNNNNNNNNNNNNNNNNNNNNNNNNNNNNNNNNNNNNNNNNNNNNNNNNNNNNNNNNNNNNNNNNNNNNNNNNNNNNNNNNNNNNNNNNNNNNNNNNNNNNNNNNNNNNNNNNNNNNNNNNNNNNNNNNNNNNNNNNNNNNNNNNNNNNNNNNNNNNNNNNNNNNNNNNNNNNNNNNNNNNNNNNNNNNNNNNNNNNNNNNNNNNNNNNNNNNNNNNNNNNNNNNNNNNNNNNNNNNNNNNNNNNNNNNNNNNNNNNNNNNNNNNNNNNNNNNNNNNNNNNNNNNNNNNNNNNNNNNNNNNNNNNNNNNNNNNNNNNNNNNNNNNNNNNNNNNNNNNNNNNNNNNNNNNNNNNNNNNNNNNNNNNNNNNNNNNNNNNNNNNNNNNNNNNNNNNNNNNNNNNNNNNNNNNNNNNNNNNNNNNNNNNNNNNNNNNNNNNNNNNNNNNNNNNNNNNNNNNNNNNNNNNNNNNNNNNNNNNNNNNNNNNNNNNNNNNNNNNNNNNNNNNNNNNNNNNNNNNNNNNNNNNNNNNNNNNNNNNNNNNNNNNNNNNNNNNNNNNNNNNNNNNNNNNNNNNNNNNNNNNNNNNNNNNNNNNNNNNNNNNNNNNNNNNNNNNNNNNNNNNNNNNNNNNNNNNNNNNNNNNNNNNNNNNNNNNNNNNNNNNNNNNNNNNNNNNNNNNNNNNNNNNNNNNNNNNNNNNNNNNNNNNNNNNNNNNNNNNNNNNNNNNNNNNNNNNNNNNNNNNNNNNNNNNNNNNNNNNNNNNNNNNNNNNNNNNNNNNNNNNNNNNNNNNNNNNNNNNNNNNNNNNNNNNNNNNNNNNNNNNNNNNNNNNNNNNNNNNNNNNNNNNNNNNNNNNNNNNNNNNNNNNNNNNNNNNNNNNNNNNNNNNNNNNNNNNNNNNNNNNNNNNNNNNNNNNNNNNNNNNNNNNNNNNNNNNNNNNNNNNNNNNNNNNNNNNNNNNNNNNNNNNNNNNNNNNNNNNNNNNNNNNNNNNNNNNNNNNNNNNNNNNNNNNNNNNNNNNNNNNNNNNNNNNNNNNNNNNNNNNNNNNNNNNNNNNNNNNNNNNNNNNNNNNNNNNNNNNNNNNNNNNNNNNNNNNNNNNNNNNNNNNNNNNNNNNNNNNNNNNNNNNNNNNNNNNNNNNNNNNNNNNNNNNNNNNNNNNNNNNNNNNNNNNNNNNNNNNNNNNNNNNNNNNNNNNNNNNNNNNNNNNNNNNNNNNNNNNNNNNNNNNNNNNNNNNNNNNNNNNNNNNNNNNNNNNNNNNNNNNNNNNNNNNNNNNNNNNNNNNNNNNNNNNNNNNNNNNNNNNNNNNNNNNNNNNNNNNNNNNNNNNNNNNNNNNNNNNNNNNNNNNNNNNNNNNNNNNNNNNNNNNCCCCCCCCCCCCACCACCAAAAAAAAAAACAAAACAAAUAGGAAGACUUUGCAAGAUUCACAACCAGGUUACAUUUAAUUUAUUAAUUGUGUGUACGUACUAGUUAUUUGUUGAUAGAAUAGGAAGAAGUAUUUUAAUAUGAAUGACUUAAAACUUAUUGCUCAGUAAACAUAAUGUGCAUCAGUGCUAGAAAAUGUAUUUAUUGUUUGUAAUUUUUUAUGGUUUUGCUUAAGAAAUGAAAUGUGAAAAAAUGCUACAUUGUAUUAGGAAUAAAAUGAAGAGAUUUAUGAUUUUUAUGUGUUAUUCAAGUUUCAGAUUCAAUUUUAAACUUUUGAUACAUGCAUUGAAAGCUUAAACUCCUUUAAGAAAUUAUUAAUAGACACAUGUUUUAUUAGUGUCAUCUUCUGGAUGAUAGUGAGGAUCUUAUGUCUAUUAAUAAUUCUUGAAUUAUCUAGGCUUGGACAGUUUGGUAAUGCAUAGUUUUCUAUGUUAGCUAGUGCCUGAAAUUUUUUUCCCACGUAAAAAUGGGGUUUUCAGCAGCUGCUCCUCAUGUUCUCUGGGUGCAUACUAGACAAAUGGGUGUCAUGUGUUGUUUUGGCAUAACACAUAAACACUCAUAUAUCUAUGUCGUGUACUUGAAGAACUAUAGGGAGAUGCUUCCGAAGUUUCUAUAAACGUAGAGGAAAACUUUAGAUACUUAAGAUUGAAGAAACUUAUGCAUUCUUGAGUGGGAUAUAUAGGACCACUUACCUUUUGUAAAUAUGAAGGGAAUGUUGGAUAUAUUGAUGGGAGUGGAGGAGCUGAGUGGGAUGAAUGUAAUCGGUUAUGAUUUUGCUGAGUCGACUUGGUUUUGAGUCUUGUAAUUUUUUUUAUAAAUGGAGUACUAUCUCCAAUGUUGGUUUAUAAAUAUGUUUCAGCUGGCUGACCUAAUUUUUUGUUUCUAGGUAACAGGCUUUAUAUAUCUGUAAUUGAUAGCCAAGUGAAGUUCUCAGCAGUGGGUGAGGAUAUUUCUUUACAGAAGGUAUUGCAAACUGUUUUUUAGAUUAAUUAUUAUUGUAUAUAUACUUUAAUUUUCACAUCUUUUUCUCUGAUUCUUGUGGCUUUGCUUGCUUCCAUAUAUAUAAAACCAUAAAAUUGUAUAAUAAUUUUUUUUAUUAUAUUGCGAAACUGCGCACACAUGAAAAUAUCUUGUUUAGUAGUAGAAAUGAAGAAUUAAAGUGAUUUAUUUAACUAAUUUUUCUAGUGCAAUAAAAGGAGAUAGUCAUGGACCAGAGUUGGGUUGGUUUGCCAAAUAGAUAUCCAAUUCAUAUACUGAUGGGGGUCAAAAAAUUUAUAGAUUUUGCAUUUGAGAAUGUUGUUGGUGAUAAAAGAAUUUAUUGUCCUUCUAAGAGGUGUUGUAAUAUCGAUAUUUCAUUAUAAGGAAAGUGGCAAGAGACCAUAUCAUUAUAAAUGGCUAUUGGUUAAAGUAUUAAAACUGGAUAUUGGAGGGUGAGCCAUCUUCAUCUUUGAAAUCUAACUAAGAAACAGGUUAGUCAUGACUCGGGUAGUGAUGCUAGUAUGGUUGGAAUGAUGCAUAAUGCAUCACGUAAUCAAAUGUUCAAGUCACACGCAGCAUUGUUAUGGACUAUCUCCGACUUUCUAGCAUAUGCCAACUUGUUUGGGUGGAGUAUUAAAGGUAAAUAAGCAUUUCUUGUUUGCCAACAAAACACUAGAUCUAAUUGGUUGAUACAUAGUAGAAAAUUGUCACGUGGGUCACUGUCGAUUUUUACCAACAAAUCAUAGGUUCCGAAAAUAUAGUGCCAUCUGAUAAAACUGGAGAGUGGGGACAAGCACCUUCUCGGUUGUCUGGAGCUGAGGUGAAAAAGCAGUUCAAUAAUGUACUUACUGAGUAUAAGAUUGAAGAUUUGAAAAGAGGAGAAUGAAUAAAAUGAAAGAAAUGAUAAGAUUACUUGGAAGAAGAAAAGCAUUUUUAAUGAACUAACGUAUUGGGAGUUCAAUUUGAUUCAUCAUAAUCUUGAUGUCAUACACCGUUUUUAUUUUUGUUAUGAACUCAGAUCAAAAGUUUAAUGUGAUCAAAAUUUCUUAAAAAUAGUGAAAAAGACUCCUAAUAAUAUGGAAGAUGGCUAUAAAAGAUAAUUUCUUAAAAGUUUAAUGUGAUCAAAAUUGCUUGUGAACGCAAGGGUUUUAGUUACACUGUCAACGCUGUCAAUGUAGUGAUACAAUGAAGAUGAAGUAAAGCAUUAGUAGAAUAAUGAAGUUGACCAGUAACACAGUAAAGCAUAUUUUAUUCCAGAGCAUGAAAACUUUUAAACAGUAACACAGCUCUUAUUCCAGAGGCUGCACACGAGUGACCUGAAUCUUCUUCAGAACUUUCAAAUUUUAUCAAGCAAAGAUUUCAAAAUCCUUGCCUUCCUAAGUUGGGAAAAAUAGAUGUGGAGCAAACCAAAUGAAAUAAAUGGGUAAACAGAACAAGCAGGGCAAAAAUUAAAAAUGAUAGCAAUUAACAAAUUAAUAGCAAUGUUACAUUUGACUCUUUAGCCCUUUGUUCCUUCUCUUAGCAUUCUUCAAAGUUUUUGAAAAUAGGAUGUGAAGCAAACAAAAUAAAAUAAAUUUAGACAACACAUGCCCUGUAUUCAGCAUCAUAUAUAUCUCGAAUAUCUAACAUAAUAAAUUUCACAUCUAAAAUACUAGAAUUUCAAACAGUACUAGUAGUGAAAAAAUGAUGACAACAACAAAAAUAGAAAAUUACAAGACUGCUGAUAAAAUUUCAUUUGCAUGCAUGUCUGACAAAAUUUCCGUGAUUUAAUGUGCUUUCAUGAACGCAAGUCCUAACGUUUCUGUGAUCACAAAAUGAAACUGAAGAUAAAACAGAACAACUACCAAACCUUUCAAGCUUGACGAAGCCAUGAGAAUUGAUAGCUCAGGCUCUGAUACCAAGUAAAAGUUUCUAAUCUGUUUGGUAAGUAAGAAAAUGAGAGAAAAUGAAAGAAAGAACAGAGAUCAUCUAAGAGCUGGAUUUGAUAAGUAAAUAUGAAUCAUCCAUUCAUUAGCUGAUUGCAAAUGUAUUUAUACAAGUGAUGGUUGUCGAAGCCAACAAAAAUAAAUUCCUACUAUAAAUAAAUUGUGUAUAGUGAUUGAGCAGGGUCGUGUCCACAGAGAUCGGUAAUUAUUUAAAUCCUUUUGAAACGUAAAACGUAAAAUGGGGGAAUUGUUGACAAUAAUAAAAAUCAAAUUAAAAUAACAAGAAUACAAAUUAAAGUUGUAAUUCAAAUUGGAGAAAGCUCUGGUUGAAGGAAUUAACUCAGCUUGAUUCGACUACUGAUCAUUGAUUCAAAUAUAGAUUAUUAUUACUUAUGAAUAGACCGGUUAUAGCUACUGAGACCCUCUAAUAGCCAAUCUCUCCUUAACUAGUCGAUAACCAAGGUAUGACCGUUGGUUAUUUCCCUAAUCAAUAGACAACCCUAGAUACGAUCAUAGGAUUUAAUCAAUUGACAACCUGAAAGACCAGAGAGACCCAAAUCCUAAUCAACACAUACGAUGAUUCAUUUAAAUUAGAUUGUUUAUUCUCAUAACACAACUCACUGCUAUGUUAUUCGUCACAAACAUUAAAAGCUUCAUACGAUGAAUCCUUUAAUUAACAAUAGAUUAAGUUGAUAAUUAAAUAGUGGCCAAUUACCUAAUUAACAAACAUAAUCAUGAAAAUAAUUCAGAGAAUAAACAAAUACCCAAAAAGUAAUAAAACAAUUAAAGUAUAAAAUAGAUCUCACAGUAGUGAUGAAUCAAAACUUCAUUAUCCUUCAACCAGAAAAAUAAGUUUAGUUCUUCAUAGAGAGAAGAGAAAAGUUUAGAUCUAGGGUUUCUCUCUUUUUCUCCAAUCCCCAUUUUUCACAAUAGAUUCCUCCCUUAAAUACUCUCUCUCUCUUCUCUUUUAGAAUUCUAUUUAAAAUAAAAUACUAAUAUCUGAAAUAUUAAAUUCGUAAUUACAAAAAUAACCAAAAAUACAAAACACGUUAAACUAAAAACUGCAGGUCCGCAGUUGACAGCACGUGCCCACGCCUUAUCAACAAAGUUCUUCUGACGCUCAUAAUUUCUCCAAGAGAACAAUCAUCCUUAAACAUCAUCUUGUAACUCAAUUUUAUCACCAAUCAAUAGAAUUGCACCUACAAAAGUAAAACACAAGUAAAUCACUAUUAUUAAGUGCAAAACAUCGAUAUUAAGGGAAGUAAACAAUGCAAAACUAGUGCAUAAAUUGCACUCUAACAACAAGGUUCCUGAACAUUUCAGAUUCUAUAUGCUCGAGCUAAGCACCUGAGAGUUGAGCAGUGUGCACUAACAAACUGCUAACAAAAUAACUAACUCAUGCCAGCUCAGCUAACACGUCAGUAACUCUAACUAUCUUGCUUAACAAACUGAAACAAUAACUAACCAUUUUAACUAUCUUAACAAUCCCAAUAAUUUCUCCAUUUGUGUACUUUUUUGAAUCAUAAUCAAAUGGAUAAAUGUUGCAACUAUUUUUUUAGAUAUUUUCACUUUAGGAUGUCAGCCCGAGGAAGUACGGGGGUCUGAGUUAUUCAACUGAAAAUGUCGGCCAAGUUCUUGCCAUCUCAAGUGCAAAACUGAAAAUGUUACUCGUUCUUCUUAACUUGUUUUCUCAUGCAUCAACCCCACAAAACUGCUCAUUGAAGGGGUAAAAUUUUGAACACACCAUGUGGCAUUUAGACCAUUUGAUAGUUUGUUUCAAACAUAUUUGUUUAUAAAAUACUUUUCUUCAUGGAUUUGGUUACGUAAUUGUCUAUGUAUGUACAGGUUUUAUCGAUACCUCUUUUGACAAGUUACAUAGCAAUGUUAUCUGGGUUCAGCCGUGCCUUAUUGAUAAACUGUGCUUCUGUAAUGAAGAAUGUUUUAUCUGUAAGUGGAUAUCCUAAUCGUUGAUCCAUAUCCAUAAGCAAGUAUGUAUAAAAUUAUUUUAUGUCUUUUUUAUUAGAAAUGUUGUAAUUCUUUUUUACUCUUCCUGAAUUAUAACAGCAGGUGUCUAUAAUAACUGGAUUGUUCCUUCUGCAAAACAGAGCAGUGGUAAAUAUUUUUUUCUUUUGUUUGUCUAGUACAUUUCCAUGAUUUCAGCUUUUUCAAAUUUUGUAUGUGUCAAAGUUUAAAUUUAAUUUGUUGGUUUAUGGCAACAACAGGAACAGAAUCAAAGAGGAGCUGCCAAUGGACUGCUAUGACUGUAGAGUCGCUUACCAAAACUGCUGGUUCAGCUGUAGGAGGUGCUAUGUAGGCGUCCUAUUGAUUUUGUAAAAUUAUAUGUAAAUGAUGUCAUAAUUUUUAUUGUCUCCCCCACCCCCUCUCCCCAAAAAAAAAAAAAAAUUAAAAAAUUAAAAACUAAGGCAUGAUUAAAUUGAUCAUUUGUUUGGUAACAACUUGAUUAAUCGGGUUCUGGCAGAUUUUCUUGGUCACAAAAGCGUCAAGAUGCUGGUUUCCUCCCAGGUAUGAUGAUUUACUAAUGAAAUUUAUCACUAGUAUGUGAAUUACUUGGUGCUAAUUAACUUAAUCAGCUGCUUAAAUUAAAGUGCAGGUAACCUUAUUUUUUUUUUCUUUUUACAAUAAUACUCUUGGAAUAAUAUUUCUGGGAAUAUUAAUGAAAAAUGGUAAUUCAUCCAGCCAGCCUUAAACAAAAUAAAUAUUAAUAAAAACUUUUAUGUUAUUAUUUUAGUUUUAGGACUAAUUUCGUAAAUUAAAUUUUUUAUGCAUUUAUUAGUAAGACUGCUUUAAGAAUAUUAAACAUUACUUUAAGUUGGCUGAUAUUAAUUUAUUUAUAAAUAAUUAUUAGCAAGAUUGUUGUAAAAGUACAAAAAAUACUAGUUAUUUCAUAUUGAUAUUUAUUGAUUAAUUUGGCAAUUAACUUUUUUAUAAAUAAAUUAAUUAAUUUAAGAAUAUUAUUGCCAAGAAAUUAUUGUAAAAGUAAAUAAAAUUUAAGGAAAAAAUGCAACAUAUUUAAUAUCAAGGUAUAUUGAGGUAUUUUUCAAAAUAUAAAGACAAAACAAGCACUGAAAUUAAAAUACAGAUACCAAACAAGCAUUUUCUCUCUUAGAAAAUUUUAUAUUUUAUUAAUGAAAGUCUAAAUAACAAAAUUAGGGUUUUGGACUCCUUUUAAACUAAGCCUAAAUAUCACGAAUUUACCAAUAUAGUAAACCUAAAAUAUUACUGCAUAAUAACAUUCUCCUAACUGAAAUAAGAUAAAUACUACUUCAAUUCUAUAUCUAAAUGAAAAAAAGAUAAAAAUCUUGAAAACAAUAGGAAAAUAGAACUUAAACUUGUAAACUAAUAUGAAAUAAAUAGAAUUCUCAAUCGAACCACGAGGCUAAUGCGGUGCUACAGUAUUAGAUUAGAUUUCCCUCAUUGCUAACUUCGAAAUGGUAUAUUAUACACCCUAUAUAGGUACUUAUAGCUAAGGGUGGGCAUGUGUUGGUUUGGGUUAGGUUUUAAGUCAAUCCAAACCAAACCAUAAAAUUUUGGGUUCAACCCAAAUUAACCCAAAUAUUUUUAACCCAACCCAAACCAACCCAUUUGGGUUUGGUUUGAAUUUUAUAAUUAAAAUAUUUUUUAUUUUAAUAAAUUUAACUAUAUCAAAUUAUAAUACUUAUUAAUUAAUAUUAAUUAUUAAAUUAAUAUUAAAAUACGAAAAAAUGUAGUGGAUAAAAAUUAUGAAUAAUGGAUUUUACAAUAACUUUGUUCUUAAAUAUUAACCAUAUUACAACAUAAAUUCUACCAAUGUCAAUACAAAUUAAAGUAAGAUAAGAUAUCUCAACUCAAGUAUCAAAGCAAUCCAUCAAAAUUAAAUUAUUUAAUUUUAUAAAUUUAAAUCUUCCGAGAAAUAAAUCUAAAAUUUAUUGUAAUUAGAAAAAAUGCCAAAAUUUUAAAUGCAGUAAGAAAAAUUAGACAUGAAAUCUAAUUAGGUUUAAAUUUAAUUAAAAAAUAACAAUAGAAUCAUAUUUUAUUUGAUAAAAUCUUAUAAUCAAUUACAUUUUUAAUUUUAGUAAGUUACAAUACAAAUAGGAUUAUAAAAUUAUAUUAGAGGAUUUCAUAAAAAUAUUGUUUGAGUAAUUUAUUAAAAUGUUAAUUUAGUCUUUUAACUCAAGUUGAGACCGUAAAAAAUUGUUAUAUAAUAGUGUAUUGUACAACCAAUUGCAUAUGUAUUUGCCCUAUGCAGCACUUCUAUUAUUAUUAUAUAAUAAUAAUUAGUAGUAGUAUAAUUACUAUAUAAUAAUAAUUAUUAGUAGUAUAAUUAUUAUAUAAUAAUAAUUUUAAUAAAAAAUUAUUAUUAAAAUAUUGAUUUAUCCUUUUAUUUUGUUUAAUUUAUUUUUCAUUAAUAUGUUAUUUUGAAUUUGUUCAUGACCCAUGGGUAAACCAUACCCAAGCCAUUGUAAAAUAAUUUCUUUCAUAAAAAUCCAAAUUUAACUCAUUUCAUGAUUUAUCCAACCCAAACCAUUUUAUUUGGUUUGGGUUUGGGUAAACCCAUGGGUUGUGGGUUUAUGCCCACCCCUACUUAUAGCUCAAGUUAUUACCUUAGAGAGAUACCCUACGCAUCCUACACAACCAUCCACUGCAUCAAAGUCGUUCCAAAACAGUAGUUCACAGUUGGUACUGCACAUGAUACUUGUUUCUCCUUUUGCAUCUACUUUUGUUGUUAACAUUAAUUUCAAUAGCAGCUCAUUAUGUAUGCAACAUUUCAAAAUUAAUCCAAAAAAACAAAAAUUAGUUCAGCUGACCAAAUUUGAAAGCAUGGAUUUGCUGUCGAUUAAAAAUCGUUUUGUAGGGAAAAUUUUUGGAUUGCAAUUCUCAUACAAUACAUAGAAUUAUCAUAAUCUAUAAAUUGUAUUUUUGCUUUUCUACGGUAGUAAGUCAAGAAUCCUACUUGUAUUUUUGCUUUUCUACGGUAGUAAGUCAAGAAUCCUUAGUGACAAUUUAAAUUGAAAAAAUAAAAUCAUAAAUAAGAAUUAUUUGAUAAGAAUUAAAAUAAUUGAUAAAUAUUUGAGAGGAGCAAUUUUGGAAGACUCGAUUUCUAAUAGGAGGGGAAUUUGAAUUUUACAACCUUCCGUGAGGAAUCCAAAAUGCACAAUUUGAUGAAAAUUAAAUUUCAAUAGAAAUUGAAUUCCCAUACAUUAGUGAAAACCAAACAACAGAAAAGUGAAAGGAAUUUGAAUUCAUUUCCUUCCCGUCUCAUCCCUCCAACUAAAUACCAUCGAUACCCAAAGGUAUGUGAUUGGGAUUCCAUACUGAUCAGAAUGGGAUUUGUCCAUAUUAUUAGGACCAAUUUUAAAAGCAGUCGGAGUUUAAAAUUGAAAUUAAUCCCAAUUUUUUAUUUGGGACUAGAUAAGAAUUUAUAUUGGAACUCCAAUUCUCCCAAUUAUUUUAGUUGAUAAUAUGUUUAACAUUAUUAAUUGCAUAUUAUUUAAUUAUCAGUAUAUAAUAUUCUUUAAUUUUCCAAUUUUAUAGGAUUAGACACAAAAUUGAUUAUGCCUUCUGAAAUUUAAGGGUUAUGUCAAUUGAACAGAAAACUUGGAGUUGAACUUUUGGAUGUUUUUGUUGAUUAUCAAUUUAUGCAUGAAUUUUUGUACGUUUACUUUGGUUUAUUAUUGUUACUUUUAGACAUUUUUAUUGGUUUGAUUUAGGGUCAUUUUGGUAAUCUUGUAAUUUUUAAAAUAGUUACAGUUAGCUAUGCUAUAGAAAUUGAUAAAUCGUGAAGAGAAUCAGCUGAACAUUUAGUAAAAUUUAUUUUUAAAAGUACUUUAGUUUUAAAAGCAGUUGUAUGUGUUUCGUAAAUCUUAUUUUUAAACAGGUGCAAGAAUAUAAAUAACUAAAUUGGACAUAAUGCUAAAUAAAAUUUAUUUACACAUUUACAAACAUGUAUAUAAAAUAUUUUUAUUAUGUACAUAUAAUUAUUGAUAACUAAAAUAAAUAUUUUAUAUUAUUAAAUUUUAUUCUUUAUUUUGUUAUCUCAAUAUAAUUGGUAAUAAUAAUAAUCUCUUAAAGUUAAUGAUUUUAUUUCUUAAUUAAUAAAGAUAAUUCUGGAUUUUUAUUAUAGAAUGAGGAUAUAUAUAUAUAUAUAUAUAUAUAUAUAUAUAUAUAUAGAAUUGGAUUAAGUAUAAAAGUGAUUUUCAAAAUCAAAUUUUGAAAAACUAUUCCUUCCAUACUUCUCAAAAUCCUCUGUAUGAUGAGAUGAUUUUUCCAAAAGUAAUUGCUAAAAAAUUAUAAAACACUAAAAAUUAGGUUUUAGUUUUUAAAAUCACUUUUGAGCUUCCCAAAAACAAGCCUAACGGGCCUUUAUUUGGGUGGUGUAGGAACUUAUAACUUUUGGAUCAUUUAGUUUUUAUUGGUUUGAUACAAUUGUUACACUAAAAAUUGAAUGUAUCUUAAACCCCAAACUUCUUCUUCUUCUUUUUUGAUUGCACAAAAUUAAAAACAAUAGUGAACGCAUUCUUUAAUAAACAAUAAGUAAUUACUAAAAUUGUGUUAAAGAAUUUAGUUGAAACAUAAAUUGAUUUCAAUGUUGUAUAUGCUAAAUUUCUUAAAAAUUUUCUUUCACGGUCUGCUGAAUAGUUUUAUUAGUAUUUUUAUUAUAUAAAAAUAAUUGAUUUAAUUUUUUAAAGAAAUUUAUUAGGUUCAUGUAAAUACGUUUUUGUUAUUUAAAAAGUGUACAAAGUAAAACUUAAUUUUUUAAAUUUAUUAGAUGAGUGGAUAAAAUAAUUGAGUGUUCAUAGUAAAUUUUAAGUAUAGAUAGUCAGACCCUAAUAUUUUUAAUAUAUGGAAAAUUUGAAAAUAUGUUAAUGAGAAUUAAAAUGAUAAUUAAGGGAGGCAUUCGAGACAUUCAGGAUUGUUAGGAUAGGACAUGAUUGUGAGCGGUUUGAGAUUGGCCCUAAUUUUGAUCACAAAUAUAUAAGCAGGAUGUUUAUCCAUACUUACAUUCCAUUUGAUAAUUAAGAUGAGAGUGGAAUUGUCAAAUCCCAAAUUAUCCCGGACCAUUGCCACCAAAGGUACUCUCACUAAUAAUAUCUAAAGAAAAAUCUACAUCUAUUUCAUACUUUUUUUUUAAACGGAAAGAGCCCUUAUGGGGCUUGAAAUAGUAUCCUAAAUAAUAUUCAGAAUAUCAGGCCAUGACUGGGUUUGUAACAAACAAAUAUUACAUAGUUGGGAUACGUAGUUACUAGUGUCCCAAUUUAUGUAGUAUCUAUCAUUUAGUACACAUAUAAAGUGUUUGGGACAUGAAAUAGGGUGACCAAGAUAAGGUGUUUGCUCAUACAAUAUCGUGCUCUUCUCAAAGUAAAAAGUGAAAAAAUAGUUGAUAGGCUACUAGGAGUUUAUUUGGUCACCUCGAGCACAUCAUCUCGACCAGGAUAUUAUUUGGUGAUCUCGAGCACAUCAUCUUGACUAAGAGAUUAUUUGGUCACCUUGAGUAUAUCACCUCGACCAGGAGAUUAUUUGGUGACCUCGAGUAGAUCAUCUUGAUCAGGAGGUUACCAGGAAGCACGACUCAGUCAAAACAAAUCUCACUUAUUUUCUUCGAAAUAUUAGGGAUCAUAUUCUUAGUGGGCUGAAAAUUAGUGAUUUUCUUAAGAGUUUUAGGUGAGAGGAUAAAAACCGCUAUAAUUUGCUAUAAAAACCCUGGGAAGGGAGGGAAAUAGGGAGAUUCUUUUUAUCUCUCUCUCUUUGGGUGACUGAACCCAUGGGAUCUUUUUCUCUCUACCACUGGGAAACUUCUCUUUCUCUCAUGAUUUAUUUUUCUUUAAGAUUGGUUAUUUUUUAUUCUUUUCCCAUAAAUUUACUUAAAAGCUUUUUGUUUAAAGUAUUCAUAAUUAAGCCGCGUGAAUUGUGGUACAAAUUUUUCCAAGUAGACCUAAAUCGCUGACUUGAGCGUCGGAGGAUUUUCUUUAAGAUUGAUUAUUGUUUCCAUAAAUUUGAACCAAGAAGGAUGACGCGAUAAAAUUUGUUUUUUAUUGUAUGGUUGAUUUCAUAUCUCAUGCACUCAUUUCUUAAGAUAAUUAGAUUUCAUCUUUUGCAAAUGUGGAAAUAUCAAUAAUGAUCAAUCAAAACGAUCUCAAAACCUUUCAACGCGACAUAUUUAUAAUACAAUAUUGUGAAAAUUACACCAAAAAUUUAAUUUAUGAUAUAUUAUUAUCCCACCAGCACACAGAAAUGAAUUCGUACAAAUCUAAAAUACUUAGCAAUUUUCAAAUAGAAUUUUAAAUUUAUUUCCAGUUAGAAAACUAUUCGCUGGACUCCGUAUUACUAGCCACCAUCGUAAGCCUAACCGGUUGCCGGCGAACGGCGUAAAACACCAGCCAUCUUCUUCUUCAUCAUAUUCUCCUUUCAUCUUUUGAGUUAAGCCUGUGAUUAUGAGUUUCUUCUCUUACUUAGCUUGUAAUUAUAGAUUUUGAUUCUUUUUAAUUCGUAUUGUAGCCGUUAUUGUCAAUUUUUGUCCCGCCAGCAAUAUUUUUUUAUUCCUACAAGUUGAAAAUGGAUUCAUUUGAAUUACGAUUGAAUUUAGCUUUAAUUUCAAUAUCCAUUCUAAUGUUUUGCUAUUAGAUUUACUUUAAUUUUAUGUUUAAAGCUUCUACAAUGACUAGCGGAGCUUGGGUUUUAGUUUCAUUUUCUGUAACUUGUUUUAGUUUAUCUUGUAUGCUCACCAAGUGCUUGUUAUAUUGUCUGAUAAUUUAUAUACAUUGCUGAUUCUAUAUUAAUAAUGUUAUGUUCUAUUUUCAGAAAUUAUAAUACAAAAUUUUUUACAAUGGCGUGCAUCUACAAACUGGAUUGACUCGUAGAAUAAGAGCUUGGAGUAGUGUUAUGUUCUUGAAUAAAUGAAAGUUCAUAUUGUGUAAGAGCAUGUAGAUGUAAAGCAUCAUUACCAUUUCUAUAAAGGACUUUCAUUCUGUUCAGAUGCUCUUCUUGAACAUUGAAAGGUGCCUCGUUCAAGUCCUAGCUAUAACUACUAGCUUUGAUUAAUUAAGUUCCUAUACUAGCUGAAACAGAUUUAUUUAAUUAAUUAAUUGUGUAUGUACUGAUUAUAUUGAAAGUAUAUGAAUUUUUUUUUUUUAACAUGAAUGACUUAAAAACCUAAAGGAUAUGUGAAAUUAUGCUCAUUUCACCUGAAUGAGCCUAUUAAUACUUUUAUGUCUAUGAUUCUCAAUAUUGGCUUAAGCAUUUCAGUUCAGUGGUUUACCUAACAGAGAAAAAAAUUUAAUAGAAAACUUCAGAGUUCUAACAGAAAUAUAGUUCACUAUGCAGAUAUAGUUAUUUUAUUUUAUAUAGUCAUUAAUUUUUGCCAUGGUUUUUUGUGUUUAUGAGUUUGAAAUAGUGGGAUUUGGUGUACCUUAGCAUCUUUUGAAAAUUCUCUUUAAGUGUGGCCAACAGAAAUAUACAUAUAAUCAAGUUUCUUAAUCCUGUAUAUUAGUUUUGGGUAUGAAUGUUCCUAUUCUAGUUCUAGGCAAAGCUUCUUUGUUUUGGUCUUCAGAUUUCCAGUAGGUUAAGUUAAUCAACUAUCAUAACUGGCUAGCUAGUUAUUGUCUGCCCUGGCGCCAUUACCCAGGCCAUUAUAUUGCAUAGCAUAAGGAAUAGUGAUUAGGUGAUUAUUAGUGAUUUGUUGAGCUUAUUAUUGACCAAACAAAUGUAUUCGCCUUUGGCCACAACUUAGUUUGAUUAGUUAUUAGACCAUAAAGAGCCUUGAUCUAUUCAUUGGCUUUAUUAUUUUUAUUUGGUUUUUCUUUCAACAACAUUGUUGAUAUCUUAUAAAAAUAUUCAGUGGUUUUUAAACACCUAAUCAUUGGCUAUAUUAAGCUAAUUAAAACUGAGGCUUUGGAUCAAUUUCUUCUAACAAGAUACAAAUGAGCAAAACCUUUCUCCUCUAAGUAAAUUUUUUUAAUAUCCCUUGAAUUGUAAGGAUCUGGAGGCGUGAAUCCUCUUGAUUUUUUUUAACACUGUCAAUGUUCUUUUUAUUCUGAGAAGGAAAUAAAAGGUUUUAUCUUUCAUACCCGAAUAGUAAGCUGGCCUUGUCUUAACAUGGCCUCCCGAGGACUUGCAAGAUUCAUAGUGUCCCCCACCCCAAAAAAAAUAUAAAAAACACAAAUAGGAAGAUUUUGCAAGAUUCACCACCAGGUUUUUUUUAAUUUAUUAAUUGUGUGUACGUGCUAGUUAUAUGUUGAAAGAAUAGGAAGAAGUAUUUCAACAUGAAUGACUUAAAACUUAUUGCUCAGUAAACAUAAUCUGCAUCAGUGCGAAAAUGUAUUUAUCGUUUGUAUUUUUUAUGGUUUUGCUAAAGAAAUGAUAUGUGAAAUAAUGCUACAUUGCAUCAGGAAUAAAUUGAAGAGACUUAUGAUAUUUAUGUGUUAUUCAAAUUUCAGAUUCAAUUUUAAACUUUUGAUACGUGCAUUGAAAGCUUAGACUUGUUUAAGAAAUUAUUAAUAGACACAUGUUUUAUUAGUGUCAUCUUUGGAUGAUAGUGAGGAUCAUAUGUCUAUUAAUAAUUCUUGAAUUGUCCAGGCUUGGACAGUUUGGGAAUGCAUAGUUCACUCUGGUAGUUAGUAGCUGAAGUUUUUUCCCACGUAAAAAUGGGUUUUUCGGUAGCUGCUCCUCGUGUUCUCUGGGUACGUACUAGGUGAAUGGGUGUCAUGUGUUGUUUUGGCAUAACGCAUAAACACUUAUAUAGCUAUGUCGUGUGCUUGGAGAAUUAUAGGGAGAUGGUGCCGAAAUUUUUAUAAACGUGGAAGAAAACUUUAGGUACUUGAGAUUGAAGAAACUUAUGCAUUCUUGAGUGGGAUAUGUAGGAUUACUUACCUUUUGUAAAUAUGAAGGGAAUGUUGGAUAUAUUGGGGAUAGUGUAGGAGCUGAGUUGGAUGAAUGUAAUUGGUGAUGAUUUUGCUGAGCUGACCUUGGUCUUGAGCUUGUAAUUUUGUUUGUAAAUGGAGUGCUAUCUCCAAUGUUGGUUUAUAAAAAUGUUUCAGGACUUGCUGAUCUAAUUUUUUGUUUCUAGGUUACAGGCUUUAUAUAUCUGUAAUUGAUAGCCAAGUGAAGUUCUCAGCACUUGGCAAGGAUAUUUCUUUACAGAAGGUAUUGGAAACUGUUUUUUACAUUAAUUAUCGUUGUUUAUAUACUUUGAUUGUCACAUCUUUUUCUCUGAUUCUUGUGGCUUUGCUUGCUUUCAUAUAUGUAAAUUCUAAUGAAAUUAACCAUAAAAUUGUAAAAUGAUCUUUUUAUUAUAUUGCAAAACUGUGCACACACGAAAAUAUCUUGUUUAGUAGUGGAAAUGAAGAACUAAUUUUUGUCGCGCAUUAAAAGGAGAUAGUCAUGGACAAGUGUUGGGUUGGUUUGCCAAAUAGAUAUCCAAGUCAUAUACUGAUGGCGUUGAAAAAAUUAUAGAUUUUGUAUUUGAGAAUGUUGUUGGUGGUACAAGAAUUUAUUGUCCUUCUUGAUAAGUUUUGUAAUCUAUAUUUCGUUAUAAGGGAAGUGGCUGAUGAUGAUAUGGUUGGAAUGAUACAGUGCAUCACGUAAUCAAAUGUUCAAGUUACACGCAGCAUUGUUAUGAACUAUCAGUGGCAACUUGUCUGGGUGGAGUAUUAAAGGUAAAUAAGCAUGUCUUGUUUGCCAACAAAGCACUGGAUCUAAUUGGUUGAUACAUAGUAGAAAAUUUUGUCACGUGGGUCACCGUCGAUUUUUCCCAACAAAUCAUAGGUUUCGAAAAUAUAGUGUCUUUGAAUAAAACUAGAGAGUAGGGACAAGCACCUUCUCAGUUGUCUGGAACUGAAGUGAAAAAGCAGUUUAAUAUAUUUACUGAGUAUAAGAUUGAAGACUUGAAAAGAGAAGAACGAAUAAAAUGAGAGAAAUGAUAAGAUUACUUGGAAGAAGAACUGCAUUUCUUAAGAUUACUUGGAAGAGAAAUGAUGUGGAAGAUGGCUAUAAAAGAUAAAAGGAAAGGCUUAAAAAGAAAAGCCAUGCCUGUCAAAAACAAAAAAACAAUUGCAGCGUCAAAUUUAUAACACAAAUCAAAACGGUGCGUUUGAGAGUGUAUAAAAUACAUUUAGAGUGGGAGUUGUGUUGUUGCUUGAAGGCAGAAUGUUUGUGAGAUAUUUGUCGACGAAGCCGAAACCAAAGAUGAAGCCCAUCAAAAGCAUUUAUAGUGUAAAAAGUAUAUUGUGGAAAUGUCUGGUCGGUAAUACAACUAUUUCUUGUAGUGUAAAUGAUACACUAAUUUGAAUUUAUAUGCUUUUAUGAUUAUUUGAUUAUCAAGUGGUGAUCAUAUGUGAUGAUAAACUUAGGUCGUACCUUUAUAUUUAUUGCCUUAGUUUUCUAAGCGUUCACAUUUUGAUGAGUAAAUUAAGGAUUUCAAGAUGAAGUACAUAAUUAGAUUAAUGCUAAGAAACUGAAGUUUGAUCGAUUGAAAACGAAAAUAAUAAUAAAGGUAAUUAAGAAAAUGAACAAUAUAUGCAGAAGCGGUCCUUAUUAGUACUUCUAGAUUUUCUCUUGGGCUUUCCUUAUUAUUGUUAAAAAAUGACACGAAGAACUUUGAGUUUAAAAAUCUGGCCCUGAUGCCUGGUAGCCCUUCAACAUAUGAAGAACCAGAUGUUUUGAUGAGAAAAUGACAAGACCAUUUAUCAAAUUUCUUGUGGAUAUAAAUACAUACACAUAGACGAGGCCAACCUCCUCAAAUGAGAAUCAGAGUGAUUACAAGACCUUGCAAUGAGACAAUGAUACACCAUCAAAUGUCAAAAUACAAUAGAAAUUCACGACAUAUAUAUAAUAAAAGACCUCUCAUUGAGUCAUAUAUAUUGAGAAUAAAAAUGUUAUAAUACAUACACAGAGCUUAGUUAGAAUAAAAUGUCUUUGAACUUGCGAUGAUCAAACAAAGGAAACAGACAGGUUGUAACUCACACUAUCACAGAUGUAGCGACACGAUGCAGUGAAUCACAAGAAGAUCACGAAGAUGGAAACGGGAACCCCUCAGAAUGUAAACUUUGAAUAGAGGAAAAAAGAAAAACGUCCUUAUUUCAAAUUGUGCACAGAAGAAGAGUGACUUAAAUCUUCAUCAGUAUCCAGGCAUUCUGCAAUCAUAAAGUAGAAAAAUUUUAACAGUAACAGCAGAGAAAAUAUUAUGAAUAUGCUAGACCAAAUUAGUCCCUUUUUUGGUUUGUGAAAACUUUAUUUUUUAUGAAUACGCUAUCCAAUAUUUUCAAUCAAUAUUUCCACAAUAUAGUUGUUCAUAGCUAACGUUUGAUGGUUUAACGAUUUGUUCCAAGAAUAAUGAGCUGAUUACGUUUUGUUUUAUUUUUAUUUUAUUUUUUUUAAUCCGAUGAAGGAUAUUCAGCUGUGUCUUUAAUUAUGCAUUCAUAGGGAAGAACAUUUUCUAAGUACUUUCCUUGCCUUCUAACUUUCCAAGGAAAGAUAGGUGUGAAGAAAAGCAAACCCAAUGAACAAACAGAGCACAAACUAAAAUAAUUAGCAAAUAAAGAAAGGAAAAAGUAUGCACGUUUUCAAGGAUUUAAAAAAUACGAAGGCUUUUAAUGAAAUUUUAUCAUAAAAAAGUAUGCAAGGAGUUAUAAAAUUUUAGAAGACGAGGGGAGCUCGCAAAAAAAAAAAAGAAAAAAAAAAGAAAAAGACUCAAAUUAAACUAGACUAAAAAGACAUUCAAUUACGCAAAAUCUGUCCAUAAAAGUCUGAAAGGAUCAUUAAAAUUGCAUUGCAAAUUUAACAGUAAACUGAGGAACCCAUUCUAAAUAAUUCAGAUGAAAUUGCGAAACAAACCAUGGGAUUAAAUAAAUUAAAUAAAAAUUAAUUACCAGUUGAGACUUUCUUCUAAAAAUUCGCAACUCCAAGUCAUAAGAAGCCUAUGAAAUUAGUAGUACAGCGUAGAGUAUGACGACGACACCGCCAACAGCUGAAAGUAAAAUUCUUAUUCAUCAAUUUAAACUUACUUUAUAACAAAUAUCUUAUCUAUAUUGUAUUUAAGAAAACAAAUUUUGUAAAAAUUUAUCAUGGGAGAUAGAGAGUAAUAUGUACAUACGUACCUUCUCAGCAUGUAAUUGUUGUAUGGUUGUGUUUAGAUCAUUAUUAGCCCAGCGCCGUUGAUCCGCUGUCUCUCCAUAGCAGACGUUUACUCUUAGAGGCGUGAUUGAUUCUCCUGUAGUGAAAAUCUUCAUCUUGGGACAACCAAUCACCCACAACUCUUGCAAAGAUGGGAAUUUGAAGGUGUAAUUGGCAGAGCAGAAACUUGUGAGGCUGUCUAAAUCACGCAGUUCCAACGUCUUCAAUUUGCGGAAAACAAUCUCUUCUUUUUCAACCCCGUCUUUGUCAUUUAUUACCACCUCUGUCAUUGCUCUGCAUCCAUAUAUACUCACUUUGACGAGUUGCACUAGAGUUUUUGCUGUGGAGGAUGUUACCAAGUGUAUCAAUUCCUUGCAACCGAAAGCUACAAGUUCUGUUAGGUUCCGAAAAGAUACCGAUGAUGAUGGCAAUAGAAUUAACAGACUUUGACAAUGAUAUACUUUUAGAAUUUCAAGAUACUGAAAAAUGGGGCCAAGUUUGGAGUCUUGUUUGCACAGCUGCUUCAGAUGAUAGUGCCGGUGCAGCUUUAAUUCUUUUAUCAUUGCCAACUUCCCCACAUGUUUCUCUAAGCAUCCUUCCAUCGAAAAUACCUCUUCGUGGAAUGAAAAAUUAAGCAGUGUGAGUAUUUCGAGAUUGUGAAAUCUCUCCAGUACGUUCCAGAUUGGAAAACAAGCUGCGUCAUCUCCAACAAUCUCUAGUUGUUUAAGACUGCCAAAAAGGUGUUGUGGGAAAUCGGCCUGCAAAAUCAUCUUCACAUCUUUUCCACUUAGUGAUAGCUCCUUCAAGUUGGGUACGAUCUGAUCAUCAUCAAUCGUAAUAACUAAUGAGGUCAAUUGAUGAUCUACGGUCACAGGCAGUGACUUUAUAGUAUUUGUUUUAUAUUAUAUUUUUAAAAAAAUUGAAUUAUUGAUAAAAUUUAUUUUAUAUGUUAAUUUUAGAGGUAAAAAAGAAAUUAGGGAAAAAGGUUGAUUUAUACUGGCUCGAAAUUAUUUUAUUGCACAAUAAUAAAUUACUAAUUUAUUUUGUAAGUUCUUCUAUAUGGAAAGACUAAGGAUUCUUUUAUAAAUGUUAUACCAAAAAAAGUUCAUAUAAUUAUUAAUCUACCCCAUUGAUCUCUUAAUCUAGACUAGCAAAGAUUAUUGUAUAAUAAAAGUUUUCAAUUUAUUGAGUAUUAAUUUAUCGAUGCUUUGCCAUAUUUUUCAAAGUUAAAAAUAAGCUAUAGACAAAAAAUCUAGAAAAUGGCUUCAUACCUUUUCCAACGGCAAUGGGGGCUGUUGUGCAGGAAUGCCAAGUUGAUCAUUCUCAUUAUUCUGCAAUAAAUCUGCAGUGAAUAUCUUUAAUUUGUCACAACAAUGCACUGAAAGAACUUCUAGCGCGGGCCAUUCCGAAGUAUGCAUUCCAGGGUACAAACAUCUAAGUUUUGGUAGACCUUGGAGUCUCAAAGUGGUGAGCUGUGGAAAGACAAAAUAAGGGAUCACUUCAUCUGCUCUAUUCUCAGAAAUGAUCUCCUGUAAAUCCUCACAGAAGCGAACUUCUAGGUGUUGGAGCUGCUUAAGGCUUCCGAUCAUAGACGCUGAAAAUAUGUAUUUUAAUUUGUGACAACGCCACACAAUCAAUCGUGUUAAAUUUUGAAAGCGAGGAAACGUGACAGGAAAAUGAUUGUAGUGCCAAAUCUUGUCGACAUUAAUUUCAGAUAUCUCCAAAGCCUCCAAGUUAGGCAACGCAACCUAAAAGAAUAAGAAUUUCUGGUUAGAUCCAAUAUCCAUAUGGGAAGCACUUGUUGAAAUUUUCUUCUUUGAUUGCAAAUUCAUGCAAGUCAGAAUCAAUUUCCAACUGACAGCUGAGUAUGCAUUCUAAUUCAUACUACUUGUUAAGAGCUCAAUUAGUGAGCGCGUGAGAUUCUUUUUAUCCUUUUUUCCGUUUUCUUUCAAUUCUUUAAAUGAUUUAAUUAUUUUCCACGUAUGAUAUCAAAAGAGAACGCAUGAUAGAAUAAAGAAAAUGUUAGCCUACGCACCUUCUCGUUGAAAAGCAGAGUUGAAAUAUCCAAAGUGAUUUCGCUGGAGCAAUACAUAGUCGUCGAUUCCUCUUGCGACACUUGUCUGUUCGGUGAUGCUGAAGGAGUCUCCACCUCACGGCGGCAAAAACUUGUAACCUCAGGAAGAUUCCCCAGACUCAAAGAUCUUAAUUGAGCAAACUCUAUCUUCUCAAUUGCAUUAUCAACUUCUUCCCCAAUUGCAAAAAUCUCUGUUAUCUUGCUGCAAUUAACAACUGCAAUUCUCUCAAGUCUUGGAAGGCAUUUUGUAGUAGAGAGCCAAAAGAUAUUACUCAACUUAUCACAAUUAUAUGCUUCUACGGUUUUGAGUUCGUUGAAAGACUCUACUUUGAGCCGAUCAACACAUAUCCUCUCCAUGUUGAUCAAAUUGUGAAUGGUAAGUGACUCCAAAAGAGGAAAGGCAUCACAAGCGACCAUCUCCCUUGAAUCGACGAUACAAAAGAAGUCAGGAUUAUUUUGAACCCAGAGAAGCUUCAAUUGUGAAAAGCCCUCCUUGCAGCUUGUCCAACCAUAAGUAUUCAACGUUAUUGAUGCCCUGCAAUUUCAUGGAGCAAAUGUCCAUAAAAUCAAGCUUGAGCUUCAAUGAUCUUAAACUCUUGCGAUCACUGUUGAUCGAAAAGCGGGGCCGACUUUUAAACCAAUGUUGUCCAACACUCAUGGGAUGCAUGAAUAACCCAUUUCCAAUAGAUAUUUUGAACCUUUCGAGCUUUCUGGCCAAAAAACCUUCUGGUAAAAUAUUGUCACUUUUAACGUCAAUUUCUAGAGUGGUUAGCCGAGGUAAAUGCAUCAAUUCGUCAAGGCUAGCAUUACUUCUUUUGCUGUUGGCUCUUUCAACCUCCCAUUCAAUGAAGCAAUUACCCAUAUACAGCUCUUCUAAUCGAGUUAAGCUUGAUAUGAGAUUAGGCGCAAUAACUUUUAGAUGGAAACAAUUGGUUAAAUCUAACAAUCUCAACUUAUUCAAUUGACCUAGUUCUUCUGGCAACUGCAUAAUCUCAGACUUCAAAAAGCUAAGGACUUCUAGAUUCUUCAACUUCCCAAUGAUUGCUAUGUCCCCCAACGCACUUUGAUCCAGACAUAGUGUGUGAAGAUUUUGUAGAAGAUCAAUUGAAGAUGGAAAAGAAGAAAACUGCAUUCGAGUAAAAUCUAGAACUCUAAGCUUUUUCAUCCCUACAAAAAAGUUCUCAGGAAUAUUGAUUUCAAGAGAAGAAUCUUUGAGAGAGAUAAAUAAAAAUUCAAGGUUUGGGCAUUCUAAUCCUUCAGGAAAUUCACGAUUACUAUUAUUUCUUAAAGAGAUCGCAUUGCAUUUUCGAAGUGCAUCCUCAUCUGGCCAGUCCCACACAUCCUUAUUUCUCACCAAAAACACAUGUUGGUGGCGGCAUGCAAUUGAUAUUGCGACAUCACGAACAACAUCAUGCAUUGAAAAUUGUUCAUUGCUCUCACCCUCAAGCAACAAACAAGAGUGUCUAAGUUCAUGGACCAAUGCAUAUAAUUUGUCUCGUGCAUCUUCCAUCUUAUUGACUCCUUUAAAUAUACCCAAACCCAUGGAGUACUUAAACAAGUCCGAAGUAAGAAUACGGUUAUCCAUUAGACUACAGAGCAGAAAAAUUUUCUUGAGUUGCUCACCUUUUAAAUGGUUGAAACUCAGCUCAAUACUUGAAUAAGUCUCUGCAGAUACUCCUUCGAAGUUUACCAUUGAAGGCGUUCGGAGUUCUCGCAAGGAAUUCUUCCAUUCAUACUCUUGCUUCUCAGUGCCUUUGCCACUGUAGUCAAGGCAAUGGGCAAACCUCCACAUGCCCUGGCGACGUCUAUUGCUGUGGAUUUCAACUCACGAUUUUCAACAUCAUCUCCGGCCAUCAUCUUAAACAAUCUCCAGGCUUCUUCUUCAUUUAAAUUGUUUAUCAAAAAGUUGUCUUUAGAUCCCAUUUUUAAGAGGAGACUACGAUCUCUUGCUGUCAGCAGUAGUUUGCAGCCUUUAUGAUUUUCUCCAAAAGGAAUUGCAGUAGUCCCCAAAUCAAGAGGUUUCCAGAUGUUAUCCAGAAUCACAAGGAUCUUCUCAUUCUCCAAUCUUUCAUAUAGUCUACUAGCUCUUCUAGACUCAGCUUCCUCGCGCAACUCCAAGCCCAACUUCUCGGCAAUUUCCUGUUGAAUCUGUUUUAUGUCUGGAGUUUGCGAAACCUCUGAAAAGACCACCAUAUCAAAGUGCUUGUCUUCCAUAGCUUGCCUGGCGACCUUCUUCACCAGUGUCGUCUUUCCAAUGCCGCCCAUGCCGUACACCCCAAUGAUGCUGACAUCAACAUCGAUCAAUGCGUUUUUUAUAGCCUCCAAAGUAGAACGUCUUGAUUCGAAGGCCUCGUAGCCUUUGUGAGACUUGAGCCAAAUCUCCUCCGGAAUGGUACGGUAGGAAAUUCUAUCAUCAAAUCUCCCAGCUUCUUCUCGGAGUUUAAAAAGGGCCUCCUUCUCUGUUUCUGCUUUCUUUCCAUGCUGAUAGCGAGUAAUCCAAUUAGGAAACAGCCCCAUGAGACAUCGUUCAUUUGCUUUCUCUUCGUCUAGAAUGAAUUUGGCUGCCUGCUCAAUGCUCUUGUUCGCAUUAACCAGCCAUUUCUCAACCUUCUUUUCAAUCUUUUCACUUUUUCUUUCAGCCUCCGAAACUCUGUGCUGAAUGCUUUCUCUUUCAUCCUUGAGCCUAUCGAGUUCUGCCUUGAAAUUCUGAAAGUUGGCAGCGGAGUUGUACCAAUAACUAAAUUCGCGUUGUGCGUGAGGAGACAAACAGUUUACAACUCCUGGAACAAUGCUUUUCAAAAUGUCCAUUUUUUUUUCUUUUUUGGGGAAGUGAACGAAAUAGAAAUAGAACAGGGUCAACGGCCGCGCAAUUGAUAAUCAAGUAGAAGCAAAACAAGGCAAAGUUGAAAAAAGAAAUGAUAUUUGUACAAAACAAGGGAAAUCAGUGUAACAGAAGAGAAUCAAAGUGUUUAUGAGAUCAGAAAAUUGAAUCAAGAAAAGGGUUGCUUGAUCCAAUGAAAAUGCAAAGAGCUGAUGGAAAAAGGGGACAAAGAUAAAUAAGAAAACGGCUAGCACGAGCAGUGACCACGAUAAACAGAAGCAAAGUGUGUAUGAGAUCAAAAGACGAAAAUCAGGAGAGGUUUUCUUGACCGAGAAUUGAAGGCAAUUAGUAGGAGCUGACGAAUACGGGGAUCAAGAGGGAAAAAUUGCUUUUAAGCGAAUCUGAUAAAAUUAUUUCAAUACUCGUGGGCGACUCCUUUUUAAACUGCAGAAGGAAAAAAAAAAUUCUGAAUUUCAAUAUAUUAUUUUUUAUCCUAAUUUAUGUUAGGACUCGUAAUCUCGUCUCAAAUAAUUAAUUAGUAGAUAAUUUUUCUAACAAAUAUGUGUUGAAUAGAUAUAUUUCUUGACUAUGAGCAGGCUAGAGAUAUUUUAGCAUAGGAAUGAAAGUACAAGUUGUGUCAUAUUAUAAUUAUCAAUUGACCUAAAAAUGUUGUUGUGAAUUGAAAUUAUUUCUGUAAAAUAAAAGGAUUUGGGUCAUUGUUCGUUAUUUUCUGGCAAUAUUGUCUGGUCGUGACUCUUUGUUAAAUAUUAAAAAAAUAAAUUUAUAUUUAUUAAGUAUAAAAAAUAAAUAAACAAACAAAAAUAAAAGGAAAAGUUUAUACAUUACGUAAAAUAAUAAGAACAAUAUCAAUAUUUCACACUCUAUAAUUGAGUGAUGUGUUAUCCAACUGCCAUACAUUGGUCCCAAACAGAGACUUAAAUAUUAAAGUCCAAAGUUAUUGUGAUGAUGACUUAUAAUUGCCAAACUUGACAUACGGGUAAUCAUGCAUUAUAAGGUGCUGAUUUCUUCCGAUCGGAACCUUAUUUUUCAUUUACAAAUAAAUAAAUGAUGUGACUUCACGGUUGGCGGGGUCCUUUGUGUCAUUUGGGCAUUUCACUAAAUGAUUGAUUGUAGCAGGGAGAUUCCUGGAAGUUGCCAUUUGCCAAUGCUACUAACAUUUUCAAACUUGGAAAACCCUUCAAUCAAUCUUUUAGUGGUAGGCUCCGGUAGCUUGGUUUGAUUAUGACAUAUGAUUAUUUGAUAAUGAAGCUAGAGGAUGUAUUAAUAUAAAAUUUGUUUAUUGGUGUUGAAGUUAAUUAUCUCAUUAAUAUUAGUAUAAAAAGUUAAUUACUAAGAAACACAUAGCAGUAGUUAAUUGGUGUCAUAUUAUUAGGAUUCUGGGAUAUAAUUUUAUAUCAUAACUUUGUAAGUGUAUACUUACUCAUCAAACUAAUAAAAUUAUUUAAAAAUUUCAGUUGGAAAAAAUAAAUUAUAUUAUUUUCAUUUCAAAUAAUCUAUAAGUUAACUCAAAACAUAAUCAAGCUGAGAAUUAAAAUAAUGCUACUGUAUGAGAGGAUUUUUAUUUUUUCCCGAAGUUUCACUAGGAAAUUAUUGAUACAUAGCUUUAUUCGGAUCAUCUCAGUUCAAACGACAAAUAAUUGAAAGACUAAGCUAAAUAGACCAGCCAACAACUUUGUACAAGAGAGUUCAAAAAUUAAGGUCAUGGUAUUAAGGUGUUCUAUCUUGAAAAGUAUAGCGUAGUAAUAAAAUAAAAACUAAUAGUCUUUGGUAAGAUAUGACAUUUAAAUAAUAAUUUUCACAAAAAUACAAAGAAUAUUUAUAAAGUACUUCUAUAGUGAGGAGACCCUCACUUUGUUAAAGUGAAAAUAUCAAUAAUAUACAAAAGACAUAUAUUUUAACACAUUAAAAAUUGUAUUUUUUUUAUCUAUUGGUGUAUUUGAAUAUGUGUUAUUUAGUUUGUUAGUGAUAUCAUUACUUUGUUAAAAUGAGAAUGUCGUUACUAGAGAAUCAUUAUAUAUACAUAUAUAAAGUGCUUCUGCCCAAGACCUAGACUUUAUUAAAAUUUAAGAAAGCAAGUAUAUUUUAUAUGGUAUAAUAGUGUAAUAACAUCACACUAUUAUAUCAUAUAGAGUAAUAGUUUUUCAAACUUUAAUAAAGUUCAAGAUUAUAGAAUGAAUGAUUUUUAUAUAUUAUAAAUUUUUUUAUCAUAAAUGGAGGACAAAAUUAACAUAUUUUCAAAUUAUAAUAAGUAUUUAUCAAAUAAUUUAACAUUGCAAUUUCUCCUAACUAGUAUAGUAAAUAAUACGACCUAGGAGAUACAUUCAAAGCAUUUCAUAAGUUAGUUGUUAAUAAUAAAUGAUAUAUGCAGCUCCAAUCAUCAUUGUACGGUGAGUAAUUUCCAGUUAUAAAUAGAUAUUACUCCCUUCCCAGCAAUUUUUGAUGACUUAAUUUAGUGAGAUCAAAAUCAACAUUGAAUUUUUGACCAGCUGCCAACAACUUGUGAGCAGUUCACAGUGGGUACUGCACAUGAUGCCUGUUUCUCCUUUUGCAUCUAUUUUGUUGUUAACAUUAAUUUCAAUAGCAGCUCGUUAAUCCCAAUUGUUGAUUUGGGACUAGAUAAGAGUUUAUCUUGGAACUCCAAUUCUCCCAAUUAUUUUAGUUGACAAUAUAUUUAACAUUAUUUUUUUAACAUUAUUAAUUGCAUAUUAUUUAAUUAUCAGUAUAUAAUAUUCUUUAAUUUUCUAAUUUUAUAGGAUUAGACACAAAAUUGAUUAUGCCUUUUGAAAUUUAAGGGUUAUGUCAAUUGAAUAGAAAACUUGGAGGUAAACUUGUGGAUGUUUUUGUUGAUUAUCAAUUUAUGCAUGAAUUUUUGUACGUUUACUCUGGUUUAUAAUUAUUACUUUUAAACAUUUUUAUUGGUUUGAUUUAGGGUCAAUUUAGUAAUCAUGUAGCUUUUAAAAUAAUUACAAUUAGCUAUGCUGUAGAAAUUGAUCAAUCGUCAAGAGAAUCAGCUGAACAUUUAGUAAAAUUUAUUUUUAAAAGUACUUUUAGUUUUAAAAGCGUUGUAUGAAUAAAACUGUUACACUAAAAAUUAAAUGUAUUGCCCACUUGGGUAAAUAAAGCUAUAUAUUACAACUGUUACACUAAAAAUUAAAUGUAUCUUAAACCCAAACUUCUUCUUCUUCUUUUUGACUAACAAAAUUAAAAACAAUAGUGAACACAUUCUUUAAUAAACAAUAAGUAAUAAAUAAAAUCGUGUUAAAUUGCUUAAAAACUUUCUUUCACGGUUUGCUAAAUAUUUGUAUUAGUAUUUUAAAUAAAUAAAAAUAGUUGAUUUAAUUUUUUUAAAUAAACUUAUUAGGUUCAUGUAAAGAUGUUUUUGUUAUUUUAAAAAGUGUAGAAAGUACUCCUAAAAAAAAGCGUAGAAAGUAAAACUUAAUUUUUUAAAUUUAUCAGCUGAGUGCAUAAAUAAUUGAGUGUUCAUAAUGAUUUUUAAAGUAUAGAUAGUCGGACCCUAAUUUAAUAUAUGCAAAUUUUGCUAAUAUGUUAAUGAGAAUUAAAAAGAUAAUUAAGGGAGGCAAUCGAGACAUUCAGGAUAGUUAGGAUGGGACAUGAUUGUGAGUGGUUAGAUAUUGGUCCUAAUUUUGAUCACAAAUAUAUAAACAGGACGAGUUUAUCUCUACUUACAUUCCAUUUGAUAAUUAAGAUGAGAGUGGAAUUGUCAAAUCCCAAAUCAUCCCGGAUCACUGCCACCAAGGGUACUCUCACUAAUAAUAUCUAAAGAAAAAUCUACAUCUAUUUCAUACUUUUUUUUAAUGGAAAGAGCCCUCAUGGGGCUUGAAAUGGUAUCCUAAAUAAUAUUCAGAAUAUCAGGUCAUGAUUGGGUUUGUGACAAACAAAUAUUACAUAGUUGGGAUACGUAGUUAUAGUGUCCCAAUUUAUGUAGUAUCUAUCAUUUAGUGCACAUAUAAAAUAUUAAUCAGCUUAAUUAAUUUAUAAAAUUUAAAUCUAAUUAAUAAGUGAUACAUAAAUGCCAAGUGCAGUACUGUAUAUGCAAAUCAUGUUUGUGGAUCAUUACAAAACUGGCUCUUGAAAACAAGCAAGAAAGCUUAAUUAAGAACUUAAAACAAAAAGAAUUAGAUUGAGAAUAGUCGAGCCUUAUUUUUUCAAGAAUGGAGCUUAUAAAUCUUCAAGUACCAACAUACGCUUGGCCCAAUUGUUGUUACUAAAAUUUCAAUAUACAUAUAUAAGUAUGAUAUAGCAAAAAUUUGAUGGUACAUAUGUCGGAAUAUACUAGUUCAUGGGUGCAUUUGAUUAUUGUUUCCAUAAAUUUGAACCAGGAAGGAUGACACGAUAAAAUUUGAUUUUAUAGUAUGGUUGAUUUCAUAUCUCAUGCACUCAUUUCUUAAGAUAAUCAAAUUUUCUCUGGCAUCUUUUGCAACUGUCGAAAUAUCAAUUAUGAUCAAUCAAAACGAUUUCAAAACCUUUCAACGAGAUAUAUUUCUAAUACAAUAUUGUGAAAAUUACACUAAAAAUUUAAUUUAUUAUAUAUUAUUAUCCAACGAGCACACAAAAAUGAUUUCGUACAAAUCUAAAAUACUGAGCAAUUUUCAAAUAGAAUUUACUAUGUACUACAAGAAAAUAGGGUAUAUGUGACCCCUAAUAUGAAUGCAAAAGCAGCCAUUACGCAUAUCACUAACUUCUAACUUUGUAACUCCGAGUUGCUUUUGUUACCCUUUAUGUGACGGCCACACUGCUGUCACAUAUGUUACGAACCGCGUGACGGCGAAGAGCCGUUCGGUAUACUAAUAUUUUAGAAUUUUAAAUUUAUUUCCAGUUAGAAAACUAUUCGCUGGACUCCGUGUUGCUGGCCACCAUCGUAAACGUAACUGGUUGCCAGCGAACGGCGUAAAACGCCGGCCAUCUUCUUCUUCAUCGUAUUCUCCCUUCAUCUUUUGAGGUAAGCUUGUAAUUAUAGAUUUUGAUUUUUUUUAUUUUGUAUUGUAGCCGUUAUUGUCAAUUUUUGUCCCGCCAGCAAUAUUUUUUUAUUCCUACAAGUUGAAGCCCCUGUGUUCUUGUUCCAUUGGUGAGUUUGCUCACUCAAAUUAAUUUUGUUCUGCGGAAUUUACAAAGUUCAAAUGGAUUCAUUUGAAUUACUAUUGAAUUUAGCUUUAAUUUCAACAUCCAUUCUAAUGUUUUGCAAUUAGAUUUAAUUUAAUUUUAUGUUUAAAGCUUCUACAAUGAAUAGCGGAGCUUGGGUUUUAGUUUCAUUUUCUGGAUAACUUGUUUUAGUUUAUCUUGUAUGCUCACCAAGUGCUUGUUAUAUUGUCUGAUAAGUUAUAUACAUUGCUGAUUCUAUAUUAAUAAUGUUACGUUCUAUUUUCAGAAAUUAUAAUACAAAAGUUUUUACAAUGGCGUGCAUCUACAAACUGAAUUGACUUGUAGAAUAAGAGCUUGGAGUAAAUGAAAGUUCAUAUUGUGUAAGAGCAUGUAGAUGUAAAGCAUCAUUACCAUUUCUACAAAGUGCUUUCAUUCUUGAACUUUGAAAGGUGCCUCGUUCAAGUCCUAGCUAUAACUACUAGCUUUGAUUAAUUACGUUCCUAUACUAGCUGAAACAGAUUUAUUUAAUUAAUUAAUUGUGUAUGUACUAAUUAUAUUGAAAGUAUAUGAAUUUUUUUUUUAACAUGAAUGACUCCUAAAUGACUUAAAAACCUAAAGGAUGUGUGAAAUAAUGCUCAUUUCACUUGAAUGAGCCCAUUAAUACUUUUAUGUCUAUGAUUUUCAAUAUUGGCUAAAGCAUUUCGGUUAAGUGGUUUACCUAACAGAGAAAAAAAUUUAAUAGAAAACUUCAGAGUUCUAACAGAAAUAUAGUUUACUAUGCAGAUAUAGUUAUUUUACGGUAUACAAAUCAAGUCGUCCUAAUCUCAAUGUCCUAUGACCGAUUUUAUAUUAUAUAGUCAUUAAUUUUUUCCUUGGUUUUUUGUGUUUGUGAGUAUGAAAUAGUGGGAUUUGGUGUACCUUAGCAUCUCUUGAAAAUUCUCUUUCAGUGUGGCCAACAGAAAUAUACAUAUAAUCAAGUUUCUUAAUCCUGUAUAUUAGUUUUGGGUAUGAAUGUUCCUAUUCUAGUUCUAGGCAAAGCUUCUUCAUUUUGGUCUUCAGAUUUCCAGUAGGUUAAGUUAAUCAACUAUCAUAACUGGCUAGCUAGUUAUUGUCUGCCUUGGCGCCAUUACCCAGGCCAUUAUAUUGCAUAGCAUAAGGAAUAGUGAUUAGGUGAUUAUUAGUGAUUUGUUGAGCUUAUUAUCGACCAAACAAACAUAUUCGCCUUUGCCCACAACUUAGUUUGAUUAGUUAUUAGACCAUAAAGAGCCUUGAUCUAUUCAUUGGCUUUAUUAUUUUUAUUUGGUUUUUCUUUCAACAAUAUUGUUGAUUUCUUAUAAAAAUAUUCAUUGGUUUUUAAACACCUAAUCAUUGGCUAUAUGAAGCUAAUUAAAACUGAGGCUUUGGAUCAAUUUCUUCUAACAAGAUACAAAUGAGCAUAACCUAUCUCCUCUGAGUAAAUUUUUUUAAUAUCCUUGAUUUGUAAGGAUCUGGAGGCCUGAAAUCCUCUAGAUUUUUUUUAAUACUGUCAAUGUUCUUUUUAUUCUGAAAAGGAACUAAAAGGUUUUAUCUUUCAUACCCUAAUAGUAAGCUGGCCUUGUCUUAACAUGGCUUCCCGAGGAUUUGGAAGAUUCAUAGGCCCCCCCCCCCCCCCCCCCCCCCACACACACACACACAAAAAGGAAGAUUUUGCAAGAUUCACCACCAGGUUAUUUAUUUAUUUAUGAAUUGUGUGUACAUACUAGUUAUAUGUUGAAAGAAUAGGAAGAAGUAUUUCAACAUGAAUGACUUAAAACUUAUUGCUCAGUAAACAUAAUAUGCAUCAGUGCGAAAAUGUAUUUAUCAUUUGUAUUUUUUAUGGUUUUGCUUAAGAAAUGAUAUGUGAAAUAAUGCUACAUGCCUACAUUGUAUCAGGAAUAACUUGAAAAGAUUUAUGAUAUUUAUGUGUUAUUCAAAUUUCAGAUUCAAUUUUAAACUUUUGAUACGUGCAUUAAAAGUUUAGACUUGUUUAAGAAAUUAUUAAUAGACACAUGUUUUAUUAGUGUCAUAUUUGGAUGAUAGUGAGGAUCAUAUGUCUAUUAAUAAUUCUUGAAUUGUCCGGGCUUGGACAGUUUGGGAAUGCAUACUUCUCUCUGGUAGCUAGUAGCCGAAGUUUUCUUCCCACGUAAAAAUGGGUUUUUCGGUAGCUGCUCCUCAUGUUCUCUGGGUACGUACUAGGUGAAUGGGUGUCGUGUUGUUUUGGCAUAACGCAUAAACACUUAUAUAGCUAUGUCGUGUGCUUGGAGAAUUAUAGGGAGAUGGUGCUGAAAUUUUUAUAAACGUAGAAGAAAACUUUAGGUACUUGAGAUUGAAAAAACUUACACAUUCUUGAGUGGGAUAUGUAGGAUUACUUACCUUUGGUAAAUAUGAAGGGAAUGUUGGAUAUAUUGAGGGUAGUGUAGGAGCUGAGUUGGAUGAAUGUAAUUGGUGAUGAUUUUGCUGAGCUGACAUUGGUUUUGAGCUUGUAAUUUUGUUUGUAAAUGGAGUGCUAUCUCCAAUGUUGGUUUAUAAAUAUGUUUCAGGACUUGCUGACCUAAUUUUUUGUUUCUAGGUUACAGGCUUUAUAUAUCUGUAAUUGAUGGCGAAGUGAAGUUCCCAGCACUUGGCGAGGAUGUUGGUUUAUAAACUGUUUUUUAUAUAUACUUUGAUUUUCACAUCUUUUUCUCUGAUUCUUGUGGCUUUGCUUGCUUUCAUAUAUGUAAAUUCUAAUGAAAUUAAACAUAAAAUUGUAAAAUGAUCUUUUUAUUAUAUUGCAAAACUGUGCACACACGAAAAUAUCUUGUUUAGUAGUAGAAAUGAAGAACUAAAAUGAUUUAUUUAACUAAUAUUUGUAGCGCAUUAAAAGGAGAUAGUCAUGGACAAGUGUUGGGUUGGUUUGCCAAAUAGAUAUCCAAGUCAUAUACUGACGGGGAUGAAAAAUUUAUAGAUUUUGCAUUUGAGAAUGUUGUUGGUGGUACAAGAAUUUAAUGUCCUUUUAAGAAGUGUUGUAAUCUAUAUUUCGUUAUAAGGAAAGUGGCUGAUGAUGAUAUGGUUGGAAUGAUACAAUGCAUCACGUAAUCAAAUGUUCAAGUUACACUCAACAUUGUUAUGGACUAUCAGUGACUUUCUAGCAUUGCCAACUUGUUUGGGUGGAGCAUUAAAGGUAAAUAAGCACGUCUUGUUUGCCAACAAAACACUAGAUCUAAUUGGUUGAUACAUGGUAGAAAAUUUUGUCACGUGGGUCACCGUCGAUUUUUACCGACAAAUCAUAGGUUUCGAAAAUAUAGUGUCUUUUGAUAAAACUAGAGAGUAGGGACAAGCACCUUCUCGGUUGUCUGGAACUGAAGUGAAAAAGCAGUUUAAUAUACUUACUGAGUAUAAGAUUGAAGACUUGAAAAGAGGAGAACGAAUAAAAUGAGAGAAAUGAUAAGAUUACUUGGAAGAAGAACAGCAUUUUUUAUGAGAACUACCGUAUUCAUCAUGAUCUUGUUGUCAUGCACUGCUUUGAUUUUUGUUAUGAACUCAGAUCAAAAGUUUAAUGUGAUCAAACUUUCUUAAAAAAAGUGAAAACGACUCCUAGUAAUAUGCUUUGAUUUUUGUUAUGAACUCAGAUCAAAAGUUUAAUGUGAUCAAACUUUCUUAAAAAAAGUGAAAACGACUCCUAGUAAUAUGGAAGAUGGCUAUAAAAGAUAAAAGGAAAGGCUUAAAAAGAAAAGCCAUGCCUGUCAAAAAAUAAAAAAAUAAAAAUGGCAGCGUCAAAUUUAUAACAAAAAUAAAAACGGUGCGUUUGAGAGUGUAAAAAAUACAUUUAGUGGGAGUUAUGUUGUUGCUUGAAGGCAGAUUGUUUGUGAGAUUUUUGUCGACGAAGCCAAAACCAAAGAUGAAUUACGAGGGUUAUGUUUGCCAUAGUCAAGGAACACGGUCCUCUCACCUUUGCCGAAACUUGGGAACGCGUCAAGGUGUGUGUAUCUAUUAAAUUGAAUUUCAACCGUUUGAUCUGUAAUUAUAAUUAAUCCAAUCAAUCUGACAGUGAUCGCUGACCAUAAUACUAGUAGUUGUUUUACAUUUUCAGCAAGCUGGAGCGAGUGGAUUGACGGGCAAAAGCCACAUGAAGAUUGUGUUGAGAUGGAUGAGGGAGAGACAAAAGCUCAGGCUCGUCUGAAAUCACGUGGGCCCUCAUAAGCAAAUCCUGUACACAACAACUUGAAGCAGCCAAAGUCAGGGAAUGAUCCUUCUCCGUCACAACCCUAGCUGCCUUAAAGUGAGACUGUGAAGAUGAAGUAAAGCACCAGUUGAACAAUGAAGAUGGAAACCCCUCAGCAUGUAAACUUUUCAACAGUGACACAGCUCUUAUUCCAGAGGCUGCACAGAAGAGCGACCUGAAUCCUCUUCAAGACUUUCAAAUUUUUAUCAAGUAAAGCUUCCAAAAUUUCUCAACAAAUUGAUUAUUUGGUGUGGUUGACACAUUUUGUGUAAUAACAGAAAAUUGAUUAUUUGGUGUAACAACAGAAAAUUACAAGAUCGCUGACAAAAUGACAAAAUGACAAAAUGACAAAAUGAAACUGAAGAUAAAUCAGAACAACUACCAAACCUUUGACUGAAAAUUCAAAAGAAUUUAUAUUCAAAAUGUCAAAAUAAACUGGAAAUUUAUUGCAUAUAUUACAAGAAGCAGUACACACCAAUUGUAAAUUGAUACAUCGUUUUUGAAAUUAAGAUAGUCAAAUGAAAGAAACACAACGGAGGGUUAAUGUAACACUUUCAAAGCUGCAUUAGUGAUACAGUAGAGUGAAUACCCUCAGCAUGUAAACUUAACUUCAAAGGACGGAGCACAAGUUUCACAGAAAAGUAGCUCUUAUUCCUGAUGCUGCAAACACAGAGGAGUGACCUCAAUCUUCUUCAUAACUUGGGAAUUCUGCAAUUAUAGAGCACGACAUUGAGCAUGAACUAGAAAAAAUAUUUAUUUUGUACAAUUUUCAUGUAACCUGACUAACCAAGAUUAAUUUGGUGGUAAUGCAUUGGGUCAUUACUUUAUAUGUUUUUACUGUCAUCACUUUAGAAAAAACUAAUUUCUCAAUGUGAAAUGGCCCACAAAAGUAUUAUCGUUUAAAAACUAAAGAUUAAAGCCCCCGGGGGGGGGGGGGUGUCUGAAGGCUUUUUACAUGAAAAUGUUGUCACUUUGAAUGAUAUUUUCAAGGAAUUUUAUUCUAAAAAUAAAAUACGUGGGACCUUAUUCUUCAAAUUGACAGCUCGCCAAGUACUAAAGGCGUAUGAGAUCAGUACUGCGGCGAGUAAGGAGACGACCCCUCCAACAGCUGAAAAUAAAAUUAGCAUUCAUCAAUUUAAAUUAAAAUUCAUAUUAUGAAAUAAAAACUAAUGAUUAAUGAAUUUCCGAGGAAUUUCAUAAGAUUCUCAUAUAAAAACGUGAUAAAAAACUCACUCAUCAAUAACAAAUAUUCUAACAGUUACCCGUACCUUUUCUUGAUGUAAUUGUUGUAUGAUUGUGUUAAGGUCAUUAUUAGACCAACGCAGUUUGUCUUCACUCCUUCCGUACCAGACGUUUACUCUCGGAGGCGUGGUUGAUUCUCCUUUGGUGAAAAUCUUCAUCUUGGGACAACCAAUCACCGACAAAUCUUGCAAAGAUGGGAAUUUGAAGGUGUAAUUGGCAGAGGAGAAGCUUGUGAGACUAUCUAAAUCAAGCAGGGACAAUGUAAUCAAUUUGCUGAAAACAAUCUCUUCUUUUAUAUUUGCUGUUUCAUCUUCGUCACAUACUACGACUUCUGUCAUUGCUGUGCAUCCAAAUACCUUCAAUGAUAAGAGUCGCUCCAGACUUUUUGCUGUGGAGCAUGUUAGUAAGUUCAUCAAUUUCUUGCAAGCAAAAGCUUGCAGGCGUGUGAGAUUCCGAAAAGAUACCGAUGAUGAUGGCAAUAGACUUAACAGAUUUUGACAGUGAUAUGCUCUUAUAAUUUCAAGAUGUUGGAAAAUGAAGUCCAGCUGUUUGGAGUCAUGUUUCCACAGUUGCUGCAGACGAUUAAGUCUGGUCAGGUUUAACCUUUUUAUCAGUGCCAACUUCCUCCCAUGUUUCUCCAAAUAUCCUUCAUUUGAAAAUACCACUUCAUACGAACAAUCCGACAGGAAGAGAAGUUCCAGAUUGUUAAACCUCUCAAGUAAACCAAGUUGAAAGCAAGCUAAGUCAUCAUCCCGAACCAGUAGUAGUUUAAGACUGCCAAAGAGGUGUUGUGUUGAACCUCGCAAAACCACCAGGGCUAGGAAGCCUAAUCCAAAGUAUCUGGCAUUUCUGGAUGUGAGCAAUACUAAUGACGUGGGGGCUAAAAGGCUUGGUCAAGUGUUGGAUGCAUAAAGGACCGAGUCUUGUGCUGGAAAAUCUCUAUAUCUUGUUAGUAGCUUCAGUAGUUGAGUUAAAAUAGGAGUUAGCCGUUGCCUUGCUUCAUUAUUUAAUAAGUUGUAAAACAAGUAGUUGGGGGAGAAAAAAAUAAGAUUUGUCAUUGUGGUUUACUCCAAACCCGAAUUGGAGAACUUUGAAAUAACAGAAGAAUUAUCAAAUUUAUUAAUUCUUGUUGCUGAGAUAAGAAUCUUCUUUCAUUCUAACUUGAGUUCUAACAUGUUGUGGAAAAUCGCCUUGCAAAAUCAUCGUGAUGUCUUUUCCACUUAAUGCCAGUUCCUCCAAGUUGGGUAAGAUCUGAUCAUCAUCGAGCUCAAAUUAUUAACUUAGCACAUUGAUCCAUAAUUCAAGACUGGCAAAAUUCAUUGUGUAAUCAAAGUUUUCAAUGAUCCAACUAAUAUAUAUAUAUAUAUAUAUAUAUUCCUUCUCUAGUGCGGACAUCCUCAUUUUUUUUCAUGUGGACCAGUUUUUAGACCCUAUGGUUUAAAAGAGUUAGUUUUUAACUCUCUAAAACCGCAUGGCUUCAUAAUUCAUUUAAAAACUAACUCUCUUAAACCGCACGGUUUAAAAGUAUGUCUACAUUAAAAAAAAUGCGGACCCCCACACUUGAGAAUGAUUAUAUAUAUAUAUAUAGAGAGAGAGAGACACACACACACACACGCUCUUAAACCGUGGGAUUUGAAAGUUUCUCCGCAUGAAAAAAGUAAAAAAUAAGGGCAUUCCCACUAGAAAAAAACACCAUAUAGGUAUUUAUUAAACCUCCGGAUCUGUGAGUGAGGAACAACAAAGAUAAUUGAUAAAAAAAAUCUAAAAUUUGGUUUCAUACCUUCUUGAACGAGAGUAGGGGUUGUUGUGCCGGAAUACCAAAUUGAUCAUUCUCAUUAUUCUGGGACAACGUUAUUUUAUCACAAUUACAGGCCUCCAAUUUUUUUAGUGCUGGCCAUUCUGAAGUAUGCAUUCCAGGGUAUAAACAUCUGAGUUCUGGUAGACCUUCGAGAUUCAGAGUGGUCACUUGUGGAAAGACAAAAUAUGGGGUCACUUGAUCUGCUCUGUCUUUGGAGAUGAUCUCUUGUAAACCCAUACAUAUCCGUAUCUCCAGGUGUUGGAGGUGCUUAAGGCUUUGGAUCAUAGAAGCUGAAAAUAUGUAUUUUAAUUUGUCACAGCCCCACACUAUCAAUCGUGUCAAACUUUGAAAGCAAGGAAUCAUGGCCGUAAGUUGAUUGUAAUGCCAAAUCUCGUCGACAUUAAUAGCAUUCAGCUCCAAAGCCUCCAAAUUUGGCAACACUACCUAAAGAUAAUUUUCUCUUUAGAUCCAAUAUCCGUAUGGAAAGCACUUGUUUUGACACAAUGUCCAUAUAAGCACUUAAUUAAGAGCUUAAUUAGCCUACGUACCUUCUCGUUGAAAAGCAGAGUUGACGUUUCCGAACUGAUCUCGUUGGAACUGGCUGUCAAUUCCUCUUGCGACUCUUGUCUGUUUGGUGAUGUGGAAGGAGUCUUCACUUCACCGCAAAACCUUGUAACCUUUGGAAGCUUUCCCAGACUCAAAGAUCUUAAUUGACCAAACUCUAUCUUCUCAUCAACAUCAACAUCAGCUUCUCCUCCAGUUGCAAAAAUCUCUUCCAUGCUGCUGCAAUUGAUAACUGCAAUCCUCUCCAGUCUUGGAAGGCAUUUUGUACUACUAGAGAGCCAGAAGAUAUUACUCAACUCAUCACAAUUUUCCACUUUUAUGGUUUUGAGUUCUUUGAAGGACUCUAUUUUGAGUCGAUCAAUACAUAUCCUCUCCAUAUUGAUCAAAUUGUGAAGAGUAAGGGACUCCAAAAGAGGAAAGGCGACACAUGGUUCUCUCUCCAUUGAAUCGACGAUACACAGGAAGUCCGGAUUAUUUUGAACAUGGAGAUGCUUCAAUUGUGAAAAGCCCUCAGUGUCCAAUUCUAAAACAACAUUCUUGAUUCCUUGCAACUUAUCCAAACAUAAGUAUUCAACGUUAUUGAUGCCCUGCAACUUCUCGGAGCAAAUGGCCAUAGAAUCAAGCUUGAGCUUCAAUGUUCUUAAACUCUCAUGAUUACUGAUCAUAAAGUGCUGCCGACUUUCAAACCAAUCAUUCUCAAUAACCAGGGUAGAGUCGAAUGAUGCAUCUCCUAUUGAUAUAUCAAACCUUUCCAGCUUUUUGGAAAAAAAGCCAUCCGGUAAAAUGGUAUCAUUUUUAACAUCUAUUUCUAAAGUGGUCAAUCGCCUCAAAUGCAUCAAUUCGUCGAGGGUGGCAUUACUUCUUUCACUAUUGGCCUUUUCAACUUCCCAUUCAAUAGGGGAAUUACCCAUAUACAGUUCUUCCAAUCGAGUGAAGCUUGAUAAGACGUUGGGCACAAUAAAUUUUAGUUGCAAACAAUCUGUUAAAUCUAACAGCCUUAACUUAGUCAGUUGACCUAGUUCGCCAGGCCACCGUACAAUAUCAGAAUUUAAAAAGCUAAGGAUUUCUAGAUUCUUCUACUUUCCAAUUAUGGCUGUGUCUCCCAACAUGCUUUGAUCUAGACAGAGUGUUUGAAGAUUUGCUAGAAGACCGAUUGAAGAUGGCAAUGAAAAUAAUCGCAUUCGUGUCAAAUCUAUAACUCGAAGCUUUUUCAUCCCUUUGAAAAUGUUGUCAGGAAUAUUGACCUCGACAAAAUAGUCUUUGGGAUGCAUAUGUAAAAAUUCAAGUUGCGGACAUUCAAAUUCCUCAGAAACUUCAUGAAUGCGACUAUUUAGUAAAGAGAUUGCAGAGCAUUUUUUAAGUGCAUCCUCAUCUGGCCACUCCCACACAGCCUCAUUUCUCACCAAGAAAGCAUGUUGGUCUCGACAUGCAAUUGAUACGGCAACAUCGCAGACAACAUCAUGCAUGGAAAAUUGUUCACUGCUAUCACCCUCAAGCAAUAAACAAGAGUCUCUAAGUUCAUGGACCAAUGCAUAUAAUUUGUUUCGUGCAUCUACCAUCCUGUUGACUCCUUGAAAUAUGCCCAAACCCAUGGAGUAUUUAAACAAGUCUGUAAACCAAAAACUGUUACCUAUUAGACUACAGAGCAGAAAAAUUUUCUUGAGUUGCUCACCUUUUAAAUACUUGAAACUCAGUUCAAUACUUGAAUAAGUCUCUGCAGGCACACCUUCGAAGUUUAUCACUGAAGGCGUUUGGAGUUCUCGCAAGGCAUUCUUCCACUCAUGCAGACACUUGUUUCUCAGUGCCCUCGCAACUGUAGUCAGGGCAAUGGGCAAACCUCCACAUGCCUGGGCUACAUUAAUUGCUGUAGACUUGAACUUACAAUUUUCAACAUCAUCACCAUUCAUUAUCUUAAACAAUCUCCAAGCUUCUUCUUCAUUUAGAUUGCCAAUCAAGAAGUUAUCUUUGGAGCCCAUACUUAAUAGCACAUUAUUGUCUCUUGCUGUCAGCAGUAGUCUACAUCCUUUAUGAUCAUUUCCGAAGGGAAUUCCAACCGUCUCCAAAUCAAGAUGUUUCCAGAUAUUAUCUAGAAUCACAAGAAUCUUAUUCUCAUUCUUCAGUCGUUCAUACAGCCUGCUAGCUCUUCUAUAUUCAGCUUCAUCGGACAACUCCAGACCUAACUUCUCUGCAAUUUCCCCUUGAAUCUUUUUUAUGUCUGGAGUUUGUGAAACCUCUGAAAAAACCACCCGAUCAAACAGCUUGUCUUCCCUGGCUUGCCUAGCAAACUCCUUCACCAGUGUCGUCUUUCCAAUGCCGCCCAUGCCGUACACCCCAAUAAUGCUGACAUUCACAUCAGUCAACGCAUUUUGUAUAGACUUCAAAGUAGAAACUCUUGAUUCGAAGGCCUCGUAACCUUUGUUAGACUUAAGCCAUAUCUCCUCCGGAGUGGUACGGUGGGAAACGAUAUCAAACUUCUUAACUUCUUCUCCAAGUUCAACAAGGGCCUUCACCUCUGUCUCUGCUUUCUUGCUAAGCUGAUAGCGGGUCUUCAAAUUACGACACAAGCCCUUGAGACAGCGCUUAUUUGUUGACUCUUCAUCUUCAACGAAUUUGGCUGCCCGGUCAAUGAUGCCGUUAACACUAACCAGCCACUUCUCAACCUUCUCUUCAAUCUCUUCCCCUUUUUCUUUCGCCUCUGAAACUCUGCGCUGAAUGCUCGUACGUUCAACCUUCAACUUCUCCAUUUCCGCCUUGAGAUUCUCAAGGUUGGCAUUGUGGUUCCGCCAUCGCAAAUAAACAACUUGGCGUUCUGUUGGAGGAGCCAAGCAUUUUACAAGUUCCAAAACGAGAGUAACAAUGAUUUCCAGCAUCUUGAAUCCUGACAACAAUGUAGAAGUGAAGAAGGCCAAAGGACAGUCAAAACAGAGAGACAGCGUUACGACAAGCAGUUAUGAAGCUAAAAAUAAAUAACAAACAAACAGAAGCAAAGUGUUUUUCGAAUGAGAAGAAGGAAGCAAGAAAAGGGUUUCUGUUUUAGAUUAAGGAUAAGAAAUGAUUAAGAGAGUGGGGGAGCUAAUAAGAGAGUGGAUUGAGCAAACGUAAAUAAAUUUUUCUUAACCUUUUGUCACACGCGUGUGACAAAUAAUAUAAUUAAUUUUAUAUUUUUAUUCAAUAACUAUUAAUUAUAAUUUUUAAAAAUUAUUAAAAAGAAUAAUUAAGUACUGAAUUCAAAUCCUAUCCUAAAUGGUUAGAUAAAAAUAAGUGAAUGAAAAGAGUAAUGGUAGAUUAAUGAGAAAGUGAUUGAUUAAUUUAUGAGGCCAAUUAACGAAACGACAGAUCUGGUUUCCAUGUUUGUAAUUUAAGUGUAUCAGUACGAGGUACACCGACUCUCCCAGUUUCUUUAGCAUUUCUCUCCGUGGAAAUAAGUGAAAAGCCAAAGUGAUUUGAUUAUUUUUAUGGCCAACUAAUGUAUGACAGAUCUGGUUUCAAUCUCUGCAAUGUAAGUGUAUCAAAACGAGGUCAACAACUCUUUGUCGAGUCAGUCAAAUACGCAAGCAGAGCGAACAAAUUUUUUUUCCAAUUAAGUAAUCAUCAAGUGAUAACCUUCUUUUUCUAUUAAAAUAAGGAGUGCAGAACAACUGUCAAGAGAUAAUCAUUGUUUAUUAUAUUUUCGAUUAAAAUAGUUGCGCGUGAACGAUUGCCCGAAUUCGUAUAAAUUGUUGUCAGGUCUAUUAUAAUUAACAAGUGGAAUGGCCAAUGGAUGAAGAACCACUGCAAUUUCGUUUAUGAAUUUAAAAUGCUAAAGAAACUGGACACCAACGCUAAACGUGAGUUUGAGGCCCUUGCCUCAGUGUCUUUCAGGCGUUACUCGGGGUAGUUGAUAUACUGACGGCCCCGUUAUCAAUUAAUCAUCGAAAUAGAUUAAAAUAUGAAUGGAUUGGAAUGGAAUGAGUUGGAAUUAAAAUAUGAAAUGAUAGUCAGAUUAAUUUAUUUUUUUUUAAAUUAGAAAAUUAGAAUAAAAAUAAAUUAUAUUAUUAUUGAUGCAUUUGCUUUAUCUUAAAAUUACGAUGAGUUAUUACAAGUUACUAAUAUGCCUUUGAUUUUUUAUUAUAAUUAUAGUUAUUUAUUAUAACAUUUGUCAUAUAAUAAUAAUAAUAAUAAUAAUAAUAAUAAUAAUAAUAAUUGUAACAAUUAAUAUUGAAAAAAAAUUUAUUGUUAAUAAUAAAUAGGCAAUUAUCCAUCGACCAUGUGAUCUUUCGAACUUUUUCAAAAAUAGAUAAACACUUUUUUCUUUGCAGAAAUCCACCUGAAAUUUACAAAGCGUUUCAAUUGUUUAUUGUCAUCUUAACUCUGUUAGAAUUUUGUUGAUGUCAUAAGGACAAAAUUAUCAUUUUCACCUAAAUAUCCAAAAAGGGUAUCUUUCAAACAUGAUUAAGAUAAAAAAGUAAAAUAAAUUAUCCAUUGACUAUAUAAUUUUUUAACCUUUAUAAAAAAUAUUAAAAAAAUAUAUGAACAUUUGUUUUUAUUUUUCAACAAUCUAUCGGAUAUUUGUGAAGUGCAUUAGUGCUCCACUACUAUCAUAACCCUUUAAAAAUAUCGCUUAAACACGAGAACCUAUUGCCUAAAAUUAUUUUUCAAGCAAAUGCAACGACAUAUCUGGUUUUGAUCUUCGUGACUUUUAAGUGUGCAAGAACAAGAUGAAUGACCCUUUGUCGAGUUGAAGAAUUAAGAUGAAUCAAUUACAAAUCUAGAACAAACUUACAUGUGACAUUUUAGAAUUAAGCAAACUAUAAUUGAUCAUCCAGUGAUAGGCUUAUUUUCAAUUAAAUUAGAGUAAAGAUAUACAUUCCAAAUUUUUUAUCUCAAAAUUAAUCUUAGAUGAUGUCAUUAAUUGAGUACUUGGUAAUUCUUUCAAGAUCUAAGUGAAUUAAUUAUAUUAUCUCUCUAACCAAUUGAUGAAUAUCAUAUUAUUUUGGAUAAUUUUUUAUCUCAAAUCCUAGAAAAGAAAACAAAAGAAAGGGAGCAAAAAUAUUUUUAGAAACGUAAAAUAACCAAAAAAACACCUUUUCUUGUUUUUCUUAUUUUCCACUAUUAAGCUUCAAAAUGAACAACUUUAUUCUACAAUCUCUCAAAUAAUAUUAAUAACAACAACGUCGUCAUCAUCAAUAAUAAUAAUAAUAGAUUAAUUUUGUAGGAUGGAACUCUCUCAAAUCUUCAAGACACAAAAUGUGCUUGACCCCAUUGUUGUUAUUAUAAUUUCAAAAUCAUAUGUAUUAUAUAAUAUUAGGGAAUAUAACAUAGCAAAAUUGAUGGUACAUAUGUUGCAAUAUACUUGCUCAUGUGGCGACACAUUGACGUAAAGUACAAGCAGAACAACGAAAAAUGUAACGGGAGAGCUCUCAUUAUGUAGAUUUUCAAUAGAAGUAAUGCAUAUUUCACAAGGGCAAUGGCCUUAUUUCAAAUGCUGCACCUGAGGAAUGACUUGAAUCUUCUAUAGAACUCAGGCAUUCUGUAAUCAUAGAGUAUAUCAUUUCAACAAAAAUAUUAUAUAGGUCGUUCCUUAUAUAUUUUAUGGGUACACAUACAGAAAUAUUACUUUGGGUACAUUUUUUGCAAUAAAGCCUGCCCAAUCCAGCGUUUUCAUAAGUUGGGUUUCUCAUUUACUUGUUUUUUCCAUUGGUUAAUUAUCACAAACCUCCACUGAGAUUUAGCAUAUUUUUAGUUUAAUAGAUUGUAUUCGCGCAAAUAUCUUUUCAGACAUUAGUUUACCACUUCGUAUAAAUUAAGUUGGUGAGGAUAAAAUCGUAAAAGUACACAUUAAUGAUAAAAAAAUUCAAGUAAACAUGAAAUUUUCACGUUGUGUUCUGAAAUUGGUCUCAACUUUUUAAAUGUCCAUUAGGUAAAGAACAGAAGCAAGCUUUACCCAGCACACAAAAGCAAGCUUUGCGCAGCACGCAUUAACGCCCGCAAAAAUGAAAAAGGAAAAAUGGUCAUCUCUUUCCUCCAUUCGAAUUGAAGCCAUGAAACGCAACAUCCCUUUCAUCUUCUCUCUAAUGCUUUGAUUAAAAAACUUGCUUACGAACGGGAGACCAUGACACUGAAUCCGGAGACGGCAAUACCAGAGACGAUUGAUCGAUUUGGAAGAAUACCAACCAGUGACUUUCGCCGUCGACCCACAAACAGUCCCAGUGUUUUCGAGCCGUGAAUGAGGUAUGAAUCAGAUUAUUUCCGUGCAUGUCAGUUUUGUUAGGUGAUUUGGUUUAAAAAAAGAAUAAUGGGUCUCGAAAAUUUUUUGAGAGUAUUUCUGUUGCUUACAUUUUUUUUCCAUUGAUUAAUGUUAGUUGUAGGUGAAUGAUUGUUUCAAAUGCAUGUUCGCGUGUGACUGAUUGAAAAUGGCUUGUGAUUUGUCAUGCUGCCGUAUGACUGAUUGAAAAUGGCUCUAAAAUUUUUUUUAUUUGUUUAAGCUACUGAUUCUGAUUAUUGAACAGGAAUUCAUGCUAGCUUUUGUGAAAUUAAAGAUGAGACUAUUUUUUAAGAGAUCUGCCAAACCUUCUCUACUAUAGAUUUGGCUUCUGACAUACCUGGUUGGCUGGAGAUAAUUGUUUAUAUAGUCAUUGUUGCCCGUAUUAUUUAGGAAUAUUGAUUAGCAAUGUACUGGAUUAGAGAUUGGUAUAAUUUUGGAAAAUUAGUCGUAGAUGCAACCUGAUUAUGGUCUCAAAUAGUGUGAUCUGUCAAUUUCGUCUGCUAUGGCCUAACAACCUUGAAUCUGAGCUAUGCUACUAUACAAAGUCCUGACCUAAUCAAGCUUGUUAGCCAAUGUCCAAAAUUGCAGUGUCUUUAGAUAAGUCCCAUCUUAUUUGUUUGAAUUAUAAAUGAAAAUUGCAGUGUCUUUGGAUAAUCACGCUGAAUGUUCAAGUUAUUGACAAGAAGGGACCCCCAGAUUCAAGGCCGGAGCUCCCUGUUGAGAAGCUUUAUAUAUAUAGGAUUGUCGCUGGGUGGAGGAUCGAUAUGCCCGGUUUUGUUUGGAAUAAGGAUGAAGAUUUUGCAUUGAGGCUUUCUUGACAGAUCAUUCUGCAAAUCAAGCUCCAUGUACCUAUCUUCAAACUCUAGGAUAUGUAUAAAGCAAGUGCAUGCUCUAUAUGUCACUUAUUGUAUCCCGAUUAUUUUUCUAUUACUUAAUAUAAUUGCAGUCCUUGAUGAAGUUGGAGACAACUUAUGGAGGGUAUCCAGGAGCUCGAGAGCUCGAUUGCCAUUCAUUUUACACUUGGCUGAGCUAUAGAAUACCAACUAGUGAUUAAUAAAGAGAAGGUAUGAAGGUCCUAUUGCUGGUGGUAUUAUCAAUCAGAAUUGUUAUUUUACUUGGUCAUAGUUACCAUGUAUACUAUUCAUAGACUUUUUGCAUGUUUAUGUAUUUGCGUUCAUCGUUUUGUUAAGCUAGAGAUGGUUGAUUUGUGUACUCAUUUGUAUCACUUGUAGCCCUUGAGGAAUAAAAUUUAAAAUUUUGUUGCAUCUCCUGUACUAAAUACUAAUUUUGUUGGCUUUAUGUAUGUGAAAUGGUUCAUUAUGUUAUUUCUUUGAUGUGUGUAUAGUGUUACGCUGUCUAAAGUCGAAAAGUAUUUCUAUCACUUGUGUAAAAAACAACCUACUUUUUUUCACUCUUCUUAUAUUGAAUAAAAGAGGAACACCAAGAUCUUCACCAAGAUUGAACGAAAUUUGAUGCAAAAUGCAUAGCAAUUAGGCCAGUGCAAAACAACUUCCUUCUGAUUCUCUGAUAUUUGACUUAAAUCUUUUGUUUGUUUCAUUCAUCAAAGUCAUUUUGGAAAGUAGCAGGGGUGAUUUGAUAUUUUCAUUGUAUUCACAUCCCUUGGCACCAAAACAAACAUGCUGGUACUAACCAACAAUUUUUUUUAAUUUUCAGUAUACAAAUUAUCUUUUUUUUUCUAAAUUAGGGGUAUUAAGAAAAGGUAUACUAGCAUCGGGGGAGGUAUUUGAGAAUACACAAAUACAGGCUAUCAAACUGAGAAUACGCCAAAUCUCAGGGGAGGUUUCUGAUAAAUCUUUUUUUUUCCUUUUCCUCCAUUUACUAUAGGUUCAAUUUAGACAUUGUUGACCAAACAGAAGGUUUAGGUUGGUAAACGCACUAGUGUUAAUGUCAACAACCCAAGGGGCUUCAUGGUCCUCUGGGCCGAAAUAGCGUAAUUAUUAAUUCUCCUCCAGUGAAAAUCUUCAUCUCGAGACAAAUAAAUACGAAUUGACAUUAUAGCUGUGCAAAUUUGGAGGUGUAAUAACCGGAAAAGUAAAAAUCUUUAGAGACAUUUCAAAUAAAAAAGAUACAACACCUUCAAUUUGCUAAAAGUAAUGGUAUCAUUUCUUGUACGGAUAAUGGAUGAUUAGAUUUUGUUUUUUGUUAUCCGACGAAGGAUAUUCAGUUGUUCUUUAUGUGUUCACAGGCAAGAGCAUGAGCAUGUUUAUGAUUUGAUAUAUGCUUCUUGCAUUUUUUAAUUAAGUACUCUCUUUCCUUACUGUGAAGCCGAAAUUAGUUAUAAUCUGUUAUGGACAUGCUGAGGUGGCAGGUGAGCUGGCAUAAGUGGGAUCCAAAUCAAGAGUUGGUUAGUUAGUUAAAUAACAGACUGACUCAUUGCAAGUGGAAACACACGUGAGAAGCAUACAUUUAUAAGCUGUCUCUAAGCUAGCUAAACAUACAUAGAAUCAUAGAGAAUUUACAGAGAGGAAACACUCGAUAGGUUUUAAUCUGUAAUUGGUGACUCAGUUGUAAACCAUCUUCUUCUUGUUGUUCAAUAAAGCCUCUGCCCUUGCUGGUUUUACAGCCGUGGAUGUAGGUUCCUUUGUGGAGCUUAACCACGUUAGUUUCUUGGUGUGUUGUGAAUCUUUGAUUGCUUGGUUCUUCUUUGUUCUUUUCUUAAUGUUGUUUCUGUAAACUCUGGUUUUGUGGGUUGCUUAAUUCUUGUUCAAGUAAGCGAAGUAAACACGUUUGCCAUAACAAACUGGUAUCAGAGCCUGGUAUUGGUUGGGAUCAGACUCAAAGAUGGCAAGCACCAGAGUUGAUCUUGAAAAGUUCAAUGGAGAUAAUGAUUUUUAUCUCUGGAGUUUGAAGAUGAGAGCAAUACUUAUUCAAUAAGGGCUUGACAGUGCCCUCGAUGAUGGAGAAGAUCCGAUGGCCAAGAAAGAAAAGGCAGAAGGCUCUUCAAGCCUUGGUGCAGAUCAGAGGAUCAUAAACAAUAAGGCCCAUAGCACCAUUAUCUUGCAUCUCUCUGAUGAAGUCUUGAGAGAAGUAUCCAAAGAAAGAACUGCAGCUGGUUUAUGGGCAAAACUAGAAGAAAUGUUUCUGAAGAAAUCAUUGGCAAAGAGGAUGUACAUGAAGAGGAGAUUGUACACAUUCUCAAUGAAAGAUGGAGUAGCCAUGAAAGAUCACGUGGAUGAGUUUAAUAAACUCAUUCUUGAUCUCGAGAAUGUCAACAUAAUUCUUGAAGAUGAAGACAAGGCACUCAUCCUCUUAAGUUCUCUUCCAGAAUCUUAUGAACAUUUUGUAGAUACCCUCAUCUAUGGCAGACAAACCCUCUCUUUGAAAGAUGUCAAAGAUGCUCUGAAAUCCAAGGAUUUGAAGAAAAGAUCAGACAUGAAAGAUCAAAACAAUGCAGAAGGUUUGGUUGCCAAAGGAAAGCCAGAAAAGAAACACAAUAAGCAGAAAAAGAACAACAGCCAGAAAGAUAAAGCUGAAAAGAAGAAGAAGAAGAAGAGAAAGUGUUACUUCUGUCAGAAAGAGGGACACUACAUUAAAGAUUGCUUUGAGAAAAAGAAACUAGAAGAACUGCAAAAGAAAUCAAAUGGGAAGACUGCUGUUGCCUCUGAAGAUGAAUGUGACUACGAUGAAGCAGAUGUCUUGGUGGCUGCAGAAAGGCACCCAACUGGUGAGUGGAUUCUGGACUCUGGUUGCUCAUUCCACAUGUGUCCAAAUAAAAGUUUCUUUAAGACCUUUGAAAGUGUAAAUGGUGGAAAGGUAUUGUUGGGAAAUAACCUAGCUUGCAAGGUGGCUGGAAUAGGAACCAUUAGCUUAAAAUUGCAUGAUGGUGUCACUAGAGACUUGCACCAAGUAAGAUUUGUCCUUGAACUGAAAAGAAACUUGAUAUCUCUAGGAAUGGUUGACCAAUCAGGGUGUACUAUUAAGGCUAAAAAUGGAGAGAUACAGGUCUUGGAUCAGGGUAAAAUUGUAAUGAAAGGGGUUAGGAAAAAUGGGCUGUACAUACUAGUUGGAUCCUCACUUGUGCAAGGGAUCUCAGCAAGUGUGACCAGAGAUAAAACCAAGCUCUGGCACAUGAGACUAGCUCAUAUCAGUGAGAGAGGUCUCAAGGAGCUAAGCAAUCAAGGUUUGCUUGGUGAUGACAAAGUUACUUCCUUAAAAUUCUGUGAGAAAUGUGUGUUUGGGAAGGCCACAAGACUAAAAUUCAGUUUAGGGAGAAAAGAAACCAAACAGACUCUAGAUUACAUCCACUCAAACCUUUGGGGGCCAUCACAAGUUCCAUCUUUAGGUGGAGCUAGGUACUUUGAGUCCUUAAUAGAUGACUACUCUAGGAAGGUUUGGAUCUAUGUGUUGAAACACAAAAGUGAAGCACUAGGGAAGUUCAAAGAGUGGAUUACUCUCAUUGAAAACCAAACUGAUAAGAAAAUAAAGAGGCUCAGAACAGACAAUGGGCUGGAGUAUUGCAGCAAAGAGUUUGAAGAUUUCUCCAAAUAUAAGGGCAUUACAAGGCAUAGAACUGUCACCUACACUCCACAGCAAAAUGGGUUGGCAGAAAGAAUGAACAGAACCAUAAUAGAGAGGGUAAGAUGCAUGCUGCUGAAUGCAAACCUAUCCAAAGGUUUUUGGGCAGAAGCAGUCACCACAACUGCCUACUUGAUAAACAGAAGCCCAUCCUCAGCUCUAGGUUUCAAGACACCUCAGGAGCUUUGGUCUGGAAAGCCACAAGACUUGAGCAAUUUGAGGAUCUUUGGAUGUCCAGCUUAUGCACACUUAAAGCAAGGUAAGCUUGAACCAAGGGCUGUUAAAGGGUAUUUCUUGGGCUAUCCUGAGGGCAUUAAGGGAUACAAGAUAUGGACCCUCAAUGGCAAACCAUCUAGGAUAUUAAUCAGUAGGGAUGUCACCUUUGAUGAAGAGCAAAUGCUUCAGUCAAAGGUAGAAACUGAGAUUGAAGCUGCUGAAAUAGAGGAAGAAGAAAGUGCUGGACAGAUGGUAAAGCAUUCUGAUAGUUGUAAGCCUUCUGAACAACCAUAAGACCAGACCAAGGAAAGAAAACAACCAUCAGAACUGGAAACAUAUCAGCUUGCUAGGGACAGAGAGAGGAGAGCCAUCAAAAUGCCAAAGAAGUAUGGCAUAGCUGACCUCAUUUCCUAUGCACUGACAGUAGCUGAUGAAGUAAAUGGUGGAGAGCCUUUGAGCUAUAAAGAAGCUAUGAGAUGUGAGGAUAAGCUGAAAUGGUAUGCUACAAUGCAGGAUGAAAUAGUCUCUUUAAAGAAGAAUAAUACCUGGAUCUUAGUGGACAGACCAUCUAAUAAGAAACUAGUUGGCAGCAAGUGGAUUUUCAAGUUGAAGGCUGGAGCUUCAGAGAAUGAACCACCAAGACAUAAAGCCAGACUUGUGGCAAAGGGAUUCACACAAAGAGAGGGAGUUGACUUCAAUGAAGUGUUCUCACCUGUAGUCAAAUACAGCUCAAUUAGGUUGCUGUUGGCCUUCUCUGCAUAUCAUGACCUGGAGCUGGAGCAGACGGAUGUUAAAACUGCCUUCUUACAUGGCAGUCUUGAUGAAGAGAUUUUCAUGGCACAGCCAGAAGGGUUCAUUGAGAAAGGAUCAGAGGACAAAGUGUGCUUAUUAAAGAAGAGCUUGUAUGACCUCAAGCAAUCUCCAAGGCAAUGGUAUUUAAAGUUUGAUGAGUUUAUGCUAAGCCAUGGAUACUGCAGAAGCAGAUUUGAUAAUUGUGUGUAUUAUAAAUUCCUGUCAAAUGGUGGUGGCAUCUACUUACUUAUGUAUGUGGAUGACAUGCUUAUUGCAUGUAAACAAAAUGAAAAGUAAAGAAGCUUAAGGUGGAGCUCAGCACUGAAUUUGAAAUGAAGGAUUUGGGUGCAGCUACAAAGAUUCUGGGAAUGCAGAUAAAGAGAGAUAGAGAGUCCAAAGUUUUGUAUCUGUCUUAGGAGGAUUAUGUGAAGAUGGUGUUAACCAGGUUCAAUAUGAAAGAUUCAAAGCCUGUUUCAACACCUCUGUCAGCUCACUUCCAGUUAUCUAAGUCACUGGAACCUACAACUGAUGAUGAUUUUAACUACAUGAGGGAGAUACCUUGCUCCAGUGCAGUUGGCAGCAUCAUGUAUGCCAUGGUGUGCACCAGACCUGACUUGGCUCAUGGAGUUGGAGUCAUCAGUAGGUUUAUAGGGAAUUCAGGGAAGGGUCACUGGAAUGCAGUGAAAUGGGUACUAAGAUAUCUUAAAGGGUCUGCUGUCACUGCCAUCAUGUUUGGUAAAAUAAGUGGAGCAUCACCUGUAGUGGCUGGAUUUGUGGACUCAGACUAUGCAGCAGACAAAGAUAGAAGGAGGUCCAUCACAGGUUUUGUGUUUACUAUAUGUGGAGGUGCUAUAAGUUGGAAAUCUUCCCUGCAGUCAGUGGUUGCCCUCUCAACAACAGAAGCUGAAUAUAUUGCACUUACAGAAGCUGUCAAAGAGGCAAUAUGGCUGAGAGGGCUGGUCUCUGAAUUGGGGUUUAAACAAGAAGUUGUUGUAGUUGGCUGUGAUAGCUUAAGUGCUAUUCAGCUAAGUAAAAAUCCUAAGUAUCAUGAGAGAACUAAACAUAUUGAUGUUAGAAUGCAUUUAAUUAGGGAUGAAAUCAGCAAAGGAGUAGUGAAUGUGGUUAAGGUGCCAUCUGAAGUAAAUCCAGCUGACAUGUUAACCAAGCCUUUGCCAUCAGUCAGGUUCAGGGACUUACUGAAUCUGAUUGGAAGUGUUAGCUUGUGAAACAAGCUUACUGGUGCUGUGUUGCAGUGAAGGGAGAAGCAUAAACAGAUUAGAACUAAGGUGGAGAUUUGUGAAGCCGAAAUUAGUUAUAAUCUGUUAUGGACAUGCUGAGGUGGCAAGUGAGCUGGCAUAAGUGGGAUCCAAAUCAAGAGUUGGUUAGUUAGUUAAAUAACAGACUGACUCAUUGCAAGUGGAAACACAUGUGAGAAGCAUACAUUUAUAAGCUGUCUCUAAGCUAGCUAAACAUACAUAGAAUCAUAGAGAAUUUACAGAGAGGAAACACUCGAUAGGUUUUAAUCUGUAAUUGGUGACUCAUUUGUAAACCAUCUUCUUCUUGUUGUUCAAUAAAGCCUCUGCCCUUGCUGGUUUUACAGCCGUGGAUGUAGGUUCCUUUGUGGAGCUGAACCACGUUAGUUUCUUGGUGUGUUGUGAAUCUUUGAUUGCUUGGUUCUUCUUUGUUCUUUUCUUAAUGUUGUUUCUGUAAACUCUGGUUUUGUGGGUUGCUUAAUUCUUGUUCAAGUAAGCGAAGUAAACACGUUUGCCAUAACACUUGCCUUCUUAGUUUUGAAAGAAAGAUGUGAAGCAAAGCAAACCCAGUGAAAUAUACAGAGAAGCAGAACCAUCAGAGGAAAAACUAAAUAACAGAACUACAAUUGAACCAAACAAAAUCAAAUAAACCGAGGCAACAGAUGCCCUGAAUCAGGCAUCGCUUUUCCUCGAAAGAAAAUAUGUUUGCAUGGGUGGGAACCUAGUAAUUACUCAAGAGUUGAGGAGUUGGAAAGAUUUGGUAUUCAUAUCUUCACAAUUCAUAUGCUUUAAUGCAGAAUCGACAGCUUUAUAUUAUUUUAUUCAACCAAAAACGAUAAAGCAGUAAAACCACAAUAAUCCACCAACUUUUGAUACUUUUAGGAAUUUUUUUAGUCAAAUUAAGUUUCAUGAUAAAACAAGUGGCUCCUCCACACACUUGCACUUGCUUGAAUAUUCGUGCCGACAUUUUCAUAUGUGAUGGUACUUCUUAGCCAGUAGAUAUGUUGAAGUACUACAAAACAGAGUAUUUGAUGAAGUUUUGCUACUUUCGUAUCCCUUUUUUUGUUGCAUAACUAAAUUCUUUAUAAACACAAAUUAGAAAGAUACAAAUAAUACAGUAGCUUGAAUUUAUAUGCUUUUAUGAUUAUUUGAUAAUCUAGUGCUGAUCAUAUGUGAUGAUAAACUUAGCUAGUAGUUUUAUAUUUGUUUUCGUAGUUUCCUUAGCGUUCACAUUUUGAUGAGUAAAUUAAGGAUUUCCAGAUGAAGUACAUAAUUUGAUGAAUGCUAAGGAACUGAAGUUUGAUUAAUUGAAAACAAAAAUAAUAAUGCAGGUAAUUGCGAAAAUGAGCAAUGCAGAAGUAGUCCCUAUAGUAUUUCUAAAUUUUCUCUUGGGGUUCCUUAGUAUUCCUUAAUAUUUUUUAAAAAUGACAUGACGAUCUUUGAGUUGACGAAUCUUGGCCUGCUGCUUAGUACCCUUCCAACAUAUAAAGUACUAGAUGUUUUACUGAGAAAAUGACUAGAUCAUUUACCAAAUUUCUUGCGCAUAUAUACGUAUGCAUACGAGAAAUGGGAAUCAAUGAUUAUAAGACCUUGCAAUGAGACAAUAAUACAUCAUCAAAUCUAAAAAUACACAAGAAAUUCGGGACAUAUAUAUAACAAAAGACCUCUCAUUGAGUCAUACAUAUUGAGAAUAAAAUGUCAAAAUGCAUACAAAGAGCUUAUACAGAAAAUGAAUUUACACAUAUUUAGAAUAAACUGUCUUUGAACUUUCGAUGGUCAAAUAAAGGAAACAGACAGGAUAUUGUUAACAUAUAUGUUUCCAUAAUGUUGAUUUUGAUGAUAACAAACAUGAUUAAGAAUAAUUAAUCUUUUAAGCUCAAAUUAUUUUCUUUUUAAAUAAAUCAUUAUUUUCACAUUUUAAAGGUUUUAUAUUUAAUGGAAAAAUGAUUUUAAGAAAUUGAUUGUUUUUAUUCUUUUUAAAUAAAUCAUUAUUUUCACAUUAUAAAUGUUUCAUAUUUAAUGGAAAAAUGAUUUUAUGCAAUUGGUUGUUUUUCAAGUUUAUGGUUUAUUUGAAAGAGUUUUGAAAACUUUGAAAUCAACAAGUAUUGCUUGAAAUUUUGGAGAAGGAUUUAUUUGAAAAGUAUUCAUAGCAUUUUGGGCUAUAUUAUAAUUUCAUAAAGUUUUGGAAAUAGUAAGUAUUAUUUAGAAAUUCUGAAAUUGGACUUAUUUGCAAAGUUUCAUAACAUUUUGGGCCGUAAUACAGUUUUAUAAAGUUUUGGGGUCAAACGAUAAUUUUAGAAAAUAUGUCACUGUAGCAGUUACUGUAGAAAACGGCGAUCCGACAUCUUGAUAACGGCUCGCCGACAUCUAACAGAAUUGAAGAUUAGUCUCUGGACCUAAACGGCGAACCGACAUGUGUGAUAAACGGCUCGCCGAUAUCAACCAGUAGCCUCUGGACCUAAACGGCGAUCCGACAUAUAGUUAACGGCGAGCCGACAAUUUGAAAAAUCAGCCCAACGGUCAUAUUGACCAGUCAAACGGCGAUCCGACAUCUAGCUAACGGCGAUCCGACAGUGUGCAGAAAGUCAAUAACGGCUAGUUUUCAGCUCUAACUAUAAAUAAGCUCAAUCCAAUUCAAACAAGGAGUGAUCCAAGAGUUAUCAUUGAGCUUGCCAUUGAGCAUAAAAUUAUUAUUGAGCUUUGAACUUGUUUUUGUUUCUUUGAUUCACACAUUGAGCAUUCAUUUGUAAUCAAACACAUUGUGUGAGAGAAAAUUCAUUUGUAAUAUUUAUCCUUGAGAGGUUGUAAGUGUUGGGAUACACUUGGGUUAAGAGAUUGGAGAUAAUCUCUUGUUGUAAAGGUCCAUUGACACCUUGAAAGUCAAUUGUAAGCGUUUGAAGCAUUGGGAGGCUAGCUUAGUGAAAUCCUCAAGCCCGGUGAGCUUGGAGGCGUGGACGUAGGCGGAGAUUGCCGAACCACGUAAAAAUCAUUGUGUUUGUUUUCUCUUCCCUUACUCUUUUAUAUUGUGAUUGAUUUAUUUGUUAUUGCUUUAAAUUAGUUUUGGAUUUUCAUUGUGUUUUGUUUUAGAAUUGAAUAAUUUUUUAAUAUCCCAAUUCACCCCCCCUCUUGGGUUGCAUAACUAGAAUUUCAGAUAUAACACACACUAUCAUAGAUGUAGCGACACGGUGAAGUAAAUCACAUGAAGAUGGAAACGGAAACCCUUCACAACAUAAAAUUUGAAUGGAGGGGGGAAAAAAGGCUUCAUUUCGAAUGUUGUACAGAAGAAGAGUGACUUGAAUCUCUAUCAGUAUCCAGACAUUCUACAAACACAGAGUUGAGAAUUUUAACAAGAAUAACAGACAAAAUAUUGUACUUCUAUACUUGUAACAAAACUAGACCAAAUUAGUUCCCUUUUUGGUUUGUGAAAACUUGAUAUUUUUUAAAAUUCUAUCGAAUGCUUUCAAACAAUAUUUCCAUAAUAUAUUUGUUCAUAGCUAACCUUUGAUGGUUUAAGCAUUUGUUGUAGGCAUGACGGGCUAAUUAGAUUUUUUUUUUUUUAUCCGAUGAAUGAUAUUCAGCUGUUCUUAAUUAUGUGUUAAUAGGCAAGAACAUUUUCUUAAGUACUUUCAUUGCCUUCCAAGUUUCCAAUGAACAAACAGAGCACAAACAAAUUUAACGGAACAGUAACGAUGACAAUAAAUAAUUGGCAAGGAAAGAAAGAAAAAAGUUUGCAUGAUUUCAAGGAAUUAUAAAAUCUGAACACUUUCAACAUGCAAGUGUUGCCCCUCUUAUUGAAAUUUCAUCAUAAAAUGCUUGCAAGGAAUUAUAAAAUUUUAGAGAACAAGGGAACUCUCAAAACAAAAUACUCAAAUUAAAUUAAAUUAGACCAAAAGACGCUCAAUGACGCAAAAUCUGCCCAUAAAAGCCUGAACGAAUCAUGAAAAGUGCAUUCCAUAUUGACAGUAAACCAAGUGACCCAUUCUAAACAAUUGAGAUGAAAUUGUGAAACAACCCACGAGAUCAAAUAAAUAAAAUAAGAAUUAAUUACCAGCUGGGACUUGCUUCUUCAAAUUCGUAACUCCAAGUCAUAAGAAGCCAAUGAAAUUAGUCGUAAUCCACAGAGUAUAACGACGACCCCGCCAACAGCUGAAAAUAAAAUUCUUAUUCAUCAAUUUAAACUAACUUUAUAACAAAUAUCUUAUCGAUAUUUUAUUUAAAAAGAAAAAGCAAAUUUUGUAAAAUUUUUCCAUGGGAGAUAGAGAGUAACACGUAUAUCCGUACCUUCUCAGCAUGUAAUUGUUGUAUGGUCGUGUUAAGAUCAUUACUAGCCCAACGCCGUUGAUUCGAUGUCUCUCCAUACCAGACGUUUACUCUCGGAGGCGUGCUUGAUUCUCCUGUAGUGAAAAUCUUGAAUUUGGGACAACCAAUCACAGAUAGAUCUUGCAAAGAUGGGAAUUUGAAGGUGUAAUUGGCAGAGCAGAAACUUGUGAGGCUGUCUAAAUCACGCAGUUCCAACCUCUUCAAUUUGCGGGAAACAAUCUCUUCUUUUUCAACCCCGUCUUUGUCAUUUAUUACCACCUCUGUCAUUGCUCUGCAUCCGUAUACACAAAGUGAUACGAGUCGCACUAGAGUUUUUGCUGUGGAGGAUGUUACUAAGUGUAUCAAUUUCUUGCAAUCGAAAGCUACAAGUUUUGUUAGGUUCCCAAAAGAUACCGAUGAUGAUUGCAAUAGAAUUAACAGACUUUGACAAUGAUAUACUCUUAGAAUUUCAAGAUACUGAAAAAUGGGGCCAAGUUUGGAGUCUUGUUUGCACAGCUGCUUCAGAUGAUAGUGCCGGUACAGCUCUAAUUCUUUUAUCAUUGCCAACUUCCCCACAUGUUUCUCUAAGCAUCCUUCCAUCGAAAAUACCUCUUCGUGGAAUGAAAAAUAACACAGUACGAGCAUUUCGAGAUUGUGAAAUCUCUCCAGUACAUUCCAGAUUGGAAAACAAGCUGAGUCAUCUCCAACAAUCUCUAGUUGUUUGAGACUGCCAAAAAGGUGUUGUGGGAAAUCGGCCUGCAAAAUCAUCUUCACGUAUUUUCCGCAUAGUGAUAGUUCCGUCAAGUUGGGUAAGAUCUGAUCAUCAUCAAUCAUAAUAACUAAUAAGGUCAAUUGAUGUUCUCUCAAAUGAUUUUGAGUAAUCCAAUCAGACGCAGUGAGUUUAUAGUAUUUGUUUUAUAUUAUAUUUUAAAAAAAAUUGAAUUAUUGAUAAAAUUUAUUAAAUGAUUUUUUAUAUGUUAAUUUUAGAGGUAAAAAAGAAAUUAGGGAAAAAAGGUUGAUUUAUACUGACUCGAAAUUAUUUUAUUGCACAAUAAUAAAUUACUAAUUUAUUUUGUAAGUUCUUCUAUAUGGAAAGACUCAAGAUUCUUUUACAAAUGCUAUACCUAAAAAAGUUUAUAUAAUUAUUAAUCUACCACAUUGAUCCCUUAAUCUAGACUAGCAAAGAUUAUUGUAUAAUAAAAGUUUUUAAUUUAUUAAGCAUUAAUUUAUCGAUACUUUGUCAUAUUUUUCAAAGUUAAAAAUAAGCUAUAGAUAAAAAAUCUAGAAAAUGGCUUCAUACCUUUUCCAGCGGCAAUAAGGGCUGUUGUGCAGGAAUACCAAGUUGAUCAUUCCCAUUAUUCUGCGAUAAAUCUGCAGCGAAUAUCUUUAAUUUGUCACAACGAUACACUAAAAGAAUUUCUAGGGCGGGCCAUUCCGAAGUAUGCAUUCCAGGGUACAAACAUCUAAGUUUUGGUAGAUCAUGGAGUAUCAAAGUGGUGAGCUGUGGAAAGACAAAAUAAGGGAUCACUUGAUCUGCUCUGUUUUCAGAAAUGACCUCCUGUAAAUCCUCACAAGAGCGUAUUUCUAGGCGUUGGAGCUGCUUAAGGCUUCCGAUCAUGGACGCUGAAAAUAUUUAUUUUAAUUUGUGACAACCCCACACAAUCAAUCGUGUUAAACUUUGAAAGUGAGGAAACACGGCCGCUGGAAUUUGAUUGUAGUGCCAAAUCUUGUCGACAUUAAUUUCAGAUAUCUCCAAAGCCUCCAAGUUAGGCAACGCAACCUAAAAAGAUAAGAAUUUCUUGUUGAAAAUUUCUCUUUGAUUACAAAUUAAUGCAAGUCAGAAUCAAUUUCCAACUGACAGCUGAGUAUGCAUUCUAAUUCAUACUACCUGUUAAGAGCUCAAUUAGUGAGUGCGUGAGAUUAUUUUUUUCCCCAUUGUUUUCAUUUUCUUUCAAUUCUCUAAAUGAUUUAAUUAUUUUCCACGUUUGACAUAAGAGAACGCAUGAUAGAAUAAACUCUGUUAUAUAUAUAUAUGAAUAAAAUGUUAGCCUACGCACCUUCUCAUUGAAAAGCAAAGUUGAAAUAUCCAAAGUGAUUUCGCUGGAGCAAUACAUAGUCGUCGAUUCCUCUUGCGACACUUGUCUGUUCGGUGAUGCUGAAGGAGUCUCCACCUCACGGCAAAAACUUGUAACCUCUGGAAGAUUCCCCAGACUCAAAGAUCUUAAUUGAGCAAACUCUAUCUUCUCAAUUGCAUUAUCAACUUCUUCCCCAACUGCAAAAAUCUCUUUCAUCUUGCUGCAAUUAAUAACUGCAAUCCUCUCAAGUCUUGGAAGGCAUUUUGUAGUAGAGAGCCAAAAGAUAUUACUCAACUUAUUACAACUAUAAGCUUCUAUGGUUUUGAGUUUGUUGAAAGACUCUACUUUGAGCCGAUCAAUACAUAUCCUCUCCAUGUUGAUCAAAUUGUGAAGGGCCAGUGACUCCAAAAGAGGAAAGGCAUCACAAGCGACCAUCUCCCUUGAAUCGACGAUACAAAAGAAGUCAGGAUUAUUUUGAAUGCAGAGGACCUUCAAUUGUGAAAAGCCCUCCGUGUCCAAAUUGAAAAGAACAUUCUCGAUGCCUUGCAGCUUGUCCAACCGUAAGUAUUCAACGUUAUUGAUGCCCUGCAAUUUCAUGGAGCAAAUGUCCAUAAAAUCAAGCUUGAGCUCCAAUUCUCUUGAAAUCUUGCGAUCACUGUUGAUCGAAAAGCGCGGCCGACUUUUAAACCAAUGUUGUCCAACACUCAUGGGAUGCAUGAAUAACCCAUUUCCAAUAGAUAUUUUGAACCUUUCGAGCUUUCUGGCCAAAAAACCUUCUGGUAAAAUAUUGUCACUUUUAACGUCAAUUUCUAGAGAGGUUAGCCGAGGUAAAUGCAUCAAUUCGUCAAGGCUAGCAUUACUUCUUUUGCUGUUGGCUCUUUCAACCUCCCAUUCAAUGAAGCAAUUACCCAUAUACAAUUCUUCUAAUCGGAUUAAGCUUGAUAUGACAUUUGGGGCAAUAACUUUCAGACGGAAACAGUCUGUUAAAUCUAACAGCCUUAGCUUAGUCAGUUGACCCAGUGCUUUAGGCAACUCUACAAUAUCAGAUUGCAAAAAGCUAAGGAUUUCUAGAUUUUCCAACUUUCCAAUAAUGGCUAUGUCUAUGCCUCCGAAAAUGCUUUGAUUAAGACAAAGUGUCUGAAGAUUUACUAGAAGACCAAUUGAAGAUGGCAAUGACAAUAACCGCAUUCUAGUCAAAUCCAAAACCCGAAGCUUUUUCGUCCUUUUGAAUAAGUUCUCAGGAAUAUUAGGCACAGCAAAAGAGUUCUUGGGAGACAUGACUAGAAGUUCAAGUUGUAGAGAUUCGGACCCUUCAGGAAUGUCAUUAACAAUACUAUCUUUAAAAGAAAUUGCAAAAUAUUUUUUAAUUCAUCUGCAUUUGGCCAUUUCCAAUCAUCCUCAUUUCUCACCACAAAUGCAUUCAUGUCACGAAAUGCAAUUGAAAUGGCAACAUCGUGAACAACAUCGUGCAUAGAAAUGUAUUUACUGCCACCAUCCUCAAGCAACAAACAAGAGUCUCUUAGUUGACUGACCCAUGCAUCUAAUUUGUUAUGUGCAUCUUCUAGCUUAUGGACACUUUUAAAUACACCCAAGCCCAUGCUGUAUUUGAACAAAUCCAUAAUUGGUGCUGGCGUAAUAAGACUACACAGUAAAAAAGUUUUCUUGAGUUGCUCACCUCUUAAGUACUUGUAACUCAGCUCAAUUGUUGAGUAUGCCUCUGCUCGUACUCCUUCGUCGAAGCUUGCCUCUGAAGGCGUUUGGAGUUCUUGCAAGGCAUUCUUCCACACAGGCAGCUCUUUUUUUCUCAGUGCCUUUGCUACUGUGGUUAGGGCAAUAGGCAAACCUCCGCAUGCCUUGGCUACACUGGUUGCUGUAGAUUUUAACUAACGAUUUUCAACAUAAUCACCAGCCAUUAUCUUGAACAAUCUCCAGGCUUCUUGUUCAUUUAAAAUGCCAAUCGAGAAGUUUUUUUCAGAUCCCAUCCUUAACAGCACAUCAAGAUCUCUUGUUGUGAAUAAUAAUUUACAUCCUCUGUGCUCAACUCCAAAAGGAAUGCCAAUAGUCCCCAAAUCAAGAGGUUUCCAGAUGUUAUCGAGAAUCACAAGGAUCUUCUUCUCAUUCUUCAAUCUUUCAUAUAGUCUACUAGCUCUUCUAGACUCAGCUUCCUCGGACAACUCUAGGCCUAACGUUUCCGCAAUUUCCUCUUGGAUCUUUCUUAUGUCUGGACAUUGGGUAACCUCCGAAAAAACCACCAUAUCGUAAAGCUUGUCUUCAAUGGCUCGCCUUGCAAACUCCUUCACCAGUGUCGUCUUUCCAAUGCCGCCCAUGCCGUAGACCCCAAUGAUGCUGACAUCAACAUCGAUCAAUGCAUUUUGUAUGGCCUUCAAAGUAGAAAGUCUUGAAUCGAAGGCUUCGUAGCCUUUGUGAGACUUGAGCCAUAUAUCCUCCGGAAUGGUACGGUAGGAAAUUCCAUCAACAAAUCUCCCAGCUUCUUCUCGGAGUUUAACAAUGGCCUUCACCUUUGUUUCUGCUUUCUUGCUAAGCUGAUAGCGGGUCUUCAAAUUAGGACACAAGCCCAUGAGACAUCGUUUAUUUGUUGUCUUCUCAUCAUCAAUGAAUUUGGCUGCCUGCUCAAUGAUGAUGUUCGCACUAACCAGCCACUUCUCAACCUUCUCUUCAAUAUUUUCCCCUUUUCUUUCAGCCUCAGAAACCCUGUGCUGAAUGCUUCUCCUUUCAUCCUUGAGCUUGUCUAUUUCUGCCUUGAGUUUCUCAACGUUGGCUUUAUAGUUACGCAAAUAACCAAGUCGGCGUUCUGUUGGAGGAGCCAAGCAUUUCACAAAUUCUAAAACACUAGUAACAAUGCUUUCCACCAUCCUGGAUCCCUUUUCUUUUUUUCGAAGUUUCUGACAAGAAAAUAAACAAUGAGCGAAACACAGAGAGAGUGAGGAGAAAAAGAAAAAGAAACGCAAAGAUGGACAGUUUAUCUGGUUGUGGAAGCGGAGAAAUGAAAGAAAUCGUAAUAGCUGUUAUGGAUAUGCUGAGAAGAUGGAAACAAGGAAAAGGUUUCUAGUUCAACAACUGGAUUGCGAGCGGAGAGACUAAUUAACAAAGACUGGAGAUUACAACAAAGCAGAUGCCAAGAGAAAAGUUGAUCCAGUGAAAUUCAAGAGAGUUGACAGCAAAAGGGAGCAAAGAUUAAUAACAAAACAGCAGUGACUACAAUGAACAAAAGCAUAUGCGUUUCUUGAUUGAGAAUGAGUGCAAAGAAUGAUCCUUAAUCAAUAAAAUAUCUGACAAUAUCUUCACCGAAAGUUUGAGACAUGUGAUCCUUAUUCCACUGCGUCAAUUACACUCCAGACCAAUGCUGCCGUCAUUAUCGAACGGUCGAUAUCCAACACUUGCACGAAGAUUCCAAGAAGUUGCGUGGCUGCCGACUUUUAGAUGCAAAGCCUCAUUGUGUCGAUGUUACACAAAAGAGAGCAGUCCGGGUAAUUGCCAAAACUUAGAACUAAACAGUAGCUUAGUCAGAAAAUCAAACGCCAGUACCGGUAAAAUGACCGAUAAAAAUAUAAAGAAAUAAAAAUUUUAAAGUUUUACUUCAUUGCUUUUUUAAUCUUAUUACUAUUUCUCCUUGCACUUCUAAAGAAACCAAAGCUUUAAAAGAAAUCAGCCAAAUCAAGAAGAUUGAAAAGUAAAUCUAUGGUUUUAGAUUUUUAUUUUAUUUUUUUAGAUAAUAGAUAUUGUUGAGUAAUGAAAAGUACCAGCUCCGCUAUCCCCUCUUUCCUCACCCUGGGGCGAAUUUCCCCAUAUGAAUGGCACGAGCAGAUUCCUGGUAAUACAUCCUGUACAAGGCAUAUGCCGACUAGAAACGAAUACCGACCAGAUGUACAUACCGACCAAGUACUCAUUAUUCAAAGAAAGAGGACACGAUCUCACAAACUCACGACAAUUUUGUCAUGCCCCAAACUGUUGGGGAGAACAUGACGCCCCACGUUUACCCACGAUUCGGUGGUUGGAAACCCAUGAAGGUCCGUCAUCACCCGAAAAUGAGGGGCAUGAAUAAUACUCAGAAAACAUGGGAUGAUUGCCUAUAAAAGGCCAAGAAAUCGAUGAAAAAGGGGAGACAAAAAUUGAGAGUAAAGGGGAAACUCUGUCAAAUUAUAAUCAGAAAUUCAUAUAUCAAAAUCCUUGAUACAUUUGGUAUUGAGAAUAUUGCAACUAAUAUGUACAACACAAAUCAUUCACUUUUCUCGUAAACACCUUGUACUAAAUUAAGUAUUGAAGGGUUUAUGCCCGAAAAACCACUGGCGUCUCUGAUUUGUUUCUGUGAACGCAGGCCUGGAAGGAAGAAGACGGGUGAUUUGGGUCCCAGAAGCUCGGGAAAUUGCUGAAGCUGAUGGAUCGCAGCCUCCGUUCCUUUGUCGAUACAAGCGUUGGUGAACCAAUCUAGUCGGUCCAAAGGCGACCAGAUUUUAGCAUCAACAUAUAUUAUUUUGAUGAAUUUUUUAAUAUGAGAAUAAUGUUAGGAAUUCCAAUAGUAAAAUUCUAAUUGAGACCCAAUUGUUAUGUGUUAUUUUUUUAUUGAAUAAUGAAUUUCACAACUAAUAAAAUUUAUAUUUCCAUCAUCUAAUAAAUGACUACCAUAUCAGUUGGGACUCAAUUAUUAGGAUCCUUAACAUUGCUCUUAGUAUUAAAUUGGACAUCUUAGCUAAAUCAGAUUAAAAAUCAAAUUAGAUUUUAGGCUUUUAUUCAACAUCUCUUUUUUUUUUUUGGUCUAUUGGAAGUGAACGAAAUAAAAAUACAACAGGGUCAACGACUGGGCAAUUGGUAGUCAAGUAGAAGCAAAUCAAGGCUAAAUGGGAAAGAGAAACGAUGUUUGUGCAAAACAAGGAGAAAAUCCAUGUAACAGAAGAGAAUCAAAGUGCUUUUGAGAUCAAAAAUUGAAACAAGAAAAAGGUCGCUUGAUCCAAUGAAAAUGCAAAGAGUUGAUGGCAAAAGGGAACAAAGUUAAAUACGAAAACAGCUAGCGCUAGCAGCGACCACAAUAAACAGAAAAUUUGAGAUGGAUUUACAAUAUUUCUGCCUUUCUUUAUGCUUUAACAAAUAUUGCUCUAUCAAAAAAAAUAUUGAACAUUUUUAUUAUUGGAGUCACAAAAGACCUACACAAUAUAGCAAGUGACUAGGAAUAAAUAAGAAUAUAUAACUCUCUCUCUAAUUCUCACUCUGGCUUUUAAUUGUCACUCAAAACCCAGAAUUCAUCCUUAAAGUGUAGGCAAAUCAGAGAUGACAUCGUUUGGUUGUCAUACGUGCCUUUUAGUUUUCGGAUGACAUGGCGUACACUUCUUCUGUAAACCCAACACGACAUGUCGUACUCUUUUGUUUUGAGAUCCUAUUUCAAACUUUUCAUGCUAUGAAUGAAAGAUAAACUCCAAUCAUCAAAAUAUUUAGUGUUUGUUUGGUAAUGUAAUGUCAUUGUUGUUGUGAAUUGAAAUUAUUUCUGUAAAAUAAAAGGAUUUGGGUCAUUGUUUGUUAUUUUCUGACAAUAUUUAUUAAAUAUUAAAAAAUAAAUUUAUAUUUAUUAGUUAUUAAAAAUAAAUAAACAAACAAAAAUAAAAGGAAAAGUUUAUACAUUACGUAAAAUAAUGACAAUAUCAAUAUUUCGCACUCUAUAAUUGAGUGAUGUGUUGUCCAACUAGCAUACUUUGGUCCCAAACGGAGACUUAAAUAUCAAAGUCCAAAGUUAUUGUGAUGAUGACUUAUAAUCGCCAAACUUGACAUACGGGUAAUCAUGCAUUAUAAGGUGCUGAUUUCUUCCGAUCGGAACCUUAUUUUUCAUUUACAAAUAAAUAAAUGAUGUGACUUCACGGUUGGCGGGGUCCUUUGUGUCAUUUGGGCAUUUCACUAAAUGAUUGAUUGUAGCAGGAAGAUUCUUGGAAGUUGCCAUUUGCCAAUGCUACUAACAUUUUCAAACUUGGAAACCCCUUCAAUCAAUCUUAUAGUGUUAGGCUCUGGUAGCUUGGUUUGAUUAUGACAUAUGAUUAUUUGAUAAUAAAACUAGAGGAUGUAUUAAUAUAAAUCUUGUUUAUUGGUGUUGAAAUUAAUUAUCUCAUUGAUAAUAGUAUAAAAAGUUAAUUACUAAGAAACACAAAGCAGUAGUUAAUUGGUGUCAUAUUAUUGAGAUUCUAGGAUAUAAUUUUAUAUCAUAACUUUGUAAGUGUAUAAUUACUCAUUAAAUUAACAAAAUUAUUUAAAAAUAUUUAGUUGGAAAAAAUAAAUUAUAGCCUUUUUAUUUCAAAUAAUCUAUAAGUUAACUCAAAACAUAAUCAAGCUGAGAAUUAAAAUAAUGCUACUGUAUGAGAGGAUUUUUAUUUUUUCCCAAAGUUUCACUAGGAAAUUAUUGAUAUAUAGCUUUAUUCGGAUCAUCUCAGUUCAAACCACAAAUAAUUGAAAGACUAAACUAAAUAGACCAGCCAACAACCUUGUACAAGAGAGUUCAAAAAUUAAGGUCAUGGUAUUGAGGUGUUCUUUCUUGAAAAGUACAGCAUAGUAAUAAAAUAAAAACUAUUAGUCUUUGGUAAGAUAUAAUUUUUAAAUAAUAAUUUUCACAAAAAUACAAAAAUAUUUAUAAAGUACUUCUAUAGUGAGGAGACCCUCACUUUGUUAAAGUGAAAAUAUCAAUAAUAAACAAAAGAAAUAUAUUUUAGCACAUUAAAAACUGUAUUUUUUUUAUCUAUUGGCGUAUUAAAAUAUGUGUUAUUUAGUUUGUUAAUGAUAUCACCACUUUGUUAAAAUGAGGAUGUCCGUCUCUAGAGAAUCAUUAUAUAUAUAUAUAUAUAUAUAUAUAUAUGUAUGUAUAUAUAUAAAGUGUUUCUCUCCAAGGCCUAGACUUUAUUAAAAUUUAAGAAAGCAAAUAUAUUUUAUAUGGUAUAAUAGUGUAAUAACAUCACACUAUUAUAUCAUAUAGAGUAAUAGUUUUUCGAACUUUAAUAAAGCUUAAGAUUAUAGAAUGAAUGAUUUAUACACAUUAUAAUUGUUUUUAAUCAUAAAGUGGAGGAUAAAAUUAAUAUAUUUUUUAAAUUAUAAUAAAUAUUUAUCAAAUAAUUUAACAUUGUAGUAUCUCCUAAUUAGUAUAGUAAAUACGACCUAGGAGGUACAUUAAAGUAGUUGUUAAUAAUAAAUGAUAUAUGCAGCUCCAAUCAUCAUUGUACGAUGAGUAAUUAUAUAUGAAUCUUCACUUAUAGGUGAAAGCACUUUGUCAGACAUCAAAUCUCUGCAAAAGAUACCCGUCUUUAUUCGCUCAUUAUCCACACACACACAUAUUUAAUCUCACCUUUUUUUUUCCAAUCAAACCGAACAGAAAAAGAAAAAAAAUAAUUUUUCUUUUAAAAAAAAUGUAAAUUGAGGUUAUGUGAUUGUAAAGGCUGAUGUUACAAUACCUGCAUGUAUCAGAUACAUGCAGGUUUUAUGGCCGUUGGAUUCAUUGUAUUGAAUCCAACGGCCAUAAAUGAAUUUAAACAAUAAAUAAUUAAAAAAAUAAAAAAAACUUGAAACCUAUAGAAUCGGUCUCAACACACACCAAACCCCCUCAACACACAUCAAACCCAGGCAAAUAUAUUUGUUGGGAAAAAAAACAAACAAAAGGCUCUCACCUCACGCGGGAAAUCAAUUUGUUCUUCCCUCCAUCCUCACUCACGGCUCACGACUCCUGAUAACUCUAUGAAAUGAGAGUUAUCAUAGCACUUUUAGACUUAAAUUAAUAUUACUUAGAGAGUAAAUGAUGUGAUUCUAUUGCAUUUUUGUUACAUUUUGCAUAAAUAUUCAUUUGAGUUUAGUCUUAAUGAGUUUUGCUUGAUUUAAAGUAAUUUGUGCUCAAAUUGUGUACAUAAUUGUAGGUUUCCAGAAGCUUAUAAUUCAUGGAAGGAAUGCUAUGCAAUAGGCUUGCAAAAUAAAAUCCACUGGAAAAAUAAAUUUAUCCACCUUCACCAACACAUCUUCAAUCUUCCCUUCUGGAUAUGCAUGAGAUCUGUCAGCAAGUUGUAAAGUCACUGUUGUUGGUCUACAUUCACCAACUCCCAAUUGCUUAAACACUGAUAAAGGCAUGAGAUUGAUGCUAGCCCCUAAAUCACAAAGUGCUUUGCCACUGUAUUCAGUGCCUAUGGAGCAUGGAAUUGUGAAGCUUCCUAGAUCCUUCAUCUUCUGUGGUAUCUUACUCUGAAGCAUUCGGCUGCACUCUUGUGUUAAAGCAACUGUCUCAAAUUCUCCAAGUCUUCUUUUCUUUGACAAGAUAUCCUUAAAAAUUUUUGCAUAAUUUGGCAUUUGCUCUAGAGCUUCCACAAAAGGGAUAUUGAUAUGUAGCUGUUUCAGCACCCCCAAAAUUUUGCUGAACUGCUUGUCUUAUUGUUGCUUCUGAAAUCUUUGAGGGAAUGGUGGUGGGUGUCUAAACUGCUGUGCUGCAGCAGGUUGUACAGACUGCUUCUCUUUUGCUCUACUCAGGUCUGUUACUAUUGGUGUUGUAGCUUCCUUACCACCAGAUGCUGGAUCAUAACUUUCUGUAAAUGUUGUAGCAGAGCUGUGUUGAUUUGCAUUCCGAAAAGUGGAAGACUGUGACUCAUUCUCUACUUGAGUGUCUUCUUGGCCUUUGUUGGACUCAAUUUUUCUUUUUGGUACACCAACGGGACUAUGAACAUCUUUUCCAGAUCUCAAGUUAAUUACUUUGCAGUGCUCUUUCCCUUCUCUUCUUGGGUCCUCUGUAUUAAUGGGUAAACUACCGUGAGGUCUGUUGCUUACUGCUGUAGCAAGCUGUCCAAUUUGAUUUUCCAAGUUUUUCAAAGAUGCAGCAUGACUUUGGACAACCACUUCAUUUUUCACAAUAUAAUCCUUAAUCAAACCUUCAAGGGAGCUAAGUUGAUCAUUGUUGAUACUUCUUUGCUCUUGAUUUUACUGAUAAAAUCCAGGUGGUUGAGCAAGUCUGUUAUGUCCACUGGGUGCUGCAGUAGUCUGGUUCUGAUAACUCCAUGAAAAGUUCGGGUGCUGUCUCCAUCCAGGGUUGUAAGUGUUUGAAUAUGGAUUGUCCUGGUUCUGUCUAUUAAAGCUGCCCAUAUAGUUAACCAAAGCUGGAUUACCAGGACAAUUGUCAAAUAAAUGCCCUUCUCCACAAUAAACGCAAGACAUAUCAGAAAUUUGGUUAACAGUUGCUGGAGCAGUAGUCAUAGCCUUUACCAUCCUUGUUAAUGAAGUUACUUGGGCUGACAAUGUUCUCAAGGCAUCUACGUUAUGAACUCCUGCAGUUCCUCUUGCUGCAGCUUGUUUGGUUGAUGGCCACUGAUAAUUGUUGUUAGCAAUCCUCUCUAAAAUUUCAUAAGCCUCAUUGUAAGACUUAGAUAACAAAGCCCCAUUUGCUGAAGCGUCCACCAUCAAUCUAGUGCUUGGGUUGAGACCAUUAUAGAAAGUUUCCAACUGUAUGCAUCAAGGAAUACCAUGAUGAGGACAUCUCCUAAGUAACUCCUUAAAUCUUUCCCAUGCAUCACCAAGCUCUCAUCUUCAAGUUGAUGGAAAGAUGUGAUCUCGUUCCUCAACUUUGCAUUCUUGGUUGGCGGGAAGUAUUUCAACAAAAAUUUGUCAGCCAAGUCACUUCAUGUAGUGAUAGAAUCUGGUGGUAGAGAAUUCAACCAUGCUCUUGCUCGAUCUCUCAAAGAAAACGGGAAAAGUCCGAGUCUCAAUGCUUCCUGCGAUGCUCCAGCAAUCUUGAAAGCAUCACUUACUUCCAAAAAUAACUUAAGGUGUAAAUGAGGAUCUUCGGAUGGCAAACCAUUAAAUUGCCCCACUGUUUAAAGCAUCUGAAACAUCACGAGUUUGAGUUCAAAAUUGUCAGCUUGAACGUCGGGUCUAACUAUUCCUGGAUGUAUGGCUUGAGGAGUCAACACUGCGUAAUCUCAAAUGGCUCUAUCUCUAUCGUUCACCAUGUGAAUAAUGUCGUUGUUCCCUGGUGGAUAAAUUUAUUUUUCCAGUGGAUUUUAUUAUGCUAGACUUUGAGGCAGACAAAGAAGUGCCAAUCAUUCUAGGGAGACCUUUCUUAGCUACGGGAAAGACUUUAAUUGAUGUUCAAAAAGGAGAAUUAACCAUGAGGGUGAAUAACCAGCAAGUUACAUUCAAUGUGCUGGAUGCCAUGAAGAGUCCCGAUGAGAUUGAAGAUUUUAAUUUUAUCAGUGCUGUGGACUUUGUUGUAACUGAGAGAUUACACAGUUGCUGCUGUAAGGAAGAAAUCAAUGCUGUAACAAUUGAAGGACUUGAUGAUGAAGAUCAUGGAGCAGCUAACAUAGCAUGGUUAAGGAAGAAGCAACCAUUCAGAAUUGACGAGCAAAUCCAGCAAAGGGAACUCACUCCAGAACAACAAGAAUUCAAGGUUAAUGGGCCAAGAGUAAAGCACUAUAUGGGAGAUGGUGUGAAUAGCCUAAAGAGGGAUCGGUUCUUGAAAGAUCUAGGUUGAGGAAACAAGAAAGGUCAGGCUGAAGGACCUAAAAUCAAGCGCUAAUUGGGAGGCAACCCAAUAAGGGAAGUUGUUUCAAGUUUUUAUGGCAUUGAAUUUAGCUUUUAAAUUAUUUAAUUUGUCUUUUUGUUAUUUUAAGUGUGCAUCUAAUUUUUUAUGUCUUUAUGUUACAUUGUAGCAAGUACAAAAAAAAAUGUGGGCAAAAAGAGCAGGAGGGAAUUGCUGCAGCAUCACUUACAGCAUGACAUAUAACAGAAGAUUCUCAAACAAUAGAGACAUUUCUUGCUUUUGCAGCAGCAAAUGGAUUGAUCAUAUUUUAUGAUAAGGAGCGUUUGAGAAGUGGAUCAAAGAAGAAGUGACCCUUUACAGCCUGUGCUACAGCAGUGCUUCCAGCAACAGGGCAGUGCCCCUAACCGCUAGUUUAUUUUACUUCUUGCUGUAAAACUUUUCUUUCAUUUAGUUUUAAUUUUCUAAUUCAUUUUGCAUGUCAUUUUAUUUAGUGUAUGCAUGUCUGGUUUAUGUGGUUUUGUUUUGUGUGCUUGUGAGGACACAGCACCACUCAAGUUUGGGGGGGUUGUGUUUAUGAGUGCAUGUGUUUAUGCUUGUGUUGUGUGAAGCUCUGUUAUCUAAUAUUUGUGUAUGGAUUUGAAAACCUAAUGAAGAUAAAUUGAGUGUUAUUCAGUAUUUAUGAGAAAGCCAAGUAGAGAUAGUUAUAGAUGGAGGUUGAACUUCAGUCCCGACACUUAGACUUUGGUUGAGUUUUAUGAGAAUGUUGUAGCAGAGCCAUGAAAACCAAAAAAAGAGUAGAAAAUAUCUCAAGUUUGGGGAAAACUUUUUGUUGGACUGUGCUUGUUAUGAAAUAAAUUCUGCUCCAAUGGUUUAAGUUGCUGAGUAACCAGGGUUGAGUAUGCACCCCAUAUGCAAACUUGAGUCCAAAGGCAACACGAGCUACGAGCAGUGCUGCAGCAAUUAUAAAAAAAAGAGAAAUGAUGAUAAAGUGGUCCGCUACCUAGAAUACUGAGUAACCUGGUCUGUUCAUGAGCCCCAUGUUCAGCCUUGAGUCAAAGGCGUCCAAAGGUAUGACCUAGAUAUAACAUCCUGAAUGCGUUGCUGUAGCAACUCUGACAUGUACUUUGAAUGAGUAAUUGGGUGUCGUCAUUACAAGUGAUAGGCAUUCACAUGAAAGCUCAAUGUUGCAUUGAAGGGUUUAACUGAAAAAAAAAUUAUUAUUGUUGUAGCACAGUUUGAAUAUAAUUGUGAGUUCUGAUCCCCCAUAUGUGAAUAUAUUUGUGUUCUACCUCUGAAUUGUAUACAAAGUUUGUGCAAUGCUGUAGCACCUCUGGAAUUUGAUCAAAGUGGAACAUACACACUUUGGACAGAAUGAACCCUAAGUCUAGAACUGAACUACUAUGGCUAUUUUGUAUGAUUAAGAGUGUGAUCUGAGGGUGGAAGAAUCCUUGCAAAUUUGAUGACAGAGCUAAGUUAUUUGUUGCAUGAUUGUGUGAUUGAAGUGUGAAUGUUGUUGUCAUUACUUGAGGACAAGUAAUGGUUUAAGUUUGGGGGUGUAAUAACUCUAUGAAAUGAGAGUUAUCAUAGCACUUUUAGACUUAAAUUAAUAUUACUUAGAGAGUAAAUGAUGUGAUUCUAUUGCAUUUUUGUUACAUUUUGCAUAAAUAUUCAUUUUAGUUUAGUCUUAAUGAGUUUUGCUUGAUUUAAAGUAAUUUGUGCUCAAAUUGUGUGCAUAAUUGUAGGUUUCCAGAAGCUUAUAAUUCAUGGAAGGAAUGUUAUGCAAUAAGCUUACAAAAAUGAGGAAGAACAUGGCUAUAAAAGAAUUGAAACAAAUCUGGAACAGUUCAGUUGCUGUAGCCAUUGCUGUAGAAAUCUUGGAACAACGACAGAAAAAAUUCCGUGCGGGAUACUUGCAGAAUUGCGAUCUGCAGUUUCCUAAUCUGACUUAUGCGCGACAAAGGCUUCCGUUUACCCUAAUUUUCAACUAUAAAAGAAGCACACAUCAUAAGGAAAAGGGAGAGCCGUCACCCAAGGAGAAAAACACAAAGAAACAUAAGAAAUACAAGAUUCAAGAGAGAGAUUAAGGGCUGCACAAGAGGAGAAUUUGCAGAAAUCAAUUGGGAGCUCAAUCCUUCUUAUUCUUCUCUUGUUUUCUCGUUUUCUAUUUAUUUAUGGGGAUGUGUUUCAUGGCUGAAACUUUGUUCUUUAUUUUUCUUUUGCAAACCACGAACUAAAUUUAUUUGUGGUUGAGUGAUAAACAAUCUUGAUGGUUUAUUGACUGAAUUUAUGUGUUGCUACAUGUUUGCUGUAGCAGUUUGUUUUGAUAGUAUAUAUUUUUAUUCAUUAUUUUGGUUGAUCACCCAUUUAAUGAUACAAGUUAGGAGAGAGCCGUAAAAGGGCCUAUCUUAGUGGAGCAUAUCAUAACAAUACUUGAUCUUAAAUUGAGUUUCCCGGAUUGAGUUUUACUUGAGUCCCAAAAAGGCCAUGCUUGAUUUAAGAUUAGUGAUGAACUAGACAUAAGGAUUCACCUUGUAGGGUAAAUAGAACCUAAGCAUGUAAUGCUAUAUCUUAUGUUGGCAUAGCAACUGAUCACUGUUAGGUUGCAUAUAGAUAUAAGAUAUCCAACAUGCGACGGUUGAGGAUAUAUAAGGAUUCUGCCCAGUGCUGUAGCAAAUACUAUAGCAACCGAGCCAACCAUUAGAAAAUAGUCAAGACCAUUAGGAGAGUUUAUUCACUCAACUACUAUAUACUCCCAUUAGUUUUAUCCUUGAGCUUGACGUAAUAGUUUACUUUAUUGCAUUUAUUUAUUGCGUUUUUAUUUUAAUUAGUACAUUAGUUUCAUUAAUUGUUUAUUUUAUUUUAGCACAAAAUCUGCACUGUUAAGAUUGUUGUAGCAAAUCUAAUAACAUCAAUCCCUGUGGAGACGAUCUUGAAUACUCAUCACUUUAUUACUUGUUGUGUACACUUGCACAUUGACACCAAUAGCAUUAGUAUUUAUACACCAACAACUCCUUCUCCCUCUCCCUCUUCACUCACCCUCACGGCUCCCUCUCUCUCUCCCUCUCCCUCUUCACUCACCCUCACGGCUCCCUCUCUCUCUCCCUCUCCCUCUUCACUCAUCCUCACGGCUCCCUCUCCCUCUCCCUCUCCCUCUCCCUCAUCAUUCACUCUCUCGCCUGCAGUCCCUCACGAGACGCCUCAUCAGGGCCACCAACGACGGCGCUAUCCGGCGAAGACACGCGGAGGUUGAUCUCUAUUGCCGGCAAGGAUUUGCAGUUACAGAUUCACAACCCACUCAGUUCCCGUCAGCCCAUUCUGAGUCGUUGUCAGGCCAUAUCUGCAGUCCACCUACGGUAAUGAGACAUGGGUAUCAUGGGUUUUGUUUGGUAUCAUUAUAUUUGUUGAUUGAGUGUUUUAUUUGAUGUGGUAAGAAGAAUCAUUCGCCUCUCAUAUUUAAAAAUUACAGGUUUUAUCAUGUAAGUUUAUUAGUGCGUAUUGUUGGGUAAUGUAAUAAUUUACAUGGAUUUAGAAUUCGCGGAGAGAGUUUGAUGACAUUAUCUGUGUGUAUUGACAGGGGACAUAAUUUUUAGUGUACACAGUAUAAUGGGUAAGCGUAAGGCCAAUGUCGCAGAUGACAUUAAUAUUCAGUCUGAAGCUGGAUCCUCCGAGGCCGGGCAAGCAUUCGUACAUAUACUACUUGUAAGAAACUAAUUCAUUGUUGAAUUUUAUUAUUGACAUUCUGUAGUCAUUUCAGUUUAAUAGUGCAAUAAUUUUAAUUGACAUAUAAAGAACUGAUAUUUCAUAUUAUUUUUCUAUCUACAGCAAGAUAGAAUCCCAAAAGUUAAAGGAGGAAUGUGUGAAGGUGGAUGAAACGGUUUGUAGACAACUUUUCUAUGUUGCAACCUACUAACUAAUAGUUUGGUUAAUGAUUGGCCAAUGAAUAUAUAUAUUUUUUUAGUGUAGGUUAAGGGGCGUAUACGUGACAAAUGGUUGAAACUCAGCGCGAAAGAUAAAGUCGAAUUCAUCAACAGUUAUAAUGAAAAGGCUGAAAUGAACUCGAGAUUGGCCAGUGGAUUGUUAAGUGAACCGAUUCCAACAGUGGAGAACAAUUCUGAUAAGGGUAAUCACCUAUCUCGAUGUAGUGUUUUACGGUUCUCCAACAUUGUUUCUUCGUUAUCUAUUGAACAGCAAGAUGCCGUGAGAGAAAUUGGUUUCGGAAGCUUGUUAGGUUUAAAAUGUGGGCGACUUAGGCAAGAUUUAUGUAGAUUGUUAGUUAAGCAAUGUAACGUAGAUAAGCGGUCGAUAACAGUCCAUGGAAUGGAAUACAAGCUUACUCCGAAAACUUUUACAAGCGUGAUGGGUGUUGGUGACGGAGGAACACCGAUUGUGCUUGGUGGUGAAGAUAGUGAAAUUACUGACUUACGAGCCAAGUAUUGCUCAGGAAAGAAAGGCAUCCCAAUAGGUAGUUUAGAUGAAAAAUUAAAGACAAAUAGUUGUGCAGAUGAAGAUUUCUGUAUUCUAUUUAGUCUAUUUGUGAUUGAAACUAUUUUGUGUCCAACUACAGCUACAUACAUCAACCCAUCAUACCUUUAUGCUUUAAAAGACGUGAAUAACAUUCGCGAUAAAAAUUGGGCCAACUGGUCUUUCAAUUUUUUAUGGGAAGAAGUUUCAAAGUUCAACGAAAAUAAAAUUUCCUCGAUGAGCGGAUGCGUUAUAUUUUUAAUGGUAUGAUUUAUUUAGUAAUUUGUAUUCUCGUUAGUUAAACGAUUAUGGUAUUAUCGAUCAUUAUUUCCGUAUUAACUAAUUUGUUGUUGUUUGCAACUGUUCUACAUGUCAUCAACUAAGUUUCAACUUUCUUCUGUUGCGGAGAAUGGAUGUCCUCUUAGUGCAUGGAUUGAUAGUGAAAUAAAAAGAUUCCUCAAGUGGUGACAAAAGUAUGGUGACUUUGAGAGCAAUGCGGUUUGUUCCCUUCCAUAAUUGUAUAGUGUUUUGUAGUUAUGUUAUUAAAUUGAAUAGAUUAUUUAUGGAUAUUUGUAGUUAAUGCAGGUUUCGAUGCGAGAAAUCAGUUGCAGCUCAUCAGGUGCUCAAAGUGAAGAACAAAUUGACGAUGUUGACACUGCAAGGCAGCAUCCAUUUCAUGCUAUAUUAGCAGUAAUGGAUAGAAUGGAGGAACAUAUGAGAAGAAAUAAUGAUUUACUAUAAAGAAUGGGCUUGAAAAUGGAUUCUCUUACUGAAAAGGUUGAAAAGUUGGAACGAGCAUAUUUUCGUCAAGAAGGAGCGAAUGUCGCUGAUGAUAGUCAAUCACCUCCUACAUGUACUGGUGCCGAGGCAACUGAUGGUCCAAUCUUUUCCUCUCCGAAUAUGAAGAUGCACCCACCUAUCCCAGAGUUGUCACGCUUUUAGAUCUAGUACAGGAAAAGCGUACGCCCAUCGAAGUUAAAGAACGAAAAGCUGUGUACCUCAGCACAUCCACUGAUGAAGAGGCUAUCCUAAAAGAAAAGUUGGCAGAAGUAUUGCAAGACGCGAUGAAGCCUAAAUUGGUGCCGGAACUUCAAGAUGAGGUAUACAUAGAGUAAUAAUUUGUUAACUUUUGUCUAAACUAUAUAUGAUUUAGUCUAAUCGAAACAAGAGAAGAAAUGUCAACAGCCGUAAGAUUUUAAUCCGCUGUCUUUAGGCCCUCCUCGGCCAUACAGAAAUCGAAAGCCGGGGCGGUACCAGUUGUCCCCGUAUGAUCAAGUCUCACGCGGUCCAAAGCCAAAAUAUCGAGCGGGCCCUUUUUUAGUGAAUGAGCCGGUGACCCUCGAUCAAUUGAAAAUGCUCUAGUAUGGAUUUGACAAAAGCACUAGCCUAGAGUAACAAUACCUUCAUGGCCACUCAUCAAGCUCUUUUCGUUUAAUAUGUUGUCAUAGUUGUUUGAUUUUGUUAAUAUAUCAUGUGAUUAACAUACAGUGAAAUAAUUGUGCGAUCAAGUCAUGAGGAUAUCACUCGGCGAGGCUUGUUAUCACUUUUGCCCGAUGCAUCACUUGACGAGGAGGUUUAUUCGUAAUUUGACUUUAAUGAUAAAAUUGUAGUUAAUAAAACCAAUUAUAAUUGUUCUUGUGUUUAGAUUAUUUGCAUGAUGAGUGAUUACCUUACACGACGUGAGUCGUGCAAAAGCCACGGGCAACCAAUCAGUUGGUUCCUACCAACAAGAUAUGCAGUUACUGAUCCGUUCCUGUUUUUUUUUUUUUCAUAUCCUUUUUUUCAUCAUUAACUAUGGUAAUUUCAGUUGUGUUCUAUAUGAAUUUGAUGUGAUGAAUAUGUAGCAAUUUGCUACAAUGCCAAAUGCACAUUUAGAUGGUUUCAAGGCUGCCUCCCAAUACCGCAAACGUUACAUGUAUGACCUGCACCGGUGCCAUCAGGUAGCGUGUGUGUUUGUUGAAAUGAUUUUUCGUUAUGAUCGAUAUUAUGUAUGGUAAAAGUGACCCUAAGUUGUUCUUGAAUAGAUCAUUGUUCCCAUGCAUGAUGGUGGCCACCAUUGGUUUAUGCUGUUGGUUAAAAUUAAAGACAAACAAGCAGAGAUCUGGGAUCCACUAUCGGAUGCACAACGGACACGAGAUCGAGAAAUCCAAGUGAAUAGUAUUGUAAGUCCAACUAAUUUUUUUAUAAAAACGAUGAGUUUAGUUUUCUAGGUAUUGUGUUAUUAAUACAUGUGAUGUAUUUUUGCACUUGAAAAUAGUUACACUCGUUGGAUGCUAUACUUCAUGGCGUUGUGGAUGCUACAUAUUCAGUAUCUUGGAGUUUCUUGUCAUUUGUAGUGACCCAUGGGGAAGGAGUUCCACGGCAACCUAACGGUUUUGAUUGUGGAGUUUACGUCAUCAAAUUUAUGGAUACUCCUGGAAUCAUCACCAACAAAUCGUAUGUGGUACGCUCCCUUAUUCGCCUUAUGUGGUUUUUUGGUUGAUUUUACUACUGUUGUUGGGCCACUGACAUGAUGAAAGUGCAUGAUUAUUUCUGCAGCAUGACUCACAGAAUGUUCGGGCGUAACUUGCGUUACAACUUAUAGACUCUCCGUUCAACAAACAACGCGAUCAAUUAUUGACGUUGGCUAAUGCACACUACAGUAACGCUGCAACGUACAUAAAUGAAUCGAAUCGAAGCUUGCAUCAACAGUGAAGCCUCGUAAUGUGUCCACCAAAAAAGGUCAUAAGAAUAGUUCCACAAAACGUCAUUUCAGGCGGAAGGUCUAAGAUUGUUGUGAAUAUAGAUUAUGAUAAUUUUUUGCUGACUUCAUUCACAACCCUAAACUUUUGCUAAAUUUACCUUGUAACUGGCGUUGACGUACGAGUCAUGUAAAUUGUUUUGGUGAUCCAAAGACGUAGAGGGAUUAAUGGGGCAAUUAUGAUUUUUUCCUUCGGCAACCGGUUGUCUUAAUUAAUAUAUGUUGAAAGGAAGAUAAUUGUUGUAAAUGUUGCUAUUAUCACUAAGUAUGCAAAAUAUAUUAUUACAUUGCCAUUGUUCACUUCUUACAUGAUAAUAUAACUCAAUGAUUUCCAAAAAGUUCAUUCUACCCCUCAGUUCAGAUCCAAAAAUUGUAUCAUUAGCGAUCAUCCUCCAUCCUCCAAGUAUGUGUACCGUCCUCAACUAAGCAUAAUGUUACUGCUGUCGUAAUGGUCGUCAAUUCCUUCUGAGAUGUUAAGCCUCCAAGGACAAGUUGUCUCGAACGUAAAUGUUGGGGAACUUGGCGAGCUUGAUUCCAUUGAAACAGGCGGUGUUAACACAUUAUAAGAACAAUGCCUUGGAUGAUCGUCAGUCGAAACACAACCAAUACCGCUAACGCUGCAAUGAAGGUCAUUGGGCUGUAUGUCCUUUGGCAGAUAUAGCGGGCAAGUCCGUUUAGUAUGGCCAGGCUGAAAACACUGACUGCAUUUGCGAUUUUUAGCCCCAUCGUGUUUAACGGUUUUAGAGCAACCUUUACUAUUAACCGUAACCGGGUCUUUCAACUUCAUACCUGCUUGAAGUACACAAUUCCUGGCUCGUUUAGCUGAUUCAUCAUCCGCAACCAUCUGUUCAACGCGAAGCGUCAGCCGUUGAAUCUCAUCUAUCGCUAUCAUAUAACUUUGUUCAUUCUUUGCGGCAAAAAGACAAAGAUUAGUACAUGCCGCUGAAAGUGAGGCAAACUUUGCUGUUUCUAACACUCCUUUAUCGAGGUGUGACGCUGCAGCGGUUAUUUUCAUCACUUUACUCACCUUCGCUGAUUUGGUCCAGCGACCAAGAAUCAAUAGUGGUGGUAUGCGAACUAGUUGCUCGAACUUCAUGACGUGAAAUAUAUCCCUACAUGGAAUACCUGCUGAUUCCAUCAUCUUACAUGAACAAGUAAUUGCAACUUCUUUACUAUAAAAUACCACUGUCCAUUUUUGUUCUGGAUGCUGAAAUUUCAUUAAAGUAUAGAUAUUGGAAUUAGCUGUCUUGGCACACUCAAGCAUAAUUAGCGUGGCUUCUCCGAGGAUCUCCAUCCGAACCCACUUCAAUACAUUCCUUGUAUAUAUUUCGGACGCAUGUUUUUCAAUGCUUAGCAGAUGUGUUGUAAGAACUGGGGCUGUGUGGUUUGUCUCAUACUCAUCUUGGACUUCUUUGUGCCGUAUGCAAUACAUUGCACGAUGAAUUUGUCUAAUGAAAUCAUACAGUUUUAACUUCUUCUCAACAAAGCGACGCAAGUAAGAAUUCAAGCUCUCACACCUUUAUGUGGUUCGCAUUCCGGCGAAAAAGGUUCCUUUCAAAUAAGCCACUGCCCAUUUUCUACGCUUUGCAUACAUUUUUUCCACCCAAGAAUUUUGUUCCAGUCCCAGAUCAUAGAGAACCAAUCUCGAUCAAACUCCUCCAUGGUCAUUGGAUUCAACAUUAACUGCCGAAACUUCGACGUGAACUUAUUUCUCUUCACAUUUGCUUGUGCAUUCCGCUCAAGAUGCCAGCAGCAGAGUCGAUGUACACAUCCAGGCAUAACAGUUUUAAUCGCUUUCGACAUAGCUUUAUCACCAUCUGUUAUGACACUUAUGGGUUUUUUUUGUUUCAUUGCCGAUAAGAAAGUCUGUAGCAGCCACACAUAUGAUUCAACAGUUUCGUCAAUCAGUAUCGUAAAUCCAAAAACAGUAGUUCUUUUAUGAUGAUUUACACCAACAAAUGCGACCAAAGGUUUGUUGUAUGCAUUUUUCUUGUACGUUGCAUCAAAACCUAAAACAUCUCCAAAUUGUUCAUAGUCGUACCGAGCAACAGUGUCGGUCCAGAACAAGUUUCGCAGUCGAUUUUCCUCAUCAAGAGUAUACUCGAAGUACACUCCAGCAUCAUAAUCAACCCUUGCAGAUAAGUACGCAAUGGUAGCCUUUGUGUCGGUGUCAAUAAUUUGUGCAUGGUGAUCUGCGUCUAUUCUAUUCCGCAUGUCCUUACCCAUAUACCCAACAUGAUGGAACCCUCCUGCUUGAUCAGACUUGUAGUUCAUGAGCUGGCACACUUUCACCCCAACUUGUCGCAAUGCCUUUGCGUGAGCCAAAUCAGCUUCGUUGACAAGUCUAUGCAAACGAAGAAAUUGUGUCUCGUGCGGUUCAACCAAGCGAUGAGUGUGCUCAAAAACGAAUUUAGUUACCACGUACUUCCCUUUAAACUUAUCAUAGUUCACGCGAAGUUCCGCCUUGCACCCGUUACGAGUAAUGCCCCUCGGUUCCCUGAUUCUGUCUGUUUUCUCCAUCCAUUUUUUUAGCUUGUAUCCCUGUCCUGAGCAAACCCAUCGCCGACUUGCUACUUCACCACUUUUGCCGUCACAACGAAGUUCAUCUUUUCUCACAGAGAAUCCAACCGACUUAGCAUACUUUUUAUACCAUAUGUGGGCAUCAUUGACAUUUUCAAAACAGGAUCCGACACCCACUUCAAUGAGUUCACUUUUUUUAGGCAAACUGUAGGUCGUAUGACUAGAUGAUCUUGUAGCAGAUUUGUCCCCAAAAUAAUCACUGAUUUCGCUAGUUUGUGGCGGUAAUGACGUACCUGCACUUGCACAAAUUUCCAUCCCAUUAUCAUAUGACGGGUUGUCGGGGGGUCCACUUAUUUUCUGUUCUGAUGGCUGGUUAUCAUUGAGGUCUAACACCCAUGCAGAAAUGCUUCCCACGUCUAAAGAUGUUGUCAUGCUCUCUGGUUAUCUUCUCUCAAGAUUCUAGCAUUUGAAGACCAUCAAAAGGACCUAGUUGAAGACUUAAAAGAGUACUGCGUGGGUUAUGUUUGUUGGCAUUCAAUGUCUUCAUUAAAUGAUGGGGUUUGGUUGGUGCUUGGGUUGGUGGAUACAACAUUUAAACGCCUAGCCUAUUACCUAUAAAAGGUUAGCCGGUUUCGCAUUUGUGCUCUCUGGACAUUAAACGGCAAGCCUUUUAAACUCAUGCGGCUAGCCUUUUUCGAAUUGAUGCUAACUGGAGGGGAAACGACUGGCCUCUAAAAUUUAAGAGGCUAGCCUUUUUCGCGUUGGGGCUCAUUGGAGGGGAAACAGCUAGCCUCGAAAAUUUAAGAGGCUAGCCUUUUUCGCGUUGGGGCUCACUGGAGGGGAAACAGCUAGCCUCAAAAAUUUAAGAGGCUAGCCUUUUUCGCGUUGGGGCUCACUGGAGAGGAAACGGCUAGCCUCGAAAAUUUAAUAGGCUAGCCUUUUUCGCAUUUGUGUAUGGGAUGCUCACCAUUAGCGAAAACGGCUAACCUUUAAAAUUUAGAGGCUAGCCGUUUUCGCUUUUGGUGCUCUCUGGACAUUAAACGGCUAGCCUCUAAAAAUAAAAGGCUAGCCGUUUUUUCUUACUAGAGUUUCUGGAACAUGAACGGUCACCCUAUUAAUUUGUAAAAGGUUAGCCGGGUUCAAAGGAAUCAAACUGUUUCGUCUUCACAAAACUGGUCAGCCGCUUCUAUCUCUAAAAGUCGAAUCCUCUCUCCUACGUUCUCAGCCGAAAGAUCCACCGUUUAUAAUCAGUUCAUAGCCCAAAUUCAACCUUAGAAAUCAUUUCCCACCAUUUGCUCUUGCUAAAUUUAACCCUCGAAACCGAAAAACCCUAAGUUGUAAACCCCUUUGACUUCGGUAAAUGUUUGCCGAAAUUGAACUCACAUAUCCCUUUUAAGCAUCAUUAUCUUCCAUUUAAUCGGUUUAUUCCUCUUCAAAUCGCUGAAAAAUCAUAAUGUCAACUUCAAGGCCACGUAGAGCGAAAGACAACGGGAAAGAUGCGAUUCCACCACCCAAACGGAAACGGAAGGACGGCGGCCCUGUAGAACAACCUGAUUUUGAAUCAAGACACUUCCCGGACAAGCGUUUGGCCACCCGUUUUUGCCAAAGAUUCAUGACCCGUAAGGUACUUGAUACAUUCUAUAUUGUGUCUGAUUGGCUUCGUAGCCUUAGUAUCAGUAAUGGAAAUUUGUUGCAAUUGUUGGAGGAAGUUGGUUGGAUUAAUGCCCUUACGAUUAAUGAGAAUGUGUAUCCUGACUUGGUGAAAGUAUUUUACUCGAAUAUGGAUACUUCCACGGAGAAAGAGAAUCGAGUAAUCACCAACGUUAGAGGAGUUUUGAUUGAAUUUGAUGAUACUAAUUUGAAUUCUAUCCUAGGAACCUCCGAAGAUGGGUUAGAAAUAUAUUCUGCUAGGAAAGUUCCUACGAUUGAUAACUUUGUUCAUGUUGAUGCCGUUAGAAACAUUUGUAGGCGCAUUGAUCUUUCUGAUGAGGUCUGUACAAUCGAUUUUCGUGCUCAAUGUCUAUGCCUUCAAUCGCGUAUUUUACAUCGUAUAAUUCAGAAUAUUGUCCUUCCUAGGUCGAGCCACUUAGAUGAUGUUACCCACAUGGAUGUUGCUUUGAUUGAUUCUAUCCUCAGGCAUCGUCCGGUUAGCCUCGGAUACACUAUUAUACGCACCAUGCUUUCCAUACCUAACUUGAUCAGUCGUGCUCUUCCAUACGGAAAUUUCAUCACGCAGAUCCUUAAAUACUUUAGGGUGCCCAUAAACGAACCGUCUUGUAAACCCUGUAGGAGUAUAGGAGAUGAGGCCGUGUAUGCCUUAGGAUUUUUGUGGCGUAAUGGAGCAUGGGUGAAGUAUACUGAAGCUAAGUACACAAUGCUUGCUCCGAAUGAUGAUCGUCCUUUGAAUUUUGUAGUUCCUGCUAAUCAGCUGCCUAAUUUUUCACUUCCUUUCUAGGGUCAACGUAGACGUGAGGACCCUCCUACAUGUGAACCUGAUCAUGAUGCUUCUGCAUCUGCUGUACCACCUGUAGAGCCACAUGACUCCAGCGAAGUUACUCUUCAAUAACUUAUGGACGAGGUGAGGACACUUUAUGUACAGCAGACCAGCUUUCAGCAGCACGUUUUGGAGGAGCACCGGCAUCUGUCACAGCAGCAUCAGUAGUUCCUUCACGGACAACGCCUCAUGUUCGAGCACUUUGGCAUUCCUUAUCCGUUUCCACCUCCACCACCACCAUCCCCACCGCCUCAGUAGUUUCCAUUUCUUUAUUCCAUUAUGUAUGUUUGGAUGUUAGUUUUAUGUUCAGAUGAUUGUUUUAUAUGUUCAGAUGGUUGUUUUAUAUGUUCGGAAGUUUGUUUGACAAGUUCGUUUAUAUGUUCGGAAAUUUGUUUUAUAUGUUUGGAUGGUUGUUUUACGUGUUCGGAUAUGGAUUUAAAGAGUUCGGAAGUUUGUUUAACAUGUUCGGAAGUUUAUUUUAUAUGUUUGGAUGGCUGCUGCUUAUUGUAGCAAUAACAUCAGCUGUCGGGUGCUUAUGACAGCAACUGUUAUUGCUGUUGCUGUCAUAAGGCAGCAGCUGCUGCUGGCAGCUAGCAGCAGCAGCAAGAAUUCGCAGCAAUUGUGUUUGCUGCUGCAACUACUUAUGCAGCAACAGCUACUGCUAGAAUGCCAGCAGCAGCUGGUAUAAUGCACACUACAGCUGCUUAUGCAGCAACAGCAGUUGGUGCCUGAAAAAGCAGCAGCUACCGUUGCUGGUUCUGCACUUGCCUGUUGCAGCAUAACCAGCAGCUGCUGGCAGCUAGCAGCAGCAGCAUCUGCUGCUGGUGUUGUUGCUGCUGCAUCUGCUUAUGCAGCAACAGCUGCUGGCAUUCCAACAACAGCUAGUGCCUGUAAAAGCAGCAGCUUCUCUAUCCAUUAUGUCUGCUGCUGGUGUUGUUACUGCUGUUGGUGCUUAUGCAGCAACAACUGCUGGCUACUUUUACAGCAGCAGCAGCUGGUGGAUGCAUAAGCACCAGUUACUGGCUACUGCAGUUGCUGGUUCUGCAGCUGGUGGCUGCUGCUGCUGUUGAUUCUACAGCUGCUGCAGCUACUGGCUGCAGCUGCUGGCUGCUUUUGCAGCAGCAGCAGCUGGUGGAUGCAUAAGCACCAUCUGCUGGCUACUGUUGUUGCUGGUUCUGCAGCUGGUGGCUGCUGCUGUUGUUGGUUCUGCAGCUGCUGGCUGCUUAUGCCAACAGCAACAGCAACUGAAAUCCCCAAAAUAAGCAUUAGCAGUAGGGCCAUUAGUAGCUGCCACUGCUGGCUGCUUAUGUCAACUCCUCAUUCACUUCUUAUUGCUGAAAUUACUCACGCACAUUGAUUUCAAACCAGUUUGCAUGCUAUUUAAUCGAUUCAUAUUCACCUAAAACACAAUAUUUGUUAUUCAGCGGAAGCAAAGGAAACUAAAGGAACAUUAAAUCAUUAACUUCAAACAUGUGAUCAUUAACUUGCACUAUGGAAAUCAUGCAGAUAAAAAUGAACUCAGGACUAUUAACUUGAUACCGGGACCAUUAAACUUGAAACCGAAGGAACCUGAAACUUAGGGCAACAAACAUGAAAUAGGAUCUCAUUAACGUGCAACCUUAAAAAUUAUAUAUUUAAUGGACCAAUAAACAUGAAACCAUCACCAUUAACUUGAUAUCGAAACCAUUAAACAUUAAACCAGUGAACUUGAAACAUAGGCCAAUAAACCUGAAAUAUGAGAUCAUUAAAUUGCAACCAUAAAAAUAAUUAAAUUAAUGAACUUGAAACUUAGGGCAAUGAACAUGAAACAUCGGAUCAUUAACUUGCAACCUUCAAAAUUAUAUAAUUAAUGGACCAAUAAACAUGAAAUCAUGACCAUUAAUGUGAUACCUAAACCAAUAAACUUGAAACUAAUGAACUUGAAACUUAAGGCAAUAAACCUGAAAUAUGAGAUCAUUAACUUGCAACCAUAAAAAUGAUUAAAUUAAUGAACUUGAAACUUAGGGCAAUGAACAUGAAACAUAUGAUCAUUAACUUGCAACCCAAAAAAUUAUAUAAUUAAUGGACCAAUAAACAUGAAAUCAUGACCAUUAACGUGAUACCUAAACCAAUAAACUUGAAACCAGUAAACUUGAAAUUUAAGGCAAUAAACCUGAAAUAUGAGAUCAUUAACUUGAAACCAUAAAAAUGAUUAAAUUAAUGAACUUUAAAUUUAGGGCAAUGAACAUGAAACAUCUGAUCAUUAACUUGCAACCAAAAAAAUUAUGUAAUUAAUGGACCAAUAAACAUGAAAUCAUGACCAUUAACGUGAUACCUAAAUCAAUAAACUUGAAACCAGUGAACUUGAAACUUAAGGCAAUAAACCUGAAAUAUGUGAUCAUUAACUUGCAACCAAAAAAUGAUUAAAUUAAUGAACUUGAAACUUAGGGCAAUGAACAUGAAACAUCUGAUCAUUAACUUGCAACCGAAAAAAUUAUGUAAUUAAUGGACCAAUAAACAUAAAAUCAUGACCAUUAACGUGAUACCUAAAUCAAUAAACUUGAAACCAGCGGACUUGAAACUUAAGGCAAUAAACUUGAAAUAUGAGAUCAUUAACUUGCAACCAUAAAAAUGAUUAAAUUAAUGAACUUGAAACUUAGGACAAUGAACAUGAAACAUCUGAUCAUUAACUUGCAACCGAAAAAAUUAUGUAAUUAAUGGACCAAUAAACAUGAAAUCAUGACCAUUAACGUGAUACCUAAAUCAAUAAAUUUGAAACCAAUGGACUUGAAACUUAAGGCAAUAAACCUGAAAUAUGAGAUCAUUAACUUACAACCAAGAAAAUUAUUUAAUUAAUAGACCAAUAAACAUGAAACCAUAAUCAUUAACUUGAUACCCGAACCAUUAAACAUGAAACCAAAGGAACAUGAAACGGAAGGCAAUAAACAUGAAAUAUGUUAUCAUUAACUUACAACUAUGAAAAUCAUUAAAUUAAUGAACCAAUAAACAUGAAACCGUGAUCAUUAAGUUGAUACCUUGACCAUUAAACUUGAAACUCCUUUUUUAUUAUUAUAAAAUUAAUUUUUUUGUUAUGUCCUUUACUAUUAAAAUAGUGAUUAUUUUAUUAUUAUUUAAUUUAUUUAAGGGGCAACCGGUUGCAAAAACCGGUUGCUCCCAUUUAUUUUUUUUAGGGAAAUUAUCACUGGUAUACCCUUAAAUGUCACCGGUAUCAAACGUAUUAUAACACUUUUUGCUUAUAUCACUCGUAUACCCUAAAUUGACAAAAGAGUUCUGGCGUCCACCUUUCUGUUUACUACCGUUAAGAACUUAACAAAAUUUGAGCAAAAUGACUAUUUUACCCUUUAAACUCAAAAUGAUGUAAAAAAACAAAUUUGCCUUGAAAAUUAAAGUAAAUUUUCAAUACACAAUUUUUUUAAUUUUGUUAUUAACAAUACAUUUUUUUAUUAAAAAAAUGAAUUAUUAAUGGUACAUAUUAUUAACAAUUAUCCAUAAAAAAAUAUUCAUCUUAUACCAUAAAAAAUUAUUAACAACAUAUUAUUUAUAAUUAUACAUAUUAUACCAUAAAAAAAAUAAUGAUGCUUGGAGGAGUAGAUCUUCAAUAAUUUAGGUUAAAUUUGGAGGAGUAGAUUCAGUUGUAAAGUAGCUUUUUUUUUUUUAGCAAUUAUUAACAAUUAUCCGAUAAAUGGGAUGACAUGUCAUUUUUAUCAAAAUAUAUCAUAUGACAUAUCGUUUUUUACUAGGUAAAUGGGAUGACAUGUCGUUUUUUUAAAAAGACUAAAUUACCCUUAUGAUGUCAGUGUUGUGCAAAUUUUAAUGUACUCGCAAGCGCACGAAUCUAUUGUAGUAUAGAUCAUGGUGACGAGUGUCGAUCCCACGAGGAGGUGGAUUUUAAUUGUGUGUAGAAUUAAUUUUGUAAAUGGGUGAUUGGAUUUGUGGUGGAAAUGGUUUGGAAUAUGCUAAAACUUAAAUUAAAAUGGCGAGAAUAAAUUCUAAAAUUGGAAUUGCAAUGGCGAGAAUAAAUUGAAGAUAAUUCUAUUGAAAUGACGUACUUGGGUAUUCGGAUCCGUAUCAACAUGCAUCAUGGGCUAAAUAAUCCUUAUUAAUGCCAAUUAAAUCAUGAGGGGGGAAUCCACACCUCAUGAACCACGCUCUAAUCAAUAUGGUGCUAAGGGCUUAUCGUGCCAAAUAAUAAUAACCUUGUACUAGAGAGCCGGUGUAACCAAGGCGGUAUCUAGACAAGAUUAUUAUUAUUUGUCGACGAAAAGUCAAAUCAUCCACAAAAACUAGAGGGGAAGAGAAAAUAAAUUUACCAAAUAAAGCCCAUGACACAUGUUGAGACUUCACCUUCAACCCAAGCUUGAAAGAAAAUUAGCCACUCAUAAUUGAACUAAGGGCAAAAUGGGAAUUUAUUAAAAUAUGUAGAAAAUACAAGAUGGAGAGAGAAUUACAGAAAAUGGAGUCCAAAAAUGGAUUCAGAGAUAUCAAAUUACAGUAGCGCGGUUUGGUUGAAAAUAAUCCUGUGUGAUGCAUGUACCGUACGCGAGAUUUUUCGUCCACUGAUAUGCUGCCACGUCACCAUCAACAGUACAUAAGAAUUUUAGCCUAACAGGAUCGUGACACCUCAUCAGUCAAUGCCACAUCAUCGGUCAAUGCCACGUCAUCGAUCCGUCUAUAUGAACAGUGUCGUGAACAGUAACGUAGACAGUACCGUACACGUGAAUAGUACCGUACAUGUGAAUAGUGUCAUUUUUCCUUUUAUGCUCCUCCUAAGGUUUUCGACCGUCCUGAGUUCAAAAAUGAUGUUCGUUUUGCCGUCUGAUCUCUCCUUUAUUGUGAAAUGACUAUAAUGCCCCUAAAAUACAUAAAAUACUUAAUUAAAAUAAAACACACGUAAUUAAAUCACAAGAAGUUUAAAUACAUAAAAGUAAGGGUUGUUAGUAAGACUUGAAAUGUAAAAUGACGGUUUUCUCCUUUAUAAAUAUACAUUUUCUAACACUCAAUACACCCCCCAACCAGCUUAUUGCUAGUCCCUAGCAAAUAAAGCGAAAACAAAAUUCAAAUUCAAAAUGAUUUUUUUUAUUUAUUUUUAGAAACACUCGUGUUUAUUCAAUCAGAUUAAUGAUAGCAAUCAAAUAAAAGUAUAAGUAUUAUCUCCAGUCUAAAGCAACAUCACACCCACAUCAACCAUCCACAUGAAUUAGCCCAGUAGACUUUGUUAUAGCUACUUUCAAGAAUGACAUGUCAAACCCCAAAAUCUCACUAGAAGUAGUGACACUCUCACAAAGAAAUUAAAACCAAUAAAAAUAGUCACUCCAAUGAAUGGUAAUUGAGAGAGAAAAUAAUAAAGAAGUGAUAUCACAUGCUCUCACCAAGAUGAAAUAAAUAUGCCCUCAGCUUAGAAAUAAUACGAUCUCAAGUCAAACAAAAAUGCUAGUCAACCCAAUUUAUUUAUCUUUUUUUUUCUUUUAUUUAUUUAUUUAUUUUUAUUAUGCACCACUACAUCUUUUUAGCCCACAUAACUAGCUUCUACUUCAAACUAUAGUUCCCUAAAAUCAAGAAGGACUUUUAUUAGGACGUAACGUAGGCUAGGGAUAUGGCUAACAAAGAAAGGAAAUAAGGAAAACAAAGUGUAUGUUUGAGAAAAAUGCAGGGAAAUUUUUUUUUUUUUUUUUGGAAGUUGCAAGGUAGAUUUCACCUAUUAUUGUUAUUUUUAUUCUUUUGAAACAACAACUUUUUUUUUCUUUUUGUUUGUUUUUUUUUUUUUGCUUUUAUUUGGCAUAACUUCACUGAACAACAUAAUUAUUUACAUUUUCUCAAACAUAAAUAGGUAAUGGAACUUAUAAGACAUCGGGUAAUACUCCAAAUCGGAGUGGGUCAAGAUGAUAAGUUGACAAAGAAAAGGUUUUUUUUUUUUUUUUAAAGGCUCAAAAGGGUUAACUAUAGAUAUUUAAUAAAAGGGAUGGCUAGAAAGGCUCAAACGGAUCAAAGAUGGCCUUUCCAUCGUCUUUUAGGGCUCUAAAUAAUCAUCCAUAUCUACUAGUUAGACGGGCCUCCCAAUGUAGCAACACACAUUUUUUUUUCUUUUUCUUCUUUUUUUUUUUUUAAUUUUACCAUUUUUUUUAAGGGUUAACUCAAAAGAAAUCUAGAGAUCGUGUAUAAAAUAAUAAACUGCUAAGCUGUAUGAAAAAUGGGCAAAAGAGUUAUUCUCCAAGAAAAAUAAUAGGCUCAAAAACUCACUUGGUACUUAUUACGACAUGUUCAUUCCUUCAAGCAACUCAUAUUUGUCUUCGACAUCAACAUGUAAAGUAGCAAACAUGACGUAACAUCACUUAAGACCAAAGAUAAUACAAAUACUAAAAUUUGAAAUUCAUCAUGUCAUCCAAUGUUAAAACAAAUCACACAUUUUUUUUUUCAAACAACAUUCUACCCCCCAACCUAUUCUAAACAUGAAAGGAAAAUAUGAAUGCAGAAAUGUGAAAAUGAUGUAGAAAAACUAAUUAGAAACGUUACACUUAAAAUGAUAGAAAAAGAAAAUGAUUUUUUUUUUUAAGAAGAUGUGUUUCUAGAGGCACUACACUCCAUAUUCAGCCAUCUUCGACUCAAAAGUUGGGAAAUGUAUAUUUAUAGAGGAGAAAUUAAAAAGAAGAAGAAAAAUGAACAUCAAAACUUAAUUAAGAAAAAGAAAAUGUCUGAAUUUUUUAUUAUUAUUAUUAUUUUUUAUUAUUUUAUUUAUUUAUUAUUUUUUUUAAACGAAGAAGAUGCGUUUCUAGAGUCACUACACUCCAUAUUCAGCCAUCUUCAACACAAAAAGUUAGCAACAGUUAGUUUCUACAACAAAAAAUCAGUAAAAACUUAACCAAGAUUCCACAAUUGUCGACUAUUCCCUCCCCCCAACCAGAACGAAACAUUGUCCUCAAUGUUUUAAAGGAAAGAAGUAGAGUUUAGAAGACAUCACCUGGGUGGUGCAACACAAAAGAAAAUAUUUACAGGCGGAGAGUUAAAUCUAAUUUGUACUUCUUAUUGCUGCUACUGUUACCAUCAUUAUUUGGUCUCUCCAACACAAAGGUCCAGGGGUUUGGCUCCGGUCUAUAAGCUUGUAACAGAUCAAGUAGCUCAUUAGCAGUGUGAGCACAAAUAAAAAGUUUUUUCGCAUGGGAAGGAAUGAAGUAGUUUUUUAUUGCAUGGUUAAGAAAUGCGAUAAAGCCAUCAUAAAAGUUAUUGACAUUUAACAAACCGAUGGGUUUUUGGUGGAUGUGCAGAUGGGCCCAAGAUGCUAGUGUGAUAAGUGCCUCUAGUGUUGCAAGAUCUCCUGGAAUGAAAAUAAAAGCAUCAGCAUGAUUAAGCAUUUCAGUUAUUCUUUCUUGCAUACCUGAGACGACUAACUCUUCUCCAGUUGAUGAGUCAGACGAACUGCCCAAUGGUUUUAAGACUCUUGGGAUGAUGCCUAACACUUGACUUUCUCUGAUAAAAGCUGCUUCUGAGACCAUUUUUUAUAACCCUCGGUUACCUCCUCCAUACACCAAGUGUAAUUUUCUCGCUGCUAUGCUUCGACCAAGAUCUAUGGCUGCCUCCACAAACUCUUUAUGUUUGCCAUAGUUAAAUCCAGAAAGCACACAAAUGUUCUUGAAUUAUCUAUUGGGAGUAGCUGCCAUUGUGAUACUUCUCAAAAACAAUUUGUGAGUGCUUGACAAAAAAGAAAUCACAUUUAAGAGUCUUGGUGACAGUGGGUCACAAUUGUGUAGGAGGUAACAUGUCAGUGUCAAAUAACGCGUAAAGCACGUGGCUCGCGAGUCAAAAAGGAAACAGUAAAAAGGAAAAAGCAAAUAGUAAUAAGGAAAAAAGCAAACAGUAAUAAAAUUAUUAAAGACAAUAAUGCACACAAUAAAACAACAGUGAAAUGAAAUAAAAUAACAGUAAAGUAAAAUGAUAUUUACACAUAGUUGCGACUGUGGCUCACAUCUUCCUCUGGUUUUACGUCCAGAAACGGCUUGAACGCCCUCUAUAGGUCGAGGAUAGGCUUCCUAUCCAGUUUUCUUAUAAACUGGCAAACAGGGUCGUUUAUAGUCAGAUUCCCGAGACUAUAUCGUGCAUGCUCUUUCUGGAAUAAUGGUCAUAACUGGAGAAUCGCUCCUUGCACAUAUCCACUGGGAUGCGUUUCAAGAGACAGAAGGAUAUCAUCCAAUGACUCCUUAUUCAAGCCAUCCCUAAUGAAUUGAAUCUUAUCUUCCCUGUUAUCAGACACCAUUCCUAAAGAACAUGGGUUUUUAUUGCAACUCAUUCUGGCACACUUAUGACAAGCAACAGAAAUUCUUCGAGCUCGUCGUUUUCUUGCAUAAUUUCCUUUACCACAACCAGGCAUGUAUGCAAUAAAUUUUGGAGGUAACUCACCUGCCGAUCGUACUUUAGCCUCGAUUGACCAACGGAUGUCAGCAGGUAUGUUAUUCAUCAUGAGUAAUCGCAUGCGUUCGGACCGAGCUUUAUAGAUCGUAAGGAGGGCAUUCUGAGGAAGUGAAGGGAAUCGCUUGUGAAGUUUCGCUAGAAUCUCGUUUCUGUCCAUACCUUCGCCUCAGAAUAUCAAUUAUUAUGCGAAACUGAAGUAACCGACUUGAUUGUCACGGAGUACCGUUAUCCGCCACUUCACCGGGGUAACAAACUAAAGCACACAAACAGAAAAACAAAUUAAACACACAAAGAAAAUUAAAAUCGUCCUCUUAUGGAAUUUACCUCAAGCUCCAACUGGAUGUCGUAAACACUUCUCUCAAUGUCUCUGAGUUGGCGUUCUAAACCCUCAACAUAGGCUACUAACUCUGGUGGUUGUAGAGCCCAAAUGCAAUGUGUUUUACAAAAUUGAAUCUGCCUUUUGAGAUGAGUUUUGACACGUUGAAGUGGUUUAAGAAUGUUCAGGAGGAACGGUCUUAGUAAGGUACUCAUGAUUAAAAAUGAUAAAAGAAAACUUAAUAGUUAAACAAACACACUUAUGCAAAAAUAAUUUCAAUUAGCAGAAGAAUAACAUAAAGAAAGAAAAAAAUCAAAUCAACGAAAAGAAAAAAAAGUCAAUUCAAAUCUGGUGGGUCACUCAAAUUUAUUUCGGUGUCUUCUCCAUGUGGUUGGUACUCUAGAUAUGGCUUUAAUCUUUGACCAUUAACUUUAAACGUGACACCGUUCUUGGGGUCCUUAAUUUCAAUUGUCCCAUGUGGAAAAACAGUAUGAACAAUAAAGGGACCAGACCAUCGAGAGCGUAACUUACCUGGGAAUAGGUGCAAGCGAGAAUUGCAUAAAAGCACUUUCUGACCUGGAGUGAACGAUUUUCUCAUAAUUUGCUUAUCAUGGAAGACUUUCAUUCGUUGCUUGUAAAUCUUGGCAUUUUCGUAUGCGUCAUUGCGAAUUUCUUCAAGUUCUGCCAGUUGUAAUCUUCUUUCUGAGCUGGCUUGCUGCAUGUCAAAGUUGAAUUUCUUGAUGGCCCAAUACGCACGAUGCUCGAGUUCCACAGGUAGGUGGCAAGCUUUUCCAUACACUAGCAUGUAGGGUGACAUCCCAAUCGGGGUCUUGAAAGUCGUUCUAUAUGCCCAUAAUGCAUCAUCAAGUCUUAAUGACCAAUCUUUUCUGUCCGGCCUCACCGUCUUUUCUAAUAUGUGCUUUAUUUCUCGAUUGGAGAUCUCAACUUGGCCACUGGUUUGCGGAUGACACGGGGUCGCCACUUUGUGUGUGAUUGAAUACUUUGUCAAAAGAGCUUUGAAUGCUUUGUUACAAAAGUGGGCACCACCAUCACUGAUUAUUGCUCGAGGGAAUCCAAAGCGCGAAACAAUGUUGCUUUUAAAAAAUCCUAUCACCACCUUGUGAUCAGUGGUUCUACAUGGAAUUGCUUCUACCCAUUUUGAGACAUAGUCAACAGCAACCAAUAUGUAUUGAUGGCCAAAAGAAGUGGGAAAUGGUCCCAUGAAGUCGAUACCCCAUACAUAAAAAAUCUCAACCACUAAAAUUGGAUUUAGUGGCAUCAUGUUCCUUCGUGUAAUGCUCCCCAUUCGUUGACACUUAUCACAUGAAGAACAAAAAGUGUAAGCAUCUCGAAAUAUAGUUGGCCAAUAAAAACCACAUUGUAAAACUUUAGUUGCUGUUUUCUUAGCACUGAAAUGGCCUCCACAAGCUUAUUCAUGGCAGAAUGAAAGAAUAUUCUGAAUUUCAAUUUCUGGGACACAUCGUCUAACAAUUUGAUCAGCACAAUACUUGAACAAAUACGGGUCAUCCCAAAAGAAAUUCUUUAUCUCUGCAAAGAAUUUAGCCUUGUCUUGCUUGGUCCAAUGCUCUGGAAGUUUACCUGUAACAAGAUAAUUAACUAUAUCAGCAUACCAAGGUAAUACUUCCACAUUCAUUAAUUGUUCAUCUGGAAAUGACUCAUUCAAUAUUAAUGGCUCUGUAAUUGUGUCAAAAUGGAGACGAGAGAGAUGGUCCGCCACAACAUUUUCAGUGCCUUUCUUAUCUUUGAAUUCCAAGUCAAAUUCCUGCAAAAGUAACACCCAACGAAUUAAUCUAGCUUUUGCAUCUUUCUUUGUGAGAAGAUAUUUAAGAGCAGCAUGAUCUGUGAAUACAAUUAUUUUACAACCAAUGAGAUAAGAUCGAAAUUUUUCUAAUGCAAACACUAUGCUAGCAUUUCUUUUUCAGUAGUUGAAUAGUUCAACUGUGCAUCAUUCAAUGUCAUACUAGCAUAGUAAAUAACAUGGGGAACUCGAUCAACUCUUUGUCCUAAUACUGCUCCUAUUGCAUAAUCAGAUGCAUCACACAUGAGCUCAAAUGGUAAACUCCAAUUUGGGGGCUGAAUGAUGGGUGAUGAUGUCAACAACUGCUUUAAUUUUCCAAAUGCCACAAGACAUGAAUCAUCAAAGACAAAAGGUACAUCCUUAGCAAGUAGAUUGCAUAAGGGUCUAGAAACUUUGCUAAAAUCUUUAAUGAAACGUCUAUAAAAACCAGCAUGCCCAAGGAAAGAUCUUACUUCUCUGACUGUUUUAGGUGGAGGAAGAUUAGAAAUGAGAUCCACCUUGGCUUUGUCAACCUCAAUACCUUUGCUUGAAAUGAUGUGACCGAGAACAAUACCUUGUUUUACCAUAAAAUGGCACUUCUCCCAAUUUAAGACUAAAUUCUUCUCGAUACAUCUCUGCAGAACUAGCGUUAGAUGAUGUAAACAUUGAUCAAACGAAUCACCAAAGACAGAAAAGUCAUCCAUAAAGACUUCAAGAAAUCGUUCAACCAUAUCAGAAAAAAUGCUCAACAUGCAUCGUUGAAAUGUAGCAGGUGCAUUACAUAAUCCAAAUGGCAUUCUCCUAUAUGCAAAAGUGCCAAAAGGGCAAGUGAAAGUAGUUUUCUCUUGAUCUUUUGGUGCUAUGGGGAUCUGAUUGUAUCCUGAGUAGCCAUCUAGAAAGCAAUAAAAUUCAUGGCCUACUAAUCUAUCAAGCAUUUGAUCGAUAAAUGGUAAAGGAAAAUGGUAUUUACGUGUGACAGAAUUCAACUUUCUAUAAUCAAUGCAUACACGCCAUCCUGUAGUCACUCUAGUGGGUAUCAAUUCAUUAUCAGCAUUCGUAACUACUGUGACUCCUAACUUUUUGGGGACAACUUGUACAGGACUGACCCAUGAACUAUCAGAAAUUGGGUAAAUGAUACCUGCGUCUAAUAGCUUAAGGACUUCAGUUCUAACAACUUCUUUCAUAUUAGGAUUUAAUCGCCGUUGCAUUUCCCUAGUAGAUUUAGUAUUUUCAUCAAGGUGAAUGUAAUGCAUGCAGUCUACUGGGUUUAUACCUUUUAUGUCUGCUAUGGUCCAUCCUAAUGCUCCUUUGUGCUCUUUUAAAACAUCCAACAACUUACCUUUUUGUUCGUCAUUUAGGGAUGAUGAGAUGAUUACCGGUAGAGUACUUUCUUCUCCCAAAAAUGCAUAUUCCAAUGUGUUGGGUAAUGGUUUGAGCUCGAGUUUUGGUGGUGAUUCUGAUGAUGGGAUGAGUUUCUUUUCUGAUGGUGCUAGUUGUUCAACUCUUGACUUCCAUUUAUUAGUGUCCAUAGAUGGUGCUGAGUCAAGUAGGGCGUUGACCUCAUCGACUGAUCUGUCAAUAUCAAAAUCCAAACCAAAGUGAGUUAAACAUGUUUGUAAAGGAUCAUCACUAAGGUUUGAAAGAAAAGUAUUAUCAACUAUUGUUUCUAUUAAAUCCACAUCAACAAUUCCAUCAUCUGCACUGUGAGGUUGUUUGGCAAUGUUGAAAAUAUUUAGCUCCAUAGUCAUGUUGCCGAAGGACAACUGCAUAUUUCCAGUCCUGCAUUGAAUGUGAGCAUCCGCAGUUGCCAAGAAAGGUCGGCCUAAGAUAAUGGGGAUAUGCUUCCUUGAAUCCUGUAUUGGUUGAGUGUCAAUUACAAUGAAAUCAACAGGAAAAUAAAACUUAUCUACCUGGAUAAGCACGUCCUCCACAAUGCCACGAGGUAUUUUCGUGGACCGAUCUGCAAGCUGUAACACCACUGGAGUUGGGUGUAAUUCUCCAAGUCCAAGUUUCAAAAAUACUGAGUAAGGCAACAGAUUUACACUAGCUUCUAAAUUCAACAAAGCAUUCUCAAUUGUGUGGUUCCCUAUGCUACAUGAGAUAGUGGGGGAGCCUGGGUCUUUGCAUUUUAAAGGAAUUUUGUGUUGGAGUAUAGAACUAAUGUUUCUGUUAAAAAUGCCUUCUUUUGAACAUGCAUAUUUCUUUUUUUAGUACAAAGGUCUUUAAGAAACUUGGCAUAAGAUGGAACUUGCUUUAUAGCAUCAAGUAAAGGGAUGUUAACACUUACCUGUUUGAAGAUUUCAAGAAUCUCACCUGUGGAUUUUCCCUUCUUUCCUUUCGCUAACCUCUGAGGAAAUGGAGCUUUCGGAAUGUAUUCUCGUGGGUUGGUUUCUUCUUUCUCCUCCGGUGAUGAGUCCUCAACACUUACAGGUACAAUUUGAUUUUCUUUUGCCACCGGCAUCUCCACUUUGUUGUCGACUUCUUUUCCUUUUCGCAAAGUCAUGACUGCUUUGACUUCUCCAUGCUGCUGUGGUGAACUGGUACUUGCUUCAUGCACUCCUUUAGGAUUAGGCACUGGUUGACUUGGAAACUUACCUUUCUCAACGGUCAUUGCCAAGGUCUGAACUGAAGAAGCAAGUUGUCCCACCAUCUUCUCGAGGCUUGAAACUGAUUGAGCUUGUGAGUUGAAGCCUGCUCUCAACUCAUUUCGUAGUCCAUCAAUGGUGCGGUUUUGUUGCUCAAUCAUGGAGUGAGUAAGAUUCUUGAGAUUCUGGAAUGAAUCCUCCCAUGGUAUGGGUUGAGAGUAGUUCUGGUUCUGAUUGUAUGGUCUAAAUGGUGGCUGGGAGGCUUGAGGAACUUGAGGAAUUUGUUGCAUUGGUGGAGUUGGAGCUUCUGGUCCAUUCUGUUGGAAUCCUUGAGACCAUGAAAAAUUGGGGUGGUCUCUCCAUCCAAGGUUAUAUGUGUUGGAGUAUGGGUUGUAAUUUGAUGGUUUUCUCAUUACACCUAUGGCAUUGGCUUGAUCUGAGUAUGAGUCAAGGUCAUGUGGUUCAGUUGAUUUAGCAGUCGAUAACGAUGCUAUUUGUCGAGCAAGACCUUCAACCAUCUCCUUGACUUCUUUGAUUCCCGAAGUUGACUCGCCAAUGUGAACCUCAUUCACUCCUUUAAUUCUUUUAGUAUUCCUGAGUGAUCGACUCCGUUGUUGGGAAUUAUCUGCUUGUCGCUGGAAGAAUUCUCAAAUUUCUGAUGCACUUUUUGACAUUAGCUCUCCUCCACUUGUUGCCAUUAGCCAUUCUUGCACAUUCGGCAAUAAUCCCUCCAAAUAGUAUUGGCAUUGGUGCCAUUUCUCGUACCCAUGAUGUGGACACUUCAAGAGUAGCCCAUUGAAUCGCUCCCAUGUUUCGAAAAAUUGCUCGUCCUCUCUCUGGGUAAACUCCGAGAUUUCCCUGCGAAUAGCAUUGGUUUUAUGCACUGGGAAAUAUUUAUUCAAAAAUUUUGUUACCAUUUGUUCCCAUGAUGAAAUGCUAUUAGCAGGUAAUGUAUUAAGCCAUGAACGAGCUCUAUCCUUUAAAGAAAAUGGGAAUAAUCUGAGUUUAACAUCAUCGUCUGAAAAAUUUUCGUAUUUAAAAGUUUGACAAAUAGCAUGAAAAUCAUUCAGAUGAUUAUAUGGAUCCUCAUUUUCUAAGCCAUAGAAUGUGGGGAGACAAUUUAGCACACUAGGUUUUAACUCAAAGCUCCUAGCAGCUACAUUUGGGUAUCUUAUGCAUGAUGUGCUCAAAUUAGCUAAGGGACUAAAAUAGUCCUUAAAUGGCCUCUCCUGUGGUUGCAAAUCCAUUUUAUUUUUAAUUUGUUUGUGUGUGCGAAGUGUUUUUCCUAAUUCAAGGUCUAUAGGUUCAAGAUUAGGAAAUAAUGACCUACGACCAUGCAUGCAAAACAAAUAAAAUAAAAAUAAAGAUGGGAACAAAACAAAUAAAAAUAAAGAAGAGGGAGAAAUUACGAUACUAACCUUAUUGCGCUAUUACAACCUUACUAUAAAAAUACACAAAAAAAAUACGUGAAAUAAAUUAACUAAAAAUAAAUUAAUAAGAUAAACAAAAAAAAAUUACAAAGAAAAAUAAAUUAAAAAUUAAAUUACAGAAUUUUAAAGAAGAGAAAAAGAAAAGAAAUACUAACCUUUAAAUGUAGAUUCACUUUUUUUUUUAAUAAGAAAAAACAAAUACAAGAAAACAAAUAAAAGAAAUUAUUCACAAAAAUUAAUUCUAUGAAUUAAAAUUACUUACCUCCCCGGCAACGGCGCCAAAAACUUGUUGUGCAAAUUUUAAUGUACUCACAAGCGCACGAAUCUAUUGUAGUAUAGAUCAAUGGUGACGAGUGUCGAUCCCACGAAGAGGUGGAUUUUAAUUGUGUGUAGAAUUAAUUUCGUAAAUGGGUGAUUGGAUUUAUGGUGGAAAUGGUUUAGAAUAUGCUAAAACUUAAAUUAAAAUGGCGAGAAUAAAUUCUAAAAUUGGAAUUGCAAUGGCGAGAAUAAAUUGAAGAUAAUUCUAUUGAAAUGACGUACUUGGGUAUUCGGAUCCGUAUCAACAUGCAUCAUGGGCUAAAUAAUCCUUAUUAAUGCCAAUUAAAUCAUGAGGGGGGAAUCCACACCUCAUGAACCACGCUCUAAUCAAUAUGGUGCUAAGGGCUUAUCGUGCCAAAUAAUAAUAACCUUGUACUAGAGAGCCGGUGUAACUAAGGCGGUAUCUAGACAAGAUUAUUAUUAUUUGUCGACGAAAAGUCAAAUCAUCCACAAAAACUAGAGGGGAAGAGAAAAUAAAUUUACCAAAUAAAGCCUAUGACACAUGUUGAGACUUCACCUUCAACCCAAGCUUGAAAGAAAAUUAGCCACUCAUAAUUGAACUAAGGGCAAAAUGGAAAUUUAUUAAAAUACAUAGAAAAUACAAGAUGGAGAGGGAAUUACAGAAAAUGGAGUCCAAAAAUGGAUUCAGAGAUAUCAAAUUAGGGGGGAGAGGCCCCCUUUUUAUAGAUACAUGGAGUAAAUCAUGACCAUCGGAUUAAAAACAGUUUGGACGCUCAGGAUUGCACCACGUCAUCAGUCAACAGUACGCGGUUUGACCAUGUGGAUGAACAGUAACACGGUUUGACCCGGAUGAACAGUAAUGCGGUUUGGUUGAAAAUAAUCCUGUGUGAUUCAUGUACCGUACGCGAGAUUUUUCGUCCACUGAUAUGCUGCCACGUCACCAUAAACAGUACAUAAGAAUUUUAGCCCAACAGGAUCGUGACACCUCAUCAGUCAAUGCCACAUCAUCGGUCAAUGCCACGUCAUCGAUCCGUCUAUAUGAACAGUGUCGUGAACAGUAACGUAGACAGUACCGUACACAUGAAUAGUACCGUACAUGUGAAUAGUGUUAUUUUUCCUUUUAUGCUCCUCCUAAGGUUUUCGACCGUCCUGAGUUCAAAAAUGAUGUCCGUUUUGCCGUCUGAUCUCUCCUUUAUUAUGAAAUGACUAUAAUGCCCCUAAAAUACAUAAAAUACUUAAUUAAAAUAAAACACACGUAAUUAAAUCACAAGAAGAUUAAAUACAUAAAAGUAAGGGUUGUUAGUAAGACUUGAAAUAUAAAAUGACGGUUUUCUCCUUUAUAAAUAUACAUUUUCUAACACUCAACAGUCAGCGCUCGCAAACGGCAGUUAACGGAUCGGUGGACGGCAGAAGUGUUUUGUCAACUUAGGGUAUACGAGUGAUACACUUGAAAAAUAUUGUAGCACGUUUGAUACUGGUGUCAUUUAAGAGUAUACGGCUGAUAAUUUCCCUUUUUUUUAUUGCUUGCAUGUAUCAUAUACAUGUAUAUACUGUAGCCGUCCCCUAUUGUGAAAGGUUGUUAUUCUUUAGUCUUUACUACACAAAUAGUAGUUUUUUUUUCCUUCUUUUUUCAAAUUUUGGGUUUUCUUUUACGGCUUCUGAGAGAAGUACCUGCGAAUGGAUCAAAACAAGGGAAUUUCAAUUUAAUGAUUUGACUCUUCUGCCAUGCUUUGCUUUUCAAAUCAUUUGAUAUGGAGCGGAGCAGUGAUGAGCUACAGAAAAUUCUUGACUCUGAGUGCGAGGAGAGGGAGAUGUGUGUGUCACUGUUUGUAAUUUUUUUGUAUUACCAAUGAAAUAUAUUUAGCAUGAGUGUGAUAAAUAUAUGUGGGUCCAGUUACCUUGCAACAAUUGCAAUACACCAUUUAUUUUUGUCUUAUGUGACGUUACAUUUCAUUUAACACCUUGUUUUUUUUCUUAUUUACAUUUUAUUUAUAAGUUUAUAUGUUUUAACUAGUGAACUUUUAAAAUGUAAACUUAUUUUUUUAAUAUUAUUUAUUUUUUUACAUUUAUUUAUAAUUUGUAUGCUUUAGCUGGUAACUUUUAUAAAAUGUAAUUUUAUUUUAUUUAACAUUAUUUAUCUUUAAAAAAAAAGAAUAAAUAUAAUAAUAAGCCUAUGACUAAAUAAUAUUAAAUAAAAUAAAUAAUAUUAAAUAAAUUAAAUUAAAUAAAUAAUAUUAAAAUUUUAACUUAAAUAAAAUAAAUAAUAUUAAAAAUGAUAUUAUUUUUAAGACACUAUUGAUUUUUUAAUGUUAUUCAGUUUUUAAAGAAUAAAUAUAAUAAUAAGCCAAUGAUUAAAUAAUAUUAAAUAAAACAAAAAUAAAAAUAUUAAAAAUAAUAUUUAUUUUUAAAGCUCCCUAAUGAUUAUUUUAUUUUAUUUAAUGUUAUUUAGUUUUUUGAAAGAAUAAAUAUAAUAAUAAGUAUAUGACUAAAUAAUAUUAAAUAAAAUGGAAUAAAUAAUAGUUAUUUAUUCUUUUAAAUAAAAUAUAUAAUAUUAAAAAUAAAAUUUAUUUUUUAAUACUCACUACUAAUUAAACAAUAUAAAUUGUAAACAAUCCGGACUUAUGUGCUAAAAUUUUUAACUCUUUAAUUUGUUUGUGUCUUUAAUAAAUAUCAGGGAGUGCAAUGUUAAUAUUUAAAUGAACAAAUCUCUACCAUUGAAACAACCUUUUCACUAAAUCCAACGUUUUGUCUAAAACUACCUUUUCACUAAACUACCUUUUGUCUGAAAUCAAGAAAAGACAAAACUUGAGGGUACCUUGCAACUGUUGUAAGGUAGCUGAGUCCAAUAUAUAUUGCCAUAAAACGAAAUAUCAUAUCCAAAAUAAUAAUAAUAAUAAGUGUGUCAGAUGACACAAACAGCUGAAAAACGAGGAAACGUCUUCUUCUAACAAAGUUUGUAAUUAAAAAUUUAUAAACGAAUACAUACAUAUAUAUGAAAGGAAAGAUGAUGAUGAUAAUGAUAAAGAGAAUAGGGUUGAAUUUGGCGAGAGGGGUCCCCCUAUUUGUUGAAUUUCAUAUUAAAUAAAUAUCCGUUUGUCUCUUUAAUGGCCAAACAGACCAGCUGCCAACAACUUAUUCCAAUGUGAGUAGAUCACAGUGGGUACUGCACAUGAUGCUUGUUUCUCCUUUUGCAUCUAUUUUUGUUGUUAAUAUUAAUUUCAAUAGCAGCUCGUUAUUAUGUAUGCAACAUUUCAAAAUUAAUCCAAAAAAAACAAAAAUUAGUUCAGCUGACUAAAUUUGAAAGCAUGGAUUUGCUGUCGAUUAAAAAUCGUUUUGUAGGGAAAAUUUUUGGAUUGCAAUUCUCAUACAAUACAUAGAAUUAUCAUAAUCUAUAAAUUGUAUUUUUGCUUUUCACUUAUAUUUAGAUAGUUCAACAUUUUUAUUGGUUUGAUUUAGGGUUAGUUUGGUAACGUUAGUUUAAUACUCUGAUUAUUAUUAUUCGAUUCGUUUACUUUGAUUAUUAUUAUUUUUUAAUAGAGAAUAAAUUAUUCGAUUAAAAAAGUGAUUUUUUCUCUAUUAACAAGUGAUUUUUCUCUAUUAAAAAAUAAUAAUAAUCAAAGUAAACGAAUCGAAUAAAAAAAUAAUAAUAAUCAAAGUUCACAUAAUCUAUAAAUAUCAUGUUUAUUUAUUUAAGAUAGUUCAAAAUUUUUAUUGGUUUGAUUUAGGGUUAGUUUGGUAAUCCUGUAGCUUUAAAAUUAAUUACAGUUAGCUAUGCUGUAGAAAUUGAUCAAUCGUAAAAAGAAUCAACCGAACAUUUAGUAAAUUUUAUUUUUAAAAGUACUUUUAGUUUUAAAAGCAGUCGUGUGUGUUUCAUAAAUCUUAUUAUUAAACUGGUGAAAAAAUAUAAAUGACUGAAUUGAACAUAAUGCUAAAUAAAAUUUAUUUACACAUUUACAAACAUGCAUAUAAAAUAUUUUUAUUACGUACAUAUAAUUAUUGAUAACUAAAAUAAAUAUUUUAUAUUAUUAAAUUUUAUUCUCUAUUUUGUUAUCUCAAUGUAAUUGAUAAUAAUAAUAAUAAUCUAUUUUAAGUUAAUGAUUUUAUUUCUUAAUUCAUAAAGAUAAUUUUAGAUUUUUAUUAUAUAAUGGGGAUAUAUAUAGAAUUGGAUUGAGUAUAAAAGUGAUUCUCAAAAUCAAAUUUUGAAAAACUAUUCAUUCACUACUUUUCAAAAUCUACUGUAUUAUGAGAUGAUUUUACCAAAGUAAUUACUAAAAAAAUUUAUAAAACACUAAAACUUAGCUUUUAUGGUGUGUUUACUUCAUGGAAUGGGGAAUGGGAAUAAAAUGUGUGGGUCUCACACAAUUUGGGAAUAAGGAAUGAGAAUCCCAUGCCCAUGAGUGGUUGGGAAUAAAAGUGAGGGAAUGAGAAUGGAAUAUAUAUUUACUUUUGUAUCCCUCUAAUUUUUUCAUAUUUUCCAAAUUACCCUCAUUCAAAUCACAAUUAAUUUUAUUAUUUAAAAUGUCAUUAAUAAUAAUAAUAUUAUUAUUAUUAAAUUUUAUUAACUUUAUUAUUUUAGUUAUUAUUAAUUAUUUUUAUUAAUAUUAUUAUUAUUAACAAUAAAAAUAAUAAUUGAUAAAAAAUAAUUAAUUUAUCAUUAUUAACAAUAUUAUCAUUAUUUUUGUUAUUAUUAUUAUUAUUAAAAAUAAAAAUAACAAUAAUUAAUAAUAACUAAAAUAAUAAAGUUAAUAAAAUUUAAUAAUAAUAAGUUAAUAAUGAUAAUUUUAAUAAAAAUAAUAUUAACAAUAAUUAGUAAUAACUAAAAUAAUAAAGUUAAUAAUAUUUAAUAAUAAUAUCUAAUAUUAUUAUUAUUAAAUAUUAUUAACUUUAUUAUUUCAGGUAUUACUAAUUAUUGUUAAUAUUAUUUUUAAUAAUAAUAAUAGUAAUAAUAACAACAAUAAUGAUAAAUUAAUUAUUAAUACUAUGGGUAUUUUGGUAAAUUGAUUCUCAUUCUCAUUCCUCAUUCUCAUUUAUUUUGCCAAGUAAACAUAUCAAUAGCAUUCCAGCACAUUCUCAUUCCCAUUUAUUUUUGUCAAGUAAACAUUGAAAUCUCAUUCAUAUUUCUCAUUUCCAUUCCAGUCCAUUCUCAUUCCCAAUCCACUCACAUUCCACCCCAUUCCACUUCCAUGAAGUAAAUGCACCAUUAAUUUUUAAAAUCAAUUUUGAGCUUCCCAAAAACAAUCCAAACAUGCCUUUAUUUGGGUGGUGUUAGAACUGUUAGCCUAAAGGACUAUACAUAAUGUGAUUUUGAUGAUAACAAACAUAUGUAUUAAGUGAUUUAAUAAAUAUUGUAUUUCACAUUUUCACUAGUUUUUGAAGGAUAAUAUUUAUGCAAGUGAAUCAAGUGAAAUCAAGAUUGAAGACACUCAACGGACAACGGUGACAUCAAGAAUAGUCUAGAGCUCCACGAACAAAUUAGUGCGAUAAAUUCUUGUAAAGCCGGUAUGAUUUAAUUGAUGUAUGAUUUAGCAUUUGAGAAGCUCAAGAGAUUAAUUUAAUUAAAUACUUUUCAUAAACUAAAAGUUUUAUUUUUAUAAAGUAAAGUAUUUUGUGGAUUUAAGUAAUUUGGACUUAAAUGCUAAUAUUUGAAAUCUUUGAUUUUAAAUAAGUAUUAAAUUUCAGAGUUGGACGUUUUUACAAAUAUUUGAAAUGUUUUGGGCCAUACUAUAAUUUAUGAAUAUGUUGGACUAAAGUGAAAGGUUUUGAGAACUUUGAAAAAUAUGGGUAUUAUGUUGAAAAGGACCUUUGUGCGAAAUAAUAAAAUCUUUGGGGCCAUAUCAUAAUUUUAGAAAGUUUGGGAAAGACGACUAUUCUUAGGAAGUUCUGAAAUUGGAUCUAUUUGUAAAGUUUUAUGACAUUUUGAGCCAUAGUAUAAUUAUAGAAAGUUUUGGGUCAAAGUAUAAAUUUAGUGAACAGAGUUACUGUAGUAAAUUCAAAAAUAACGGUAAUAUCACUGUUCCUGAGCGGCUAGCCGGAUAAUCAAGCGGCUAACCGCUUGGGCGCGGGAAUUUACCUAUAACGGCUAGUUUUCGGGCUUUCACUAUUAAAACUCAACUCAAACUUCAUUCCUUAAACGAAUGCAAGGAAAAACAAGAUCAUAUAACAUAUAUUGAGCUUCCAUUUCGCAAAUCAUCAUUGAUUGAAUGAUCAUUGAGCUAUAAUUUGUUAUCUACUCUUAAAGAGAGUUUCAUUGUUGUGAUUUUCAUUUCUCAUCAAAUUGUGAGUGUACAAGUGUGAGAAACACUUGGGGUGAAGAGAUUGGGGAGAUAAUCUCUUGUUGUAAAGGUUCAUUGACACCUUAGAAGUCAAUUGUAAACAUUUGAAGCCUUGGGAGGUUUGGAUAGUGAAAUCCUCAAGCCAGGUGUGCUUGGAGGCGUGGACGUAGGCAGGGAUAGCCGAACCACGUAAAAAUCCUUGUGUUUGUUUUAUCUUCCCUUACUCUUUUAAUAUUGUGCUUGAUUGAAUUUAUUAUUUUUUUAUUUGAUUAAGGCAAUAGAUUCAAUUGUUGUGCGAAUUGUAUUGCAUAAUUUUAAAAACCCAAUUCACCCCCCUCUUGGGUUGCAUAACUUGCAUUUCAUUUGGUAUCAGAGCGAGGUGCUCUUGUGUAGACUUAACCGUCUAGAGUAAAAGAUCCAUGGCAACCCAUAAUGAUUCAACCUUUAGGGAAGGACAAUCCACAAUUAGACCACCGUUCUUUGACGAUAAUGACUACCCAUAUUGGAAAACUAGGAUGAGAAUUUAUUUACAAGCUUUAGAUUAUGAAAUUUGGGAAAUUGUUUGUGAUGGUCCAUUUAUGCCUUUGACUAAAAACGAAGUCGGGGAAGAUAUUCCAAAACCUUCACGGGAAUGGAAUGAAUUGGAAAAGAGAAAAGCUUCUCUAAAUUCCAAAGCCAUGAAUGCCUUGUUUUGUGCACUUGAUAAGAAAGAGUUUCAUAGAGUGUCAAGUUGUGAAAGUGCUAAUAAAAUUUGGCACAAACUUGAAGUUGUUUAUGAAGGCACGAAUCAAGUGAAAGAGUCUAAAAUUAGUAGGUACACUCGACAAUAUGAAUUGUUUCAAAUGGAACAAAAUGAGAGUGUGUAUUCUAUGUAUACUAGAUUUACGGACAUAGUGAACACUCUAUGAGCCCUAGGAAAGACCUUUUCAAAUAGCGAGAAAGUUAAGAAAAUCAUUAGGUCUCUACCUAAGGAAUGGAGACAAAAAAAGACUGCCAUUGAGGAAGCCAAAGAUUUAAAUAUUUUACCUAUUGAUGAUUUAAUUGGUUCUCUUAUUUCUUAUGAGGAAGACUUGGCAGCUGAAAGAAGCAAUGAGGAGAAGAAGAAAAGUAUUGCUCUCAAAGCCUCGAAACACGAGAGUGAUGAGGAAAGCGAGCUGGAUGAGGAGGAGAUGGAUAUGCUGGCGAGGAGGUUUAGAAAACUUUUUAAGAAAUCCGGUGAGCGAAGAAAAUUUAGAGACCUCAAGAAAUGAAAGGAGAAGAAUGAAGUAAUCAAAUGUUAUGAGUGCAAAAAGCCUGGCCAUAUAAGAACGGAUUGCCCUCUUCUCAACAAACUCAAGAAGAAAGCAAUGGUAGCCACAUGAGAUGAUAGCGAUGAGGAAACAAGUGAUGAUAAAGAGCAUCAAGAAAUGACAAAUCUAGCUCUCAUGGCAAUUGGAGAUGAAUCGGAUGAUGAACUUGAUGAGGUAAAUGAUAUUUCUACUCAUGAUGAAUUAUAUGAUGCUUUUAAAGAAUUGCAUGAUAAUUGGAUAAAAAUUGGUAAAAAGAAUGCAUGUUUUAAAAAGAAAAUGGUAAAGCUCACAAAUGAAAAUGAAUCUCUAAGUGCAAAGAUUACAUGCCUAGAAUUAGAGAAUAAAACAUUACAUGAUAGAGUUGUAUUAUCAAAUGAGAAACCUAGCACUUCACAUGAGCAUCUAGAAUCAUAUGUAGAUGACUUGAAAAAUGAAAAUGAUGCUUUACAAAAAUGCAAUGAUUCAUUAAAUGAAAAGCUUAAAGGACUAGAGUUAGAUAAUAAAAUGUUGCAUGAUAGAAUUGUAUCAUUUAAAUGCAAACAAAGUACUUCAUAUGAGCAUGAGAAAUCACAUGUUGGUGAAUUAAUGAAAGAAAAUGAAGUGCUUAAGAAGAAGAGUAAUGAACUAAAUCAAAUUGUGUUAAAAUUCACAAAUUGGCAAAAGAUGUUGGAUAACUUGCUUAAUUCACAAAAAUGUGUGUUUGAUAAAGGAGGUAUUGGUUAUAAGCCAAAUUUGAAACAAAAAUAUUAUAAGAGUUAUUUUGUUAAAACUACCUCCAUUAAUGAUCAAAUUGUAUGUCAUUAUUGCAAUCAAAAUGGUCACAUAAAGAAUAGAUGUCCAGUUAAAAUAAAUGCAUAUUAUGGAGCAAAAUGUAUUUGGGUUCCAAAAGGAACCAUUACUAACACUCAGGGACCCAAGAAUAUUUGGGUACCAAAGUACACAACUUGAAUAAUUUUUGUAGGUACCACAAACAAGGAAGGGUGGAGAGUUCCUUGAUGAAACUUGUGAGGAUAAUCACUUGAUCAUGGUCUAGGCAAAAAUAAUGAGGCAAGAUGGUUUAAUUGUUUUGGUAACAAUUAUUGCCUUAUUGAUUAUAAGUUACGGUCUUUUAAUCUUAGUAAAUAUUUCAUAUUUCAUUAUAUCAUUAAGUGCUUUAUCAUGAUGGAUUUGUUUGAUUUUAAUGAUUAUGUAAUGCCUAAGUAUGAUAAAUGAGUAAUAUGCUUGAAUUAUUAAUCUUUGAAUGCUUAUAUGUUUCAUGAUUGAGUAAAAUAUAUACAUGAUGGAUGAAUUAUAUGUGUGAAUUAAUCAUGUCUUAAAUGUUUAUAAUUUCAACCAUAAAGGUUAUUGUAUCUCAUAAUUGUGAUGGAUAUGCAUGAUGAAUAUGUUAUAAAUUUGAGUUUUAUGAUUUUUUGGAUGUUAAUUAUAUUGAUCCAUGCAUUAAAAUGGUUUUUGAAAAUGUUUGGAUCACGAAAUGGUCUUAAAAUCGAUCAAAAAUAGCCAGAGAGCAAAAAUUGGUGCAGAUGGGCAGCCAUGAGGUAGCUAGCCGCCUGCCCCAAGCGGCUAGCCGCUUUGUCACGGGUUGGAGUAAUUGUUUUUGCUUCUUCUUCUUCCUUCGUUAUUUUUCUGCACUUGUUCCUCUCUCUCUCAAAACCGUGAGCCACCCUCUUCCAUUUCCAAUCAAUUUCUCUUUAUUUCUCAACCAUUUUUAUGCCAAAAUUAAUCAUUCAAACCAAUACCCAUGCAUUUCACUCUCAUUAAACACUUCCCAAUCAUCAUUUCUUCACUUGUUCUUGAUCAUUUCAUCAUCAUCUCUCACGCGUGAACAGUACCUCUCCAUUUCUCUCUCAAAUUUCUUCAUCUUUCACUCAUUCUCUUGCCAAAAUCAAUCAUCCAACUCAUUAUUCAUCCAUUACUCCUUCAAUUUUCACUCUCAAAACAUGAUUUCAUUAUCUCUCCACAUAAAACCCAAAAUCAAAAACCUAACUUACCCAUUUCUUUCUCUUCCAAUUUAAGCUCUUUUUAGUCCACUUUUGAUCCAAUCAACACCAUCCAUUAUCUUAAAUCAUCUCUUGGAUCAAUAUAAUCAGUUUAAAAUAAUCCAUUUCACUCAUUAUUUUACAAAACCGAGUUUGUGCAUUUUGGGUAUUUUAAAUUACCAUGGUUCCUUAUUAUAUUAUGCACCUACAUUUUCAUAUGCAUAAUUGUUUUAAUUGUAGAUUACGGAUGAUGGUUGUUUAAUAUUUGGAUAACUUAUAUUUGGAUGAUAUUUUCUGAAUUCUUAGAAUGAAUAUGACUCUUUAGUUAAUUGAAUGCUUAAUUUUUAUAUGUUUCUUGAUUAAUCAUUGAGAUAUUCUUUUUGGUAUAAGCAUAGAUUUAUAGUACUUUUGAUGAUUGAUGAUUAUAUGUGUGUUGCUUGAUGAAUUAAUGGAGUUGUUAGUUUGUUAUAAUUGUUUCAGCUUAUAUGGAAGUGUUUUUAACCAUGUUGUAUAUUUAAGGAUUUGUUCAUUUUAAGGGGAGAUUCUGCCGAAAUUUUUGCUCGCACAAAAUUGGUAAUAUCUUUAUCGAAUUAUUUUUGAUGCUCUUGUUUCGAUUGCAUCUAUCUAUUUUUUAUGAAGGGGAAGAUAAAUAUGAUAUGUUUUUGGAUAAUAUCAUUUUGGUUAAAUUUUUUAAUUGGCCAUAUAUUUAGGGGGAGCAUACAAUAUGAUUUUGGAUAAUAUGCAUUUUGAGCAUUCUUUUGAUGGGUUGAUGGUUCAUGAUCAUUUUAUGGUUAAUUGGAUGUUUGGUUAUUAUAUGUUUCUUGAUUAACCAUUGACAUAUUAUCGAUCUUCACAUGAAUUUCUAGUAAUUUUGAUGAUGAAGGGGGAGAAGUCAUGUAUUUUGAAUAUGAAGACAUAUAAUACGUAUUUUGUAUUUCAAGUAUUUAUGCAUGGUUUUGAAAUAUUAAGGGGGAGCUUACAAAUUAUCAUAAAUCAAAUAUUCAGGGGGAGUUUUUGUUUUGAAUUUGAUUUAUAUGUUUAAUUAUAUAUGCCAUGUAUUAAGGGGGAGUACAAAUGUCAAAAUACAUGAGAUGUUUGUCAUCAUCAAAAAGGGGGAGAUUGUUAGCCUAAAGGGCUAUACAUAAUAUAAUUUUGAUGAUAACAAACAUAUGUAUUAAGUGAUUUAAUAAAUAUUGUAUUUCACAUUUUCACUAGUUUUUGAAGGAUAAUAUUUAUGCAAGUGAAUCAAGUGAAAUCAAGAUUGAAGACACUCAACGGACAACGGCGACAUCAAGAAUAGUCUGGAGCUCAACGAAUAAAUUAGUGCGAUAAAUUCUUGUAAAGCCGGUAUGAUUUAAUUGAUGCAUGAUUUAGAAUUUGAGAAGCUCAAGAGAUUAAUUUAAUUAAAUACUUUUCAUAAACUAAAAGUUUUAUUUUUAUAAAGUAAAGUAUUUUGUGGAUUUAAGUAAUUUGGACUUAAAUGCUAAGAUUUGAAAUCUUUGAUUUUAAAUAAGUAUUAAAUUUUGGAGUUGGACGUUUUUACAAAUAUUUGAAAUGUUUUGGGCCAUACUAUAAUUUAUGAAUAUGUUGGACUAAAGUGAAAGGUUUUGAGAACUUUGAAAAAUAUGGGUAUUAUGUUGAAAAGGACCUUUGUACGAAAUAAUAAAAUCAUUGGGGCCAUAUCAUAAUUUUAGAAAGUUUGGGAAAGACGACUAUUCUUAGGAAGUUCUGAAAUUGGAUCUAUUUGUAAAGUUUUAUGACAUUUUGAGCCAUAGUAUAAUUAUAGAAAGUUUUGGGUCAAAGUAUAAAUUUAGUGAACAGAGUUACUGUAGCAAAUUCAAAAAUAACGGUAAUAUCACUGUUCCUGAGCGGCUAGCCGGAUAAUCAAGCGGCUAACCGCUUGGGCGCGGGAAUUUACCUAUAACGGCUAGUUUUCGGGCUUUCACUAUUAAAACUCAACUCAAACUUCAUUCCUUAAACGAAUGCAAGGAAAAACAAGAUCAUAUAACAUAUAUUGAGCUUCCAUUUCGCAAAUCAUCAUUGAUUGAAUGAUCAUUGAGCUAUAAUUUGUUAUCUACUCUUAAAGAGAGUUUCAUUGUUGUGAUUUUCAUUUCUCAUCAAAUUGUGAGUGUACAAGUGUGAGAAACAAUUGGGGUGAAGAGAUUGGGGAGAUAAUCUCUUGUUGUAAAGGUUCAUUGACACCUUAGAAGUCAAUUGUAAACAUUUGAAGCCUUGGGAGGUUUGGAUAGUGAAAUCCUCAAGCCAGGUGUGCUUGGAGGCGUGGACGUAGGCAGGGAUAGCCGAACCACGUAAAAAUCCUUGUGUUUGUUUUCUCUUCCCUUACUCUUUUAAUAUUGUGCUUGAUUGAAUUUAUUAUUUUUUGAUUUGAUUAAGGCAAUAGAUUAAAUUGUUGUGCGAAUUGUAUUGCAUAAUUUUAAAAACCCAAUUCACCCCCCCUCUUGGGUUGCAUAACUUGCAUUUCAAGAACUUGUAACUUUUGGAUCUUUUAGUUUUUAUUGGUUGGAUACAAUAUUAUGACUUGAGCGUCGGAAGGUUUUCACCGAAAUAACUUCCAGCACCCCCUGACUGUUCUUUGUGCUUGCAUGCUCGCGGGUUAUUUGCUCAUGGAUCAUCUGCUCAUAGAACAUCUGCUCACGGUGCUCACUGAUCAGCAGCUCGUGGAUUAUCUGCUCAUGGUGCUCACUGAUCAGCAGCUCAUAGAUUAUCGGCUCAUGGAUUAUCUGUUCAUGGUUAGAGGAUUUUCUUGGAGAUUAAUAAGUCGCUUCUCCACCAAACAAAUUUAUUGCUGAUGCGGGGAUGUGGUAUUGAGUCAACAACUGACUCGACUUUAUUUCUGCAUCAAUAUAAAGUAUUAAUCAGCUUAAUUAAUUUAUAAAAUUUAAAUCUAAUUAAUAAGUGACACAUAAAUGCCAAGUGCAAUAUAUGCAAAUCCUGUUUGUCGAUCAUUACAAAACUGGCUCUUGAAAACAAGCAAGAAAGCUUAAUUAAGAACUUAAAACAAAAAGUAUUAGAUUGAGGAUAGUCAAGCCUUAUUUUUUCAAGGAUGGAGCUUAUAAAUCUUCAAGUACCAACAUAUGCUUGGCCCAAUUGUUGUUUUUAAAAUUUCAAAAUAUAAGUAUGACAUAGCAAAAAUUUGAUGGUACAUGUGUCGGAAUAUACUAGCUAGUUCAUGGAUGCAUUUGAUUACUAUUUCCAUAAAUUUGAACUAAGAAGAAUGACACGAGAAAAUUUGAUUUUAUUAUAUGGUUGAUUUCAUAUCUCAUGCACUCAUUUCUUAAGAUAAUUAGAUUUUCUCUGGCAUCUUUUGCAAAUGUGGAAAUAUCAAUUAUGAUCAAUCAAAACGAUCUCAAAACUUUUUAACGAGACAUAUUUAUAAUACAAUAUUAUGAAAAUUACACCAAAAAUUUGAUUUAUUAUAUAUUAUUAUCCAACGAGCACACAAAAAUGAAUUCAUACAAAUCUAUAAUACUUAGCAAUUUUCAAAUAGAAUUUACCAUGUACUAUAAGAAAAUAUGGUAUAUGUGACCCCUAUUGUGAAUGCAAAAGCAGCCAUUACGUAUAUCACUAACUUCUAACUUUGUAACCCUGAGUUGCUUUUGUUACCCUUUAUGUGACGGCCAUACUGCUGUCACAUAUGUUACUAACCACGUGACGGUAAAGAGCCGUUCCGUAUACUACUAUUUUAGAAUUUUAAAUUUAUUUCCAGUUGGAAAACUAUUCGCUGGAUUACGAGUUUAAAUGCUGUCACCAUCGUAAACCUAACUGGUUGCCGGCGAACGGCGUAAAACACCGGCCAUCUUCUUCUUCAUCGUAUUCGCCCUUCAUCUUUUGAGUUAAGCUUGUGAUUAUGAGUUUCUUCUCUUACUUAGCUUGUAAUUAUAGAUUUUGAUUCUUUUUAAUUCGUAUUGUAGUCGUUAUUGUCAAUUUUUGUCCCGCCAGCAAUUUUUUUUAUUCCUACAAGUUGAAGCCCCUGUGUUCUUGUUCCAUUGGUGUGUUUGCUCACUCAAAUUAAUUUUGUUCUACAAAGUUCAAAUGGAUUCAUUUGAAUCACUAUUGAAUUCAGCUUUAAUUCCAACAACCAUUCUAAUGUUUUGUUAUUAGAUUUACUUUAAUUUUAUGUUUAAAGCUUCUACAAUGAAUAGCGGAGCUUGGGUUUUAGUUUCAUUUUCUAGAUAACUUGUUUUUCUUGUAUGCUCACCAAGUGCUUGUUAUAUUGUCUGAUAAGUUAAUAUAUUGCUGAUUCUAUAUUAAUAAUGUUACGUUCUAUUUUCAGAAAUUAUAAUAUAAACUGAAUUAACUUGUAGAAUAAGAGCUUGGAGUAGUGUUAUGUUCUUGAAUAAAUGAAAGUCCAUAUUGUGUAAGAGCAUGUAGAUGUAAAGCGCAUUGCCAUUUCUAUAAAGGACUUUCAUUCUGUUCAGAUGCUCCUCUUGAACUCUGAAAGGUGCCUCAUUCAAGUCCUAGCUAUAACUACUAGCUUUGAUUAAUUAAUUUCCUGUACUAGCAGAAACAGAUUUAUUUAUUUAAAUAAUUGUCUAUGUACUAAUUAUAAUGAAAGUAUAUGAAGAAAUUUUUUAACAUGAAUGACUUCUAAAUGACUUAAAAACCUAAAGGAUAUGAGAAAUAAUGCUCAUUUCACUUGAACGAGCCUAUUAAUACUUGUAUGUCUAUGAUUCUUAAUAUUGGCUUAAGCAUUUCAGUAAAUGGUUUACAUAACAGAGAAAAAAAUUUAAAUGAAAACUUUAGAGUUCUAACAGAAAUAUAAUUGACUAUGCAGAUAUAGUUAUUUUAUGGUAUACAAAUCAUGUUGCCUUAAUCUCAAUGUCCUAUGACCUAUUUUAUUUUAUAUAGUCGUUCAUUUUUGCCAUCGCUUUUUGUGUUUAUGAGUAUGGAAGUAGUGGGAUUUGGUGUAUCUUAGCAUCUUUGGAAAAUUCUCUUUAAAUGUGGCAAACAAAAAUAUACAUAUAAUCAAGUUUCUUAAUCAACUAUCAUAACUGGCUAGCUAGUUCUUGCCUGCCUUGCUGCCAUUACCCAGGCCAUUACAUUGCAUAGCAUAAGGAAUAGUGAUUAGGUGCUUAUUAGUGAUUCGUUGAGCUUAUUAUUGACCAAACAAACAUAUUCGCCUUUACCCACAACUUAGUUUGAUUAGUUAUUAGACCAUAAAGAGCGUUAAUCUGUUCAUUGGCUUUGUUAUUUUUAUUUGGUUUUUCUUCCAACAAUACUGUUGAUUUCUUAUAAAAAUACUCAUUGGUUUUUAGUUAUUAGACCAUAAAGAGCAUUAGUCUGUUCAUUGGCUUUGUUAUUUUUAUUUGGUUUUUCUUCCGACAAUACGGUUGAUUUCUUAUAAAAAUAUUCAUUGGUUUUUAAACACCUAAUCAUUGGCUAUAAUGAAGCUAAUUGAAACUGAGGCUUAUCAAUUUCUUCCUACAAGAUACAAUUGAGCAUAAACUAUAUCCUCAGUAAAUUUUUCUAAUAUCCUUGAUUUGUUAGGAUAUGGAGGCCUGAAAUCCUCUAGAUUUUUUUAACACUGUCAAUGUUCUUUUUACUCUGAAAAGGGAAAAAAAAGGUAUAUCUUUCAUACCCUAAUAGUAAGUAGGCCUUGACUUAACAUGCCUUCCCGAGGAUUUGCAAGAUUCACAAGCAGCUCACCCCCCCCCCCCCUCCCCCAACCCAAAAAAAAAAAAGAAAAACAAAUAGGAAGAUUUUGCGAGAUUCACAACCAGGUUAUAUUUAAUUUAUUAAUUGUGUGCACGUACUAGUUAUAUGUUGAAAGAAUAGGAAAGUAUUUUAACAUGAAUGACUUAAAACUUAUUGCUUAGUAAACAUAAUCUGCAUCAGUGCUAGAAAAUGUAUUUAUUGUUUGUAUUUUUUAUGGAUUUGCUUAAGAAAUGAUACGGGUAAUAAUGCUACAUUGUAUUAGGAACAAAUUGAAGAGAUUUAUGAUAUUUAUGUGUUAUUCAAAUUUCAGAUUGAAUUUUAAACUUUCAAUACAUGCAUUGAAAGCUUAGAUCGUUUAAGAAAUUAUAAAUAGACACAUGUUUUAUUAGUGCCAUCUUUGGAUGAUAGUGAGGAUCAUAUGCCUAUUAAUAAUUCUUGAAUUGUCUAGGCUUGAACUGUUUGGGAAUGCAUAGUUUUCUAUGGUAGCUAGUAGCUGAAGUUUUUUUCCCACAUAAAAAUGGGUUUUUCGCUAGCUGCUUCUCAUCUUCUUUGGGUGCAUACUAGAUAACACAUAAACACUCUUAUAUCUAUGUCGUUGCUUGGAGAACUAAAGGGAGAUGCUGCCGAAAUUUCUAUAAACGUAGAAGAAAACUUUAAAGUACUUGAGAUUGAAGAAACUUAUGCAUUCUUGAGAGGGAUAUAUGGGACCACUUACCUUUUGUAAAUAUGAAGGGAGUGUUGGACAUAUUGAUGGGAGUGGAGGAGCUGAGUUGGAUGGAUGUAAUCGGUUAUAGUUUUGCUGAGUUAACUUGGUUUUGAGCUUGUAAUUUUGUUUAUAAAUGGAGUACUAUCUCCAAUGUUGGUUUAUAAAUAUGUUUCAGCUGGCUGACCUUAUUUUUUGUUUCUAGGUAACAUGCUUUGUAUCUGUAAUUGAUAGCCAACUGAAGUUCUCAGCUGUGGGUGAGGAUAUUUCUUUACAGAAGGUAUUGGAAACUGUUUUUUACAUUAAUUAUUGUUGUAUAUAUACUUUAAUUUUCACAUCUUUUUCUCUGAUUCUUGUCACUUUACUUGCUUUCAUAUACAUAAAUUCUAAUGAAAUUAACCAUAAAAUUGUAUAAUGAUUUUUUAAUUAUAUUGCAAAACUGUGCACACACGAAAAUAUCUUGGUCAGUAGUAGAAAUGAAAAACUAAAAUGAUUUAUCUAACUAAUUUUUGUAGUGCAUUAAAAGGAGACGGUAAUGGAGAAGAGUUGGGUUGGUUUGGCAAAUAGAUAUCUAAGUUAUAGAUUUUGCAUUUGAGAAUGUUGUUGGUGAUGCAAGAAUUUAUUAUCCUUGUAAGAAGUGUCGAAUAUUUCGUUUUAAGGGAAGUAGCAAGAGACCAUAUCAUUAUAAAUGGUUUUUGGUUAAAGUUUUAAAACUGGAUAUUGCAUGGUGAGCCAUCUUCAUCUUUGGAAUCUAACCAAGAAACAGGUUAGUCAUGACUCGGGUGCUGAUGAUGAUAUGGUUGGAAUGAUACAUGAUACAUCACGUAAUCAAAUGUUCAAUUCACAGACAGCAUUGUUAUGGACUAUCAGUGACUUUCUAGCACAUGCCAACUUGUCUGAGUGGAGUAUUAAAGGUAAAUAAGCAUUUCUUGUUUGCCAACAAAACACCAGAUCGAAUUGGUUAAUACAUAGUAGAAAAUUGUCACGUCGGUAACGUCGAUUUUUACCGACGAAUCAUAGGUUUCGAAAAUAUAGUGCCUUUCGAAAAUCUGGAGCUGAAGUGAAAAAGCAGUUGAAUAAUAUCCUUACUGAGUUUAAGAUUGAAGACUUGAAAAGUGGAGAAUGAAUAAAAUGAGAGAAAUGACAAGAUUACUUGGAAGAAGAAAAGCAUAUUUUAUGAACUACCGUGUUGGGAGUUCAAUUUGAUUCAUCAUAAAAUGUGAGACAUGAGGGAGAGACAAAAGCUCAGGCUUGUCUGCAACCAUGUGGGCCCUCAUAAGCAAUUCGUGUACACAACUUGGUUCACCAAGCCCAACAACUUGAAGCAGGCAAAAUCCGGGAACGAUCCUUCUCCUUCGCAACCCUAGCUGCCUUAACCUUGUAUUUCUGAUAUUUAGUUAAAGAGUAAGAAGAUUGCUCCUCUGUCAAUUACCUUCGAGAGAGACUUUCUUUUUCAUUCAUCGAUGCUUGCUUGUGAAAGCAAGGGUUUUAGUUACACUUUCAACGCUGUCAAUGUAGUGAAGUAAAGCAUUCGUAGAAUAAUGAAGAUGGAAGCCCCACAGCAUGAAAACUUUUAAACAGUAACACAGCUCUUAUUCCAGAGGCUGCACGCGAGUGACCUGAAUCUUCUUCAGAACUUUCAAAUUUUAUCAGGCAAAGCUUUCAAAAUUUCUCAACAAAUUGAUUAUUUGGUGUGGUUGCCACAUUUUGAGUAACUGCUAUUUGUUCUCAAGUACAAAAUCCUUGCCUUCCUAAGUUAGGAAAUAUAGAUGAGAAGCAAACCAAAUGAAAUAAAUGGGUAAACAGAACAAACAGUGCAAAAAUUAAAAAUGAUGGCAAUUAACAAAUUAAUAGCAAUGUUACAUUUGACUCUUUAGCCCUUUGCUCCUUCUCUUAACAUUCUUCAAAGCUUUUGAAAAUUGGAUGUGAAGCAAACAAAAUAAAAUAAAUUUAGACAACACAUACCCUGUAUUCAGCAUCAUAUAUAUGUCGAAUAUCUAAUUUAAUAAAUUUCACAUCCAAAAUACUAAAAUUUUAUUUGCAUGCAUGUCUGUCAAAAUUUCCGUGAUUUAAUGUGCUUUCAUGCACGCAAGUUCUAACGUUUCUGUGAUCACAAAAUAAAACUGAAGAUAAAACAGAACAACUACCAAACCUUUCAAGCUUGACGAAGCCAUGAGAAUUGAUAGCUCAGGCUCUGAUACCAAGUUAAAGUUUCUAAUCUAUUUGAUAAGUAAGAAAAUGAGAGAAAAUGAAAGAAAGAACAGAGAUCAUCUAAGAGCUGGAUUUGAUGAAUAAAUCUGAAUCAUCCAUUCUUUAGCUGAUUACAAAUGUAUUUAUACAAGUUUUCUAAGCACCUGAGAGUUGAAUAACUUAUGCCAGCUCAGCUAACACGUCAGUAACUCUACCUAUCUUGCUUAACAAACUGAAACAAUAACUAACAAUUUUAACUAUCUUAACAAUCCCAAUAAUUUCUCCGUUUGUGUAUUUUUUUGAAUCAUAAUCAAAUGGGUAAAUGUUGCAACUAUUUUUUUAGACAUUUUCACUUUGGGAUGUCAGCCCGAGGAAGUUCGGGGGUCUGAGUUAUUCAACUGAAAAUGUCGGCCAAGUUCUCGCCAUCUCAGGUUCAAAACUGAUAAUCUUGCUCGUUGCUCCCCAUUUAUACUUAUUACGAAACUGAAAAAGUUACUCGUUCCUCUUAACUUGUUUUCUCAUGCAUCAACCCCACAAAACUGCUUAUUGCAGGGGGUAAAAUUUUGAACACAUCAUGUGGAAUUUGGACUAUUUGAUAGUUUGUUUCAAACAUAUCUGUUUAUAAAAUACUUUUCUUCAUGGUUUUGGUCCCAUAAUUUUCUAUGUAUGUACAGGUUUUAUCCAUACCUCUUUUGACAAGUUACACUUACAUAGCAAUGUUAUCUGGGUUCAGCCUUGCCUUUUUCAUAAACUGUGCUUCUGUGAUGAAGAAUGUUUUAUCUGUAAGUGGAUAUCCUAAUCAUUGAUCCAUAAACUUAGGUUAUAUUAUCCAUCAGCAAGUAUGUAUAAAAUUAUUUUAUGUCUUUUUUUAUUAGAAAUGUUGUAAUUCUAUUUUAAUCUUCCUGAAUUAUAACAUCAGGUGUCUAUAAUAACUGGAUUAUUCCUUCUGCAAAACAGAGCAGUGGUAAAUAUUUUUUUCUUUUGUUUGUUUAGUACAUUUACAUGCUUUCAGCUUUUUCAAAUUUUGUAUGUGUCAAAGUUUAAAUUUAAUUUGUUGGUUUAUGCCACAACAAAAGGAACAGCAUCAAAGAGGAGCUGCUAAUGGACUUGCUAUGACUGUAGUGUCGCUUACCAAAACUGCCGGUCCAGCUGUAGGAGGUGCUCUGUGAGUGUCCUGUUGAUUUUGUAAAAUUAUAUGUAAAUGAUGUUAUAAUAUUUUUUUUCAUUAAUUGGGGUUCUGGCAGAUUUUCUUGAUCACAAAAGCGUCAAGAUGCUGGUUUCCUCCCAGGUAUGAUGAUCUACUAAUGAAAUUAUAUUCUUUUUAUUUCAAAUAAUCUAUAAGUUAACUCAAAACAUAAUCAAGCUGAGAAUUAAAAUAAUGCCACUGUAUGAGAAGAUUUUUAUUUUUUUCCCGAAGUUUCACUAGGAAAUUAUUGAUAUAUAGCUUUAUUCGGAUCAUCUCAGUUCAAACGACAGCUAAUUGAAAGACUAAACUAAAUAGACCAGCCAACAACUUUGUACAGUAGAGUUAAAAAAAUAAAGUCAUGGUAUUGAGGUGUUCUGUCUUGAAAAGUACAGCAUAGUGAUAAAAUAAAAACUAUUAGUAUUUGGUAAGAUAUGACUUUUAAUUAAAAAAUUUCACAAAAAUAUAAAAAUAUUUAUAAAGUACUUCUGUAGUGCGGAGACCCUCACUUUGUUAAAGUGAAAAUAUCAACAAUAAACAAAAGACAUAUAUUUUAACACAUUAAAAACUGUAUUUUUUUAUCUAUUGGUGUAUUGAAAUAUGUGUUAUUUAGUUUGCUAAUGAUAUCAUCACUUUGUUAAAAUGAGGAUGUCAUCACUAGAGAAUCAUUAUAUAUACAUAUAUAUAAAGUGGUUCUCUCCAAGACCUAAACUUUAUUAAAAGUUUAGAAAGCAAAUAUAUUUUGUAUGGUAUAAUAGUGUAAUAACAUCACACUAUUAUAUCAUAUGAGUCCCAUAUAGAGUAAUAGUUUUUCGAACUUUAAUAAAGUUCAAGAUUAUAGAAUGAAUGAUUUAUAUAUAUUAUAAAUUUUUUAUUAUAUAGUGAAGGACAAAAUUAACAUAAUUUUCAAAUUAUAUUAAGUAUUUAUCAAAUAAUUUAACAUCAUAAUUUCUCCUAACUAGUAUAGUAAAUACGGCCUAGGAGGUACAUUCAAAGCAUUUCAUAGGUUCCUUGUUCGCUCCAGAUUCAGUCACAGACAAGGAGCCGUUUUUUGAGAAUAUUAAGCAUCAUCUUCAAAUGAAUUUUCUUGGCAAAGGUUUCAGAUCCAAAUUGUUGUUCCAGAUUAGUCCAAAGCUCAAGUAAGGUUUGAGAGUUUACCACAAGACUAAGGAUCUCGAUACUGAUGGAUGACAUUAACCAGCUCAACAACAAUUGAUCGUUUCUCUUCCACGAAGUUGAAUCUUCAAUUUCAGUAAAAAGAAAUUGGUUAGGACAGAGUUUUGAUCUAUCAAGUAGAUCUUCUAGUCCAUUGGCACGGACUGAAGACAAGACCUGUGAUUUCGAGAUCCUAUAAUUCGAUCGAUCCAGUUUGAUGGGUGAAGUGAAAGUAAACGAGGAAACAUAGGAGUUUGUAUUCUGAUUUGAGCUUGACGAAGCCAUGAGAAUUGAUAGCACAGGCUCGGAUAUCAAGUUAAAGUUUCUAAUCUGUUUGGUAAUUAAGAAAACCAGCGAAAAUGAAAGAAAGAACAGAGAUCAUCUAAGAGCUGGAUUUGAUGAAUAAAUCUGAAUCAUACAUUCUUUAGCUGAUUAAAAAUGUAUUUAUACAAGUUCCUGAAUAUUUUAGAUUCCAUAUGCUUGAGCUAAGCACCUGAGAGUUGAGCAGUGUGCACUAACAAACUGCUAACAAAAUAACUAACUUAUGCCAGCCCAGCUAACACAUCAGUAACUCUAACUAUCUUGCUUAACAAACUGAAACAAUAACUAACCAUUCCAAUAAUUUCUCCAUUUGUGUAUUUCUUGAAUCAUAAUCAAAUGGGUAAAUGUUGCAACUGUUCUUUUAGAUAUUUUCACUUUGGGCUGUCAGGCCGGGGAAGUGCGGGAGGUCUGAGUGACUCAACUGAAAAUGUCGGCCAAGUUCUUGCCAUCUCAGGUGUAAAACUGAUACUCUUGCUCCCCAUUUAUACUUACUACGAAACUGAAAAUGUUACUCGUUCCUCUUAACUUGUUUUCUCAUGCAUCAACCCCACAAAGCUGCUUAUUGCAGGGGUAAAAUUUUGAACACACCAUGUGGCAUUUAGACCAUUUGAUAGUUUGUUUCAAACAUAUUUGUUUAUAAAAUACUUUUCUUCAUGGAUUUGGUUACGUAAUUGUCUAUGUAUGUACAGGUUUUAUCGAUACCUCUUUUGACAAGUUACACUUCCAUAGCAAUGUUAUCUGGGUUCAGCCGUGCCUUAUUGAUAAAUCUGUAAUGAAGAAUGUUUUAUCUGUAAGUGGAUAUCCUAAUCAUUGAUCCAUAUCCAUAAGCAAGUAUGUAUAAAAUUAUUUUAUGUCUUUUUAUUAGGAUUGUUGUAAUUCUUUUUUACUUUUCCUGAAUUGUAACAUCAGGUGUCUAUAAUAACUGGAUUAUUCCUUCUGCAAAACAGAGCAGUGGUAAAUAUUUUUUUUCUUUUGUUUGUUUAGUACAUUUACAUGCUUUCAGCUUUUUCAAAUUUUGUAUGUGUCCAAGUUUAACUUUAAUUUGUUGGUUUAUCCCACAACAAAAGGAACAGCAUCAAAUUUUGUUGGUUUAUGCCAAAACUACCGGUCCAGCUGUAGGAGGUGCUCUGUGAGUGUCCUAUUGAUUUUGUAAAAUUAUAUGUAAAUGAUGUUAUGAUUUUUAUUGUCCCCCCCCCCCCCCCCCCAACACAAAAAAAAGCAUGAUUAAAUUGAUCAUUUGUUGGGUAACAACUUGAUUAACCGGUCCUGGCAGAUUUUCUUGGUCACAAAAGCGUCAAGAUGCUGUUUCCUCCCAGGUAUGAUGAUUUACUAAUGAAAUUUCUCACGAGUUGGUGAAUUACUUUGUGCUAAUUAGCUUAAUUAGCUGCUUAAACUAAAGUGCAGGUAACCAAAUGGUUUUUUUUUUCAUUCUGAAUUUGGUUGAGGCACUUGGAGUAAUAUUGACAUUCAAACCGUUUCUAACUCAACGCGCCCCGUGAGUUGAGAAAAGAUGCAUCUGUUGAAAUAUUCAAAUAUAUUUCAAGCAAAUUAAAGCUUUUCAAAAUCUAUCAACAAUAUGAUUAUUUGAUGUGGUUGCCACUUGCCAUAUUUUGUGUUACUGUUCUAAAGGGUUAAAUAUGAAAAUGGUUGUUGGUGCUCACACCAAUCGAUAGCUGGUAACAUUAACUCCUCAAUACUUAUACUUGUUCAUUUUCAGAACUACGACAAUUUAUCUUCACAAUGAUGCAAGCUAGAAAGAAUUUUUCAUGUUAAGUAAAACAUUGAAGCCAUAAAGAGUCUUAAUUGAGUACUAAGUUUUCUACCAUGCUUUCAACGGUAACAUAUUUGGAGCUCUUAUUCCAGGGGCUUCACAGUAGAGAGACCUGAUUUCGAUCUUCUUCAGAACUUGGGGAUUCCGUAAUAACAGAGGACAACAGUUAUAUAAGAAUAUUAUUUUGUACAAUUUUCGUAUAACCUGACCAAUGCAAGUAUAAUUUUAUGAUCUUAACUCAGAUCAAAAGACCUUCAAUGAUGUAAAUUUGCACAUAAAGCUGAGAUCCAAACAUUAGAACUUAUGAUGAAACGCAAACAAAAACGGUGAGAUUGAAAAGAUAGAGAAACACAAGCUUUUUAGUAGGAAUAAAUGCUCAUUUAGUCUCUAUAUUUUGACUCGAGCGCAUUUAGUUCUUAUAUUUUAAAAAGUGCCUCAACCUCAAGACACCCCCUAUUGUGAAAUAUAUUUUGUUUCUACCUUUUUUUUUUACAAUAAUACUCUUGGAAUAAUAUUUUUGGGAAUAUUAAUGAAAAUAAAAAAAUGGUAAUCAUCUAGCCAGCCUUAAACAAAAUAAAUAUUAAUAAAAACUUUUAUGUUAUUAUUUUAGUUUUAGGACUAAUUUCGUAAAUUAAAUUUUUUAUGCAUUUAUUAGUAAGAUUGCUUUAAGAAUAUUAAACAUUACUUUAAGAUGGCUGAUAUUAAUUUAUUUAUAAAGAAUUAUUAGCAAGAUUGUUGUGAAAGUACAAAAAAUACUGGUUAUUUCACAUUGAUAUUUAUUGAUUAAUUUGCCAAUUAACUUUUUUUAUAAAUAAAUUUAAGAAUAUUAUUGCCAAGAUAUUAUUGUAAAGGUAAAUAAAAUUUAAGGAAAAAAUGUAACGUAUUUAAUAUCAAGGUAUAUUGAGGUAUUUUUUAAAAUAUAAAAACUAAACGAGCAUUGAAAUUAAAGAGCAAUGAUAUAGCCACAAACUCUUGUACAAACUUAUUUUGUACAAACUGAUGUGGCAUGAUAAGAUUAGUUGAAUUAAAUAUCACUUUGCCCACAUGAUUUGUUUUUAUUAUUUUAUAUUUUCAUUCAACCAAUGAAUUAAUGCCACGUCAGUUUGUACAAAAUAAGUUUGUACAAGAGUUUGUGACUGUAUCAUUACUCGAAAUUAAAAUACAGGUACCAGACAAGUAUUUUCUCUUUUAGAAAGUUUUAUAUUUUAUUAAUGAAAGUCUGAAUAACAAAAUUAAGGUUUUGGACUUCUUUUAAACUAAACUUAAAUAUCACAAAUUUACCAAAAUAAGUAAACCUAAAAUAUUAAUACAUAAUAACAUUCUCCUAACUGAAAUAAAGAUAAAUGCUACUCAAAUUCUAUAUCUAGAAAAAAAAAAAGGUAAAAAUCCUGAAAACAAUAGGAAAAUAGAUCUUAAACUUGUAAAAUUAUAUGAAAUAAAUAUAAUUUUCAAUCGAACCACGAGACUAAUGUGGCGCUACAGUAUUAGAUUAGAUUCCCCUCGUUGCAAACUUCGAAAGGUAUAUUAUACACCCUAAAUACAUACUUAUAGCUCAAGUUGUUACCCUAGAGAGAUACUCUACUCAUCCUAUGCAACCAUCCGUUGCAUCAAAUUCGUUCCAAAAUUAAGAAUAAAUCAGCUGAUGCAUUCCAAAUAAUUUAGAUGAAACGAUAAAAUAAACCUAGAGAUCAAAUAAAAUGAAAUGAAAAUGAUAAUUACCUCGGACUAAAGCUCAUACAAAUUCAUUAUUUGACACCUCCAGCAAUUGUUGAAAUAAUAGUUAAUGAAAUAUAAAAUAAGACAAAAGUACAUAUUAAUGACACACCACUGUGAAUCGAUACAUCAACGUAAUACAUCAAUUGAAAUAUCAUACGAUAAAUUAGUCAGAGAAAGAAAUAAGUAAAUAAAUCAGCAAAGGAAACAUGCAUAAACAAAUUAAAAAAAAAACAAAGACAAAAGAAGGAAGAGUUGUCUGUGAGAAUCUUCUUCUAUGGUCAUUGAAGUCCCAAAACUAAUAAGGAUCGAUCAAUUGAACAGUUGCAAACUCAAUGGAAAUACAAUGGAACCUUAAAAAUGAACAGUGAAGGAAAAUGAAGAAAUCCGCAGGAAAUAAGGCGAGUAAGAGUGAAGAAUUAAUUACCACUGAGUAAAAUUGAGAGUUGUGAUCUAGAAGAGAUUCUUCUUCUCCGUAAUCCCCUUUUUUCUUUUAAUGUUGUUAUUAUUAUUAUUAUAUAUAUAUUUUCAAUUUCAUGAUUUCUUUUUUGUUUUAAACGGUAUUGGCAUAUUACAUUUAUUUAUGUUAAUUUUACAAUACCUCCCUUCAGAUUGCACAAAUUACAUAAAAAAAAAGCGCUUUAUGUAUAAAACUUUCAAACAAAUUGGGCCAAAAUCUAACUUUACCAAGUUUAGAGUAAUUUUGGGCUCGACAUUCCGUUUCCGACAAACGAAUUUUCUUUAUCACCAAGGUAUGAUACUUUUCAUAUUUAUCCAACGGCUCGUCAAUGACAAUACCUUUGUAAAAAGUACUUAUUUUGAAUAGUAUAUUGUGGAAAUGUCUGGUCGGUAAUACAACUAUUUCUUAUAGUGUAAAAAUGAUACACUAAGCGUUCACAUUUUGAUGAGUAAAUUAAGGAUUUCAAGAUGAAGUACAUAAUUAGAUUAAUGCUAAGAAACUGAAGUUUGAUCGAUUGAAAACGAAAAUAAUAAUGAAGGUAAUUAAGAAAAUGAACAAUAUAUGCGGAAGCGGUCCUUAUUAGUACUUCUAGAUUUUCUCUUGGGCUUUCCUUAUUAUUGUUAAAAAAUGACCCGAAGAACUUUGAGUUUAAAAAUCUGGCCCUGAUGCCUGGUAGCCCUUCAACACAUGAAGCACCAGAUGUUUUGAUGAGAAAAUGACAAGACCAUUUAUCAAAUUUCUUGUGGAUAUAAAUACAUACACAUAGACGAGACCAACCUCCUCAAAUGAGAAUCAGAGUGAUUACAAGACCUUGCAAUGAGACAAUGAUACACCAUCAAAUGUCAAAAUACAAUAGAAAUUCACGACAUAUAUAUAAUAAAAGACCUCUCAUUGAGUCAUAUAUAUUGAGAAUAAAAAUGUUAUAAUACAUACACAGAGCUUAGUUAGAAUAAAAUGUCUUUGAACUUACGAUGAUCAAACAAAGGAAACAGACAGGUUGUAACUCACACUAUCACAAGAAGAUCACGAAGAUGGAAAUGGGAACCCCUCAGAAUGGAAACUUUGAAUAGAGCAAAAAAGAAAAAACGACCUUAUUCACAGAAGAAGAGUGAUACAACUUGGCCAAUUGUUGUGAAUCAGAUCGAGCACAAUGAGACAGCAAGGGAAGAGACCCAGCCUGCAGAAAUAGAAGAAGUCCAACCCUUGAAUGAGACACAAGCUAAAGAGCAGCUCAAGACAGGUCCAGCUCGCGCGAGAAAGAAACCAGGAUGGCUCAAAGACUUUGUCAUUUGAGGAAUGUUCGAGAAUGCUUGAGAUAUCAUAAUAACGAAUAUUGUUCUGUUUUCAAUUAUUGUUUUGUUGUUAUCAAUUUUAUUCUAUUUAGUUAGUUAAGGGUGCGUGGCUGUUUUUGGAAGGGAGAAUAUAUUGUACUGUCAAGGGACCCAUGAGGGCAUGAAAAGAAAGGAUAUCAUUUUGUCUUUUUUCAGCUUCGUCUUCUUUCUCUUCUCUGUAACUCCCCUGUCCCAUUUCUCUUUCUUCAAAUUAUUUUCUCCACGAAUUGGAGCUUGCACUCGCUCAAAGAGUGUCGUAUCAACUGGUGCUUUCAUUGCAUUUAAUCUCUUUACACAAAACAAAAAAAAAAUGUCUCUCACAGAACCAACGACUGAUUCAGCAGUUCUCUCCACCAUGAAGACGCUCAUUGAAAAUCAAAUGCUUGCUGUUCAUCAGACCUUAUAGCAAUAUAUGUCCACGGUGGAUUCUCGAUUUGAGGAGCUACGUUCCCAAAUCAAUGGUUCCGUCGGAGGGUCAGUGGGUUCUUCCCGCCCAAUGGCGCCAGAACCAGCGUCUUCGACUGUACUGUCAGGUGUUACUGAUAUCUCUCCUCUGUUGCGUUCUAUGAAAAUGAAUGUCCCAAAAUUUGAUGGCACUGAUCCGAAUGGUUGGGAUUUUUGAAUCAAUGAGUUCUUUGAUUUUCACGGCACCCCUGACCAUUUACGCCUUCGUAUUGUAUCUUUUCACAUGGAGGGAAAAGCAGCAGCAUGGUAUCAAUGGAUGAAGGCCAACAACUUGCUGAGCACUUGGCAGAAUUUUUUACUCAAUCUUAAGCAAAGAUUUGGUACAUCCUGUUGAAAAGUCAAAGAGGUUUGGUUGAAAAAGAAAAGUGAGUCACAUGCAUUGCUUUUGUUUUUCAAAGUCAGCACCAAAUUGCAAGCUGUAAAAUAUUUGGCAUUUGACAAUCCUGCACCAAAUGAAGAAAAAUGGAAAAGUAAGCAAAAUUUGUCAAAUUGACAGAGAUGGAGAUUGACAAAUUGCAGAGGGAUUAGGUGGAAUAGUGCAUGCUUGAAGCCUAUAAAUUGAAGCCAUUUUUUUUCAUUCUAAAUCAUCCCAAAAUUUGUUAAGCUUAUAAGUUUCUAAGCUUUUGAGAGUUCUGAAAGUGUGAGCAAUUGGAGAGUGUGUGUGAGAGUACUGGGUGUAUUUGGGUUCUGGAAAAGUGAGAUUUCUUUACUCAAAUUUGUACUCAAAUAAUUGUUAAUAAUACAAUUAUUUUUCUCUUGCUCCCAUGGACAUAGGCAUAUUGCCGAACCACGUAAAUUCUUGUGUCCUUUAUUUUUCUAUGAUUAUUCGGUGUGUUUGUUUCCGCAUUCCGCGCACAACAAGUGGUAUCAGAGCCGACGGUUCGUACUUGGGGGGAUACGGUACAAUUUACGUAUACGGUACUAUUCAUGUAUACGGUACUGUUCACGAAUACGGUGGAGACGGCCAUUUGUACUUAGGAGACAGUCUAUUGUAAGUAGUGUGUAUUUUUGCAUGUCUAGGAAAGUUCUGUCAACAAAGGCGAUAAGAGUCUAAGGAUUCUGGUUUUUAAUUGGGACCAAGUUCCUGUCCAGUUUCCUGGAAACUUUCCUGGUGCAUUUAUUCACGCGAAAUUAACAUCAUAGAGACUGUUUUUCAAGUGAAAAUAGUUCGUUGAGAAAAUGGUAGAAGGUGAAACUUCCAGAAUUGGGGAGAGAUCUGCCGAGACUAUUUCAGGAGACACUUCAGGUAGGAGGCGAGAUUUGUCAAAUCGCUAUUCAGCACCUGUUAUAGGAGGCCAGAAGAUCGAUAUUGAAAAGUUUGAUGGGAAAAUCAACUUCGGCAUGUGGAAGCGCGAAGUUAUGGAUGCCCUUAUUCAAAUCGAUCUCGAUGUUGUUCUGAAAAAUAAAAGACACUUGUAUGAUGAAGAAAUUUAGGAUCGUAUGAACGAGAAAGCUUGUGGUCAGAUUUGAUCUUGUUUGACUAAGGAGGUGAAAUACUUGGUGAAAGAUGAGGAGUGUGCGGUGACUUUGUGGCGUACAUUGGAGGAGAAGUACCUGCUAAAAAGUCCUGAAAAUCAUCUUUCGAAUGAAGCCUGGGGUGUCAAUGCACGAUCAUGUCUCAAGAUUUGAAAAGUUACUUGCUGAUUUGAAGAAUCUUGAUGAAGAUAUUAAGGAUGAAAUCAAGGCUAUGAUUCUGUUACACUCACUGCCAGAGGAAUAUAGCCAUUUUGUGACUACCUUGAUAUAUGGGAAGAAUGUGAUCGUCUUCAAAGAUGUUUGCACAACAUUGACUAACUUGGAGAUUCGGAAUAAUGAUAAAAAUUCUGAACGAGCAUCGUCUGAAGCUUUAGUGAGUAGAGAUUGGGUGAUGGAGAAAAAGAAAAAGCGUGGUGGAAAGAAUUCUCGAUCCAAAUCGAGAAGCAGAAAUCUAGCUCGAGAUGAGUGUGCCUUUUGACAUGAAAAGGGCCAUUGGAGGAAAGAUUGUCCAAAGGCUCAAAAGAGAGAUGGGAAGAAACCAGCAGCAGCAAACAUGGCACGGAAAGAUGAGGACUCUGAUUAUUCACUAAGUAUUACUCCUGCAGCAUACGUGGCUAGUUCGAGUGAGUGGAUACUUGAUACUGGAGCAACCUAUCAUUUGUGUCCCAUUAAUGAAUGGUUUACGAAUUUUCGUAAUCUGGAAUCCGGUGCAGUUGUGAUGGGGAAUGAUCAACCUUGUCGCACAAUGGGGAUAGGAACAAUUCGGCUCAAAAUGUUUGAUGGAAUGAUCAGAGAACUCAAAGAGGUUAGAUUUGUUCCAGCUUUAAAGAAAAAUCUAAUUUCUGUGGGUGCUUUGGAAGCUAAAGGCUACAAGGUUACCAUUGAAGAUGGCACAAUGAAAUUUACACAUGGGGCUAUGGUGAUUCUGCAAGGGGUUCGGCGUCACAAUCUGUACUAUUUGAAGGGAGGUACAACUGAUGAAGCAAAUAUUAUUGAGGCGCACAGUAACACCACCAAGCUAUGGCAUGUACGGCUGGGACAUACUGGCGAGAAGUCUUUGCAAACUCUGAUGAGGCACGGACUCUUAAAAGGUACCAAAACCUGUAAAUUAAAUUUCUGUGAGCAUUGUGUAGUAGACAAGAAAACAAGGGUCAAGUUUGGUACAGCCAAUCACGAUACUCGUGAGAUCCUUGAAUAUGUUCAUAGUGAUGUAUAGGGAUCAACCAAGAUUGCAUCAAUUGGUGGAAGCCAUUAUUUUGUUACGUUUGUUGAUGAUUUCUCUAGAUGUGUGUGGGUGUACACCAUGCGAGCAAAGGAUGAGGUUCUAGAGAUUUUCGUGAAAUGGAAGAAAUUGGUGGUGACUCAAACUGGCAGAAAGAUCAAAGUAUUACGAUUUGAUAAUGGAGGUGAAUAUACUUCUGAUCCAUUCUUGCAAGUAUGCCAGAACGAGGGUAUUAAAAGACAUUUCACGGUGAGACAUACUCCGCAACAGAACGGUGUGGCUGAGCGUAUGAAUCGUACUUUACUGGAGAAGGUACGGUGUAUGUUAUCUAAUGCUGGUUUAGAUAAAAAAUUUUGGGCUAAAGCUAUGAGCUACGCAAGUCACUUGGUAAACCAGUUGCCUUCUGCUGCAAUUAGAGGUAAAACUCCUAUGGAAAUGUGGUCUGGAAAGCAUGCACAAGACUAUGAUUCUCUUCGUAUAUUCGGGUGUCCAGCUUAUUAUCAUGUCAAAGAUGGUAAACUGGAUCUUCGUGCUAGAAAAGCUAUCUUUAUGGGAUUCAAAUGUGGAGUAAAGGGCUUCAAGCUUUGGGAUCUCGAAGACAAAAAGUUUGUGUGUAGCAGAGAUGUCACAUUUGAUGAAGCUUCAAUGAUGAAAGCUUCAAGUUCUCAGCAGGUGGAGAACAAGACCAAAGAGGUAUUGCAGCGGGUGGAGUUUGAUGCAACUUCAUAUGUACCAGUUAGUUCUACAUCAAAGAAUGGUUCAACUAUGGAGGUGACACUUAGAGUUGAAGAAUAUGUUAUUUCUUCUGAUGUCCCACAAAAUGAAGAAACAAUUGAUGAUGUAGAUAAUUAUGAUUUUAUAGCAACAAGGAGACCAAAAAGAGAGAUAAAGAAACUCGAAUGGCUUACUAAAGAUAUGGUGGUAGCCUAUGCACUUUCAGUUAUUGAUGAUGACAUCCCCAACACUUUCGGUGAAGCAUUACGCAACAGUGAAAGUGAUCAGUGGAAGUUAGCCAUGGAGGAAGAGAUGAAAUCUCUCCAUCAAAACCAGACUUGGGAACUUGUAAAGUUACCAAAGGGGAAAAGGGCUAUUGGCAAUAAAUGGGUCUACACCAAAAAGCAAGGAUUUCCGAAUCAAACAACUCCUCGAUAUAAGGCAAGGCUCGUGGCAAAAUGUUUUGCUCAAAAGGAAGGUAUUGACUACAAUGAAGUUUUCUCUCCAGUUGUAAAACAUACUUUCAUUCGUAUCCUACUUGCCUUAGUUGCAGAAUAUGAGUUAGAGUUGGCUCAAUUGGAUGUUAAGACAGCGUUCUUACAUGGAGAGUUGGAGGAGGAAAUCUAUAUAAUUCAGCCUUGUGGUUUCAGAGUUGCUGGAAAGGAGAAUCAUGUGUGUAGAUUGAUUAAAUCUUUGUACGGACUGAAGCAAUCAUCAAGGCAGUGGUACAAAAGAUUUGAUCAAUUUAUACAAGGGAAGAAAUUCACCAGAAGUGAACACGAUCAUUGUGUUUACUUUAGAAGACUACUAGAUGGAGCUUUCAUCUAUUUGUUACUCUAUGUCGACGAUAUGCUUAUAGCUUCAAAGAAUAGAGAUGAGAUCGAAAGAUUAAAGAAGCAGCUGGCUUCUGAGUUUGAGAUGAAAGAUUUGGGUGAUGCACAGAGAAUACUUGGGAUGGAGAUUCAUAGAGACAAGAAGAAUGGGAGCGUAUGGUUGACUGAAAAGUCUUAUUUGAAGAAAAUGCUAGAAAGAUUCGGUAUGGAUGACAAAACUAAACCGGUAUGUACACCUCUAGCUCCUCAUUUCAAAUUAAACUCUUCUUCAUGUCCUAAAUCUCAAGAGGAGCGCGAUUACAUGGCUCGUGUUCCAUAUGCUAGUGUUGUGGGUAGUCUUAUGUAUGCUAUGGUAUGCACAAGGCACGAUAUAUCUCAAGCAGUGAGCAUGGUUAGUAGAUACAUGCACAAUCCGGGUAAAAAUCAAUAGCUUGCGGUAAAGUGGAUUCUCCGAUAUCUGUAUGGGACAGUUGAUGUUGGGUUAUUGUUCAAGAAGGAUUGUGGUCAACAAUGUGUUGGGUAUUGUGAUUCUAAUUUCGCUGGAGACCUUGACAAGCGAAGAUCAACAACAGGCUGCGUAUUCACAUUGGGUGAAGGUCCGGUUAGCUGGAGGUCGAUUCUACAAUUGACAAUUACUCUAUCCAGUACGGAAGCAGAGUAUAUGGCAGCAACUGAAGCUGUAAAAAAAGCUAUCUGGUUGAAAGGCUUGUUAAGUGAUUUGGGAGUAAUCCAGGAAAACAUUACGGUCUUCUGUGAUAAUCAAAGUGCGAUAUUCCUUGCGAAGAAUCAAACAUAUCACGCUCGGACGAAGCACAUAGAUGUGAAAUAUCAUUAUGUGAGGGAGAUUAUCAAGAGCGGUGUUGUGUUGUUGAAAAAGAUCGAUACCAAAGAUAAUCCAUCAGAUAUGUUGACGAAGGUAGUUUCUGGAGUUAAGUUUCAACAUUGCUUGAAACUAAUUCAAAUCCUUCGAUUGUGUUAAGUUAUGUCCUUCGAUAAUUUUGAACUACGGUUGGCUUGAUCCCAAAUUUUGGGUACGUAGGCAGUCACAUAGAUGUAACCACUUUGGGGAUGAUGAUUGGUUGGUAGUCGGCUCAGAUUUGAACAAAUCUUCGCCGAGGUGGAGAAUUAUUGAAAAGUCGCCGAGGUGGAGAAUUGUUGAAAAGUCAAAGAGAUUUGGUUGAAAAAGAAAAGUGAGUCACAUGCAUUGCUUUUGUUUUUCAAAGUCGGCACCAAAUUGCAAGCUGUAAAAUAUUUGGCAUUUGACAAUCCUGCACCAAAUGAAGAAAAAUGGAAAAGUAAGCAAAAUUUGUCAAAUUGACAGAGAUGGAGAUUGACAAAUUGCAGAGGGAUUAUGUGGAAUAGUGCAUGCUUGAAGCCUAUAAAUUGAAGCCAUUUUUUCAUUUUUUCUUACUUUUCCAUUUUUUAUGCAGAGGGAUUAGGUGGAAUAGUGCAUGCUUGAAGCCUAUAAAUUGAAGCCAUUUUUUUCAUUCUAAAUCAUCCCAAAAUUUGUUAAGCUUAUAAGUUUCUAAGCUUUUGAGAGUUCUGAAAGUGUGAGCAAUUGGAGAGUGUGUGUGAGAGUACUAGGUGUAUUUGGGUUCUGGAAAAGUGAGAUUUCUUUACUCAAAUUUGUACUCAAAUAAUUGUUAAUAAUACAAUUAUUUUUCUCUUGCUCCCAUGGACGUAGGCAUAUUGCCGAACCACGUAAAUUCUUGUGUCCUUUAUUUUUCUGUGAUUAUUCGGUGCGUUUGUUUCCGCAUUCUGCGCACAACACAUCCAUGUAUGAAGAUCAUCCAGGUAACCUCUCCAAGCUCUCCCAAACGUCGACUGUUGCUGAUUUUCAGUCUGCCUUUGAGGAUUUGAUGAACAAGGUCACGGGCAUCUCCGAGCCAUUGUUGGUUAAUUUCUUUAUCACGGGCUUAAAACCCGAUAUCAGGCGAGAAUUAUUAUUUGCAAGACCCACAUCUCUCAUGGAGGCUUUUGCUUUAGCCAUAGCUUAUGAGGCACGAUCGGAAGAAAUCAAGACCUCUAGCCGUUCUUGGACAAAGUGGACACCCUCAUCUACUUACACCCACCAAUCCACCAUUACUGCCUCCCCACAUCCUGCAUCAUAUAAAACCCCAACAACAACUACUCUUCCGAGUUUGUUAGCCACUAAACAGCCACCUCAACCCCCAUUAUUGCCUACUCCCACCUUGCCUAUUCAUCGAUUAACUCCAACAGAAUUAAGAGAGAAAAGAGAAAAAAGGGCUCUGUUACAACUGUGACAAAAAAUAUAGCGCCACACAUCGCUGUCGUAGCAAGUUUUUGUUAUUAAUGGGUACGGAUGAUGAAGAUGAUGAGCCAAGUGAGGACGCUUUUAUUCAUGCACAACCAGACGAAGUAGUCACAGCGGACAUAUCUAGUUUGCAUGCCUUGGCUGGGCAAACUAAUCCACGAUCUUUAAGGGUGAUGGGCACCGUUGUCAACUAUCAGUUUCAGGUGUUAAUUGACAGUGGCAGUACCCACAAUUUUCUUAAGCCGCCAUUGGCUAAACGCCUUGGCCUUUCCGUUCAAGCUAUAACUCCUUUUCGAGUUUACAUUGGCAAUGGCAAUUUUCUUACUUGUCGAUUUCUCUGCCCUAAAGUGCCUAUCAAUAUGCAGGGGCAUGAAUUUCUUUUGGAUUUCUUCCUUUUGCCAAUCGAAGGCCCUGAUGCUUUCCUUGGGAUUCAAUGGUUACAAAGCUUGGGAAGAAUUUCUACGGAUUAUUCCGAGAUGACGAUGGAGUUUCAGUAGGAGGGAAAAUCUGUCAUUUUACGAGGAGACCCAAUUCCAAAUCCGAAUUUAAUCUCUUUUAACCAGUUUCAUGCCUUGCUAUCCAACUCCAAAAUCGACAACGUAUUUGAACUUCAUUCUUUACCAACUGAACCAUCAACAACUCACACAUCUACCAACACAUUGCCGGAUAAUGACUUAGAAUUUCCGAGGUCGUUGCCUGAACCUAUUACUACUCUCCUUCAAAAAUUUAAGGCAUUAUUUGCUCCACCCACUGGUCUUCCCCCUCAACGGCUAUUUGAUCACAAAAUACACCUUAUUCCCAAUUCCAAACCAGUCAACGUUCGCCCAUAUCGGUAUCUUUAUUUUCAGAAAACCGAAAUGGAGAAAUUGGUGAGAGAAAUGUUAAAUCAAGGCAUCAUAAAACCCAGCCAAAGCCCAUUUUCUUCACCGGUAAUGCUAGUAAAGAAAAAGGAUGGCUCCUACAGAUUCUGUGUGGAUUACCGCGCUGUGAAUACGGUGACAGUGAAGGACAAAUUUCCCAUCCCCACUAUUGAUGAAUUGUUUGACGAACUUGGCGGUGCUAGGAUUUUCAGCAAACUUGAUCUAAGAGCCGGUUAUCACCAGAUAAGAGUUCACAAGAGGGAUACUUAUAAAACAGCGUUUCGCACGCAUGAUGGACACUACGAGUUUCUUGUUAUGCCGUUCGGUUUGACCAACGCGCCGUCCACUUUUCAAGCAACAAUGAACCAAUUAUUUGCUUCCUUUUUACGUAAAUUUGUUAUUGUCUUUUUUGAUGAUAUAUUGGUCUAUAGUGCAUCAUUGGCUGAUCAUGUGUAUCAUUUGGAGCAGGUUAUGAGUUGUUUAUACACAUAUCAAUUUUAUGUCAAAUUCUCCAAAUGUUUGUUUUGCCAGGAAUCAAUUGAUUAUUUGGGCCAUAUUGUGUCGGCUCGAGGAGUGCACGCUAAUCCGCAAAAGAUCACAGCCAUGGUAGAUUGGCCCUUGCCUAAAUCGGUGAAGCAACUGAGAGGGUUCUUGGGGCUGACAGGGUACUACUGACGUUUUAUUCAAGGCUAUGCAACCAUCGCAGCUUCUCUCACUGAGUUGCUUUGUAAGGAGGCUUUUUAUUGGAAUCUGGCAGCUACUCAAGCUUUUCAAGCAUUAAAGAAGGCUCUUGUGGAAGCCCCUGUACUUCACUUGCCGAAUUUUGCCUUGGAGUUUGUCAUUGAGACCGAUGCUUCUAAUGUCGGGAUCGGUGCUGUGCUAAUGCAAGUCGGGCAUCCUCUAUCUUAUUUUAGCAAAAAGUUGGGUCCUCGAAUGCGUGCAUCCUCGACAUAUUUGAAGGAAUUAUAUGCUAUUGUAGCUGCGGUUCAAAAAUGGCGUCAAUACCUCCUUGGUCGAUUUUUCCUUAUACGCACUGACCAUAAAAGCAUAAAGGAACAGUUUCAACAAGUUAUUCACACCCCAAAGCAGUAAUUUUACAUUCGCAAGUUGAUGGGUUAUCAAUACAGAAUCGAUUAUAAAGCUAGUAACUUCAAUAAAGUUGCUGAUGCUUUAUCGCGAAUUCAUGGGGACAACGUGACUGAAGAACCCAAACCAACAGCACUCUGUUUGUCAUUUGUAAGCCAACCUUCUAGUGAACUAUUGACAGCUCUGCACAAGGAAAAUUGCACUCUUCCUGAUAUGAAAUAACUCCAUCAGAGGUAUGCAGCCGGUUCACUUUCUUCUGACUUCUCGGUUCCUGCUAUUUCGACAUCGAUAUUACCUCAGCCCCAACUCAUCAUUAAAAGCCGUGCUACUCAAAGAGUUUCACGAGACACCUAUGGCAGGACAUGCUGGUAUUAAAAAGACAUUGGUACGUCUUUCAUCGACUUUUUUUUGGCCUAAGAUGAGGAAAGAUGUUGAGCAAUAUGUAGCCGCUUGCCUUGUUUGCCAGCAAAUUAAAUACUCAACUCAAGCGCUGGCGGGUCUGUUACAACCUUUGCCCGUCCCUUCAUUAGUUUGGGAUGAGUUAACCAUGGAUUUCAUUACAGGGCUGCCACUUUUGAGAGGAUUUGAAGCAAUUCUGGUUGUUGUGGAUCGUUUAUCAAAGUCAGCUCACUUUGGAGCCUUGCCUUCUCAAUUUACUGCCAUCAAAACAGCAGCUUUAUUUGCUGACAUGGUUGUAAAAUUACAUGGAUUUCCUAGCUCUAUAAUUUCAUAUCGUGAUCCUAUAUUCAUGAGCAACUUUUGGCAAAAAUUGUUUGAUUUAAGUGGGACAUAGUUAUGCCACAGCACGGCUUAUCACCCUCAAACGGAUGGCUAAUCCGAAGUAGUUAACCGAGGGCUUGAGCAAUAUUUACGAGCCUUCGCACAAGACAAGCCACAGACAUGGUCUUCAUUUUUAGGCUGGGCUGAAUUUUACUACAAUACCAGUUAUCACAGCAGCUUGCGUAUGACUCCCUUUCAAGCCCUUUAUGGACGUCUUCCUCCCACAAUUCCAAGUUACUCAAGGGGCUCUACUUCAAUCCAAGCGUUAGAAGACAUGUUAAUUGAGAGGGAUGCCAUGCUUUGCUCAUUGAAAGAGAACUUACGACAAGCUCAGCAUCGAAUGGCUCAAAAGGCUAAUUUACAUCGCCGAGAAAUUCAAUUGCAGGUAGGUGAUAAAGUGCUGGUACACCUUCAACCAUAUCGCUAGACAUCAGUUGCUAAGCGCUCAUCUCACAAGCUGGCAAGGCACUAUUAUGGACCAUUCACAGUGGUAAAGCGUAUUGGACCCGUUGCUUACAAGUUAGAGUUACCCACAAAUUGUAGAAUUCACUCGGUGUUCCAUAUUUCCUUACUAAAACCUUAUGUGGGAAACUUCCUCAUUGAUGUUUAUUCACUGCCUCCAGGAAGUGUGGAUAACAAGCCCCUGUCAUCGCAAAUUGCAGUAUGUGCUGAGCGAAAGAUACUUCAACAAGGCAAAGUAAUUCCACAAAUUUUGGUGCAAUGGUCUGAUAGCUCACCAGAAAAUUCGACUUGGGAGGACUUUGAGGAAUUUCGUAAACUCUACCCUGCACUACACCUUGAGGACAAGGUAAGCUUUCAAGGAAUGGGGAAUGAUACAACUUGGCCAAUUGUUGUGAAUCAGAUCGAGCACAAUGAGACAGCAAGGGAAGAGACCCAGCCUGCAGAAAUAGAAAAAGUCCAACCCUUGAAUGAGACACAAGCUAGAGAGCAGCUCAAGACAGGUCCAACUUGCGCGAGAAAGAAACCAGGAUGGCUCAAAGACUUUGUCAUUUGAGGAAUGUUCGAGAAUGCUUGAGAUAUCAUAAUAACGAAUAUUGUUCUGUUUUCAAUUAGUGUUUUGUUGUUAUCAAUUUUAUUCUAUUUAGUUAGUUAAGGGUGCGUGGCUGUUUUUGGAAGGGAGAAUAUAUUGUACUGUCAAGGGACCCGUGAGGGCAUGAAAAGAAAGGAUAUCAUUUUGUCUUUUUUCAGCUUCGUCUUCUUUCUCUUCUCUGCAACUCCCCUGUCCCAUUUCUCUUUCUUCAAAUUCUUUUCUCCACGGAUUGGAGUUUGCACUCGCUCAAAGAGUGUCGUAUCAAAGAGUGACUUAAAUUUUCAUCAGUAUCCAGACAUUCUGCAAUCAUAGAGUAGAGAAAUUUUAACAGGAACAGCAGAGAAAAUAUUAUGAAUAUGCUAUAGACCAAUAUACUUGUUCAUAGCUAACGUUUGAUGGUUUAAGGAUUUGUUCUAGGAAUAAUGGGUUGAUUACUUUUUUUAUUUUAAUUUUUUUUAAUCCAAUGAAUGAUAUUCAGCUGUUAAUUAUGUGUUCAUAGGGAAGAACAUUUUCUAAGUACUUUCCUUGCCUUCUAACUUUCCGAAAAGCAAACCCAAUGAACAAACAGAGCACAAACUAAAAUAAAAGAACAGCAAUGAUGACAAUAAAUAAUUGGAAAAGAAAAAAAGGAAAAAGUAUGCACGUUUUCAAGGAAUUAUAAAAUACGAAGGCUUUUAAUGAAAUUUUAUCAUAAAAACGUAUGCAAGGAGUUAUAAAAUUUUAGAAGACGAGGGGAGCUCCCAAAAAAAAAAAAAAAAGAAAAAGACUCAAAUUAAACUAGACUAAAAAGACAUUCAAUUAUGCAAAAUCUGUCCAUAAAAGUCUGAAAGGAUCAUUAAAAUUGCAUUGCAAAUUUAACAGUAAACUGAGGGACCCAUUCUAAAUAAUUCAGUUGAAAUUGCGAAACAAGCCAUGGGAUUAAAUAAAUGAAAUAAAAAUUAAUUACCAGUUGAGACUUUCUUCUAAAAAUUCGCAACUCCAAGUCAUAAGAAGCCUAUGAAAUUAGUCGUAAUACGUAGAGUAUAUCGACGACACCGCCAACAGCUGAAAGUAAAAUUCUUAUUCAUCAAUGUAAACUUACUUUAUAACAAAUAUCUUAUCUAUAUUGUAUUUAAGAAAGCAAAUUUUGUAAAAAUUUAUCAUGGGAGAUAGAGAGUAAUAUGUAUAUCCGUACCUUCUCAGCAGGUAAUUGUUGUAUGGUUGUGUUUAGAUCAUUAUUAGCCCAGCGCCGUUGAUCCGCUGUCUCUCCAUACCAGACAUUUACUCUUGGAGGCGUGAUUGCUUCUCCUGUAGUGAAAAUCUUCAUCUUGGGACAACCAAUCACCCACAAAUCUUGCAAAGAUGGCAAUUUGAAGGUGUAAUUGGGAGAGCAGAAACUUGUGAGGCUAUCUAAAUCAAACAGUUCCAACGUCUUCAAUUUGCGGAAAACAAUCUCUUCUUUUUCAACUCCAUCUUUGUCAUUUAUUACCACCUCUGUCAUUGCUCUGCAUCCAUAUAUUUCUAUUGCUACGAGUCGCACCAGAGUUUUUGCUGUGGAGGAUGUUACCAUGUGUAACAAUUUCUUGCAACCGAAAGCCACCAGAGCUGUUAGGUUCUGAAAAGAUACCGAUGAUGAUGGCAAUAGAAUUAACAGACUUUGACAAUGAUAUGCUUUUAGAAUUUCAAGAUACUGAAAAAUGGGGCCAAGUUUGGAGUCUUGUUUGCACAGCUGCUUCAGAUGAUAGUGCCAGCGCAGCUCUAAUGUUUUUAUCAUUGCCAACUUCCCCACAUGUUUCUCUAAGCUUCCUUCCUCCGAAAAUACCUCUUCGUGGAAUGAAAAUUGAAACAGUGAGAGUAUUUCGAGAUUGUGAAAUCUCUCAAGUACAUUCCAGAUUGGAAAACAAGCUGAGUUAUCUUCGGCAAUCUCUAGUUGUUUAAGACUGCCAAAAAGGUGUUGUGGGAAAUCGGCCUGCAAAAUCAUCUUCACGUCUUUUCCAUUCAAUGAUAGGUCCUUCAAGUUGGGUAAGAUCUGAUCAUCAUAAAUCAUAAUAACUAAUGAGGUCAAUUGAUGUUCUCUCAAAUGAUUUUGAGUAAUCCAAUUACCAGCAGUGACUUUAUAGUAUCUGUUUUAUAUUAAUUUUACCCCCAAAAAAAAUUUAAUUAGUGAUAAAAUUCAUUAUAUGAUUUUUUAUAUGUUAAUUUUAGAGGUAAAAAAGAAAUUAGGGAAAAAGGGUUGAUUUAUAUUUGCAUGAAUUUCACAACAAUAAAUUAUUAAUUUAUUUUGUAAGUCGUUGUAUAAAGAAAAACUAAGGAUUCUUUACCUAAAAAAGUUCAUAUAAUUAUUAAUCUCCCACAUUGAUCCCUUUGUCAAGACUAGCAAAGAUUAUUAUGUAAUAAAAAUUUUCAAUUUAUUAAGUAUUAAUUUAUCAAUGUUUUGUUACAUUUUUCAAAGUCAAAAGACGUCAAUGAGAUAUUGAAAAAAAUAUCUAGAAAAUGACUUCAUACCUUUUCCAAUGGCAAUAGGGGCUGUUGUGCAGGAAUACCAAGUUGAUCAUUCCCAUUAUUCUGCGAUAAAUCUGCAGCGAAUAUUUUUAAUUUGUCACAACGACACACUGCAAAAUUUUCUAGUGCUGGCCAUUCCGAAGUAUGCAUUCCUGGGUAUAAACAUCUAAGUUUUGGUAGACCUUGGAGUAUCAGAACGGUGAGCUGUGGAAAGACAAAAUAAGGGAUCACUUCAUCUGCUCUGUUUUCAGAAAUGAUCUCCUGUAAAUCCUUACAGUCUCGUAUAUCUAGGUGUUGGAGCUGCUUAAGGCUUCCGAUCAUAGACGCUGAAAAUAUGUAUUUCAGUUUGUCACAGUACCACACAACUAAUCGUGUUAAACUUUGAAAGUGAGGAAACACGGCCGCCGGAAUUUGAUUGUAGUGCCAAAUCUUGUCGACAUUAAUUGCAGAUAUCUCCAAAGCCUCCAAGUUAGGCAACGCAACCUAAAAAAAAUAAGAAUUUCUCGUUAGAUCCAAUAUCCAUAUGGGAAGCACUUGUUGAAAUUUUCUUCUUUGAUUACAAAUUAAUGCAAGUCAGAAUCAAUUUUCAACUGACAGCUGAGUUUGAUGCAUUCUAAUUCAUACUACUUGUUAAGAGCUCAAUUAGUGAGCGUGUGAGAUUCUUUUUAUCCUUUUUUCCAUUUUCUUUCAAUUCUUUAAAUGAUUUAAUUAUUUUCCACGUAUGACAUCAAAAGAGAACGCAUGAUAGAAUAAAAUCUGUUAUAUAUAUAUAUAUGAAGAAAAUGUUAGCCUACGCACCUUCUUGUUGAAAAGCAGAGUUGAAGUAUCCUCUUGCGACGAUGGUCUGUUUAGUGAUGCUGAAGGAGUCUUUACUUCACGGCAGACAUUUGUAACCUCUGGAAGAUUCCCCAGACUCAAAGAUCUUAAUUGAGCAAACUCUAUCUUCUCAAUUGCAUUAUCAACUUCUUCCCCAAUUGCAAAAAUCUCUUUCAUCUUGCUGCAAUUAACAACUGCAAUUCUCUCAAGUCUUGGAAGGCAUUUUGUAGUAGAGAGCCAAAAGAUAUUACUCAAUUUAUCACAAUUAUAUGCUUCUACGGUUUUGAGUUAGUUGAAAGACUCUACUUUGAGCCGAUCAACACAUAUCCUCUCCAUGUUGAUCAAAUUGUGAAGGAUAAGUGACUCCAAAAGAGGAAAGGCUUCACAAGCUACCAUCUCCAUUGAGUCCACGAUACACAGGAAGUUAGGAUUAUUUUGAACAUGGAGAUGCUUCAAUUGUGAAAAGCCUUCUGUGUCCAAAUAAAAAAGAACAUUCUUGACACCUUGCAGCUUGUCCAACCAUAGGUAUUCAACGUUAUUGAUGCCCUGCAAUUUCAUGGAGCAAAUGUCCAUAAAAUCAAGCUUGAGCUUCAAUUCUCUUAAACUCUCACGAUUACUCUUGAUCAAAAAGUGCGGCCGGCUUUGAAACCGUUCUCUUGUAACAUUCUUGGGAGGCAUGAAUGACUCAUUUCCAAUGGAUAUAUUGAACCUUUCGAGCUUUCUGGCCAAAAAGCCUUCCGAUAAAAUACUGUCAUUUUUAACAUCAAUUUCUAGAGUGGUUAGCCAAGGUAAAAGCAUCAAUUCAUCAAGGCUAGCAUUACUUCUUUCACUGUUGGCUCUUUCAACCUCCCAUUCAACGGAGCAAUUACCCAUAUACAAUUAUUCUAAUCGGAUUAAGCUUGAUAUGACAUUUGGGGCAAUAACUUUCAGACGGAAACAGUCUGUUAAAUCUAACAGCCUUAGCUUAGUCAGUUGCCCUAGUGCUUUAGGUAACUGUACAAUAUCAGACCGCACAAAGCUAAGGAUUUCUAGAUUUUCCAACUUUCCAAUAAUGGCUAUGUCCAUGUCUCCCAAAAUGCUUUGAUUAAGACAAAGUGUCCGAAGAUUUACUUGAAGAUCAAUUGAAGAUGGCAAUGACAAUAACCGCAUUCUAGUCAAAUCCAAAACCCGAAGCUUUUUCGUCCUUUUGAAGAAGUUCUCAGGAACAUUGGGCCCAACAAAAGAGUUAUUGGGUGACAUGAAUUAAAAUUCAAGUUGUGUAGAUUCCAACACUUCAGGAAUGUCAUUAAUAAUACUAUCUUUUAAACAAAUUGCAAAAUAUUUUUUUAGUGCAUCUGCAUCUGGCCAGUUCCACACACCCUCAUUUCUCACCGCAAAUGCAAUUUUGUCACGACGUGCUAUUGAAAUGGCAACAUCGCGAACAACAUCAUGCAUGGAAAAGAAUUUACUGCUACCAUCCUCAUGCAACAAACAAGACUCUCUUAGUUGAUGGACCCAUGCAUGUAAUUUGUUUGUUAUGUGCAUCUUCUAGCUUAUGGACACUUUCAAAUGCACCCAAGCCCAUGCUAUAUUUGAACAAGUCCAUAAUUGAAGUUGGUGUAAUUAGACUACACAGUAAAAAAGUUUUCUUGAGUUGCUCACCUCUUAAAUACUUGUAACUUAGCUCAAUUGUUGAGUAUGCCUCUACUGGUACUCCUUCAUCGAAGCUUGCCUCUGAAGGCGUUUGGAGUUCUUGCAAGGCAUUCUUCCACACAGGCAGCUCUUUGUUUCUCAGUGCCUUUGCUACUGUGGUUAGGGCAAUAGGCAAACCUCCACAUGCCUUGGCUACAUUUGUUGCUGUAGAUUUUAACUCACGAUUUUCAACAUAAUUACCAGCCAUUAUCUUGAACAACCUCCAAGCUUCUUGCUCAUUUAGAAUGCCAAUCAAGAAGUUAUUUUCAGAUCCCAUACUUAACAAGACAUUACGAUCCCUUGAUGUUAAUAAUAAUUUGCAUCCUCUAUGAUCAUCGCCAAAAGGAAUUCCGACAGUCUCUAAAUCAAGAUAUUUCCAGAUGUUAUCCAGAAUCACAAGGAUCAUCUUCUCUUUCUUCAAUCGUUCAUAAAGUCUACUAGCUCUUCUAGAUUCAGCCUCCUCGGACAACUCCAGACCUAGUUUCUCUGCAAUUUCCCCUUGAAUCUUUUUUAUGUCUGGAGUUUGGGAAACCUCUGAAAAAACCACCUGAUCAAAGAGUUUCUCUUCACUGGCUUGCCUUGCAAACUCCUUCACCAGUGUUGUCUUUCCAAUGCCGCCCAUGCCGUAUACCCCAACGAUGCUGACAUUGACAUCAGUCAAUGCAUCUUGUAUAGACUUCAGAGUAGAAAGUCUUGAUUUAAAGGCCUCGUAACCUUUGUUAGACUUUAGCCAUACCUCCUCCGCAAUGGUACGGUAGAAAAUUCUAUCAUCAAAUCUCCUAGCUUCUUCUUUGAGUUCAACAAGGGCCUUCACCUCUGUUUCUGCUUUCUUGCUAAGCUGAUAGCGGGUCUUCAAAUUAGGACACAAGCCCUUGAAACAUCGCUUACUUGUUGUCUCCCCAUCUUCAAUGAAUUUGGCUGCCUGCUCAAUGGUGUUGUUCGCACUAACCAUCCACUUCUCAACCUUCUCUUCAAUCUUUUCUCCUUUUCUUUCAGCCUCAGAAACUCUGUGCUGAAUGCUCUUACUUUCAUCCUUGAGCUUGUCUAUUUCUGCCUUGAGAUUCUCAAAGUUGUCUUUAUAGUUACGCAAAUAACCAAGUUGGCGUUCUGUUGGAGGAGCGAAGCAUUUCACAACUUCUAACAGAACAGUAACAAUGCUUUCCACCAUCUUCGAUCCUAUUUUUUUCAAAGUUCCGAAAUGAAAAUAAACGACGAGCGAAACACAGAGAGAGAGAGAGAGGCAAAAAAAAGAAAAACGAAAAAAAGAAAAUGAAACAACAAAGAUGACAAGUGUAUAUGGUUGUGGAAGUGGAGAAAUCAAUGAAAGCUUAAAAACUGCUGUGAAUCUGGUGAGAAGAUGGAAACAAGGAAAAGGUUUCUAGUUCAAAAGUGAUUGAAUUGAUAUAAGGAAUGAUUUAGAUAAUAGAGGAAAAGUGAAUCAGUCAAAACAACUUAUGUAUUGACCAGAAGAAAGAUGCAAACAAUAUUAGAGACAACAACCGCGCUAUUGACUGGUAAUAGAGAUGGAGAAAAAGAAAUAUCUUCACACGGUGGAAGUACAAAGGGUAGAUAUGGAACCAAACAGAGACAACAACAUGCCACAACUAGAUUGGGAAUGGAGAGAAACAAAUUAACAAAGACUGGAGAUUACAACAGAACAGAUGCCAAGAGAAAAGGGUUUCUUCAUCCAGUGAAAUUCAAGAGAGUUGACAGCAAAAGGGAGCAUAUGUGUUUCUUGAUUGAGAACGAGUGCAAAGGAUGACUUUUUAAUGAGGUUCUGAAGCUGACGAAUAACGAUUUGCUAAAAUUUUGAGAAAGUUAUAUAUUCCGUAACUUCAACAAGUGAAGAAUAAAAGAAUAAUAGUUCGUCAUCUUCACAAUGAAGAUCAUGGAUGAGAUUAAAAGCUAAAACUAGUUUUCAAAAUAAUUCCUUAUGAANNNNNNNNNNNNNNNNNNNNNNNNNNNNNNNNNNNNNNNNNNNNNNNNNNNNNNNNNNNNNNNNNNNNNNNNNNNNNNNNNNNNNNNNNNNNNNNNNNNNUCUUUUUUCUUUAAUACACGAAUAUACGCGACAUCUUAUUUAUCUUAAUAUGGUUAUUUGAUAUUUAUAUUUUCACAAAUCAAAACAAAAAAAAAGUAGUUAGAUUUUAUAGUUUAAGAAAUAAAUAUAUUUUAUAAAAAUAUUUUUAGAAUAUAUAUUUACUUCUUAUUCAAACUUUUUUCUAUUCAAUAAAAGUCACAAAAGUUACUUUUUCUAUUCAAAUGUAAAUGCUUAAAAAUCAGAUAUAAGUUACAAAAAAUGUUUUUAGAAAAAGUCAUAAAUUAAUAAAAUUUCAGAUUUUAUAUAUUUAACUCCCAAUGCAGAUCCGCCCCUAUUAGUGUUAGGAAAUUGACCGGUGAAGUAGGUCCACAACUAAAAUGAAAUUGAAAGAAAAUGAAGAACAAGCACACAGAGAACACCAAAAAUUACAUGGUUCGACUUUUAGCCUACGUCUACAGGUAAAGACAGAAGGAUAAAACUUUACUGGUGAAAUGAGGAUUACUAGUAUUAUAAUAUUUUGUUUCACUUCCCAGAACCUCAAUCCACUCAAUCUCUUAAAACACUAAUCACUCAAGAGCAUUAAAACUCUUAGUCUCUCACUCUAGAAUUGAAGAAGAAAAGAAUGAAAUGCGGGGGUGAACCCCUCAUUUAUAGUUAAAAAUUUGGGCACUAUUUAUAUAUUUAUAUAUUUUUUUUUAAAUUCAAAGUUUGAACUUGACAUUCAAACUUUGAAUAUCAAAAGGUAUUGGUCGCUCUUCUAGAAAAGCGAUAUUGACUUUGACAUUCUCCCACUUAGAAAUUUAAUUGAGAAUCAAUCAAUCUCCACACCAUCCUUUCUACUUCGCCGCUAUCAUGUUGCUUAUGUCUCUACUAGGCCAUAAAAUGAUCUACUCCAAACAAAUUUAUCAACAUUGAUAGGCUUGGGCAAAACAUUUGUUAGGUUCUCCUUGGUAUCCACUCUUGUAUCUUUCACUACUUCAUGAAGAAGUGAUAUUGUACUCCUAUAUUCUUUGUCCUGGAAUGAAAGGUUGGAUUCCUUGCAUCCUAACUAUCACAAGCCAUAAAAAAUUUUAUGCCCAAGCUCCUUCAGUAACCUUUGUAUCCAAAUAGCCCUUCCAAGCUUGUGUAGCUGCUAUGUAAUCUACUUCUGUUGUUGAUAAAACCACAACGGUCUGCAAUUUUGAAAUCCAACUAACAAUUUCUCCUUCUGGUGUAAAUACUUAGCCAGUAGUGGAUUUCCUUUUAUUAAGAUUUUCUGUAAAAUCUAAAUGCACAUAGCCCUUGACAGUAAAUUCUAAUCCUUCGUAACAUAAUGCAACAUCUAAUGUUCCUCUGAUAUAUCUCAGAAUCCUCUUAAUAGUCUUCCAAUGUUCUUUGCAAGGAUUCGCUAUGUAUCGACUAACCGCUCCCACUACUUGUACAAAUCAUAGUGAACCUUAAAUUUUCCACUGCUGAUGCAUACAGUGCUCAAGACAUCUCUUCUUCUCUACUUCAUUACCAGAUGAAUACUUAAGAAUAACUUAAAAUUAAUAGGAGGCGGGGUAGAAAGCCAAAUCUUCUUGCUAUUACUAUCUCGGUGAAUUUGCAUCCCUAAAAUCUUGUUUACUAGUUCUAAGUCUUUUAUUUCAAACUCCCUAGUUAACUGUGCCUUCGGUUCUUGGACUCGGUCUUUGUUGGGGUCUGCUACCAAUAUGUAAUCCACAUACCACAAUAAAAUGAUGAAAUCAUUAUUAUCAAACUUGUUGUAAUAUGUACAACAAUCUGAACUGAUUCUAUUGUAUCCAAUGUUUAUGAUGAAGGGAUUAAAAUCUCUUAUUUCAACAUUUCGGUGCACGUUUGAGAUCGUAUAGAGAUUUGUUCAACUUGCAAACCAAGUGUCCCUUUUUAGUAAAAUCUUCUAGUUAGAACAUAUAAAUCUUUGUUUCAAGUUCUCCAUGAAGAAAUGAAAUUUUCACAUCUAACUGCUCCAAAUAUAGGUCAAAUGUAGCACACAUUGACAAGACCACUCUGACUGUCCUAGGUCAAAUCACUGGAGAAAAUAUGUCAUUGAAGUUAAUACAUUCUUUCUAAGCAUAUUCUUUCACCACCAAUCUUUCACGAUACCGCUCCACUAAGUUAUUACCAUCACAUUUGAUCUUGUGGACCCAUUUGCAACCAAUGGUUUUUUUUUUUUCAUAUGGUAGUAGUACGAGUUCCUAUGUCAUAUUCUUGUGUAGAGCCUUAAUUUCUUCCUGCAUUGCUAUCAUUCACAAAGUAACAUCUGAGCUGUUUAAAGUUUCAUGGAAAGUUGAUGGCUUUCCAUUCUCUGUUAAAAGACAGUAUGCAAAAUUGAUAUCUAUGACAUAAUCCAAAUGCCACACUGACAGUUAUCUAUCACGAGUUGACCAACAAACUUUUGGGGCCUCAGACUCGAUUGGUUCUUGUUCUCAUACUUUGGUGUUGCUUCAAAAAAAUAUGAAUCUUCAUUUUCCAGAUUAUUUUCAACAUAUAUUAGCACAAUCUCUGAAUUUUUAUAGUGCUAUCAUCCAUAUCUCUCUUUUGCAUUUGAUCUUCUACAAAGAUAAUAUCUUUGCUGAUAACGAUCUUGUGAGCAUUGAGGUCCCAUAGAUAAUACCCUUUCACUCCAUCAAUAUAUCCUAAGAAGAUACAUCUCUAGGAUUUUGGAUCCAUCUUUAAUCUCACUUGGGUAUUGUAUAUCACGUAAAAGGACAUCAAAAUGCCUGAGAUGAGAGUAAUCAAUUGGCUUUCCUGUCCAUUUUUCCAUUGGAAUCUUCAACCUGAUUGCCUUGAAUGAUGACCCAUUUACCACAUAACAAGUAGUUUUUGCUACUUCCGCCUAGAAUGAGUUGAUAGACCAGCAGUUCUCAACAUAACUCUUAUUUUUUCUAUAAGAGUCCUGUUCUUUCACUCUACUACUCUAUUUUAUUGAGGAGUGUAUGCCACCGUGAACUAUCUCUAGAUACUUUCUUGCUUACAUAUGCAAGAAACAUGUUAUCUGUAUACUCUCCACCAUUGUUUGUCCUCAGGCACUUGAUCCCUUGCCCUGAUUUAAGUUCAAUCUACGCUUUGAAUUCUUUGAACAAUAGAAAUACAUUUGACCUUUUCUUGAUUGGAUACACCAAAUAUCUCCUAGAAUAAUCAUCAAUAAAAGUCACCAAGUACUUUGCACCUCCUAUAGAUAUAUCAAGUUAUUCCCAAACAUUAGAAUGAAUCAAGUCUAAAUACAUUUACUUUUGAAAGUGGAUCUGCUAAACUUUCAUCUAUGAUGCUUCCUUGUUUCGACAUGUGGCCAAGUUUAAGAUACCACAUCAUCGUUGAAUUUUCUCUAUUUGAUGUGACACACAUAAAAGCUUUCUGUAGUGUUUCCCUUUAAGUAUGAAUAGAUUAGCACCGAUCUUUUCCACUUUCAUUAAUGCAAGUGCGCCUUUGACUAUCUUUAUGAUCCCAUUUUCUACAUGAGUUUUGCGCGCAAGACUAUUUAUUUGUCCUAAAGAUAAGAGAUAUUUUUCAAGUCUUUGACAUGUCUUACCUUCUCAAUUGUGUGAACCGUACUAUUAAACAUAUUUAUUUUGACAGUACCAAUAUCAGUAAUCUCAAAGGCAUGAUCAUUACCUAUGUAUACAAAUUCUCUUGAAAUAGGUUCAUAUUUGUGAAAUCAUUCUCUUGGAGAGAUCAUGUGCCAGGCAACUAUUAAGUCUAUAAGCCAGACGUCAUAUAGUGGUUUUCUGCCUUUUGAAGUAGUUGUUGCCUUACUGUAGAGAAUUUUGCCCUCAUACGAGGUACUUACUACAUACCCUUGAGCAUUUGAUGACUUAGGAUCUUUACCCUCUCUUCUCUUCUAGUUGUUCCAAUACUCUUCCUUGCCACGCCCUUUCUUGCCACAAUUGUUGCAUUUGACAUUCUUCUUACUUCUUGAUUUUGAUCUACCGUGAUUGUGGCUCUCACUAGGGCCACGUUCCAUGGAUCUUCCUUUCAUCACCAAUAGUGCUUCUACUUGUUGCGAACUCGUUUGUCUAUCUUUUUUAUUUUUUGCUACUCUCCUCAUUUAAUACGGAGGCUGCCAUAUUGUCAAAGACUAACUUGUCUGCUCGAUUGUUAUUAGUUAGAUUAAUGACGAAUUGAUCAUACGAAUCUGGUAAACCUUGAAGUAGAAGCUCCACAUGUUCAUUUUCCUCUAUUUUAUGACCUAACGUUGUAAGUUAUGAAAAUAAAGUCUUUAAAGUGUUGAUAUGGUCGAUCACUGAUGUAGAUUCCGCCAUUCGAAGAGUAUAAAGCCUCCUCUUUAAAAAGAUUUUAUUUUGUAGUGAUUUGACCUCGUAUAGUCUUGUGAGAGUAAACCAUAUUUCCUUUGCUUUCUUUUACUCUACCAUAUUGAAUAAUACCCUAUCUGAAAGUGGGAAGUGUAGAUCUGCAAUGGCAUUAUUGUCUAUUUGAAAGUGGUAAGUGUAGAUCUGAAAUGGCAUAAUACCACUAUUAGAAAAUUGAUUGGUGAAGUAGGGUCACGAUUAAAAUAAAAUUGUAAGAAAAUGAAGAACAAGAACACAGAGGACAUCAUCAAUUAUUUAGUUCGGCUUUUAACUUAUGCCCAUAGGCAAGGACAAAAGGAUAAAACUUUACUAGUGAAAUGAGGAUUAUAAGUAUUUUAGUAUUUUGUUUCACUUCUCAAAACCUUAAUACACCCAAUCUCUCUAAACACUCUUAAUCACUCAUUAUAGAACUAAAGAAGAAAAGAAUGGAAUGAAUGAAAUGAGGGGGUGAACCCCUCUAUUUACAGCUAAAAAUUUGGGCAUUUUUAUAUUUAUUAUUAUUAUUAUUAUUUCUAAAUUUAAAGUUUGAACUUGAUAAUCAAACUUUGAAUAUCAAAAGAUAACGGCACCAACCUUGACUCUUAGGCUGACCUUUAGAGCUUUAAAUAAAGAAAAAGCUUUUAAAAAUGUCAUGUGUACUUGAUUAUACAAAAAUCUCCACCACAUAGAAUGAUUUGAUAAAAGAAAAUUUUUAUUUUUAAUUUUACUUUUAUCAGGCACAGUGCAUUUCCCCUUGGGCUCAUAUGUAAGGAUGUCAAUAAGAAGGGAAGGAGAGGGGAUUGAUUUCCCCAUACUCAUCUUUAAUACUCUGUCUAUCUCUUUGUACUCUAGACAUUUCCUUCAAAAUUACUUGAAAUGAGGGGAUGGAUGUUUCUAAAUAAUACAAAGGGAUCUCCGAUGGUAUCCGAUCGCUGAUUAUUUAAUUUCUUUUUUUUUCUUAAUUUAAUCAUCUUAAAGUAAAAAUAUAAAAUCAUAUUAACACAAAAAUAUCAAAUUAACUAAAGUGAUUAAAAUCAUUUCCAUCAAAUUAAGUCAAUGUCAUCAAAUUAGAACAUAAUCUUUGAACUAAUUAAGCAAAAGUAAAUCUUCAAAGUUGAACUCAUCCAUAAAUGUCAUAUAGUAUAAACCAUCAAUUAAAUUAUCUUUGUCAAUUUUAAAUUGUUUAUAUUUACUUUAUAUUGGCUGUUAUUUAUAUUAUUUUUAUAAAUGUAUUAUAAUAUUUUUUAUUUACAUCACACUAUUACAAUUGAAAUUUUAAAUGUAUUUACUAUAAAUUUGAAAAAAAUGAAUUAAAAAUAGAAACUAAAGAUAGAAAUAGAAAAAUGUGGAGCCAAAUAAAAUAUUAGGGCAAACACCAAGUUAUAUUUCAUGUAACUUACACCCACACAUAUUAAUUUAUCAGAUUCUUGUCUCCACAUAGAAAAAUUAGAUCUAAAAUUAUCAAACUCCCGAAUGAGGAAGAUCCCUCGGGGCCAUCGUCCCUGUGGAAAUUUCUGCAUCCCUGCAGUCUACAACGCCUAAUAAUGAAUUGAACGGUUGAAAUCCCUCUAAAUUUUUGAUAAUUUCUAAUCGCCCCUCCGUAUUUGAUUGAACAUCAAAACUAUUGAGUCCAAAUUUAUAACUUUGAUUUAUCUUCCAUUCCAUAGUUUUCAAGUUCUCUCUCUCUCUCUCUCUCUCUCUCUCUUAAUCCUUUUUACUGCAACCACCAUCAAAGCCUAGUAGUUAAUAUGUAUGCUGCUUUGCUUUCAAAAUCGGACACUACUGCUAUUUAUGGUUUUUAUUCUUUAUUUGACACAAAAUUUGGUGAUAUCUCCGUGGAAAAACACUACUGGUGUAUUCAAUUUUAUCCGGUAAUGGUUAAAUUGAUUAGUUAUAUGAACGGUAACUUCGCCAAGACGAAAAUACAUAUUAAGUUAUAAAGUGUUGGCACUCAUUAUUUUUCGCAAAAAGUUUCGCCCAAAAUACAUAUAUUUUUUUAUUGUUUUAUUUGACACAAAAUAUUGACAAAUUUUUCUGUGAAAAAACACUACUAUUAUAUUCAAUUUUAUCAUUAAAGUUGUUAGUUACAUGAACCUUAAAUUUGUUGGAUCAUAAACUUGAUCCAAGAUGAAUAAAUUCAAGCCCAAUUCAUGGAAGAUUCCAUGAGUAGGUAUGGUUGGUGAAGUAGGUGAGUGGUAGGUUUUAAUAAAUGGUGAUGAUUUAUGUAGUAGUUGAAUAAAUGAAUAGUUGUGAUUAGUUUGUAUCAUGUAUAAAUACCCCCUCUCCCCUUUGGUUUAAGCAUCAAGUGAAGUAACAAAAUCUCUAAGGUGUAGAGAAUGAAAAAUAAGAGUUGUAAUUGGUAAGGAGUGUUGUUGAAGAAAUAAAAUAGUGUGAUUUGUGUGUUUUAUUUGUUAAUUCUCCAACAAAAUUAACACGAACCGUAACUUAGCCAAGCCCAUAAUACAUAUUUCAUAUUUGUAUGAACUUUAAAGUUUUUCCACUUAUUAUUUUUCGCUAAAAGUUUCUAAAUUGUAUUGUAGUUUGAACUUGCCCAUCAUUCAAUUUUUUAACUCCACAAUUAUUUGACCUUACCAAGCUUGAAAAUAUCCUUCCAUACAUAUUUAAUUUUCUCCAAGUAUGAUCAAGAUUUAAUCAAGAGCCUCCGGGAUCUUAAAGUAUAAGAAAGGUCCGGAAAAUCUUUAAAACCCCACUGUUUAAAGUUUUUUUGGACUUUCCUGUACUUUAAAAUCUUGAAUUGAUAUAUAUAUAUAUAUAUAUUAUCAUUGUUAGGUGCUAGUACCCUCAUUUUUUUUUUUAAUGCAAACACCCUCUUAAGCAGUAGGGUUUAAUAGGAUUAUUGUUGAAUAAACUAUAAAGUCGUGCAUCUUAAUAACAUUAAAAACUAACUUUCAACUAGCUCUCUUAAAUUGUACGGCUUAAAAGCAUGUCCGCAUGAAAAAAUAAACAUGCCUGCACCAAAAAAGGACUAUAUAUAUUAUUUAUUUUAUAUAUACAUACGUGUGCACGCUCGUGUAUAUAUAUAUAUAUAUAUAUAUCUUUUUAAUAUAUUCGAUUACUUUAAUAAUCAAUUUAAAAUAGUUUGUGAUAUUUUCAGCUAUUUAUUUAUCUACUUUUAGUUAGUUAUUUACACCGAAUGAAGUGCUAGGGUCCAAAUUUUAGUAUCCUUCUCAGUUGUUUGGGAUUAGUAAAUACUAAUUAGCUUAUUCGUCCCGAACAGGCGCGUAAAUGCUGUUAGAUUUCGGAGAGAUCGAUGCUGAGGAUGGUACAAGAUUUAUCAAAUUGUGGCGACAUUUUUAUACCUUUAGAAUUUCAAGAUUUUGAAGAAAUAAAUGGAAUCUGUUUUCCAUAAGUGCUCCACUAUCCACCAGGAGGAAUUCUAAAACACAUUACAUAUUCGUGAUUUCUCAUAAUAAAUAAACACAUGUUAUAACAUUAUUUACUUAUCGUAUGACUGAUAUGAUACUUUGGAUUGCAAUUCUCAUACAAUACAUAGAAUUAUCAUAAUCUAUAAAUUGUAUUUUUGCUUUUCUACGGUAGUAAGUCAAGAAUCCUUAGUGACAAUUUAAAUUGAAAAAAUAAAAUCAUAAAUAAGAAUUAUUUGAUAAGAAUUAAAAUAAUUGAUAAAUAUUUGAGAGGAGCAAUUUUGGAAGACUCGAUUUCUAAUAGGAGGGGAAUUUGAAUUUUACAACUUUCGGUGAGGAAUCCAAAAUGCACAAUUUGAUGAAAAUUAAAUUUCAAUAGAAAUUGAAUUCCCAUAUGUUAGUGAAAACCAAACAACAGAAAAGUGAAAGGAAUUUGAAUUCAUUUCCUUCCCGUCUCAUCCCUCCAACUAAACACCAUCGAGACCCAAAGAUAUGGGUUUGGAAUUCCAUACUGAUCACAAUGGGAUUUGUCCAUAUUAUUAGGACCAAUUUUAAAAGCAGUCGGAGUUUAAAAUUGAAAUUAAUCCUAAUUUUUUAUUUGGGACUAGAUAAGAAUUUAUAUUGUAACUCCAAUUCUCCCAAUUAUUUUAGUUGAUAAUAUGUUUAACAUUAUUAAUUGCAUAUUAUUUAAUUAUCAGUAUAUAAUAUUCUUUAAUUUUCCAAUUUUAUAGGAUUAGACACAAAAUUGAUUAUGCUAAUAUUCUUUAAUUUUCCAAUUUUAUAGGAUUAGACACAAAAUUGAUUAUGCCUUCUGAAAUUUAAGGGUUAUGUCAAUUGAACAGAAAACUUGGAGUUGAACUUUUGGAUGUUUUUGUUGAUUAUCAAUUUAUGCAUGAAUUUUUGUACGUUUACUUUGGUUUAUUAUUGUUACUUUUAGACAUUUUUAUUGGUUUGAUUUAGGGUCAUUUUGGUAAUCUUGUAAUUUUUAAAGUAGUUACAGUUAGCUAUGCUGUAGAAAUUGAUCAAUUGUGAAGAGAAUCAGCUGAACAUUUAGUAAAAUUUAUUUUUAAAAGUACUUUAGUUUUAAAAGCAGUUGUAUGUGUUUCGUAAAUCUUAUUUUUAAACAGGUGCAAGAAUAUAAAUAACUAAAUUGGACAUAAUGCUAAAUAAAAUUUAUUUACACAUUUACAAACAUGUAUAUAAAAUAUUUUUAUUAUGUACAUAUAAUUAUUGAUAACUAAAAUAAAAAUUUUAUAUUAUUAAAUUUUAUUCUUUAUUUUGUUAUCCCAAUAUAAUUGGUAAUAAUAAUAAUCUCUUAAAGUUAAUGAUUUUAUUUCUUAAUUAAUAAAGAUAAUUCUGGAUUUUUAUUAUAUAAUGAGGAUAUAUAUAUAUAUAUAUAUAUAGAAUUGGAUUAAGUAUAAAAGUGAUUUUCAAAAUCAAAUUUUGAAAAACUAUUCCUUCCAUACUUUUCAAAAUCCACUGUAUGAUGAGAUGAUUUUUCCAAAAAUAAUUGCUAAAAAAUUAUAAAACACUAAAAAUUAGGUUUUAGUUUUUAAAAUCACUUUUGAGCUUCCCAAAAACAAUCCUAACAGGCCUUUAUUUAGGUGGUGUUGGAACUUGUAACUUUUGGAUCAUUUGGUUUUUAUUGGUUUGAUACAACUGUUACACUAAAAAUUGAAUGUAUCUUAAACCCCACACUUCUUCUUCUUCUUUUUUGAUUGCACAAAAUUAAAAACAAUAGUGAACGCAUUCUUUAAUAAACAAUAAGUAAUUACUAAAAUUGUGUUAAAGAAUUUAGUUGAAACAUAAAUUGAUUUCAAUGUUGUAUAUGCUAAAUUUCUUAAAAAUUUCUUUCACGGUUUGCUGAAUAGUUUUAUUAGUAUUUUGAAUAAAUAAAAAUAAUUGAUUUAAUUUUUUAAAGAAAUUUAUUAGGUUCAUGUAAAUACGUUUUUGUUAUUUUAAAAGUGUACAAAGUAAAACUUAAUUUUUUAAAUUUAUUAGAUGAGUGGAUAAAAUAAUUGAGUGUUCAUAGUAAAUUUUAAAGUAUAGAUAGUGAGACCCUAAUAUUUUUAAUAUAUGGAAAUUUUGAAAAUAUGUUAAUGGGAAUUAAAAUGAUAAUUAAGGGAGGCAUUCGAGACAUUCAGGAUUGUUAGGAUAGGACAUGAUUGUGAGCGGUUUGAGAUUGGCCCUAAUUUUGAUCACAAAUAUAUAAGCAGGAUGAGUUUAUCCAUUCUUACAUUCCAUUUGAUAAUUAAGAUGAGAGUGGAAUUGUCAAAUCCCAAAUUAUCCCGGACCAUUGCCACCAAAGGUACUCUCACUAAUAAUAUCUAAAGAAAAAUCUACAUCUAUUUCAUACCUUUUUUUUAAACGGAAAGAGCCCUUAUGGGGCUUGAAAUGGUAUCCUAAAUAAUAUUCAAAAUAUCAGGCCAUGACUGGGUUUGUAACAAACAAAUAUUACAUAGUUGGGAUACGUAGUUACUAGUGUCCCAAUUUAUGUAGUAUCUAUCAUUUAGUGCACAUAUAAAGUGUUUGGGAAAUGAAAUAGGGUGACCAAGAUAAGGUGUUUGCUCAUACAUUAUCGUGCUCUCCUCAAAGUAAAAAGUGAAAAAAUAGUUGAUAGGCUACUAGGAGUUUAUUUGGUCACCUCGAGCACAUCACCUCGACCAGGAUAUUAUUUGGUGAUCUCGAGCACAUCAUCUUGACUAAGAGAUUAUUUGGUCACCUUGAGUAUAUCACCUCGACCAGGAGAUUAUUUGGUGACCUCCAGUAGAUCAUCUUGACCAGGAGGUUACCAGGAAGCACGACUCAGUCGAAACAAAUCUCACUUAUUUUCUUCGAAAUAUUAGGGACCAUAUUCUUAGUGGGCUGAAAAUUGGUGGUUUUCUUGAGAGUUUUAGGUGAGAGGAUAAAAAUCACUAUAAUUUGCUAUAAAAACCCUGGGAAAGGGAGGGAAAUAGGGAGAUUCUUUUUAUCUCUCUCUCUUUGGGUGACUGAACCCAUGGGAUCUUUUUCUUUCUACCACUGGGAACCUUCUCUUUCUCUCAUGAUUUAUUUUUCUUUAAGAUUGGUUAUUUUUUAUUCUUUUCCCAUAAAUUUACUUAAAAGCUUUUUGUUUAAAGUAUUCAUAAUUAAGCCGCGUGAAUUGUGGUACGGAUUUUUCCAAGUAGACCCAAAUCGCUGACUUGAGCAUCGGAGGAUUUUCUUUAAGAUUGAUUAUUGUUUCCAUAAAUUUGAACCAAGAAGGAUGACGCGAUAAAAUUUGUUUUUAUUGUAUGGUUGAUUUCAUAUCUCAUGCACUCAUUUCUUAAGAUAAUUAGAUUUCAUCUUUUGCAAAUGUGGAAAUAUCAAUUAUGGUCAAUCAAAACGAUCUCAAAACCUUUCAACGAGACAUAUUUAUAAUACAAUAUUGUGAAAAUUACACCAAAAAAUUAAUUUAUGAUAUAUUAUUAUCCCACCAGCACACAAAAAUGAAUUCGUACAAAUCUAAAAUACUUAGCAAUUUUCAAAUAGAAUUUUAAAUUUAUUUCCAGUUAGAAAACUAUUCGCUGGACUCCAUAUUACUAGCCACCAUCGUAAGCCUAACCGGUUGCCGGCGAACGGCGUAAAACACCAGCCAUCUUCUUCUUCAUCAUAUUCUCCUUUCAUCUUUUGAGUUAAGCCUGUGAUUAUGAGUUUCUUCUCUUACUUAGCUUGUAAUUAUAGAUUUUGAUUCUUUUUAAUUCAUAUUGUAGCCGUUAUUGUCAAUUUUUGUCCCGCCAGCAAUAUUUUUUUAUUCCUACAAGUUGAAAAUGGAUUCAUUUGAAUUACUAUUGAAUUUAGCUUUAAUUUCAAUAUCCAUUCUAAUGUUUUGCUAUUAGAUUUGCUUUAAUUUUAUGUUUAAAGCUUCUACAAUGAAUAGCGGAGCUUGGGUUUUAGUUUCAUUUUCUGUAACUUGUUUUAGUUUAUCUUGUAUGCUCACCAAGUGCUUGUUAUAUUGUCUGAUAAGUUCUAUACAUUGCUGAUUCUAUAUUAAUAAUGUUAUGUUCUAUUUUCAGAAAUUAUAAUACAAAAGUUUUUACAAUGGCGUGCAUCUACAAACUGAAUUGACUUGUAGAAUAAGAGCUUGGAGUAGUGUUAUGUUCUUGAAUAAAUGAAAGUUCAUAUUGUGUAAGAGCAUGUAGAUGUAAAGCGUCAUUACCAUUUCUAUAAAGGACUUUCAUUCUGUUCAGAUGCUCUUCUUGAACAUUGAAAGGUGCCUCGUUCAAGUCCUAGCUAUAACUACUAGCUUUGAUUAAUUAAGUUCCUAUACUAGCUGAAACAGAUUUAUUUAAUUAAUUAAUUGUGUAUGUACUGAUUAUAUUGAAAGUAUAUGAAUUUUUUUUUUUUUUAACAUGAAUGACUUCUAAAUGACUUAAAAACCUAAAGGAUAUGUGAAAUUAUGCUCAUUUCACAUGAAUGAGCCUAUUAAUACUUUUAUGUCUAUGAUUGUCAAUAUUGGCUUAAGCAUUUCAGUUAAGUGGUUUACCUAACAGAGAAAAAAAUUUAAUAGAAAACUUCAGAGUUCUAACAGAAAUAUAGUUCACUAUGCAGAUAUAGUUAUUUUACGGUAUACAAAUCAAGUUGUCCUAAUCUCAAUGUCCUAUGACCAAUUUUAUUUUAUAUAGUCAUUAAUUUUUGCCAUGGUUUUUUGUGUUUAUGAGUUUGAAAUAGUGGGAUUUGGUGUACCUUAGCAUCUUUUGAAAAUUCUCUUUAAGUGUGGCCAACAGAAAUAUACAUAUAAUCAAGUUUCUUAAUCCUGUAUAUUAGUUUUGGGUAUGAAUGGUCCUAUUCUAGCUCUAGGCAAAGCUUCUUUGUUUUGGGCUUCAGAUUUCCAGUAGGUUAAGUUAAUCAACUAUCAUAACUGGCUAGCUAGUUAUUUGUUUGCCUUGCGGCCAUUACCCAGGGCAUUAUAUUUGCAUAGGCAUAAGGGAAUAGUGAUUAUUAGUGAUUUGUUGAGCUUAUUAUUGACGAAACAAAUGUAUUUCGCCUUUGCCCACAACUUAUUUGAUUAGGUAUUAGACCAUAAGGAGCCUGGAUCUAUUCAUUGGCUUUAUUAUUUUUAUUUGGUUUUUCUUUCAACAAUAUUGUUGAUUUCUUAUAAAAAUAUUCAUUGGCUUUUAAACACCUAAUCAUUGGCUAUAUGAAGCUAAUUAAAACUGAGGCUUUGGAUCAAUUUCUUCUAACAAGAUACAAAUGAGCAAAACCUUUCUCCUCUAAGUUAAUUUUUUUAAUAUCCCUUGAUUUGUAAGGAUCUGGAGGCCUGAAUCCUCUUGAUUUUUUUUAACACUGUCAAUGUUCUUUUUAUUCUGAGAAGGAAAUAAAAGGUUUUAUCUUUCAUACCCGAAUAGUAAGCUGGCCUUGUCUUAACAUGGCCUCCCGAGGACUUGCAAGAUUCAUAGUGCCCCCCACCCCAAAAAAAAACAUAAAAAACACAAAUAGGAAGAUUUUGCAAGAUUCACCACCAGGUUUUUUUUAAUUUAUUAAUUGUGUGUACGUGCUAGUUAUAUGUUGAAAGAAUAGGAAGAAGUAUUUCAACAUGAAUGACUUAAAACUUAUUGCUCAGUAAACAUAAUCUGCAUCAGUGCGAAAAUGUAUUUAUCGUUUGUAUUUUUUAUGGUUUUGCUAAAGAAAUGAUAUGUGAAAUAAUGCUACAUUGCAUCAGGAAUAAAUUGAAGAGAUUUAUGAUAUUUAUGUGUUAUUCAAAUUUCAGAUUCAAUUUUAAACUUUUGAUACGUGCAUUGAAAGCUUAGACUUGUUUAAGAAAUCAUUAAUAGACACAUGUUUUAUUAGUGUCAUCUUUGGAUGAUAGUGAGGAUCAUAUGUCUAUUAAUAAUUCUUGAAUUGUCCAGGCUUGGACAGUUUGGGAAUGCAUAGUUCACUCUGGUAGCUAGUAGCUGAAGUUUUUUCCCACGUAAAAAUGGGUUUUUCGGUAGCUGCUCCUCGUGUUCUCUGGGUACGUACUAGGUGAAUGGGUGUCAUGUGCUGUUUUGGCAUAACGCAUAAACACUUAUAUAGCUAUGUCGUGUGCUUGGAGAAUUAUAGGGAGAUGGUGCCGAAAUUUUUAUAAACGUGGAAGAAAACUUUAGGUACUUGAGAUUGAAGAAACUAAUGCAUUCUUGAGUGGGAUAUGUAGGAUUAGUUGCCUUUUGUAAAUAUGAAGGGAAUGUUGGAUAUAUUGGGGAUAGUGUAGGAGCUGAGUUGGAUGAAUGUAAUUGGUGAUGAUUUUGCUGAGCUGACCUUGGUUUUGAGCUUGUAAUUUUGUUUGUAAAUGGAGUGCUAUCUCCAAUGUUGGUUUAUAAAAAUGUUUCAGGACUUGCUGACCUAAUUUUUUGUUUCUAGGUUACAGGCUUUAUAUAUCUGUAAUUGAUAGCCAAGUGAAGUUCUCAGCACUUGGCAAGGAUAUUUCUUUACAGAAGGUACUGGAAACUGUUUUUUACAUUAAUUAUCGUUGUUUAUAUACUUUGAUUGUCACAUCUUUUUCUCUGAUUCUUGUGGCUUUGCUUGCUUUCAUAUAUGUAAAUUCUAAUGAAAUUAACCAUAAAAUUGUAAAAUGAUUUUUUUAUUAUAUUGCAAAACUGUGCACACACGAAAAUAUCUUGUUUAGUAGUAGAAAUGAAGAAAUAAUUUUUGUAGCGCAUUAAAAGGAGAUAGUCAUGGACAAGUGUUGGGUUGGUUUGCCAAAUAGAUAUCCAAGUCAUAUACUGAUGGCGUUGAAAAAUUUAUAGAUUUUGUAUUUGAGAAUGUUGUUGGUGGUACAAGAAUUUAUUGUCCUUCUUGAUAAGUGUUGUAAUCUAUAUUUCGUUAUAAGGGAAGUGGCUGAUGAUGAUAUGGUUGGAAUGAUACAGUGCAUCACGUAAUCAAAUGUUCAAGUUACACGCAGCAUUGUUAUGAGUGGCAACUUGUCUGGGUGGAGUAUUAAAGGUAAAUAAGCAUGUCUUGUUUGCCAACAAAGCACUGGAUCUAAUUCGUUGAUACAUAGUAGAAAAUUUUGUCACGUGGGUCACCGUCGAUUUUUCCCAACAAAUCAUAGGUUUCGAAAAUAUAGUGUCUUUGAAUAAAACUAGAGAGUAGGGACAAGCACCUUCUCAGUUGUCUGCAACUGAAGUGAAAAAGCAGUUUAAUGUAUUUACUGAGUAUAAGAUUGAAGACUUGAAAAGAGAAGAACGAAUGAGAAAUGAUAAGAUUACUUGGAAGAACAACAGCAUUUCUUAAGAUUACUUGGAUGAGAAAUGAUGUGGAAGAUGGCUAUAAAAGAUAAAAGGAAAGGCUUAAAAAGAAAAGCCACGCCUGUCAAAAACAAAAAUCAAUGGCAGCGUCAAAUUUAUAACAAAAAUCAAAACGGUGCGUUUGAGAGUGUAUAAAAUACAUUUAGAGUGGGAGUUGUGUUGUUGCUUGAAGGCAGAAUGUUUGUGAGAUAUUUGUCGACGAAGCCGAAACCAAAGAUGAAGCCCAUCGAAAGUAUUUAUAGUGUAAAAAGUAUAUUGUGGAAAUGUCUGGUCGGUAAUACAACUAUUUCUUGUAGUGUAAAUGAUACACUAAUUUGAAUUUAUAUGCUUUUAUGAUUAUUUGAUUAUCAAGUGGUGAUCAUAUGUGAUGAUAAACUUAGGUCGUACCUUUAUAUUUAUAGCCUUAGUUUUCUAAGCGUUCACAUUUUGAUGAGUAAAUUAAGGAUUUCUAGAUGAAGUACAUAAUUAGAUUAAUGCUAAGGAACUGAAGUUUGAUCAACUGAAAACGAAAAUAAUAAUGAAGGUAAUUAAGAAAAUGAACAAUGCAGAAGCGGUCCUUAUUAGGACUUCUAGAUUUUCUCUUGGGCUUCCUUAUUAUUGUUAAAAAAUGACACGAAGAACUGAGUUUAAAAAUCUGGCCCUGAUGCCUGGUAGCCCUCCAACAUAUGAAGCACUAGAUGUUUUAAUGAGAAAAUGACAAGACCAUUUAUCAAAUUUCUUGUGGAUAUAAAUACAUACACAUAGACGAGACCAACCUCCUCAAAUGAGAAUCAGAGUGAUUACAAGACCUUGCAAUGGGACGAUAACACACCAUCAAAUCUCAAAAUACAAUAGAAAUUCAUGACAUAUGUAUAAUAAAAGAUCUCUCAUUGAGUCAUAUAUAUUGAGAAUAAAAAUGUUAUAAUACAUACAAAGAGCUUAGCUAGAAUAAAAUGUCUUUGAACUUGCGAUGAUCAAACAAAGGAAACAGACAGGUUGUAACUCACACUAUCACAGAUGUAGCGACACGAUGCAGUGAAUCACAAGAAGAUCACGAAGAUGGAAACGGGAACCCCUCAGAAUGUAAACUUUGAAUAGAGGAAAAAAGAAAAACGUCCUUAUUUCAAAUUGUGCACAGAAGAAGAGUGACUUAAAUCUUCAUCAGUAUCCAGGCAUUCUGCAAUCAUAAAGUAGAGAAAUUUUAACAGGAACAACAGAGAAAAUAUUAUGAAUAUGCUAGACCAAAUUAGUCCCUUUUUUGGUUUGUGAAAACUUUAUUUUUUAUGAAUACGCUAUCCAAUAUUUUCAAUCAAUAUUUCCACAAUAUAGUUGUUCAUAGCUAACGUUUGAUGGUUUAACGAUUUGUUCCAAGAAUAAUGGGCUGAUUACGUUUUGUUUUAUUUUUAUUUUAUUUUUUUUAAUCCGAUGAAGGAUAUUCAGCUGUCUUUAAUUAUGCAUUCAUAGGGAAGAACAUUUUCUAAGUACUUUCCUUGCCUUCUAACUUUCCAAGGAAAGAUAGGUGUAAAGAAAAGCAAACCCAAUGAACAAACAGAGCACAAACUAAAAUAAAAGAACAGCAAUGAUGAGGAUAAAUAAUUAGCAAAUAAAGAAAGGAAAAAGUAUGCACGUUUUCAAGGAUUUAAAAAAUACGAAGGCUUUUAAUGAAAUUUUAACAUAAAAAAGUAUGCAAGGAGUUAUAAAAUUUUAGAAGACGAGGGGAGCUCGCAAAAAAAAAAGAAAAAGACUCAAAUUAAACUACACUAAAAAGACAUUCAAUUAUGCAAAAUCUGUCCAUAAAAGUCUGAAAGGAUCAUUAAAAUUGCAUUGCAAAUUUAACAGUAAACUGAGGAACCCAUUCUAAAUAAUUCAGAUGAAAUUGCGAAACAAGCUAUGGGAUUAAAUAAAUUAAAUAAAAACUAAUUACCAGUUGAGACUUUCUUCUAAAACUUCGCAACUCCAAGUCAUAAGAAGCCUAUGAAAUUAGUCGUACAGCGUAGAGUAUGACGACGACACCGCCAACAGCUGAAAGUAAAAUUCUUAUUCAUCAAUUUAAACUUACUUUAUAACAAAUAUCUUAUCUAUAUUGUAUUUAAGAAAGCAAAUAUUGUAAAAAUUUAUCAUGGGAGAUAGAGAGUAAUAUGUACAUACGUACCUUCUCAGCAUGUAAUUGUUGUAUGGUUGUGUUUAGAUCAUUAUUAGCCCAGCGCCGUUGAUCCGCUGUCUCUCCAUAGCAGACGUUUACUCUUAGAGGCGUGAUUGAUUCUCCUGUAGUGAAAAUCUUCAUCUUGGGACAACCAAUCACCCACAACUCUUGCAAAGAUGGGAAUUUGAAGGUGUAAUUGGCAGGGCAGAAAUUUGUGAGGCUAUCUAAAUCAAACAGUUGCAACGACUUCAAUUUGCAGAAAACAAUCUCUUCUUUUUCAACUCUAUCUUUGUCAUUUAUUACCACCUCUGUCAUUGCUCUGCAUCCAUAUACUUGCACUUUGACCAGUCGCACUAGAGUUUUUGCUGUGGAGGAUGUUACUAAGUGUAUCAAUUCCUUGCAACCGAAAGCUACAAGUUUUGUUAGGUUCCGAAAAGAUACCGAUGAUGAUGGCAAUAGAAUUAACAGACUUUGACAAUGAUAUACUCCUAGAAUUUCAAGAUACUGAAAAAUGGGGCCAAGUUUGGAAUCGUGUUUGCACAGCUGCUUCAGAUGAUAGGGCCGGUACAGCUUUAAUUCUUUUAUCAUUGCCAACUUCCCCACAUGUUUCUCUAAGCAUCCUUCCAUCGAAAAUACGUCUUCGUCGAAUGAAAAAAAAGACAGUGUGAGUAUUUCGAGAUUGUGAAAUCUCUCCAGUACGUUCCAGAUUGGAAAACAAGCUGAGUCAUCUGCAGCAAUCUCUAGUUCUCUAAGACUGCCAAAAAGGUGUUGUGGGAAAUCGGCCUGCAAAAUCAUCUUCACAUCUUUUCCACUUAGUGAUAGUUCCAUCAAGUUGGGUACGAUCUGAUCAUCAUCAAUCAUAAUAACUAAUGAGGUCAAUUGAUGAUCUACGGUCACACGCAGUGACUUUAUAGUAUUUGUUUUAUAUUAUAUUUUAAAAAAAAUUGAAUUAUUGAUAAAAUUUAUUAAAUGAUUUUUUAUAUGUUAAUUUUAGAGGUAAAAAAGAAAUUAGGGAAAAAGGUUGAUUUAUACUGGCUCGAAAUUAUUUUAUUGCACAAUAAUAAAUUACUAAUUUAUUUUGUAAGUUCUUCUAUAUGGAAACACUAAGGAUUCUUUUAGAAAUGCUAUACAAAAAAAAGUUCAUAUAAUUAUUAAUCUACCACAUUGAUCUCUUAAUCUAGACUAGCAAAGAUUAUUGUAUAAUAAAAGUUUUCAAUUUAUUGAGUAUUAAUUUAUUGAUGCUUUGCCAUAUUUUUCAAAGUUAAAAAUAAGCUAUAGACAAAAAAUCUAGAAAAUGGCUUCAUACCUUUUCCAACGGCAAUGGGGGCUGUUGUGCAGGAAUGCCAAGUUGAUCAUUCUGCGAUAAAUCUGCAGUGAAUAUCUUUAAUUUGUCACAACAAUGCACUGAAAGAAUUUCUAGCGCGGGCCAUUCCAAAGUAUGCAUUCCAGGGUACAAACAUCUAAGUUUUGGUAGACCUUGGAGUCUCAAAGUGGUGAGCUGUGGAAAGACAAAAUAAGGGAUCACUUCAUCUGCUCUAUUCUCAAAAAUGAUCUCCUGUAAAUCCUCACAGAAGCGAACUUCUAGGUGUUGGAGCUGCUUAAGGCUUCUGAUCAUAGACGCUGAAAAUAUGUAUUUUAAUUUGUGACAACGCCACACAAUCAAUCGUGUUAAAUUUUGAAAGCGAGGAAACGUGACCGGAAGAUGAUUGUAGUGCCAAAUCUUGUCGACAUUAAUUUCAGAUAUCUCCAAAGCCUCCAAGUUAGGCAACGCAACCUAAAAGAAUAAGAAUUUCUGGUUAGAUCCAAUAUCCAUAUGGGAAGCACUUGUUGAAAUUUUCUUCUUUGAUUGCAAAUUCAUGCAAGUCAGAAUCAAUUUCCAACUGACAGCUGAGUAUGCAUUCUAAUUCAUACUACUUGUUAAGAGCUCAAUUAGUGAGCGCGUGAGAUUCUUUUUAUCCUUUUUUCCGUUUUUUUUCAAUUCUUCAAAUGAUUUAAUUAUUUUCCACGUAUGAUAUCAAAAGAGAACGCAUAAUAGAAUAAAGAAAAUGUUAGCCUACGCACCUUCUCGUUGAAAAGCAGAGUUGAAAUAUCCAAAGUGAUUUCGCUGGAGCAAUACAUAGUCGUCGAUUCCUCUUGCGACACUUGUCUGUUCGGUGAUGCUGAAGGAGUCUCCACCUCACGGCGGCAAAAACUUGUAACCUCAGGAAGAUUCCCCAGACUCAAAGAUCUUAAUUGAGCAAACUCUAUCUUCUCAAUUGCAUUAUCAACUUCUUCCCCAAUUGCAAAAAUCUCUUUCAUCUUGCUGCAAUUAACAACUGCAAUUCUCUCAAGUCUUGGAAGGCAUUUUGUAGUAGAGAGCCAAAAGAUAUUACUCAACUUAUCACAAUUAUAUGCUUCUACGGUUUUGAGUUCGUUGAAAGACUCUACUUUGAGCCGAUCAACACAUAUCCUCUCCAUGUUGAUCAAAUUGUGAAUGGUAAGUGACUCCAAAAGAGGAAAGGCAUCACAAGCGACCAUCUCCCUUGAAUCGACGAUACAAAAGAAGUCAGGAUUAUUUUGAACCCAGAGAAGCUUCAAUUGUGAAAAGCCCUCCGUGUCCAAAUUGAAAAGAACAUUCUCGAUGCCUUGCAGCUUGUCCAACCAUAAGUAUUCAACGUUAUUGAUGCCCUGCAAUUUCAUGGAGCAAAUGUCCAUAAAAUCAAGCUUGAGCUUCAAUGAUAUUAAACUCUUGCGAUCACUGUUGAUCGAAAAGCGAGGCCGACUUUUAAACCAAUGUUGGCCAACACUCAUGGGAUGCAUGAAUAACCCAUUUCCAAUAGAUAUUUUGAACCUUUCGAGCUUUCUGGCCAAAAAACCUUCUGGUAAAAUAUUGUCACUUUUAACGUCAAUUUCUAGAGUGGUUAGCCGAGGUAAAUGCAUCAAUUCGUCAAGGCUAGCAUUACUUCUUUUGCUGUUGGCUCUUUCAACCUCCCAUUCAAUGAAGCAAUUACCCAUAUACAGCUCUUCUAAUCGAGUUAAGCUUGAUAUGAGAUUAGGCGCAAUAACUUUUAGAUGGAAACAAUUGGUUAAAUCUAACAAUCUCAACUUAUUCAAUUGACCUAGUUCUCCGGGCAACUGCAUAAUAUCAGACUUCAAAAAGCUAAGGACUUCUAGAUUCUUCAACUUCCCAAUGAUUGCUAUGUCCCCCAACGCACUUUGAUCCAGACAUAGUGUGUGAAGAUUUGGUAGAAGAUCAAUUGAAGAUGGAAAAGAAGAAAACUGCAUUCGAGUAAAAUCUAGAACUCUAAGCUUUUUCAUCCCUACAAAAAAGUUCUCAGGAAUAUUGAUUUCAAGAGAAGAAUCUUUGAGAGAGACAAAUAAAAAUUCAAGGUUUGGGCAUUCUAAUCCUUCAGGAAAUUCACGAUUACUAUUAUUUCUUAAAGAGAUCGCAUUGCAUUUUCGAAGUGCAUCCUCAUCUGGCCAGUCCCACACAUCCUUAUUUCUCACCAAAAACACAUGUUGGUGGCGGCAUGCAAUUGAUAUUGCGACAUCACGAACAACAUCAUGCAUUGAAAAUUGUUCAUUGCUCUCACCCUCAAGCAACAAACAAGAGUGUCUAAGUUCAUGGACCAAUGCAAAUAAUUUGUCUCGUGCAUCUUCCAUCUUAUUGACUCCUUUAAAUAUACCCAAACCCAUGGAGUACUUAAACAAGUCCGAAGUAAGAAUACGGUUAUCCAUUAGACUACAGAGCAGAAAAAUUUUCUUGAGUUGCUCACCUUUUAAAUGGUUGAAACUCAGCUCAAUACUUGAAUAAGUCUCUGCAGAUACUCCUUCGAAGUUUACCAUUGAAGGCGUUCGGAGUUCUCGCAAGGAAUUCUUCCAUUCAUGAAGACUCUUGCUUCUCAGUGCCUUUGCCACUGUAGUCAAGGCAAUGGGCAAACCUCCACAUGCCCUGGCGACGUCUAUUGCUGUAGAUUUCAACUCACGAUUUUCAACAUCAUCUCCGGCCAUCAUCUUAAACAAUCUCCAGGCUUCUUCUUCAUUUAAAUUGUUUAUCAAAAAGUUGUCUUUAGAUCCCAUUUUUAAGAGGACACUACGAUCUCUUGCUGUCAGCAGUAGUUUGCAGCCUUUAUGAUCUUCUCCAAAAGGAAUUGCAAUAGUCCCCAAAUCAAGAGGUUUCCAGAUGUUAUCCAGAAUCACAAGGAUCUUCUUCUCAUUCUCCAAUCUUUCAUAUAGUCUACUAGCUCUUCUAGACUCAGCUUCCUCGCGCAACUCCAAGCCCAACUUCUCGGCAAUUUCCUGUUGAAUCUGUUUUAUGUCUGGAGUUUGCGAAACCUCUGAAAAGACCACCAUAUCAAAGUGCUUGUCUUCCAUAGCUUGCCUGGCGACCUUCUUCACCAGUGUCGUCUUUCCAAUGCCGCCCAUGCCGUACACCCCAAUGAUGCUGACAUCAACAUCGAUCAAUGCGUUUUUUAUAGCCUCCAAAGUAGAACGUCUUGAUUCGAAGGCCUCGUAGCCUUUGUGAGACUUGAGCCAAAUCUCCUCCGGAAUGGUACGGUAGGAAAUUCUAUCAUCAAAUCUCUCAGCUUCUUCUCGGAGUUUAAAAAGGGCCUCCUUCUCUGUUUCUGCUUUCUUUCCAUGCUGAUAGCGAAUAAUCCAAUUAGGAAACAGCCCCAUGAGACAUCGUUCAUUUGCUUUCUCUUCGUCUUGAAUGAAUUUGGCUGCCUGCUCAAUGCUCUUGUUCGCACUAAACAGCCAUUUCUCAACCUUCUCUUCAAUCUUUUCACUUUUUCUUUCAGCCUCAGAAACUCUGCGCUGAAUGCUUUCUCUUUCAUCCUUGAGCCUAUCGAGUUCUGCCUUGAGAUUCUCAAAGUUGGCAGCGGAGUUAUACCAAUAACUAAAUUCGCGUUGUGCGUGAGGAGACAAGCAGUUUACAACUCCUGGAACAAUGCUUUUCAAAAUGUCCAUUUUUUUUUUCUUUUUUGGGGAAGUGAACGAAAUAGAAAUAGAACAGAGUCAACGACCGCGCAAUUGAUAAUUAAGUAGAAAACAAGGCAAAAUUGAAAAAAGAAAUUAUAUUUGUACAAAACAAGGGGAAAAUCAGUGUAACAGAAGAGAAUCAAAGUGUUUUUGAGAUCAGAAAAUUGAACCAAGAAAAGGGUUGCUUGAUCCAAUGAAAAUGCAAAGAGCUGAUGGCAAAAGGAAACAAAGCUAAAUAAGAAAACGGUUAGCACGAGCAGUGACCACGAUCAACAGAAGCAAAGUGUGUAUGAGAUCAAAAGACGAAAAUGAGGAGAGGUUUUCUUGAUGGAGAAUUGAAGGCAAAGAGUAGGAGCUGACGAAUACGGGGAUCAAGAGGGAAAAACUGCUUGCUUGUAAAACUACUUUCAAGCGAAUCUGAUAAAAUUAUUUCAGUACUCGUGGGCGACUCCUUUUUAAACUGCAGAAGGGGGAAAAAAAAAGUCUGAAUUUCAAUAUAUUAAUCUCGUAAUCAAUGAUUAAUUAGUAGAUAAUCUUUCUAACAAAUAUGUGUUGAAUAGAUAUAUUUCUUGAUUAGUAGUAGGUUCGAUAUACUUUACUAUAGGAAUGAAAGUACAAAUUGUGUCAUAUUAGAAUACAAAUGGGACCUAAAAAUCCCGUUUUAUGGCCUUUUAAUUAUUUGUCAGCUAAUAAUGAAGUCAUAUACAAAAAUUAUUAAUCUGACCUAGUCUUUAAGUCUUAUAAAUGUUUCUAGAUUUUUAAUUAUAAUAUCAUUAUUUAAAAAAUAUUGCUUGACUUACAUUAGUAACAUUACGAUUGUUCAUAAAACAUGUGAUCCUCAUCCAAAGGCCAGGUGAACAAAUAUAAACGACAAAUUCUUUUCAAUUAAAUAAUCAUCAAGAGAUAAUCUUCUAUUUCAGUACAAAUAGCGAGUGCAGAACAGCUGUCAAGAGAUAAUCAUUGUUUAUGGAGCCAUAUAUAUUUUCUAUUAAAAUAGUUCGUGAACAAUUGCCAGAAUCCGUAAAAAUUGUUGAAAGGUCUAUUAUUUUCGAUUAAAAUUGUUGAAAGGUCUAUUAGUUUCGAUUAAAAUAUUUUCGAUUAAAAUAGUUGCGUGAAUAAUUACCAUAGAUAGUGUUUACAUUUUGGAUUGGACUGAAAAUCUUGAAAAGUAGAAAUCUUGGGAUUGAGAGUAUGGAGUAAAAGUGGGUGUAAGUUGUUUACUUACACUGGAAUAUCAGCAUGGAAUAAAGAUUAUAAUCCAAUUUAUGUGUUUACUUUAUCUUGGAUUGGGAGUAAAUAGUUUCAAAUUAUAAUUUUAUCUUUAUUUAAAGAAUUAUAGUUUUUAAUUACAAAGUUAAUAAAAAAAUAUAUUUAAUGAAUAAAAAUUUAUUUUAUUAUAUUUGUAAAUUUAUAAUAAUUAUUAAUAUUCUUAAUUAUGUACAUCAUAAUUUUUUAUUAAUUUUAAUUUUAAUUAUAUAAAUUAAAAAUUAUUGAUAAGAGCAAUGUAAAUGAAACAUUUUUACUAUUAACAUAGUACAAAAUUAAUAUUUUCUUAUAAUUAACUAUUUAUUAUUACUAAUUAUUGAUAUUAAAUAAAUAUAAUACUAUUAUUUUUAAAUAAAUAUAAUAAUAUUAUAUUUUCAAAUAAAGAUAGUAUAUAGUAAUAUUAUUAAUUCUCUAUUAAUAUAAUAAUAUUAUUUUUAAGUAAUUUAAACUUAGAAUCAAACCAAAUUAUUAUUUAGUUAAAUAUAAUAAUAUUAUUUAAAUAAAUAAAAUAUUAUUUAUUUUAUUUUAUUAAAUAUAAUUAUAGUAAAUUUAAUAAAAGGGGGUUAAAAAAGGAAGGUAAAUAUAAAAUGAAAUAUUUUUUAUUUAAUUAUAUUAAAUUUAUUAUUAUAUAAAUAAUAAUAUAAUAUUAUUUAGUAUAAAAUUAAUAUUUUCUUAGAAUAAACUAUUUAUUAUUAUUAAUUAGUAAUAUUAAAUAAAUAUAAUACUAUUAUUUUUAAAUAAAUAUAAUAAUAUGAUAUCUUCAAAUAAAGAUAGCAUAUAGUAAUAUUAUCAAUUCUCUAUUAAUAUAAUAAUAUUAUUUAUUUUAUUUUAUUUUAUUAAAUAUUAAAUAUUAAAUUUAAUUAAAUAAAGGUAGAAAAGGGAGAGGUAGGAGUGGGUUUCCCAUGGGAGUCCCACUCACACUCCCCACUCCAAAAAUGGGUGGGGUCCACGGAGUGGGAUUCCCAAUCCCUCCUUAAAAUAGUGAAGAAAACACUGAAGUUAGAGGAAUUCACACUGCGCACACUCACUCCAGAAAGUAAACAUCGAAAAAGCCAAAGGAUGAAGAACCACUAUAAGUUCUUUUAUGAAUUUAAAAUGCUAAAGAAACUUGACACCAACGCUAAGCUAACAAGUGCAUAUUUUUCUGUGGCCCUUGCCUCAAUGUCUUUCGGGCAUUGCUCGGGGGUAGUUGAUAUACUGAUUAAAAUAUGAAUGAAUUGGAAUGGAAUGAGUUGGAAUUAAAAUAUGGAAUGAUAAUUAAUUAAUUUAUUUAAAUUGUAAAAAUUAAAAUUAAAAUAAAUUAUAUCAUCAUUGAUAUAUUUAUUUUAUUUUAAAAUCACGAUGAGUUGUUACAAAUUACAAAAUAUCUUUAAUUUUUUAUCAUAAUAAUUAUUAUUUAUUAUAAUAUUUUGUUGGCCUAAAUGGUUAUAUAAUCCUUGAUUUUGAUGAUAACAAACUACAUAGAGUACAAUGGUAAAUUUAUUUCUCACAAUUUCACAAGUUUUUGAAGGGCAAAAAUCAUUCAAGUGAGAUCAAGAUCAAGAUACUCAAUAGACAAUGACAAUCAAGGAUGACUACUAAGGGUACUAGUUUACGCAAUCUUUAUUGUUAAAUUUCUUGUAAAGCUAGUAUAAUUUAACGUGUGCAUGAUGUAACAUUUAAAAGCUCAAGAUAUUUUUCAUGACAUUUUCAAAUUAAAUCAUCAUUUUCUAUAAUAUAAAAGUUUUAACGAUUUUAUAAAAUUAGUUGCUUUUUCCAAAUUUAUGGACUAAAUUGAAAAGUUUUGAGAACUUUGAAAUCAACUAAUAAUGUUUUAAAUCAUAGAAAUUGACAUAUUUGUAAAUAUUUCAAACGUUUUGGGUCGUAAUAUAAUUUCAAAAAAUUAGGUCUAAUCUAUAAAUCCUGGAACAAUAGUGGCUAAUCGCUUAACCAAUAGCGGCUAACUACUUCAAGUCCAAAAACAUAGCAGCUAACCGCUUAAAUCAAGUGGUAAUCCACUUGAACCAAAGUUUUCAAAUUUGAUUUGCAACUGUAACUUACCAUAUCAACAUAGUGGCUAAUCGCCUCAUUUUAACGGCGAUCCAGCAAGUCCCUAGAAAAACCAAUAAUUGCUAGUUUGAUUGUUUAAACUAUAAAAUUCAAAUCUAACAAUUUUUUUCAAUCUCAAUUAAGCUAAAACUUAUUCAUAUAUCUUGAGCUUUCAUUUUGCUUAUCUACAUACAUUAAUCAUUAUAGAGCUAUCAUUUGCUUAUACACUCUUAUAGAGUGUAAUCUUUGUAAUCUUCAAUUAAUAUCAAAAUUGAGUGAGUACAAGUGUGGGAAACACUUGGAAAAAGAGGUGUGUGUAUACAUAAUUACUUGUAAAGGUUUAUUAACACCGUAUAAGUCAAUUGUAAAAUUUUAGAGCCUUGGAAGGUUUGGAUAGUAGAAUUCUCAAGUUUGGAUUACUUGGAGGCGUAGUCAUAGGCGGGUUUGCCGAACUACAUAAAAAUUCAUCUGUUUGUUAUCUUCUCCCUUAUCUUUUUAAUUUCACGCAUAGUUAAAUUUACCAUUAUUAAAUUUCUUGAAGCAUUUGUUUAAUUUGUAUUGUGUUUUUGUUAGUAUAAUUUUUAAUACCUAAUUCACCCCCUCUUGGGUUGCUUAGCUAGAAUUUCAUUUGGUAUCAAAGGAAGUUCUCUUGUUAGGACUUAACCAUCUAGAGUAAAAGAUCCAUAGUAAUCCAAAAUGAUCCCAGAUUUGGGGAAGGUUAAUCCCUUCUAGAUCACCAUUCUUUGAUGGGAAUGAUUAUCCAUGUUGGAAAAUUAUGAUAAGAAUUUAUUUGCAAGCAUUAUAUUAUGAAAUAUAGGAAGUUGAUUGUGAUGGUCCAUUCAUGCCUACUGCUAAAAAUGAAGAAGGGAAAGAAAUUCUAAAACCUUCACAAGAAUGGAAUGAGUUGGAAAAGAGAAAAGAUUCUCUUAAUUUCAAAGUCAUGAAUGCUUUGUUUUGUGCCUUAGAUAAAAAAAAAUUCUAUAGAGUUUAAGGUUGUUCCAAUGCUUAUGAAAUUUGGAAAAAACAUAAAGUCAUUUAUAAAGCUACAAAUCAAGUCAAAUAAUAUAAAAUUAGUAAAUAUAGUAGGCAAUACGAAUUGCUAUAAAUGGAACAAAAUGAGAGUGUUAAUCCCAUAUACACUAGAUUAACAGACAUUAUAAACACUUUAGGAACUCUUAGAAAGACCUUUUCAAACAGCGAGAAGGUAAAAAAAAUCAGAAGGUCUUUACCAAAAGAAUGGAGACCUAAGAAAAUUGCCAUUAAGGAAGCCAAUGAUACUUUAUUUAUUGAUGAUUUAAUUAGUUCAUUUAUUUCUUAUGAAAAGGAUUUGACAACUGAAAAAUAUAUUGAAGACUAGAAGAAGAAGAGUAUUUCCUUAAAAGCAUCAAGAUCUAAAAGUGACAACGAAAGUGAGAUCGAAAAUGAAGACAUGGCUAUGAUAGCUGGAAAAAUCAAAAUAAUUUUCAAGAAAUCCAUCGAGCGAAGGAAAUUCAAAAAUCAGAAAGAGAAGAAGGAGGCAAUUAUUUGCUUUAAAUGCAGGAAGCCUAGGCACAUAAAACUAGCAUGUCCUUUUCUCAAAAAAUUAAAGAAGAAAGCCAUGGUAGCAACACGGGAUGAUAGCGAUAAGGAGACUAUAGAUGAAGAGUAGUCCCAUGAAGUGUCAAAUUUGGCACUUAUGGUUAUAGGAGAUGAUUAUAGGAGAUGAACUUGAUGAGGUAAACCUCUUAGGAUGAGUUGUUUGAAGUAUUCUCUAAAUUGCAUAAAGAUUUAAAGAAGAUUGAAAUGUAAAAUGUUUCUCUUGGAAAGAAAAAAGUAGAACUUUUAAAUGAGAAUGACACUUUGAAUAAAAAGAUUAAGUGCCUAGAAGUAUUUGUGAAGAAAUUGCAUCUUUUAAAGAAAAAACAAAAUGUUUCAUCUAAGAAUAAAGGUUUACUUGUAAAUGAUUUGAAAAAGAAAAAUGAAAUAUAUUGCUUUAGAAUUUGCUUAGUAUUAGUAAAUUGUGUGAUAAAGGUUACAAAGUUAUUUUUAUGUGAUAAAGGCUAUAGAGUUAUUUUUUAUAAAACAAAAUGUAUUAUUAAAAAUGCAUGUGAUGACAAAGUUUUAUUUGUUAGAUAAAGAUGUGUUAAUGUAUACACCAUUGAUAUAGAUAGUGUAUCAACUUAUGAUAAAUAUUUUUUUCACAUUACAUGAUGAUAGUUGAUAUGGCAUGGAAGACUAGGUCAUGCGAGCAUGGAUUUGAUUUCAAAAUUUUUUUAAAAUGAUUUGGUUAUAGGUCUUCUAAAAAUUGGUUCUAAAAAAGAUAGAAUUUGUGAAGUUUGCCAAUUUAGAAAACAAAUAAAACGUCCUUUAAAAAUAAAAUUCAUAUUUCUACUUCAAAACCACUUUAACUUUUUCACAUGGAUUUGUUUGAAUUUUCUAAAUAUGCUAGUUUAAGUGGUAAAUAUUAUGCAUUUAUAAUUAUAGAUGAUUAUUCUAUAUACACAUGGUAUUACUCUCAACUAAUAAAGAUGACACCUUUAAUGCUUUCAAAAUUUCUAUAAAAAGAUUCAAAAUGAAAAAUGAUAUGUUAUUUCUUCCAUUAGAAGUGAUCAUGGUGGAGAAUUUGAAAAUUAUAUUUUGAAAAUUUUUACAAUAACUUUGGCAUUGAGCAUCAAUUCUUGUCACCAAGAACUCCACAAUAAAAUUGAGUAGUUGAGAGAAAGAAUAUGUCUAUCCAAGAAAUGGCUAGGACCAUGUUAAAUGAAAAUACUUUACUAGAAUAUUUUUGGGUUGGAGCCGUCAACAUUGUUUGUUAUAUUUUAAAUCAUGCAUUGAUUAGACCUUAUCUCAAUAAAACUCCUUAUGAGCUUUGGAAAAAUAGAAAAACAUUGACUAUUUCAAAGUUUUUGGUUGCAAAUGUUUUCUAUUGAAUACAAAAGACAAUCUUGGUAAAUUUAAUCUAAAAUCUUAUGUUGAUAUUUUUCUUGGGUAUUCAAAUACAAGCAAAACUUAUAGAGUGUAUAAUAAAAUAUCCUUGGUCGCUAAAGAAUCUAUACAUGUUAUGUUUGAUGAAUCUAACUUUUCUUCUAUGAAGAAAGUUGUUGUUGAUGAUGAUGCAUAUGAAGAGUUACAAAAACAAAAAGUCUUUAAAAGACAAACAAUAUGAUUUACCAGGUAAAAAUCAAGAUGAGCAACAAGAAGAACAAGUUAAACAGAUUCAAAAUAAAGGUAAUUCACAAACACUCUCUAAGGAGCUAAGGUAUGUCUCUUCACACCCUAAAGACUUAAUCUUAGGAGAUCCUUCAUGAGGUGUAACUACGAGAUAAUCACUUAGAAAUACAUGUGAACAUACUGUAUUCAUAUCUCAAGUUGAACCAAAAUCCUUUUCAGAUGUGGAAAAUGAUGAAUCUUGGAUUAUAGCAAUACAAGAAGAGUUAAAUCAAUUUGAAUGAAACAAUGUAUGGAAACUUAUUCAUAAACCAUAACAUCAAUCUGUAAUAGGCAGUAAAUGGGUAUUUAUGAAUAAAAUUGAUGAAUCUAGUGUGGUUGUAAGGAAUAAAGUUAGAUUAGUAGCUCAAUGAUGCAACCAAAAAGAAGAAAUUGAUUUUGAUGAAACCUUUGCACAUGUAUCUAGAUUAGAAUCCAUUACAUGCUUUUAUUAUUUGCAUAUCAUAAUGAUUUUAUUUUAUAUUAAAUGGAUGCUAAAAGCACCUUUCUAAAUAGUUGUAUUAUGAAGGAAGCUUAAGUGAAACAACCCCCUCAUUUUAAAAACGAAAAAUGUUUUUGGAUCAUGUUUACAAAUUGUCCAAAGUUUUAUAUAGUUUAAAGUAAGCAUCUAGAGCAUGAUAUGAUAGACUUAGUAAAUUUCUUUUAGAAAAUAGUUUUUCAAUGGGUAAAGCGAAUACUACUCUAUUUGUUAAAUACAAGGAUCAAGGUAUACUUGUUCAAAUUUAUAUUGAUGAUAUUAUCUUUAGUUCUACUAAUGAGUUUCUGUGUAAGGAAUUUUCAUCUUGCAUGAGUAGAGAAUUUGAGAUGAGCAUGAUGGAAGAAUUGAAGUACUUUCUUGGACUUAAAAUUUAAGAGAAAAAAAAGAAUUCAUUAAUCAAGCCAAGUAUUUCAGAGAUCUACUCAAAAGAUUUUGCAUUCAAGACUAAGGACACUCCAAUGAGUACUACAAUCAUGCUCGAUAAGGAUAAAAAAAGUAAAGAUGUUGUAUCAAACGAUAUCGAGGUAUGAUCAUAUCUUUACUUUACUUUACUGCUAGUAGACAUUACUUUAGUGUAUGUUUGUGUGCAUGAUUUCAACCAUAUCUCAAAGAAUCUCAUUUUCUUGCAGUUAAAAGAAUUUUUCAUUAUUUAUGAGGAACAAUUGAUCUUGGUCUAAGGGAACUCAUAUAAAUUAUUAGCUCAAUAAAUUUGUCAAAGAAUCUCAUUGAACAUUCUAGGACCAAACAUAUUGAAACUAGGCAUUAUUUCUCACGUGAUCAUGUUCAAAUGAGAGAUAUUGCUUUAGAAUUUGUUUCUAUGGAAAAAUAACUUGCUGAUAUUUUUACAAACCCUUUUUGUGAAGAAUAGUUUUCAAAGAUUUAGAUUGAGUUUGGAAUGAUGACAUUUUCACAUCAAUAUUUCAUUGCAUGAUAUUGAGACUACAAAUUUGCUUAAUUUUCUAUCUUGAUUGAUUGUACGAUAAAAACUUGAUUUUAAUGUGUUAUAUGCUUGAAUUUACUUCUUUGAAUGUUUAUCAUCAUAUCUUAUGCAUUAAAAAUGGCUUUUAAAAUACUUCAGGAUCACAAAAUGGUCUCAAAAUUAAUUAAAUUUUGGCCAAAAAGCAAAAUCGUGCAAAAUCUAGGGGAACUAGCUAACCGUUAACCACAAGCAACUAGCCAAUUGUGAGGCAGAAACUAGCUGGCCAGCCGGCUCAAAGCAAACGGUUAAUUGCUUGGUUUCUAAAAAUGAAACAGUUAACUGCUUUCUUCAAGAGGCUAGCUGGCUUCACGUUUUCAAAUGUUGUUCAUCUUCUUUUUCCCACUUUUAGUUGUUACCCUCUCUCUAUCACUGUCAUCUCUCAUUUCUUUUAACCUCUCUCUAAAAUCUUCCAUUUUUACAUCACUUUUGUGUCAAGUUAAACUUUCCAAAUCAUUUCCCAUCAAUUAAUCUUCACACAUUUGCUUUUAAAACACAAUCUAAUCACUCUUCUCUCAAAAUCUUAAAGCUUAAGUCACCAGUUUCAAUAUUCUCAAAUUUGAACCAUUAUUUGACCAUUUUCGACCAAAAUAAACCCAUACAUUCCUUAGAUCUUCUCAAAGAACAUUUUAAUCGGUUCAAAGUCAUCUAUUUCUUUAAAAACUUUGUGAACUCGAAUUUGUGCAAUUUUGGACACAUUUUGAUAAUUUCUUAAUGGCUAGUGGUGAGAAGUCCAAGGGUAAGCAUAUGCCUAAAAUGUAAAAAAAAAAAAGAUUCAUAAAGACAUUAUGAAAUUCAUUUCCACCCACUUCCCAAAUCCGCCUCAAUGGAAUGAUUCUCUGAUCGAUUUAUGACAAGGUCAGUCCUCCCAUACUAUAUAUGUUAAUCUUGAUUAAUUAGAAAAUUUGUCAUGUUGUAGCAAAACUCUUAGAACUUUACUUGCUGAAUUGGGUUGGACAAAUGUCUUAGUUCUUAAGGAACAUAUUUGUCCUAAUUUGGUACGAGUAUUUUAUUCGAACAUGCUUAUUUCUACAAAUACUGCCAAUAUGAUUAUUACUAAUGUUAUUGGGAUUCCUAUUAAGUUUACUGUAGAAGAUUUAAACAUGAAUCUCAUAUGAUAGGUUGCAUUUGUAUACAUCUAGGACUAAAAUUGAUUAUCCCUGGUAUUUAGUUGUAGAUGAUGUUUGAAACAUAGAUGUUCGAAACAUAUGUAGGUGAUCUGAUCUAUCCAUGGAGCUUUUUAACUCCUCUCUUAGAUCACAAGUGUUGCCUCUUCAAGUUCGGAUCCUACAUAGUGUCCUUCAGCUUGUGAUCAGUCCUCGCAAGGGACAUGGUGCUGAGGUUACACGCUUAGAUGUUACUUUAUUAGAUAGCAUCCUUGAGGGUAAAAGCUAAAUGUGCGAAUAUUAUCAUUCAGCACAUGCUUAAUACACUGAGUAUAGGAAACCGAUCCUUUUCGGUCUGUAGUGUCAUUACCCAUAUCCUUCAAUAUUUUUGGGUCCCUAUAGCUGAACCAUCUCAUGAUGAACCCAAGGAGUUAAGGGAUGAGGUCAUUGCUAGCUUAGGAUUUGGGUGGGUAGAUGACCAAUAGGUUAAAAAUCAGAACUUGUUGAGCAAACCCACAAAGCUGGCUCUUUUUUAUCAUUGCAUCUUUAACGAUGUGCUUCCCCUUACUGGGUUCUUGAUCUUAGUUCUUCCCUGAGGUCACAAGCUCUGCAUUGGCCUUCUGAUGCUCCACCAUCAUCAUCUUCAGCCAUUCCCAAUAACCCAAUCUAGCAGUUGUUGAAUAAAGUGUGUUCCAUAUCCGAACAGUAAAGCGAGCUUAAGAUAUCGUUCGCAGCAUUCCAGGAUCAUUUUCUUUCUGAGCAGCAACAUCUCUUUCUUCAACAAUAACAAAUUCUAGACCAUCACCAGCUUAUUUUCAUUGCUCUUAAAUUUUCACCACCAUCCUUAUUAUCAUGUUUGCUGCUUCAUCAGUGAUUUUCUUUUAUCUCUUUUGCUUCCUUGUUUUAUGCACCGACAUUAUUUAUCAUAUGCAUUUUCGUUUUUAGCAUUAUGGAUACUUGAUGGAUGUUAUUUUACUUAUGCAUUAUGGAUACUUGAGUUGAUAUGGAUUAUCUUUAUGCAUUCUAGUUAUUGAUUGUGGUAUCUUUAUUAAUUAUCUUUAUGGAUUAUCUUUAUUGAUUAUGGAUUAUGUAUAUGGAUACUUGAUUAAUGGUCAUGUGUGGAUUUUCGAUUGAUGAUAUUUGUGGGGGAUAAUUAUUGAUAAUAUUUGUAUAAUAGAGGAGUGAUUUUUCAUGAUGAAGGGAGAGAAGAUAUUGACAUGUAUUUUGAAGUGUUUUGACAUGUUUUUGGCUCAUGGGGGUUGAUUGAGUGUUUGUAGUAUUUUAGUUACUUUCUGAGUCACUCAAGGAGAGUUUACAAAUGUUGUACAAUUAUAUGGAUCAUGUACUUAGAGGGAGUGAGUUUAUAUAUUUGGUUAUAUUUUUUGAAUUAUGUCAUAUACUCAAGGGCAAUAGAAAUGUCAAAAUACAUAGGGUGUUUGUCAUCAUAAAAAAAGGAGAGAUUGUUGGGGUAAACGACUAUAUGAUCCUUAAUUUUGAUGAUAACAAACCACAUAAGGUAAAAUGAUAAAUUUAUUUCUCACAAUCUGACAAGUUCUUGAAGGACAAAAAUCAUUCAAGUGAGAUCAAUUUCAAGUCACUCAAUGGACAACAACAAUCAAGGAUGAAUACUAAAGGUACUAGCUUAAUUAAUCUUCAUAGCUAUAUUUCUUAUAAAGCUAAUAUGAUUUAAUGUAUGCAUGAUUUAGUAUUUAAGAGUUCAAGAUAUUUUUCAUACAAUUUUCAAAUUAAAUCAUCAUUUUCUAUAAUAUAAAAGUUUUAAACGUAAAUAAAAAUGAUUUUAUAAAAUUAAUUGUUUUCAAAUUUAUGGACUAAAUUGAAAAGUUUUGAGAACUUUGAAAUUAAUUAGUAAUGUAUUAAAUUCUUGAAGUGGACCUAUUUGUAAAUAUUUCAAAAUUUUAGGCCAUAGUAUAAUUUUAGGAACUUUUAGUUUAAAUCUAUAAAAUUUGAAACAGUAGUGACUAACCACUUAACGAAUAGUGGCUAACUGCUUCAGGUCCAAAAACAUAGCUGCUAACCAUUUAAAUCAAGCGACGAUUUGCUUAGGCAAAAAAGUUUUUAAAUUUUAUUUGUAACGGUAACUUGCCACAUCAAUAUAGCGACUAACUUCUUUAUUUUAGCAGCAAUCCGGUAGGUCCUCAGAAAGUCAAUUAUGACUAGUUUGAUUGUUUAAACUAGAAGAACCCAAAUCAAACUCAAAUCUAACAACUUUUUCAAUCCCAAUUAAGUUAAAACUUGUUCAUACAACUAAUCUUGAGCUUUCAUUUUACUUAUUUACAUGCAUUUAAUCAUUAUUGAGUUAUCAUUUGCUUAUACACUCUUAUAGAGAUUAAUCUUUGUAAUCUUCAAUUAAAUAUCAAAAUUUUGUGAGUAUAAGAGUGGGAAACACUUGGGGAAAGAGGUAUGUGUACACAUCACUACUAUAAAAGUUUAUUGACACAUUAAAAGCCAAUUGUAAAAUCUUGGAGCCUGAGAAGGCUUGGAUAGUGGAAUCCUCAAACUUAGUUUGCUCGAGGCAUAAACAUAGGCGAGUUUUGCCGAAACACGUAAAAAUUCAUUUGUUUGUUAUCUUCUCCCUUAUUUUUUUAAUUGCAUUCAUUGUUAAAUUUACUAUUAUAAAUUUCUUAAAGCAUUUGUUUAAUUUGUUUUGUAUUUUUGUAAGUAUAAUUUUAAUACCCAAUUCACCGCCCUCUUGGGUUGUGUAGAUAGAAUUUCACAUUUGUUGUACAACAACAACAACAACAACAAUAACAAUAACAAUAAUAAUUGUUAUAAUGGUUGGAACAAUUACUAUUGAAAAACUUUUAUUGUUAAUAAUAGUAGAAAAUAAGAACAAAAAAGGAAAUUAUCCAAUAACCAUGUAAUCUUUGGGUCUUUUUUAAAAAUACACAGAAACGUUUUUCUUUGUAGAAAUCCACCUAGAGUUUAUUAAUUAUUCACUGUCAUCUUAGCUCAUUAGAAUCUUGUUGAUGUCAUAAGAUUAAAAUUAUCAUUUUACUUGAACACCUAAGAUUAAAGUUAUCCUUUAGAGUUUCUUUCGCUGGGGCUGGUGACCUUAGUGGUUAGAUUUGCUAGAUAUGGUCGUGAGAAACUCGACAAUGGCCGAGGAUUGGCUGGAUUCACGGUGGUUUGGUCAAAAAGUUGACUUGAAUUGGCAUAUGUGGUGCUUCAUUCAUGUUAGAGAUUUCGAUUGCGAUUUGGAUAUCGACAAUGAGAAAGUGGCGUUUGCGGUGGCGCUAGGUGAGGCCCGGGUUUUGGGUUAGCAUUGUGGCGGUUUAUGGCGGUGAUCAUUGGUGGGUUUUGUCAAGUUAUGACCAGUGGAAUCUAGCAAGUUUAGUGGUGGUCUUGGUUGACAGUGAAGAUGGUUGGUUUCACGGUGGCAGCUGGUGGAUGCUCCCAGUUUUUAGGUCUAGAUGAUUUAUAGUAGGUACAAGCGGCGAUUGAUGGCAGGAGUGGCUAAGGUUUGGUAAGUAGUGGCUAAUGAGUUUGGUAGAGGGAUUAGCCAAUGAUGAACUAUUAGUGAAGAGUGGCAGUGGCGGUGGGCGGCUGCUAAGGUUUUGUAAUUUUGUAAUAUUUUUUUGUUGGAUAAACAAUGAUGGAUUUGGUGGGGAUGGAUAUGGGUAGCCAGGAAAACUGUGCAAUUGGCAUUGAACCACUCUAAUACAAACUAACAAAUUGGAAUAGCGGAAGUGGAAUUGAUAGGUCGGAAAUAUUAGCUAUUGUUAUAAUACUGGCUAAGGUAAUGUGGAUAGUUUACGUCCUAAUCGAAACGUGUAGAUCUCAUUCUAACAAUGGCUCAAUGAGAUUUUAAUAACGCAUAAAGCGAGAUUAGACGACGUUCUAAUCCAAAUAACUUUGCAAGAGAGAUUUUAAUAAAUAAUUUUAGAGGGAAUUAUUAAAAAGGGCUUUAUUAGUUGAUCAAUAGUUGAAGUUACAAUAAUAAGAUUUUGAUUUAUAAUAUAAUAAACCUACUUCACUAAGUUAACUUAAAAAGAAAAACUAAAUCACAAUUUUAAUAGAAAUAAAAAAACUAAGACAUAUACCAUAGUUGACUAUAAUUAAAAUAGAAAACGAUAAAAUAAUAAAAAUUAUAAAAUCCUAAAACAAUGUCUACAUCAUAUCCUCACUAAAAUAAAAAUAUAAAAGUAAAGCAAAUUGUGGUAUAACAGACUUUAAUUCUAUCACUCUUCAAUUUUUUUGUUUAUUAAUUAAUAUUGGUGUCUAUGGUUAAAUUUGUUAUUUUUUAUAACAAUUUUAUUUGUUAAUUGAAAUAUUUAGUCUAUGUAAACAAAAAAAAAUGGUUGGAGAGAAUGAGAGAGGAAGGGGGGGAGAGAGAGAGAACAAAGUCAAACAAAUAAUUUAAUGAAUUAUAUUUUUAAAAUUAAAUUUUAAUUUGAUUAAAUAAAUGAUGUAGUGAGAAAAUGAGUAGGUUCAAAUAGCUUUACUUAUAUUUAUUUCAUUAAUGGCUCAAAAUUUAAUGAAAAUAAAUGGUUUUAAAAAAUUGCAUUUAAGUUGCAUAAUUCAAUGAGUAGUGCCACACAUCCUAAAUCUUUUAUCUUAAAAAAUUAUCCCAAAUGAUAUAGUAUUCAUCAAUAGAUUGAAGAGAUAAUACAAUUAAUUCACUCAAAUCUUGAAAGAAUUACCUACUAUUCAAGUAAUGACACACCAUUUGGGAUAUCUAUCAUUACUCUAAUUGAAAAUAAACCUAUCACUGGAUGAUUAAUUAUGGUAGGUUUGCUUAAUACUAAAAUGCCACUCAUAAGUUUUGUUUGGAUUUGUAAUUGAUUUAUCUUAAUCCUUCAACUUGACAUAAGGUCGUUCUCCUCGUUUCUGUACACUUAAAAGUCACCCAGAUCAAAACUAGAUCUAUCGUUGCAUUUGCUUGAAAAAUAAUUUACAAGUAAUAAGUUCUCGUGAUUAAGCAACAUUUUUAAAGGGUUAUGAUAGUAGUGGAACCGUGAUACAAUUUGUAAAUAUUAGAUGGAUUGUUGAAAACAAUAAAAAAUGCUUGUAUGUUUUUUAUAAGGAUCUCCCUAUCUUACAUGCAUGUAAGAUAGGAAUUGCCUUUUUAUAAAGGCUAAAAGAUAAAGUGGUGCAUGGAUAAUUACUUUUUUUUUCCCUUUUUAUCUUAAUCAUGUUUGAACGACAUCCUUUUAUAGUUCCCAGACAUUCUGCAACUAUAAUAGACAAUUUUAAUAGGAACUACAGAGAAAAUAUUAAUAUUUUUAUACUUAUUCACUUACCUGAUGGAUAGUUAGAUAAGUGUUACUUUUCACACAACUAGACCAAAUUAGUACCCUUUUUGGUUUGUGAAAACGUGAUUUUUAUGAAUAUGCUAUAGAUGCUUUCAAAUGUUUCUACAGUUUACGAAUUUACGCAUUAAACGAAAACCUCCAACUAUCAAAUAAAAAGGUGAAAAUUCAAUAGAAUCGACAACUUCUCAGACUCACGUAGGUGGUGGUUCAAGUUUCUAAACUACUAUUAUUAUUAACAGUUUUGAAAAGCAAAUAGUAACUUCAUUUCACAGCAUCUGCUUUUGAGAAAGCUCAGAUGUAAUCAAAAUUCCAAAACCACUCUAAAUAUGUUAGGGAUAUGACCAUAAAUAGAAGUUAAAUAUGAUAGGAUAUAUAGUUGUUCAUAGCUAACAUUUGAUGGUUUAAUUAUUUGUUCUAGGGAUUAUGCGCUGAUUAGUGUUUUUUGUUAUCCGAUGAAUGAUAUUCAGUUUUUCUUACAUGCUCAUAGGCAAGAGCAUUUUCUAAGUACUUUCCUUGCCUUCAAAUUUUGAAAGAAAGAUAGAUAUGAUAUGUGACGCAAGCCCAAUGAAAUAAGCAAAUAAAAUAGAAUAAACGAAGCAAAAAUAUUUCUAGAAACAAGAAAUGACAAAGGAAACACGAAUACAACUUUUUUCUUGUUUUCCUUAUUUUCCUCUGUUAAGCUCCAAAAUGAAUAACUUUAUUCUACCAUCUCUCAAAUAAUAACAUCAACAGCACAUAAUCGUCAUCAAUAAUAAUAAUAAUAAUAACAAUAAUAAUUUAACUUUGUAGGAUGGAGCUCUCGCAAAUCUUCAAGACACAAAAUGUGCUUGACCCCGUUGUUGUUAUUAUAAUUUCAAAAUCAUUUGUAUUAUAUAAAAUUAGGGAAUAAAACAUAGCAAAAUUGAUGGUACAAAUGUUGCAAUAUAUUUUUUCAUGUAGCAACACAUUGAAGUAAAGAAAAGCAAAACAACGAAAAAUGUAACGGGAGAGCUCUCAUUAUGUAGAUUUUCAAUAGAAGUAAUGAAAAUUUCACAAGGACAAUGGCCUUAUUUCGAAUGCUACACCUGGGGAAUGGCUUGAAUCUUUUAUAGAACUCACACUAUUAUAAAAAACGCUAAACAAUGACAAAAAUUUUAUAACAUAUAUCGAUAUGUCAAAAUCAUUUGAUGGUACAUUUUAUAACAAAAAAUGAAAAAUGUAACGGGAGAGCUCUCAUUAUGUAGAUUUUCAAUAGAAGUAAUGAAAAUUUCACAAGGGCAAUGACCUUAUUUCGAAUGAUGCACCUGAGGAAUGACUUAAAUCUUUUAUAGAACUCACACUACUAAAAAAACGUUAAAUAAUGACAGAAAUUUUAUUACAUAUAUAGAUAUGUAACAAAUGUAUCAUGAAAGUGUGAUAGAUUUGUAACAUAUAUUCAUAUGUCUAGAGUUUAUGACAUAUUCAUGACUUAUAACUUAGGGAAAUUUACGAAAAUAACCAUUAAUAUUUUAUUAUUUUCGCAAUUAAUCCUGUCAACUUUUUUCUAUCAACAUUAGCCAAACACAAGCCUUUCUUCCCAAAUUACCCUUCUUUACAGAACAAAACCAACAUUGUUUCUCCCAUGUCGCCAAACCAAAAGCAGCUUGUCACUCUUGAAUCAUCAGCCAACGGCGACCACAAAAGACAACGAUAAAAGUGAUAUCCGAUCAUAAUCUAUCCGGAUCCAACACAAAUCGACAUCAUUUAGUGGUAUGAAUUAUUUUCUGAACUUACUGAACUGAGUUGGGUGAAUCUGAAUCUGCCGACAGGCUAAUGUCGCAGUAAAACUCGGUGCGACAGGCGCCUGUCGCACCGAGCAAGGUGCGACAGGCACCCUGUCGCACCAAGAUUCGGGCGACAGGUUGUCUGUCGCACCCACCCUGGAGAUUCAUUAAAACUGUAUUAUUUUAAUAGGACUGAAAUAAAUUUUUUUUUAUAAUUUCAGGCUUAAUGGAUUCAGUUGUACUUGAAUUGUGUUACGAUGGUUGGUGGGAGACAUUAGAGAAUGGUCGUAUGGAGCAUGUGAAUGGUAAAAAUCGAGCUUUUUUGGUUGGAAAAAAUUAUCUGUUUGAUCAGUUAUUGGCAAGAGUAUACGAGGUGUUACAAAUAAACCCUAAUGAUUAUAGUAUCACAAUGAAGAUAACUUUGAGGUCUAGUAACACAUUAUAUCGUAUAUGUGCAAUGCCCAUGGAUAUAUGUGAUGAUGAAAUGGUGAGGGUUGUGUUGCAUAUGGCAUUUGACGUAGCUAAUGUUGGAUGCAUUCCUAUAUUCGUGACCACAUCACCUUGAGUUCCGAGCGAAGGUAUUGAGCCACUUGUCGAUACAGAAACUUCGUUUAGAGCAAAUAUGUCUGGCCCCGAUAAUGAUGAAGAGGUGUUGCCAAGGACAAUAUCGUUGCAGCAAUAUUACUCUCCAAUCCACGAAAAUUAUGACAACAUUGAUGAUAAUGGCGUUACGUUACAGGAUGUUGGAGCAACGGUAUUUCCAAUAACAACGUCGUUGGAGCAACGAUAUUCUCCGUAUCACAACAAUGAUUUUCGGGACAAUGAUGAUUUUAAUAAUGAGACAGAGGGGGAUAAUGUUUGUGCAGAACCUUCUAAUAAUACGAGGCGGGGCACUCGUUUCAAUAAUGAUGGUGAUGAUAGAGGAGCCGGUCCUUCGAAUGUUCCGUCGUUUCAGCAUGAGGAUGAGUGUGAAGACAAUACUCCUGUGAAUAACAGAGGCAAUAGACCUAUUCCUUCUACGGUUCGAUCGAGAAGGAGAAUUGACCCCCUUACAAGUCUUGCUCCAACUUUGCCUUCGAACAUGGUUGCUCCAAGCUUUGUUAGCAAUUGUGACUCAGAUGAUAUCAGCGUGGGUAAGCUAUUUGCUGAGAAGAAUGAGCUUAUAUUACAACUACGCAAGGUGGCCUUUAGAGAUAAGUUUGAUUUCAAGAUUGCACAGUCUACUAUGACACGUUUCGAGGCUCACUGUUGUUCAGAAUCAUGUAAAUGGCGUAUUCGAGCAACUAGAAGUUCGAACGAGCAAAAUGUUCCUUGGGUGGUGAAGAGAAUUGAUAAUGUACACACUUGUCAUAAUGAGGUAUUGGUUGAUGGACGUCAUCAAGUAAGGAGCCGGGUUGUCGGUCAUAUUAUCGCAGAAAAAUAUAUUCAAGAUAAGAGGAUUUAUACUCCCAAUGACAUAAGAGCAGAUAUGCAACAGGAAUACGGUGUUCAGUUAACAUACCAGCAGGCAUAUAGGGCGAGAGAAGUUGGUCUUGAAAUAGUUCGCGACAACCCUGCAGAGUCAUACAACUUGCUCCCUAAAUACUCUCACGUACUAACUACAGCGAAUGAGGGUACAGUCACUCACCUCAAGCAAGAUGGAGAUGGUAAUUUCUUAUACUAUUUUGUAGCACUCGGAUCUUCCAUCAAGGGGUUUAUGCAGUACAUUCGGCCUGUCAUUGCUGUAGAUGGUACUCAUCUGAAGGGACUAUAUCGUGGAAGCAUGUUCGUGGCAACAUGUCUUGAUGGUAACAAUCAAUUGUAUCCGUUAGCUAUUGGGAUCAUGGAUUCAGAAAACAAUGAUGCUUGGGAAUGGUUUAUGAUGAAGUUACACGAAGUGAUUGGUGAUAGACCUGAGUUGGUAAUUAUCUCUAAUCGAUGCACUACCAUAAGGAGAGCCGUUCUUAAAGUAUUUCACAAUGCAACUCAUGGCGUUUGUUUUUACCACGUCAAAGGUAACAUUAAGUCACAAUUUAGAAUGUCCAAAGCUCUUUGGGAUGAAUUUGAGCCUGCCUUUAUUAAUGCAGCAAAAGCAUAUGGCCAUGAGGAAUUUAAGAGACAACUUGAGGGGUUGUGGAUGGAUCCACUCGGGUGCGGCUGAUUACCUAGAAAAUAAUGUCGGUACGUGUAAUUGGGCAAGGUCUCAGUUUGAAGGUAGGAGGUACAACAUUCUUACCACCAACAUCGCGGAGAGUGUUAAUGCUUUCAUGAGGGAACCUCAAAAAUUUCCUGUUACUCAUCUUGUUGAUCACUUUAGGAAAACAUUGCAGCAAUGGUUUUAUGAUAGAAAAAUUGUGGCUGAAUCAAUGACUACUCGGCUAACAACAUGGGCGGAUGAAAUAGUCACUGAGAGGAGAACUAUAGCUGAAAGAAUGAUAGUUCGGCCGGUGUCUCCGCAUCGCUUUCAAGUUAUAGGCGGUGGGCUUAAGGAAGGGUUGGUUGACUUGCAAAAGAGAAUUUGCUCCUGCAGAGUGUUUCAGCUUGAUCAGCUUGUGUGUGCUCAUGCAAUUGCGGCGUGUCUAACAUACCGGGUGGAUUUUAUUAACCUUUGUUCAGACUUUUACACUACAGAAUCGUUGGCGAUGGCUUAUGCACAACCAGUGGAGCCAGUUGGUGAUGUGGCUGAUUGGGAAGUUCCAGAUGAAAUUCAGGAGAUGCAAGUAUACCCACCAGUUGAGGCACCACCACCUGGCCGUCGUAAAGAGCUCAGAAUACCCUCGGCUGGCGAGGACGUUGACCGGCGGACUGUAAGAUGCUGCCGGUGUCAUGAACUAGGCCAUAAUAGUAAGCGAUGUAAGAAUCCUAUUGCGUCGACUCGAAGUUAGUUGUAUUUUGUGUGUUAUUCGGUGGUUAAAACUAUUAUUGUUUUUGUGUUUCGUUGGUUAAAACUGUUAUUGUUUUUUGUAUUUCGUUGCUUAAAACUGUUAUUGUUUUUUGUAUUUCGUUGCUUAAAACUGUUAUUGUUUUUUGUAUUUCGUUGGUUAAAACUGUUAUUGUUUUUUGUGUAUUGUACACUUAUAUUUCAUAAAACUUUAUUUUAUUUUAAAGUUCAAAAUGUGAGGCAUUAAAAUUAUAUAAACUUAAGUGCGCAAAUUAAAAAAAAAUUCAAAUUUCAACAUUAAAAUUACUACAUAGGUCUAUAAUAUAAUAUCGUCAUUAAAUAUAUCAACCGCAAUCUUCUUUCUAAAGUACUCGACAUGACUAGCGUUAAACUCCAAUCUAAGCCCAAACAUUAAAUACAUCGUAACCAUCAAUACAAAAACACCGCAAUCGCCAGUUCCGGGCUCUUGUUGCGGCGCGCUCUUAACUGCGAUAACUUUCCACGGGUCUUCACUCCGCAACUCAGGUCGGAUAUUGUAGAAGCCAACAUAUUCCAACCAGCGAGGGAAUAUAACUUCAAGUGGCUUGAAUUUCAACUUGUACCUUUUGUCGUCGCGAAAUGUGAGUAAUGAGUCAUAGAUCCAGACUUUAUUUUUCCGAAAGUCAACUCGUGCUAGUACCCAAUGCGCGCCGUCCAAGUUAACAGGGAUGAGUAAAUGCAUAUAAAAAUUGAAAAACAUGUUCGUUAUAUAUGCAAUUGAAAUACAACAAAGAAAAAGCAACAACUCGAAUAUUUUCAUUAUAGAACAUGUGAAAUGUAAUAAAAUACAUACCAUAUCGACAUCUGUCAUUGAUUUUGACAUUGUGUGCUGUCGCCCACAAAGAUAACUAUUUAAGCGGUCGUCGAAUACUAUUGAAUCGACUGCACAAUUCUCGUUAUUCCAUAACUGAUUCAAGAACACCUAGUACAUAGAUAACCAAGAAAUGCAUAAAUUAAUAAAACUUAAAGGCAAUAAUUAAAAAAAAAUUAAAUAGUAUUUAUAAGUUUUGUCGGCACGUUACCCAAAAAAAUGUGUCAGUAUGUGUGACACGUUGGAGUAAGGCAUUUGGAUACUGCCGUUGUUUCUCGCUAAUCAAGCGGAGAUACUCGUGAAUAUGCUGUAGAGAAACAGAAAUAUUACGAUUUAAAAAAAAUUAUACACAAAUCCACAAUAGAAUACACCACGAGGAAAAUAUAAAUACCUCAUCGCCUAGCCAUCCCAUCGAAGCUGUCCCCAAAAUUAUUUGAAAGAAUGACCGCGGGUGCUGGACUCUCCGGCGGACUCUGCUAUCACCAGUGAACCAUCGAUCAAACUCAGCAAACAAACUAGAGUCCUCCAAUUCUCUAAGUGGAUUUACAUCCACACUUGUACUCAUGUCAAUCGCAUGCUCCAUGAUUUGGGGUCGAGGUAAGGGCCGGACGUUCUGUCCUCGCCUGACCGGAGGAAUCAUGUAAGGACUGUUAUAAACAUAUGACGGUAUGUACGCGCGGCCGAACUUACUAAAGCCCGGAGGCACCUCUGUGAACACCUGCACGCUCUCCCCACUAACAUCCCCGUAGAAACUAUACAAUGACGUGGGCGUAGACAAAUUUUCAUUGCCCACGUCAGUAUACACUCCAUAGUCAUCCGGGGCCUAUACAUUCGCCAAAAAGAACAUAUUAAAUAACUAUCAAAUUAAAAGUUAAACGAACAUAAUUAUUAAAUUUAAAUUAGCUUACCGCAUACGAGCGUGCAGUGGGAGAAUCCUUAUUUGGACGUUUAGAAAAUGUGUCGAUGAAGCCAACAACGGUUUCUUUAAAAUCUUUUAAUUCGGACUUUAUUUCAUACACGUUACGAUCAAUCUUAUCCAGCCGUCGUUGUACAUAAUCAUUAAACUGCUUUGUCCUCGACUAUUACAAAAGAAAAAAAUAAAACUUUAGAAUAACAAUAAAAAAAUAAUAAUUUAUAAAGGAAAAAUAUCGUAUAUUAUUUCUAACCUCAGAAUCCCGUGUGUCAUCAGAGUUGUCUGUUUGCUGGUGGUGGUCAUCAACAGCCACCUCAUCCUCAAAAGUGUCAUGACCCACCUCAUCCUCAAAAGUGUCAUGACGCUGCUCUGGUAUUGGGUUUGGUAUGUCGUCAUGAUCGUCAUGCUCGUCUGAUUGCCUUGUAACCGACGGCAUCGCGUUGAUCGAGGGUUGGUGCUGUAUAAAGUAUCAUUUAAAAUUAGUAAAUGAAAAGCCAAAAAUUUCGAUUAACAAAUUUUUAGUACUUAGAGUAUACCGACCUUAUGAACCCAGUCUGGAAUGCUUGGCAAGUAAUUCUUCACAGAGAGCCAAUAUUUUCUGCUACUCUCCUUUGAAUUUGGCUCAAGAGUUUGUAAAAAGUCCCCCUGCCAUAAAUUCAAUUGAAAAUUUUAAGUAAGUAUACAUAACUUAAAUUUAGUAAAGUUAAAAAAAUAAGUAAUACAUAUUACUUACAAGACGAGAUUCGUCGUUGAAGAACGAAUAAACCUCCGCAAAGUUGAUUCUCGAAGACGCCAUGGGAUUCCAUUGCAGAAUGCGGGGAAUCUUAUUCUUCGUUUUGACGACCCAUGUUGAUGGCAACCCUCCGAUUGCUUCGUAAAUCCAAGCCUACAACAACCAAAGUGAAAAAUCAAAUAAAACAACUAUCAAAUAUUUAAUACUAUAAAACUUAUUAAUAAACAAAAAAAAAAAGCACCUGAACCCCAGACGUAAAGCCGUAAAGAUUGUAUAUUUCAAUAUUAUGAUUUGGAUUUUUCAACCGAGUCUUCUUAAAUUUCUCGUCUUUCUCGAACAGUGCAUUGUCAAGACUCUCGUAAAUCAUUUCCCACGACAAUAGACCCCAUGGACGUUUUCGGAAGUACUGUACAUCAUCAACUUGGUCAAGCCAAUCGAAAUUAAUUUGACAGUGAUUUUUUCUUGCAUUUAGUACUCUGUCCGUAAAAUAAAACAGCGUAAUCUUUAAUGCGUCCAUAUCGUCCAUUUCCUCGAAUUUCAACUUCUUAAAUACUGCAUCGAAUUGCUUCACAUUAAUCUUACGAUGCACACCACCAAAAUACGUAUUCCGUAGCCUCUGCUCCAUUUCAUCAUUUUUUUCAUUGGUAUCAACACCAAAUGAAAGUCCAGUAACCAAGCACCAUUCGACAAUUGACAAGCGAAUCAAACGCUUACCAAUUUGAAACCAUAACUGAUCCUCACGGCUAUCGUCUUCAUGGGCCACUUGCCGCAGUAAAAGAUUGUGCAAAAUUACCCCACUAAACGAAAAACUUCGACACUCCAAGAAAUGCUCAAAUAUAUCCUUUUUGAACAUACUCAACUGCCGCAUUGUUAAUUUUUCCUCGAUGGCUUUUACGACCGAAGAUAACAUACACAUGCUCGAAAUUCGACCAGGAAAGUGAUCAGCAUAACGAAAAUACAUCUUGCCUACUUCAAUAUCCGGUGAUUCUGAUUUCGCCAUGUAUCUGUAAUAUUUAUAAAAUUAUUACAUUACAUUUACAGAAAAAAUAUACUCGUUAAAAAAAAAUUAUAAUUUUUGGUCCAAAGCUGGUGCGACAAUGCCUGCUGUCGCACCAAAUCUGGUGCGACAGCGUGCCGCGCAUGGGUGCGCGCGCGCCCCCUGCCCCCCUCCCUCCCCACCCCCAAAAUUAAGCGCAAUCACUCCAAAAUCGAAAACAAUACUCCCAAACACCACCAACCACCACAAACAUCAUCACCACCACUAUUAUUCUCAAGCUAUAACUAUUAUUAUUCUAAAAUCUCAUUUUAAAUUAAUGAAAAUAAGAAAAAUGACUAACCUAGGUUUUGUUGAAGGUUGUAGAUCGUAGAUCGGAUGCCGGUGAGAGAUGGAGCCGCCGCCGACGAGGGUUGAUGUCGCCGCCGAUGAUGGGAGUUGGAUCGGUUUGGGAGAGAUGAGUGCAAGAGAGUGUUGGGGGAGAGAUGAGGGAGGGAUAUUUUGGUCUCAAAUGUUGUUUUAUGGCUAAUGUUGAUAGAAAUAUUUUUGGGGGGGUAAGAUGAAAAAAAGUAAAAUUUUUUUGGUUAUUACUGUAAAUUUCCCUAUAACUUAACUAACAUAAAUAAAUGAUAGAUAUGAGUAAUGUUCAAGUUUUGUGGAUUUAAUAUUUUAAAAUGAUGCCGUUUAAAUUAACGACGCCGUUUUUAUGAAACUUAAAACAUAUCAACACUUCAGCCAAUUAUCGACCAAGUGUUGAAUAAACCCCUCUCGCUGCAACCUAAAAUCAUUGAACUUUGAGCCACUCUUAACAACAUUGUGUGGAACCCUAACCCUAAGCCUCAUUUCCACCACCGAUAAAGCUAAGAAAGUUUCCCGUAUAUCAGAACUAUGGCGAAUUGCCUUCAGUCCUUAGGACCCAUAAAAAAUCUUGUAUUCCCUCGCUUUUACUUCGCUAAUUUUUUGUAUUAUUCCAUCUCUUUCACUUUAAUAACCCAAAAUCUCUCCUCUGUUUCAAUCGAAAGAAAACCCUAGCUUAAAUUAAGCUGAAAUUUACAUAUCAAAGCUCUCGCUCAACUUCCCUCCUUCAAUUGAAACAAAAUGCAGCCAUAAAACCCCAAUACGCCACACCCUUUUGUCUCAGGCCAACAUUCAUUUAAACCCCACCUUUCGGUUCAAUGCCAUUUAAUGCGAUUGCAGAUGCCGUUUCAACUCAUUAUUUAGUUAACGCCAUUCAGUUCUUUGCUGUCAGCCUUAACCCUAAUAACUAAUCGACUGUGGUAGCACGUUGCUGACUCGGGCUGAGGAUACAUGAAUUAAAUAUAUGAAUUGGGUGAUGUCAGUGAUUCAUCCUCCUAUUUGCCGUGAAUUGAGAUUUGUGUAUAAUGUUUGUAAGAUUGUUAAAAAUUUCAUGUUCCAGUCGAAUUUCUUGCUCUCUCUCUAUAUAUAUAUAUAUAUUAUCUUCUUUAUAGUCAGGCUCUGGCUUUGCUGCUAUGCUUAGUGCAGUAUAUGGUUUCAAGACUAAAUUAGGUUUAUUUGACGACAUCGAUAUCUUACCUAGCUCUGCUUGAAAAUGAAAAUGUUGUACUAGUAAUCAUAGACUUUGUUUAUUCAGUUGAUAUUUUAAUUAUAUGUAUAAGAAUGAAGCUUUAUUUGGGAAAAAAAGAAAUAAAGAAAUAGGCUCUGUUGAAGCUAAUUAAUACUUCAUUCUUUCUAUACGUGCGACCUGUGGUGGAAACAUGAUAUGAAAAUGUGUUACUGGUGAGGUUGCUGCUUGAGAUGAGAAUGAUGAGAAUGCCUUCUAUUCGGAAAUCCUUGGUAGGUAUUAUAUAAUUAUAUUUGAUGGAAUAUUAAAUAGCUAAAGAACCUCUGAUAUUGUCUUUGUUCAAUGGUUACUGUAGUAGUGUUUGUUGGUCUUUUUCUGGUUGGCGUUUGGAUGUUAAUGUCAUCAUCAGUUGUACUGGUGUGGGAUCCAGGAUGUUGUCCUCUUAAGAGCCUAUAAGCAAAGUGAAACAGAGAGUAUCUGAGUUUUGUCUGGGCCUUUCGUAGAAAAUCAAGGUGAUGAAUGACAGGAUUCAACAAUGGGGAUGGGGAUGAUGUUCCUGUUGAAAAGUUAGAGAAUAGAGUGGAAGAUAAUCACGAAGAGAUGAAUAUGUAUGAGGGUGAUGGUGAGACGAGUGAAUCUAAGAAUAUGGUUAAUCAAAACCAGGAAGAGAAUUUAGUGAAGGAGAGUUUUGAUGAGAAUACUGAGUCUGAAGAGGAAUCUAAGGCGGUGUCUAAAAAUUACGAUGUUAGAAAAAGGGAAGAUAAGGAAUCUAAAAGUGAAGGUGGAGAUUCGAAUUCAGAAGCUGGAGAAACAGAAGGCGGCGAAUUGAAUAAAAUUGAGCAAAUUGAAUCAGAGAAGAGCUUGGAUGAAAAUAAAUGGAUGAGGCUAGUCAGAUUGAAAAGGAGAAGGAUUCUCAAGAUCAAGAUAAUGACACUGAGAGUCGUUGAAAGGAUCAGGCUUCAACUGAGAUUUUUCCUUUUGGUGACUAGUCAGAAAUUCUGAAGGAAACUAAUGCUCAGAAUGGGGCUUGCUCAACUCAACCUAUUGAGUCAUAGAAUCAGAAAAUAUCACAACAAACUUCUAUAUCUAAGGACCCGUAUGGUCAUCGCUGGAAAGUGUGUAAUGCCACUGCUAGGCCAGAUUGCAUCCCUUGCCUGGACAAUUUGCAAGCAAUUAGAAUGCUUUCCAGCACAAAAGCAUUAUGAACAUCGAGAGAGGUAUUGCCCUGAAGAAGCUUGUACCUGUAUUGCUCCUUUACCGGAAGGAUACAAACACUCAAUUAAGUGGCCCCAAAGCAGGGAUAGGGUAUGAUCUUAUAUUAUGCAUUAUAAAAUAUAUACUUGAGUACUUUUAAUUCACUUGGGCUAAGAUUUGUUCUCAUGCUGUGUGGGAUAGAUUUGGUAUUAUAAUUUUCCCCACACAAAGCUUGCAGAAGUUAAGGGUUAGCAAAAUGGGGUUAAAGUUACUGGUGAAUACCACAUUUUUCCAGGUGGCAGAACUGAAUUUGAGCUCUUCAUUACAUUGACUUCAUUCUGAAGGUGAGCAUUUUUCAUUUAUCAUUUUAUGUCUGUUGUUAGCUUCAAUUAAUACGUGGCUUAUUCUUUUCUUUGUAUGAACCAUGGGCGGUCCAUUUCAUUUUAUAAGCUAUUUCUUGGGUUUUAGCAAGACAAAUAAUAAGAUUUGUGCUGUUUUUGUUUUAUGCGUCUAUAUAAAUUGUGUGUGCGCAUAUCAUACUAGGGGAGUAUUGCUUUAAUGCUAUAUACAGUCAAGGACACACGGUGGGUCACAUUCUGACUCGUUUCAAUGCUUAUUUUAUAAAUAUUUACUUGUAUAUAUUUUGUAGUACUUUUAGAGAUGUAUUCUGCACUGGAUUUUUUAAGUGCUUUUAAUGUAGACUACUGUCUUUGUCUUUAUCUCUCUUUCUGUGAAACUGAAAGGUUCAUAGAAUUUUUUAGAAACCAGUAAUCUUACAAAAAAUUUUAACCUGUUAAUUAAUGCGGUUUCAUUAUCUUGAAAAAUUUUCAAGCGUGCUUGCUUUUUUCUUUUUCUUUCUUCUGAAAUAAUUGUUGAUAUUCCCCUUCUCUUCUAUCAAGUUUCUGAUUCUCUAAAGCCCACAUUAUUUUUGUCUUUCUUUAUACAGGCCUUUAUCAUUUAUUGGCCAGCACCCUUUCCUCGGUUCUAUAUAAGAAUGUAAUUUCGUCCGAAUCUGCCAAAAACCGUGUGCUAUUGUCAACAACAAAUCAGAAUUCCAUCUCCACCUCCUGACAAACCAUGCGUCACCACCUGCUUAGGAAUCCAAAGCCUUUGCUGGUGUUGAUAGUAUGUUCUCUCUCUAUCUCUGUUUUUCCUCGGUUGAGAAUUUAAAACAACAUCAUACUCAUCAUAUACUCUGUUUGGAUUCCUUGAAAUAAUAUUUUUUUAAUUUUUAUUGUUAUUUUGAAUUGUUUCUACAUAUUUUGAAUCAGAGUUGUUUGAGUAAAAUUUAAAUAUCAAUAUUACUGAUACGUGUCUAAUCUGAACUUCUUACCUUAAUAGCUUACUCACCUGUGCUUUUUUUUCUCCCCCCUUUUAAGAAUUCAAAAGCUAUAUUAUGGAUUUUGUUUUUGUUGUUUAUUGUCAUGAAGUAGGAGUGGGCAGAAAAUUGAAGAACCGUAUCAGAUUCGGUUCGAUAUUUGAUUCGGUUGUGCAAUAACCUAAAUUGGACGGUUUCAUUUCGGUUGGGAUGAAUGAAAACCGAAACCGAACCAAUAAUAAAAUUAACAAGCAAACCAAAUGAAAGUCCCAAAACAGUAACAAAACAAACACAGGUUUCUUAUCAAAUUUCACAGCACGACAUGGUCGCUCUAUUUGGUAAAAAAAUAGAAAAAAGAAUAAUGGGUCUCGAAAAUUUUUUAGAGUAUUUCUGUCGCUUACAUUUUUUUCCAUCGAUUAAUGUUAGUUGUAGGUGAAUGAUUGUUGCAAAUCCAUGUUAGCUUGUGAUUGAUUGAAAAUGGCUUGUGAUUUGUUAUGCUGCCAUGUGACAGAUUGAAAAUGGCUCUGAAAUUUUUUUAUUUGUUUAAGGUAUUACUGCUGAUUAUUGAACAGAGAUUCAUGCUAGUUUUUGUUAAAUUGAAGAUGAGAUUUUUUUUAGGAGAUCUGCAAAACCUUCUCUACUAUAGAUUUGGCUUCUAGCAUACCUGGUUGGCUGGAAAUAAUUGUUUAUACAGUCAUUGCUGCCUAUAUUAAUCAGGAAUAUUGAUUAGCAAUGUACUGGGUUAGAGAUUGGUAUAAUUUUGGAAAAUUAGUUGUAGAUGCAACCUGAUUAUGGUCUCAAAUAGUGUGAUCUGUCAAUUUUGUUUGCUCUGGCCUAAUAACCUUGAAUAUGAGCUAUGCCACUAUACAAAGUCUUGACCUAAUCACACUUGUUAGCCAAUGUCCAAAAUUGCAGUGUCUUUAGAUAAGUCCUUUCUUAUUUGUUUCGGUUAUAAAUGAAAAUUGCAGUGUCUUUGGAAAAUCAUGCUGAAUGUUGAAGUUAUGGACGAGAGGAGACCCCCAGAUUCAAGGCCGGAGCUCCCUGUUAAGAAGCUUUACAAAUAUAGGAUUGUCGCCUGGCAGAGGAUUGCUAUGCCUGGUUUUGUUUGGAAUAUGGAUGAAGAUUUUGCAUUGAGGCUUUUUUGAUAGAUCAUUUGGCAAAUCAAGCUCCAUGUAUCUAUCUUCAGACUCUUGGAUAUUUAUAAAGCAGGUGCAUGCUCCAUAUGUUACUCAAUGUAUCACGAUUAUUUUUCUAUUGCUUAAUAUAUUUGCAGUCCUUGAUGAAGUUGACAACUUAUGGAGGGUAUACAGAGGCUCAAGAGCUCAAUCGCCAUUCAUUUUANNNNNNNNNNNNNNNNNNNNNNNNNNNNNNNNNNNNNNNNNNNNNNNNNNNNNNNNNNNNNNNNNNNNNNNNNNNNNNNNNNNNNNNNNNNNNNNNNNNNGGAUUUUGUUUUUGUUGUUUAUUGUCAUGAAGUAGGAGUGGGCAGAAAAUUGAAGAACCGUAUCAGAUUCGGUUCGAUAUUUGAUUCGGUUGUGCAAUAACCUAAAUUGGACGGUUUCAUUUCGGUUGGGAUGAAUGAAAACCGAAACCGAACCAAUAAUAAAAUUAACAAGCAAACCAAAUGAAAGUCCCAAAACAGUAACAAAACAAACACAGGUUUCUUAUCAAAUUUCACAGCACGACAUGGUCGCUCUAUUUGGUAAAAAAAUAGAAAAAAGAAUAAUGGGUCUCGAAAAUUUUUUAGAGUAUUUCUGUCGCUUACAUUUUUUUCCAUCGAUUAAUGUUAGUUGUAGGUGAAUGAUUGUUGCAAAUCCAUGUUAGCUUGUGAUUGAUUGAAAAUGGCUUGUGAUUUGUUAUGCUGCCAUGUGACAGAUUGAAAAUGGCUCUGAAAUUUUUUUAUUUGUUUAAGGUAUUACUGCUGAUUAUUGAACAGAGAUUCAUGCUAGUUUUUGUUAAAUUGAAGAUGAGAUUUUUUUUAGGAGAUCUGCAAAACCUUCUCUACUAUAGAUUUGGCUUCUAGCAUACCUGGUUGGCUGGAAAUAAUUGUUUAUACAGUCAUUGCUGCCUAUAUUAAUCAGGAAUAUUGAUUAGCAAUGUACUGGGUUAGAGAUUGGUAUAAUUUUGGAAAAUUAGUUGUAGAUGCAACCUGAUUAUGGUCUCAAAUAGUGUGAUCUGUCAAUUUUGUUUGCUCUGGCCUAAUAACCUUGAAUAUGAGCUAUGCCACUAUACAAAGUCUUGACCUAAUCACACUUGUUAGCCAAUGUCCAAAAUUGCAGUGUCUUUAGAUAAGUCCUUUCUUAUUUGUUUGAGUUAUAAAUGAAAAUUGCAGUGUCUUUGGGAAAUCAUGCUGAAUGUUGAAAUUAUGGGCGAGGGGAGACCCCCAGAAUUCAAGCCGGGAGCUCCCCGGUAAGGAAGCUUUCCAAAUAUAGGAUUGUCGCCUGGCAGAGGGUUGCUAUGCCUGGUUUUGUUUGGGAAUAUGGAUGAAGAUUUUGCAUUGAGGCUUUUUGGAUAGAUCAUUGGGCAAAUCAAGCUCCAUGUAUCUAUCUUCAGACUCUUGGAUAUUUAUAAAGCAGGUGCAUGCUCCAUAUGUUACUCAAUGUAUCACGAUUAUUUUUCUAUUGCUUAAUAUAUUUGCAGUCCUUGAUGAAGUUGACAACUUAUGGAGGGUAUACAGAGGCUCAAGAGCUCAAUCGCCAUUCAUUUUACACUUGGCUGGGCUAUAGCAUACCAACUAGUGAUUAAUAAAGAGAGGGUAUGAAGGUCCUGUUGCUGGUGGUAUUAUCAAUCAGAAUUGUUAUUUUACUUGGUCAUACUUACCAUGUAUACUAUUCGUAGGCUUUUUUCAUUUUCAUGCAUUCGCAUCAUCUUCUUGUUAAGCUACAGAUGGUUGAUUUGUGUACUCAUUUGUAUCACUUGUAGCUCUUGAGGAAUAAAAUUUAAAAUUAUGUUGCAUCUCUUGUACUAAAUAGUAAUUUUGUUGGCUUUAUGUAUGGGAAAUGGUUUGUUGUCUUAUUUCUUUGAUGUGUAUGGUGUUACACUGUCUAAAGUUCAGAAGUAUUUCUAUCACUUGUGUAAAAAACAACCUACUUUUUUCGUUCUUCUUAUAUUGAAUAAAAGAGGGACACCAAGAUUGAACGAAAUUUGAUUCAGACAGCAUAGCAAUUAGGCCAGCGCAAAACAGCUUCCUUCUGAUUCUUUGAUAUUUGACUUAAAUCUUUUGUUUGUUUCAUUUAUCAAAGUCAUUUUGGAAAGUAACGGGGGUGAUUUGAUAUUUUCAUUGCAUUCACAUCCCUUGGCACCAAAACAAACAUGCUGGUACUAACCAACAAUUUUUUAUUUUCAGUAUACAAAUUUUUUUUUUUCUAAAUUAAGGGUAUUAAGAAAAGGUAUACUAGCACCAGAGGAGGUAUUUGAGAAUACACAAAUAUAAUCUAUCAAAUUGAGAAUACGCCAAAUCUCCGGAGAGGUUUUUGAUAAAUCCUUUUUUUUCUUUUUCCUCCAUUCACUAUAGGUUCAAUUUAGGGUGGUUGUUAAGUUAUAUCAUUGUGUAACAUAGAUCAAUUCAACAGUUGUUACCAGUAACACAAAAGUAUAACGAACAAAAACUAAUUGUGUUACUGGUAGUAACUAUUAAAUUGAUGUAUGUUACAUAAUUAUGUAACUUAACAAGGUCUUCAAUUUAGACACGGUUGACCAAACUGAAGGUUUAGGUUGGUAAACGCACUAGUGUUAAUGUCAACAACCCAAGGGGCUUCAUGGUCCUCUAGGCCGAAAUAGCGUAAUUAUUAAUUCUCCUCCACUGAAAGUCUUUAUCAUCUUGGGACAAAUAAUUACAAAUUGACAUUAUAGCUGUGGAAAUUUGGAGGUGUAACAACCGGAAAAAUAAAAAUCUUAAGAGACUUUAAAUAAAAAAGAUAACACCUUCAAUUUGCUAAAAGUAAUGGUAUCAUUUCUUGUAUGGAUAAUGGAUGAUUAUAUUUUGUUUUUGGUUAUCUGACGAAGGAUAUUAAGUUGUUCUUUAUGUGUUCAUAGGCAAGAGCAUGAGCAUAUGCAUGAUUUGACAUAUGGUUCUUGCAUUUUCUAAUUAAGUGCUCUUUUUCCUUGCCUUCUUAGUUUGAAAGAAAGAUGUGAAGCAAAGCAAACCCAGUGAAAUGUACAGAGAAACAGAACCAUCAGAGGAAAAACUAAAUAACAGAACUACAAUUGAACCAAACAAAAUCAAAUAAACGGACGCAACAGAUGCCCUGAACCUAGUAAUUACUCAAGAGUUGAGGAGUUGGAAUGAUUUGGUAUUCAUAUCUUCACAAAUCAUAUGCUUUAAUGCAGAAUCGACAGCUUUAUAUUAUUUUAUUCAAAAAACGAUAAAGCAGGAAAACCACAAUAAUCCACCAACUUUUGAUACUUGUAGGAAUUUUUUUUAGUCAAAUUAAGUUUCAUGAUAACACAAGUGGCUCGUCCACACACUUGCACUUGCUUGAAUAUUUGUGCCGACAUUUUCGUAUGUGAUGGUACUUCUUAGCCAGUAGAUAUGUUGAAAUACUACAAAACAGAGUAUUUGAUGAAGUUUUGCUACUUUCGUAUCCCCUUUUUUUGUUGCAUAACUAAAUUCUUUAUAAACACAAAUUAGAAAGAUACAAAUAAUACAGUAGCUUGAAUUUAUAUGCUUUUAUGAUUAUUUGAUAAUCUAGUGCUGAUCAUAUGUGAUGAUAAACUUAGCUAGUAGUUUUAUAUUUGUUUUCGCAGUUUCCUUAGCGUUCACAUUUUGAUGAGUAAAUUAAGGAUUUCCAGAUGAAGUACAUAAUUAGAUGAAUGCAAAGGAACUGAAGUUUGAUUAAUUGAAAACAAAAAUAAUAAUGCAGGUAAUUGCGAAAAUGAGCAAUGCAGAAGUAGUCCCUAUAGUAUUUCUAAAUUUUCUCUUGGGGUUCCUUAGUAUUCCUUAAUAUUUUUAAAAAAUGACAUGACGAUCUUUGAGUUGACGAAUCUUGGCCUGCUGCUUAGUACCCUUCCAACAUAUAAAGUACUAGAUGUUUUACUGAGAAAAUGACGAGAUCAUUUACCAAAUUUCUUGCCCAUAUAUACGUAUGUAUACGAGAAAUGAGAAUCAGUGAUUAUAAGACCUUGCAAUGAGACAAUAAUACAUCAUCAAAUCUAAAAAUACACAAGAAAUUCGGGACAUAUAUAUAACAAAAGACCUCUCAUUGAGUCAUACAUAUUGAGAAUAAAAUGUCAAAAUGCAUACAAAGAGCUUAUACAAAAAAUGAAUUUACACAUAUUUAGAAUAAACUGUCUUUGAACUUUCGAUGGUCAAACAAAGGAAACAGACAGGAUAUAAUACACGCCGUCAUAGAUGUAGCGACACGGUGAAGUAAAUCACAUGAAGAUGGAAACGGAAACCCUUCACAACAUAAAAUUUGAAUAGAGGGGGAAAAAAGGCUUCAUUUCGAAUGUUGCACAAAACUAGAAUAACAGACAAAAUAUUGUGCUUCUAUACUUGUCACAAAACUAGACCAAAUUAGUUUCCUUUUUGGUUUGUGAAAACUUGAUAUUUUUGAAAAUUCUAUCCAAUGCUUUCAAACAAUAUUUCCAUAAUAUAGUUGUUCAUAGCUAACCUUUGAUGGUUUAAGCAUUUGUUGUAGGCAUGACGGGCUAAUUAGAUUAUUAUUUUUUUUAUCCGAUGAAUGAUAUUCAGCUGUUCUUAAUUAUGUGUUAAUAGGCAAGAGCAUUUUCUUAAGCACUUUCGUUGCCUUCCAAGUUUCCAAAGAACAAACAGAGCACAAACAAAUUUAACGGAACAGUAACGAUGACAAUAAAUAAUUGGCAAGGAAAGAAAGAAAAAAGUUUGCAUGAUUUCAAGGAAUUAUAAAAUCUGAACACUUUCAACAUGCAAGUGUUGCCCCUCUUAAUGAAAUUUCAUCAUAAAAUGCUUGCAAGGAAUUAUAAAAUUUUAGAGAACAAGCGAAUUAAAUUAAAUUAGACCAAAAGACGCUCAAUGACGCAAAAUCUGCCCAUAAAAGCCUGAACGAAUCAUGAAAAGUGCAUUCCAUAUUGACAGUAAACCAAGUGACCCAUUCUAAACAAUUGAGAUGAAAUUGUGAAACAACCCACGAGAUCAAAUAAAUAAAAUAAGAAUUAAUUACCAGCUGGGACUUUCUUCUUCAAAUUCGUAACUCCAAGUCAUAAGAAGCCUAUGAAAUUAGUCGUAAUCCACAGAGUAUGACGACGACCCCGCCAACAGCUGAAAAUAAAAUUCUUAUUCAUCAAUUUAAACUAACUUUAUAACAAAUAUCUUAUCGAUAUUUUAUUUAAAAAGAAAAAGAAAAUUUUGUAAAAAUUUAUCAUGGGAGAUAGAGAGUAAUAUGUACAUACGUACCUUCUCAGCAUGUAAUUGUUGUAUGGUCGUGUUAAGAUCAUUACCAGCCCAACGCCGUUGAUUCGAUGUCUCUCCAUACCAGACGUUUACUCUUGGAGGCGUGAUUGAUUCUCCUGUAGUGAAAAAAUUCAUCUUGGGACAACCAAUCACACACAACUCUUGCAAAGAUGGGAAUUCAAAGGUGUAAUUGGCAGAGCAGAAACUUGUGAGGCUGUCUAAAUCGCGCAGUUCCAACCUCUUCAAUUUGCGGAAAACAAUCUCUUCUUUUUCAACCCCGUCUUUGUCAUUUAUUACCACCUCUGUCAUUGCUCUGCAUCCAUAUAUACUCACUUUGACGAGUCGCACUAGAGUUUUUGCUGUGGAGGAUGUUACCAAGUGCAUCAAUCCCUUGCAACCGAAAGCUAAAAGUUUUGUUAGGUUCCGAAAAGAUACCGAUGAUGAUGGCAAUAGAAUUAACAGACUUUGACAAUGAUGUACUCCUAGAAUUUCAAGAUACUGAAAAAUGGGGCCAAGUUUGGAGUCUUGUUUGCACAGCUGCUUCAGAUGAUAGUGCCAGCGCAGCUCUAAUGCUUUUAUCAUUGCCAACUUCCCCACAUGUUUCUCUAAGCAUCCUUCCAUCGAAAAUAGCUCUUCGUGGGAUGAAAAAUUAAACAGAGUGAGUAUUUCGAUAUUGUGAAAUCUCUCCAGUACGUUCCAGAUUGGAAAACAAGCUGAGUCAUCUCCAAUAAUCUCUAGUUGUUUAAGACUGCCAAAAAGGUGUUGUGGGAAAUCGGCCUGCAAAAUCAUCUUCACAUCUUUUCCACUUAGUGAUAGUUUCUUCAAGUUGGGUACGAUCUGAUCAUCAUCAAUCAUAAUAACUAAUGAGGUCAAUGAUGAGCUUUUUUUCAUUUUUUAAAACAAAAAUAUAAAAGGUUUUUUAAAAUUUUUAAAAAAUAAUUUUUUAAGAANNNNNNNNNNNNNNNNNNNNNNNNNNNNNNNNNNNNNNNNNNNNNNNNNNNNNNNNNNNNNNNNNNNNNNNNNNNNNNNNNNNNNNNNNNNNNNNNNNNNGUUCAGCUGGCUGACCUAAUUUUUUGUUUCUAGGUAACAGGCUUUAUAUAUCUGUAAUUGAUAGCCAAGUGAAGUUCUCAGCUGUGGUGAGGAUAUUUCUUUACAGAAGGUAUUGCAAACUGUUUUUUAGAUUAAUUAUUAUUGUAUAUAUACUUUAAUUUUCACAUCUUUUUCUCUGAUUCUUGUGGCUUUGCUUGCUUCCAUAUAUAUAAAACCAUAAAAUUGUAUAAUAAUUUUUUUUAUUAUAUUGCGAAACUGCGCACACAUGAAAAUAUCUUGUUUAGUAGUAGAAAUGAAGAAUUAAAGUGAUUUAUUUAACUAAUUUUUCUAGUGCAAUAAAAGGAGAUAGUCAUGGACCAGAGUUGGGUUGGUUUGCCAAAUAGAUAUCCAAUUCAUAUACUGAUGGGGGUCAAAAAAUUUAUAGAUUUUGCAUUUGAGAAUGUUGUUGGUGAUAAAAGAAUUUAUUGUCCUUCUAAGAGGUGUUGUAAUAUCGAUAUUUCAUUAUAAGGAAAGUGGCAAGAGACCAUAUCAUUAUAAAUGGCUAUUGGUUAAAGUAUUAAAACUGGAUAUUGGAGGGUGAGCCAUCUUCAUCUUUGAAAUCUAACUAAGAAACAGGUUAGUCAUGACUCGGGUAGUGAUGCUAGUAUGGUUGGAAUGGUGCAUAAUGCAUCACGUAAUCAAAUGUUCAAGUCACACGCAGCAUUGUUAUGGACUAUCUCCGACUUUCUAGCAUAUGCCAACUUGUUUGGGUGGAGUAUUAAAGGUAAAUAAGCAUUUCUUGUUUGCCAACAAAACACUAGAUCUAAUUGGUUGAUACAUAGUAGAAAAUUGUCACGUGGGUCACCGUCGAUUUUUACCAACAAAUCAUAGGUUCCGAAAAUAUAGUGCCAUCUGAUAAAACUAGAGAGUGGGGACAAGCACCUUCUCGGUUGUCUGGAGCUGAGGUGAAAAAGCAGUUCAGUAAUGUACUUACUGAGUAUAAGAUUGAAGACUUGAAAAGAGGAGAAUGAAUAAAAUAAAAGAAAUGAUAAGAUUACUUGGAAGAAGAAAAGCAUUUUUUAUGAACUAACGUAUUGGGAGUUCAAUUUGAUUCAUCAUAAUCUUGAUGUCAUGCACCGUUUUGAUUUUUGUUAUGAACUCAGAUCAAAAGUUUAAUGUGAUCAAAAUUUCUUAAAAAUAGUGAAAACGACUCCUCCUAAUAAUAUGGAAGAUGGCUAUAAAAGAUAAUUUCUUAAAAGUUUAAUGUGAUCAAAAUUGCUUGUGAACGCAAGGGUUUUAGUCACACUGUCAACGCUGUCAAUGUAGUGAUACAAUGAAGAUGAAGUAAAGCAUUAGUAGAAUAAUGAAGUUGACCAGUAACACAGUAAAGCAAAUUUUAUUCCAGAGCAUGAAAACUUUUAAACAGUAACACAGCUCUUAUUCCAUAGGCUGCACACGAGUGACCUGAAUCUUCUUCAGAACUUUCAAAUUUUAUCAAGCAAAGCUUUCAAAAUCCUUGCCUUCCUAAGUUAGGAAAGAUAGAUGUGGAGCAACCCAAAUGAAAUAAAUGGGUAAACAGAACAAGCAGGGCAAAAAUUAAAAAUGAUGGCAAUUAACAAAUUAAUAGCAAUGUUACAUUUGACUCUUUAGCCAUUUGUUCCUUCUCUUAGCAUUCUUCAAAGGUUUUGAAAAUUGGAUGUGAAGCAAACAAAAUAAAAUAAAUUUAGACAACACAUACCCUGUAUUCAGCAUCAUAUAUAUGUCGAAUAUCUAAUAUAAUAAAUUUCACAUCCAAAAUACUAGAAUUUCAAACAGUACUAGUAGUAAAAAAAUGACGACAACAACAAAAAUAGAAAAUUACAAGACUGCUGAUAAAAUUUCAUUUGCGUGCAUGUCUGACAAAAUUUCCGUGGUUUAAUGUGCGUUCAUGCAGGCAAGUCCUAACGUUUCUGUGAUCACAAAAUGAAACUGAAGAUAAACCUUUCAAGCUUGACGAAGCCAUGAGAAUUCAUAGCUCAGGCUCUGAUACCAAGUUAAAGUUUCUAAUCUGUUUGAUAAGUAAGAAAAUGAGAGAAAAUGAAAGAAAGAACAGAGAUCAUCUAAGAGCUGGAUUUGAUGAAUAAAUCUGAAUCAUCCAUUCUUUAGCUGAUUACAAAUGUAUUUAUACAAGGUUUCUAAGCACCUGAGAGUUGAAUAACUUAUGCCAGCUCAGCUAACACGUCAGUAACUCUACCUAUCUUGCUUAACAAACUGAAACAAUAACUAACCAUUUUAACUAUCUUAACAAUCCCAAUAAUUUCUCCGUUUGUGUGUUUUUUUGAUUCAUAAUCAAAUGGGUAAAUGUUGCAACUAUUUUUUUUANNNNNNNNNNNNNNNNNNNNNNNNNNNNNNNNNNNNNNNNNNNNNNNNNNNNNNNNNNNNNNNNNNNNNNNNNNNNNNNNNNNNNNNNNNNNNNNNNNNNNNNNNNNNNNNNNACUAACUUGAAUUUAUAUGCUUUUAGGAUUAUUUGAUAAUCAAAUGGGUAAAUGACAGGAAGAACUUUGAGUUUAAAAAUCUGGGCCUGAUGCCUGGUAGCCCUCCAACCUAUGAAGCACUAGAUGUUUUAAUGAGAAAACGACAAGACCAUUUAUCAAAUUUCUUGUGGAUAUAAAUACAUACACAUAGACGAGACCAACCUCCUCAAAUGAGAAUCAGAGUGAUUACAAGACCUUGCAAUGAGACAAUAAUACACCAUCAAAUCUCAAAAUACAAUAGAAAUUCAUGACAUAUAUAUAAUAAAAGACCACUCAUUGAGUCAUAUAUAUUGAGAAUAAAAUUUUUUUAAUACAUACAAAGAGCUUAGCUAGAAUGAAAUGUCUUUGGACUUGCGAUGAUCAAACAAAGGAAACAGACAGGUUGCAACUCACACUAUCACAGAUGUAGCGACACGAUGCAGUGAAUCACAAGAAGAUCACGAAGAUGGAAACGGGAACCCCUCAUAAUGUAAACUUUGAAUAGAGGAAAAAAGAAAAACGACCUUAUUCACAGAAGAAGAGUGACUUAAAUCUUCAUCAGUAUCCAGACAUUCUGCAAUCAUAGAGUAGAGAAAUUUUAACAGGAACAACAGAGAAAAUAUUAUGAAUAUGCUACACCAAAUUAUCCCUUUUUUGGUUUGUGAAAACUUGAUUUUUUAUGAAAUAUUUUCAAUCAAUAUUUCCACAAUAUACUUGUUCAUAGCUAACAUUUGAUGGUUUAAGGAUUUGUUAUAGGAACAAUGCACUGAUUACGUUUUUUUUUUAAUUUUUUUAAUCCGAUUAAUGAUAUUCAGCUGUUCUUUAAUUAUGUGUUCAUAGGGAAGAACAUUUUCUAAGUACUUUCCUUGCCUUCUAACUUUCCAAGGAAAGAUAGGUGUGAAGAAAAGCAAACCCAAUGAACAAACAGAGCACAAACUAAAAUAAAAGAACAGCAAUGAUGAGAAUAAAUAAUUGGCAAAGAAAGAAUGGAAAAAGUAUGCACGUUUUCAAGGAAUUAUAAAAUACGAAGGCUUUUAAUGAAAUUUUAUCAUAAAACUUAUGCAAGGAGUUCUAAAAUUUUAGAAGACGAGGGGAGCUCGCAAAAAAAAAGAAAAAGACUCAAAUUAAACUAGACUAAAAAGACAUUCAAUUAUGCAAAAUCUGUCCAUAAAAGUCUGAAAGGAUCAUUAAAAUUGCACUGCAAAUUUAACAGUAAACCGAGGGACCCAUUCUAAAUAAUUCAGAUGAAAUUGCGAAACAAGCUAUGGGAUUAAAUAAAUGAAAUAAAAUUAAUUACCAGUUGAGACUUUCUUCUAAAAAUCGCAACUCCAAGUCAUAAGAAGCUAUGAAAUUAGUCGUACUGCAUAGAGUAUAUCGACGGCACCGCCAACAGCUGAAAAUAAAAUUCUUAUUCAUCAAUUUAAACUAACUUUAUAACAAAUAUCUUAUCGAUAUUUUAUUUAAAAAGAAAAAGAAAAUUUUGUAAAAAUUUAUCAUGGGAGAUAGAGAGUAAUAUGUACAUACGUACCUUCUCAGCAUGUAAUUGUUGUAUGGUCGUGUUAAGAUCAUUACCAGCCCAACGCCGUUGAUUCGAUGUCUCUCCAUACCAGACGUUUACUCUUGGAGGCGUGAUUGAUUCUCCUGUAGUGAAAAAAUUCAUCUUGGGACAACCAAUCACACACAACUCUUGCAAAGAUGGGAAUUCAAAGGUGUAAUUGGCAGAGCAGAAACUUGUGAGGCUGUCUAAAUCACGCAGUUCCAACCUCUUCAAUUUGCGGAAAACAAUCUCUUCUUUUUCAACCCCGUCUUUGUCAUUUUUUACCACCUCUGUCAUUGCUCUGCAUCCAUAUAUACUCACUGUGACGAGUCGCACCAGAGUUUUUGCUGUGGAGAAUGUUACCAUGUGUAACAAUUUCUUGCAACCGAAAGCCACCAGAGCUGUUAGGUUCUGAAAAGAUACCGAUGAUGAUGGCAAUAGAAUUAACAGACUUUGACAAUGAUAUACUUCUAGACUUUCAAGAUACUGAAAAAUGGGGCCAAGUUUGGAGUCUUGUUUGCACAGCUGCUUCAGAUGAUAGUGCCAGUACAGCUCUAAUUCUUUUAUCAUUGCCAACUUCCCCACAUGUUUCUCUAAGCAUCCUUCCAUCGAAAAUACCUCUUCGUGGGAUGGAAAAAAAAGCAGUGAGAGCAUUUCGAGAUUGUGAAAUCUCUCAAGUACGUUCCAGAUUGGAAAACAAGCUGAGUCAUCUCCAGCAAUCUGUAGAUGUCUAAGACUGCCAAAAAGGUGUUGUGGGAAAUCGGCCUGCAAAAUCAUCUUCACAUCUUUUCCACUUAGUGAUAGUUCCUUCAAGUUGGGUACGAUCUGAUCAUCAUUAAUCAUAAUAACUAAUGAGGUCAAUUGAUGAUCUACGGUCACACGCAGUGACUUUAUAGCAUUUGUUUUAUAUUAUAUUUUAAAAAAAUUGAAUUAUUGAUAAAAUUUAUUUUAUAUGUUAAUUUUAGAGGUAAAAAAGAAAUUAGAGAAAAAGGUUGAUUUAUACUGGCUCAAAAUUAUUUUAUUGCACAAUAAUAAAUUACUAAUUUAUUUUGUAAGUUCUUCUAAAUGGAAAGACUGAGGAUUCUUUUAUAAAUACUAUGCCUAAAAAAGUUCAUAUAAUUAUGAAUCUACCAUAUUGAUCCCUUAGUCUAGACUAGCAAAGAUUAUUGUAUAAUAAAAGUUUUCAAUUUAUUGAGCAUUAAUUUAUCGAUGCUUUGUCAUAUUUUUCAAAGUUAAAAAUAAGCUAUUGAUAAAAAAUCUAGAAAAUGGCUUCAUACCUUUCCCAACGGCAAUGGGAGCUGUUGUGCAGGAAUACCAAGUUGAUCAUUCUCAUUAUUCUGCGAUAAAUCUGCAGCGAAUAUCUUUAAUUUGUCACAACGAUACACUACAAGAAUUUCUAGCGCGGGCCAUUCCGAAGUAUGCUUUCCAGGGUACAAACAUCUAAGUUUUGGUAGAACUUGGAGUAUCAGAGUGGUGAGCUGUGGAAAGACAAAAUAAGGGAUCACUUGAUCUGCUCUGUUUUCAGAAAUGAUCUCCUGUAAAUUCUCACAGAACCAUACUUCUAGGCGUUGGAGCUGCUUAAGGCUUCUGAUCAUAGACGCUGAAAAUAUGUAUUUUAAUUUGUGACAAUGCCACACAAUCAAUCGUGUUAAAUUUUGAAAGCGAGGAAACGUGACCGGAAGAUGAUUGUAGUGCCAAAUCUGGUCGACAUUAAUUUCAGAUAUCUCCAAAACCUCCAAGUUAGGCAACGCAACCUAAAAAAAUAAGAAUUUCUCGUUAGAUCCAAUAUCCAUAUGGGAAGCACUUGUUGAAAUUUUCUUCUUUGAUUACAAAUUAAUGCAAGUCAGAAUCAAUUUCCAACUGACAGCUGAGUAUGCAUUCUAAUUGAUACUACUUGUUAAGAGCUCAAUUAGUGAGCGCGUGAGAUUCUUUUUAUCCUUUUUUCCAUUUUCUUUCCAUUCUUUAAAUGAUUUAAUUAUUUUCCACGUAUGACAUCAAAAGAGAACGCAUUAUAGAAUAAAGAAAAUGUUAGCCUACGCACCUUCUCGUUGAAAAGUAGAGUUGAAAUAUCCAAAGUGAUUUCGCUGGAGCAAUACAUAGCCGUCGAUUCCUCUUGCGACACUUGUCUGUUCGGUGAUGCUGAAGGAGUCUCCACCUCACAGCAAAAACUUGUAACCUCUGGAAGAUUCCCCAGACUCAAAGAUCUUAAUUGAGCAAACUCUAUCUUCUCAAUUGCAUUAUCAACUUCUUCCCCAAUUGAAAAAAUUUCUUUCAUCUUGCUGCAAUUAAUAACUGCAAUUCUCUCAAGUCUUGGAAGGCAUUUUGUAGUAGAGAACCAAAAGAUAUUGCUCAACUUAUCACAAUUAUAUGCUUCUAUGUUUUUGAGUUGGUUGAAAGACUCUACUUUGAGCCGAUCAAUACAUAACCUCUCCAUGUUGAUCAAAUUGUGAAGGAUAAGUGACUGCAAAAGAGGAAAGGCAUCACAACCGACCAUCUCCCUUGAAUCGACGAUACAAAAGAUGUCAGGAUUAUUUUGAACCCAGAGAAGCUUCAAUUGUGAAAAGCCCUCCGUGUCCAAAUUGAAAAGAACAUUCUCGAUGCCUUGCAGCUUGUCCAACCAUAAGCAUUCAACGUUAUUGAUGCCCUGCAAUUUCGUGGAGCAAAUGUCCAUAAAAUCAAGCUUGAGCUUCAAUUCUCUUAAACUCUCACGAUUACUGUUGAUCAAAAAGUGCGGCCGGCUUUGAAACCAUUCUCUUGUAAUACUCUUGGGAGGCAUGAAUGACUCAUUUCCAAUGGAUAUUUUGAACCUUUCGAGCUUUCUGGCCAAAAAACCUUCUGGUAAAAUACUGUCAUUUUUAACGUCAAUUUCUAGAGUGGUUAGCCGAGGUAAAUGCAUCAAUUCAUCAAGGCUAGCAUUACUUCUUUCCCUGUUGUCUCUUUCAACCUCCCAUUCAAUGCAGCAAUUACCCAUAUACAGCUCUUCUAAUCGAGUUAAGCUUGAUAUGAGAUUGGGCGCAAUAACUUUUAGAUGGAAACAAUUGGUUAAAUCUAACAAUCUCAACUUAUUCAAUUGACCUAGUUCUUCUGGCAACUGCAUAAUAUCAGACAUCAGAAAGCUAAGGACUUCUAGAUUCUUCAACUUCCCAAUGAUUUCUAUGUCCCCCAACGCACUUUGAUCCAGACAUAGUGUGUGAAGAUUUACUAGAAGAUCAAUUGAAGAUGGAAAUGAAGAAAACUGCAUUCGAGUAAAAUCUAGAACUCUAAGCUUUUUCAUCCCUACAAAAAAGUUCUCAGGAAUAUUGAUUUCAAGAGAAAAAUCUUUGAGAGAGAUAUAUAAAAAUUCAAGGUUUGGGCAUUCUAAUCCUUCAGGAAAUUCACGAUUACUAUUAUUUCUUAAAGAGACAGCAUUGCAUUUUCGAAGUGCAUCCUCAUCUGGCCAGUCCCACACAUCCUCAUUUCUCACCGAAAACACAUGUUGGUGGCGGCAUGCAAUUGAUAUUGCGACAUCGCGAACAACAUCAUGCAUUGAAAAUUCUUCAUUGCUAUCACCCUCAAGCAACAAACAAGAGUCUCUAAGUUCAUGGACCAAUGCAUAUAAUUUGUCUCGUGCAUCUUCCAUCUUAUUGACUCCUUUAAAUAUACCCAAACCCAUGGAGUACUUAAACAGGUCCAAAGUAUGAAUACGGUUACCCAUUAGACUACAGAGGAGAAAAAUUUUCUUGAGUUGCUCACCUUUUAAAUGGUUGAAACUCAGCUCAAUACUUGAAUAAGUCUCUGCAGAUACUCCUUCGAAGUUCACCAUUGAAGGCGUUCGGAGUUCUCGCAAGGAAUUCUUCCAUUCAUGCAGACUCUUGCUUCUCAGUGCCUUUGCUACUGUGGUCAAGGCAAUGGGCAAACCUCCACAUGCCCUGGCGACGUCUAUUGCUGUAGAUUUCAACUCACGAUUUUCAACAUCAUCACCGGCCAUCAUCUUAAACAAUCUCCAGGCUUCUUCUUCAUUUAAAUUGUUUAUCAAAAAGUUGUCUUUAGAACCCAUUUUUAAAAGGACACUACGAUCUCUUGCCGUCAGCAGUAGUUUGCAGCCUUUAUGGUCUUCUCCAAAAGGAAUUCCAACUGUCUCCAAAUCAAGGUGUUUCCAAAUGUUAUCUAAAACCACAAGGAUCUUCUUGUGAUUUCUCAAUCGCUCAAAUAGUCUACUUGCUCUUCUAGAUUCAACUUCCUCGUGCAACUCCAGGCCCAACUUCUCGGCAAUUUCCUGUUGAAUCUUUUUUAUGUCUGGAGUUUGCGAAACCUCUGAAAAGACCACCAUAUCAAAGAGCUUGUCUUCCAUAGCUUGCCUGGCGACCUUCUUCACCAGUGUCGUCUUUCCAAUGCCGCCCAUGCCGUACACCCCAACGACACUAACAUUAACAUCGAUCAAUGCAUUUUGUAUGGCCUUCAAAGAAGAAAGUCUUGACUCGAAGGCCUCGUAGCCUUUGUGAGACUUGAGCCAUAUCUCCUCCGGAAUGGUACGGUAGGAAAUUCUAUCAUCAAAUCUUGCAGCUUCUUCUCGGAUUUUGACAAGUGCCUUCACCUCUGCCUCUGCUUUCUUGCUAAGCUGAUAGCGGGUCUUCAGAUUAGGGCACAGACCCUUGAGACAUAGCUUAUUUGUUGCCUCCUCGUCGUCAAUGAAUUUGUCUGCAUGGUCAAUGAUCUUGUUCGCAUUAACCAGCCAUUUCUCAACCUCCUCUUCAAUCUUUUCUCCUUUUCUUUCAUCCUCUGAAACUCUGCGUUGAAUGCUCCUACUUUUAUCCUUGAGCUUCUCGAUUUCAGCCUUGAGAUUCUCAAAGUUGUCAUUGGAGCAACGCAAGUAACGAAGUUGGUGUUGUGCUGGAGGAGCCAAGCAUUUUACAACCUCUAAAACGACAGUAACAAUGGAUUCCAUCACCUUCAAUACUUUUUCUUUUCUUUUUUUUUUUUUGGGGGGGGGGGGGUUUGUGGGAGGAUGGAUUGAUCUGAAGUGAAAGAAACAGAAAAAGAACAGGGGAAACGACUGGACAAUUGUUAAUCAAUGAAGAAGCCGAAGAAAAAACAGAUGACGGUGAAAGGGAACGGGACUAAAUUAGGAAGAGAAAUUGUAUUUGAGCAAAACAAGGAAAAAAUCAGUGUAAUAGAUGAGAAUCAAAGUGUUGUUGCGAUCAGAAAAUUGAAACAAGAAAAGGGUUUCUUGAUCCAAUGAGUAUACAGAGAGGUGAUGGCAGAAGGGAGCAAAGCUAGGUCAGGAGAGGGUUUCUUGAUUGAGAAUUGAACGCAAAGAGUAGGAGCUGAUGAAUUAUAACUGGUAAAACUGAUUUGAAGCAAUUCUAUUGAGCGAUCUGAAAAAAAUUAUUUUGUUCAAUAUCAUACAGUAAAAGGAACAAAACAGUAAAAAGAAAUUAUUUAUUUAUUUUGUCAAAUGUGAAUACAGAGAGUAUCCAAACGAGCAAUUAUUUCUUUCUCGUCUCAGUAAACUAUAACGACAAAACAGCAAAAGAGAAAAUUAUUGUCAAACGUGAAUCACGUUUCUAAUCUAUUAAUUAAAAUGAUGUUAUACAAAAAAUGCUAAUGCUGGGAUGAUUUAACUUCUAACUGAAAAUUGCUAAUAUCAAUGUCGGGGGUGAAGGACAUAAAUUAUUCGUAAUUGCGAUGUAACAUUUGCUGGCAUAUUAUGAAUGAAAGAUAAAUUAUAAUCAUCGAAAUGUGUGGGGUCAGCUGUCAGUUGUAAUAAAAUGAAAGUUUUAAUUUUUGAAAUAAAAAUUAAUAAUACCUGAUAAAGUGGUACCAUUGAAUCAGUCUACGGAAGUCAUCAGAGUUGUCAAUGGUUAGACCCAACUAUAAUAUGGUCCAACUAUGGUAUCCCAUUAAAUGAGCCCUAAAACUAAACUCAAAGCCACAAUUGCUAGAAGAGAAAUUUACACGAGAUAGGUCAUGAUGAACUUCUCUAAUGAUAUUUUCUCAUGUGCUAUAGUGAGACUCACAAUAAACCUUACUAAUUUUUUAAAUAUAAAAUCUUAUGAAUCCCAUUAUAAAACACAUCUAUAAUUUCGCUUUGAAAUUUACUGCUCUGCACGUCUAAGCUAAGCGGAGAAUAGACUUCAUCAACAACGCUUUUGUGAAUAUGUGUUGCAUUACAACACUCCAAUGUGAUCCUCAUCCAAUAUCCAUUAUUUGUGAUCCUUAUUCCUCUGCGUCAAUUAAAUAUUGUUCCAUGAAUUUUUAAUUAUUUGUCAGCUAAUAAUUAAGUCAUAUAAACAAAUUAAUAAUCUGAAUUAGUCUUUAGGUAUUAUAAAUAUUUGUAGAUUUUUAAUUAUAAUAUCAUUAUUUAAAAGUAAUGCUUCACUUACAUUAGUGGCAUGCCAUUACCACUGUCAUAAAACAUGUGAUCCUCAUCCAAUAGCCAUUAUUUGUGAUCCUUAAUCAAUGAAAUAUCUGACAAUAUCUGCGUCAAUUACAGUCCAGUCCAAUGCUGCCAUCAUUAUCGAACAGUCGAUAUCCAACACUUGCAUGAAGAUUCCAAGAAGUUGCAUGGCUGCCGACUUUUAGAUGCUAAGCCUCAUUGUGUCGAUGAUACACGAAACAGAGCUUAGAACUAAACAGUAGCUUAGUCGGAAAAUCAAACGCCAGUGCCGGUAAAAUGACCGAUAAAAAUAUAAGGAAAUAAAAAUUUUAAAGUUUUACUUCAUUGCUUUUUUAAUCUUAUUACUAUUUCUUCUUGCACUUCUAAAGAAAUCAAAGCUUUAAAAGAAAUCAGCCAAAUCACGAAGAUUGAAGUGAACAAAAAUUUUAGGUUUUAUACAACAUCUCUUUUUUUUUUUUUUUUGGUUCUAUUUGAAGUGAACGAAAUAAAAAUACAACAGGGUCAGCGACUGGGCAAUUGAUAGUCAAGUAGAAGCAAAUCAAGGCUAAAUGGGAAAGAGAAAUAAUAUUUGUACAAAACAAAGAGAAAAUUAGUGUAACAGAAGAGAAUCAAAGUGCUUUGGGAUCAGAAAUUGAAACAAGAAAAGGGUCGCUUGAUCCAAUGAAAAUGCUAAGAGCUGAUGGCAAAAGGGAACAAAGUUCAACAAGAAAACAAAUAGCACUAGCAGCGACCAAAAUAAACAGAAAAUUUGAGAUGGAUUUACAAUAUUUCUGCCUUUCUUUAUGCUUUAACAAAUAUUGCUCUAUCAAUAUAUAUAUAUAUAUAUAUUGAGCGUUUUUAUUAUUGGAGUCACAAAAGACCUACACAAUAUAGCAAGUGGCUAGGAAUAAAUAAGAUAUAUAACUUUCUCUCUAAUUCUCGCUCGGGCUUUUAAUUGUCACUCAAAACCCAGAAUUCAUACUUAAAAUUGUAAGCAAGUCAGACAUGACAGCGUCUGGUUGUCAUACGCGCCUUCUAGUUUCCGGAUGACAUGGCAUACACUUAUUCUGUAAAUCCAACAUGACAUGCCGUACUCUUUGUUUUGAGAUCAUAUUUCAAACUCUUCAUGCAAUGAAUGAAACAUAAACUACAAUCAUCAAAACUUUAGUGUUUGUUUGGUAAUGUAACGUCACGGUUGUUGUGAAUUGAAAUUAUUUCUGUAAAAUAAAAGGAUUUGGGUCAUUGAUUGUUAUUUCUGGCAAUAUUUGUUAAAUAUUAAAAAAAUAAAUUUAUAUUUAUUAAGUAUAAAAAAUAAAUAAACAAACAAAAAUAAAAGAAAAAAUUUAUACAUUACGUAAAAUAAUAAGAACAAUAUCAAUAUUUCACACUCUAUAAUUGAGUGAUGUGUUGUCCAACUGCCAUACAUUGGUCCCAAACAGAGACUUAAAUAUUAAAGUCCAAAGUUAUUGUGAUGAUGACUUAUAAUCGCCAAACUUGACAUACGGGUAAUCAUACAUUAUAAGGCGCUGAUUUCUUCCUAUCGGAACCUUAUUUUUCAUUUACAAAUAAAUAAAUUAUGUGACUUCACGGUUGGCGGGGUCCUUUGUGUCAUUUGGGCAUUUCACUAAAUGAUUGAUUGUAGCAGGAAGAUUCCUGGAAGUUGCCAUAAUGCUACUAACAUUUUAAAACUUGGAAAACCCUUCUAUCAAUCUUUUAGUGGUAGGCUCUGGUAGCUUGGUUUGAUUAUGGCGUAUGAUUAUUUGAUAAUAAAGUUAGAGGAUGUAUUAAUAUAAAAUUUGUUUAUUGGUGUUGAAGUUAAUUAUCUCAUUAAUAAUAGUAUAAAAAAUUAAUUACUAAGAAACACAUAACAGUAGUUAAUUGGUGUUAUAUUAUUGGGAUUCUGGGAUAUAAUUUUAUAUCAUAACUUUGUAGGUGUAUACUUACUCAUCAAACUAAUAAAAUUAUUUAAAAAUUUCAGUUGGAAAACAUAAAUUAUAUUAUUUUCAUUUCAAAUAAUCUAUAAGUUAACUCAAAACAUAAUCAAGCUGAGAAUUAAAAUAAUGCUACUGUAUGAGAGGAUUUUUAUUUUUUCCCGAAGUUUCACUAGGAAAUUAUUGAUACAUAGCUUUAUUCGGAUCAUCUCAGUUCAAACGACAAAUAAUUGAAAGACUAAGCUAAAUAGACCAGCCAACAACUUUGUACAAGAGAGUUCAAAAAUUAAAGUCAUGGUAUUAAAGUGUUCUAUAUUGAAAAGUACAGUGUAGUAAUAAAAUAAAAACUAAUAGUCUUUGGUAAGAUAUGACAUUUAAAUAAUAAUUUUCACAAAAAUACAAAGAAUAUUUAUAAAGUACUUCUAUAAUGAGGAGACCCUCACUUUGUUAAAGUGAAAAUAUCAAUAAUAUAAAAAAGACAUAUAUUUUAACACAUUAAAAAUUAUAUUUUUUUUUGUCUAUUGGUGUAUUGAAAUGUGUGUUAUUUAGUUUGUUAAUAAUAUAAUCACUUUGUUAAAAUGAGGAUGUCGUUGCUAGAGAAUCAUUAUAUAUACAUAUAUAUAUAAAGUGCUUCUGUCCAAGACCUACACUUUAUUAAAAUUUAAGAAAGCAAAUAUAUUUUAUAUGGUAUAAUAGUGUAAUUACAUCACACUAUUAUAUCAUAUAGAGUAAUAAUUUUUCGAACUUUAAUAAAGUUCAAGAUUAUAGAAUAAAUAAUUUAUAUAUAUUAUAAAUUUUUUUUAUCAUAAAGUGGAGGACAAAAUUAACAUAUUUAUUAAAUUAUAAUAAGUAUUUAUCAAAUAAUUUAACAUUGCAAUUUCUCCUAACUAGUAUAGUAAAUAAUACGACCUAGGAGGUACAUUCAAAAGCAUUUCAUAAGUUAGCUGAUAAUAAUAAAUGAUAUAUGCAGCCCAAUCAUCAUUGUACGGUGAGUAAUUUUUGAUGACUUAAUUUAGUGGGAUCAAAAUCAACAUUGAAUUUUUGACCAGCUGCCAACAACUUGUGAGCAGUUCACAGUGGGUACUGCACAUGAUGCCUGUUUCUCCUUUUGCAUCUAUUUUUGUUGUUAACAUUAAUUUCAAUAGCAGCUCGUUAAUCCCAUUUGUUGAUUUGGGACUAGAUAAGAAUUUAUCUUGGAACUCCAAUUCUCCAAUUAUUUUAGUUGACAAUAUAUUUAACAUUAUUAAUUGCAUAUUAUUUAAUUAUCAGUAUAUAAUAUUCUUUAAUUUUCUAAUUUUAUAGGAUUAGACACAAAAUUGAUUAUGCCUUUUGAAAUUUAAGGGUUAUGUCAAUUGAAUAGAAAACUUGGAGUUAAACUUGUGGAUGUUUUUGUUGAUUAUCAGUUUAUGCAUGAAUUUUUGUACGUUUACUUUGGUUUAUAAUUAUUACUUUUAAACAUUUUUAUUGGUUUGAUUUAUGGUCAAUUUGGUAAUCCUGUAGCUUUUAAAAUAAUUGCAAUUAGCUAUACUGUAGAAAUUGAUCAAUCGUCAAGAAAAUCAGCUGAACAUUUAGUAAAAUUUAUUUUUAAAAGUACUUUUAGUUUUGAAAGCGUCGUAUGAAUGAAACUGUUACACUAAAAAUUAAAUGUAUUGCCCACUUGGGUAAAUAAAGCUAUAUAUUACAACUGUUACACUAAAAAUUAAAUGUAUCUUAAACCCAAACUUCUUCUUCUUUUUUUUUUUUGACUAACAAAAUUAAAAACAAUAGUGAACACAUUCUUUAAUAAACAAUAAGUAAUAACUAAAAUCAUGUUAAAUUUCUUAAAAAAUUUCUUUCACGGUUUGCUAAAUAUUUUUAUUAGUAUUUUGAAUAAAUAAAAAUAGUUGAUUUAAUUUUUUUAAAUAAACUUAUUAGGUUCAUGUAAAGAUGUUUUUGUUAUUUUAAAAAGUGUAGAAAGUACUCCUAAAAAAAAGCGUAGAAAGUAAAACUUAAUUUUUUAAAUUUAUUUGCUGAGUGCAUAAAUAAUUGAGUGUUCAUAAUGAUUUUUAAAGUAUAGAUAGUCGGACCCUAAUUUUUUAAUAUAUGGAAAUUUUGCUAAUAUGUUAAUGAGAAUUAAAAAGAUAAUUAAGGGAGGCAAUCGAGACAUUCAGGAUAGUUAGGAUGGGACAUGAUUGUGAGCGGUUUGAUAUUGGUCCUAAUUUUGAUCACAAAUAUAUAAACAGGACGAGUUUAUCUCUACUUACAUUCCAUUUGAUAAUUAAGAUGAGAACGGAAUUGUCAAAUCUCAAAUCAUCCCGAACCAUUGCCAUCAAAGGUACUCUCACUAAUAAUAUCUAAAGAAAAAUCUACAUCUAUUUCAUACUCUUUUUUUUUAAAUGGAAAGAGCCCUCAUGGGGCUUGAAAUGUUAUCCUAAAUAGUAUUCAGAAUAUCAAGCCAUGAUUGGGUUUGAGACAAACAAAUAUUACAUAGUUAGGAUACGUAGUUAUAGUGUCCCAAUUUAUGUAGUAUCUAUCAUUUAGUGCACAUAUAAAAUAUUUGGACAUAUAAAAUAUUAAUCAACUUAAUUAAUUUAUAAAAUUUAAAUCUAAUUAAUAAGUGAUACAUAAAUGCCAAGUGCAAUACUGUAUAUGCAAAUCAUGUUUGUGGAUCAUUACAAAACUGGCUCUUGAAAACAAGCAAGAAAGCUUAAUUAAGAACUUAAAACAAAAAGAAUUAGAUUGAAAACAGUCAAGCUUUAUUUUUUCAAGGAUGGAGCUUAUAAAUCUUCAAGUACCAACAUAUGCUUGGUGUUGUGCAAAUUUUAAUGUACUCGCAAGCGCACGAAUCUAUUGUAGUAUCGAUCAAUGGUGACGAGUGUCGAUCCCACGAGAAGGUGGAUUUUAAUUGUGUAGAAUUAAUUUUGUAAAUGGGUGAUUGGAUUUGUGGUGGAAAUGAUUUGGAAUAUGCUAAAACUUAAAUUAAAAUGGCAAGAAUAAAUUUUAAAAUUGGUAUUGAAAUGGCGAGAAUAAAUUGAAGAGAAUUCUAUUGAAAUGACGUACUUGGGUAUCUGGAUCCGUAUCAACAUGCAUCAUGGGCUAAAUAAUCCUUAUUAAUGCCAAUUAAAUCAUGAGGGGGGAAUCCACACCUCAUGAACCACGCUCUAAUCAAUAUUGUGCUAAGGGCUUAUCGUGCCAAAUAAUAAUAACCUUGUACUAGGGGGCCGGUGAAACCAAGGCGGUACUAGACAAGAUUAGUAUUAUUUUUCGACGAGAAGUCAAAACAUCCACAAAAACUAGAGGGGAAGAGAAAAUAAAUUUACCAAAUAAGCCAUGACACAUGUUGAGACUUCACCUUCAACCCAAGCUUGAAAGAAAAUUAGCCACUCAUAAUUGAACUAGGGGCAAAAUGGAAAUUUAUUAAAAUAUGAAGAAAAUACAAGAUGGAGAAGGAAUUACAGAAAAUGGAUCCCAAAAAUGGAUUCAGAGAUCUCAAAUUAGGGGGGAGAGGCCCGCUUUUUAUAGAUACAUGGAGUAAAUCAUGACCAUCGGAUUAAAAACAGUUUGGACGCUCAGGAUUACGCCACGUCAUCAGUCAACAGUACGCGGUUUGACCACGCGGAUGAACAGUAAUGCGGUUUGGUUGAAAAUAAUCCUGUGUGAUGCAUGUACCGUACGCGAGAUUUUUCGUCCACUGAUAUGCUGCCACGUCACCAUCAACAAUUCAUAAGAAUUUUAGCCCAAUAGGAUCGUGACACCUCAUCAGUCAAUGCCACAUCAUCGGUCAAUGCCACGUCAUCGAUCCGUAUAUGUAAACAGUGUCGUGAACAGUAACGUAGACAGUACUGUACACAUGAAUAGUACCGUACAUGUGAAUAGUGCCAUUUUUCCUUUUAUGCUCCUCCUAAGGUUUUCGACCGUCCUGAGUUCAAAAGUGAUGUCCGUUUUGCCGUCUGACCUCUCCUUUAUUGUGAAAUGACUAUAAUGCCCCUAAAAUACAUAAAAUACUUAAUUAAAAUAAAACACAUGUAAUUAAAUCACAAGAAGAUUAAAUACAUAAAAGUAAGGGUUGUUAGUAAGACUUGAAAUGUAAAAUGAUGGUUUUCUCCUUUAUAAAUAUGCAUUUUCUAACACUCAACACACCCCCCAACUAGCUUAUUGCUAGUCCCUAGCAAAUAAAGCGAAAAUAAAAUUCAAAUUCAAAAUGAUUUUUUUUUUUUUAGAAACACUCGUGUUUAUUCAAUCAGAUUAAUGAUAGCAAUCAAAUAAAAGUAUAAGCAUUAUCUCCAGUCUAAAGCAACAUCACACCCACAUCAACCAUCCACAUGAAUCAGCCCAGUAGACUUCGUUAUAGCUACUUUCAAGAAUGACAUGUCAAACCCCAAAAUCUCACUGGAAGUAGUGACACUCUCACAAAGAAAUUAAAACCAAUAAAAAUAGUCACUCCAAUGAAUGUAAUUGAGAGAGAAAAUAAUAAAGAAGUGAUAUCACAUGCUCUCACCAAGAUGAAAUAAAUAUGCCCCCAGCUUAGAAAUAAUACGAUCUCAAGUCAAAUAAAAAUGCUAGUCAACCCAAUUUAUUUAUCUUUUUUUUUCUUUUAUUUAUUUAUUUAUUUUUAUUAUGCACCACUACAUCUUUUUAGCCCAUAUAACUAGUUUCUACUUCAGAUUAUAGUUCCCUAAAAUCGGGAAGGACUUUUAUUAGGAUGUAACGUAGGCUAGGGACAUGGUUAACAAAGAAGGGAAAUAAGGAAAACAAAGUGUAUGUUUGAGAAAAAUGCAGAGGAAAUUUUUUUUUUUUUGGAAGUUACAAGGUGGAUUUCACCUAUUAUUGUUAUUAUUAUUAUUAUUUUUUUUUUUUGCUUUUGCUUGGCACAAUGUCACUAAAUAAAAUAAUUAUUUACAUUUUCUCAAACAUAAAUAGGUGAUGGAACUUAUAAGACAUCGGGUAAUACUCCAAAUCGGAGUGGGUCAAGAUGAUAAGUUGACAAAGAAAAUAUAUAUAUAUAUUUUUAAAGGCUCAAAAGGGUUAACUAUGGAUAUUUAAUAAAAGGGAUGGUUAGAAAGGCUCAAACGGAUCAAAGAUGGCCUUUCCAUCGUCUUUUAGGGCUCUAAAUAAUCAUCUAUAUCUACUAGUUAGAUGGGCCUCCAAAUGUAGCUACACACAUUUUUUUUCUUUUUUUUUUAAUUUUAUAAUUUUUUUUUUAAGGGUUAACUCAAAAGAAAUCUAGAGAUCGUGUAUACAAUAAUAAACUGUUAAGCUGUAUAAAGAAUGGGCAAAAGGGUUACUCUCCAAGAAAAAUGAUAAUCUCAAAAACUCACUUGGUACUUAUUAUGACAUGUUCAUUCCUUCAAGCAACUCAUAUUUGUCUCCGACAUCAACAUGUAGAGUAGCAAACAUAAUGUAACAUCACUUAAGACCAAAGAUAAUACAAAUACUAAAAUUUGAAAUUAAUCAUGUCAUCCAAUGUUAAAACAAAUCACACAAUUUUUUUUUUAAACAACAUUCUACCCCCCAACCUAUUCUAAACGUGAAAGGAAAAUAUGCAUGCAGAAAUGUGAAAAUGAUGCAUAAAAACUAAUUAAAAAAAGUUACACGUAAAAUGAUAGAAAACGAAAAUGGUUUUUUUUUUUAAGAAGAUGUGUUUCUAGAGGCACUACACUCCAUAUUCAGCCAUCUUCGACUCAUAAGUUGGAAAAUGUAUAUUUAUAGAGGAGAAAUUAAAAAGAAGAAAAAUAAACAUAAAAACAGAAUAAAGAAAAAGAAAAUGUCUGAAUUUUUUUUUUGUUUUUUAAUUUUUUUUUAAACGAUGAAGAUGCGUUUCUAGAGUCACUACACUCCAUAUUCAGCCAUCUUCAACACAAAAAGUUAGCAACAGUUAGUUUCUACAACAAAAAAUUAGUAAAAACUUAACCAAAAUUUCACAAUUGUCGACUAUUCCCUCCCCCCAACCAGAACGAAACAUUGUCCUCAAUGUUUGAAAGGAAAGAAGUAGAGUUUAGAAGACAUCAACUGGGUGGUGCAACACAGAAAACAAUAUUUACAAGUGGAGAGUUAAAUCUAAUUUGUACUUCUUACUGCGGCUACUGUUACCAUCAUUAUUUGGAUGCUCCAACACAAAGGUCCAGGGGUCUGGCUCCGGUCUAUAAGCUUGUAACAUAUCAAGUAGCUCAUUAGCAGUGUGAGCACAAAUAAAGAGUUUUUUCGCAUUAGAGGGAAUGAAAUAGUUUUUUAUUGCAUGGUUAAGAAAUGCGAUAAAGCCAUCAUAAAAGUUAUUGACAUUUAACAAACCAAUGGGUUUCUGGUGGAUGUGCAGAUGGGCCCAAGAUGCUAGUGUGAUAAGUGCCUCUAGUGUUGCAAGAUCUCCUGGAAGGAAAAUAAAAUGAUUAAGCAUUUCAGUUAUUCUUUCAUGCAUACUUGAGACGACUAACUCUUCUCCAGUUGAUGAGUCAGACGAACUGUCCAAAGGUUUUAGGGCUCUUGGGAUGAUGCCUAACACUUGGCUGCCUCUGAUAAAAGCUGCUUCUGAGACCAUUUUUGAUAACCCUCGAUUACCUCCUCCAUACACCAAGUGUAAUUUUCUCUCUGCUAUACUUCGACCAAGAUCGAUGGCUGCCUCAACGAACUCUUUAUGUUUGCCAUAGGUAAAUCCAGAAAUCACACAAAUGUUCUUGAAUUGUCUAUUUGGAGGAGCUACCAUUGUGAUACUUCUCAAAAAAUAAUUUGUGAGUGCUUGACAAAAAAAAAUCACAUUUAAGAGUCUUGGUGACAGUGGGUCACAGUUGUGUAUGAGGUAACACGUCAGUGUCAAAUAACGCGUAAAGCACGUGGCUCGCGAGUCAAAAAGGAAACAGUAAAAAGGAAAAAGCAAACAGUAAUAAGGAAAAAGUAAACAGUAAUAAAAUUAUUAAAGACAAUAAUGCACACAAUAAAACAAUAGUGAAAUAAAAUAACAGUAAAGUGAAAGGAUAUUUACAGGUAGUUGCGACUGUAGCUCACAUCUUCCUCUGGUUUUACGUCCAGAAACGGCUUAAACGCCCUCUAUGGGUCGAGGAUAGGCUUCCUAUCUAGUUUUCUUAUAAACUGGCAAACAGGGUCGUUUAUAGUCAGAUUCCCGAGACUAUAUCGUGCAUGCUCUUUCUGGAAUAAUGGCCAUAACUGGAGAAUCGCUCCUUGCACAUAUCCAUUGGGAUGCGUUUCAAGAGAUAAAAGGAUAUCAUCCAAUGACUCCUUAUUCAAGCCAUCCCUAAUGAAUUGAAUCUUAUAUUCCCUGUUAUCAGACACCAUUCCUAAAGAACAUGGGUUUUUAUUCCUGCUCAUUCUGGCACACUUAUGACAAGCAACAGAAAUUCUUCGAGCUCGUCGUUUUCUUGCAUAAUUUCCUUUACCACAACCAGGCAUGUAUGCAAUAAAUUUUGGAGGUAACUCACCUGCCGAUCGUACUUUAGCCUCGAUUAACCAACGGAUGUCAGCAGGUAUGUUAUUCCUCAUGAGUAAUCGCAUGCGUUCGGACCGAGCUUUAUAGAUCGUAAGGAGGGCAUUCUGAGGAAGUGAAGGGAAUCGCUUGUGAAGCUUCGCUAGAAUCUCGUUUCUGUCCAUACUUUCACCUCAGAAUAUCAGUUAUUAUGAGAAACUGAAGUAACCGACUUGAUUGUCACGGAGUACCGUUAUCCGCCACUUCACCGGGGUAACAAACUAAAGCACACAAACAGAAAAAUAAAUUAAAACACACAAAGAAAAUUAAAAUUGUCCUCUUAUUGAAUUUACCUCAAGCUCCAACUGGAUGUCGUAAACACUUCUCUCAAUGUCUCUGAGUUGUCUUUCUAAACCCUCAACAUAGGCUACUAACUCUGGUGGUUGUAGAGCCCAAAUGCGAUGUGUUUUACAAAAUUGAAUCUGCCUUUUGAGAUGAGUUUUGACACAUUGAAGUGGUUUAAGAAUGUUCAGGAGGAACGGUCUAAGUAAGGUACUCAUGAUUAAAAACGAUAAAAGAAAACUUAAUAGUUAAACAAACACAUUUAUGCAAAAAUAAUUUCAAUUAGCAGAAGAAUAAUAUAAAGAAAAAAAAAUCAAAUCAACGAAAAGAAAAAAAAUCAAUUCAAAUCUGGUGGGUCACUCAAAUUUAUUUCGGUGUCUUCUCCAUGUGGUUGGUACUCUAGAUAUGGCUUUAAUCUUUGACCAUUAACUUUAAACGUGACACCGUUGUUUGGGUCCUUAAUUUCAAUUGCCCCAUGUGGAAAAACAGUAUGACCAAUAAAGGGACCAGACCAUCGAGAACGUAACUUACCUGGGAAUAGGUGCAAGCGAGAAUUGAAUAAAAGCACUUUCUAACCUGGAGUGAAUGAUUUUCUCAUAAUUUGCUUGUCAUGGAAGACUUUCAUCCGUUGCUUGUAAAUCUUGGUAUUUUCGUAUGCGUCAUUGCGAAUUUCUUCAAGUUCUGCCAGUUGUAAUCUUCUUUCUGAGCUGGCUUGCUGCAUGUCAAAGUUGAAUUUCUUGAUGGCCCAAUACGCACGAUGCUCGAGUUCCACAGGUGGGUGGCAAGCUUUUCCAUACACUAGCCUGUAGGGUGACAUCCCAAUCGGGGUCUUGAAAGCCGUUCUAUAUGCCCAUAAUGCAUCAUCAAGUCUUAAUGACCAAUCUUUUCUGUCCGGCUUCACCGUCUUUUCUAAUAUGUGCUUUAUUUCUCGAUUGGAGAUCUCAACUUGGCCACUGGUUUGCGGAUGAUACGGGGUCGCCACUUUGUGUGUGAUUGAAUACUUUGUCAAAAGAGUUUUGAAUGCUUUGUUACAAAAGUGGGCACCACCAUCACUGAUUAUUGCUCGAGGGAAUCCAAAGCGCGAAACAAUGUUGCUUUUCAAAAAUCCUAUCACCACCUUGUGAUCAUUGGUUCUACAUGGAAUUGCUUCUACCCAUUUCGAUACGUAGUCAACACCAACCAAUAUGUAUUGAUGGCCAAAAGAAGGGGGAAAGGGUCCCAUAAAGUCGAUACCCCAUAUGUCAAAAAUCUCAACCACUAAAAUUGGAUUUAGUGGCAUCAUGUUCCUUCGUGUAAUGCUCCCCAUUCGUUGACACCUAUCACAUGAAGAACAGAAAGUGUAAGCAUCUCGAAAUAUAGUUGGCCAAUAGAAACCACAUUGUAAAACUUUAGUUGCUGUUUUCUUAGCACUAAAAUGGCCUCCACAAGCUUGUUCAUGGCAGAAUGAAAGGAUAUUCUGAAUUUCACUUUCUGGGACACAUCGUCUAACAAUUUGGUCUGCACAAUACUUGAACAAAUACGGGUCAUCCCAAAAGAAAUUCUUUAUCUCUGCAAAGAAUUUAGCCUUAUCUUGCUUGGGCCAAUGCUCUGCAAGUUUACCUGUAACAAGAUAAUUAACUAUAUCAGCAUACCAUGGUAAUACUUCCACAUUCAUUAAUUGUUCAUCUGGAAAUGACUCAUUCAAUAUUAAUGGCUCUGUAAUUGUGUCAAAAUGGAGACGAGAGAGGUGGUCCGCCACAACAUUUUCUGUCCCUUUCUUAUCUUUGAAUUCCAAGUCAAAUUCCUGCAAAAGUAACACCCAACGAAUUAGUCUAGUUUUUGCAUCUUUCUUUGUGAGAAGAUAUUUAAGAGCAGCAUGAUCUGUGAAUACAAUUAUUUUACAACCAAUGAGAUAAGAUCGAAAUUUCUCUAAUGCAAACACUACUGCUAGCAUUUUUUUUUCAGUAGUUGAAUAGUUCAACUGUGCAUCAUUCAAUGUCAUACUAGCAUAGUAAAUAAUGUGGGGAAUUCGAUCAACUCUUUGUCCUAAUACUGCUCCUACUGCAUAAUCAGAUGCAUCACACAUGAGCUCAAAUGGUAAGCUCCAGUUUGGGGGCUGAAUAAUGGGUGAUGAUGUCAACAACUGCUUUAGUUUUUCAAAUGCCACAAGACAUAAAUCAUCAAAGAUAAAAGGUACAUCCUUAGCAAGUAAAUUGCAUAAGGGUCUAGAAACUUUGCUAAAAUCUUUAAUGAAACGUCUAUAGAAACCAGCAUGCCCAAGGAAAGAUCUUACCUCUCUGACUGUUUUGGGUGGAGGAAGAUUAGAAAUGAGAUCCACCUUGGCUUUGUCAACCUCAAUACCUUUGCUCGAAAUGAUGUGACCGAGAACAAUACUUUGUUUUACCAUAAAAUGACACUUCUCCCAAUUUAAGACCAAGUUCUUCUCGAUACAUCUCUGCAGAACUAAUGUUAGAUGAUGUAAACAUUGAUCAAACGAGUCACCAAAGACAGAAAAAUCAUCCAUAAAGACUUCAAGGAAUCGUUCAAACAUAUCAGAAAAAAUGUUCAACAUGCAUCGUUGAAAUGUAGCAGGUGCAUUACAUAAUCCAAAUGGCAUUCUCUUAUAUGCAAAUGUGCCAAAAGGGCAAGUGAAAGUAGUUUUCUCUUGAUAUUUUGGUGUUAUGGGAAUCUGAUUAUAUCCUGAGUAGCCAUCUAGAAAGCAAUAAAAUUCAUGGCCUACCAAUCUAUCAAGCAUUUGAUCGAUAAAUGGUAAAGGAAAAUGGUCUUUACGUGUGAUAGAAUUCAAUUUUCUAUAAUCAAUGCAUACACGCCAUCCUGUAGUUACUCUAGUUGGUAUCAAUUCAUUAUCAGCAUUGGUAACUACUGUGACUCCUGACUUUUUGGGGACAACUUGUACAUGACUGACCCAUGAACUAUCAGAAAUGGGGUAAAUGAUACCUGCAUCUAAUAGCUUAAGGACUUCAGUUCUAACAACUUCUUUCAUGUUAGGAUUUAACCGACGUUGCAUUUCCCUAGUAGAUUUAGCAUUUUCAUCAAGGUGAAUGUAAUGCAUGCAGUCUAUUGGGUUUAUAACUUUUAUGUCUGCUAUGGUCCAUCCUAAUGCUCCUUUAUGCUCUUUUAAAAUAUCCAACAACUUACCUUUUUGUUCGUCAUUUAGGGAUGAUGAUAUGAUUACCGGCAGAGUACUUUCUUCUCCCAAAAAUGCAUAUUCCGGAGUGUUGGGUAAUGGUUUGAGCUCAAGUUUCGGUGGUGAUUCUGAUGAUGGGAUGAGUUUCUUCUCUGAUGGUGCUAGUUGUUCAACUCUUGACUUUCAUUUAUUAGUGUCCAUGGAUGGUGCUGAGUCAAGUAGGGCGUUGACCUCAUCAACUGAUCUGUCAAUAUCAAAAUCCAAACCAAAGUGAGUUAAACAUGUUUGUAAAGGAUCAUCACUAAUGUUUGAAAGAAAAGUAUUAUCAACUAUUGUUUCUAUUAAAUCCACAUCAACAAUUCCAUCAUCUGCACUGUGAGGUUGUUUGGCAAUGUUGAAGAUGUUCAGUUCCAUAGUCAUGUUGCCGAAGGACAACUGCAUAUUUCCUGUCCUGCAUUGAAUGUGAGCAUCCGCAGUUGCCAAGAAAGGUCGGCCUAGAAUAAUGGGGAUGUGCUUCCUUGAAUCCUGUAUUGGUUGAGUGUCAAUUACAAUGAAAUCAACAAGAAAAUAAAAUUUGUCUACCUGGAUAAGCACGUCCUCCACAAUGCCACAAGGUAUUUUCGUGGACCGAUCUGCAAGCUGUAACACCACUGGGGUUAGGUGUAAUUCUCCAAGUCCAAGUUUCACGAAUACAGAGUAAGGCAAAAAAUUUACACUAGCUCCUAAAUCCAACAAAGCAUUCUCAAUUGUGUGGUUCCCUAUGCUACAUGAGAUAGUGGGAGAGCCUGGGUCUUUGCAUUUUAGAGGAAUUUUAUGUUGGAGGAUAGAACUAACGUUUUCUGUUAAAAAUGCCUUCUUUUGAACAUGCAUAUUUCUCUUUUUAGUACAAAGGUCUUUAAGAAACUUGGCAUAAGAUGGAACUUGCUUUAUAGCAUCAAGUAAAGGGAUGUUAACACUUACCUGUUUGAAGAUUUCAAGAAUCUCACCUGUGGAUUUUCCCUUUUUGCUUUUAGCUAACCUCUGAGGAAAUGGAGCUUUGGGAACGUAUUCUCGUGAGUUGCUCGUCCUCUCUCUGGGUAAACUCCGAGAUUUCCUUGCGAAUAGCAUUGGUUUUAUGCACUGGGAAAUAUUUAUUCAAAAAUUUUGUAACCAUUUAUUCCCCAUGAUGCAAUGCUAUUAGCAGGCAAUGUAUUAAGCCAUGAACAAGAUCUAUCCUUUAAAGAAAAUGGGAAUAGUCUAAGUUUAACAUCAUCGUCUGAAAAAUUUUCAUAUUUAAAUGUUUGACAAAUGGCAUGAAAAUCAUUCAAAUGAUUAUAUGGGUCCUCAUUUUCUAGGCUAUAAAAUGUUGGGAGACAAUUUAGCACACUAGGUUUUAGUUCAAAACUCCUAGCAGCUACAUUUGGGUAUCUUAUGCAUGAUGUGCUCAAAUUAGCUAAAGGACUAAAAUAAUCCUUAAAUGGCCUCUCAUGUGGUGCUUGUAAAUCCAUUUUAUGUUUAACGUGUUUGUGUGUGCGAAGUGUUUUCUCAAGUUCAAGGUCUAUAGGUUCAAGAUUAGGUAAUAAUGACCUACGACCAUGCAUGCAAAACAAAUAAAAUAAAAAUAAAGAUGAGAACAAAACAAAUAAAGAAGAGGGAGAUAUUACGAUACUAACCUUAUUGCGCUAUUACAACAUUUCUAUAAAAAUACACAAAAACAAAUACGUGAAAUAAAUUAACUAAAAAUUAAAUUAAUAAAAUAAACAAAAAUUACAAAGAAAAAUAAAUUGAAAAUUAAAUUACAGAAUUUUAAAGAAGAGAAAAAGAAAAGAAAUACUAACCUUUAUAUGUAGAUUCACUUUUUUUUUCUUUUUUUUUAAUAAUUAAAAAAAUACAAGAAAACAAAUAAAAGAAAUUAUUCACAAAAAUUAAUUCUAUGAAUUAAAAUUACUUACCUCCCCGGCAGCGGCGCCAAAAACUUGUUGUGCAAAUUUUAAUGUACUCGCAAGCGCACGAAUCUAUUGUAGUAUAGAUCAAUGGUGACGAGUGUCGAUCCCACGAGGAGGUGGAUUUUAAUUGUGUAGAAUUAAUUUUGUAAAUGGGUGAUUGGAUUUGUGGUGGAAAUGAUUUGGAAUAUGCUAAAACUUAAAUUAAAAUGGCAAGAAUAAAUUCUAAAAUUGGUAUUGAAAUGGCGAGAAUAAAUUGAAGAGAAUUCUAUUGAAAUGACGUACUUGGGUAUCUGGAUCCGUAUCAACAUGCAUCAUGGGCUAAAUAAUCCUUAUUAAUGCCAAUUAAAUCAUGAGGGGGGAAUCCACACCACAUGAACCACGGUCUAAUCAAUAUGGUGCUAAGGGCUUAUCGUGCCAAAUAAUAAUAACCUUGUACUAGGGGGCCGGUGAAACCAAGGCGGUACUAGACAAGAUUAGUAUUAUUUGUCGACGAGAAGUCAAAACAUCCACAAAAACUAGAGGGGAAGAGAAAAUAAAUUUACCAAAUAAAGCCCAUGACACAUGUUGAGACUUCACCUUCAACCCAAGCUUGAAAGAAAAUUAGCCACUCAUAAUUGAACUAGGGGCAAAAUGGGAAUUUAUUAAAAUACGAAGAAAAUACAAGAUGGAGAAGGAAUUACAGAAAAUGGAUCCCAAAAAUGGAUUCAAAGAUCUCAAAUUAGGGGGGAGAGGCCCCCUUUUUAUAGAUACAUGGAGUAAAUCAUGGCCAUCGGAUUAAAAACAGUUUGGACGCUCAGGAUUGCGCCACGUCAUCAGUCAACAGUACGUGGUUUGACCACGCGGAUGAACAGUAACACGGUUUGACCCGGAUGAACAGUAACACAGUUUGGUUGAAAAUAAUCCUGUGUGAUGCAUGUACCGUACGCGAGAUUUUUCGUCCACUGAUAUGCUGCCACGUCACCAUCAACAAUUCAUAAGAAUUUUAACCCAACAGGAUCGUGACACCUCAUCAGUCAAUGCCACAUCAUCGGUCAAUGCCACGUCAUUGAUCCGUAUAUGUAAACAGUGUCGUGAACAGUAACGUAGACAGUACCGUACAUGUGAAUAGUGCCAUUUUUCCUUUUAUGCUCCUCCUAAGGUUUUCGACCGUCCUGAGUUCAAAAGUGAUGUCCGUUUUGCCGUCUGAUCUCUCUUUUAUUGUGAAAUGACUAUAAUGCCCCUAAAAUACAUAAAAUAUUUAAUUAAAAUAAAACACAUGUAAUUAAAUCACAAGAAGGUUAAAUACAUAAAAGUAAGGGUUGUUAGUAAGACUUGAAAUGUAAAAUAACGGUUUUCUCCUUUAUAAAUAUGCAUUUUCUAACACUCAACACUUGGCCCAAUUGUUGUUAUUAAAAUUUCAAUAUACAUAUAUAAGUAUGAUAUAGCAAAAAUUUGAUGGUACAUAUCUCGGAAUAUACUAGUUCAUGGAUGCAUUUGAUUAUUAUUUCCAUAAAUUUGAACCGAGAAGGAUGACAUGAUAAAAUUUGAUUUUAUGGUAUGGUUGAUUUCAGAUCUCAUGCCCUCAUUUCUUAAGAUAAUCAAAUUUUCUCUGGCAUCUUUUGCAACUGUGGAAAUAUCAAUUAUGAUCAAUCAAAACGAUUUCAAAACCUUUCAAUGAGACAUAUUUAUAAUACAAUAUUGUGAAAAUUACAACAAAAAUUUAAUUUAUUAAAUAAUAUAUUACUAUCCAACAAGCACACAAAAAUGAAUUCGUACAAAUCUAAAAUACUUAGCAAUUUUCAAAUAGAAUUUACCAUGUACUACAAGAAAAUAGGGUAUAUGUGACCCCUAAUGUGAAUGCAAAUUUGCAAAAGCAGCCAUUACGCAUGCCACUAACUUCUAACUUUGUAACCUCGAGUUGCUUUUGUUACCCUUUAUGUGACGGCCGCUGUCACAUAUGUUACUAACCACUCGUCACGGGAUGAGUAUUUUGCGCAGCUAACCCGUGCGGCACUUAGACAACUUUACCAAAUGUUGCUAAGUAAGCCUAGAGCUUCUCGAACUAGAGAAGAGAGCAAUUGAGCUGAAUGAGAAAACUUGUAUUGCACAAAGAGAGAAUACAAUGCUUGAGUUGCUUACAAAGCUUGUUGUUGUGAGUUUGUUGGAUGCAAAUGCCUAAUGCCAUCCCAUAUUUAUAGGGGAGGCUUGCCAAGCUCUAGAGAUUCUAGAGAAUUCUACCAUUUCCUAGCUAUUUACAUGUGCUGGAAAUGUAAAGAGAAUUCUAGAGUAUUUACAAGCUCACAUGUGCUAGAGUUGCCUAGAACUUUCCGGAAUUGGGCCAAGCUAGAACUCUUGGCCUUGUGUUGGCUCUCUAGCCCAAAAUUGUGGGUAAUUGGGCUAGCGAAUUGGGCGGACCGUAACAUCCUCCCCCACCUAAGCUCGCGGCGUCCUCGUCGCGAUCUCGUCCUUGCUCCUUUAGGGACUUGUUCCGCGAUUUGUCGUUAGUCUUCUUGUGCUUCACUCUUGGGGAGGUUCCGCCACUUGCUCCGCAUAUGAUCGUUUCCUUCUUUCGGUUGGUGUUGCGGCGUCCCCUCUUGUGUUUCCACAACUCAUCAUGCUCGGAUGGCUUUGUGCGUUGCUCAACCACUUGUCUUGAUGGGAGCUUCGGAGGCAUGGCGUCCUUGCCUUUAUCAUGGACGGUUCGUGCUUGUUGUGGGACUUGGCUUGGAGGGCUUUUGGAAUCCUCUCCCUUGUGGUGUUGCCGGAUGGAGACCAAGUGGUCCGAAUUCUUCUUGAAUCCUCAUCUGCAUUGCAUGACCGAGACCGCCUUUUUUACGGGUUGUGCACGCUCGACCGGUGCCACGCAUGCCUUACUCCCAUCGAAGAUGCUAAGGGAGUUCGUUGCUGGAAGUGGGAAGGCAUGUACCUUGUCGAAGAAUUCCAUGCCAAGGAUCAUUGCGAAGUCAUCCAUCGGCACAAUCGAGAAGUCGAGCUUCCCAUUCCAUGUCCCAAGCGUAACGUGUACGCCUCGUGUGGUUCCCCUAAAUGGCUUGGCGGGUGAGUUUACAGCCUUGAUGGUGCCUCCGUCUUGCGUUACCUUAAGGCCUAGACAUUUAGCCUCUUCUUCGGAGAUGAAGUUGUGUGCUGCUUCGGUGUCAAGGAGCGCACGAACGGUUUGACCAUUGAUGAGCACACUUACGAACAUGAGCCCUUUCCUUGUAGGUGUUGGUGGUUGGCUCACGAGUGUGCUAAGACGUUGGAGCGAACCCAAGUUGUGUUGAGGUUCCUCCGUAGGCGGUGUGUGUCGGCCCUUGAGUUGUGCCACGAGGGCACUCAGCGACUUUUUAUCCAGGCAGUCGCGCACUCAAUGAGGACCGUUGCAUAUGAAGCAUGGGCUUCGCGGCUUGGGUGACUUCUCGGAUUUACUUUGCCCGCCCUUGCCGCUUGGAAGCUUUUUCUUGCUCCACUCCUUGCAAUUGCGGUCGUUGUCCUCAUGGCUCUCUCCCCCACCUUGAUCGUAGCUAGACCUCUUGUCCUUGAGAUGGGCGGAGUAUUCGGUGAGAGACUCCGCAAUAGCAAUGGCGUCGUCAAGUGUUUGUAUGCCACGCCUGUCAAGCUCGGUCUUAGCCCAAUCCUUGAGGCCAUCUUGGAAGUAGAAGAGCGAAUCCUUGUCGGACAUGUUGCUUAUCUCCAACAUAAGGGUAGUGAACUCAUUGAUAUAGUCCCGAAUGCUACCCGAAUGCUUGAGGCGACGUAAGCGCGCUCGCGCUUCCUUCUCCGCAUUGCUUGGGGCGAACUGCUUUCGGAGUUCUUGCUUGAAGUCGGCCCAAGUGUCGAUGGUACAAAUGCCUUUGCCCAUCUCGCCAUGCUUGCGACGCCACCAUAGUUGUGCAGGGCCUCUAAGAUAGGUGGGUGCAGUGCACACUUUCGAUGCCUCAUCACGGACACCCAUGGCAUCGAAGUAUUGAUCCAGCCCGAAUAGGAAGUUGUCCACGAUUGUGGCAUUGUGUGUGCCAUCGUAUGUGUCGGGCUUUGGCACAUCAAUACGGUGCGCAUCACUCGAGUUUGUGGAAGCUGGACUUGCGGAGAGUGUGCGCUUGUGCCAUGCCCAAUCUGAGCGGACUUCAUCCACUUCCGCACGGACAGCGUGUAGUUCGUCCUGAACAAAACUACGAAGUUUGAGCAACUCAUCAUGGAAAGAACGAAACUCACCUCGGAGAGUGUUCGCUUGCUCUUGGAUGAGAGCUUUUGUUGCCACCGUGAACUCGGCGUAUUCCCCCUCGAGACUGUCCACUCGUUCCUCCAAUCCCUCGAGGCUAUCUUGAGCGGCGGACAAUGCGAUUUCGAGAGUAGUCACACGAGGCUCCAACGCAUCCACUGAUGCGGCUUUGGACUUGCCGCGAGUCUUGCUUUGGGCGCGUUCUCCCUCUCGGCUGCAGCUUGGUUCCGAUGGAACAUCCACACCAACAACACCCUCUUGUGCUACGUUCGAAGGGUUGGCCAUUGCUCGUGAGCUAACUUGCGUGCGUGCAAACCUUAGCUCUGAUACCACUUGUCACGGGAUGAGUAUUUUGCGCAGCUAACCCGUGCGGCACUUAGAUAACAUUGCCAAAUGUUGCUAAGUAAGUCUAGAGCUUCUCGAACUAGAGAAGAGAGCAAUUGAGCCGAAUGAGAAAACUUGUAUUGCACAAAGAGAGAAUACAAUGCUUGAGUUGCUUACAAAGCUUGUUGUUGUGAGUUUGUUGGAUGCAAAUGCCUAAUGUCAUCCCAUAUUUAUAGGGGAGGCUUGCCAAGCUCUAGAGAUUCUAGAGAAUUCUACUACUUCCUAGCUAUUUACAUGUGCUGGAAAUGUAAAGAGAAUUCUAGAGUAUUUACAAGCUCACAUGUGCUAGAGUUGCCUAGACCUUUCCGAAAUUGGGCCAAGAUAGCACUCUUGGUCUUGUGUUGGUUCUCUAGUCCGAAAUUGUGGGCAAUUGGGCUAGCGAAUUGGGCAGACCGUAACAACGUGACGGUACAGAGCCGUUCGGUAUAGCACUAUUUUAGAAAUUUAAAUUUAUUUCCAGUUAGAAAACUAUUCGCUGGACUAGCCACCAUCGUAAACCUAACUGGUUGCCGGCGAACGACAUAAAACACCGGGCAUCUUCUUCUUCAUCGUAUUCUCCCUUCAUCUUUUGAGGUAAGCUUGUGAUUAUGAGUUUCUUCUCUUACUUAGCUUGUAAUUAUAGAUUUUGAUUUUUUUUUAAAAUUCGUAUUGUAGCCAUUAUUGUCAAUUUUUGUCCCGCCAGCAAUAUUUUUUUAUUCGUACAAGUUGAAGCCCCUUUGUUCUUGUUCCAUUGGUGAGUUUGCUCACUCAAAUUAAUUUUGUUCUGCGGAAUUUACAAAGUUCAAAUGGAUUCAUUUGAAUUACUAUUGAAUUUAGCUUUAAUUCCAACAUCCAUUCUAAUGUUUUGCUAUUAGAUUUAGUUUAAUUUUAUGUUUAAAGCAUCUACAAUGAAUAGCGGAGCUUGGGUUUUAGUUUCAUUUUCUGGAUAACUUGUUUUAGUUUAUCUUGUAUGGUCACCAAGUGCUUGUUAUAUUGUCUGAUAAGUUAUAUACAUUGCUGAUUCUAUAUUAAUAAUGUUACGUUCUAUUUUCAGAAAUUAUAAUACAAAAGUUUUUACAAUGGCGUGCAUCUACAAACUGAAUUGACUUGUAGAAUAAGAGCUUGGAGUAAAUGAAAGUUCAUAUUGUGUAAGAGCAUGUAGAUGUAAAGCAUCAUUACCAUAUCUACAAAGUGCUUUCAUUAUGUUCAGAUGCUCUUCUUGAACUUUGAAAGGUGCCUCGUUCAAGUCCUAGCUAUAACUACUAGCUUUGAUUAAUUAAGUUCCUAUACUAGCUGAAAUAGAUUUAUUUAAUUAAUUAAUUGUGUAUGUUCUAAUUAUAUUAAAAGUAUAUGAAUUUUUUUUUAACAUGAAUGACUUGUAAAUGACUUAAAAACCUAAAGGAUGUGUGAAAUAAUGCUCAUUUCACUUGAAUGAGCCUAUUAAUACUUUUAUGUCUAUGAUUGUCAAAAUUGGCUUAAGCACUUCAGUUAAGUGGUUUACCUAACAGAGAAAAAAAUUUAAUAGGAAACUUCAGAGUUCUAACAGAAAUAUAGUUCACCAUGCAGAUAUAGUUAUUUUACGGUAUACAAAUCAAGUUGUCCUAAUCUCAAUGUCCUAUCACCGAUUUUAUUUGAUAUAGUCAUUAAUUUUUACCAUGGUUUUUUGUGUUUAUGAGUAUGAAAUAGUGGGAUUUGGUGUACCUUAGCAUCUUUUGGAAAUUCUCUUUAAGUGUGGCCAACAGAAAUAUACAUAUAAUCAAGUUUCUUAAUUGUGUAUAUUAGUUUUGGGUACGAAUGUUCCUAUUCUAGUUCUAGACAAAGCUUCUUCGUUUUGGUCUUCAGAUUUCCAGUAGGUUAAGUUAAUCAACUAUCAUAACUGGCUAGCUAGUUAUUGUCUGCCUUGGCGCCAUUACCCAGGCCAUUAUAUUGCAUAGCAUAAGGAAUAGUGAUUAGGUGAUUAUUAGUGAUUUGUUGAGCUUAUUAUUGACCAAACAAACAUAUUCACCUUUGCCCACAACUUAGUUUGAUUAGUUUUAGACCACAAAGAGCCUUGAUCUAUUCAUUGGCUUUAUUAUUUUUAUUUGGUUUUUCUUUCAACAUAAUUGUUGAUUUCUUAUAAAAAUAUUCAUUGGUUUUUAAACACCUAGUCAUUGGCUAUAUGAAGCAAAUUAAAACUUAGGCUUUGGAUCAAUUUCUUCUAACAAGAUACAAAUGAGCAUAACCUUUCUCCUCUAAGUAAUUUUUUUUAAUAUCCUUGAUUUGUAAGGAUCUGGAGGCGUGAAAUCCUCUAGAUUUUUUUUAACACUGUCAAUGUCCUUUUUAUUCUGAAAAGGAAAUAAAAGGUUUUAUCUUUCAUACCCUAAUAGUAAGCUGGCCUUGUCUUAACAUGGCUUCUUGAGGAUUUGCAAGAUUCGUUUAGAUGAUUAGAAUGAAACUAAGCGACUGGAAAGAGUGGAUGGUAGACUAAAGAGAAAGUGAUUGAUUAUUUUAUGAGGCCAAUUAACGUAAUGACAGAUCCGGUUUCGAUGUUUGUAAUUUGAGUAUGAGGUAAAUCGAUUCUUUGUCGAGCCAGUCAAAUACAAAGGCAAAUUAGUAAAACAAGAGCCAGCAACUUUUACUCACACAUAAGGCAAUAAUAUAUUGAGAUCACGCAACAUUGCAAUAAAGUUAUCAUCAAGUUGUAGCCUUCUUAUUCAAUCAAUUAUAGCAUUAUCUCUAGCUCUGUAUUUUUCAAAAAAAAAUUAUUCAAAAGAUGUCUGUCAUUAGUUUUUCAAUGAUUAAAAUUAUAAUUUUUGUUUAAUAUAUAUAACGUAAAAUUUUAAAAGAAUCAGACAUGCAUUAGGGUAAAAAUAAAAAAUAUGGAGGUAGCUUUUAACUAGGCAAUUGGCUCAACUAUGGAUCAGUGUGAGAUCGCUAUUUUUCUUAUAAAAAAAAUAUUCCAGCCAAACAAUUGUCGCAAAAUUUUAAUCGAAAUUACAAAAUAUAUAUAUUUUGAAUACCUGUAAAUAAACCACUUAGAAAGCUAUCGAAACACGAAUAUUAAUUUUUUAAAAUAUAUAUUUUUUCAAGCAAAUGCAGUGACAGAUCUGGUUUUGAUCCUCGUGACUUUUGGGUGUAACUGUGUAAGUACGGGUGAACGACUCUCUAGUCCAGGACAACUUGCACGUGACAUUUUAGUAUUAAGCAAACGGAAUUUUUUUAAAUUAAAUUAAUCUCAAAGUGAUAGGCUUCUCAUGAAUCAUGUAAUGUUGUCGUUUUUCAAGACAUGACAUUGCCCAUCACUUGUUUGUCACAAUGUCCAAAUAAAUAAUUUUUUUUUAAAAAAAAAGUUAUUUUCAUUCUUUCUUUUCAAGUAUCCUAAUUCCUUUCGCAGUUUGAUUCCUCUUUUCCUGAAAUUUGUUCCUUCCAUUAAACUAAUAAUUUAUUUAAAGGUAAUUAAGCGUCAGCCCCAAUUAUUUAGUAUUUCACACAGCACACCCACAUCUUUCGAUCAUGUGCACCUCUUCCUUAUUUCCGUUAAAAAAUCAACUAUCAACUAAUUCUAACUGUUUAGGCUGUUAUAAAUUUAAAAGACUAUACUACCCCUAUUUUGAAAUGAAUUGGGUAUAUAAGUACUAAAAUACCCUUACAACUAAUAAAAUUUAAAUCAAAAAGUAAAAAUUUAUUAUAAUAUUUUUAAAAUUACAUGGAAACAAUUUUUUUUCCGGAUUACGAACCCAAGAUUAUAAACCUAGUAAAUUACAAAAUCAGAGGCAAAGCAUGAUUCCAAUGUGAAAGAAAAAAAUCAAACACACAUUCAUCAAUACAUUACAAAAUAAGUCCAAUAAUCCCACCAAAACAAAUAAAACCCAAUAAGAAAGAAACCCGAAACUAAUGAUACCAAAAUCCAUGACAACAAAUUUCAUUGUAAAAUUCUAUUACAAAAUAAAUUCAUACUAAGAAAAUUCAAUAAAAAGAAACUCAAUAAUCAAAAAUCCUAAGACUAAAGAUAUCAAACCCUAAAUUAAAUUAUAGAGGCGGCGAAGGAAAAAGGGGUUUUUUUUUAUUAUAUAAAUUAUUUUAAUCUUGUAUUAAUUACCAUUCUACCCUUCUUUCCGUUAACGUUAGAUUUGAAAGAAAUGGGGGUGGUGGACGUGGUCAGAAGAUUGGAGGCACAAUGCAAAAUGUCGAAACAAUUGGGGCUAACGCUAAAUUACACAUUAUUUAAAUUAAAUUAUCCUAGUUGUAUUUGACUGUGACUGUGACUGUGACCGGAACCGUUACAAUCACUUAGUAUUUUUAUUAAUUAAUUAACAAUUUGUUUCAUCAUUAGACGGUACUAUGAUAGUUUUGUCACUAUGUUUGGUACCAUCUCUUAAAUCGUGUAACAAAGAUUUCAUGAAAAAUUAGAAAACAGCACGACAUGAUACAAACUCUUUUUUAAUACAUGUAGACCUUAUUUUUAAAAAAUGAACAUACAAACUUUUUUUAAUACGUGUAGACCUUUUUUUGUAUUUAAAAAUAGUUACACAGAUCCUCAAUUUGUGUGUCCCUCAAUAAAUUUUCAUGAUCAUUUUUUAAAAUAAGGGAUUUUUGUGAUUAUUUUGCCACGUCCAAGGAUGCCGCUAUUCUUGUCACCAAAAAUUAUUCUCAUUAAGAGUCAUGAUUAAUUGGACGUCAACAAUGUCCAAAUAAAUAAUUUUUUUUAAAAAAAAGUUAUUUUCAUUCUUUCUUUUCAAGUAUCCUAAUUCCUUUCGCAGUUUGAUUCCUCUUUUCCUGAAUUAUGUUCCUUCCAUUAAACUAAUAAUUUAUUUAAGGGUAAUUAAGCGUCAGCCCCCAAUUGUUCAGUAUUUCACACAACGCACCCACAUCUUUCGACCAUGUGCACCUCGCCCCUAUUUUCAUUAAAAAAAUCAACUAAUUCUCACUAUUACUGUUAUAAAUUUAAAAGACUAUACUACCCCCAUUUCGAAAUGAAUUGGGUAUAUAAGUACUAAAAUACCGUUACAACUUAUAAAAUUUAUAUCAAAAAGUACAAAUUUAUUAUAAUAUUUUUAAAAUUAUAUGGAAACGAAUUUUUUCCGGAUUACGAACCCAAGAUUAUAACCCUAGUAAAUUACAAAAUCAUAGGCAAAGCAUGAUUCCAAUGUGAAAGAAGAAAAUCAAACACACAUUCAUCAGUACAUUACAAAAAAUUGAUGGUUUAGCUUAUAGAGUCAUGUCUAUUAUUAUUACCUUGUAAACAAGUCAAAUGUCUCAAUAAUUUGACACCUCAAUAACUGAAACAAUUUAAACCCUUGUUUAGUAUUAAAGUUGGGCAGGUGUAGCUUAAAAGUUACAGUACCAAAGUGUUUAGUAAACACUAGCUAUUGCCGCUUAGAAAUUAAGUUGAUUUGAUCUCACACUUGUAUGACAAAACCUAUAGUGUCUUUAUUAUUUUUGUCAAAUUAUUAUUUAAUAAUUAUUUUAUUAUACAUUAUCAACUUUUAUUUAAUAGUUGCAACUUCUUUUUCUUUUUUCUUACUAUGCUAUAGCAUUUCAAUAUCAAAUAGGGCUUAAAUGAGAAACAACUUCUAAAUUAAAUGCGACGUCUCUCUUCUUAUUAUUUGCAUAAGUUUGCCUAGUGGAUUAAAUGAGCAUUGGUAACCAUAAAUUAUGUAGAAUUAUUUUAUUGAUAUAUUUUUUCUAUGAUUUUCAAAUUAUACACAAGAGCCAAAACGUUUUCAUGAUGGCAGAUUUAUUGAGAAAAAAAGUGUUCAUUCAAAUAAACCUCAUGAAUAUUCACAUGAAUUUAUGUGAUGAGAAAGGGAAAAAAAAUUCUUCCAUUCAUUCAUAUGAACAUCUUUAACUAUUUCCUAAAAUUUAGGAGGAAAAAAAUGAAUUCUUCAUUUAUUCAUAUAUCGAGUUUCAUAAUCACUCGUACUAGGUUCCUGGGUGUAAAUGACUGAGAUUUACGAUUUGAGGACAAUUUUGAUAUUUCAAUAGACUACAAAUGCAUGUUGCGUUCAUUUCACACCAUCUGAUACGAAAAAAAAAAUUGAUGUUUUGGCUUCUAGAAUCAUGUCAAUUAUUGCCAUAUAAAUAGGUCAAUUGUCUCAAUAUCAGACCUUUUAAGAAGCCAAACAAAUUAAAAAUCAGUUUAAUAGUGCUGUAGUUUUUAAAAUAAUUACUGUUAGCAGUACUGUAAAAAUAAUUAGUUGUAAAAAGAAUCAGUUAAAUAUUUGAUAAAAUUUCUUUUUAAAAUUACUGCAAAUUUUAAAAGUAGUCGUUUGUGUUUAGUAAAUUUUACUAUUAAACUGCUGUAAAAAUAUAAAUAAAUCAAUUGAACACAAUAUUGAAUAAAAUUUAUUUACGCAUUUAUAAACAUGUAUGAAAUUUUUUUUAUUGUGUAUAUAUGAUAAUUGAUAACUAAAAUAAAUAUUUUAAAUUAUUGAUUUUAUUUUUUUAUUUGGUUAUCUUAAUAUAAUUGGUAAUAAUAAUCUCUUUAAAUUAAUGAUUUUAUUUCCUAAUUAAUAAGGAUAAUUGUAGAUUUUUAUAAUAUAAUUGAAUAUAUAUAUAUGAAAUUGUACUAACUGUAAAACUGAUUUUCAAAAUCCGAUUAUGAAAAGAUACUCCUUCCACGCUUUUCAAAACCUGCUAUAGGACGGGGUGAUUUAGCUAAAAGUAAUUUUAAAAAAAAAUUGUCAAACACCAAAAUUGACAUUUAGUUUUUUAAAAUUACUUUUGGGAACUCCCAAAAGCAAUUUCAAACGGGCUUCAAGGUCUUAUUUGAUACUAAAGUUGGGCAGUUAUAUCUUAAAAGUUACAGCUAUUUAGUAUAUAAUAGUUGUUGUGAUAUUGAAAAUACAAAUUGAAGGACUCUUUUUGUCCCAAAACUGAUAUUGAAAUCCGAAAAGUUACAGAAAUGGUGUGUCCACGUAUAAAAGUGAAGAGACAUAUUUGAUUUUAGGUUUAAAACUCAGGGUCCACGUACUGAAACUUCCGUAAUAAACAUAGGGCGAUUUUAUUGCAAUGGUCACCUACACUGGCCUACUUAUUUAUUUGAGUUGGCACCGAGCUUGAAAACUGCGGGAAAGCAAACUGACUGACAAUGACAAUACGAAGCUUGGCCUUUGGCCGGAACCACAUUUCACCACACAUUAUGAUAUUAGAUCUUUCAUUAUUGAUCACAUAUUCACAUUAUCUAACUUCAACGGAAAAUUACCUUCUAGAAAGUGCUCGUAUAAUUGUUUAUAUAUAAGCAGUCUCCAAACUUAUCAUCAAUUUUCCAGAUUCACCGAAAAAUGAGCUGGCGCUGGGCAGGUAGUAUUGGCGCUGCUAAGGUAAAGAUCAACCCUCUAAUUAAGUCUCUUCACUUGAAAAGCUUAUAGAUACACGUAACAUGCUGAUAUUUAAAAUAAUGUUUGUUUAAUUUUCGCUGUACAGAACAAAUUGGAAGAAGAUGCGCGACUUCAAGACUACCAGAACGUGGGACUUGUAGUAGGCGUGACAGGAAUUGUAGGCAACAGCCUAGCUGAGAUUUUGCCCCGAUCAGAUACCCCCGGUGGCCCGUGGAAGAUCUACGGGGUGGCGCGACGUCCCAGGCCUAACUGGAACGCCAAGUACCCUAUUGAUUACAUCCAAUGCGACGUUUCCGACCCAGACGAUACGCAAGCCAAGCUCUCAAAACUCGCUGACGUCACCCACAUAUUCUAUGUGACGUGGGCCAGCCGUCCCACUGAAGCCGAGAAUUGUCAGAUCAACGGCGCCAUGUUUCGUAACGUGCUCCGUUCUGUAAUCCCGAAUGCGCCUAAUCUCCGCCACAUCUGUCUCCAAACGGGAGGCAAACAUUACGUCGGUCCAUUCGAGUGUAUUGGCAAGAUACCGUCUCACGAUCCGCCUUUUACUGAGGAUUUGCCAAGACUAAACGUAUCACUUUUUUACUAUAAUCAGGAAGAUAUAUUGUUUGAAGAAGUUGACAAAAGACGGGGUUUGACUUGGUCCAUACACCGACCUUCCGGAAUAUUUGGGUUUUCACCUCAUAGUUUGAUGAAUAUUAUAGGCACUCUCUGCGUGUACGCAGCUAUUUGUAAACACGAAGGUGCUCCUCUUGUAUUUCAUGGGACUAGAGAUGCUUGGGAAGGUUUCCAAGAAUUUUCAGACGCAGAGUUGGUUGCGGAGCAGGAAAUUUGGGGGGCAGUGGAUCCUAAUGCAAGAAACGAAGCUUUCAAUUGCACCAAUGGAGAUGUUUUUAAGUGGAAGCAUUUAUGGAAAGUGUUGGCUGAGCAGUUUGAGAUUGAGAAUUAUGGGUUUGGAGAAGAAAUGGGUAGUGAGAGGGUGAGAUUGGAGGAAGUUAUGAAAGGUAAAGAAAGUGCGUGGGAGGAGAUUGUGAGAGAGAAUCAGCUGCAGCCAACAAAAUUGAAUGAGGUUGCUGUUUGGUCAUAUGCAGAUGUGGUGUUGAAUAUUGGUGCGGGUUAUUUUGUUAGCAUGAACAAGAGUAAGGAGCACGGGUUCUUGGGUUUCAGGAACUCUAAGAAUUCGUUUAUCACAUGGAUUAAUAGGUUGAAAAGUCACAGGAUUGUGCCUUAAGUAUUUUUUUUUUUUUUUCACUUUUUGAUUUGGUGCCUCGAGUAAUUGAAAAGCCACGAAAAAUUAAUAGUUCAACCCGUGAUUGGUUUGGCUGGAAAUUGUACCCUUUUGUUAGAUCCUUGUUUUGUUAAUCAAAGAAUUUUACCUCAGGUAGAAAAAAAAAAAAAAAGAUGCCUUUGUUGUUGCUAAAGAGUUAAUAAAUAAAUACAGUACUGAAUUAUCAACCUUAGAAAACCUCCAUUAUACAUUUCUGAAUCACGUACCUUCAAGUUAUAACGACCCAAUGUUCAAGUAAUGCCUAAUCCUAGUAGUCUAAAGCUUCUUUAAAUGGUUCGUGUGUCGAAAGCACUCUCUUUCGAACCAACCGAUUCACUAGACCAGGAAAAAAAAAAGAUUGACUGUGAAAAUAUUAAAAAUUAAAAAUGAAGUCUUUCGAAAUUUUUUAACCGGACAGCAUUUGUUAGAAAGGGGAGAGAGAGAGCAAAGGGUAAGAAAAGAAAAUUAAAAUAAAGUUUAUGGACAUUUAUCAUUUUACAUUAAUUAUUCGUUAUAAUUAAAGGAUGAAAUUAUAAUUUUAUUUGGUCAAAUUGGUCAACACUUUCAUUUAAUAGAAAAUCUAAAAGACCAAGCCUAUUCUCAGGCAUUCUUGGGGAAGAAUAAACUAUUUAUGUCUAUUUUAAAACUUUGAUGGUAGAUCUAUACUAAACUAAAAAUUGUUACGGGAGAUUCUUGUACCACUACGUAGCUCGAAAGAGGAAGACUGAAGUGGUACUAAAUUUGCUAUGAAAUGAGUUUAACGACCGCAUGCAAACGAACAAUUAUAAGAAAAGUUUAGUUGAGGAGCGAGCAAAGAUAUGCUGACCAAUACAAUAUUUGAAAAAUAUAAACAUAUGUUUUUAAACUAUUAUUAUUAGGCUAAUGCUAAGUUACAUGCAUGUGACUUAUAACCCUCUCACAUAAAUAGUGAAUAAUGUUGGUCCACUCACUAUUAAUGUGAGAUGGUUGUAAGUUACAUGCAUGUAACUUAGGGAGAUCUUAUUAUUAUCAUCAUCAUCAUCAAAUAAAUAUAGUGCAAACAUGUCUAAAAACAGGCGGGAGCCGGGUUUGAUUUAUGUUGUAUACUUGUGUAGGCCGCUGUUCAGAUAUAGUCCAGCCCAAUGGAAGCAAUAUGUAAGCCCAACACGGGUCUUCAUCGAUUUAUGCAAUGCAGUAAAAAAACAUAUCUAAUGGAAACAUCUACUGAAUUUGAAUCAGUUACUGCAAUUAAAGUUACCAACCUUGUAUGAUUGAACGAAAAUAUUAAUAUUAAGUAUACAUUAUUGGUAGAAGAAAAAUGACAUUUUUUGGAGAAAUUCUAUAAUGCAUUAGAAGUAUUAUAACAGUUAUAUAACAAGUAAAUGAUACUGUGAUAUUUAUGUAUUUAUUGUGAAAGAUCAUUAUGUAAAAUAAUGGUUACAUUAAAUUUAAUUAUACAUGUCAUGCAUACAUCAAUCGAUUAUAUUACUACUAAUGAAUUAUAAAAUUUCUCAAUUCGCUGAUAUUAUGUUUAAUAUUAAAUAAAAAAAUAUCAGUAUUUGAUGACUUACGUAGUUUUUAACAUUUUUAACGUACCAGCAUCAACAGUUAUUGAUAUUAUAGGAUCAUAAACCUUCACUCAUGCGAAGAUUUUAUAUUUUAUUUUAUUUUGAAAUUUAUUAUUUCAUUUAUUCUUAACGAUGUCGUUUUGGACAUAAAAUUUAGAUAAAUUAUUAAGUCUUCAUCUUCUCUUUCUUCACAAAAUCGUUUCCCUCUCUUUCCUGACACAGUAUCUCAACAAAACAAAAUACCAAAAUAAAACAAAGGCCAAAACCAAAAGCAGAAACAGAUCAAGCAGCUCAACCUCUCUAGCCUCUUAAUGAAUAAUGAUAGAUCGAACCAGAAGCAAAACAGUUGAGUUGAAGAUCGAAGCUCUAGGUCAAAACACACUCUCUCUUUCUCAAUUUUUGUAGUUUUUUCUUUCGACUUCAUCAAAGUCUAAACCCUAAAUGCUCGCCUUCUCAAGCACAACAACUUCAAAAGGAUUUAUCAUUUUCUUGGAGAUCUUAUAGAGUCGUAUUCUUAGCAUCAUCAAAGUCAGCCGCGUCGAGCCGUCAUGGUCUGUGUGACAAGCUAAAAGGUCACAUUGACUUGAGCAAAAGAAUAGUUAAGCUUGUAAAUAGAGGCAGAACAAUUAGCAAGCUCGUUCACUCUAUCGUGCGACCCGUGCCUGAGACUCUUGGAAUCGAAUUAGAGGUAUUGAUUUUGAUUUGAUUGUCGACAUAUUUUUGUUUUUAGAUUUUUUUUUUUUUUAUAUUUUAUAGUGUUUAAUUAGCAAUAAAUUUGAAUUUCUAGAGUAAUUUAGGUGUACUGGCGAAUUAAAUGUUGAUUUUAUGUAUUUACUUUUUGAUUUGAAAUCCGCUUUCUCUUAAGUGUUAUUCGUUUGUGUUUCGAAUGCAGGUUUAGUGCUUGAUGAAUUGCCUCAUUCGGGUCUACUUUUUAUGAUGCAGAAAACUUAUUGUUUUUUUUUUCUAUCUAAAUUUGGUUGUUAUUAAUUAAUAAAAGUAGAGAGAUUCAGUUGUUAUUCUUGGUUCUUUAUGCAGAUGGUGCUCUUGCUUUUCUUCUGUGUUCUAUUCUUUUUGUUCAAGAUAUUUAUAGUUGUCGAUCCAAUAUUUAUUUAUUCAUUAGUUUUUACUGAAAGCAUAAAUACUCUUCCACUCGCCAAAAAUUAUUUUAUUCCAGUAGUUUUUCAAUUGUAAUGCCAGCUAGGUCCUACCAAUGCUAUUAUUUUAUGCCAGUAGUUUGAGUUCAGGUUCCCAGUGGUUUUCUUCAUUUUAAACGUGGUUAGGCAAUUGGAGUAUUGAUAACAUUCAAGCCGUUUUUAGUUCAACGCCGCAACUAGAGAAAGAUCCUUUUAAUUUUCAAGCCAAUUAAGUUUUCGGAAUGCUUCAACCAAGUUAUUUCUUUGGGGUUCCACAUCAGUUUUUGGGGUAGCCAUAAACUUAUGAUGAUGAUGAUGAUGAUGAUGCUCUCGCCAAUUGAUUAUUGCUAAUUUUCUUUGUACCUAUUAGCUGUUCCAGGCUAUCUUAUUGCCAUUUUUACAAUGUUACUAAAAUUUGUUGGUAUAGCAGUGCCCUUUCAUUAUAGUUGGCCUCUUAUGAGUGUAAUUAAUCUCAAAUAUCAACAUUAUAAAUUAUGAGUGUAAUUGAUUGGGUAAAUACUCGUUUAAUCCCUAAAUUUUGAUAUAAGUGUCCGUUUAAUCUCCAAAUUUUAAAAAGUGCGUAAAAACACUCUUAUUGUUCAAUAUGUUACAUUCUUAUCAUUGUUUGUUUCUUUUCUUUUACAAUAAUAAUAUUGCAACAAUAUUCUUGACAUUAAUUAAUUUAUUUAUAAAAAAAUUAAUUAGCAAAUUAACCAAUAAAUAUAAGUGUGAAAGAACUAAUAUUUUUUGUAUCUGUUAAACAAUCUUACUAAUAAUUUUUUAUAAAUAAAUUAAUAUUAGCCUACUUAAAGUAAUGUCUAAUAUUUUUACAAUAAUUUUACUAAUAAUUAUCACGUCGGUAACGUCGAUUUUUACCGACGAAUCAUAGGUUUCGAAAAUAUAGUGCCUUUUGAUAAAUCGAGAGAGUGGGGACAAGCACCUUCUCGGAUGUCUGGAGCUGAAGUGAAAAAGCAGUUGAAUAAUAUCCUUACUGAGUUUAAGAUUGAAGACUUGAAAAGUGGAGAAUGAAUAAAAUGAGAGAAAUGACAAGAUUACUUGGAAGAAGAAAAGCAUAUUUUAUGAACUACCGUGUUGGGAGUUCAAUUUGAUUCAUCAUAAAAUGUGAGACAUGAGGGAGAGACAAAAGCUCAGGCUUGUCUGCAACCAUGUGGGCCCUCAUAAGCAAUUCGUGUACACAACUUGGUUCACCAAGCCCAACAACUUGAAGCAGGCAAAAUCCGGGAACGAUCCUUCUCCUUCGCAACCCUGGCAGCCUUAACCUUGUAUUUCUGAUAUUUAGUUAAAGAGUAAGAAGAUUGCUCCUCUGUCAAUUACCUUCGAGAGAGACUUUCUUUUUCAUUAAUCGAUGCUUGCUUGUGAAAGCAAGGGUUUUAGUUACACUUUCAACGCUGUCAAUGUAGUGAAGUAAAGCAUUCGUAGAAUAAUGAAGAUGGAAGCCCCACAGCAUGAAAACUUUUAAACAGUAACACAGCUCUUAUUCCAGAGGCUGCACGCGAGUGACCUGAAUCUUCUUCAGAACUUUCAAAUUUUAUCAAGCAAAGCUUUCAAAAUUUCUCAACAAAUUGAUUAUUUGGUGUGGUUGCCACAUUUUGAGUAACUGCUAUUUGUUCUCAAGUACAAAAUCCUUGCCCUCCUAAGUUAGGAAAUAUAGAUGUGAAGCAAACCAAAUGAAAUAAAUGGGUAAACAGAACAAACAGUGCAAAAAUUAAAAAUGAUGGCAAUUAACAAAUUAACUUGUAUUUCUGAUAUUUAGUUAAAGAGUAAGAAGAUUGCUCCUCUGUCAAUUACCUUCGAGAGAGACUUUCUUUUUCAUUCACCAAAAUAAAAUAAAUUUAGAAUUUCAAACAGUACUAGUAGUAAAAAAAUGACGACAACAACAAAAAUAGAAAAUUACAAGACUGCUGAUAAAAUUUCACUUGCAGGCAUUUCUCACAAAAUUUCUGUGAUUUAAUGUGCUUUCAUGCACGCAAGUCCUAACGUUUCUGUGAUCACAAAUGAAACUGAAGAUAAAACAGAACAACUACCAAACCUUUCAAGCGUGACGAAGCCAUGAGAAUUGAUAGCUCAAUGUCAUGGGAUGAGUGUUUUGUCACUAAAACAGAACAAUAAUUUUGAACACACCAUGUGGCAUUUAGACCAUUUGAUAGUUUGUUUCAAACAUAUUUGUUUAUAAAAUACUUUUCUUCAUGGUUUUGGUCCCAUAAUUUUCUAUGUAUGUACAGGUUUUAUCGAUACCGCUUUUGACAAGUUACACUUACAUAGCAAUGCCCUUUUUGAUAAACUGUGCUUCUGUGAUGAAGAAUGUUUUAGCUGUAAGUGGAUAUCCUAAUCAUUGAUCCAUAUACUUAGGUUAUAUUAUCCAUCAGCAAGUAUGUAUAAAAUUAUUUUGUGUCUUUUUUUAUUAGAAAUGUUGUAAUUCUAUUUUACUCUUCCUGAAUUAUAACAUCAGGUGUCUAUAAUAACUAGGUUAUUCCUUCUGCAAAACAGAGCAGUGGUAAAUAUUUUUUUUCUUUUGUUUGUUUAGUACAUUUACAUGCUUUCAGCUUUUUCAAAUUUUGUAUGUGUCAAAGUUUAAAUUUAAUUUGUUGGUUUAUGCCACAACAAAAGGAACAGCAUCAAAGAGGAGCUGCUAAUGGACUUGCUAUGACUGUAGUGUCGCUUACCAAAACUGCCGGUCCAGCUGUAGGAGGUGCUCUGUGAGUGUCCUGUUGAUUUUGUAAAACUAUAUGUAAAUGAAGUUAUAAUUUUUUUUUUCAUUAAUUGGGGUUCUGGCAGAUUUUCUUGAUCACAAAAGCAUCAAGAUGCUGGUUUCCUCCCAGGUAUGAUGAUCUACUAAUGAAAUUUCUCACGAGUUGGUGAAUUACUUUGUGCUAAUUAGCUUAGUUAGCUGCUUAAACUAAAGUGCAGGUAACCAGAUGAUUUUUUUCAUUUUGAAUUUGGUCGAGGCACUAGGAGUAAUAUUGACAUUCAAACCAUUUCUAACUCAACGUGCCCCGUGAGUAGAGAAAAGAUGCAUCUGUUGAAAUAUUCAAAUAUAUGUCGAGCAAAUUAAAGCUUUCAAAAUCUAUCAACAAUUUGAUUAUUUGAUGUGGUUUGCCACUUGCCGUAUUUUGUUUUGCUGUUCUAAAGGCUUAAAUAUGAAAAUGGUGGUUGGCGCUCACACCAAUCGAUUGCUGUUAACAUUAAUUGUUCAGUACUUUUCUCUGUCGACAUUUAUACUUGUUCAUUGUCAGAACUACGACAAUUUAUCUUUACAAUGAUGCAAGCUAGAAAGAAUUUUUCAUGUUAAGUAAAAUAUUGAAGCCACAAAGAGUCUGAAUUAAGUACUAAGUUUUCUGCCAUGCUUUCAACGGUAACACAUUUGUAGCUCUUAUUCCAGGGGCUUCACAGUAGAGAGACCUGAUUUCGACCUUCUUCAGAACUUGGGGAUUCCGUAAUAACAGAGGACAACAGUUAUAUAAGAAUAUUAUUUUGUACAAUUUUCGUAUAACCUGACCAAUGCAAGUAUAAUUUGAUGAUCUUAACUCAGAUCAAAAGACCUUCAAUGAUGUAAAAUUUGAACAUAAAGAUGAGAACCAAACAUUAGAACUUAUGAUGAAACGGAAACAAAAACAUUGAGAUUGAAAAGAUAGAGAAACACAAGCUUUUUAAAAGGAAUAAAUAUUCAUUUAGUCUCUAUAUUUUGACUUAAGAGCGCAUUUAGUUCUUAUAUUUUAAAAAGUGCCUCAACCUCAAGACACCCCUACUGUGUUGGAAUAAUAUUUUUGGGAAUAUCAAUGAAAAGAAACGAAUGGUAAUUCAUCUAGCCAGCCUUAAACAAAAUAAAUAUUAAUAAAAACUUUUAUGUUAUUAUUUUAGUUUUAGGACUAAUUUCGUAAAUUAAUUUUUUUAUGCAUUUAUUAGUAAGAUUGCUUUAAGAAUAUUAAACAUUACUUUAAGAUGGCUGCUAUUGAUUUAUUUAUAAAGAAUUAUUGGCAAGAUUGUUGUAAAAGUACAAAAAAAUACUGGUUAUUUCAUAUUGAUAUUUAUUGAUUAAUUUUCCAAUUAAAUUUUUUAUAAAUAAAUGAAAUUAAUUUAAGAAUAUUAUUGCCAAGAUAUUAUUGUAAAAGUAAAUAAAAUUUAAGGAAAAAUGUAACGUAUUUAAUAUCAAGGUAUAUUGAGGUAUUUUUUAAAAUAUAAUAACUAAACGAGCAUUGAAGUUAAAAUAUAGGUACCAGACGAACAUUUUCUCUUUUAGAAAGUUUUAUAUUUUAUUAAUGAAAGUCUGAAUAACAAAAUUAAGGUUUUGGACUUCUUUUAAACUAAACUUAAAUAUAACAAAUUUACCAAAAUAACUAAACCUAACAUAUUACUACAUAAUAACAUUCUCCUAAUUGAAAUAAGAUAAAUGUUACUCAAAUUCUAUAUCUAGAAAAAAAAAAGAUAAAAAUCCUAAAAACAAUAGGAAAAUAGAUCUUAAACUUGUAAAAUAAUAUGAAAUAAAUAUAAUUUUCAAUCGAACCACGAGACUAAUGCGGCGCUACAGUAUUAGAUUAGUUUCCCCUCGUCGCGAACUUCGAAAUGUAUAUUAUACACCCUAAAUAGAUACUUAUAGCUCAAGUUGUUACCCUAGAGAGAUACUCCACUCAUCCUACGCAACCUAGAGAGAUACUCCACUCAUCCUACGCAACCAUCCGCUGCAUCAAAUUCGUUCCAAAAUUAAGAAUAAACCAGCUGAUGCAUUCCAAAUAAUUUAGAUGAAACGAUAAAAUAAACCUAGAGAUCAAAUAACAUGAAAUGAAAAAGAUAAUUACCUUGGACUGAAGCUCAUACAAAUUCAUUAUUUGACACCUGCGGCAAUUGUUGAAAUAAUAGUUAAUGAAAUAUAAAAUAAGACAAGUACAUAUUAAUGAAACACCACUGUGAAUCGAUAGCUAAGGACGGAGUAAAAUUUAAUUGUAAAUUAGGACAGUAGAGCAAGCAUCCAUAAACAUAACAUGAACGUAAUACAUCAAUUGAAAUAUCAUAGGAUAAAUUGGGACAUCAGAGAAAGAAAUAAGUAAAUAAAUCAGCAAAGGAAACAUGCAUAAACAAAUAAAAAAACAAAGACAAAAUAAGGAAGAGUUUGUGAUAAUUUUCUUCUAUGGUCAUUGAAGUCCAAAAACUAAUAAGGAUCGAGCAAUUGAACGGUUGCAAACUCAAUGGAAAUACAAUGGAACCUUAAAAAUGAACAGUGAAGGAAAAUGAAGAAAUCUGCAGGAAAUAAGACGAGUGAGAGUGAAGAAUUAAUUACCACUGAGUAAAUGCGAAUGAAGAAUGGAGACAGAUCCUUCUUCGCCCCAUUGAGAAGUGAGAUUCAUAGAUUGCAUUGAAAUUGAGAGUUGAGAUCAAGAAGCGAUUCUUCUUCUCCGUAAUUUCCUUUUUCUUUUAAUGUUGUUAUUAUUAUUAUUUUUUUUUUUUUUCAAUUUCAUGAUAUCUUUUUUGUUUUAAACAGUAUUGGCAUAUUACAUUUAUUUAUGUUAAUUUUACAAUACCUCCCUUCAGAUUGCACAAAUUACAUUAAAAAAAAAAGUGCUUUAUGUAUAAAACUUUCAAACAAAUUGGGCCAAAAUCUAACUUUACCAAGUUUAGAGUAAUUUUGGGCUCGACAUUCCAUUUCCGACAAACGAUUUUUCUUGGCGUUUGAUUUUUCUUUAUACUUUUCAUAUUUAUCCAACGGCUCGUCAAUGACAAUACCUUUGUAAAAAGUACUUAUUUUGAAUAUUAUAUUGUGGAAAUGUCUGGUCGGUAAUACAACUAUUUCUUAUAGUGUAAAACUGAUACACUAGCGUUCACAUUUUGAUGAGUAAAUUAAGGAUUUCAAGAUGAAGUACAUAAUUAGAUUAAUGCUAAGAAACUGAAGUUUGAUCGAUUGAAAAUGAAAAUAAUAAUGAAGGUAAUUAAGAAAAUGAACAAUAUAUGCAGAAGCGGUCCUAUUAGGACUUCUAGAUUUUCUCUUGGGCUUUCCUUAUUAUUGUUAAAAAAUGACACGAAGAACUUUGAGUUUAAAAAUCUGGCCCUGAUGCCUGGUAGCCCUCCAUGAAGCACCAGAUGUUUUGAUGAGAAAUGACAAGACCAUUUAUCAAAUUUCUUGUGGAUAUAAAUACAUACACAUAGACGAGACCAACCUCCUCAAAUGAGAAUCAGAGUGAUUAAAAGACCUUGCAAUGAGACAAUGAUACACCAUCAAAUGUCAAAAUACAAUAGAAAUUCACGACAUAUAUAUAAUAAAAGACCUCUCAUUGAGUCAUAUAUAUUGAGAAUAAAAAUGUUAUAAUACAUACACAGAGCUUAGCUAGAAUAAAAUGUCUUUGAACUUGCGAUGAUCAAACAAAGGAAACAGACAGGUUGUAACUCACACUAUCACAAGAAGAUCACGAAGAUGAAAAUGGGAACCCAUCAGAAUGGAAACUUUGAAUAGAUGAAAAAAGAAAAACGACCUUAUUCACAGAAGAAGAGUGACUUAAAUCUUCAUCAGUAUCCAGACAUUUUGCAAUCAUAGAGUAGAGAAAUUUUAACAGGAACAGCAGAGAAAAUAUUAUGAAUAUGCUAUAGACCAAUAUACUUGUUCAUAGCUAACGUUUGAUGGUUUAAGGAUUUGUUCUAGGAAUAAUGGGCUGAUUACUUUCUUUUUAUUUUAAUUUUUUUUUAAUCCAAUGAAUGAUAUUCAGCUGUUAAUUAUGUGUUCAUAGGGAAGAACAUUUUCUAAGUACUUUCCUUGCCUUCUAACUUUCCGAAAAGCAAACCCAAUGAGCAAACAGAGCACAAACUAAAAUAAAAGAACAGCAAUGAUAACAAUAAAUAAUUGGCAAAGAAAAAAAGGAAAAAGUAUGCACGUUUUCAAGGAAUUAUAAAAUAUGAAGGCUUUUAAUGAAACUUUAUCAUACAAAGUAUGCAAGGAAUUAUAAAAUUUUAGAAAACAAGGGGAGCUCUCAAAAAAAAAUGAAAAACUCAAAUUAAACUAGACUAAAAGACAUUCAAUUUUGCAAAAUCUGUCCAUAAAAGUCUGAAAGGAUCAUUAAAAUUGCAUUGCAAAUUUAACAGUAAACCGAGGGACCCAUUCUAAAUAAUUCAGAUGAAAUUGCGAAACAAGACAUGGGAUUAAAUAAAUGAAACAAUCUAAUAAAAAAAAAAUAAAUGAAACAAAAAUUAAUUACCAGUUGAGACUUUCUUCUAAAAAUUCGCAACUCCAAGUCACAAGAAGCCUAUGAAAUUAGUCGUACUGCGUAGAGUAUGACGACGACACCGCCAACAGCCGACGACACCGCCAACAGCUGAAAGUAAAAUUCUUAUUCAUCAAAUAUCUUAUCAAUAUUGUAUUUAAGAAAGCAAAUUUUGUAAAAAUUUAUCAUGGGAGAUAAGAGUAAUAUGUAUAUACGUACCUUCUCAGCAUGUAAUGUUGUAUGGUUGUGUUUAGAUAAUUAUUAGCCCAGCGCCGUUGAUCCGCUGUCUCUCCAUACCAGACAUUUACUCUUGGAGGCGUGAUUGCUUCUCCUGUAGUGAAAAUCUUCAUCUUGGGACAACCAAUCACCCACAACUCUUGCAAAGAUGGGAAUUGGAAGGUGUAAUUGGCAGAGCAGAAACUUGUGAGGCUAUCUAAAUCACGCAGUUCCAACGUCUUCAAUUUGCGGAAAACAAUCUCUUCUUUUUCAACUCCAUCUUUGUCAUUUAUUACCACCUCUGUCAUUGCUCUGCAUCCAUAUAUUUCUAUUGCUACGAGUCGCACCAGAGUUUUUGCUGUGGAGGAUGUUACCAUGUGUAACAAUUUCUUGCAACCGAAAGCCACCAGAGCUGUUAGGUUCUGAAAAGAUACCGAUGAUGAUGGCAAUAGAAUUAACAGACUUUGACAACGAUAUGCUUUUAGAAUUUCAAGAUACUGAAAAGUGGGGCCAAGUUUGGAGUCUUGUUUGCACAGCUGCUUCAGAUGAUAGUGCCAGCGCAGCUCUAAUGUUUUUAUCAUUGCCAACUUCCCCGCAUGUUUCUCUAAGCUUCCUUCCUCCGAAAAUACCUCUUCGUGGAAUGAAAAUUGAAACAGUGAGAGUAUUUCAAGAUUGUGAAAUCUCUCAAGUACAUUCCAGAUUGGAAAACAAGCUGAGUUAUCUUCGGCAAUCUCUAGUUGUUUAAGACUGCCAAAAAGGUGUUGUGGGAAAUCGGCCUGCAAAAUCAUCUUCACGUCUUUUCCAUUCAAUGAUAGGUCCUUCAAGUUGGGUAAGAUCUGAUCAUCAUAAAUCAUAAUAACUAAUGAGGUCAAUUGAUGUUCUCUCAAAUGAUUUUGAGUAAUCCAAUUACAAGCAGUGACUUUAUUGUAUCUGUUUUAUAUUAAUUUUACCCCCAAAAAAAAUUGAAUUAGUGAUAAAAUUCAUUAUAUGAUUUUUUAUAUGUUAAUUUUAGAGGUAAAAAAGAAAUUAGGGAAAAAUGGUUGAUUUAUAUUUGCAUGAAAAUAUUUUAUUUCACAACAAUAAAUUAUUAAUUUAUAUUGUAAGUCCUUGUAUAAAGAAAAACUAAGGAUUCUUUACCUAAAAAAGUUCAUAUAAUUAUUAAUCUCCCACAUUGAUCCCUUAGUCAAGACUAGCAAAGAUUAUUAUGUAAUAAAAAUUUUUAAUUUAUUAAGUAUUAAUUUAUCAGUGUUUUGUUACAUUUUUCAAAGUCAAAAGUCGUCAAUGAGCUAUUGAAAAAAAUAUCUAGAAAAUGACUUCAUACCUUUUCGAACGGCAAUAAGGGCUGUUGUGCAGGAAUAUCAAGUUGAUUAUUCUCUUUAUUCUGCGAUAAAUCUUCAGCAAAUAUUUUUAAUUUGUCACAACGACACACUGCAAAAUUUUCUAGUGCUGGCCAUUCCGAAGUAUGCAUUCCUGGGUAUAAACAUCUAAGUUUUGGUAGACCUUGGAGUAUCAGAACGGUGGGUUGUGGAAAGACAAAAUAAGGGAUCACUUCAUCUGCUCUGUUUUCAAAACGAUCUCCUGUAAAUCCUUACAGUCUCAUAUAUCUAAGUGCUGGAGCUGCUUGAGGUUUCCGAUCAUAGACGCUGAAAAUAUGUAUUUCAGUUUGUCACAGUACCACACAACUAAUCGUGUUAAACUUUGAAAGUGAGGAAACACGGCCGCCAGAAUUUGAUUGUAAUGCCAAAUCUUGUCGACAUUAAUUGCAGAUAUCUCCAAAGCCACCAAGUUAGGCAACGCAACCUAAAAAAAUAAGAAUUUCUCGUUAGAUCCAAUAUCCAUAUAGGAAGCACUUGUUGAAAUUUUCUUCUUUGAUUACAAAUUGUUGAAAGUCAGAAUCAAUUUCCAACUGACAGCUGAGUUUGAUGCAUUCUAAUUCAUACUACUUGUUAAGAGCUCAAUUAGUGAGCGUGUUGUUAAGAGCUCAAUUAGUGAGCGUGUGAGAUUCUUUUUAUCCUUUUUUCCAUUUUCUUUCAAUUCUUAAAUGAUUUAAUUAUUUUCCACGUAUGACGUCAAAAGAGAACGCAUGAUAGAAUAAAAUCUGUUAUAUAUAUAUAUAUAUAUAUGAAGAAAAUGUUAGCCUACUAUCACGGGAUGAGUAUUUUGCGCAGCUAACCCGUGCGGUACUUAGACAACUUUGCCGAAUGUUGCUAAGUAAGCCUAGAGCUUCUCGAACUAGAGAAGAGAGCAAUUGAGCCGAAUAAGAGACAUUGUAUUGCACAAAGAGAGAUUACAAUGCUUGUUGUUGUGUUUGUUGGAUACAAAUGCCUAAUGCCAUCCCAUAUUUAUAGGGGAGGCUUGCCAAGCUAGAGGCUCUAGAGAUUCUAGAGAAUUCUACCAUUUCCUAGCUAUUUACAUGUGCUGGAAUUGUAAGGAGAAUUCUAGAGUAUUUGCAAGCUCACAUGUGCUAGAAUUGCCAAGAACUUUCCGGAAUUGGGCCAAGCUAGCACUCUUGGCCUUGUGUUGGCUCUCUAGCCCGAAAUUGUUGGCAAUUGGGCUAGCGAAUUGGGCGGUCCGCAACAUCCUCCCCCACCUAAGCUCGCGGCGUCCUCGUCGCGCUCUCGUGCUUGAAAUUCUAGAUGUGCUCAGCGAAUUGCCAUAAGUCAUCUUCACGUUCCCAAGUGGCUUCGCUCUCGGGGAGGUUUUUCCACUUCACCAAGUACUUGCUAUGUGCUGGCACGCCCCUCCUCGAAACCGUGCGGUCCGCAAUGAUGUAGUCCACAUCUUUGUCGAAUGCGGUGACAAGCAGUUGGCACGCGCCUCGAUUCUCCGCGACUUGGUUCUCCCAUGUCUUCGUGAUAUGGCUUGAGAAGGCUCACAUGGAAGACCGGAUGGAUCUUGAGUCUUGGCGGAAGUUGGAGUUGAUAUGAGACGUUGCCCACACGUCGAACAACUCGGAAGGGUCCCUCAUAGCGCCUCACUAACCCCUUGUGGACUUUCCGCAAUGUCUUGAAUUGUUGGGGUAGGAGCUUGAUCAUGACUUGAUCUCAUUCAUUGUACUCAACAUGCCGUCUCCUUGUAUCCGCCCAUUUCUUCAUUUUCCUCGCGGCUUUGUCGAGGUAGGCUCGCGUGAUGUCCGCUUCCUCAUGCCAUUCGCGGGCGAACUUGUGUGCCGCGGGGCUUUUCCCGCCGUAAGUCGAGGCUAUGGCGUUGGGGGUCAUGGGCUGGAAUCCCAUGAUGAUCUCGAACGGACUCUUGCCCGUAGCCUCACUUCGCUGCAAGUUAUAAGAAAAUUGGACGAUGUCGAGUAGCUUCGCCCAAUCCCACUGAUGAGCGCUCACAUAAUGCCUCAAGUACAUUUCGAGGAGGCCAUUGAUGCACUCGGUCUGCCCAUCCGUUUGUGGGUGGAAGCUUGUCGAGAACUUGAGAUCGGUCCCCAACAUCUUGAAGAGCUCCGUCCAAAAACGCCCAGUGAACCGAGGGUCUCACAAUGCUCCUUGGAACUCCCCAAAGCUUCACAAUGUGCUUGAUGAAUAGGCAGGCUGCCUCAUCCGCUUUACAAUCGAUUGGUGCGGCAAUGAAUGUGGCGUACUUGCUGUAUCGGUCGACAACGACCAUGAUGCUUCCGCAACCUUCGGAUUUGGGCAGCGAAGUAAUGAAGUCCAUGGAGACAUUUUCCCAUGGCCUUGUUGCUAGUGGUAGCGGCUCCAAUAAUCCCGCUGGAAGUUGAUGAUCCACCUUGUCUUGUUGGCACACAAGACAAGUUCGCACAUCUGCUUCGAUGUCGUCCCUCAUGUACGGCCAAAAAUACGAGGCUUGAACUAGUGCGGUGGUGCGCUCGAUUCCUGGGUGACCAGCCCACUUAGAGUCGUGGCACUCCUUGAUUACCUCCUUCCGUAAGUUUCCCCACCUUGGCACGAACAGCCGAUCUCCCUUGGUGUGGAGGAUGCCUUCCUCUUGCCAAAAUCGCCUUGUCUUGCCUUCGAGCACCUUCUCCAGCAAAUCCUUUGCUAGCGGAUCUUGUUGGAGGCCUUCCUUGAUGCGUGAGACAAGGUCGGACUUUGGUUGGCUCAUGCUAAUUGUUGCCAAUUCGGCCUUACGGCUUAGAGCGUCUGCAACGACAUUGGCUUUCCUCGGUUUGUACUCGAGCCAAUAGUCGAAUUCCGUAAGGAAAUCUUGCCACCGUGCUUGCUUCGGGCUCAACUUUUUUUGUGUUUGAAAGUAGCUCGUCGCUACGUUGUCCAUCAUAGUCAUGAAGUGAGAGCCUAGCAAGUAAUGUCGCCACACCCGCAAGCAAUGUAUGAUUGCGGUCAUCUCCUUCUCUUGCACCGUGUAGCGGCGUUCCGUAUCGUUUAGCUUUCGACUCUCGAACGCUAUGGGAUGGCCUUCUUGCAUAAGGACUCCACCUAUGGCGAAAUCCGAGGCAUCCGUUUGAACUUCGAAGGGUUUAGUGUGGUCCAGAAGAGCGUGGACGGGUUCCUCCGAAAUUGCCUUCUUCAACUGCUCGAAUGCGCGUUGGCACUCUUCGGACCAAUGCCACGUUCUGUUUUUCUUGAGCAUAUCCGUCAAGGGUGCUGCCUUGGCUGAGUAGCCCUCGAUGAAGCGGCGGUAGCAGUUCACCAACCCAAGGAAUGAGCGAAGCUCGGGUACUUUCGAGGGAGGUUCCCAUUCGAGGAUGGCCUUUACUUUGGCAUUCUCCAUCAUGAUCUUUCCGCCCGCAACCUUGUGGCUAAGGAACUCCACUUCUUGUUGGGCAAACGAGCACUUCUCCAACUUGAGGAAGAGCUCGUUGUCUCGGAGUACUUGGAGGACUUGUCGUAAGUGUUGGGCAUAAUCCUCGAGUGUGGUGCUAUACACCACUAUGUCGUCCAAGUACACGACCACGAAGCGGUCGAGGAAUGGUUGGAGUAUCUUGUUCAUGAGCGUGCAAAAUGUAACAGGUGCAUUAGUAAGGCCAAAAGGCAUCACAAGGAAUUCGAAAGACCCAUACCUUGUAGUGCACGCUGUCUUCGGUUCGUCUCCCUUGGCGAUGCGCACUUGAUAGUACCCGGAGCGCAAGUCAAGUUUGGUGAAGUACCGCACUUUGCCAAGUUGGUCGAACAAGUCCGCGAUCAAGGGAAUCAGAUACUUGUUCUUGAUGGUGAUCUUGUUGAGCGAUCUAUAGUCGAUGCACAUCCGCAGCGAUCCAUCCUUUUUCUUUUGGAAGAGGACCGGUGCACCGAAUAGGGCCUUUGAGGGGUGAAUGUAGCCUGCGUCCAGCAAGUCUUUGAGUUGUCUCCGCAACUCCUCUAAUUCGGGUGGCGCCAUGCGGUAGGGCGCCAAGGCUGGUGGCUUCGCGCCUUGUUCCAGCUCGAUCGCAUGAUCUACCUCUCGCCGAGGUGGGAGCUUCUUCGGAAGUUCCAGAGGCAUCACGUCCUUGUAUUCAUUGAGAACGGCUUGAAUUCGCGAAGGGACUUGGCUUGGCGACGUUCUGCUCUUUCCUUCCUUGUUUAGUUCCCGGAUGGAGACCAAGAAGCUUGGGUCCUUCUUGAAAGCCCUUUUGAAUUGCAUGGCGGAGAGUGUCUUCUCCUCGGACUUGCCUCGCUCCGUGGGUACCAUGCAUGCUUUGCUCCCGUCGAGGAUGCUUAGGGAGUUUGUAGCGGGCAGUGGGAAGGCAUGGACUUGGUCGAAAAAUUCCAUGCCGAGGACUAUCUUGAAGUCAUCCAUGGGGAUGAUGGAGAAAUCAAGCUUUCCGCUCCACGUACCGAGUGUUAAGUGCACGCCUUGUGCAAUUCCCGCAAUUGGCUUGGCGGGUGAGUUUACUGCCUUCAUUGUGCUUCGUGAGCUAACUUGCGUGCGUGCAAACCUUAGCUCCGAUACCACUUGUCACGGGAUGAGUAUUUUGCGCAGCUAACCCGUGCGGCACUUAGACAACUUUGCCGAAUGUUGCUAAGUAAGCCUAGAGCUUCUCGAACUAGAGAAGAGAGCAAUUGAGCCGAAUAAGAGAAAUUGUAUUGCACAAAGAGAGAUUACAAUGCUUGUUGUUGUGUUUGUUGGAUACAAAUGCCUAAUGCCAUCCCAUAUUUAUAGGGGAGGCUUGCCAAGCUCUAGAGAUUCUAGAGAAUUCUACCAUUUCCUAGCUAUUUACAUGUGCUGGAAUUGUAAGGAGAAUUCUAGAGUAUUUGCAAGCUCACAUGUGCUAGAAUUGCCUAGAACUUUCCGGAAUUGGGCCAAGCUAGCACUCUUGGCCUUGUGUUGGCUCUCUAGCCCGAAAUUGUGGGCAAUUGGGCUAGCGAAUUGGGCGGUCCGCAACAUCCUCCCCCACCUAAGCUCGCGGCGUCCUCGUCGCGCUCUCGUGCUUGAAAUUCUGGAUGUGCUCAGCGAAUUGCCAUAAGUCAUCUUCACGUUCCCAAGUGGCUUCGCUCUCGGGGAGGUUUUUCCACUUCACCAAGUACUUGCUAUGUGCUGGCACGCCCCUCCUCGAAACCGUGCGGUCCGCAAUGAUGUAGUCCACAUCUUUGUCGAAUGCGGUGACAAGCAGUUGGCACGCGCCUCGAUUCUCCGCGACUUGGUUCUCCCAUGUCUUCGUGAUAUGGCUUGAGAAGGCUCACAUGGAAGACCGGAUGGAUCUUGAGUCUUGGCGGAAGUUGGAGUUGAUAUGAGACGUUGCCCACACGUCGAACAACUCGGAAGGGUCCCUCGUAGCGCCUCACUAACCCCUUGUGGACUUUCCGCAACGUCUUGAAUUGUUGGGGUAGGAGCUUGAUCAUGACUUGAUCUCAUUCCUUGUAUUCAACAUGCCGUCUCCUUGUAUCUGCCCAUUUCUUCAUUUUCCUCGCGGCAUUGUCGAGGUAGGCUCGCGUGAUGUCCGCUUCCUCAUGCCAUUCGCGGGCGAGCUUGUGUGUGACGAUGGUCUGUUUGGUGAUGCUGAAGGAGUCUUUACUUCACGGCAGAAAUUUGUAACCUCUGGAAGAUUCCCCAGACUCAAAGAUCUUAAUUGAGCAAACUCUAUCUUCUCAAUUGCAUUAUCAACUUCUUCCCCAAUUGCAAAAAUCUCUUUCAUCUUGCUGCAAUCAACAACUGCAAUUCUCUCAAGUCUUGGAAGGCAUUUUGUAGUAGAGAGCCAAAAGAUAUUACUCAAUUUAUCACAAUUAUAUGCUUGUAUGAUUUUGGGUUCGUUCAAAGACUCUACUUUGAGCUGAUCAAUACAUAUCCUCUCCAUGUUGAUCAAAUUGUGAAGGAUAAGUGACUCCAAAAGAGGAAAGGCUUCACAAGCUACCAUCUCCAUUGAGUCCACGAUACACAGGAAGUUAGGAUUAUUUUGAACAUGGAGAUGCUUCAAUUGUGAAAAACCUUCUGUGUCCAAAUCAAAAAGAACAUUCUUGACACCUUGCAGCUUGUCCAACCAUAGGUAUUCAACGUUAUUGAUGCCCUGCAAUUUCAUGGAGAAAAUGUCCAUAAAAUCAAGCUUGAGCUUCAAUUCUCUUAAACUCUCACGAUUACUGUUGAUCAAAAAGUGCGGCCGGCUUUGAAACCAUUCUCUUGUAACACUCUUGGGAGGCAUGAAUGACUCAUUUCCAAUGGAUAUUUUGAACCUUUCGAGCUUUCUGGCCAAAAAGCCUUCCGGUAAAAUACUGUCAUUUUUAACAUCAAUUUCUAGAGUGGUUGGCCAAGGUAAAAGCAUCAAUUCAUCAAGGCUAGCAUUACUUCUUUCACUGUUGGCUCUUUCAACCUCCCAUUCAACGGAGCAAUUACCCAUAUACAAUUCUUCUAAUCGGAUUAAGCUCGAUAAGACAUUUGGGGCAAUAACUUUUAGAUGGAAACAGUCUCUUAAAUCUAACAGCCUUAGCUUAGUCAGUUGCCCUAGUGCUUUAGGUAACUGUACAAUAUCAGACCGCACAAAGCCAAGGAUUUCUAGAUUUUCCAACUUUCCAAUAAUGGCUGUGUCCAUGUCUCCCAAAUGCUUUGAUUAAGACAAAGUGUCCGAAGAUUUACUAGAAGAUCAAUUGAAGAUGGCAAUGACAAUAACCGCAUUCUAGUCAAAUCCAAAACCCGAAGCUUUUUCGUCCUUUUGAAGAAGUUCUCAGGAACAUUGGGCCCAACAAAAGAGUUCUUGGGUGACAUGAAUAAAAAUUCAAGUUGUGUAGAUUCCAACACUUCAGGAAUGUCAUUAAUAAUACUAUCUUUUAAACAAAUUGCAAAAUAUUUUUUUAGUGCAUCUGCAUCUGGCCAGUUCCACACAUCCUCAUUUCUCACCGCAAAUGCAAUUUUGUCACGACGUGCUAUUGAAAUGGCAACAUCGCGAACAACAUCAUGCAUGGAAAAGAAUUUACUGCCACCAUCCUCAAGCAACAAACAAGAGUCUCUUAGUUGAUGGACCCAUGCAUGUAAUUUGUUAUGUGCAUCUUCUAUCUUAUGGACACUUUCAAAUGCACCCAAGCCUAUGCUAUAUUUGAACAAGUCCAUAAUUGAAGUUGGUGUAAUUAGACUACACAGUAAAAAAGUUUUCUUUAGUUGCUCACCUCUUAAAUACUUGUAACUUAGCUCAAUUGUUGAGUAUGCCUCUACUGGUACUCCUUCAUCGAAGCUUGCCUCUGAAGGCGUUUGGAGUUCUUGCAAGGCGUUCUUCCACACAGGCAGCUCUUUGUUUCUCAGUGCCUUUGCUACUGUGGUUAGAGCAAUAGGCAAACCUCCACAUGCCUUGGCUACAUUUGUUGCUGUAGAUUUUAACUCACGAUUUUCAACAAAAUUACCAGCCAUUAUCUUGAACAACCUCCAAGCUUCAUGCUCAUUUAGAAUGCCAAUCAAGAAGUUAUUUUCAGAUCCCAUACUUAACAAGACAUUACGAUCCCUUGCUGUUAAUAAUAAUUUGCAUCCUCUAUGAUCAUCGUCAAAAGGAAUUCCAACAGUCUCUAAAUCAAGAUAUUUCCAGAUGUUAUCCAGAAUCACAAGGAUCAUCUUCUCUUUCUUCAAUCGUUCAUAAAGUCUACUAGCUCUUCUAGAUUCAGCCUCCUCGGACAACUCCAGACCUAGUUUCUCUGCAAUUUCCCCUUGAAUCUUUUUUAUGUCUGGAGUUUGGGAAACCUCUGAAAAAACCACCUGAUCAAAGAGUUUCUCUUCACUGGCUUGCGUUGCAAACUCCUUCACCAGUGUUGUCUUUCCAAUGCCGCCCAUGCCGUAUACCCCAACGAUGCUGACAUUGACAUCAGUCAAUGCAUCUUGUCUAGACUUCAGAGUAGAAAGUCUUGAUUUAAAGGCCUCGUAACCUUUGUUAGACUUUAGCCAUACCUCCUCCGCAAUGGUACGGUAGAAAAUUCUAUCAUCAAAUCUCCUAGCUUCUUCUUUGAGUUCAACAAGGGCCUUCACCUCUGUUUCUGCUUUCUUGCUAAGCUGAUAGCGGGUCUUGAAAUUAGGACACAAGCCCUUGAAACAUCGCUUACUUGUUGUCUCCCCAUCUUCAAUGAAUUUGGCUGCCUGCUCAAUGGUGUUGUUCGCACUAACCAGCCAGUUCUCAACCUUCUCUUCAAUCUUUUCUCCUUUUCUUUCAGCCUCAGAAACUCUGUGCUGAAUGCUCUUACUUUCAUCCUUGAGCUUGUCUAUUUCUGCCUUGAGAUUCUCAAAGUUGGCUUUAUAGUUACGCAAAUAACAAAGUUGGCGUUCUGUUGGAGGAGCGAAGCAUUUCACAACUUCUAACAGAACAGUAACAAUGCUUUCCACCAUCUUCGAUCCUCUUUUUUUCAAAGUUCCGAAAUGAAAAUAAACGACGAGCGAAACACAAAGAGAAAGAGAGGCAAAAAAAAAAAAAAAGAAAAACGAAAAAAAGAAAAUGAAACAACAAAGAUGACAAGUGUAUCUGGUUGUGGAAGCGGAGAAAUCAAAGAAAGCUUAAAAACUGUUGUGAAUCUGGUGAGAAGAUGGAAACAAGGAAAAGGUUUCUAGUUCAAAAGUGAUUGAAUUGAUAUAAGGAAUGAUUUAGAUAAUAGAGGAAAAGUGAAUCAGUCAAAAUAACUUAUGUAUUGACCAGAAGAAAGAUGCAAACAAUAUUAGAGACAACAACCGCGCUGUUGAUGCCCAAAUCUGAUCUAGUCUAUCAGCGACUUAAUGUCAGAUUUCUACACCAGUAUUAGAUUUAUUUGGUAGAGAAUCGAUUGGUCAAUCGUCAAGAUGUCCUGCAACCACUAGCGAUUAACCUAGGAAUACCUGAAAUCAUAGAAGAAGGUUAGAGGCGCCGGAAGUUUUUCCGGCGUGAACCCUCCGACACUCAAGUUAGUUUCUAGGCCUUUCGGAAAAACUUGUGCCACCACUCAUGUGGCUUAAUAAACAUUGCCUUAAAACCCAAGGCUUUUCGAGUAAUUUACAGAAAGUAAAGCAGAGUGUCAAAGAAAGAAUUUUCCAUGAGAGGAAGAGAGCCCAAAAAGCCCCCCUAGCUAACUCCCCACUCCCCUCUUUCCCCCCUUGUUCUCUCCCACUUUCGGAAGUUAAGGAUGAGAUAAAAGUAAUGCCCCCACUCUCCUUUUUUUCCUCCUUUUUCCGUUACCAAACACGCGCUAUUGACUGGUAAAAGAGAUGGAGAAAAAGAUAUAUCUUCACACGGUGGAAGUACAAAGGGUAGAUAUGGAACCAAACAGAGACAACAACAUGCCACAACUAGAUUGGGAAUGGAGAGAAACAAAUUAACAAAGACUGGAGAUUACAACAGAACAGAUGCCAAGAGAAAAGGGUUUCUUCAUCCAGUGAAAUUCAAGUGAGUUGACAGCAAAAGGGAGCAUAUGUGUUUCUUGAUUGAGAACGAGUGCAAAGGAUGACUUUUUAAUGAGGUUCUGAAGCUGACGGAUAACGAUUUGCUAAAAUUUUGAGAAAGUUAUAUAUUUCGUAACUUCAACAAGUGAAGAAUAAAAGAAUAAUAGUUCGUCAUCUUCACAAUGAAGAUCAUGGCCGAGAUUAAAAGCUAAAACUAGUCCAUUUGAAAAGCCAAAGUUCAAGUUCCUUGGCUAAGUUCAGAAGUGAAGCAAAGAAUAAAUAAAUAAAGAUCAAGGGAUGGGAAUAAAGUCACCCCCAGACAGUUGCAGAAAGAUUAUUAUUUGGUAAGCGUAGUUGAUUAUUAGUACAAAACAGAGUAGGUGAAACACAUCCUUUCUAUUUAGACUGAUCAGCAUCUAAAAUUUUAUGAAUUAUAAGUUGCAUUUUACUUUGUACAUUAUGUUAACACAUUUUAAUUUAGCCAAUUUUUCAAUAAAUGUUAUUGAUGUAUUAAAUUGCAACAACAAAACACAAUUAUUGGUUUUAAAGAAUGAAAAAAAAAAUACAAAAAUAGAAAAUGAAUUGAAUUCCACUCAUCGUCAUCUUGGCAAAUCAAGUCAAAAAAUAAAAAUCCAUAUGCUUUUGUUAAAGUUAAAAGCUACAUAAAUAAUAUCACAGAAGCUUCUGCUAAGGUUCAUGUGAAGUCACAGCUUUGAUACUUGUAAUACAAGGAGCACGGAGAAACCAUAAACUUCAGUUUAGGUAUAUACAUUGCUUGUCUUUCAAACUUGAAUUGAUAAGGGGGAAAAAAAUAAUACUAAAGCAAACAGAAGGAUCAUUUAGUUGACAAAAUUAUUAUUAUUUUUAAAUUCGGGUCAUUCAGUUACUUUCAUUUCAGUUUCACUACUGAUUCAAUUUAACCAGUUAACGUUGACAAAAAUAAAAUGCAAAUAUAAGGCUAAGGCUGCUAAUUUGAUGAACUAAUUAUCUCAGGAACCAAAGCAUCUAUAAGCAUGCAUGGGUGGCAACACCAUAAUUACUCAAGACUGGAGGAGUAAAAAGAUUGGAGAUGAUAAACAUUAAAUUUCAGGAAAAUCAUUCACAAAUAUGCUUUUAUAAAAGUUUUGCUGGUAAAGUUCGAGAAAUGCAUACAUGUCAAAUUUCCAUUUCUUGUGAGCAUUUCACCAAAUAGCUGAUAUGCAUUAAUAACUCCUAUCCUAUACUAUUGGCCAGUAGGUUGUUGCUGCUUCCCCAUUUUUAAUGAUGCGAACGUCUCAUACUUAGAAAUAAGGGCGGAGCCUGGAGAUUGAUUUAUAAGAUAAUCUUUUGAAUAAAAAUAAAAACAAUUACAGAUUUCAAAUGUGAGAAAAAUAAAAUUGCGUUAUAAAAUUAAUCCCACUAAGAAAGUCGUCUACGAAAUUGCCACAUUAAAAGAAAAUUUUUCCAUAAAUUAAAAUAAAAUUAAAUGAAAACUAUUUUUCAGUAAAGUCAAUUGCCCACGCUAGGCUAAGGCGUUUGUUUAUUUGUUUGUUUGUUUUUAUAAUCUGAAUAGGUAUAAAUUUUUCGUAAGCAUGAAUGAGCUGAGUACAAAUAUAUGAAUGAUAUAUUUAUUUUUCUUUUUCUUAAUACCCAAAUAUAAGUGACAUCUUAUUUAUCUUAAAUAUGGUUAUUUGAUAUUUAUAUUUUUACAAAUAAAAACAAAAAAAAGUAGUUAGAUUUUAUAGUUUAAGAAAUAAAUAUAUUUUAUAAAAAUAUUUUUAGAAUAUAUAUUUAAUUCUUAUUUAGACUUUUUCCUAUUCAAUAAAAGUCACAAAAGUUACUUUUUCUAUUCAAAUGUAAAUGCUUAAAAAUCAGAUAUAAGUCACAAAAAAAAUAAAUUUUAGAAAAAGUCAUAAAUUAAUAAAAUUUCAUAUAUUUAACUCCCAAUGCAGAUCCGCCCCUAUCAGUGUUAGGAAAUUGACUGGUGAAGUAGGUUCACAGCUAAAAUGAAAUUGGAAGAAAAUGAAGAACAAGCACAUAGAGGACACCAAAAAUUACAUGGUUCGACUUUUAGCCUACGUCUACGGGUAAAGACAAAAGGAUAAAACUUUACUGGUGAAAUGAGGAUUACUAGUAUUAUAAUAUUUUGUUUCACUUCCUAGAACCCCAAUCCACUCAAUCUCUUAAAACACUAAUCACUCAAGAGCAUUAAAACUCUUAGUCUCUCACUCUAGAAUUGAAGAAGAAAAGAAUGAAAUGCAGGGGUGAACCCCUCAUUUAUAGUUAAAAAUUUGGGCACUAUUUAUAUUUUUAUAUAUUUUUUUUAAAUUAAAAGUUUGAACUUGACAUUCAAACUUUGAAUAUCAAAAGGUAUUGGUCACUCUUCUAGAAAAGUGACAUUGACUUUGACAUUCUCCCACUUAGAAAUUUGAUUGAGAAUCAAUCAAUCUCCACACCAUCCUUUCUGCUUCGUCGCUAUCAUGUUGCUUAUGUCUCUACUAGGCCAUAAAAUGAUCUACUCCAAACAAAUUUAUCAGCAUUGAUAGGCUUGGGCAAAACAUUUGUUAAGUUCUCCUUGGUAUCCACUCUUGUAUCUUUCACUACUUCACGAAGAAGUGAUAUUGUACUCCUAUAUUCUUUGUCCUGAAAUAAAAGGUUGGAUUCCUUGCAUUCUAACUAUCACAAACCAUAAAAAUUUUUAUGCCCAAGCUCUUUCAGUAACCUUUGUAUCCAAAUAGCCCUUCCAAGCUUGUGUAGCUGCUAUGUAAUCUGCUUCUGUUGUUGAUAAAGCCACAAUGGUCUGCAAUUUUGAAAUCCAACUAACAAUUUCGCCUUCUGGUGUAAAUACUUAGCCAGUAGUGGGUUUCCUUUUAUUAAGAUUUUCUGCAAAAUCUGAAUGCACAAAGCCCUUGACAGUAAAUUCUAAUCCUUCGCAGCAUAAUGCAACAUCUGAUGUUCCUCUGAUAUUUCUCAGAAUCCUCUUAAUAGUCUUCCAAUGUUCUUUGCAAGGAUUCGCUAUGUAUCGACUAACUGCUCCCACUACUUGUACAAAUCAUAGCAAACCUUAAAUUUUCCACUGCUGAUGCAUACAGUACUCAAGACAUCUCUUCUUCUCUACUUCAUUACUAGAUGAAUACUUAAGAAUAACUUGAAAUUAAUAAGAAGCGGGGUAGAAAGCCAAAUCUUCUUGCUAUUACUAUCUCGGUGAAUUUGCAUCCCUAAAAUCUUGUUUGCUGGUUCUAAGUCUUUUAUUUCAAACUCCCUAGUUAACUGUGCCUUCAGUUCUUGGACUCGAUCUUUGUUGGGGCUUGCUACCAAUAUGUCAUCCACAUACCACAGUAGAAUGAUGAAAUCAUUAUUAUAAAACUUGUUGUAAUAUGUACAACAGUAUGAAAUGAUUCUAUUGUAUCCAAGGUUUAUGAUGAAAUGAUCAAUUCUCUUAUAUCAACAUCUCGGUGCAUGUUUGAGAUCGUAUAGAGAUUUGUUCAACUUGCAAACCAAGUGUCCCUUUUUAGUAAAACCUUCUAGUUAGAGCAUAUAAAUCUUUCCUUCAAGUUCUCCAUGAAGAAAUGAAAAUUUCACAUCUAACUGCUCCAAAUAUAGGUCAAAUGUAGCACACAUCGACAAGACCACUCUGACUGUCCUGGGUCAAAUCACUGGAGAAAAUAUCUCAUUGACGUUAAUACAUUCUUUCACCACCAAUCUUUCACGAUAUCGCUCCACUAGGUUAUUACCAUCACGUUUGAUCUUGUGAACCCAUUUGCAACCAAUGGUUUUUUUUUAUAUGGUAGUAGUACGAGUUCCUAUGUCAUAAUCUUGUGUAGAGCCUUAAUUUCUUCCUGCAUUGCUAUCAUUCACAAAGUAACAUCUGAGCUGUUUAAAAUUUCAUAGAAAGUUGAUGGCUUUCCAUUCUCUAUUAAAAGACAGUAUGCAAAAUUGAUAUCUGUGACAUAAUCCAAAUGCCACACAUACAUUUAUCUAUCACGAGUUGACCAACAAACUUUUGGGGCCUCAGACUUGAUUGGUUCUUGUUCUCAUACUUUGGUGCUGCUUCAAAAAAAUCUGAAUCUUCAUUUUCCAGAUUAUUUUCAACAUAUAUUAGCACAAUCUCUAAAUUUUAAUAGUGCUAUCAUCCAUAUCUCUCUUUUGCAUUUGAUCUUCUACAAAGACAAUAUCUCUGCUAAUAACGAUCUUGUGGGCAUUGAGGUCCCACAGAUAAUACCCUUUCACUCCAUCAAUAGAUUCUAAGAAGAUACAUCUCUUGGAUUUUGGAUCCAUCUUUAAUCUCACUUGGGUAUCGUAUAUCACGUAAAAGGACAUCAAAAUGCCUGAGAUGAGAGUAAUCAGUUGGCUUUCCUGUCCAUUUUUCCAUUGGAAUCUUCAACCCGAUUGCCUUGAAUGAUGACCCACUUACCACAUAAUAAGUAGUUUUUGCUACUUCCGCCUAGAAUGAGUUGGUAGACCAGCAGUUCUCAACAUAACUCUUAUUUUUUCUAUAAGAGUCAUGUUCUUUCACUCUACUACUCUAUUUUAUUGAGGAGUGUAUGCCACUGUAAAUUAUCUCUAGAUACUUUCUUACUUACAUAUGCAAGAAACAUGCUAUCUGUAUACUCUCCACCAUUGUCUGUCCUCAGGCACUUGAUCCCUUGCCCUGAUUUAAGUUCAAUCUACGCUUUGAAUUCUUUGAACAAUAGAAAUACAUUUGACCUUUUCUUGACUGGAUACACCAAAUAUCUCCUAGAAUAAUCAUCAAUAAAAGUCACCAAAUACUUUGCACCUCCCAUAGAUAUAUCAAUUGAUUCCCAAACAUUAGAAUGAAUCAAGUCUAAAAUACAUUUACUUUUGAAAGUGGAUCUGCUAAACUUUCAUCUAUGUUGCUUUCUUGUUUCGACAUGUGGCCAAGUUUAAGAUGCCACAUCAUCGCUGAAUUUUCUCUAUUUGAUGUGACACACACAAAAGUUUUCUGUAGUGUUUCCAUUUAAGCAUGAAUAGAUUAGCACCGAUCUUUUCCACCUUCAUUAAUGCAAGUGUGCCUUUGACUAUCUUUAUGAUCCCAUUUUCUACAUGAGUUUUGUGCACAAGGCUAUCUAUUUGUCCUAAAGACAAGAGAUAUUUUUCAAGUCUUUGACAUGUCUUACCUUCUCAAUUGUGCGAACCAUACCAUUAAACAUAUUUAUUUUGACAGUACCAAUAUCAAUGAUCUCAAAGGCAUGAUUAUCACCUAUGUAUACAGAUUCUCUUGAAAUAGGUUCAUAUUUGUGAAAUCAUUCUCUUGGAGAGAUCAUGUGCCAAACAACUAUUAAGUCUAUAAGCCAGACGUCAUAUAGUGGUUUUCUGCCUUUUGAAGCAGUUGUUGCCUUACUGUAGAGAAUUUUUCCAUUAUACGAGGUACUUACUACAUACCCUUGAGCAUUUGAUGACUCAGGAUCUUUACCCUCUCUUCUCUUCUAGUUGUUCCAAUACUCUUCCUUGACAUGCUCUUUCUUGCCACAGUUGUUGCAUUUAACAUUCUUCUUACUUCUUGAUUUCGAUCUACUGUGAUUGUGGCUCUCACUAGGGCCACGUUCCAUGGAUCUUCCUUUCAUCAUCAAUAGCGCUUCUACUUGCUGCGAACUUGUCUGUCUAUCUUUUUUAUUUUUUGCUACUCUCCUCAUUUAAUACGGAGGCUGCCAUAUUGUCAAAGACUAACUUGUUUGCUCGAUUGUUAUUAGUUAGAUUAAUGACGAAUUAAUCAUACGAAUCUGGUAAACCUUGAAGUAAAAGCUCUACAUGAUCAUUUUCCUCUAUUUUAUGACCCAACGUUGUAAGUUAUGAAAAUAAAGUCUUUAAAGUGUUGAUAUGGUCGAUCACUGAUGUAGAUUCCGUCAUUCGAAGAGUAUAAAGCCUCCUCUUUAAAAAGAUUUUAUUUUGUAGUGAUUUGACCUCGUAUAGUCUUGUGAGAGUAAACCAUAUUUCCUUUGCUCUCUUUUACUCUACCACAUUGAAUAAUACCUUAUUUGAAAGUGGUAUGUGUAGAUUUGCAAUGGCAUUAUUGUCUAUCUCAUUCCACUUGUCAUCAUCAGUUAUCUUUGUGAGCCUCUCUUCAAUUGUUGCCAAGCAAUUACUCUUCCUCAAUACAACUUUCAUCUUCAUUUUUCAUGACGAAAAAUUAUUUUUGUUGAACUUCUCAAUUUUGUAUUUUUCCGCCAUCAUUGUUCACCACGAGCUACCUUUGCUAAGAUCGAUUCCUACCAUUUCAUAUGAGCAGUAACUGUAUAUAUGAAUAAAGUGUUGUAUACAGAAACAAUAUCAUAUACAUGAACAGUACAAUAUAUGUAAACAGUAUCUUGACCCCAAAAAAUACAACCCGACUCUGAUACCACUAUUAGAAAAUUAAUUUGUGAAGUAGGGCCGCGACUAAAAUGAAAUUGGAAGAAAAUGAAGAGCAAGCACACUGAGGACACCAUAAAUUAUUUGGUUCGACUUUUAACUUAUGCCCAUAGGUAAGGACAAAAGGAUAAAACUUUACUAGUGAAAUGAGGAUUAUAAGUAUUUUAGUAUUUUGUUUCACUUCUCAAAACCUUAAUACACCCAAUCUCUCCAAACACUAGUCACUCAAGAGUAUAAAACUCUUAAUCUCUCAUUAUAGAACUAAAGAAGAAAAGAAUAGAAUGAAUGAAAUGAGGGGGUGAACCCCUCUAUUUAUAGCUAAAAAUUUGGGCACUUUUUAUAUUUAUUAUUAUUAUUAUUUCAAAAUUUAAAGUUUGAACUUGAUAUUCAAACUUUGAAUAUCAAAAGAUACGGGUUGUUCUUCUAGAAGAACGGCACCAACCUUGACUCUUAGGCAGACCUUUAGAGCUUUAAAUAAAGAAAAAGCUUUUAAAAAUGCCAUGUGUACUUGAUUAUACAAUAAUCUCCACCACAUAGAAUGAUUUGAUAAAAGAAAUUUUUUAUUUUUAAUUUUACUUUUAUCAGGCACGGUGCAUUUCCCCUUGGGCUCAUAUGUAAGGAUGUCAAUAAGAUGCGAAGGAGAGGGGAUUGAUUUCCCCAUACUCAUCUUUAAUACUCUGUCUAUCUCUUUGUACUCUAGACAUUUCCUUCAAAAUUACUUGAAACGAGGGGUUGGAUGUUUCUAAAUAAUACAAAGGGAUCUCUUAUGGCAUCCGAUCUCUGAUUAUUUAAUUUCUUUUUUUUCUUAAUUUAAUCAUCUUAAAGUAAAAAUAUAAAAUCAUAUUAACACAAAAAAUAUCAAAUUAACUAAAGUGAUUAAAAUCAUUUCCAUCAAAUUAAGUCAAUGUCAUCAAAUGAGAAGAUAAUCUUUGAACUAAUUAAGCAAAAGUAAAUCUUCAAAGUUGAACUCAUCCAUAAAUGUCAUAUAGUAUAAACCAUCAAUUAAAUUAUCUUUGUCAAUUUUAAAGUGUUUAUAUUUACUUUAUAUUGGCUGUUAUUUAUAUUAUUUUUAUAAAUGUAUUAUGAUAUUUUUUAUUUACAUCACACUAUUACAAUUGAAAUUUUAAAUGUAUUUACUAUAAAUUUGAAAAAAAAAAGAAUUAAAAAUAGAAACUAAAGAUGGAAAUAGAAAAAUGUGGAGCCAAAUAAAAUAUUAGGGCAAACACUAAAUUAUACACCCACACAUAUUAAUUUAUCAGAUUCUUGUCUCCACAUAGAAAAAUUAGAUCUAAAAUUAUCAAACUCCCGAAUGAGGAAGAUCCCUCGGGGCCAUCGUCCCUGUGGAAAUUUCUGCAUCCCUGCAGUCUACAACGCCUAAUAAUGAAUUGAACGGUUGAAAUCCCUCUAAAUUUUUGAUAAUUUCUAAUCGCCCCUCCAUAUUUGAUUGAACAUCAAAACUAUUGAGUCCAAAUUUAUAACUUUGAUUUAUCUUCCAUUCCAUAGUUUUCAAGUUCUCUCUCUCUCUCUCUUUUAAUCCUUUUUACUGCAACCACCAUCAAAGCCUAGUAGUUAAUAUGUAUGCUGCUUUGCUUUCAAAAUCGGACACUACUGGUAUUUAUGGUUUUUAUUCUUUAUUUGACACAAAAUUUGGCGAUAUCUCCGCGGAAAAACACUACUGGUGUAUUCAAUUUUAUCCGGUAAUGAUUAAAUUGAUUAUUACAUGAACCGUAACUUCGCCAAGCCCAAAAUACAUAUUAAGUUAUAAAGCGUGGCACUCAUUAUUUUUCGCAAAAAGUUUCGCCCAAAAUACAUAUAUUUUUUUAAUUUUUUCUGUGAAAAAAACUACUGUUAUAUUCAAUUUUAUCAUUAAAAACUACUGUUNNNNNNNNNNNNNNNNNNNNNNNNNNNNNNNNNNNNNNNNNNNNNNNNNNNNNNNNNNNNNNNNNNNNNNNNNNNNNNNNNNNNNNNNNNNNNNNNNNNNNNNNNNNNNNNNNNNNNNNNNNNNNNNNNNNNNNNNNNNNNNNNNNNNNNNNNNNNNNNNNNNNNNNNNNNNNNNNNNNNNNNNNNNNNNNNNNNNNNNNNNNNNNNNNNNNNNNNNNNNNNNNNNNNNNNNNNNNNNNNNNNNNNNNNNNNNNNNNNNNNNNNNNNNNNNNNNNNNNNNNNNNNNNNNNNNNNNNNNNNNNNNNNNNNNNNNNNNNNNNNNNNNNNNNNNNNNNNNNNNNNNNNNNNNNNNNNNNNNNNNNNNNNNNNNNNNNNNNNNNNNNNNNNNNNNNNNNNNNNNNNNNNNNNNNNNNNNNNNNNNNNNNNNNNNNNNNNNNNNNNNNNNNNNNNNNNNNNNNNNNNNNNNNNNNNNNNNNNNNNNNNNNNNNNNNNNNNNNNNNNNNNNNNNNNNNNNNNNNNNNNNNNNNNNNNNNNNNNNNNNNNNNNNNNNNNNNNNNNNNNNNNNNNNNNNNNNNNNNNNNNNNNNNNNNNNNNNNNNNNNNNNNNNNNNUCUAAGUUUUGAAAGAAAGGUUGAAAUAAACAGAGAAACAGGACAAACAGAAGAAGACUGAAUUAACAGAUCAACAAAGAUGGCAACUAACAAAUGGAAAAGUUCUCUUGUAAUCAAACUAUAGCAAACAGAUGACACCAUUACCAUAUAUCUUAAUGAGUAGAUUGAUUCUAAACAUAUAUGUUAGGAUACAUUUGGUUGUUUAAUAGUUUGAAAUAAGGAGGAUGAGAUGGUUUCCACAUAAAAGUGCUGGCCCUUUCAAUGACAUUUUCAAGGAAUUAUAAAAUUCAAAAUUAAAAAAAAAUAGCACAUUAUAAAGCCACACCGUCAAAUAAAUAAAUAAAUAAGUGAAGACCAAACUAAGUCACUAAGACCUUUAAUGAUAUAAAAUAAGCAUAUAAAUCUCAGAACAAAACAUUAAAACUCAUUCUAAAAGUAAAAAUAAACUAGUGGUGUAUUCCAAACAAUUUAGAUGAAGCGAUAAAACAAGCCAAGAAAUCAAAUAAAAUGAAAUGAAAUUGAAUUACCUGGGACUUUGUUUUUCAAAUUCACAACUCGAUUGUAAUUAAAGUAAAAUGCCAUUGCCAUUAGGACAUACACAUCAUUGAAUAAGAUGAGGACCCCUCCAACAGCUGAAAGUAAAAUUUUCAUUCAUUAGUUUCAAUUAAAAGUAAAGCACACAGAUUUGCAGGGAAGCAAGAGAUUUAAUAAAUUUAACAACAGCAAUUUAAUUUGACAGGACUUCCAUACAGUAAUGAAGCUAAAACUUAAUGAUUAACGAAUUUUUGUAAUUGAAUGAAUAAGAUUCUCUGAUUUUGGAUAAUUGAAUGAAUAUGAUUCUCUAACUCUUGUGAAAAUAUCAAUUUUAAAUAGGGUAGAGUUUCAAGAAUUAAGCACAUAUGUAUCCCAAGGCUGUUGAUCAUCUCUCUCUCCAUAGUAGAAGUUUACUCUCAGAGGCGCGUUUAAUUCUCCUUUAGUGAAAAUCUUCAUCUUGGGACAACCAAUUAUAGAUAAAUCUUCCAAAGAUGGGAAUUUGAAGGUGUAAUUGGCAGAGCAGAAACUUCUGAGACUAUCAGCAGAAACUUGUGAGACUAUCCAAAUCAUACAGAUACAAAAUCUUCAAUUUGGUGAAAACAAUCUCUUCUUCAAAAUUUGCUGCUCCAUCUUCUUCAUUUAUCACCACCUCUCUCAUUGCUCUGCAUCCAUAUACCAACAUUGAUAAGAGUCUCUGUAGAGUUUGGAGUGACAGAUUCGAUAAUGAUAAACUCCAAAUACUCGCCAAGAUCGCAAAUCAAACAACCAAGAUGCAAAAAGAAUCAAUCCAGAACAAAUCACAGAGACACUUAAGAACCUAAAAGAAUUAAAGAAUUAGCGGCAAAGACAAAAGAAUUAACGUGGUUCAGCUAGCUUUCACUAGCUUACAUCCACAGGAAAAACCAGGAUCAAGUUUAUUGAUUUUCAGAAGAUGAUUACAGAGAGUUUUAAGAGCUAAUAACAGAGUAUUUCUUGAAGCCUUCUCACGAAUCUUCUAAUCACUCAAUAGCUCUCACGCACAUGCCUCCUGUUGCACCAGAAGAAGCUGUUUAUAACAGCUUCUUCAACAAACCAAAAUGAACCCAGAAACUCACGUGAUUGGCAUGCGUUAUAACAGACUCAUAACGACCUUGAGCAGCUUCUUCGAGCACGUGUUUCUCUCGUGCUUUACUUAAAUUCCAGAGACAAAACAAAUUGCUCUUCAAAACGCAAUCAGCAAUUGUCGUAUUGUAGUUUACUUAAGCUGCAAAACGCAAGUCCAACUUGUCGUUUCAAAUAUCUUGAUUUGCUUCACAACACAACAGUCGCUCUAGACUUUUUGCUGUGGAGGAGGUUGCUAAGCUCAUCAAAUUCCUUGCAACGAAGAACUAGAAGUUCUUUUAGGUUCCCAAAAGAUACCGAUGAUGAUGGCCAUAGAUAUAACAGAUUUUGACAAUAAUGUACAUUUAGAAUUUCAAGGCAUUGAACAAAGGAGUCCAAUUUGGAGUCUUGUUUCCACAAUUGCUUCAGAUGAUUAAAUUUGUGCAGAUGUAAAUGUUUUAUCAUUGUAAACUUCCUCGCAUGUUUCUUCAAGUAUCCUCCAUUCGAAAAUACCUCUUCGCAUGAACAACGACGCCGUAUGAGAGUUUCCAGAUUAUGAAAUCUCUCAAGUAAAUCAAGUGGAAAACAAGUUGAGUCAUCAUCCAUUGUUUGUGGCAGUUUAAGACUGCCAAAAAGGUGUCGUGGGAAAUCGCUUUGCAAAGUCAUCCUCGGGUCUUUUCCACUUAAUGCCCGUUCCUCCAAGUUGGGUAAGCUCUGAUCAUUAUCAAUCACGCAAUAACUUAUUAAGUCAAUUCAUAUUCUCUCAAAUAACUUUUAAUGGCUAACACUAAGUUACGUUUAACGUAACAUACAUUCAGAUAACGAAAAUAUCUGUUAGCACCCCUAAACUUAAUGGAAACUACAUUAAUAGAGUUAAAAGAAAUACUUUUAAAUCUUAAAGAGGAAAUAAAAGAAAUUAAACAGGAAAUAGGAAAAAUAAAAAUAGAAAUGACUGUAAUACAAAUGAAUCAAAAGAAAAAUAAAAAAUUAGAAAGGUUUGAAAUAAUAAAAUCAAGAAUAAUUGGAACAAGUUUUAAGAAGCCCACACAAAAACCACAAGCAGGUAGUUAUGAUGCAUGGUUUAUGGACACCCAGUAUCCUAAAAUACUAAGAGCAUCACCAAAAAACUCUUCAAAUAAGAUUUUAUUACUUAUUUGAAGAGCUACAUCAACAUUUAAGGCUCCAAAAGACACUCCAAUUAAGAUUCUUGAAAUAAGAAAUGAUCAUCUCUCUUCAAAUUUGAAGAGUUACUUUCUCCCUCUUCAAUUUAUAUUUUAUUACUUUUUGUUGAAGAAAAAGAGAAAUGUGUUUUAAUUACUAUUGACUUUUCCUUUAAAAAAAUAGUUAUUUAUUUAAAAUAAUAUUAACUCAUUUCUAUUUGAAGAGUCUUUUGGAGAACAAUAUCUUUUUUCACUCAUCUAUUUGCCACAUAGGUAAGCAAAUGAAUAUUUGAAGAGUAAAAUUUAUAGAGCCUUUUGGAGAUGCUCUAAAAGAAACAGAAGAAUUAAGAGCAGAAUUAAAAAAUAAAGAAAAAGGAAAAGAAAAACUAGAAAUAAAAGAAACAACUCCUAGUGAUUCAGAUUAAUGGAAAACACAUUAGAAGAAUUAACUGAAAAAUUCAGUGAAAUAAACCUUAGUGAUUUAGAAGACUUUGAAAAAGAAUAUCAUAUAAAAAUGAAUACUUCUGGAGGACCAGAAUUGAAACCUGACAUAGGAGAACCAAGUCAUAGAUAUGCAACAAACAAAAAGAAAAAUAGACCAUUUUUUGAGUAUAUACCACCCGUUAAAAAUACUCCUUGGAAAAAAGAAUAUCAACCUAACAAUGAUAAUUUAACACCAAUAAGUAAUGCAGGAACAUUUUUAAAUCUAGACUGCAAAAUAAACCCCCAUAAGGUUUUAAUUGAAUGGGGAAUGCAAAUGUGAUUAUUUUUUCUAUAUAAUGGCUCUAAAGUCGAUUGGAAUGUAGAAACAGAAGAAGAAAAAAUAAAUUUAUUCGCUGACAUCCUCAUAGCCAGUUUUACAGGUAAUGUAUUUAACUGGUGGAAAGGAUUAAGUGAAGACACUCAAAGACUAAUAAAAGAUUCAACUAAAAUAGCUUUAGCCAGAAGUAGAGGAUUAGGAAUUGAAAGAAUAAUCGAAUAUAUUGCUAAUGAAUUCUUAGGAGAAAACUGGUUAGAAAAUACAGAAAGAGAAACAAAAAAUGAAAAAUUAGAGGCAAGGAUGAAAUUAAUAAACUUAACAAUUUGUAACAUGUGUUUCGUGAAAGAAUAUACCUGUGAAUUUAGUAAAUAUUAUUAUACACAAUUCUAUAGCCAAGAAGAUCAAAAUAUUUAUAAAAAUUUAUAUUAUUCCAAAUUACCAUAUCCCUGGAAUGGAUAUUUUAUAAAUGAGUAUGAGAAAAAUAGUACUGCUAAUAGAUCUCCAGACACAUUAGGAUCUAGAAUAAGGUUUUUGAAUACAAGAUUAAGUGAAAUAUGCAUUCAAAGAAAUUUAAUGAAAAAGAGUAAAAAUAUAGGAGAUACAUGUUGUGGAAAAACAGAAAUGCCAACCCAAUGGGGUUGUUAUACACCAUAUAAACGAAAAAGAAAGUUAUAUAAGAAAGAGAAAAAAUAUAAAAAAUACAAUAACUUUAAAAGAAAAUAUAGAAAACUGGAAAGAAAAUACUAUAAAAGAAAAUAUAAAAACCAAAAAAGAAAAUUAGAUAAAUCUAAAUGUAAAUGCUGGAAUUGUGGAGAAAUAGAACAUAUUAGCACAGAUUGUACAAAAAAGAAAGUAAGACUCUUAGAAGAAGAUUUUGAAAAUAUAAAAAAUGACUUAGAAGAAAUAAGUGAUAUAUCAGACUAUGAAGGAAAAGAAGUUUACAUGGUGAAAGAAUUAGAUGAUGAGUCAGAAUAAAGACGAAAUUAUAGAAAAUGAAAGAAUAGAAGAAAUAGAAGAAAUAGAAAAAGAAGAAAAUAAAAGUGGAUAUAGUCUUGUUGCCACUUUUAAUAAUGAAAAAUAUAAUAAACUUUUGAAAAUAAAUAUGGAAAAACCAGAAUAUGGAAUAAUACAUAAACUUAGAGAUAUGUUUAAAAGAAAAAGAAUAGUAUUACAUGAAUAUUAUGAACAAGAAAAAGUUGUUACAAUUACACAAGCUGAAGGAAAUAUCAGAUUCAGUUUAAUAAAUAAAAGAUCUAUAGAUUUAGCAUUAAGAAAGAUAAAAAAUGAAUCAACAAAAGAAAAAAUUCAAUAUGUAUAUCUAGCAGAAAUUCAAAUCUUAAUAAAAUCUCUUUUCAAAGAAGGCAUAGAUAGUCCCAUAGUAUUGUCACUACAUGAUCAAAGAUUUAAUGACCCUAGUACAGGACAUUUAGGAACAAUAGAAGGAAACUUAUGUUAUACUAAGUUAUUAUUCACAUGUCAUCCUAGAUAUUGUGUACAUAUAAAAGAUAAAAAUAUAGAUGAAACGCUAAGCUUACAUUUUAAACUACUAAAAAGAAACUUAAUGAAAGAAGGGAAUAGAAUAAUGACAAUACAUUAUUCUGCACUAUAUAGUUUUUGCAAUUCAAAUUACGGAGAAGUAUAUGGGAAUAAGCCUUACAUCGAAAUAAAUAAAGAAUGUGAAGAUAUAGCAACAUUCAUAGAACCAACAAUCCAGGAAUAUAAAAUUCCUAUAAACUAUGAGCUAAACAUAGAUGACAAAAAACAAUUUUUAGAUAUUGCUAACGAAAACUCCAUAAUCCCCAUAAGCUUUGCAGGAAGAACCUUAGUAAGAGGAGGUUCAUCUAGAAGGUUAAGUACUGAUAAACAAAUAACUAGAUCUAUAGUAACUAAUAACGUAAUAAAAAUAUUUGGACAAUAUUUUAAUGGAAUAGAUUAUACAACAAAAAUACCUAUAUUGGUAGAUACAGGUACAAGUCAUAAUUAUAUGAAUCACACAAAAAAUAAAGGACUCUUAAUAAAAGAAAAAGAAAUCCCGUAUCAAUAUACUGAUUUUAAUGGUAAUAAACAUAUUUGUAAACAAGAAGUUAAAGUCCCUAUAAUUAUAGAAGGAUUUAGAAUAAUAGUAUCUUGCUAUAUAGAUUCGUUCAUGACCACAGACCCAGAAAAACAUAUAGUACUAGGAAAUAGUUUUUUAAAUGAUUUAGAAUACUACAAAAUUGAAAAACAUAAAGUAACUCUACAAAUAGAAGGUAAAAAGAUAGUAUGUGAAACAUGUUAAAACAAGCUUAUAUAAAAUACCCUAUGUCCGUAUAUAUACAAAUAAACAUAACAGAAAAAGAUAUAGAUACAUGUGCCUUAAUAGACGGCAGUGAAAUAACGAUUAUGAAAUCCUUUCUAUCAAACCAAUGGAAACCAAACGAGAAAUUAAAAAUCAUUGGAAUAACAGGCGAUAAACAACAAGUAAACCAAUCUUUAAUAAACUUUGAAAUACUCUUAGGUAGUAAGAUAGUAUGUAUCAACCAAAUAUAUCAAUAUGAUGGUAUGGAUUGCGAUAUACUCCUAGGAAAUGACUUUAUACAAUAAUUCCAAUAUUAUCAACAAACUACCUAUAUGGUCACUUUAAAAACCCAUUGUAAUCAUAUUCUUCGCAUUCCUCGUGAAUUUAAACCUUAUCGAGUUCGGCCAGCCCAGCGUGGUGAUACAUUUAUUUAUGAAAAACAUUAUCUAAUACAAAAAUGACAGAGUUACAAUAUACAACUAGAAACAAUAAAAUCACAGCUUGAACAAGUCUAUAAAGAAAAUCCAUUAGCAUUAUGGAAACCAGAACAUCCUAGAGCAAAGAUAGAAUUAAUCGAAAAUAGAAUAAUAAGACUCAAACCUAUGAUGCACACAGAGGAAGAUAGAGAAGAAUUUAAAAUUCAAAUAAAAGAAUUAUUAAAUUUAAAGUUAAUUAGAACUAGCAACAGCCCACAUAAUAGCCCAGCCUUUAUGGUUAGGAAAAGAUCAGAACAGGUAAGAGGAAAAGCAAGAAUGGUAAUAAAUUAUAAAGAGUUAAAUAAAUACACAAAAUUUGACGGAUAUUUCCUCUCAAAUAAAGAAGUAUUAAUAAAUCUUGUAAAAAAUAAAACAUACUACUCAAAAUUUGAUUGUAAAUCAGGAUUUUGGCAAAUAAUAACAGGCGAUAAACAACAAGUAAACCAAUCUUUAAUAAACUUUGAAAUACUCUUAGGUAGUAAGAUAGUACGUAUCAACCAAAUAUAUCAAUAUGAUGGUAUGGAUUGCGAUAUACUCCUAGGAAAUGACUUUAUAUAAUAAUUCCAAUAUUAUCAACAAACUACCUAUAUGGUCACUUUAAAAACCCCUUGUAAUCAUAUUCUUCGCAUUCCUCGUGAAUUUAAACCUUAUCGAGUUCGGCCAGCCCAGCGUGGUGAUACAUUUAUUUAUGAAAAACAUUAUCUAAUACAAAAAGGACAGAGUUACAAUAUACAACUAGAAACAAUAAAAUCAUAGCUUGAACAAGUUUAUAAAGAAAAUCCAUUAGCAUUAUGGAAACCAGAACAUCCUAGAGCAAAGAUAGAAUUAAUCGAAAAUAGAAUAAUAAGACUCAAACCUAUGAUGCACACAGAGGAAGAUAGAGAAGAAUUUAAAAUUCAAAUAAAAGAAUUAUUAAAUUUAAAGUUAAUUAGAACUAGCAACAGCCCACAUAAUAGCCCAGCCUUUAUGGUUAGGAAAAGAUCAGAACAGGUAAGAGGAAAAGCAAGAAUGGUAAUAAAUUAUAAAGAGUUAAAUAAAUACACAAAAUUUGACGGGUAUUUCCUCCCAAAUAAAGAAGUAUUAAUAAAUCUUGUAAAAAAUAAAACAUACUACUCAAAAUUUGAUUGUAAAUCAGGAUUUUGGCAAAUAAAAAUGGAAGAAAACAGUAUCCCUUAUACAGCAUUUAGCACUCCACAAGGACAUUACGAAUGGAUAGUAAUGCCUUUUGGACUAAAAAAUGCCCCUCAAAUAUUUCAAAGUCGAAUGGAUAAAAUAUUUAGAGAUUAUAGCUAUAUCAUAGUCUAUGUUGAUGACAUAUUAAUAGCAUCAGAAACAUUAGAAGACCAUAGAACCCAUUUAAAAGAAUUCGUUAACGUAUGUAUUAGAGAAGGUAUAGUAUUAUCAGAAAGAAAAGCAGUCAUAGAACAUAAAAAAUAAAAUUUUUAGGAAUGAUUCUUGAUAAAAAAGGAAUAAGACUCCAAAGCCAUAUAGGAAAAAAGAUUACAGAAUUCCCAAAUAAAUUGGAAAAUAAACAACAAAUACAAAAAUUCUUAGGUUGUUUAAACUAUGCAGAAGGAUUCAUAAAAGACUUAGCAAAAAAGAGAAAUAUACUCCAGAAACUACUUAGAAAAAAUAAUACUAAAGGAUGGAACGAAGAACAUACGGAAACUGUAAUAAAUCUAAAAGAAGAAUGUAAAAACCUCCCAGCAUUAAGGUUACCAGAAGAAAAUGAUAAGUUAGUAAUACAAACUGAUGCAUCUGAUUUAUAUUGGGGAGCAAUACUUAAAACUGAUAUAAAUGAAAUUUGCUGAUAUACUAGUGGAACAUUUAAUCAAGCACAAGUUAAUUACCCAGUUCAUGAAAAAGAACUCCUUGCAAUAUAUAAAUGAAUAAAAAAGUUCUCGUUAUUUUUACUCCAGAAAUAAUUUAUUGUAGAAACAGAUAAUUCUCAGGUAAGUUCACUUAUUAGUAGAAUUUUGCCAAAUGAACCCCAAUACAGGCGACUGCAUAGAUGGCAAGCUUAUUUAUCUUAUUAUAAUUUCAAAAUCAUACAUAUAAAAGGAACUAACAAUUUUCUUGCAGAUUUCCUAAGCAGGAACAUAGAAUUCAGAGAAUGAAUGCAGAAGUAAAUAAAAUCAUUUCUGUAAUAAACACAGAAAUACAAAGGCUCAAAGCUGAAGCAUCAGACAUGCUUGAUGCCAUAAAUUACAUAAAAGAAGCCACAGAGGCUCAUGAGAAGGGAAUACAUUUGUUAGAGUCAUACAUAAACGACCUAACAAAAGGGCUUUCAAUAAACACUAGCCCAAUAGAGAUAGGAAGUAGUAGUGGACCACUCCCACAACAAGAACCAGUCUCUGACCCAUCAUCCAGCCGAACCAUAUCCAUAAGUGUUGAAUCACCUAAAGCAACUUCUUCAAAAAAGUUUAUCAAAAUAAACAACACUCCCUCAGAAGAAGAAGAAAAACCUUCUCCACUAAAUCCAAGAGAAGAAGAGUAUAAACAGUUCUCCACAUGGGUAUACUCUACAUGUACCCACAACAACACCAUUUUCAAAGCCCCUGGCAAAAAUAUAUAUCCCAGAAUGAUAGCCAUAAAAGGAGCAGAUCCUCUCCUUAUUGGAAAAAUAGCAAAAUACGGAUAUCUAGAUUUAAUAUAUCCAGAUACAGACCUAAGAGAAAUAGCCAGUUUAGAUGAGCUAUUAGUCAAAGAAGUCUCAAAAUUUGCCCAAAAAAGGCCCAUAUACUUAAAAUUUUACACUAUUAGCCCAGAAUACCACCAAAAUGUCGAAUACCAAGCAUUUUACAUGAUCUCUGUAGGCCACCUCACAAAAAAUUUUCAGAUAGAAGUAGGAACUGAAUAUACAAAUGUUCCUCAAAUAACCAAAGCAUGGAUCAGAACCCGUAGAGCCCGAGGAAUAAAAGCAAUAUGGAGUAUUGCAAAAGACCUUUAUAAAAGAAACUUUAGAACAAUCAUCCGAUUCCAAAAUUAUAUCCUCGUAACUUCUGAAGAUAGCCAUACACCAUCAAAUAUCUUCUUGGAACUCAUGAACGAAAUCAGCACCAUGAGAUUCCCCAGCAGUAGUGAGACCAUGCAGCAAGCUUAUCAGCUUAUGGAGAUGAAGAUGCCCGACAAAUAAAGUUGUUCGUGGCAGACAAAGAAGAUAUGUGGCAGACAAGAAGAUAAAAAGAAGAUAAAAAAGUUGUACGUGGCAGACAAGAAGAUGCUCGUGAUAAAAAACAGAGAAAAAGAAGAUGCUCGUAAAAAGCAAGAAGACAAGAAGACAAGAAUUCAAGAACCUCUUGUAAUGAUAGAGUGAUGAUGUAAGCAGUGUGAUCAGAAAGCAAUAAUGUAAAUCAAUAAUGGGAUCAUCUUUUCUAAUAUAAAUAGAAAGAGAAGGAGAAAGCAGAAAAAGCUUUCGAAGACAUUCGAUAACUCUCGAUCCAAAAAAUUCUCUGAAAAAGAAUGAAGCUCUAAACACUCUCUUGCUCGAAAUCCAAAAUCAGUACAUCAUAAACCAAAAACAAAAACCAUUAGAGAAAGAGACGAGAAACCUAACUUCACUCAAUACCUCUUUAACAAGAAGAUCGAAAUCUAUACAGUAAAGCCAUCUGAGUCCACAGAUCCCGCUGAGGCAGGAGGCCGUUAAGGGAACAGGACAACCAGGCUGCAGGUCACUGGAAGGAGAUCAGAAAUCAAAGAAGUAACAGUGAGCUAGGUAAUAAUACUCAACUCUUAUCUCUUGGUGGUGGUUGUUGAUGGUGGUUGAUGGAAUGAUUUUUGGAGAAAGAGCAGAUUCUUAAACUGAAGCAGAUCUGUAAUUAAUUUUAUGACAUGAAUCACAGAAUUUACUUAGGAGAAUCUAAAGAAUACAUGAUAAACCCAACUACUAAAAUAACUUAUAAUGAGUACAUGAUGAUAAUAGACUUCGAUUUAGGUUCAUUUAAACAAAGUUCUUAUCUAUUCAGUAAACAAGAACUUGUUAGAACAGAAGACCUAUUAGCCAUAGACCUUCUUAAGUUACCCCAAGAAAUAAAAAGAAAAAUUAUAAAUAACAUUGAAACAGAUAACCUAAAACAUAAUAUAAUUAUGUUGACAAUAGAAGAAGGAAUAGAUGUAGCAAAAGCCUAUUUAGAGCAAAAAACUUAUGAAUCUGGACCUUCAUAUAUCUAUGAUUCAGAUAACGAAGAAUUUGAAAUAUAACUGUGAAAGGUAUAUAGGCUGGGAACCUCUUCGGGUUGCGGACUACUAGUCCAAAGGGCGACCUGGAUCGCUGUACCUAGAGGUAAAACAACGCCACGUACUUUUCUAAUAAAAAUUUAGGACAGAUAAAGAUAGAUAAACAUCAAUUUGAUAAUUAUAAUCAAUAAUAAUCCUGAAUGGUUGAUUUUGUUUUACUGCUCUUGUAAUUUUAUUUUGAAUAUAUUUGUCUAGUCUUGUCAUAUUUUUAUAAUUCUGUUUGUACUUUUGUAUUUGUAAUUUUGUAAUUUUAUUUGUAUUUUUGUAAUUUGUAUUUUUGUUUGAAUUUGUAAUUUCGUAUUUUUGUUUUAAAUACACACCUGAAAAUGGUAUCAGAGCCAGCAGAAUCAUAAGACAUGGACCCUAUACAAGCAAUAGUAGAUAGCUUAUAUACAUUAAAGGUAUAUAAUAAAGAAGAAAUAAAAAAUUUAAUAAAGGCCAUCAAAACUGACAAAAAUAAUAUAAGAAAUAUAGAACUUGAGUUAACUCAGGAGCUUAGAGAAAGAUUUAUAGAAACAACAGGAGGAGAAAUUUUAAUAGAAAAGAAAAUGAAAUUUAUAGAUAAAUUUAUAAAGUUUUUAAUAUAUUGGUGUAAAACAGAAACAUUAUGAAUCAACAGGCUGUUAAUGUAAUACAGGGAUUGGCAAGCUGCAUAGAUCACCUACUCUUAGGAUGGGAAAAUACAGUAAAUGCAUAUAUAAAUCUAAUAAACCAAAAAAUAGAUUUAUUAGAACAAGAAAGGAUAGGACUGGUAAAUUUAGGACCAGAGGUCUAUUAUGAAUUUGUAGAUUUAUAUGAAUUUGAUAACCAUAUAUUGCUGUUUAAAGAAAUAAAAUAAAGUUCUCGAAAGAUUAAAAAAUAGAUGUGCAGGGAUGGAAGAAGACAAAUACAUCCAGGAUUAUAAAAAUUGGAAAUAGAAAGAAUUAUAAGAAUCCUUAUGAAAUUAACCAGGAGAAUAAGACAAAAUUAUAAGAUACAAUCAACGUAAGUUAGAGGCCCCCACUUUUAAUAAUCCAAUCAUAUACAGUGACUUUAAUAUAAAUGCAUAAUAUUUUACCAAAAAAAAGGGAAAAAAUCGAAUUAGAGGUAAAAGUUAUUCUACGAUUUUAUUUUUUGUAUAUAUCUUGCAUGCUAUUCCCAAAAGCAAUCAUAAACGGCCCUUAAAACAAUUUUACAAAAGCGGCUGUUACUUAUAUCACCAACUUUGUUAGGGAUGACAAUGGGGAGGGGAGAGGAGGAGACCAAUCUUGUAGUAUCUAUCCCUGAUAUUUUGCGUAUAUUCUCGUUCUCUCUCCAUCCCCGACAAAAUUACUUUAGGGAAUCACCUCCUCUCCCUGAAUAAUAAUAUGGGAUCUCCGUGGGUCAUUGAUCCCUGAAUAACUGAUAUGUUUUUAGUUUUUUAUUUUAAUUUAAUCAUAUUAAAAUAAAAAUUUAAAUAAAAAUAAAGUUUGAUGAUAUAUCUCACAUUAGCAUUAAUCCAUUACAAAAGUCACAUUACAAAGUAUAAAUCACCACAAUAAUUAUCUUCGUCAAUUUUCAAAAUCCUACAAUAAAAAAAAAAGAAAUUACUUUUAUAUCAACAAUGAAAUAAAUAAAAUAAAUAUAAAUAAAUACUUAAUCAAUAUUUCUAAUAAAAGUAUUUACCUCUUGCGUCUCUUGCUCCUCUUGUUCUUCCUCGAUGAAUGUGGCAAAUUGAAAGAUAGCCUCAGAUUUCAAAUUUAAAACAAUAAAAAUAAUAGAAGUAAUGUAACUUAUAAGCGAAAAUAUUAAUUAUUAUAUAAUAUAAUUACAAUGUAAAAUAAACUCAUACUGCCAUUUUAAGCUUGUAGCUUAUUUUGACAACACAUUAAAUCCUCCAAUGUGCUUGAAUGAAGCGUGUUACGAUACUCUACUAAUGGUGUUAAAAGUUGAUUCAGAAGCAACAGUUGUAAUUGGAAUUGUCAAAAUAUCUCUAGCAAUUCGUGCCAAUAUAUGAUACCUAUGGACAUUUGUUUUUAACCAACUCAAAAUAUUAAAAUCUUUCAUCUGUAGCAUAACUUUCUCAUCCAAAUAUUAAUGCAGUCAAUUAGGCCUAAAAGUUUAAUAAUAUAAUUAUUUUGAUAUUUUUUAUUUAUACUAAUAUUUAAUAUUUUAUAAUUUACAUUUUAUUAUUUAUUUACAAAUAAUUUAUAAAAUUAAAAUUAAAAUUAAAAUCAAUAAAUUAGGAGGGGAUGAGGAUUCUACUGUAUCCUCAUCCCUUUCUCGAAUAAGAAAUUGGGUAAAAAAUUAUUCUCGUCCCUUCCUUGAAUAAGAAAUUGGAUAAAAAAUUAUCUCUUUACCCUCUCCGAAUGGAGAAAAAUUCCGAGAAUCCCUAUCCCUGCGGGGAUUUCUGCCACCCCUAAACUUUGCAACAGCCAGUUGCUUUUGUGACCAUUUAUGUGACGGAUAGACUGCUCUCACUUAUGUUACUAAUAAGCUUGGCAAAAUCAGGGUCCGGUCCGGGCUUCUAAGCCCGCAUGUGAUAACUUUAAUUUUUUUCUUCAAUUUUUUCUUUCAUUUCUCUAACAAUGCAAAUUUUAAAAAAGAAAAUAGUCAAAUAAAUUCAUUCAAUCUCAAGCUUUAGAAAAGAAAAUAGUCAAAUAUAAAUAUAUAACAUACUAACAAUGCAAAUUUUACACAAAUAAUAAAUAAAAAUUGUUUCAAUCUACUUUAUAAUACCUAAAUUCAUCUAAUUUCUAACCUAAACUCAUUCAAUCUAUAUAAAAAUAAAAUAAAUUCAACAACACAAUAGUCACACAAUAAAUCUAAAUAACAUCCAACAUAUCAUAAAAUUCAUAAUUAUAUAUUUAUAUAUAAUAUAUUUAUAUAUUUUUUUUAAUUUAUUAAGAAAUCGGGUCUGAGUCUAGCUUCCUGGUUUUUGGUGUUGAGAAUUUCAAAUCCGGGUCUGGUUUUUUGUGUAUGCGGUCCGGGUUUUACCCGACUGGAUUGCCUGGGUUCGGUUCGGACGAGCUUUUUUGACGCCCUUACUAACGGGCUUUUUUGACGCCCUUACUAACCACGUGACGGUAGAGAGCCAAUUGGCAUGCUAUUAGUUUAGAGUUAUAAAUUGGAAAAUGAGACUCUUAGAGCAUCACCAAAAGGCUCUUCAAAUAAGAUUUUAUUACUUAUUUGAAGGGCCACAUUAAUAUUUAAAGCUCCAAAAGACACUUCAAUUAAAAUUCUUCAAAUAAGAAUUGAUUCUCUCUCUUCAAAUUUGGAGAGUUAAUUUCUCCCUCUUCAAUUUGUAUUUUAUUACUUUUUAUUGAAGAAAAAGAGAGAAAUACUUUAAUUGUUAUUGACUUUUCCUUUAAAAAAAUAAUUAUUUGAUUAAAAUAAUAUUAAUUUAUUUUCAUUUGAAGAGUUUUUUGGAGAAUAUUAUAUUUUUUUACCCUUCUAUUUACCACAUAAGUAAGUAAAUAGAUAUUUAAAGAGUAAAAUUUAGAGAGACUUUCGGAGAUGCUCUUACAACAUUAAGCACAACACAUAGCACCGAACGGUGCGUUUAAAGGCAACUAUAAAAGGUCACAGUAAUCGACAAUUGCAACACACACGUUCUCAACUACAGCACACGCUCUCUCCCUCACAUUCUUCCUCACGCUCUCUCUGUUCUCCCUCACAACACACGGCUCUCUCUCUCCCCCCUCCAAAUCCAACAGCCGUGGGUUACUCUCGCUCUUCGCCCUCCAAAUCCAAGACCUAUGGAUGCAUAAUAGAGUAAAUAGCAAUUCCCAUCCACUCUAGUAACAGAAAAUGACAGCUUCUGUGAUUGUGGUGAAAAGUUUCCCCUAGUAAUGCUAAGUACAGCGAGGAAACCAGCAAGGAAACCAUCAAUUCUGUACACAUAUAGAUGCCAAAAACAAGCAGUGAAUUGCAUCAGAUAUUAGUGAAGAAUAAUUACCAGCCGUAAACUCAGCUCCUUCGGUUGCUAGUGUACAAUAGAGCAAUAGGUUGUGUUUGGGGAUGUUAGAUGUCGAAAUAAUUGAGGCAAAAUUCUUUUAUGCAAUAGUUGGCUUGUGUCGACUUUUGAAAGGAAACUUAUUUUUGUGCUGUCAAUGUUACUUAUUUGUUAGUUUAUUUCUUAGGUUUUGUUGUUCGGGAUAUUAUGUAUUGGAUUUCAUUUCCUUUUGCCUCUGGUAUGGCCCCUAAUAGAACUUGACGUAAUUCUUUUUGGGAUAUGUUUUUCUGAACUAGAGAUGACAUCACUAGCAUCUGGUCUUUCUCUUUGAGACAGCCGAGAGAGUGAGGUGCCGUGAGAGAUGCAAUCGAUGGGGGGUGGAGAGAGGUAGCCGACAGUGAGAAUGGUAAGGAAGAACGGAGCGUAGUGAGAUUAGUGGAUUGGUGAGGAAGAGCGUGAGGGAGAGAAUGAGAGAGCAUGUGUUGUGGUUGAGAAUGUUGCAAUUGAGAAUUUACUGUGACCUUUUAUGCUUGCCUCAAAACUCACCGUUUUGUGCUAACUGUUGUACUCAAUGUUGUAAGAAUAUCGGAACUGUUAUAAAUUUGUUUCUAAAUAGAAAACUCUUUUGUGGAGUCAAUAUUUUGAAAACCAAAGUCUCGAGUUCUUUCUCGUGCGUGCCUGGCCAGCAUCCUAAACCUUACUGGUAGCCGGAGAAUGGCGUAAAACGGCGGCGAUCUUCUUCUUCAUCUUAUUCUCUCUGUCAUCGUUUCAGGUAACCUUGUGAUUAUGAGUUUCUUCUCUUUCUUAGCUUGCAAAAAUAGGUUUUGAUUUCUUUAAUUCGUAUUGUAGCCAUUAAUAUCAAAUUUUGUCCUGCCGGCAAUAUUUUUUUGUUCCUAGAGGUUGAAGCCCUUCUGUUCUUGUUCCAUUGGUGACUUUGCUCACUCAAAUUAAUUUUGUUCUGCAGAAUUUACAAAGUUCAAAUGGAUUCGUUUGGAUUACUAUUGAAUUUAGCUUUCAUUUCAACAUUCAUUCUAAUGUUUUACAAUUAUGUAUUUAGAUUUACUUUAAUUUUAUGUUUAAAGCUUCUGCAAUGAAUAGCUGAGCUUGGGUCUUAGUUUCAUUUUCUAAUUAACUUGUUUUAGUUUAUCUUAUAUGCUCACCAAGUGCUUGUUAUAUUGUCUGAUAGGUUAUAUAACAUAGCUGAUUAUAUAAUAAUAAUGUCAUGUUCCAUUUUCAGAAAUUAUAAUAUAAAAGUUUUUACAAUGGGGUGCAUCUACAAACUGAAUUGACUUGUAGAGUAAGAGCUUGGAGUAGUGUGCAUUCUUGAAUAAAUGAAAGUUCAUAUUGUGUAAGAGCAUGUAGAUGUAAAGCAUCAUUACCAUUUCUACCAAGUGCUUUCAUUCUGUUCAGAUGCUCCUCUUGAACUUUGGAAGGUGCCUCAUUCAAGUCCUAGCUAUAACUAAUUGCUCUGAUUAAUUAAGUUCAUAUGCUAGCUGAAACAGAUUUAAUUAAUUAAUUAAUUAAUUGUGUAUGUACUAAUUAUAUUGAAAGUAUAUGAAGAAAUUGUUUAACAUGAAUGACUUCUAAAUGACUUAAAAGCCUAGAGGAUAUGUGAAAUAAUGCUCAUUUCACUUGAACGAGCCUAUUAAUACUUGUAUGUCUAUGAUUGUCAAUAUUGCUUAAGUGUUUCAGUUAAGUGGUUUACCUAGCAGGGAAAAAAAUUUAAUGGAAAACCUUAGAGUUUUAAUAGAAAUAUAGUUGACUAUGCAGAUAUAGUUAUUUUACGGUAUAUAAAUCAUGUUGUCCUAUUCUCAAUGUCCUACAACCUAUUUUAUUUUAUAUAGUCAUUCAUUUUACGAUGGUUUUUUGUGUUUAUGAGUAUGGAAAUAGUGGGAUUUGGUGUACCUUAGCAUCUUUCGAAAAUUCUCUUUAAAUGCGGCAAACAGAAAUAUACAUAUAAUCAAGUUUCUUAAUCAUGUAUAUUAGGUUUGGGUGUGAAUGUUUUCCUAUUCUAGUUCUAGGCAAAGUUUCUUCAUUUUGGUCUUCAGAUUUCCAGUAGGUUAAGCUAAUCAACUAUCAUAACUGGCUAGCUAGUUAUUGCCUGCCUUGUCGCCAUUACCGACGCCAUUACAUUGCAUGGCAUAGGGAAUAGUAACUAUGUGAUUAUUGGUGAUUUGUUGAGCUUAUUAUUGACCAAACAAACAUAUUCGCCUUUACCCACAACUUGGUUUGAUUAGUUACUGGACAAUAAAGAGCCUUAAUCUAUGCAUUGGCUUUCUUAUUUUUAUUUGGUUUUUCUUUCAACAAUAUUGUUGAUUUCUUAUAUCAUUGGCUAUUUAAUGAAGCUAAUUAAAACUAAGGCUUCGGAUCACUUUCUUCUAACAACAAACAAAUGAGGAUAACCUAUCUCCUCUAAGCAAAUUUUUCUAAUAUCCUUGAUUUGUUAGGACCUGGAGGCCUGAAAUCCUCUAGAUUUUUUUAGCACUGCCAAUGUUCCUUUUAUUCUGAAAAGGAAAAAAAGGUUAUAUCGUUUAUACCCUAACAGUAAAAUGGCCUUUGACUUAACAUGCCUUCCUGAGGAUUUGCAAGAUUCACAAGCAGCCUAGCCACCCCCCAACGCAAAAAAAAUAAAAAAAAUAAAAAACUAAUAAAAAUAAAAAAUAAAACAACCCAAAUAGGAAGACUUUGCAACAUUCACAACGUGGUUACAUUUAAGUUAUUAAUUGUGUGUGUGUGUACUAGUUAUAUGUUGAUAGUAUAGGAAGAAGUAUUUUAACAUGGAUGACUUAAAACUUAUUGCUCAGUAAACAUAGUCUGCAUCAGUGCUAGAAAAUGUAUUUAUUGUUUGUAUUUUUUAUGGUUUUGAUUAAGAAAUGAAAUGUGAAAAAAUGCUACAUUGUAUUAGGAAUAAAUUGAAGAGAUUUAUGAUAUUUAUGUGUUAUUCAAGUUUCAGAUUCAAUUUUAAACUUUUGAUACAUGCAUUGAAAGCUUAAACUCCUUUAAGAAGUUAUUGAUAGACACAUGUUUUAUUAGUGUCAUCUUUGGAUGAUAGUGAGGAUCUUAUGUCUAUUAAUAAUUCUUGAAUUAUCCAGGCUCGGACAUUUUGGUAAUGCAUAGUUUUCUAUGGUAGCUAGUACCUGAAAUUUUUUUCCCACUAAAAAUGGGCUUUUCAGUAGCUGCUCCUCAUAUUCUGGGUGCAUACUAGACGAAUGGGUGUCGUUUUGUUUUGGGAUAACACAUAAACACUCAUAUAUCUAUGUCAUGUACUUGAAGAACUAUAGGGAGAUGCUUCCGAAAUUUCUAUAAACGUAGAGGAAAACUUUAGAUACUUAAGAUUGAAGAAACUUAUGCAUUCUUGAGUGGGAUAUAGAGGACCACUUACCUUUUGUAAUAUGAAGGGAAUGUUGGAUAUAUUGAUGGGAGUGGAGGAGCUGAGUGGGAUGAAUGUAAUCGGUUAUGAUUUUGCUGAGUUGACUUGGUUUUGAGUCUUGUAAUUUUGUUUAUAAAUGGAGUACUAUCUCCAAUGUUGGUUUAUAAAUAUUGUUUCAGCUGGCUGACCUAAUUUUUUAUUUCUAGGUAACAGGCUUUAUAUAUUCGUAAUUGAUAGCCAAGUGAAGUUCUCAGCAGUGGGUGAGGAUAUUUCUUUACAGAAGGUAUUGGAAACUGUUUUUCACAUUAAUUAGUAUUGUAUACAUACUUUAAUUUCACAUCUUUUUCUCUGAUUCUUGUGGCUUUGCUUGCUUUCAUAUAUAUAAACAUUCUAAUGAGAUUAACAUAAAAUUGUAUAAUGAUUUUUUUUAAUUAUAAAUUGCGCGCACACGAAAAUAUCUUGUUUAGUAGUAGAAAUGAAGAACUAAAAUGAUUUAUUUAACUAAUUUUUCUAGUGCAUUAAAAGGAGAUAGUCAUGGACAAGAGUUGGGUUGGUUUGCCAAAUAGAUAUCCAAGUCAUAUACUGAUGGGGUUGAAAAAUUUAUAGAUUUUGCAUUUGAGAAUGUUGUUGGUGAUAAAAGAAUUUAUUGUCCUUGUAAGAAGUGUCGUAAUAUCGAUAUUUCAUUAUAAGGGAAGUGGCAAGAGACCAUAUCAUUACAAAUGGCUUUUGGUUAAAGUAUUGAAACUGGAUAUUGCAGGGUGAGCCAUCUUCAUCUUUGAAAUCUAACUAAGAAACAGGUUAGUCAUGACUCGGGUGCUGAUGAUAGUAUGGUUGGAGUGAUACACGAUGCAUCACAUAAUCAAGUGUUCAAGUUACACACAGCAUUGUUAUGUUAUGGACUAUCAGUGACUUUCUAACAUAUGCCAACUUGUUUGGGUAGAGUAUUAAAGGUAAAUAAGCAUUUCUUGUUUGCCAACAAAACACUAGAUCUAAUUGGUUGAUACAUAAUAGAAAAUUUUGUUACUGGGUUACGGUCGAUUCUUACCAACGAAUCAUAGGUUUCGAAAAUAUAGUGUCUUUUGAUAAAACUAGGGGGUAGGGAUAAGCGCCUUCUCGGUUGUCUUGAACUGACGUGAAAAAGCAGGUGAAUAAUAUAUUUACUAAGUAUAAGAUUGAAGACUUGAAAAGAGGAGAAUGAAUAAAAUGAAAGAAAUGAUAAGAUUACUUGGAAGAAGAAAAGCAUUUUUUAUGAACUAACGUAUUGGGAGUUCAACUUGAUUCAUCAUAAUCUUGAUGUCAUGCAUAUGAUCUACUUUCUUUCAUUUUCUCACCUCCCAAACAUCCAUUAUACAAUAAAGUUUUUUUAGAUUUUAUUGUUUCAUAGAAUUAUAUUUUGCAUAUGAUGAAAUAACUUAACAUUUUAGUAUUCAUUUGCAUAUAAUAAUUAUAAGUAAGAAAAAAUAUUUGUUUACAAUCACUACUAGUUUUAUUGUCGUGAUUACAAAUAAAUUGCUCAAAUUUUCUGCUUCAGCUAUCAAACCUUUUAGCUGCUUCCAGACAUGAAGAAAUUAAACCCAUAAUUUCUAGGUACAAUUGCAUUCGUAUAUGCCAUGAUACAUAUGAUAUGAUUAGAACCAAAAGGAGAAAUAAAUUUUUGGGACUUAUUGUGAUGGUGAUUAAUCUUUUUCUACCUUAACUUUGAUAAGGUUAUAAUUAAAUUUUAUAUGAUUAAAGUGGUCAAUGGUUAAAUAAAUAAAUAAAUAAAACAGAUGAGGAUGGACUAAUGAAAUGACCCACCCCGAACUCCACAAGGUGAGUCUAUGUAAUAUCGUCUUACUUGACUGAUAAUAAUCUAAUUAGUAAGGAUUUUGCCGAAAAUUUGAUAGAGUCUCCACUUUGAAUAUAACAUUUCCAACCUGCAAAUGUGUAAAACAAGCACUCUCAAAUAAAUCAGUAUACAACCAACUUCAUUGAUCAACCUCCUCAACUAUAUUACUGAAUAUUACCCAAAAUAUCUACAAAGUAUCAAAAGAUUAUAUUAUACCUACUGUUGACAUAUAUUAAACUAUUUUUAAUCACAAAAAAUAUUAAAAAAUUAUAUAAUCCAAAAAAUAAGAAAUCAAAAUGCCCUGACAAUAUAAUCUAUAUCUCCUAGUACCAUCACAUGGCCAAAUUUCAAAAUACUAUAGUUGCUAAGUCAACUGGUGUCUUGCAACCUCCUGAGGGGUGGGAGCGAAUUAUAACAAAACGGGUGAGUAUAAAACUCAGUGAGCUCGGUGAGUGGAUAAUAGUUUUUGAAAAUAACUUACCAUAAAUAAUUAUACCACUUUUAUAUAUGAUUUUAUCAAACUAUAUGUAAGAAACAUGAAUAAAUUAUUUAACCUUUGAAUCAAGUAAUUGACAUUGAAAAGAAUACAUUAAGAGGUGCAUAAUAAUCAUGGAAAUUGUAUCACAAUAUAAAAUACAUGAUUAUGAAAUUAUCACAAAACAAGUACCUAAGGGAAUAAUCUUGUCGUACCUAGAGCUCAUACGGGCAAUGCAAUGACAUAUUCUCUAGGUACUGUCAUCCUCGGAGCUAGCACCGGUAGAUCAAUGAAGUGUCAUCUUAUAUAUCUUAUCAUAUCUUUGCAUGCAUAAACUAGUCCCCAAAAGACAAAGGUGUCCAAGCACAUAAUCCAAGGCCUCUAUGAGCCCCAAAGGCCCCUAUUUCAUUUGUAUCUUAGUAACUGAAUCUUUGUUAUCAUCAUAUUUCAUGCAUAAGCGCCCAAAAGGCAAAAGUGCCUAAAUAGACGGCCCAAAGCCUCCCUGUGUGUUCAGACGGGCCCCAAAGUCCUCUCAUCUCAUCUGUAUAAUUGUAAUUGGAGGGGAAGGGCAUUGUUCAACGAGUUUGAGAACAAACUUAUAUAUAUACACACAUAAACAUUUUAAUCAUACUUUAAACUCUUAUUUCCUUUUCAUUACAUACUUUAAAUUUGAUUUUCUUUUCUUUAUAUUACUCUCAUGUAUAUACUCAAAAUCGAUAAUAAAACCAAUAAUCAUACUUUUUAAUAAUAAAUAUCAAUACUUAAAUAAAACCUAUUUCUAGAAAAUCAUUAGAUCGGAGCAUUAAACACUUAUUUCCCAAACCUGCUUUACUAUACUUUAAAAUCAUAAUAAAAUAUGAAAAAUAGGUUUUGCUUAUUUCACUCACCGUGACGAUACUCAAACUCGGCUAUCAUUAAUGUCUGCAGGAUGGGUCUCACUCACUAUUCCUCCUAAAUCAAGGAUACGACAUAAUUACUUUCCAUAAAUGUGAAAUACAACUAACUGUAUGUAAUAUACUCGAAACGAACAUCUAUCCACAAUAUGCUACUCCUAUGUCUGUAACGUUACCAAAAAUACCCCCAAAAUCAUAAAUUGUCAAACAACCCUCAAAAUCAUAAAUUACCAAACUAUCCUCUAUAAAAUAUUAUUAAAAUAUCCACAAAGUCAGAAAUUAAAAAAUUACCAUCAAAAUAUAAAUUUAUCAAAAUGCCUUUGUUGGUCAAUGGUGAUCGGGAGUCAAGUGAUGGUGGUUGGAAUGGUCAAGAUAAAUGCUUUGGACCACGCUGAAUUUAAUGGUGGCAAAUUGACCAUUUCUGGUGACAUGGGUGAUUAAAAAUUGUAGAGGGUGUCGUGAGGGAGAAAACUAAGCAGUAGUGUGCCACAAGUUCGACGAAAUCCCAUCGAAUCGAGGUGGUAGUACCAAAGCUCUUCACAUUCUUGAUUGGUGGUCUUUUAGCAGUUAUUUAGUGACCAUGAUGGUUGGGGAAUGACUAGCAUUGGUUAAGGAUUCGAUCGAUACCUUCUGUUGUCGAUAGAGUGGCCGAAAAUAGUAGUUAGCGGCGGGUGGGGUUUCAAGUCUAUCAGUUAGGUUGAUAGCUCUUCCUCUCUUUGUUUUUCUCUUCCCCUCGAUUCCGUGUCAUAACAAGUUUAAACUAGUCCAAACUCGAACCAUUUAACAAGCGUGUCAAAUUUAACAACCCACACAUUUAUUCAUGUUGAGUAAUUGAGUCGUGUCAAAUCUGCCAAUAACAAUUAUAAUAAUGACUUUUAAAACUUCAAGUCAAAGAGGAGGAUAAAAUAAUGCAUUUGAUUAAACAUAAAAUGCAUAUGUUACAACUAAUCACUAUUCAAAAUAUUAAGAGUGGAGUAGCAAAUGUCAAUUUAUUUGGUUGCAGUCAAAUUUAUCCUAUGAUAAAUAGUGAUUAUUAAAUAAUAUAUAGAUCUAUUAUAUAGUCAAUUAAUAAUAUAUAUUAAUGAAAAUUUAAAAAUAAAUUAUUUAAAAAAGUCAAACUAGGUAAUGGACUUAAAUGUGAAAAUUUAAAAUAAUUUGGAGUUAUGUGUUAAAAUAUUGAAACUUUGUCAUUUUUUAAUGUGCAAGCAAAUAAUAGGGACUAUAGACUUAAUAAACUAUUAAAUCCAUCUAAGCCACUAAGCUACGUUUAUGUUAAAUCUAAUGGUUAGUAAUAGCUAAUAAGAAAAGGACAAAAAUUGGGGUAUGAUGUCACAGGGACACCAUAGUCGGACCCAUUAUUAAUGUUUAGUACAAGUAUUUUCUGAAAUAACAACUACAUAAUUAUUAUCUUAUGUAUCUAAUGAGAUUAUUAAUUUAGUAUAUUAGCCCAAGUUAGGAACGUAAGAUUUUGUUAUUUAAUCAAGUAUAUUAAUUUAUAAAACAUUCAUUUAUUGAGAUUUUAUUGUAUAUUACAUUUGCACACUUUCUUUUUAAUGUGAAGUAAAAACUAAUGUUACACAUGAACUUAUUGCUGACAACAUUAGUACAUAAUUGCUGUCAUAAGAAAAUUUAUCAAUCCAGGAAUUUUGGAUUUUAUAAAGUCUUUACAAGUGAAAAGAGUAGUUUAUAACAUUGUAAAUGUGACCUCGACCUGGAAGCGAACUCGGCUGUCAUAAAUUGAUCAAAGCCACACUUAACUUCUACUACUACUUGCAUUGUUACCACCGUCUUCAGCCUUCUGCUUUGCCCAUUCAAAAAAAAAAAAAAAUUAUAUAACUUUUGUCAGCCAACAAUUAUAAUAAACUAAAAACAUGUCCAAAGAUUCAAAAAAAAAUUUUUCCCUUUUUUUGGUUUUAGCUCCUCUGACAUAUCAAAUCCUAUUGCCGUGAAAAGUUUCCCUUGCAGCGCAUAAUUUUGCCACAGCAUCUCUCAUCUCCAUUCGCUCAGUUGGAGACUCCAUUGAGCAGGAAACCCCAAUUCCAAUUACAGCAGACAAGCAUUGCUCAGUCCUGACUCUUAUCUCUCCAUCAGUAUUUCUUGCAAUUUCCUCAGUUAGAAGUGAAGGCUCAACAAUAUUCACCACUUCUUCUGGCAAAGCCCUUUUGGCAAAUUCAUGGAGAGUUAAGCCAUCAUUGAACAUACUGUCCGUGGGCCGCUUUCCUGUGAACAUUUCUAGCAAAAGAAUUCCGAAGCUGUACACAUCACCUCGCAUGGAGACUUCGCCACCCGUACCGUACUCUGAAAAAAACAUGUUAGAUAUAUUACUCAGUUAGUUGCCACAUAUACGAGUUCUAACAAACAGCAGAUUAAUUCAAAAAAUGUAAAAUUACAAUAUCAAAAUAUCUAUCUAAAGAGGAAUAUAUAUAAUUACCUGGAGCUACAUAACCGACUGUUCCUUUUAUCCCAAUUGAGCUUGAUUGAGAUUGAGGAGCAGUCACCCACAUGGGCAACCAUGUCAUGAUCAAAAAGAAUAUUGCUGGGCUUUAGAUCACCAUGAAUUAUUGGUGGUUGACUGUGGUGGUGGAGAUACUCGAUUGCAGAAGCUACAUCAAUGGCUAUGUCCAGUCUUUGAAUGAGACUUACAUUGCACGCUUCUAGGUGAUCAUUCCUCUGAUGCAACCACUCCUCUAGACUUCCGUUUUCCAUGUAUUCGUAAACGAGAGCCUUGAAAUCAGCUCCUUUAGAAUCAAUGCUUGAGCAAAUAGUGAUGAUUUUAAUGAGAUUCCGGUGGCGAAUAUUUCUCAAAGCUUCACAUUCUGCUACAAAACUCCUGAAACCCCCUUUCUGAUUAAGAUUGAUCACCUUCACAGCAACUACCAUUCCAUUUUCACUAAAAAUUCCCUUGUAAACAAUGCCAAAGCUUCCUUGACCAAUCAUGUUUGAUGUUGAAAAUUCAUUAGUUGCCUUCCUUAGCGCCGCGUACGAGACAAAUGGGAACUUUUGUUCUAUUAGCAACGAAUUAGAAUCUUUGUGUGCUGAUCUCCUUCUUCGAGCAUAAACAACAAGAAAGCAUGCUGAUAAGAUUAAACAUGACAUAAUGACUGGAAAUAUCACUUUGACUAGGAAAGUAACUUUUGAUUUUCUUGAUCCUUUCAAAGGACAUGAUGGUAAAUGCAAUUCAUCCAACCCUCCACAAAGAUUCUCAUUCCCAACCAGUGAAAUGCUUGUCUUAUUGUGAAAAACUCCUUUUGCUGGUACCUGGCCCUCAAAAUGAUUGUAAGAAAGAUCCAAAUAUUGCAAGAAUGGUAGAUUCUCAAGAUAUUCUGGAAUCUUGCCGGACAAAUUGUUACGGGAUAGAUCUAACACUUUCAAGCUUUUCAAGGAAAUCAGAGAAAGAGGAAUCCUUCCUCCAAAGGAAUUGCCUUGCAUAUAAAGAUAUUCUAAGCUUGUACAAGCACUUAGAGUCGCAGGAAUCUCACCAAAAAAAUGGUUCAUGGAAAUAUCUAAUCGAGCGAGAUUCUUCAAGUUUCCCACCCGAAAAGGAAGAUAGCCACUGAGAAGGUUAUUAGACAAAUCUAGUUGAAAUGAAAGGGUCCUUAUUUCAAGAAUUUGUUGUGGCAAAGUUCCAUUAAGCUUAUUGUGAGAGACAAUCAAUUCCAUCAAAUUCUGACAACUUCCGAGGGAUGAGGGGAUAUUUCCUUGCAAGUUGUUGAAGUCCAGUGCAAGCUUUGUUAGUAGUGUUAGAUUACCUAGAGAGGAGGGUAUGUUCCCUUCUAAAGAGUUUCCAUACAGAUAUAGUAAUUGUAAGUUUUAAGACUACCGAUAACAUGAGGAAUAGUGCCAAUUAAUUGGUUUAAAUGUAAAGAAAAUAAAUUUAGAUUGACAAGAUUUCCUAUCCCAAGAGGUAUGGUUCCAGAUAAUUUAUUCUCCCCCAUGUCGAUUAUGGUCAUUGUUUUUGAGAGAUUGGCUAUAAAAUGCGGCAGGUUUCCUCCAAAUUGAUUCUUACGUAACUCAAGCCAUUCCAAUUUGCUACAGUUUGUCAGGGAGAAUACAAAAUCAAGGUCAUUGCUAGCCUCAGCUCCUAAAUUAUUAGCCUCAAAACUUAGCCAAGCUAGAUCCGAAAGACCGUUAAAAUCUAUGCUCACUUUUCCUGUGAAAUGAUUUUGUCCAAGGUUAAGCUCUAUGAGAUUUGAAGCAUUGGACAAUGAAUGUGGGAUAGGUCCUGUCAGAUUGUUUUGAGCUACAAUAAGAGAUUUCAGGUUUGGAAGAUUGAAACCUAUAUUAAGGGGAAGAAUACCUUCGAGUCUGUUUGACGGUAGAAAAAUCAUCUCAAGCGAUGAGAUGUUGUAAAUUGAAACAGGAACCAUACCGGAGAAAUUAUUUUCUUCUACGUUAAGAAACUUUAAGCUUCUUAAUUGACCAAGACUUUCAGGAAUUCUCCCGUGCAGUGUAUUCUCUCCAACAUCAAAUGCCUGCAGAGCAGAAAGAUUCCCAAUGGAAGCAGGGAGCUGUCCUCUCAAAUGAUUGACAGCAAUGGACAGUUUCUCAAGCUUCGACCAGCUGCUGUAACCGAUAUCAGCUGGAAUUUCUCCCACGAGGUUGUUUUUAUGGGAUAAAAAGUUGAUGAGGUUGGAGCAACGGGACAAAUUUGUUGGUAUUUUCCCUGAAAAAGAAUUAUUUGCCACGACUAGAGUUUCAAGUCUGGAAAGACGACCAACCUCAUCCGGAAUUUCGCCAUCGAAAUUGUUGUCUCCCAGGUGGAUUAACUUGAGGAAGCUAAGAUUGCCAACAUAAGGAGACAAGGUACCUCCUAGACUUUGGUUCCUCAGAUACAACUCGGUUACCCUUUGAUGCCGACGACCACAAGUCACUCCUGUCCACUGGCAUAAGUUUACAGAAGUGUCCCACGAACUUGUUACUUCUAGUGGAUCAUGGAACUGUGACUUUAUAGCAAGUAAUGCUAGACGAUCUGUCUCGUUUGUGUGGACAGAAAAGCUGUGUGAACUAAGCAACAAACUGAAGCACCAUAUAAGAGUUGCAAGGCUGGUAGUGGUAGUAAAAAUGGAGCUAAACAUGUUUAGCGGCUGCAGGGUAUAAGAUAAUAAGACUAAUGAAAAGCGUGGCGUGAUCGUUGAAGUUCAUGUGAAGGGUUUUUAAAGUCGAAAAAUGAGUGUACGGUAAAAUCUCUUUAUAGUUAUAAUAUGAAGAGUAAAUUAUUUUUAUGAGAAGGUUAUAAUUUAAUUAAGGUUUAGUUAAAAAAACUUAUUAUUUUGGUAUAGUUAACCUUAGUGCAAGUGACAUAGAGAUAAAGUAUGCUUUAUAUUAAUAGUCAACUGCUAGAACACGUCAAAUUGAAUAUAUAAACAUUGACAAAAGAGAUAGACAUAAUUUCAAAAAGCUAUCAUAAAUUUUUUACAAUAUAAAGGUAGUUAUUAUUAUUUUAUGGAGGCAAGUUCAUGAAGAGGAAUUUAAAAAAAUUUAGACUGUUACAAUAUAAAAUUUAGGGCUUGUUUGGGAUUGUUUUUGGGAGACUCAAAAGAUAUUUUGAAAAGUUAAAAAUUAAUUUUAAUAUUUGAUAUAUUUUUUAAGAAUUAGUUUUGAAAAAAUUACUCUAUCGUACAAUAGAUUUUAAAAAGUAAAGAAUAGUUUUUUAAAAGAUGAUUUUGAAAAUCAUUCUUAUAUUGAAUACAAGUUUAUAUAUAUUCUCAUUUAUAUUAUAAAAAUUCAAAAUUAUCCUUUUUAAUUAAGAAGUAGAAUCAUUAAAUUUUAAAAGAUAUUAUUACUACCACUUAUAUUGAGAUAACUAAAUUAAAAUUAAAAUUAAUAAUAUAAAACAUUUAUUUUAGCUAUCAAUUAUUAUAUGUUAUAAAAAAAUUUUAUACACAUAUUUAUAAAUGUUUAAAUAAAUUUUAACUAACAUUAUAUCUAAUUGAGUCAUUUACAUGAUUACAACAAUUUAACGUCAAGAUUUAUCAAACUAAUUGUUUUUAAAAAUCACAAUACUUUUAAAAAUUUAUUUUACUAAAUGUUUAACUGAUUUCGUCGUAGCUGAUUAUUUCUAUAUUACAAUCAAUAAUAAUUAUUUUAAAAAUUAUAGUAUUACCAAACUAACCCAUAUUCUUAUUUAUAACCGAUCAAAUUGUUACCGAGAUUUUUAAAAUUAUGUGAAAAUGACUUUUAUGGAAUAUCAUUGUAAAAGAAUUUUAUCAAUACAUAUAUUUUUUUCAACUGCGGCUGCGGGAUUAGGCAAGGCUAAUGAAAGCUUUUGUUAAAAAUGUGUGGGUGGUCGUUAAAAGUCACGGGCACUCCAGUUCCUUGAUUAGAUUGAUUCUCGUCGUUGUUCUGAGUGCAAGUUGCCUUAGCACUUUCGUGAGUGAAUGAGAUUUUUCCUUUGUUGCUUUGGCAAGAGGUCGCUUUGGUGUGAUGUCAACUUGUGAAAUAGUCAAGGGUCUUUGGCUCUUUGCUACCUUUACAUCGCAUGCAAAGAUUUGACAAGUGAGCAAUUAGAAUUUCUCUACCUUUACGAUAGAGAAAAGCGAAAACAGUUCCCGUCCGGUCACACAACUGGCUUCAAGAGUUCCUCGCUGGUUGCAAAAAUUAAUUUCUUUUUAAUCUUUGUAAUUUGUUACAUAAAUAAAAAACAAUUUUUGAAAUAAAAAUGAUAAAUAUAGUUGAACCUCAAUGAAUUGAUUACCAGGAUUAAAUAAUAGUUUUUAUUGGUCUCAAAUUGGGUCAACAUAUUAAAUUAAUAAUUUGAUAAAUUUAUUAAUAAUAAAAAUAAAUAUUUUAUAUUUACUAAAAUAUUAAGACUGAUCUACUAUAUAAAUUAAUAAUUUAUUAACUUGAAACUAAGGUACUGUUCAUUUUUUAACUUAAUGAAUUAAUUGAUUAAUUUUAAUUAAACCAUUGAAUCUUUUCAUUUUUUUCAACCUAAUGAAAUUUUAAUGUAAAUUGUGCAAAUUCUUGUAGUAUUAAGGGAAAAAGAUAUCUACACCCAAAGGUUUAGAGAAAAAGUCAAGUAAAUCCUUAAGUUUUCAAUAAGGAAUAUCAAAACUCCCUUUAAUUGUAAUAUCUUUUGUAAAUAGUAAUUAAAAAUUUUACUUCAAAAUUUUUUAAUAAACACAAAUAUAAUUUAAACAGUUUAAUUUGUCAAGUAGACUAAUAAUAUUAGGAUAUUUUUAAUAUAUAAUAUAAUUUUUAAAGUGUAAAUUAGUGUAUUUAUUUUAAUAAUAUAUGUUAUUUAUUAUAAAAUUUUAAUUAAAUGUUUCGGUUAAAUUGAUUUUAUAGUUAAUAAAAUAUAUCUCAUGUAUUCAUAAUAUCUAAAUUAUUUUAUAUAAUAUUCAAAAUAAUGUAAAUUUUUAAAAAAUUUGUUAUAAAAUUUAGUUUAAUAUAAUAUAAGAUUGUAAAGUAUUAAAAUAUUUUUUAAAUAUUAAAAUUACCUUAAAAUGUUUAUAUUAUUAUAUUUAUUUUAAUAUUAUAUUUCUAUUUAAUAUAAAACAUUAGAGUUAAUUUUUUUUGAAUUAAUAGAACCAAAAGUUAUUAUAGUCAAAAGAGAAUUUUAAUAUCUUUUAUUAAGAACUUGAAAUUUAUAUGAUUAUUUUUCUAAAUUUUGAAGGUAUAAAUAUCAUUUCUCAUAUUAUUAAUGUCGCUUUAAAAUAGAGUACCCAAUAUUUCUAGUUCACCAAUUAUUGAAAAACAUUUUGACUCAUUACAGCCUGUUAUUAGUUUUGGUCAUAUUAUUUUCCAUCACUCGGUUAUUGAUUUUCAAAUCUACCGAUUAGUAACUAUUCUUAGGCCAUAAAUAAUAUUGAGGUACUAUAACUUUUAAGUUAUAGUUAUUAUAAAAAAAGUAUAAUAAUGAAAUAAUAAUUUAUAAUUUAUAAUAAAUAUAAUUUUUAAAUAAUAAUUUUAAUAAAAAUACAAUAAAAUUAUUAAAUUUUUUCAUGUAAGUAUAAAAUUAAAUUAAUUUAAUUUUUAAACUAUAAUAAUUAGUAUAUUUUAUAGAUGUCCAAUCUCAAUUUUAAUCACAGCCUUAAUAAUAUAAGUUAGCCAUGGCCAAAAAAUCAAAUAUCAAUUGUCAAACCUGCUGUGUACGCUAUGUUGCCGUGUACGCUAUGUUUAAGUCUAGCUGUGUGGAAUUUGUUUGUCCAUGUAUUUUAUAGACUUCAUUGAUCCAAUUCCAAUCUUUUUUCCUGUGGAAAACCCUCUUUUUCCGCAAAUCAAUUAAAUCAAUCAUGGAAUUAAAUACUAUACGGGAUAUUGGUGUAAAUAUUUGAAGAUGAAGCCACGUUUGGAAGACAUGUUCGCAUGUUCAAUAAAUGCAAAAACAGCCAGUUCUGUGCAUGGCUUUAAUGCAUGCAUCGAGAGUAGUAACUUCCACGUGAUGGCAAGUUGACGAUUGGCAAUUGGUGCUCCUUUUGUCAAGAUUUGCUUGAGAUAGCGGCUGUUUCACUAGAUUUUUUACCGUAAAGUUUGAUUUCUCAAUCCAUCCUGAUACUAUAAAUAGAGCUUAAUAUAUUCUCGAGAGUAAAUCAUCCCGUUUGCGAGGGAUAAAAGUUUAUUUAGUCCCUAUAUUUUAAGAUUAGUGUCUAUUUAGUUUUUAUAUUUUUAAAAAUAUUUUGAAACAUCUCUACUGUUAAAGUAUUGAUACCCCUAUUGUUACUUUUUAUUUUUUAUUUACUUUUACAAUAUUAUCUUUUUAUAAUAAUGUUUUUGUUUAGACAUUAAUUAAAAAAUAAUUAAAUUAUCAAUUUAAUUCUAAAAAAUAAAAAUAAAAAAUUACAUUAAUUUUUAAUUGUCAAAAAUUAAAUUAUCAAAAAAGUCAAAAAUUAUAUACAAACUACCAAGCGUGCAAAUAGUACUUGCAAAAAAAUUAAUAAAUUUUUUAUUUUUAUUUUUUAGGAUUAAAUUGAUAAUUUAAUUAUUUUUUUUAUUAAUAUCCAAAUAAAAAAAUUAUUAUAAAAAGAUAAUAUUGUAAAAGUAAGCCAAAAGAAAUAAAAAAUAACGGCAGAGAUAUUAAUACUUUAACGGUAUGAAUGUUUCGAGGUAUUUUUAAAAAUACAAGAAUUAAAUAAAUACUAAUUAUAAAAUAUAGAGACUAAAUGAACUUUUACCCGUUUGCGAGAGUUGCGAGCAUUUAAAUAUUGAUGGGCAAACAGAUCAGCUGUCAACAACUCAUUCCUAUAAUCCCAUGUGAGUAAUUCACAUUGAGUACUGCACGUGACGCCUGUUUCUCUACUUUUCAUGUUAACAUUAUUUUCAGUAGCAGCCGGUUAUGUAGGCAACAUUUCAAAAUUAAUUAAAAAAUAAAAAUUAGUUCAGCUGACUAAAUUUGAGAGAAUGAAUUUACUGUUGGUUAAAAAUUAUUUUGCAGCAAAAUUUUUGAAUCGUAACUCUUUUACAAUAUAUAGAAUUAUCAUAAUUUAUAAAUUACAUCUUUGCUUUUUUUGUGAUAGUAAUUCAGAUUCUCAAGUUACGAUUUAAACUGAAAAAAUAAAACUAUGAGUAAGAAUUGUUUUAUGAGAAUUAAAAUAAUUGAUAAAUAACUGAGAGGGAUAAUUUUGAAAGAUUUAAAUUCUAAUAUGAUAACAAUUUUAAUUUUUCACCCUCUGGUAAGGAAUCGAAAAUCACAAUUUAUUAGAUUAGCACAUAAAAUAAUUGAGUAUUCAGAAUAAUUUUUGAAGUACAAAUAAUUGGACCCUAAUAUUUUUAAUAUAUGAAAAUCUUACUAAUAUGUUGAUGAGAAUUAAAUUAAUAAUUAAGGGAGACAUUAAGACAUUUAGAAUAGUUGAGAUGAGACCGGAUUUUACGUUAUCCGAAAUUGAUCCUAAUUUUGAUCACAAAUGUAUUAAAAAGACGAGUUUCGGUCCAUAAUUAUGUGCCAUUUGAGUAAUUAAAAUGGGAAUGUGAUUGUCGAAUUCCAAACUUUCCCGAACCAUUGCCAUCUUUACCCAAAACACUAAAAAUAUCUAAAGAAAAGUCUGCACCUAUUCCAUUUUUUUUUAUCAAAUAGGAAAGAGCCCUCACGUGGCGUGAACUGGUAUCCUAAAUAAUUUUAAGAGUAUCAGCCCAUGAUUGGGUUUGUGACAAAUAAAUUACAUAUUUGAGGUACAUAGUUAUUGGUGUCCUAGUUUAGGUGGCACCUACCAUUUAUUGCACAUAUAAGGUAUUAAUUGACUUAAUUAAUAUACAAAGUUUAAAAUCUAAUUAAUUAGCGACACAAAUGCCAAGUACAGUAUAUGUAAAUCAUAUUUGUCGAUUAUCACAAAACGAGCUCUUGAAAAUAAGUAAGAAAGCUUAAUUUGUUGAAAUGAACUCAAACUCGUCAAUCGAUUUGUCGUCUAAAGGUUGGAAAAAUGAGUGAUAUGUCAUUUCAAGCUGAUCAUGGAUCCAGAACCGACGACUUGGUGCUGUUGUUCAAGGUCGUUAAACUCUCACGUGAAUAACAUACGCCUGUCUUAAGUCUAAAACGGCACGCCUUGUCGUCGUUUUAGGAAGGGUUUAAGUUUCACGUGAAAGGCUCUUGAUCAAGCAGUUAAGUUUGUCGGUUUUGGAGGGAAUCAUCUGGAUCUGUAACACCAACAGCAGCUGAUAUAUAUGUUGGUUCUGGUUUCAUCUAGAUCGAUUGAAGAGAGAGUGAUAAGGAAGCAUUAGAGAGAGUGAAACUUUUCUGGGUGUUCUCUGUAUUGUGUUUGUCACCUUUGUAACCAUUGAAGCUUAAUAAAAUUACUCCCUGAGUUGUUUUCUCCAGUGCACGUAGGCACUGUUAAAGGUGCUGAACCACUUAAGUCUUUGUGUGUUCUUGAUUCUUUGUGUUGAUUUUUCUUUGAUCUGGUGAUUGUUACGACUUGCUUAGACUUGGUUCUUAAAUCUUAGAGUCUUAAUUAGAUCUUGGGGUGAGAUAAAUCUGGUGUAAAGAGGGUUUGUUUCACAACAAUUGGUAUCAGAGCUUUAAUUCUGAUUCCAAGGUUCAAGAAUGGCUUCAAAGGUGGAUCUUGAGAAGUUUACAGGGCAAAAUGACUUUAAUAUGUGGAAGAUCAAGAUGGAGGCUUUGUUGAUCACUCAGGGUCUGGGAGAUGCCAUAGAGCUAGUCUCUAAACUUGAAGGAAAUGAAGCUUCAUCAUCCAAGACUCCAGAACAAGCAGUAGAGAUAGACAAGAAUGCUAGAAGCACAAUUAUUAUGAGUAUGGGUGACUCUGUAAUCAGAAAAGUGGCAAAAGAAAAGAUUGUUGCUGGUUUAUGGGCCAAGUUGGAGAAUUUGUAUUUGACAAAGUCUUUAGCUAAUAGGCUUUACAUCAAGAAGAAGAUGUUCUCACUAAAGAUGAUUGAAGGAGCAUUACUUGAUGAGCAUAUAGAUGAGUUCAAUAAGGUUUGUGAUGAAUUGGAAACCAUUGAUGAAAACUGAGUGAUGAGAGCAAGGCUCUGCUGUUAAUUAGUUCUUUACCAGAGUCAUACGAGCACUUUGUGGAUGCCUUGUUAUAUGGGAGACAAACACUCUCUCUGGAAGAGGUUAAAUCUACUCUUGGCACCAAGAAGUUGAAAGACAAGCAAGAUAAUCCAGAAAGUGAAUCAAGUGAGGGGUUGAUGGUUAGAGGCAGAUCUGAAAAAAAGGGAAAACAAGGGAAAUAAACAAGGCAGAUCAAAGUCCAAAUAGAAGCAUUUGAAGUGUUUUCAUUGCCAUAAAGAAUGGCAUUUAAAAAGAGAUUGCCCUGAAAGAAAGAACAAAAAUAAAGAAACCAAGGAAAAGACAAGAAAUGCAGCCAUAACCACAAAAGUUCCAAGCUUUGAAACAACUGGAGUGCUCAUUGCCUCAAAUGAAAAAUUUCAAGGUCACUGGGUUCUUGACUCAGGUUGUACCUUCCAUGUGUCCAAAUAGAAGCUAUAUUACUACAUAUCAGUUGUGUGAUGGGGUAUGAUUUUAAUGGGUAAUAACUAAAUGUGUAAAGUGGUUGGUAUUGGGAUUGUUAGCCUUAAAAAGUUUGAUGGUGUGGUGAAGGAAUUAACACAUGUUAGGUUUGUUCCUGACUUGAAAAGAAACUUGAUCUCAAUUGGCAUGCUAGAUCCAAUAGGUUGUGUCAUUAGGGCUAAAAAAUAAGUGUUGAGGAUAAUUAAAGGCUCAAUGGUGAUUAUGAAAUGUAUAAAAGAAAAUAGCUUGUAUGUGUUGGAUGGACAUACUGCUGUUGGAGAGGCAAGUGUAACUGAUAGUGGUGGGAACAAAUUAGUGUUGUGGCAUUUUAGGCUGGGGCAUAUGAGUGAGAGAGGCUUAAAAGAACUACAAUGGAACAUUGAGGAUAGAUAAUGGCUUGAAGGUGAAAACAUUGAGGACAGAUAAUGGCUUGGAGUACUGUAAUAAGUUGUUUGAAGGAGUACUGUGAGAAGAAAGGGAUUUAGAGGCACAAAACUAUCACCUAUACUCCUCAACCAAAUGGCCUUGCUAAGAGGAUGAACAGAACCUUGGUGGAGAAAGUAAGGUGCAUGUUGAUCUACUCUAAACUUCCAAAAACUCUAUGGGUAGAAACUUUAAACAUUGUAUGCUAUCUAGUCAAUAGGAGCCCAUCAACUGCCAUAAGAUGUAAAAAACCAAUGGAACUGUGGUUAGGAAGAAUAGCUGACUAUUCAAAACUCAAAAUCUUUGGCUGCAUAGCAUAUGCUCAUGUAAAGUAAGGUAAGCUGGAACCAAGAGCAUUAAAGUGUAGGUUUCUAGGGUAUCCAGAAGGUGUCAAAGGCUAUAGAUUGUUGUGUGUUGAUUCCAAGCCACCUCAGUGUCUAAUAAAUAGAGAUGUAACUUUCCAUGAAGAUGAGAUCUUGAAUCAAUCAAGGAGUCUUGUCAACGGCUCUGAAUUAGGUGAUGAGUCUAAUAAAGUGAAGUUUCAAGUGGAGCCUCAUACCUUGAAAAAGCUUGAUCUAGAAAUUAAGAGUGCUAAAAAAGAACUUGAAGCUGGUGUUGAGCAUGAAUCAGUAGAAAGUGAAGAGGACACCUAUCAAUUGGUAAGAGACAGAAAAAGAAAGAUUAUUAGACCACCUAAGAGAUAUGCAAUGGCUGAUUUAAUUGCAUAUGAUUUGACUGUUACUCAAAAGUUGAAUGUUGAUGAACUAGGACUUAUCAAGAAGCUAUCACAAGCAAAAGCAAGAUGGAAUGGAGGAAGGCAAUGGAUGAGGAGAUGGCAUCUCUAAUGAAGAAUAAAACUUGGGAAAUGAUUAUAAAACCAUAAAAGAGGAAGAUAGUAAGCUAUAAAUAAAUCUUCAAGAUAAAAAAAAAAGGGAUAUCUGGUGCUGAGCCUAGAAUAUGUAAAGCUAAACUGGUGGCAAGGGGUUUCACACAAAAGGAAGGUAUUGACUUCACUGAAGUUUUAUCCCCAGUGGUGAGACAUGCUUCCAUCAAAAUUAUUCUUGCACUUGUUGUUGUUCAGGACAUGUAUCUUGAGCAAAUGGAUGUCAAAACAACUUUUUUGCAUGGUAAGUUACAAGAAUAGAUUAUAAUGCAGCAGCCAAAGCGUAUGUGGUUUUUGGUAAAGAAGAUCAUGUUUGUUAUUUAAGAAGUCUCUAUAUGGUUUGAAGCAAUCACCUAGACAAUGGUAUUUGAGGUUUGACAACUUCAUGAUAACACAUGCCUUUAAUAAAUGCAGUUAUAAUUGUUGUGUGUAUUUCAAGAAGAUAAGUGGAGGAAGGAUGAUAUAUCUCUUAGUGCAUGCAGAUGAUAUGCUGAUUGCAUGUCAUGACAAGAAAGAAAAUGAUCAUCUGAAGAAACUCUUAAGCAGGGAAUUUGAAAUGAAGGAACUUGGGGAACCUAAGAGGAUUUUAGGGAUGGAUAUUAUCAGGGAUAGGAGCAAGAAGGUUUUGUUUUUAACUCAACAGAGCUACAUUAAAAGGGUUCUAGUGAGGUUUGGAAUAAAUGAUGCGAAGCAAGUGCAGACACCAUUGGCAAACCAUUUCAAGUUGUCUGCUGCACAAUGCCCCCAAACUGAUGCAGAACAAUAGAAAAUGGCUUGUAUACCCUACUCAAGUGUUGUGGGUAGCCUCAUGUACGCCAUGGUACUCACCAGGCCUAAUAUCUCACAUGCUGUGAGUAUGGUAAGUAGGUUUAUGGCAAAUCUAGGCUAGGAACAUUGGAAAGUUGUUCAGUGGAUUAUGAGAUACCUCAAAGGGACUUUGGAGGUUACUUUGAUUUAUGGUGGAAAGGAUAGCAAUGGACACACAUUGAUUGGUUAUGUAGAUGUUGACUUUGCUGGUGACCUUGAUAAAAAGAAGUCACAAACAGGGUAUAUGUUUACUCUGGGGGGAUGCACAGUUAGCUGGAAAGCAACAUUACAGAACAUAGUGGCUUUGUCCACUACAGAGGCAGAGUAUACUGCAGCAGCUGAAGCCUUUAAAGAAGCCAUUUUGCUGAAAGGCAUGAUAACUGAGCUAGGAGCUGAGCAAGGGACUAUAACAGUAUACAGUGAUAGCAAGAGUGCCAUACAUCUUAGUAAAAAUCAAACUCAUCACGAGAAGACAAAACAUAUAGAUGUUAAGUUACACUUUGUGAGACUUGAAGUGUCAAGGGGGGCUGUUAAGUUGCUGAAAAUUCAUACUGAAGAAAAUCUAGCUGACAUGUUAACCAAGGUUGUUCCCACUACCAAGUUCAUCCUUUGCAUGUAUUUAGCAGGAAUCUGCAGGUUUUAAGAAGCUGCAGAUGAGGAGAAAACAAACAAAGAAGAGGGAGCUAUGAGUGUUGGGUUCAAGGUGGAGAUUGUUAAAAUAAACUCCAAUGAACUCAAACUCGUCAAUUGAUUUGUCGUUUAAAGGUUGGAAAAACGAGUGACAUGUCAUUUCAAGCUUAUCAUGGAUCCAGAACCGACAACUUGGUGCUAUCGUCCAAGGUCAUUAAACUCUCACGUGAGUAACAGAUGCAUGUCUUAAGUCUAAACGGCACGCCUUGUCGUCGUUUUCGGAAGGGCUUAAGUUUCACGUGAAAGGCUCUUGAUCAAGCAGUUAAGUUUGUUGGUUUUGGAGGGAAUCAUCUGGAUCUGUAAUGCCAGCAGCAGCUGAUAUAUAUGCUGGUUCUGGUUUCAUCUAGAUCGAUUGAAGAGAGAGUGAUAAGGAAGCAUUAGAGAGAGUGAAACUUUUCUGAGUGUUCCAUGUAUUGUGUUUGUCACCUCUGUAACCAUUGAAGCUUAAUAAAAUUACUCCAUGAGUUGUGUUCUCCAAUGGAUGUAGGCAUUGUUAAAAGUGCUGAACCACUUAAGUCUUUGUGUUCUUGAUUCUUUGUGUUGCUUUUUCUUUGAUCUGGCGAUUGUUACGACUUGCUUAGAGUUGGUUCUUAAAUCUUAGAGUCUUAAUUAGAUCUUGGGGUGAAAUAAAUCUAGUGUAAAGAGGGUUUGUUUCACAACAUAAUUAAUAACUUAAAAUUAAAGGAAUUAGAUUGAGAAUAGUCUUUUUUUUAGGAUGGAGGCUCCUAAAUCUUCAAGAAUCAUUAUGUGCUUAUUAAAAUUUCAAAAUCAUUUGGAUUAUGACAUAGCAAAAAUUUGAUAGUACACAUGUUGGAAUACACCAAUUCAUAGAUGCAUUUGAUUAUUGUUUUCAUAAAUUUUAACUAGGAAGGAUGACAUGAUAAAAUUUGAUUUUAUUGUAUGGUUGAUUUCAUAUUUCAUGUGCUCAUUUCUUAAUAUAAUCAAAUUUGAUCUAGCAUAUUUUGCAACUGUAUAAAUAUCAAUUAUGAUCAAUCAAAAUGAUUUCAACACCUUUCAACCAGACAUAUUUAUAAUACAAUAUUGUCAAACUUACACCAGAAAUUUAGUUUAUUACAUAUUAUUAUCCAAUGAGCACACAAAAAUGAAUUUGUACAAAUUUAGUUUUGGAAUGCUGUAGCUCUUAAAAUAAUUGUUGUUAGUUGUGCUAUAGAAAUAAUUUACUGUGAAAAGAAUCAGUUAAUUGUUGGGUAAAUUUUAUUUUCAGAAAUACUGUGAGUUUUGAAAACAGUUACGGAAAUUUGGUAAAUUUUACUGUUAAAUUGCUGAAAGAAAACAAAUGAUUAAAAUGUAUAUAAUGUAGAAUAAAAUUUACUUAUACAUAUAAAAAUAUGUACAUAUAAUAUUUUUAAUUAUAUAUUAUAAUAAUUUUUACUAAAAAUAAAAUUUAUAAUAUAUUGAUUUUUUUUUAUAUUUUUACCUUAAAAUAAUUGUUAAUUAAAUUUGUAAUAUAGUGAAACAAGUUUAAUAAUAAUUCGACCAACAAAUUGAUAUUAAUAAAUUUAUAUUGAUGAAUUACAAUAAAAAUUUAUUAAAAUAUUAUUUUUUUCAAUUUCAAUAAGGAUAAUUUUGGAUUUACAUAAUAAUUUUGAAGAUAUUUAUAAAAUUAUAUUAAAAGAUAAAAUUAAUUCUCAAAAUCAGAAUCUAAAAAAUACUCCAUCCCUACUUUUCAAAAUCAACUAUAGAAGAAGUUGAUUUUGACAAAAAUAAUUUAAAUUUUUUUACUAAAUACUAAAAUUAACUUUUAAUUUUUUAAAAUUAAUUUUAAACCACAAAUUCAGACGACCCUUAAACCAAUUUUGCAAAAGCAGCCGUUACAUGUAUCACCAACUUUUUAACAGUCAGCUGCUUUUGUGACCGUUAUGCGACGGCUAGACUGCUGUCACUUAUGUUACUAUCACGUGACGGUUAAGAGCCAAUUGGCAUACUAUUUUUUUAAAGUUUUAAAUUUGUUUCUAAAUAGAAAACUAUUCGCUGGUGUCAAUAUUUUGAAAACCAAAGUCCCAAAUUCUCUCUUGUGCGUGCCGGGCCAGCAUCCUAAACCUUACUGGUUGCCGGAGAAUGGCGUAAAACGGCGGUGAUCUUCUUCUUCAUCUUAUUCUCUCUCAUCGUUUCAGGUAAGCUUGUGAUAAUGAGUUUCUUGUCUUUCUUAGCUUGUAAUUAUAGAUUUUGAUUUUUUAAUUCGUAUUGUAGCCGUUAAUGUAAAUUUUUGUCCCGCUGGCAAAUUUUUUUGUUCCUACAAGUUGAAGCCCUUCUGUUCUUGUUCCAUUGGUGACUUUGCUCACUCAAAUUAAUUUCGUUCGGCGGAAUUUACAAAGUUCAAAUGGAUUCAUUUGGAUUACUAUUGAAUUUAGCUUUCAUUUCUACAUUCAUUCUAAUGUUUUACAAUUAUGUAUUUAGAUUUACUUUGAUUUUAUGUUUAAAGCUUCUACAUUGAAUAGCUGAGCUUGGGUCUUAGUUUCAUUUUCUAAUUAACUUGUUUUGGUUUAUCUUAUAUGCUCACCAAGGGCUUGUUAUAUUGUCAGAUAAGUUAUAUAACAUUGCUGAUUCUAUAUUAAUAACGUCAUGUUUUAUUUUCAGAAAUUAUAAUAUAAAAGUUUUUACAAUGGCAAGCAUCUACAAACUGAAUUGAUUUGUAGAAUAAGAGCUUCGAGUAGUGUUAUGAUCUUGAAUAAAUGAAAGUUCAUAUUGUGUAAGAGCAUGUAGAUGUAAAGCAUCAUUACCAUUUCUGCAAAGUGCUUUCAUUCUGUUCAGAUGCUUCUCUUGAACUUUGAAAUGUGCCUCGUUGAAGUCCUAGCUAUAACUACUAGCUUUGAUUAAUUAAGUUCCUAUACUAGCUGAAACAGAUUUAUUUAAUUAAUUAAUUGUGUAUGUACUAAUUAUAUUGAAAGUAUUUGAAAACUUUUUUAUCAUGAAUGACUUCUAAAUGACUUAAAAACCUAAAGGAUAUGUGAAAUAAUGCUCAUUUCACUUGAACGAGCCUAUUAAUACUUGUAUGUCUAUGAUUGUUAAUAUUGGCUUAAGCGUUUCAGUUAAAUGGUUUACAUAACAAGGAAAAUAAUUUAAUGGAAAACUUUCGAGUUCUAACAGAAAUAUAAUUGACUAUGCAGAUAUAGUUAUUUUAUGGUAAUACAAAUCAUGUUGCCUUAAUCUCAAUGUCCUAUGACCUAUUUUAUUUUAUAGAGUCAUUCAUUUUUGCCAUGGCUUUUUGUGUUUAUAAGUAUGGAAAUAGUGGGAUUUGGUGUAUCUUAGCAUCUUUGGAAAAUUCUCUUUAAAUGUGGCAAACAAAAAUAUACAUAUAAUCAAGUUUGUUAAUCAACUAUCAUAACUGGCUAGCUAGUUCUUGCCUGCCUUGCUGCCAUUACCCAGGCCAUUACAUUGCAUAGCAUAAGGAAUAGUGAUUAGGUGAUUAUUAGUGACUCGUUGAGCUUAUUAUUGACCAAACAAACAUAUUCCCCUUUACCCACAACUUAGUUUGAUUAGUUAUUAGACCAUAAAGAGCGUUAAUCUGUUCAUUGGCUUUGUUAUUUUUAUUAGGUUUUUCUGUCAACAAAACUGUUGAUUUCUUAUAAAAAUAUUCAUUGAUUUUUAAACACCUAAUCAUUGGCUAUAAUGAAGCUAAUUGAAACUGAGGCUUUGGAUCAAUUUCUUCUAGCAAGAUACAAAUGAGCAGAACCUAUAUCCUCUAAGUAAAUUUUUCUAAUAUCCUUGAUUUGGUAGUAUCUGGCGGCCUGAAAUCCUCUAGAUUUUUUUAACACUGUCAAUGUUCUUUUUACUCUUAAAAGGGAAAAAAAAGGUUAUAUCUUUCAUACCCUAAUAGUAAGUUGGCCUUGACUUAACAUGCCUUCCUGAGGAUUUCCAAGAUUCACAAGCAGCCCCCCCCCAAAAAAAAAAAACAAAUAUGAUUUUGCAAGAUUCACAACCAGGCUAUAUUUAAUUUAUUGAUUGUGUGCACGUACUAGUUAUAUGUUGAAAGAAUAGGAAAAAGUAUUUUAACAUGAAUGACUUAAAACUUAUUGCUCAGUAAACAAAAUCUGCAUCAGUGCUAGAAAAUGUAUUUAUUGUUUGUAUUUUUUAUGGAUUUGCUUAAGAAAUGAUACGCGAAAUAAUGCUACAUUGUAUUAGGAAUAAAUUGAAGAGAUUUAUGUGUUAUUUAAAUUUCAGAUUGAAUUUUAAACUUUCAAUACAUGCAUUGAAAGCUUAGAUUGUUUAAGAAAUUAUUAAUAGACACAUGUUUUAUUAGUGUCAUCUAUGGAUGAUAGUGAGGAUCAUAUGUCUAUUAAUAAUUCUUGAAUUGUCUAGGCUUGAACUGUUUGGGAAUGCAUAGUUUUCUAUGGUAGCUAGUAGCUGAAGUUUUUUUCCCACGUAAAAAUGGGUUUUUCGCUGGCUGCUUCUCAUCUUCUGUGGGUGCAUACUAGAUAACACAUAAACACUCAUAUAUCUAUGUCGUGUGCUUGGAGAACUAUAGGGAGAUGCUGCCGAAAUUUCUAUAAACGUAGAAAUCCCAUUGGACCACUUACCUUUUGUAAAUAUGAAGGGAGUGUUGGACAUAUUGAUGGGAGUGAAGGAGCUGAGUUGGAUGGAUGUAAUCGGUUAUGGUUUUGCUGAGUUAACUUGGCUUUGAGCUUGUAAUUUUGUUUAUAAAUGGAGUACUAUCUCCAAUGUUGGUUUAUAAAUAUGUUUCAGCUGGCUGACCUAAUUUUUUGUUUCUAGGUAACAGGCUUUAUAUCUGUAAUUGAUAGCCAACUGAAGUUCUCAACUGUGGGUGAGAAUAUUUCUUUACAGAAGGUAUUGGAAACUGUUUUUUACGUUAAUUAUUGUUGUAUAUAUACUUUAAUUUUCACAUCUUUUUCUCUGAUUCUUGUCGCUUUGCUUGCUUUCAUAUGUAUAACUAAAAUGAUUUAUCUAACUAAUUUUUGUAGUGCAUUAAACGGAGAUGGUAAUGGAGAAGAGUUGGGUUGGUUUGGCAAAUUGAUAUCCAAGUUAUAUACUGAUGGGGUUGAAAAAUUUAUAGAUUUUGCAUUUGAGAAUGUUGUUGGUGAGGCAAGAAUUUAUUAUCCUUGUAAGAACUGUCGAAUCUUUCGUUUUAAGGGAAGUUGCAAGAGACCAUAUCAUUAUAAAUGGUUUUUGGUUAAAGUAUUAAAACUGGAUAUUGCAUGGUGAGCCAUCUUCAUCUUUGGAAUCUAACCAAGAAACAGGUUAGUCAUGACUCGGGUGCUGAUGAUGAUAUGGUUGGAAUGAUACAUGAUACAUCACGUAAUCAAAUAUUCAAUUCACACACAGCAUUGUUAUGGACUAUCAGUGACUUUCUAGCACAUGCCAACUUGUCUGAGUGGAGUAUUAAAGGUAAAUAAGCAUUCUUGUUUGCCAACAAAACACUAGAUCUAAUUGGUUGAUACAUAGUAGAAAAUUUUGUCACGUCGGUAACGUCGAUUUUUACCGACGAAUUAUAGGUUUCGAAAAUAUAGUGCCUUUUGAUAAAUCUAGAGAGUGGGGACAAGCACCUUCUCGGAUGUCUGGAGCUGAAGUGAAAAAGCAGUUGAAUAAUAUCCUUACUGAGUUUAAGAUUGAAGACUUGAAAAGUGGAGAAUGAAAAAAAUGAGAGAAAUGACAAGAUUACUUGGAAGAAGAAAAUCAUAUUUUAUGAACUACCGUGUUGGGAGUUCAAUUUGAUUCAUCAUAAAAUGUGAGACAUGAGGGAGAGACAAAAGCUCAGGCUUGUCUGCAACCAUGUGGGCCCUCAUAAGCAAUUCGUGUACACAACUUGGUUCACCAAGCCCAACAACUUGAAGCAGGCAAAAUCCGGGAACGAUCCUUCUCCUUCGCAACCCUAGCUGCCUUAACCUUGUAUUUCUGAUAUUUAGUUAAAGAGUAAGAAGAUUGCUCCUCUGUCAAUUACCUUCGAGAGAGACUUUCUUUUUCAUUCACCGAUGCUUGCUUGUGAAAGCAAGGGUUUUAGUUACGCUUUCAACGCUGUCAAUGUAGUGAAGUUAAGCAUUCGUAGAAUAGUGAAGUUAAGCAUUCGUAGAAUAGUGAAGUAAAGCAUUCGUAGAAUAAUGAAGAUGGAAGCCCCACAGCAUGAAAACUUUUAAACAGUAACACAGCUCUUAUUCCAGAGGCUGCACGCGAGUGACCUGAAUCUUCUUCAGAACUUUCAAAUUUUAUCAAGCGAAGCUUUCAAAAUUUCUCAACAAAUUGAUUAUUUGGUGUGGUUGCCACAUUUUGAGUAACCGCUAUUUGUUCUCAAGUACAAAAUCCUUGCCUUCCUAAGUUAGGAAAUAUAAAUGUGAAGCAAACCAAAUGAAAUAAAUGGGUAAACAGAACAAGCAGGGCAAAAAUUAAAAAUGAUGGCAAUUAACAAAUUAAUAGCAAUGUUACAUUUGACUCUUUAGCCCUUUGUUCCUUCUCUUAGCAUUCUUCAAAGGUUUUGAAAAUAGGACGUGAAGCAAACAAAAUAAAAUAAAUUUAGACAACACAUGCCCUGUAUUCAGCAUCAUAUAUAUCUCGCAUAUCUAAUAUAAUAAAUUUCACAUCUAAAAUACUAGAAUUUCAAACAGAAUAUCUAAUAAUAGUAAAAAAAUGACGACAACAACAAAAAUAGAAAAUUACAAGACUGCUGAUAAAAUUUCAUUUGCAUGCAUGUCUGACAAAAUUUCCGUGGUUUAAUGUGCUUUCAUGAACGCAAGUCCUAACGUUUCUGUGAUCACAAAAUAAAACUGAAGAUAAAACAGAACAACUACCAAACCUUUCAAGCUUGACGAAGCCAUGAGAAUUGAUAGCUCAGGCACUGAUACCAAGUUAAAGUUUCUAAUCUGUUUGGUAAGUAAGAAAAUGUGAGAAAAUGAAAGAAAGAACAGAGAUCAUCUAAGAGCUGGAUUUGAUAAGUAAAUAUGAAUCAUCCAUUCAUUAGUUGAUUGCAAAUGUAUUUAUACGAGGUUCCUGAACAUUUCAGAUUCUAUAUGCUCGAGCUAAGCACCUGAGAGUUGAGCAGUGUGCACUAACAAACUGCUAACAAAAUAACUAACUUAUGCCAGCUCAGCUAACACGUCAGUAACUCUUAACUAUCUUGCUUAACAAACUGAAACAAUAACUAACCAUUUUAACUAUCUUAACAAUCCCAAUAAUUUUUCCAUUUGUGUAUUUUUUUGAAUCAUAAUCAAAUGCGUAAAUGUUGCAACUAUUUUUUUUAGAUAUUUUCACUUUGGGCUGUCAGCCCGAGGAAGUACGGGGGUCUGAGUUAUUCAACUGAAAAUGUCGGCCAAGUUCUUGUGUUAGUUUUAGUAUAUUGUGUAAAAAUGAUACACUAACUUGAAUUUAUAUGCUUUUAUGACUAUUUGAUAAUCAAAUGGGUAAAUGACACGAAGAACUUUGAGUUUAAAAAUCUGGCCCUGAUGCCUGGUAGCCCUCCAACCUAUGAAGCACUAGAUGUUUUAAUGAGAAAACGACAAGACCAUUUAUCAAAUUUCUUGUGGAUAUAACUACAUACACAAAGACGAGACCAACCUCCUCAAAUGAGAAUUAGAGUGAUUCAAAUCUCAAAAUACAAUAGAAAUUCAUGACAUAUAUAUAAUAAAAGACCUCUCAUUGAGUCAUAUAUAUUGAGAAUAAAUUUUUUUUAAUACAUACAAAGAGCUUAGCUACAAUGAAAUGUCUUUGGACUUGCAAUGAUCAAACAAAGGAAACAGACAGGUUGCAACUCACACUAUCACAAAUGUAGCGACACGAUGCAGUGAAUCACAAGAAGAUCACGAAGAUGGAAACGGGAACCCCUCAGAAUGUAAACUUUGAAUAGAGGAAAAAAGAAAAACGACCUUAUUUCAAAUUGCGCACAGAAGAAGAGUGACUUAAAUCGUCAUCAGUAUCCAGACAUUCUGCAAUCAUAGAGUAGAGAAAUUUUAACAGGAACAGUGGAGAAAAUAUUAUGUAUAUGCUAGACCAAAUUAGUCCCUUUUUUGGUUUGUGAAAACUUGAUUUUUUAUGAAAUAUUUUCAAACAAUAUUUCCACAAUACACUUGUUGAUAGCCAACAUUUGAUGGUUUAAGGAUUUUUUAUGGGAACAAUGCACUGAUUACGUUUUUUUUUUUUAAUUUUUUUAAUGCGAUGAAUGAUAUUCAGCUGUUCUUUAAUUAUGUGUUCAUAGGGAAGAACAUUUUAUAAGUACUUUCCUUGCCUUCUAACUUUCCAAGGAAAUAUAGGUGUGAAGAAAAGCAAACCCAAUGAACAAACAGAACACAAACUAAAAUAAAAGAACAGCAAUGAUGAGAAUAAAUAAUUGGCAAAGAAAGAAUGGAAAAAGUAUGCACGUUUUCAAGGAAUUAUAAAAUACGAAGGCUUUUAAUGAAAUUUUAUCAUAAAAACGUACGCAAGGAGUUAUAAAAAUUUUAGAAGACGAAGGGAGCUCCCAAAAAAAAAAAAAAAGAAGAAAAAGACUCAAAUUAAACUAGACUAAAAAGACAUUCAAUUAUGCAAAAUCUGUCCAUAAAAGUCUGAAAGGAUCAUUAAAAUUGCAUUGCAAAUUUAACAGUAAACAGAGGGACCCAUUCUAAAUAAUUCAGAUGAAAUUGCGAAACAAGCCAUGGGAUUAAAUAAAUGAAAUAAAAAUUAAUUACCAGUUGAGACUUUCUUCUAAAAAUUCGCAACUCCAAGUCAUAAGAAGCCUAUGAAAUUAGUCGUACUGCGUAGAGUAUAUCGACGACCCCGCCAACAGCUGAAAAUAAAAUUCUUAUUCAUCAAUUUAAACUUUUACUUUAUAACAAACAUUUUAUUUAAAAAGAAAAAGCAAAUUUUGUAAAAAUUUAUCAUGGGAGAUAGAGAGUAAUAUGUAUAUCCGUACCUUCUCAGCAUGUAAUUGUUGUAUGGUUGUGUUUAGAUCAUUAUUAGCCCAACGCCGUUGAUUCAAUGUCUCUCCAUACUGGACGUUUACUCUCGGAGGCGUGAUUGAUUCUCCUGUAGUGAAAAUCUUCAUCUUGGGACAACCAGUCACUCCCAGAUAUUCCAAAGAUGGGAAUCUGAAGGUGUAAUUGGCAUAGCAGAAACUUGUGAGGCUAUCUAAAUCACGCAGAGCCAACGUCUUCAAUUUGCGGAAAACAAUCUCUUCUUUUUCAACUCCAUCUUUGUCAUUUGUUACCACCUCUGUCAUUGCUCUGCAUCCAUAUACUUGCACUUUGACGAGUUGCACUAGAGUUUUUGCUGUGGAAAAUGUUACCAUGUGUAACAAUUUCUUGCAACCGAAAGCUACAAGUUUUGUUAGGUUCCGAAAAGAUACCGAUGAUGAUGGCAAUAGAAUUAACAGACGUUGACAAUGAUAUACUCCUAGAAUUUCAAGAUACUGAAAAAUGGGGUCAAGUUUGGAGUCUUGUUUCCACAGCUGCUUCAGAUGAUAGUGCCGGUGCAGCUCUAAUGUUUUUAUCAUUGCCAACUUCCCCACAUGUUUCUCUAAGCUUCCUUCCUCCGAAAAUACCUCUUUGUUGAAUGCAAAAAAAGACAGUAUGAGUUUUUCAAGAUUGUGAAAUCUCUCAAGUACGUUCCAGAUUGGAAAACAAGCUGAGUUAUCUGAACCAAUCUCUAGUUCUCUAAGACUGCCAAAAAGGUGUUGUGGGAAAUCGGCCCGCAAAAUCAUCUCCACAUCUUUUCCACUUAGUGAUAGUUCCUUCAAGUUGGGUACGAUCUGAUCAUCAUCAAUCAUAAUAACUAAUGAGGUCAAUUGAUGUUCUUUCAAAUGAUUUUGAGUAAUCCAAUCACAAGCAGUGACUUUAUAGUAUUUAUUUUAUAUUAAUUUUACCCCUAAAAAAAAUGAAUUAGUGAUAAAAUUCAUUAUAUGAUUUUUUUUAUAUGUUAGUUUUAGAGGUAAUAAAGAAAUUAGGGAAAAAAACGAAAUUAUUUUAUUGCAUGAUAGUAAAUUACUAAUUUAUUUUGUAAGUUUUUCUGUAUGGAAAGACUAAGGAUUCUUUUAUAAAUGCUAUACCUAAAAAAGAUUAUUGUAUAACAAAAGUUUUCAAUUUAUUGAGCAUUAAUUUAUCGAUACUUUGUCAUAUUUUUCAAAGUUAAAAAUAAGCUAUAGAUAAAAAAUCUAGAAAAUGGCUUCAUACCUUUUCCAAUGGCAAUAGGGGCUGUUGUGCAGGAAUACCAAGUUGAAAAUCUGCAGCGAAUAUCUUUAAUUUGUCACAACCAUGCACUAAAAGAAUUUCUAGUGCGGGCCAUUCCGAAGUAUGCAUUCCAGGGUACAAACAUCUAAGUUUUGGUAGAUCUUGGAGUUUCAGAGUGGUGAGCUGUGGAAAGACAAAAUAAGGGAUCACUUGAUCUGCUCUGUUUUCAGAAAUGAUCUCCUGUAAAUCCUCACAGAAGCGUAUAUCUAGGUGUUGGAGCUGCUUAAGGCUUUCGAUCAUAGACGCUGAAAAUAUGUAUUUUAAUUUAUGACAACGCUGCACAGUCAAUCGUGUUAAAUUUUGAAAGCGAGGAAACAUGACCGGAAGAUGAUUGUAGUGCCAAAUCUUGUCGACAUUAAUUUCAGAUAUCUCCAAAGCCUCCAAGUUAGGCAACGCAACCUAAAAAAAAGAAGAAUUUCUCGUUAGAUCCAAUAUCCAUAUGGGAAGCACUUGUUGAAAUUUUCUUCUUUGAUUACAAAUUAAUGCAAAGUCAGAAUCAAUUUCCAACUGACAGCUGAGUAUGCAUUCUAAUUCAUACUACUUGUUAAGAGCUCAAUUAGUGAGCGCGUGAGAUUCUUUUUAUCCUUUUUUCCAUUUUCUUUCAAUUCUUUAAAUGAUUUAAUUAUUUUCCACGUAUGACAUCAAAACAAAACGCAUGAUAGAAUAAAGUCUGUUAUAUAUACAUAUAUAAAGAAAAUGUUAGCCUACGCACCUUCUCGUUGAAAAGCAGAGUUGAAAUGUCCAAAGUGAUUUCGCUGGUGCAAUACAUAGUCGUCGAUUCCUCUUGUGACGCUUGCCUGUUCGGUGAUGCUGAAGGAGUCUUCACCUCACGGCAAAAACUUGUAACCUCUGGAAGAUUCCCCAGACUCAAAGAUCUUAAUUGAGCAAACUCUAUCUUCUCAAUUGCAUUAUCAACUUCUUCCCCAAUUGCAAAAAUCUCUUUCAUCUUGCUGCAAUUAACAACUGCAAUUCUCUCAAGUCUUGGAAGGCAUUUUGUAGUAGAGAGCCAAAAGAUGUUACUCAACUUAUCACAAUUAUAUGCUUCUAUGUUUUUGAGUUGGUUGAAAGACUCUACUUUGAGCCGAUCAAUACAUAUCCUCUCCAUGUUGAUCAAAUUGUGAAGGAUAACUGACUCCAAAAGAGGAAAGGCAUCACAAGCGACCAUCUCCCUUGAAUCGACGAUACAAAAGAAGUCAGGAUUAUUUUGAACCCAGAGAAUCUUCAAUUGUGAAAAGCCCUCCGUGUCCAAAUUGAAAAGAACAUUCUCGAUGCCUUGCAGCUUGUCCAACCAUAAGCAUUCAACGUUAUUGAUGCCCUGCAAUUUCAUGGAGCAAAUGUCCAUAAAAUCAAGCUUGAGCUUCACUGCUCUUGAAAUCUUACGAUCUCUGUCGAUCAAAAAGUGCUGCCGACUUUUAAACCAAUUUUGUCCAGCAAUCAUGGGAUGUGUGAAUAACCCAUUUCCAAUAUGUAUUUUGAACCUUUCGAGCUUUCUGGCCAAAAAGCCUUCUGGUAACAUACUCUCAUUUUUAACAUCAAUUUCUAGAGUGGUUAGCCGAGGUAAAUGCAUCAAUUCAUCAAGGCUAGCAUUACUUCUUUUGCUGUUGGCUCUUUCAACCUCCCAUUCAAUGGAGCAAUUACACAUAUACAAUUCUUCUAAUCGGAUUAGGCUUGAUAUGACAUUUGGAACAAUAACUUUUAGAUGGAAACAGUCUGUCAAAUCUAACAGCCUUAGCUUUGUCAGUUGACCUAGUGCUUUAGGCAACUCUACAAUAUCAGACCGCACGAAGCUGAGGAUUUCUAGAUUUUCCAACUUUCCAAUAAUGGCUAUGUCUAUGCCUCCGAAAAUGCUUUGAUCAAGACAAAGUGUCUGAAGAUUUACUAGAAGACCAAUUGAAGAUGGCAAUGACAAUAACCGCAUUCCAUUAAAAUCCAAAACCCGAAGCUUUUUCGUCCUUUUGAAGAAGUUCUCAGGAAUAUUAGGCACAGCAAAAGAGUUCUUGGGAGACAUGAGUAGAAGUUCAAGUUGUAGAGAUUCGGACCCAUCAGGAAUGUCAUUAAUAAUACUAUCUUUUAAAGAAAUUGCAAGAUAUUUUUUUAAUUCAUCUGCAUUUGGCCAUUUCCAAUCAUCCUCAUUUCUCACCACAAAUCCAAUUUUGUCACGACAUGCAAUUGAAAUGGCAACAUCGCGAACAACGUCGUGCAUAGAAAAGUAUUUACUGCCACCAUCCUCAAGCAACAAACAAGAGUCUCUUAGUUGAUGGACCCAUGCAUCUAAUUUGUUAUGUGCAUCUUCUAGCUUAUGGACACUUUUAAAUACACCCAAGCCCAUGCUAUAUUUGAACAAGUCCAUAAUUGGUGCUGGCGUAAUAAGACUACACAGUAAAAAAGUUUUCUUGAGUUGCUCACCUCUUAAGUACUUGUAACUCAGCUCAAUUGUUGAGUAUGCCUCUGCUGGUACUCCUUCGUCGAAGCUUGCCUCUGAAGGCGUUUGGAGUUCUUGCAAGGCAUUCUUCCACACAGGCAGCUCUUUUUUUCUCAGUGCCUUUGCUACUGUGGUUAGGGCAAUAGGCAAACCUCCGCAUGCCUUGGCUACACUUGUUGCUGUAGAUUCUAAUUCACGAUUUUCCACAUAAUCACCUGCCAUUAUCUUGAACAAUCUCCAGGCUUCUUGUUCAUUUAAAAUGCCAAUCGAGAAGUUUUUUUCAGAUUCCAUCCUUAACAGCACAUCGAGAUCUCUUGUUGUGAAUAAUAAUUUGCAUCCUCUGUGCUCAACUCCAAAAGGAAUUCCAAUAGUCCCCAAAUCAAGAGGUUUCCAGAUGUUAUCCAGAAUCACAAGGAUCUUCUUCUCAUUCUUCAAUCUUUCAUAUAGUCUACUAGCUCUUCUAGACUCAGCUUCCUCGGACAACUGUAGGCCUAACGUUUCCGCAAUUUCCUCUUGGAUCUUUUUUAUGUCUGGACUUUGGGUAACCUCCGAAAAAGCCACCAUAUCGUAAAGCUUGUCUUCAAUGGCUCGCCUUGCAAACUCCUUCACCAGUGUCGUCUUUCCAAUGCCGCCCAUGCCGUAGACCCCAAUGAUGCUGACAUCAACAUCGAUCAAUGCAUUUUGAAUGGCCUUCAAAGUAGAAAGUCUUGAUUCGAAGGCCUCGCAGCCUUUGUGAGACUUGAGCCAUAUAUCCUCCGGAAUGGUACGGUAGGAAAUUCUAUCAUCAAAUUUCCCAGCUUCUUCUUUGAGUUCAACAAUGGCCUUCACCUUUGUUUCUGCUUCCUUGCUAAGCUGAUAGCCGGACUUCAAAUUAGGACACAAGCCCAUGAGACAUCGUUUAUUUGUUGUCACCUCAUCGUCAAUGAAUUUGGCUGACUGCUCAAUGGUGUUGUUCGCACGAACCAGCCACUUCUCAACCUUCUCUUCAAUCUUUUCCCCUUUUCUUUCAGCCUCAGAAACCCUGUGCUGAAUGCUUCUCCUUUCAUCCUUGAGCUUGUCUAUUUCUGCCUUGAGAUUCUCAACGUUGGCUUUAUAGUUACGCAAAUAACCAAAUCGGCGUUCUGUAGGAGGAGCCAAGCAUUUCACAAAUUCUAAAACAACAGUAACAAUGCUUUCCACCAUCCUGGAUCCCUUUUUUUUUUUUUUUUUUCAAAGUUCUGACAAGAAAAUAAACAACGAGCGAAACAUAGAGAGAGUGAAAAAAAAAAAAAAAAAAGCGAAACAACGAAGAUGGACAGUUUAUCCUGUUGUGGAAGCGGAGAAAUGAAAGAAAGAGUAAAAGCUGUUAUGGAUCUGGUGAGAAGAUGGAAACAAGGAAAAGGUUUCUAGUUCGAGAACUGAUUGAAUUAAUAUAAGGAAUGAUUUAGAUAAUAGAGGCGUAGGGAACCAAUCAGAAUAACUGAAGUAUUGACCAGAAGAAAGACGGAAAAAAUAUUGACUGGUAAUAGAGAUGGAAAAAAUGAAGAUAUCUUGACACGGUAGAAGUACAAAGGGUAGAUAUGGAACCAAACAGAGACAACAGCAGACCACAACAAGAUUGGGAAUGGACAGAAACUAAUUAACAAAGACUGGAGAUUACAACAAAACAGAUGCCAAGAGAAAACUUGAUCCAGUGAAAUUCAAGAGAGCUGACAACAAAAACUGAUACUACUUGAUUGGGAAUUGAAGGCAAAGAGUAGGAGCUGAUGAAUACGGGGAUCAAGAGGGAAAAACUGCUUGCUCGUAAAACUACUUUCAAGCGAAUCUGAUAAAAUUAUUUCAGUACUCGUGGGCGACUCCUUUUUAAACUGCAGAAGGAGAAAAAAGAAAUGUUCUGAAUUUCAAUGUAUUAAUUUUUAUCCUAAUUUAUGUUGAGACUCGUAAUCUCGUCUCAAUGAUUAAUUAGUAGAUAAUCUUUUUAACAAGUAUGUGAUGAAUAGAUAUAUUUCUUGACUAUUAGUAGGUUAGAUAUAUUUUAGCAUAGGAAUGAAAGUACAAGUUGUGUCAUAUUAGAAUACAAAUUUGACCUAAAAAUAUUGUUCUAUGACCUUUUAAUUAUUUGUCAGCUAAUAAUUAAGUCAUAUAAAAAAAAUAAUAAUCUGAAUUAGUCUUUAAGUAUUAUAAAUAUUUCUUGAUUUUUAAUUAUAAUAUCAUUAUUUAAAAAUAAUUGCUUGACUUACAUAGUAAGUCAAUAAAAUAUCUAACAAUAGUGGUCAUAAAACAUGUGAUCCUCAAUCAAUGAAAUAUCUAACAAUAUCAUCACCUAAAGUUUGAGAUAUGUUAUCCUUAUUCCACUGCGUCAAUUACACUCCAGUCAAAUGCUGCCAUCAUUAUUGAACAGUCGACAUCCACCAGUUCUAAUUGCCAAAACUUAGAACUAAACAGUAGCUCGGUCAGAAAAUCAAACGCCAGUACCGGUCAAAUGACCGAUAAAAAUAUAAAGAAAUAAAAAUUUUAAAGUUUUACUUUAUUGCUUUUUUAAUCUUAUUACUAUUUCGGGUAAUUUUUACUUUCCUCCCCUCAGCUUUGGACUUUUUGCACUUAGAUGGUCAAGAUACAUUUAUUAGUAAAGACCUCCCUACCGUCAGUUAAUUUGUAGUUGACUGUUAGUUGAAUUCAAAAAGACUGAAAUACCCCCAAUUGGAUUUUCAAGACUGAACAUGCUAUACAUUUGGCGCGAAAACUAUAACAACCAUAAUAUUACCAUUAUACCCCUUCAAAUUGGGUUAUUUACAAUUGCAUUCAACAAAUAAAAUGAUAAUUCUAUUUGGGUAAUUAUCACUGUUGCAAUUUGACCGUUGGAUCCGAAUGGUCACAUUGCCACAGAUUUGCCUAUUUAAAGGCUUAAAUACAGAGCUUUGUUCACAAGCAUCUCUACCUCUUCUUAACACUUUGCAAACUCAACUACAUUUCUCUCAAUCUUUCAAUCUCAACAACAUGGAUUCAGAGGGCUCAAGUGCAGUAACUAACAAGAAGAAUAGAUAUAAUAAAGGCAGUAUGAAAUGGAGGAGUCAAGUUAAUGGAAAUCUGAUCAAGUUUAGGAACUUGAAAUGUGAUUGCAGAGUACGUGCUGCUGUUCGAAUUUCAGAGACUGAAGAUAAUCCAAACAAGCUAUUCUACAACUGUCCUUAUGAUGCCUGUGACUUUUUCCAGUGGUGUUGUCCAGAACCAAGUGAUUUCGACAAUGGUGCAUUCUUUGAAGGUCAUAGAAGUUUUACAGUAGCACAACAACAAGUGCAGGUAGAACUUGAAGAAAUACUAAGUGCCCUGAAUGAAGUGAAGAUUAUACUGAAAAAAACUUAUCAAACUCAAAAUGUUUGUGACCAAGACUUAAGUGAUGUGCAUAAACUCACUUCAAAGAAAACCGAACAAGGUGGGGUGAUAUGUGGGCUGCUGAAGGCUGUGCUCUGUUUGAAUGCCUUUUUUUUUUACUGAGUGUUCUUGUGGUUAUUUUCCUGAAGUGAUUAACCUAAAUUACUAGCAUGAAUUUUGUAAUAAGUUGUACUCUAACUACUGGAAUGAGUAAUGAUAAGAUGAAAAUUUAAUGAACUUGUAAUGCUCUAUUUUUAGAAUGCUUAUCUUUGCUAACUAAGUGUAUAUAAUGUGAAGUAUCCUGUUUGAUUUGAGCAUAUGGCCUAGUCUUCAAUACUGCAUUUCCUAUGUAAUAACUUAACAUAAGCAUUCUGUACAUAUAGCUAAAAAUUAAAGGGAUUACAAUACUUUAGUUAUAAUAAUAUCUAUUAACAGUAGCAAAAUUAACUUGUGAGUUAAACUUUAACAGCAACAAGCAAACCAAUCCAGAACGAGUGAGAAGAGAAUCUAUUAAUUGCAUUCCAGCAUUAAAAUUCUUAAGCAGUAUCAUACAUAGUUACAUUCAAGCAGCUGUCACAAAGCAUGAAGCAGUUGAAUAUAAAUAGCUUCUGGUAAACUCAUGUAUAAUUUCCAGGUAUUAACCAAGCAAGCUUAUCAUAUUACUUGUCUUUGGCAUCACAAUAAUAUCAUGUACAAAAAACAAACUAACAAAAGGCUCAAACCUAUAGUCAGUCUGAGUAAAAGAUGAUACACCAGCUCCAUUCUUCUGCCCAUGACAAGAUGUUGUAUCAUCUGAUCCCUUCAAAAAAUUAGUUAGUGGGAAUAGUCUUGAUCUGCUUCUCAUGCUGGAUGCUAUCACUUUAAUGGUUUCAUUCUUGAGUAACAUGUCCUGGCAUGAAUAAAACAAACACUUACAUAUGAAAAUUAAAAAAAAUAGAUGUUGAUUACUAAAAUUAUUUAAAGAAUCGUGAAUAAAACUCACCAUUGUCAUGGACAGUAGGCUGAGAUAGUGCACUGCAAGCAACCCUUUGAGUUAUAGGCUGAUUAGAAUUAGAAGUGCCUUCACCAUUCACAACCUAUGCCACACCCAUUACAUCAUAAGCAAUUAAAUUAAUUAAAUUUAACUACUAAAUGAAAGAGAGAUGAUAAUUAACCUGUUUGCUAGAUACUUUAGUUCUUUUGCAGGUUCUCUUGUUAUGACCCCAAUGCUCACACUUAGAACAUUUGACACUUGAACUCCUCUUGAAUGUAGCUGGUUCAUCAGCUUCUUUCCUCCUCUUGAUCUGUGGCCGGCCAACAGACUUGAUAAUUAUAGGUGGCUGCAAAUUAUCAUGUAGAACCAGUGGCCACAUCUUCUCAUCAGGUAAAGGAAAGUAUUGAUACUUGUAGGUGUUGAUAAAAGCUGGACAUUUCAGAUAAUUAUGGAUAUAAUCUUCAAUGUUGAGCCUUUUUGCAUCAAUGGAACAAACACUAUGCUUACAAGGUAAGCCGGAUAUCUGCCAUUCCCUACAAUUACAAGUUUUUUUACCUAAAUCUACUACGAAUACUUUACAGAGAUCUUCCAUCACUUCGAAGGUGUUUUCAUGACCAAAUAUUACUGUUAAACCUCUCGCUGCAGCUCUUGCUUCCACAAUCUUUCUCCUAACAAGAGGUGGUAGAUGUCCAUUCCAUUUCUUUGCAUCCUCAUUCCUUUUAUGAAUAAGUUUCAUGAUCUUUCUCCUUAUCUCUUCGAGCAUCCUAACAAUAGGCAUGCCUCUAAAACUGUUAAUCCAGUUAUUGAACGAUUCAGUCAUGUUAUUGGUCACAUGAUUGCACUUGGUGUGGUUAGGAAAAGUGUGUUUAGCCCAAUAUACAGUUGGAAUGUUCAUGAGCCACCGGUGAGCUGCAUCGCUGAUUUUCUUCAAUUCCUCAAUGCUUUCACUGAAUUCUGAGUAGUUUGGACUUCUACAUGCCUUCCAAAAGACCUUUUUCAACAAAGUGCCAGGAAACUUUUGCUUGAAAUUGGCAUAAAUAUGCCUACAACAGUAUCUUUUGAUUGCAUUAGGAAACACUCUAUCAAUUGCAUUGAUCACUCCUUUUUGUCGAUCACUCAUGAAACAUAGGCCUUCUCCACCAUUACAACCAAUCUGGUCAUAUAGCUUUUCCAUGAAAAACUCCCAAGAGUAAGUGUUUUCACUCUCUACUACACAUAAGGCUAGUGGAUAUAUACCAUAAUUAGCAUCAAUCCCAACUGCAGUCAAUAAAACUCCUUUAUAUGGCCCUUUUAGAUGGCAGCCAUCAACCCCUACAAACUGCCUACAGCCUUCAAAAAAACCUCUCCUACUUGCAUCAAGCAUCAUGAAAAAUCUUUUAAAUACUGGGUGAGCUGUAUCUCCAUUCAAUUCCCUCUCAAUAGCUACUGUGGAUCCAGGGUUAUACUUUAUCAAAGCUUGUUGGUAUCUACUCAGUUUGCUGUAACUUUUCUUGUGAUCUUGGCCAAGUAAUUCAAGUGCUUUUUGUUUUGCUCUGUAUAACCUAUGCACACUGCACUCAAUGCCAUACUUUUUCAAAAGCUCAGCUGCUAUUAACUUGACACUGACUUCGGGAGUUGACUUGAAGAUAUGAAGAUAAGUGGCUGCAAUCCAGGUUGAAGUAGCUUCUCCGUUAUCAUCAUCAAUCCCACCACAUGUAUGAACAUCACAUAGGGUCUUAAUUUGAAAUGAGUUGCUGUUCCAGUUUGGACUAGCAUGAAUUCUCCAUGUACAUCCUGACUUAGCACAUCUAGCUGUCACUCUGGCUUUUUCAUUUUUAAGUCUAUACAAUCUGAAGCCAUUUCUGAUGGCAUAUACCCUCAACACCUUCCUAAACUCAUAAACAUCUACAAACAACUGACCAGGCCGUAGAACAAGGUUAUCUCCAUCUUGUGUGAACUCAAAUCCACCUGAAUUGGUGUCAUAUCUCACACAAGCAGCAAUUUCCUCAUCAGACGAAUCAAAUUCAUCACCAGUCUCAUCACCUGACUGAUAAUCAUCAAGAACAUAGUCACUUUCUUCACCAUCUGAUCUUGCAUUCUCUUCAUCACUUUCUUCACCAUCUGAUUUAGAAGUAUAAAUUGUGUCAGUUGAACCUUUGCCAUUUUUCCCAGAAUUCUCAGAGCUAAAGUGUACUGUCAUAUCAUCUUCGAGUAAAUAACCACUCCGAAUACUGAAUUGCGUCAUAUUAUUCUCAUUGUUAAUUUCUUCAACAUCAUCUAGUUCAUUCCAAUUAAUUUCAGGAUCGACAUUGAGGUUGACAGAAAACUGAUUUUCAGGAGUUAUCUCAGUCACCUUGCCAUCAACUACUGCUUCAACAUCAUAAUGCACAACACUGUAAUGCAAUAAAACAACAUAAAUAAAUGCUAUUAAUGUUAAAGAAAAAGCUAAAAUUUAGUAAAUAGAAAAUGCAAAGUGUAGUUGACUGGUAGUAGCACACAAAUGCAGCAUAUCAUCUAUUUCAAGCUUAUUAAAACCCACUUUAAAAAUUACAUCAUGAAUAUUACCAUAUGCUUGCAAAUGCAUAAUCAACCGUAACAUAAGCUAAAACCAUAUGCUUGCAAAAUACCCAAAAUGGUGUUGGAAAAUUUAUUCUCGAUUUUAUGUUUCACAGUUCCAUAAACAUUAUCAAAGAUGUGUCAAUGAACAAAUAAUGAAGCAUAAACUUGACAUUUACAAACAACUCACCAUAAUAUCAAUACGCUCUAAAUGGAGCAAAAAAAAAAAAAGCUUGAUUCAAAACUAACCUAUAAUUAAUUUCAACAUACCGAUUCAAAUCUUUCGAGCAUCGGUGAAAUUCAGAGCGGGACAUGAUGCAGAUUUAGUGUUUCUUCUUCACUUCACCCAAAUAAUAGAUACUGCUUUGCUAGAAAUUAAAAAAAAAAUUUCCUUCUCAACAGAGCUUUCGUCGUCUGAGCUUCAUGAAACUCAGCUUCAUGAAAGAGAAACGUGCAGUUUCAGAGAAAAGAGAAAAAGUUUUAAGCUUUGAUUCUUUUACAGUUUUUUAUUUAUAUCAAUUAUCACAAGGCACGAUUUUUUUCACAAUGAUUUGACAAUUCACUGGGCUCAUGUCAACUAAAAUGUGUAAAAGUUAGCUUGUCAAAUUAAAUUACUAAAUUGCCCAUAACUAACCAUAUGAGAUUUACCGUUUGCAUUCCGUAAGGGGGUUUUUACUAAUAAAUGAAUCUUGGCCAUCUAAGUGCAAAAGACCCAAAGCUCAAGGGAGGAAAGUAAAAAUUACCCUUACUAUUUCUCGUUGCACUUAUAAAGAAACCAAAGCUUUAAGAGAAAUCGGCCAAAUCAUGAAGAUUGAAGAGUAAAUCUAUGGUUUUAUAUUUAUAUUUUUAUUUUUAGAUAAUAGAUAUUAUUUUGAUGAAUUUUUAAUAUUAGAAUAAUGUUAGGAAUUUCGAUAGUAGAAUUCUAACUUGAGACCCAAUUGUUAUGUGUCAUUUUUUUAUUAGAUAAUAAAUUUCAUAAUUAGUAAAAUUAAUAUUUCAAUCAUCUAAUAAAUGACUAUCAUAUCAGUUGAGACUUAAUUAUUGGGAUCCUUAACAUUGCUCUUAGUAUUAAAUUGGACAUCUUAGCUAAAUCAGAUUAAAAAUCAAAUUAGAUUUUUGGCUUUUAUCCAACAUUUGUUUUUUGGUCUCUUUGUAGUGAACGAAAUAAAAAUACAACAGGUUCAACGACUGGGCAAUUGAUAGUCAAGUAGAAGCAAAUCAAGGCUAAAUGGGAAAGAAAAAUGAUAUGUGUACAAAACAAGGAGAAAAUCCGUGUAACUGAAGAGAAUCAAAGUGCUUUUGAGAUUAGAAAUUGAAGCAAGAAAAGGGUCGCUUGAUCCAUUGAAAAUGCUAAGAGCCAAUGGCAAAAGAGAACAAUGUUAAAUAAGAAAACAGCUAGCGCUAGCAGCGACCACAAUAGACAGAAAAGUUGAGAUGGAUUUACAAUAUUUCUGCCUUUCUUCAUGCUUUAACAAAUAUUGCUCUAUAAAAAAAAAUAUUGAGCGUUUUUAUUAUUGGAGUCACAAAAGACCUACACAAUAUAGCAAGUGCUAGGAAUAAAUAAGAAUAUAUAACUCUCUCUCUAAUUCUCACUCUAGCUUUUAAUUGUCAUUCAAAACCCAAAAUUCAUCCUUAAAGUGUAAGCAAAUCAAAGAUGACAGCGUCUGGUUGUCAUACGUGCCUUUUAGUUUUCGGAUGACAUGGCGUACACUUCUUCUGUAAACCGAACAUGACAUGUCGUACUCUUUGUUUUGAGAUCAUAUUUCAAACUCUUCAUGCUAUGAAUGUAAGAUAAACUACAAUCAUCAAAAUAUUUAGUGUUUAUUUGGUAAUGUAACGUCAUAGUUGUUGUGAAUUGAAAUUAUUUCUGUGAGAUAAAAGGAUUUGGGUCAUUGUUUGUUAUUCUCUGGCAAUAUUGUCUGGCCGUGACUAUUUGUUAAAUAUUAAAAAAAUAAAAUUAUAUUUAUUAAGUAUAAAAAAUAAAUAAACAAACAAAAAUAAAAGGAAAAGUUUAUACAUUACAUAAAAUAAUAAGAACAUUAUCAAUAUUUCACACUCUAUAAUUGAGUGAUGUGUUGUCCAACUGCCAUACAUUGGUCUCAAAUGGAGACUUAAAUAUUAAAGUCCAAAGUUAUUGUGAUGAUGACUUAUAAUCGCCAAACUUGACAUACNNNNNNNNNNNNNNNNNNNNNNNNNNNNNNNNNNNNNNNNNNNNNNNNNNNNNNNNNNNNNNNNNNNNNNNNNNNNNNNNNNNNNNNNNNNNNNNNNNNNNNNNNNNNNNNNNNNNNNNNNNNNNNNNNNNNNNNNNNNNNNNNNNNNNNCUGGAAGUUGCCAUUUGCCAAUGCUACUAACAUUUUUAAACUUAGAAAACCUUCAAUCAAUCAUUUAGUGGUAGGCUCUGGUAGCUUGCUUUGAUUAUGACAUAUGAUUAUUUGAUAAUAAAGUUAGAGGAUGUAUUAAUAUAAAAUUUGUUUAUUGGUGUUGAAGUUAAUUAUCUCAUUAAUAAUAGUAUAAAAAGUUAAUCACUAAGAAACACAUAGCAAUAUUCUGGGAUAUAAUUUUAUAUCAUAACUUUGUAAGUGUAUAAUUACUCAUUAAAUUAACAAAAUUAUUUUAAAAUAUUUAGUUAAAAAAAUAAAUUAUAUUCUUUUUAUUUCAAAUAAUCUAUAAGUUAACACAAAACAUAAUCAAGAUGAGAAUUAAAAUAAUGCUACUGUAUGAGAGGAUUUUUAUUUUUUCCCGAAGUUUCACUAGGAAAUUAUUGAUAUAUAGCUUUAUUCGGAUCAUCUCAGAUCAAACGACAAAUAAUUGAAAGACUAAACUAAAUAGACCAGCCAACAACUUUGUACAGCAGAGUUCAAAAAUUAAGGUCAUGGUAUUGAGGUGUUCUAUCUUCAAAAGUACGGUAUAGUGAUAAAAUAAAAACUAUUAGUCUUUGGUAAGAUAUGACUUUUAAAUAAUAAUUUUCACAAAAAUACAAAGAAUAUUUAUAAAGUACUUCUAUAGUGAGGAGACCCUCGCUUUGUUAAAGUGAAAAUAUCAAUAAUAUACAAGAAACAUAUAUUUUAACACAUUAAGAAUUGUAUCUUUUUAAUCUAUUGGUGUAUUGAAAUAUGUGUUAUUUAGUUUGUUAGUGAUAUCAUCACUUUGUUAAAAUAAGGAUGUCAGAACCAUUAUAUAUAAGAAAGCAAAUAUAUUUUGUACGGUAUAAUAGUGUAAUAACAUCACCCGAGUAUAUCAUAUAGAGUAAUAGUUUUUGGAACUUUAAUAAAGUUCAAGAUUAUAGAAUGAAUGAUUUAUAUAUAUUUUAAAUUUUUUAUCAUAAAGUGGAGGACAAAAGUAACAUAUUUUUCAAAUUAUAAUAAGUAUUUAUCAAAUAAUUUAACAUCGUAAUUUCUCCUAACUAGUGUAGUAAAUACGACCUAGGAGGUACAUUCAAAGCAUUUCAUAAGUUAAUUGUUAAUAAUAAAUGAUACAUGCAGCUCCAAUCAUCAUUGUACGGUGAGUAAUUUCCAGUUAUAAAUAGAUAUUACUCCCUUCCCAGCAAUUUUUGAUGGCUUAAUUUAGUGGGAUCAAAAUCAACAUUGAAUGUCAAAAUAUUAAUGGCCAUGAUGCUUAUUCCAAUGUGAGUAGAUCACAGUGGGUACUGCACAUGAUGCUUGUUUCUCCUUUUGCAUCUAUUUUUGUUGUUAACAUUAAUUUCAAUACCAGCUCGUUAUGUAUGCAACAUUUCAAAAUUAAUCCAAAAGAACAAAAAUUAGUUCAGCUGACUAAAUUUGAAAGCAUGUAUUUGCUGUCGAUUAAAAAUCGUUUUGUAGGGAAAAUUUUUGGAUUGCAAUUCUCAUACAAUACGUAAAAUUAUCAUAAUCUAUAAAUUGUAUUUUUGAUUUUCUGUGGUAGUAAGUUAGACUCCUUAGUGACGAUUUAAAUUGAAAAAAUAAAAUCAUAAAUAAGAAUUAUUUGACAAGAAUUAAAAUAAUUGAUAAAUAUUUGAGAGGAGCAAUUUUGGAAGAUUCGAUUUCUAAUCGGAGGGGAAUUUGAAUUUUACAGCCUUCGGUGAGGAAUCCAAAAUGCACAAUUUGAUGAAAAUUAAAUUUCAAUAGAAAUUGAAUUCCCUUUAUUAGUGAAAACCAAACAACAGAAAAGUGAAAGGAAUUUGAAUUCAUUUCCUUCCUCUCUUCUCCCUCCAACUAAAUACCAUCGAAAUCCAAAGGUAUGGGAUUGGGAUUCCAUACUGAUCAGAAUGGGAUUUGUUCAUAUUAUUAGGACCAAUUUUAAAAGCAGUCGGAGUUUCGGAGUUUAAGAUUGAAAUUAAUCCCAAUUGUUGAUUUGGGACUCGAUAAGAAUUUAUCUUGGAACUCCAAUUCUCCCAAUUAUUUUAGUUGACAAUAUGUUUAACAUUAUUUUUUAAACAUUAUUAAUUGCAUAUUAUUUAAUUAUCAGUAUAUAAUAUUCUUUAAUUUUCUAAUUUUAUAGGAUUAGACACAAAAUUGAUUAUGCCUUUUGAAAUUUAAGUGUUAUGUCAAUUGAAUAGAAAACUUGGAGUAAAACUUUUGGAUGCUUUUGUUGAUUAUCAAUUUAUGCAUGAAUUUUUGUACGUUUAUUUUGGUUUCUUAUUAUUACUUUUAAACAUUUUUAUUGGUUUGAUUUAGGGUUAGUUUGGUAAUCCUGUAUCUUUAAAAUUAAUUACAGUUAGCUAUGCUGUAGAAAUUGAUAAAUCGUGAAAAGAAUCAACCGAACAUUUAGGUGGCGUUUGUUUUUUUGUCUGAAAUCUGAAUAGACCUGAAUUAGUCUGAAUUCUGAAUAGGUCUGAAUGUCUGAAUCUGAAUAAUAUGUUUGUUUUUUCGUCUGAAUCUCGGAAAAUAAGUAUUAAGUUGUUUUUUUUUUCAACUUAAAAAGCUGAAAAUAUGUACUUUUACAUUUGUAUCCUUAUUAAAUUUGAAUGUCAAAUAAAUAAUAUAUUAAAUACCAUAAUAUUUUAACAUUUAUAAGUAAAACUAUAUUCAAGUGAAUACAUAAUUAUUUUGGAAUUUUAAUAUAUAAAAUACCAUAAAUUUCAAAUUUUAUUGUAUAUAAUAUAAGAAAGAAAAAAUAGGGAUAUUUUUAUGUGAGGUAAAUAUCUAUGGGUGAGUUUUGGGAUAGACAUGAAAAAUAAAUUAUAAAACAGGGAUAUUUUUUACAUUAGCAAGCAAUUGACUUAAUUCAUAUUUCUCCAUUAAGUAAAAAGCCAAAAAAAUUAGCUUAUUUUAUUAAGUCAAAAUUAUCUAAAAAGUCUCAUUAAGUUAUAAAAACAAACACGUCUAAUUAACUUAAUUAAUUAAGUUAAGUCACUUUAAGUCAUUAAGUUAAAAAACAAACACCACCUUAGUAAAUUUUAUUUUAAAAAGUACAUUUAGUUUUAAAAUCAGUCGUAUGUGUUUCAUAAAUCUUAUUGUUAAAUCAGUGCAAGAAUGUAAAUGACUGAAUCAGACAUAAUGCUAAAUAAAAUUUAUUUAGACAUUUACAAACACGUAUAUAAAAUAUUUUUAUUACGUACAUAUAAUUAUUGAUAACUAAAAUAAAUAUUUUAUAUUAUUAAAUUUUAUUCUCUAUUUUGUUAUGUCCAUAUAAUUGGUAAUAAUAAUAAUUUCUUUAAAGUUUUGUAGGGAAAAUUUUUAGAUUGCAAUUCUCAUACAAUACAUGGAAUUAUCAUAAUCUAUAAAUUGUAUUUUUGCUUUUCUGUGGUAGUAAGUCAGGCUCCUUAGUGACAAUUUAAAUUGAAAAAAUAAAAUCAUAAAUAAGAAUUAUUUGAUAAGAAUUAAAAUAAUUGAUAAAUAUUUGAGAGGAGCAAUUUUGGAAGAUUCGAUUUCUAAUAGGAGGGGAAUUUGAAUUUUACAGCCUUCGGUGGGGAAUCCAAAAUGCACAAUUUGAUGAAAAUUAAAUUUAAAUAGAAAUUAAAUUCCCAUAUAUUAGUGAAAACCAAACAACAGAAAAGUGAAAGGAGUUUGAAUUUCAGGGUCCAACUACAAUACCUGCGGGGUUUGGUACCCUAUUUUUUGUCUUUUUCAAACCUACCGUUGGAUUUAAUGUAAGAAUUGCGUAAUGGCUGAGAUGUGAUUAUUGGGUUAUUAACAUCAAAGACCCUUAUUGUUCAUGCAAAAUAAACAAAAUCAAAAGUUUUGAAAUUUGACAUAUAAGUCCAUAAUAUUCUCUCUUUUUUUUUUAACUCCAUUGAAAUAGGUUUCCAAUUAAAUGACUUAUUCUUACAUUUAUUAAUAUCUAUUUAAAUUAAUUAAUUAAUUAAUUAAUUAAUUAACUACUUUGUUAUAUAGUUAAACAAUGCAUGUAUAUUAUUUACUAACCAUAAUUAGUGAUAAGUAUAAAUAUGAUCUUUUUUUUUUAAUUUAACAUAAUGGCAACCAAUUAUCUCUCACCUAUGUGAACAAGGUUCAAAACCCAUAAUUUUGUUUUUCAACACAAGAGAUUUUAUUAUCUCAAGUAGAUGAAAUAUACAAAAUACAAAAAUAAACUUAAUUUCAUAUUCUAUGUAGUUAAUUUUUUUUGUAACAUAAUAUUUAUUAAACAUACUAUCAACUAUUUAAUUAUAUAGUAAAAAUAUGUUAAUUUACUAAUAAUAAUAAAAUGUUAGUUUAUUAACUUGUAAAAUCUUUUUGUUAACAAUGAGUUUUUGUCCUUAAAUAAAUAAAAAUAAUUUAAUUGCACGCUUAAAUAAAUUGGUAUUUGUUACUCCACCCCAACUAUUUAAAUAGUCAUUAACUUAUCGGAGAGAAGGGUAAAAAAAUUCUAAACAAUUACUCUAUUUGAAAAUAAUUUAAAUAUUUCUUUAAAAAAAACUAAAAAUAAGUAUUUUCUAUUCUUUCUUCUUUCUUGCUAACAUCACAGAUGGAUAACAAUAGAGAUGGCAAUUCAACACAUAUCUAUCAAUUAAAAUAGAAGUCAAUUAAUAUAAUUAAGUGAAUAAUUAAUUGUGUCAUGAAUGAAUUAUCAUAUUAGGAGUUUUAAAACCAAACCCAAUAGAAUUAUUAAUCAAGUUAACAGCUAGAAAGAGCAAACAAAUCCAUUCAAGUUGGAUGUCUAAGUAUCUGAUCUGAAUAGAUUGGAUAGUAUCCAUAUAAAAUACUCUGAAUUUGAUUUAUUCAAUAUCCAUCCAUGAACUUGAAUAUUAGUAAUAUUUAAGUGUAUGAGACUAAAAUUAAGUAUUAUAUUUAAUAUUUAAGUUUNNNNNNNNNNNNNNNNNNNNNNNNNNNNNNNNNNNNNNNNNNNNNNNNNNNNNNNNNNNNNNNNNNNNNNNNNNNNNNNNNNNNNNNNNNNNNNNNNNNNNNNNNNNNNNNNNNNNNNNNNNNNNNNNNNNNNNNNNNNNNNNNNNNNNNNNNNNNNNNNNNNNNNNNNNNNNNNNNNNNNNNNNNNNNNNNNNNNNNNNNNNNNNNNNNNNNNNNNNNNNNNNNNNNNNNNNNNNNNNNNNNNNNNNNNNNNNNNNNNNNNNNNNNNNNNNNNNNNNNNNNNNNNNNNNNNNNNNNNNNNNNNNNNNNNNNNNNNNNNNNNNNNNNNNNNNNNNNNNNNNNNNNNNNNNNNNNNNNNNNNNNNNNNNNNNNNNNNNNNNNNNNNNNNNNNNNNNNNNNNNNNNNNNNNNNNNNNNNNNNNNNNNNNNNNNNNNNNNNNNNNNNNNNNNNNNNNNNNNNNNNNNNNNNNNNNNNNNNNNNNNNNNNNNNNNNNNNNNNNNNNNNNNNNNNNNNNNNNNNNNNNNNNNNNNNNNNNNNNNNNNNNNNNNNNNNNNNNNNNNNNNNNNNNNNNNNNNNNNNNNNNNNNNNNNNNNNNNNNNNNNNNNNNNNNNNNNNNNNNNNNNNNNNNNNNNNNNNNNNNNNNNNNNNNNNNNNNNNNNNNNNNNNNNNNNNNNNNNNNNNNNNNNNNNNNNNNNNNNNNNNNNNNNNNNNNNNNNNNNNNNNNNNNNNNNNNNNNNNNNNNNNNNNNNNNNNNNNNNNNNNNNNNNNNNNNNNNNNNNNNNNNNNNNNNNNNNNNNNNNNNNNNNNNNNNNNNNNNNNNNNNNNNNNNNNNNNNNNNNNNNNNNNNNNNNNNNNNNNNNNNNNNNNNNNNNNNNNNNNNNNNNNNNNNNNNNNNNNNNNNNNNNNNNNNNNNNNNNNNNNNNNNNNNNNNNNNNNNNNNNNNNNNNNNNNNNNNNNNNNNNNNNNNNNNNNNNNNNNNNNNNNNNNNNNNNNNNNNNNNNNNNNNNNNNNNNNNNNNNNNNNNNNNNNNNNNNNNNNNNNNNNNNNNNNNNNNNNNNNNNNNNNNNNNNNNNNNNNNNNNNNNNNNNNNNNNNNNNNNNNNNNNNNNNNNNNNNNNNNNNNNNNNNNNNNNNNNNNNNNNNNNNNNNNNNNNNNNNNNNNNNNNNNNNNNNNNNNNNNNNNNNNNNNNNNNNNNNNNNNNNNNNNNNNNNNNNNNNNNNNNNNNNNNNNNNNNNNNNNNNNNNNNNNNNNNNNNNNNNNNNNNNNNNNNNNNNNNNNNNNNNNNNNNNNNNNNNNNNNNNNNNNNNNNNNNNNNNNNNNNNNNNNNNNNNNNNNNNNNNNNNNNNNNNNNNNNNNNNNNNNNNNNNNNNNNNNNNNNNNNNNNNNNNNNNNNNNNNNNNNNNNNNNNNNNNNNNNNNNNNNNNNNNNNNNNNNNNNNNNNNNNNNNNNNNNNNNNNNNNNNNNNNNNNNNNNNNNNNNNNNNNNNNNNNNNNNNNNNNNNNNNNNNNNNNNNNNNNNNNNNNNNNNNNNNNNNNNNNNNNNNNNNNNNNNNNNNNNNNNNNNNNNNNNNNNNNNNNNNNNNNNNNNNNNNNNNNNNNNNNNNNNNNNNNNNNNNNNNNNNNNNNNNNNNNNNNNNNNNNNNNNNNNNNNNNNNNNNNNNNNNNNNNNNNNNNNNNNNNNNNNNNNNNNNNNNNNNNNNNNNNNNNNNNNNNNNNNNNNNNNNNNNNNNNNNNNNNNNNNNNNNNNNNNNNNNNNNNNNNNNNNNNNNNNNNNNNNNNNNNNNNNNNNNNNNNNNNNNNNNNNNNNNNNNNNNNNNNNNNNNNNNNNNNNNNNNNNNNNNNNNNNNNNNNNNNNNNNNNNNNNNNNNNNNNNNNNNNNNNNNNNNNNNNNNNNNNNNNNNNNNNNNNNNNNNNNNNNNNNNNNNNNNNNNNNNNNNNNNNNNNNNNNNNNNNNNNNNNNNNNNNNNNNNNNNNNNNNNNNNNNNNNNNNNNNNNNNNNNNNNNNNNNNNNNNNNNNNNNNNNNNNNNNNNNNNNNNNNNNNNNNNNNNNNNNNNNNNNNNNNNNNNNNNNNNNNNNNNNNNNNNNNNNNNNNNNNNNNNNNNNNNNNNNNNNNNNNNNNNNNNNNNNNNNNNNNNNNNNNNNNNNNNNNNNNNNNNNNNNNNNNNNNNNNNNNNNNNNNNNNNNNNNNNNNNNNNNNNNNNNNNNNNNNNNNNNNNNNNNNNNNNNNNNNNNNNNNNNNNNNNNNNNNNNNNNNNNNNNNNNNNNNNNNNNNNNNNNNNNNNNNNNNNNNNNNNNNNNNNNNNNNNNNNNNNNNNNNNNNNNNNNNNNNNNNNNNNNNNNNNNNNNNNNNNNNNNNNNNNNNNNNNNNNNNNNNNNNNNNNNNNNNNNNNNNNNNNNNNNNNNNNNNNNNNNNNNNNNNNNNNNNNNNNNNNNNNNNNNNNNNNNNNNNNNNNNNNNNNNNNNNNNNNNNNNNNNNNNNNNNNNNNNNNNNNNNNNNNNNNNNNNNNNNNNNNNNNNNNNNNNNNNNNNNNNNNNNNNNNNNNNNNNNNNNNNNNNNNNNNNNNNNNNNNNNNNNNNNNNNNNNNNNNNNNNNNNNNNNNNNNNNNNNNNNNNNNNNNNNNNNNNNNNNNNNNNNNNNNNNNNNNNNNNNNNNNNNNNNNNNNNNNNNNNNNNNNNNNNNNNNNNNNNNNNNNNNNNNNNNNNNNNNNNNNNNNNNNNNNNNNNNNNNNNNNNNNNNNNNNNNNNNNNNNNNNNNNNNNNNNNNNNNNNNNNNNNNNNNNNNNNNNNNNNNNNNNNNNNNNNNNNNNNNNNNNNNNNNNNNNNNNNNNNNNNNNNNNNNNNNNNNNNNNNNNNNNNNNNNNNNNNNNNNNNNNNNNNNNNNNNNNNNNNNNNNNNNNNNNNNNNNNNNNNNNNNNNNNNNNNNNNNNNNNNNNNNNNNNNNNNNNNNNNNNNNNNNNNNNNNNNNNNNNNNNNNNNNNNNNNNNNNNNNNNNNNNNNNNNNNNNNNNNNNNNNNNNNNNNNNNNNNNNNNNNNNNNNNNNNNNNNNNNNNNNNNNNNNNNNNNNNNNNNNNNNNNNNNNNNNNNNNNNNNNNNNNNNNNNNNNNNNNNNNNNNNNNNNNNNNNNNNNNNNNNNNNNNNNNNNNNNNNNNNNNNNNNNNNNNNNNNNNNNNNNNNNNNNNNNNNNNNNNNNNNNNNNNNNNNNNNNNNNNNNNNNNNNNNNNNNNNNNNNNNNNNNNNNNNNNNNNNNNNNNNNNNNNNNNNNNNNNNNNNNNNNNNNNNNNNNNNNNNNNNNNNNNNNNNNNNNNNNNNNNNNNNNNNNNNNNNNNNNNNNNNNNNNNNNNNNNNNNNNNNNNNNNNNNNNNNNNNNNNNNNNNNNNNNNNNNNNNNNNNNNNNNNNNNNNNNNNNNNNNNNNNNNNNNNNNNNNNNNNNNNNNNNNNNNNNNNNNNNNNNNNNNNNNNNNNNNNNNNNNNNNNNNNNNNNNNNNNNNNNNNNNNNNNNNNNNNNNNNNNNNNNNNNNNNNNNNNNNNNNNNNNNNNNNNNNNNNNNNNNNNNNNNNNNNNNNNNNNNNNNNNNNNNNNNNNNNNNNNNNNNNNNNNNNNNNNNNNNNNNNNNNNNNNNNNNNNNNNNNNNNNNNNNNNNNNNNNNNNNNNNNNNNNNNNNNNNNNNNNNNNNNNNNNNNNNNNNNNNNNNNNNNNNNNNNNNNNNNNNNNNNNNNNNNNNNNNNNNNNNNNNNNNNNNNNNNNNNNNNNNNNNNNNNNNNNNNNNNNNNNNNNNNNNNNNNNNNNNNNNNNNNNNNNNNNNNNNNNNNNNNNNNNNNNNNNNNNNNNNNNNNNNNNNNNNNNNNNNNNNNNNNNNNNNNNNNNNNNNNNNNNNNNNNNNNNNNNNNNNNNNNNNNNNNNNNNNNNNNNNNNNNNNNNNNNNNNNNNNNNNNNNNNNNNNNNNNNNNNNNNNNNNNNNNNNNNNNNNNNNNNNNNNNNNNNNNNNNNNNNNNNNNNNNNNNNNNNNNNNNNNNNNNNNNNNNNNNNNNNNNNNNNNNNNNNNNNNNNNNNNNNNNNNNNNNNNNNNNNNNNNNNNNNNNNNNNNNNNNNNNNNNNNNNNNNNNNNNNNNNNNNNNNNNNNNNNNNNNNNNNNNNNNNNNNNNNNNNNNNNNNNNNNNNNNNNNNNNNNNNNNNNNNNNNNNNNNNNNNNNNNNNNNNNNNNNNNNNNNNNNNNNNNNNNNNNNNNNNNNNNNNNNNNNNNNNNNNNNNNNNNNNNNNNNNNNNNNNNNNNNNNNNNNNNNNNNNNNNNNNNNNNNNNNNNNNNNNNNNNNNNNNNNNNNNNNNNNNNNNNNNNNNNNNNNNNNNNNNNNNNNNNNNNNNNNNNNNNNNNNNNNNNNNNNNNNNNNNNNNNNNNNNNNNNNNNNNNNNNNNNNNNNNNNNNNNNNNNNNNNNNNNNNNNNNNNNNNNNNNNNNNNNNNNNNNNNNNNNNNNNNNNNNNNNNNNNNNNNNNNNNNNNNNNNNNNNNNNNNNNNNNNNNNNNNNNNNNNNNNNNNNNNNNNNNNNNNNNNNNNNNNNNNNNNNNNNNNNNNNNNNNNNNNNNNNNNNNNNNNNNNNNNNNNNNNNNNNNNNNNNNNNNNNNNNNNNNNNNNNNNNNNNNNNNNNNNNNNNNNNNNNNNNNNNNNNNNNNNNNNNNNNNNNNNNNNNNNNNNNNNNNNNNNNNNNNNNNNNNNNNNNNNNNNNNNNNNNNNNNNNNNNNNNNNNNNNNNNNNNNNNNNNNNNNNNNNNNNNNNNNNNNNNNNNNNNNNNNNNNNNNNNNNNNNNNNNNNNNNNNNNNNNNNNNNNNNNNNNNNNNNNNNNNNNNNNNNNNNNNNNNNNNNNNNNNNNNNNNNNNNNNNNNNNNNNNNNNNNNNNNNNNNNNNNNNNNNNNNNNNNNNNNNNNNNNNNNNNNNNNNNNNNNNNNNNNNNNNNNNNNNNNNNNNNNNNNNNNNNNNNNNNNNNNNNNNNNNNNNNNNNNNNNNNNNNNNNNNNNNNNNNNNNNNNNNNNNNNNNNNNNNNNNNNNNNNNNNNNNNNNNNNNNNNNNNNNNNNNNNNNNNNNNNNNNNNNNNNNNNNNNNNNNNNNNNNNNNNNNNNNNNNNNNNNNNNNNNNNNNNNNNNNNNNNNNNNNNNNNNNNNNNNNNNNNNNNNNNNNNNNNNNNNNNNNNNNNNNNNNNNNNNNNNNNNNNNNNNNNNNNNNNNNNNNNNNNNNNNNNNNNNNNNNNNNNNNNNNNNNNNNNNNNNNNNNNNNNNNNNNNNNNNNNNNNNNNNNNNNNNNNNNNNNNNNNNNNNNNNNNNNNNNNNNNNNNNNNNNNNNNNNNNNNNNNNNNNNNNNNNNNNNNNNNNNNNNNNNNNNNNNNNNNNNNNNNNNNNNNNNNNNNNNNNNNNNNNNNNNNNNNNNNNNNNNNNNNNNNNNNNNNNNNNNNNNNNNNNNNNNNNNNNNNNNNNNNNNNNNNNNNNNNNNNNNNNNNNNNNNNNNNNNNNNNNNNNNNNNNNNNNNNNNNNNNNNNNNNNNNNNNNNNNNNNNNNNNNNNNNNNNNNNNNNNNNNNNNNNNNNNNNNNNNNNNNNNNNNNNNNNNNNNNNNNNNNNNNNNNNNNNNNNNNNNNNNNNNNNNNNNNNNNNNNNNNNNNNNNNNNNNNNNNNNNNNNNNNNNNNNNNNNNNNNNNNNNNNNNNNNNNNNNNNNNNNNNNNNNNNNNNNNNNNNNNNNNNNNNNNNNNNNNNNNNNNNNNNNNNNNNNNNNNNNNNNNNNNNNNNNNNNNNNNNNNNNNNNNNNNNNNNNNNNNNNNNNNNNNNNNNNNNNNNNNNNNNNNNNNNNNNNNNNNNNNNNNNNNNNNNNNNNNNNNNNNNNNNNNNNNNNNNNNNNNNNNNNNNNNNNNNNNNNNNNNNNNNNNNNNNNNNNNNNNNNNNNNNNNNNNNNNNNNNNNNNNNNNNNNNNNNNNNNNNNNNNNNNNNNNNNNNNNNNNNNNNNNNNNNNNNNNNNNNNNNNNNNNNNNNNNNNNNNNNNNNNNNNNNNNNNNNNNNNNNNNNNNNNNNNNNNNNNNNNNNNNNNNNNNNNNNNNNNNNNNNNNNNNNNNNNNNNNNNNNNNNNNNNNNNNNNNNNNNNNNNNNNNNNNNNNNNNNNNNNNNNNNNNNNNNNNNNNNNNNNNNNNNNNNNNNNNNNNNNNNNNNNNNNNNNNNNNNNNNNNNNNNNNNNNNNNNNNNNNNNNNNNNNNNNNNNNNNNNNNNNNNNNNNNNNNNNNNNNNNNNNNNNNNNNNNNNNNNNNNNNNNNNNNNNNNNNNNNNNNNNNNNNNNNNNNNNNNNNNNNNNNNNNNNNNNNNNNNNNNNNNNNNNNNNNNNNNNNNNNNNNNNNNNNNNNNNNNNNNNNNNNNNNNNNNNNNNNNNNNNNNNNNNNNNNNNNNNNNNNNNNNNNNNNNNNNNNNNNNNNNNNNNNNNNNNNNNNNNNNNNNNNNNNNNNNNNNNNNNNNNNNNNNNNNNNNNNNNNNNNNNNNNNNNNNNNNNNNNNNNNNNNNNNNNNNNNNNNNNNNNNNNNNNNNNNNNNNNNNNNNNNNNNNNNNNNNNNNNNNNNNNNNNNNNNNNNNNNNNNNNNNNNNNNNNNNNNNNNNNNNNNNNNNNNNNNNNNNNNNNNNNNNNNNNNNNNNNNNNNNNNNNNNNNNNNNNNNNNNNNNNNNNNNNNNNNNNNNNNNNNNNNNNNNNNNNNNNNNNNNNNNNNNNNNNNNNNNNNNNNNNNNNNNNNNNNNNNNNNNNNNNNNNNNNNNNNNNNNNNNNNNNNNNNNNNNNNNNNNNNNNNNNNNNNNNNNNNNNNNNNNNNNNNNNNNNNNNNNNNNNNNNNNNNNNNNNNNNNNNNNNNNNNNNNNNNNNNNNNNNNNNNNNNNNNNNNNNNNNNNNNNNNNNNNNNNNNNNNNNNNNNNNNNNNNNNNNNNNNNNNNNNNNNNNNNNNNNNNNNNNNNNNNNNNNNNNNNNNNNNNNNNNNNNNNNNNNNNNNNNNNNNNNNNNNNNNNNNNNNNNNNNNNNNNNNNNNNNNNNNNNNNNNNNNNNNNNNNNNNNNNNNNNNNNNNNNNNNNNNNNNNNNNNNNNNNNNNNNNNNNNNNNNNNNNNNNNNNNNNNNNNNNNNNNNNNNNNNNNNNNNNNNNNNNNNNNNNNNNNNNNNNNNNNNNNNNNNNNNNNNNNNNNNNNNNNNNNNNNNNNNNNNNNNNNNNNNNNNNNNNNNNNNNNNNNNNNNNNNNNNNNNNNNNNNNNNNNNNNNNNNNNNNNNNNNNNNNNNNNNNNNNNNNNNNNNNNNNNNNNNNNNNNNNNNNNNNNNNNNNNNNNNNNNNNNNNNNNNNNNNNNNNNNNNNNNNNNNNNNNNNNNNNNNNNNNNNNNNNNNNNNNNNNNNNNNNNNNNNNNNNNNNNNNNNNNNNNNNNNNNNNNNNNNNNNNNNNNNNNNNNNNNNNNNNNNNNNNNNNNNNNNNNNNNNNNNNNNNNNNNNNNNNNNNNNNNNNNNNNNNNNNNNNNNNNNNNNNNNNNNNNNNNNNNNNNNNNNNNNNNNNNNNNNNNNNNNNNNNNNNNNNNNNNNNNNNNNNNNNNNNNNNNNNNNNNNNNNNNNNNNNNNNNNNNNNNNNNNNNNNNNNNNNNNNNNNNNNNNNNNNNNNNNNNNNNNNNNNNNNNNNNNNNNNNNNNNNNNNNNNNNNNNNNNNNNNNNNNNNNNNNNNNNNNNNNNNNNNNNNNNNNNNNNNNNNNNNNNNNNNNNNNNNNNNNNNNNNNNNNNNNNNNNNNNNNNNNNNNNNNNNNNNNNNNNNNNNNNNNNNNNNNNNNNNNNNNNNNNNNNNNNNNNNNNNNNNNNNNNNNNNNNNNNNNNNNNNNNNNNNNNNNNNNNNNNNNNNNNNNNNNNNNNNNNNNNNNNNNNNNNNNNNNNNNNNNNNNNNNNNNNNNNNNNNNNNNNNNNNNNNCUAGUUCUUGCCUGCCUUGCUGCCAUUACCCAGGCCAUUACAUUGCAUAGCAUAAGGAAUAGUGAUUAGGUGCUUAUUAGUGAUUCGUUGAGCUUAUUAUUGACAAACCAACAUAUUCGCCUUUACCCACAACUUAGUUUGAUUAGUUAUUGUUGUGUAAUAGACCAAGUUCGUAACCCAACUGAAGCAAUUAAUCAGAUUUACAAAACAAGCAAGAACCCAGAAAACGAACCAGGGGAUACAGUCAAGUAACCAAGAACAAGAAAGAAAACUUAAUCAAGAGAUACAAAACAGAGGUUAACGUGGUUCAGUACCAUGAGUACUUACAUCCACGAUCAGGAACAGUAGAGCUAAAGCUUUAUUAGGAGAUAUCAAGAUUACAAUGGAAUCCACUCAGAGCAAGAAACUAAACUCACACAGAGAAUCUUUCUCAACUCACAAACUAUCUCACUUGACUAACUGAUCAGCUCUCUCUCUCACUGAAGCUAUAAAGCUAGCAGUUUACAGCUGGUUAUAACGACUAACUAAAACCACCUGGGGACCCACCCAUGCUGACUCAGCUUUCCAGCUCAGCUAAUAUAUAUAACCGAAUGUAACUAACUUGAUUCCACAAAUCUCCACCUUAGUUAACUCGGUUAUGGCUUUACUCAUCACUGCUCCAUCACCAGUUAACUUGUCUCACAAGUUAAUAACCCCAAUCAAGUCCAAGGAGUUCCUGAACUUAACUGUUGGCAAAGGUUUUGUUAGCAUGUCUGCUGGAUUUACUUCAGUAGGAAUUUUAAUGACAUUGAUUACACCAUUUCGAAUUUCUUCCCUGAUAAAGUGCAUCCUCACAUCCACAUGUUUUGUUCUUUCAUGGUACUUGGGGUUUUUGCUCAACUGUAUAGCACUUGAGCUAUCACAAUUGACAGUGACUGAUUCUUGUUCCAAACCCAGUUUUGUAACUAACCCCUUCAACCAUAAUGCUUCUUUCACAGCCUCUGUUAAAGCAAUAUACUCUACCUCUGUUGUUGAGAGAGCAAUUACUGAUUGUAAUGUUGACUUCCAGCUCACAGCUCCACCACAGAGAGUAAACACAAGACCAGUGACUGACCUUCUCCUAUCUAAAUCUCCUGCAAAGUCAGAAUCAACAGAUCCCACAACUUGGCUAGAUGCAUUACUAACUUGUCCAANNNNNNNNNNNNNNNNNNNNNNNNNNNNNNNNNNNNNNNNNNNNNNNNNNNNNNNNNNNNNNNNNNNNNNNNNNNNNNNNNNNNNNNNNNNNNNNNNNNNNNNNNNNNNNNNNNNNNNNNNNNNNNNNNNNNNNNNNNNNNNNNNNNNNNNNNNNNNNNNNNNNNNNNNNNNNNNNNNNNNNNNNNNNNNNNNNNNNNNNNNNNNNNNNNNNNNNNNNNNNNNNNNNNNNNNNNNNNNNNNNNNNNNNNNNNNNNNNNNNNNNNNNNNNNNNNNNNNNNNNNNNNNNNNNNNNNNNNNNNNNNNNNNNNNNNNNNNNNNNNNNNNNNNNNNNNNNNNNNNNNNNNNNNNNNNNNNNNNNNNNNNNNNNNNNNNNNNNNNNNNNNNNNNNNNNNNNNNNNNNNNNNNNNNNNNNNNNNNNNNNNNNNNNNNNNNNNNNNNNNNNNNNNNNNNNNNNNNNNNNNNNNNNNNNNNNNNNNNNNNNNNNNNNNNNNNNNNNNNNNNNNNNNNNNNNNNNNNNNNNNNNNNNNNNNNNNNNNNNNNNNNNNNNNNNNNNNNNNNNNNNNNNNNNNNNNNNNNNNNNNNNNNNNNNNNNNNNNNNNNNNNNACUGCUUCAAUCCAUACAAGCUUUUCUUGAGUAAGCAAACCAUGUCUUCAGUUCCUUCUCAAUAAAGCCUUCUGGCUGAGCCAUCAGGAUUUCUUCUUCUAAGUUUCCAUGUAAAAAAGCAGUCUUCACAUCCAUCUGGUCCAAUUCUAAAUCAAAGUAGGCUGUGAUGGCUAAUAGAACCCUUAUAGAGGAAUGUUUCACAACAGGUGAGAAGACUUCAUUGAAGUCUAUCCCUUCCUUUUGUGUGAACCCCUUUGCCACAAGCCUGGCUUUAUACCUCACUGAUUUACUUCCAGCAACUCCCUCCUUGAGUUUAAAGAUCCAUUUGCAGCCCACCAAUCUUCUUCCAGCAGGCCUCUGAACUAGCACCCAAGUGUUAUUGUCUUUCAGUGAUGCCAUUUCUUCUUUCAUAGCACUAAGCCAUUUUAGCUUAUCUCUGCUAUUCAUAGCCUGCUUGUAGCUUUUAGGUUCUUCUCCAGUCAUCUCAUUAGCAACCAUUAGUGCAUAGGAUAUUAAGUCAGCAAUCCCAUAUCUUUUGGGCAGUUUAACUACCCUCCUUUCUCUAUCCCUCGCAAGCUGAUAGUUAUCAAGUUCUGAUGUUGUAGUACUUUCUUGAUGGUGCUCAGUCAUCUCUUUACUUACUUCCAAAUUGUCUCUGGACUCCACCUUCAACUUAGAUCUCUUUUGAGGUUCAGAUAUUUCAACUUCUGUUCCAACCUUCUGCUGCAACAUAGCUUCCUCAUUAAACACUACAUCUCUACUAAUCAAGGUUCUGGAUGGCUUGCCAUCAAUGCACCAGAUUUUGUACCCCUUUAUGCCUUCAGGAUACCCAAUGAAGUAUCCUUUCACAGCCCUUGGUUCUAGCUUGCCCUGACUUAUAUGAGCAUAAGCUGGGCAGCCAAACACCCUGAGAUUACCAAGAUUUGGUGGCUUCCCUGACCAUGCUUCUUGUGGUGUUUUGAAAUCUAAAGCUGAUGAAGGGCUCCUAUUUAUUAGAUAUGCAGCUGUAUUAACUGCCUCAGCCCAAAAAUGCUUUGACAGAUUUGCAUUAAACAACAUGCAUCUGACCUUUUCAAUUAAGGUUCUAUUCAUCCUUUCAGCCAAGCCAUUUUGCUGGGGAGUGUGUCUCACUGUCCUAUGUCUUGCAAUGCCCUUUGAUUUACAAAAAUUUUCAAAGUCACUGCUGCAGAAUUCCAGGCCAUUAUCAGUCCUCAGCCUUUUAAGCUUCUUUUCUGUUUGGGUUUCCAUAAGUGCAGUCCACUCUUUAAACCUUUCAAAUGCUUCACUCUUAUGCUUCAGCACAUAGACCCACACUCUUCUAGAGUAAUCAUCUAUGAAUGUGAUGAAGUACCUAGCUCCACCAUGAGAGGGAACUUGGGAUGGUCCCCAAAGGUCUGAGUGAACAUAGUCUAAGGUCUGUUUUGUUUCCUGUCUACCAGAGUUGAACUUUUGCCUUGUGGCUUUACCGAACACACAUUUUUCACAAAAUUGUAGUGAGGUGAUUUGAUCAUUUCCUAGCAGCCCUUGCUUACUUAAUUCUCUCAACCCCCUUUCACUCAUGUGUGCUAGCCUCAUGUGCCAAAGUUUGGUUUUAUCACUGCUUACACUAGCUGUGAUUGCUGGCAUAGUUGUUGAGCCAGCAAGUACAUAUAAACCAUUCCUCCUUAUGCCUUUCAUUAUAAUCAGGCCUUUAUCUUCAAUUUGAAGAUUUCCAUUUUCUGCUUUUAUACUACAGCCCCUCUGAUCCAUAACUCCUAAAGAUAUUAGAUUUCUUUUUAAUUCUGGAACAUAUCUGACCUGAUUUGGAUCCCUUUCAAUGCCAUCAAACAUCCUAAUGCUAAUGGUGCCAAUUCCAGCUACCUUACAGGCAAGAUUGUUCCCAAGCAAGACUUUUCCACCAUCAAUGCUUUCAAAAGUCUUAAAGAAAUCUACAUUUGGACACAUAUGGAAGGAGCAACCUGAGUCAAGAAUCCACUCACCUGAAGAUUGCUUUUCUGCAGCAAUGAGGACAUCUGCAUCAUCUGACAUCCCUUCAUCUUCAGAGGCUACAGCAGCUUUUCCAUUAGAUUCCUUUUGUAAUUUCUCAAGCUUCUUCUUCUCAAAACAAUCCUUGAUGUAAUGACCUUCCUUUUGACAAAAGUAACAUUUUCUCUUCUUUUUCUUCUUGUCUGGUUUAUCUUUCUGGUUGCUGUUCUUCUUGUCUUUGUAGAAUUUCUUAUCUGGUUUUGCUUUUGCAACUAAGCUUUCUGCAGGGUUUUGAUCCUUCCCAUCUAUUCUUCUCUUCAAGUCCUUUGAUUCCAGGGCAUUCUUUACAUCCUUUAAUGUAAGUGUUUGUCUUCCAUAAAGCAAUGUAUCAACAAAAUGUUCGUAAGAGUCUGGGAGUGAGCUUAAUAGGAUUAGGGCCCUAUCUUCAUCUUCAAGAACUAUAUUCACAUUUUCAAGGUCUAGGAUCAGCUUAUUAAAUUCAUCCACAUGAUCCUUCAAGGCUGUUCCAUCCUUCAUUGAAAAUGUGUAUAGCUUUCUUUUCAUAUACAGUCUCUUGGCUAGGGAUUUCUUUAAAAAUAAUUCUUCCAGUUUCUCCCAUAGACCAGAAGCAGUCUUUUCUUUAGACACCUCUCUUAGCACUUCAUCCGAGAGAUGUAGGAUGAUAGUGCUAUGAGCUUUGUUGUUGAUAGUCUUCAUGUCUCUGCCAGAGCUGGAUGAUCAUUCUUCCUUCCCUUUCUUGGCCUUUGAAUCUUCAUCUUCUUCAAGAGCAGCAUCCAAUCCUUGUUGAAUCAAGAUUGCCCUCAUUUUGAGACUCCACAAAUAGAAGUCAUUGUCCCCAUUAAACUUCUCCAGAUCGAAUCUUGUAGAUGCCAUUGGAGGAUUUCAAAGAGCUUGAUAGAUGACCAAGCUCUGAUACCAGUUUGUUGUGUAAUAGACCAAGUUCGUAACCCAACUGAAGCAAUUAAUCAGAUUUACAAAACAAGCAAGAACCCAGAAAACGAACCAGGGGAUACAGUCAAGUAACCAAGAACAAGAAAGAAAACUUAAACAAGAGAUACAAACAGAGGUUAACGUGGUUCAGUACCAUGAGUACUUACAUCCACGAUCAGGAACAGUAGAGCUAAAGCUUUAUUAGGAGAUAUCAAGAUUACAAUGGAAUCCACUCAGAGCAAGAAACUAAACUCACACAGAGAAUCUUUCUCAACUCACAAACUAUCUCACUUGACUAACUGAUCAGCUCUCUCUCUCACUGAAGCUAUAAAGCUAGCAGUUUACAGCUGGUUAUAACGACUAACUAAAACCACCUGGGGACCCACCCAUGCUGACUUAGCUUUCCAGCUCAGCUAAUAUAUAUAACCGAAUGUAACUAACUUGAUUCCACAGUUAUUAGACCAUAAAGAGCGUUAAUCUGUUCAUUGGCUUUGUUAUUUUUAUUUGGUUUUUCUUCCAACAAUACUGUUGAUUUCUUAUAAAAAUACUCAUUGGUUUUUAGUUAUUAGACCAUAAAGAGCAUUAGUCUGUUCAUUGGCUUUGUUAUUUUUAUUUGGUUUUUCUUCCGACAAUACGGUUGAUUUCUUAUAAAAAUAUUCAUUGGUUUUUAAACACCUAAUCAUUGGCUAUAAUGAAGCUAAUUGAAACUGAGGCUUAUCAAUUUCUUCCUGCAAGAUACAAUUGAGCAUAAACUAUAUCCUCAGUAAAUUUUUCUAAUAUCCUUGAUUUGUUAGGAUAUGGGCCUGAAAUCCUCUAGAUUUUUUUAACACUGUCAAUGUUCUUUUUACUCUGAAAAGGGAAAAAAAAGGUUAUAUCUUUCAUACCCUAAUAGUAAGUUGGCCUUGACUUAACAUGCCUUCCCGAGAUUUGCAAGAUUCACAAGCAGCUCACACCCCCCCCCAACCAAAAAAAAAAAAAGAAAAAUAAAUAGGAAGAUUUUUGCGAGAUUCACAACCAGGUUAUAUUUAAUUUAUUAAUUGUGUGCACGUACUAGUUAUAUGUUGAAAGAAUAGGAAAAAGUAUUUUAACAUGAAUGACUUAAAACUUAUUGCUUAGUAAACAUAAUCUGCAUCAGUGCUAGAAAAUGUAUUUAUUGUUUGUAUUUUUUAUGGAUUUGCUUAAGAAAUGAUGCGCGUAACAAUGCUACAUUGUAUUAGGAACAAAUUGAAGAGAUUUAUGAUAUUUCUGUGUUAUUCAAAUUUCAGAUUGAAUUUUAAACUUUCAAUACAUGUGUUGUAAUUAAGAAUGAGAAACCUUAAUUCUUUUACCCAAGAAAUCACCACACACUGAUCUUGUUAAGGAAAGAAUGAAGGAUCGAUAUAGAAAUCAGAUUAAGAAUAAGGGUAUUUUAAUCAGAGACAGGAAUUAAGAAAGAAUCAAGCAAAACGAAAUGCAAAGGGGAUUAUAGAGGUUUGGCUUUGCAGCCUACAUCCUCUUGAGAAACAGAAGCCAUAGCUUUUCUUUAUGCUUUAACAGAUUACAAGUAUUAGAGUAAUUGCUACAAGGAACGAUUCCUCCCAAGUAUAGCCCUCAAGGCUAUAUAUACAACUCGGAAGAGAUCCAGAUAUGUGAGCUGUACAACAGCUCUCAUUCUGGGUUUGUUUCAACAGACCCAGCAAACUCCCGCCAAUCCUAACUGUAUGUAACAGCUCUUCAAAUUGAAACGGCAUCAGCAGCUGCCGUUUAACUUAAGCUUGAUCGUGCAAGUCACGUGCGUUACUUAAGCCUUUCGUAUGAUAGUUGCUGGUUGUCAUACGGCAGUGUUAUCUGUAUGUUUGCUUUGUCGUUUCUCAUUCAAUUCUGGAAACGACAAAGUCGUCUCCUUCAGAAGGUUCUGAUUCAGGUUCACAUUUAACAACAUGCAUUGAAAGCUUAGAUCGUUUAAGAAAUUAUUAAUAGACACAUGUUUUAUUAGUGUCAUCUUUGGAUGAUAGUGAGGAUCAUAUGCCUAUUAAUAAUUCUUGAAUUGUCUAGGCUUGAACUGUUUGGGAAUGCAUAGUUUUCUAUGGUAGCUAGUAGCUGAAGUUUUUUUCCCACGUAAAAAUGAGUUUUUCGCAAUCUGCUUCUCAUCUUCUUUGGGUGCAUACUAGAUAACACAUAAACACUCAUAUAUCUAUGUCGUUGCUUGGAGAACUAAAGGGAGAUGCUGCCGAAAUUUCUAUAAACGUAGAAGAAAACUUUAAAGUACUUGAGAUUGAAGAAACUUAUGCAUUCUUGAGAGGGAUAUACGGGACCACUUACCUUUUGUAAAUAUGAAGGGAGUGUUGGACAUAUUGAUGGGAGUGGAGGAGCUGAGUUGGAUGGACGUAAUCGGUUAUAGUUUUGCUGAGUUAACUUGGUUUUGAGCUUGUAAUUUUGUUUAUAAAUGGAGUACUAUCUCCAAUGUUGGUUUAUAAAUAUGUUUCAGCUGGCUGACCUUUUUUUUUGUUUCUAGGUAACAUGCUUUGUAUCUGUAAUUGAUAACCAACUGAAGUUCUCAGCUGUGGGUGAGGAUAUUUCUUUACAGAAGGUAUUGGAAACUGUUUUUUACAUUAAUUAUUGUUGUAUAUAUACUUUAAUUUUCACGUCUUUUUCUCUGAUUCUUGUCGCUUUACUUGCUUUCAUAUAUAUAAAUUCUAAUGAAAUUAACCAUAAAAUUGUAUAAUGAUUUUUUAAUUAUAUUGCAAAACUGUGCACACACGAAAAUAUCUUGGUCAGUAGUAGAAAUGAAAAACUAAAAUGAUUUAUCUAACUAAUUUUUGUAGUGCAUUAAAAGGAGAUGGUAAUGGAGAAGAGUUGGGUUGGUUUGGCAAAUAGAUAUCUAAGUUAUAGAUUUUGCAUUUGAGAAUGUUGUUGGUGAUGCAAGAAUUUAUUAUCCUUGUAAGAAGUGUCGAAUAUUUCGUUUUAAGGGAAGUAGCAAGAGACCAUAUCAUUAUAAAUGGUUUUUGGUUAAAGUAUUAAAACUGGAUAUUGCAUGAUGAGCCAUCUUCAUCUUUGGAAUCUAACCAAGAAACAGGUUAGUCAUGACUCGGGUGCUGAUGAUGAUAUGGUUGGAAUGAUACAUGAUACAUCACGUAAUCAAAUAUUCAAUUCACACACAGCAUUGUUAUGGACUAUCAGUGACUUUCUAGCACAUGCCAACUUGUCUGAGUGGAGUAUUAAAGGUAAAUAAGCAUUUCUUGUUUGCCAACAAAACACUAGAUCUAAUUGGUUGAUACAUAGUAGAAAAUUUUGUCACGUCGGUAACGUCGAUUUUUACUGACGAAUCAUAGGUUUCGAAAAUAUAGUGCCUUUUGAUAAAUCUAGAGAGUGGGGACAAGCACCUUCUCGGAUGUCUGGAGCUGAAGUGAAAAAGCAGUUGAAUAAUAUACUUACUGAGUUUAAGAUUGAAGACUUGAAAAGUGGAGAAUGAAUAAAAUGAGAGAAAUGAUAAGAUUACUUGGACGAAGAAAAGCAUAUUUUAUGAACUACCGUGUUGGGAGUUCAAUUUGAUUCAUCAUAAAAUGUGAGACAUGAGGGAGAGACAAAAGCUCAGGCUUGUCUGCAACCAUGUGGGCCCUCAUAAGCAAUUCGUGUACACAACUUGGUUCACCAAGCCCAACAACUUGAAGCAGGCAAAAUCCGGGAACGAUCCUUCUCCUUCGCAACCCUAGCUGCCUUAACCUUGUAUUUCUGAUAUUUAGUUAAAGAGUAAGAAGAUUGCUCCUCUGUCAAUUACCUUCGAGAGAGACUUUCUUUUUCAUUCACCGAUGCUUGCUUGUGAAAGCAAGGGUUUUAGUUACACUUUCAACGCUGUCAAUGUAGUGAAGUAAAGCAUUAGUAGAAUAAUGAAGUUGGAGCCCCACACAUGAAAACUUAAAGNNNNNNNNNNNNNNNNNNNNNNNNNNNNNNNNNNNNNNNNNNNNNNNNNNNNNNNNNNNNNNNNNNNNNNNNNNNNNNNNNNNNNNNNNNNNNNNNNNNNNNNNNNNNNNNNNNNNNNNNNNNNNNNNNNNNNNNNNNNNNNNNNNNNNNNNNNNNNNNNNNNNNNNNNNNNNNNNNNNNNNNNNNNNNNNNNNNNNNNNNNNNNNNNNNNNNNNNNNNNNNNNNNNNNNNNNNNNNNNNNNNNNNNNNNNNNNNNNNNNNNNNNNNNNNNNNNNNNNNNNNNNNNNNNNNNNNNNNNNNNNNNNNNNNNNNNNNNNNNNNNNNNNNNNNNNNNNNNNNNNNNNNNNNNNNNNNNNNNNNNNNNNNNNNNNNNNNNNNNNNNNNNNNNNNNNNNNNNNNNNNNNNNNNNNNNNNNNNNNNNNNNNNNNNNNNNNNNNNNNNNNNNNNNNNNNNNNNNNNNNNNNNNNNNNNNNNNNNNNNNNNNNNNNNNNNNNNNNNNNNNNNNNNNNNNNNNNNNNNNNNNNNNNNNNNNNNNNNNNNNNNNNNAAUAGAAAAUUACAAGACUGCUGAUAAAAUUUUAUUUGCAUGCAUGUCUGUCAAAAUUUCCGUGAUUUAAUGUGCUUUCAUGCACGCAAGUUCUAACGUUUCUGUGAUCACAAAAUAAAACUGAAGAUAAAACAGAACAACUACCAAACCUUUCAAGCUUGACGAAGCCAUGAGAAUUGAUAGCUCAGGCUCUGAUACCAAGUUAAAGUUUCUAAUCUAUUUGAUAAGUAAGAAAAUGAGAGAAAAUGAAAGAAAGAACAGAGAUCAUCUAAGAGCUGGAUUUGAUGAAUAAAUCUGAAUCAUCCAUUCUUUAGCUGAUUACAAAUGUAUUUAUACAAGUUUUCUAAGCACCUGAGAGUUGAAUAACUUAUGCCAGCUCAGCUAACACGUCAGUAACUCUACCUAUCUUGCUUAACAAACUGAAACAAUAACUAACAAUUUUAACUAUCUUAACAAUCCCAAUAAUUUCUCCGUUUGUGUAUUUUUUUGAAUCAUAAUCAAAUGGGUAAAUGUUGCAACUAUUUUUUUAGACAUUUUCACUUUGGGAUGUCAGCCCGAGGAAGUUCGGGGGUCUGAGUUAUUCAACUGAAAAUGUCGGCCAAGUUCUCGCCAUCUCAGGUUCAAAACUGAUAAUCUUGCUCGUUGCUCCCCAUUUAUACUUAUUACGAAACUGAAAAAGUUACUCGUUCCUCUUAACUUGUUUUCUCAUGCAUCAACCCCACAAAACUGCUUAUUGCAGGGGGAAAAAUUUUGAACACAUCAUGUGGAAUUUGGACNNNNNNNNNNNNNNNNNNNNNNNNNNNNNNNNNNNNNNNNNNNNNNNNNNNNNNNNNNNNNNNNNNNNNNNNNNNNNNNNNNNNNNNNNNNNNNNNNNNNACCUCUUUUGACAAGUUACACUUACAUAGCAAUGCUAUCUGGGUUCAGCCUUACCUUUUUGAUAAACUGUGCUUCUGUGAUGAAGAAUGUUUUAGCUGUAAGUGGAUAUCCUAAUCAUUGAUCCAUAUACUUAGGUUAUAUUAUCCAUCAGCAAGUAUGUAUAAAAUUAUUUUAUGUCUUUUUUUAUUAGAAAUGUUGUAAUUCUAUUUUACUCUUCCUGAAUUAUAACAUCAGGUGUCUAUAAUAACUAGAUUAUUCCUUCUGCAAAACAGAGCAGUGGUAAAUAUUUUUUUUCUUUUGUUUGUUUAGUACAUUUACAUGCUUUCAGCUUUUUCAAAUUUUGUAUGUGUCAAAGUUUAAAUUUAAUUUGUUGGUUUAUGCCACAACAAAAGGAACAGCAUCAAAGAGGAGCUGCUAAUGGACUUGCUAUGACUGUAGUGUCGCUUACCAAAACUGCCGGUCCAGCUGUAGGAGGUGCUCUGUGAGUGUCCUGUUGAUUUUGUAAAACUACAUGUAAAUGAUGUUAUAAUUUUUUUUUCAUUAAUUGGGGUUCUGGCAGAUUUUCUUGAUCACAAAAGCGUCAAGAUGCUGGUUUCCUCCCAGGAUGAUGAUCUACUAAUGAAAUUUCUCGCGAGUUUGUGUACUAUUUCGUGCUAAUUCUUCAUUAGCUGCUUAAACAAAAGUGCAGGUAACCAGAUGGUUUUUUUUCAUUCUGAAUUUGGUUGAGGCACUUGGAGUAAUAUUGACAUCCAAACCGUUUCUAACUCAGCGUGCCCCAUGAGUAGCGAAAAGAUCAUCUGUUGAAAUAUUUAAAUAUAUAUCAAGCAAAUUAAAGCUUUCAAAAUCUAUCAACAAUUUGAUUAUUUGAUGUGGUUGCCACUUGCCAUAUUUUGUGUUACUGUUCAAAAGGCUUAAAUAUGAAAAUGGUGGUUGGCGCUCACAGCAACCGAUUGCUGGUAACAUUAGUUGUUCAAUACUUAUCUCUGUCGACAUUUAUACUUGUUCAUUGUCAGAACUACGACAAUUUAUCUUCACAAUGAUGCAAGCUAGAAAGAAUUUUUCAUGUUAAGUAAAACAUUGAAGCCAUAAAGAGUCUUAAUUGAGUACUAAGUUUUCUACCAUGCUUUCAACGGUAACACAUUUGGAGCUCUUAUUCCAGGGGCUUCACAGUAGAGAGACCUGAUUUCGAUCUUCUUCAGAACUUGGGGAUUCCGUAAUAACAGAGGACAACAGUUAUAUAAGAAUAUUAUUUUGUACAAUUUUCGUAUAACCUGACCAAUGCAAGUAUAAUUUUAUGAUCUUAACUCAGAUCAAAAGACCUUCAAUGAUGUAAAAUUUGCACAUAAAGUUGAGAACCAAACAUUAGAACUUAUGAUGAAACGGAAACAAAAACGUUGAGAUUAAAAGAUAGAGAAACACAAGCUUUUUAAAAGGGAUAAAUGCUCAUUUAAUUUCUAUAUUUUGAUUUAAGAGUGCAUUUAAUUCUUAUAUUUUAAAAAGUUCCUCAACCUUAAGACACCCCCUACUAUAAAAUAUAUUUCAUUCCUACCCUUAUUUUUUUUCUUUUUACAAUAAUACUCUUGGAAUAAUAUUUUUGGGAAUAUUAAUUAAAAUAAAAAAUGGUAAUUCAUCCAGCUAGCCUUAAACAAAAUAAAUAUUAAUAAAAAUUUUUAUGUUAUUAUUUUAGUUUUAGGACUAAUUUCGUAAAUUAAUUUUUUUAUGCAUUUAUUAGUAAGAUUGCUUUAAGAAUAUUAAACAUUACUUUAAGUUGGUUGAUAUUAAUUAAUUUAUAAAUAAUUAUUAGCAAGAUUGUUGUAAAAGUACAAAAAUAUUUUCAUAUUGAUAUUUAUUGAUUAAUUUGUCAAUUAAUUUUUUUAUAAAUAAAUUAAUUAAUUUAAGAAUAUUAUUGCCAGGAUAUCAUUGUAAAAGUAAAUAAAUUUUAAGGAAAAAAAUGUAAUGUAUUUAAUAUCAAAGUAUAUUGAGAUAUUUUUCAAAAUAUAAAGACUAAACGUGCAUUGAAGUUAAAAUACAGGUACCAGACGAGCAUUUUCUCUUUUAGAAAGUUUUAUAUUUUAUAAAUGAAAGUUUGAAUAACAAAAUUAGGGUUUUGGACUCCUUUUAAACUAAACCUAAAAUAUUACUACAUAAUAAUAUUCUCCUAACUGAAAUAAGAUAAAUGCUACUUAAAUUCUAUAUCUAAAAAAAAAGAUAAAAAUCCAGAAAACAAUAGGAAAAUGGAUAUUAAACUUGUAAAAUAAUAUGAAAUAUAUAUAAUUUUCAACCGAACCACGAGGCUAAUGCGGCGCUAUAGUAUUAGAUUAGAUUCCCCUCAUCCCAAACUUCAAAAGGUAUAUUAUACACCGUAAAUAGAUACUUAUAGCUCAAGUUGUUACCCUAGAGAGAUAAUCUACUCAUCCUAUGCAACCAUCCGCUGCAUCAAAUUCGUUCCAAAAUUAAGAAUAAACCAGCUGAUGCAUUCCAAACAAUUUAGAUGAACCGAUAAAAUAAACCUAGAGAUCAAAUAAAAUCAAAUGAGAAUGAUAAUUACCUCGGACUGAAGCUCAUACAAAUUCAUUAUUUGACACCUCCAGCAAUUGUUGAAAUAAUUGUUAAUUAAAUAUAAAAUAAGACAGGUACAUAUUAAUGACACACCACUGUGAAUCGAUAGCUAAGGACGGAGUAAAAUUUAAUUGUAAAUUAGGACAGUAGAGCAAGCAUCCAUAAACAUAACAUGAACGUAAUACAUCAAUUGAAAUAUCAUACGAUAAAUUAGUCAGAGAAAGAAAUAAGUAAAUAAAUCAGCAAAGGAAACAUGCAUGAACAAAUAAAAAAAAAAACAAAGACAAAAGUAGGAAGAGUUGUCUGUGAGAAUCUUCUUCUAUGGUCAUUGAAGUCCCAAACUCAAUGGAAAUUCAAUGGAACCUUAAAAACGAACAGUGAAGGAAAAUGAAGAAAUCUGCAGGAAAUAAGGCGAGUGAGAGUGAAGAAUUAAUUACCACCGAGUAAAUGCGAAUGAAGAAUGGAGACAGAUCGAGAAGUGAGAUUCAGAGAUUGUAUUGAAAUUGAGAGUUGUGAUCCAGAAGCGAUUCUUCUUCUCCGUAAUUCCCUUUUUCUUUUAAUGUUGUUGUUAUUAUUAUUAUAUAUAUAUUUUCAAUUUCAUGAUAUCUUUUUUGUUUUAAACGGUAUUGGCAUAUUACAUUUAUUUAUGUUAAUUUUACAAUACCUCCCUUCAGAUUGCACAAAUUACAUAAAAAAAAAAAAAGUGCUUUAUGUAUAAAACUUUCAAACAAAUUGGGCCAAAAUCUAACUUUACCAAGUUUAGAGUAAUUUUGGGCUCGACAUUCCGUUUCCGACAAACGAAUUUUCUUUAUCACCAAGGUAUGAUACUUUUCAUAUUUAUCCAACGGCUCGUCAAUGACAAUACCUUUGUAAAAAGUACUUAUUUUGAAUAGUAUAUUGUGGAAAUGUCUGGUCGGUAAUACAACUAUUUCUUAUAGUGUAAAAAUGAUACACUAAGCGUUCACAUUUUGAUGAGUAAAUUAAGGAUUUCAAGAUGAAGUGCAUAAUUAGAUUAAUGCUAAGAAACUGAAGUUUGAUCGAUUGAAAACGAAAAUAAUAAUGAAGGUAAUUAAGAAAAUGAACAAUAUAUGCGGAAGCGGUCCUUAUUAGUACUUCUAGAUUUUCUCUUGGGCUUUCCUUAUUAUUGUUAAAAAAUGACCCGAAGAACUUUGAGUUUAAAAAUCUGGCCCUGAUGCCUGGUAGCCCUUCAACAUAUGAAGCACCAAAUGUUUUGAUGAGAAAAUGACAAGACCAUUUAUCAAAUUUCUUGUGGAUAUAAAUACAUACACAUAGACGAGGCCAACCUCCUCAAAUGAGAAUCAGAGUGAUUACAAGACCUUGCAAUGAGACAAUGAUACACCAUCAAAUGUCAAAAUACAAUAGAAAUUCACGACAUAUAUAUAAUAAAAGACCUCUCAUUGAGUCAUAUAUAUUGAGAAUAAAAAUGUUAUAAUACAUACACAUAGCUUAGUUAGAAUAAAAUGUCUUUGAACUUGCGAUGAUCAAACAAAGGAAACAGACAGGUUGUAACUCACAUUAUCACAAGAAGAUCACGAAGAUGGAAAUGGGAACCCCUCAGAAUGGAAACUUUGAAUAGAGGAAAAAAGAAAAACGACCUUAUUCACAGAAGAAGAGUGACUUAAAUCUUCAUCAGUAUCCAGACAUUUUGCAAUCAUAGAGUAGAGAAAUUUUAACAGGAACAGCAGAGAAAAUAUUAUGAAUAUGCUAUAGACCAAUAUACUUGUUCAUAGCUAACGUUUGAUGGUUUAAGGAUUUGUUCUAGGAAUAAUGGGCUGAUUACUUUCUUUUUAUUUUAAAUUUUUUUUAAUCCAAUGAAUGAUAUUCAGCUGUUAAUUAUGUGUUCAUAGGGAAGAAUAUUUUCUAAGUACUUUCCUUGCCUUCUAACUUUCCGAAAAGCAAACCCAAUGAACAAAUAGAGCACAAACUAAAAUAAAAGAACAGCAAUGAUGACAAUAAAUAAUUGGCAAAGAAAAAAAGGAAAAAGUAUGCACGUUUUCAAGGAAUUAUAAAAUAUGAAGGCUUUUAAUGAAACUUUAUCAUAAAAAGUAUGCAAGGAAUUAUAAAAUUUUAGAAAACAAGGGGAGCUCUCAAAAAAAAUGAAAAACUCAAAUUAAACUAGACUAAAAGACAUUCAAUUUUGCAAAAUCUGUCCAUAAAUGUCUGAAAGGAUCAUUAAAAUUGCAUUGCAAAUUUAACAGUAAACCGAGGGACCCAUUCUAAAUAAUUCAGAUGAAAUUGUGAAACAAGACAUGGGAUUAAAUAAAUGAAAUAAAAAUUAAUUACCAGUUGAGACUUUCUUCUAAAAAUUCGCAACUCCAAGUCAUAAGAAGCCUAUGAAAUUAGUCGUACUGCGUAGAGUAUGACGACGACACCGCCAACAGCUGAAAGUAAAAUUCUUAUUCAUCAAUUUAAACUUACUUUAUAACAAAUAUCUUAUCUAUAUUGUAUUUAAGAAAGCAAAUUUUGUAAAAAUUUAUCAUGGGAGAUAGAGAGUAAUAUGUAUAUACGUACCUUCUCAGCAUGUAAUUGUUGUAUGGUUGUGUUUAGAUCAUUAUUAGCCCAGCGCCGUUGAUCCGCUGUCUCUCCAUAGCAGACGUUUACUCUUAGAGGCGUGAUUGAUUCUCCUGUAGUGAAAAUCUUCAUCUUGGGACAACCAAUCACAUCCAGAUAUUCCAAAGAUGGGAAUUUGAAGGUGUAAUUGGCAGAACAGAAACUUGUGAGGCUAUCUAAAUCAAACAGUCCCAACGUCUUCAAUUUGCUAAAAACAAUCUCUUCUUUUUCAACUCCAUCUUUGUCAUUUAUUACCACCUCUGUCAUUGCUCUGCAUCCAUAUAUUUCUAUUGCUAUGAGUCGCACCAGAGUUUUUGCUGUGGAGGAUGUUACCAAGUGUAUCAAUUCCUUGCAACCGAAAGCUACAAGUUUUGUUAGGUUCCCAAAAGAUACCGAUGAUGAUGGCAAUAGAAUUAACAGACUUUGACAAUGAUAUACUUUUAGAAUUUCAAGAUACUGAAAAAUGGGGCCAAGUUUGGAGUCUUGCUUGCACAGCUGCUCCAGAUGAUAGUGCCA
Molecule: long non-coding RNA, 680416 nt
Filed under: Citrus x clementina
Lineage: Eukaryota; Viridiplantae; Streptophyta; Magnoliopsida; Sapindales; Rutaceae
Description: Citrus clementina (C. clementina) long non-coding RNA (CCLE_LNC002725)
Rfam family: Plant small nucleolar RNA R71 (bases 398818-398923)
Source: RNAcentral